This 396773-nucleotide long non-coding RNA is filed under the name Vigna radiata. Its description in RNAcentral is "long non-coding RNA (VRAD_LNC001628)". The stretch from base 239295 to 239366 matches the Rfam family "tRNA". Lineage: Eukaryota; Viridiplantae; Streptophyta; Magnoliopsida; Fabales; Fabaceae. The record is from RNAcentral.
AAAAUUAAUUUAAACAGUACAACAGUUUAGUGUGUUAAAUUAUUUUAGGACAUACGUAAGCGGAUUUUGUCAUUUAUUAAGGGUGUUGAUCCUUCUGUUUUUAAUUUUAGUGGGUUUUUACAUGUUGGACUUUUUCUUGUAUGUCUUAGUGGGCUUUGUUUUGUGUUCAUACUGCAAUCCUGCUUAGGAUGUUUCAUCCUCCACCUCCAAGUAUUUCAUCCUGCACCUCCAAUUUCUGAAAAUACCCUUAUUUAAUUAAUAGUUUAAGAGUUUAAUAUUUUGAUUAGUGUGAAUUUCUGUGCCAGCAUUGAGACCACCUCCAUUUUGUUCCAAUCAGUAAGCAUGCAUUUUGCUGACCUCUGCAACCCUUGACUCUACACCCCUACAUCACUCCUGCACCCCACUUCUCCACCCCACUCCUGCACUCUCUCAUUUCCAGCAUAAAAUAAAACCGUAAAAAAACGCAUGAAGAAUUAUUAUAAACUAUAAAACGAAAAAAAACAUAAAAUAAAACCGUAAAAAAACAAAAAAAAAAAAAAACGCAUGAAGAAUUAUUAUAACAGAAUAUUUAAAAUAAUUAUAACAAGAAAAUUUAAAAUAAUUAAAACAUGAUAUUUAAAAUAAUUAUAACAUAAAAUAAUGAAUUCAAAUAUUAAUAUACAUAAUAAACUUUUUAAAAUAAAACAAAAUAAAACAAUUAAAUAACAAACUAUUUAAAAUCAAACAAUUAAAUAAUAAACUAUUUAAAAUAAAACAAUUAAAUAAUAAAUUAUUUUAAAAAAAAUUAAAUAAUAAAAUAUUUUAAAUCAAACAAUUCAUUUCAAAUAAAAACAACCAAAAAUAAAUAAAAUAAAAUCGUAAAACAAAAUUAAAAAAAAAAAAACGCAUUAGGCAUGUAUCGGAUAUGGGAAACCGAUACAGCCUACAUCGGAUAUUGAGAGCCGAUGUUGGCUGUAUCGGUUUCCCAUAUCCGAUACAUGCCUAUCGCGUUUCGGAUCAGUGAAACAUGGAUAGAUAAAUGAAAUCGCACAAAUUUAAAAAAUUUCUAAUCAUCCAAUUUAUAUAUCUAGUCUAUAGACAUGCUAGAAAAAUGCAAAAAGCAGCAAAAAAAAAUUAAAACCAUGAACCAACCUGGAAGGUUUGAACUGCGAAGAAAACUGGAGGACGAAAAAGUCGAGUCUGGGAAACACACAACAAAGAAGAAACUAAAAUGUUAAAAUGAGAGUGUGCACAAGAUAACAAAGAAAGGAAAAAUCAAAUCUGAAGAAUCCAGUGUGAGUCCAGUGUUUUUGUACCUCCGUUGCAGAAAAAAAAAAAAAAGCUUGCUUGCGAGGAUGACAGUGGUGGCUGCUGUGCUGGAAAAAUAUAAAUUUUAGGUUGUGUUCUCUGAUUGUAGUCUUUGAGAAGGAGAAGAGAGAGUAAAAAAGCUUGAGAAAGGAGAUGAGGGAUGCUGGGUAAUGAUGCUGUGAGAGGAAGGAUGCUGGGAAAGAUAAUGGUGUUCUGAGAGUGAAUUCCGAUACAUAAAAAUCACACUCUCUCUCUCUGAAAUUCAAUAUGAUCACACUCUUUCCCUCUAAAAUCCAAUCUGCUGCACUGGAAUCUUUGACCACCUUUAAAGAUUAAACAGAUUUUAAAAAUUAAAAUACAUUUUUAAUUAGGGUUAAAAUUGAAAUUUUAUUAAAUUUUGGAGGUGCAUGAUGAAAUGCUUGGAGGUGCAAGAUGAAGCACCCUCCUGCUUAUGUACGUUUCUAAUUAGGAUCCAUCUCACGUUUUGGAAGACAAGAUUUAUUAUAUUCAGUGUUUAGUGUUGCUUGUAAUGAAGAUAUUUAUAGAACUAAUCAUCAUAGUUAUUAUAGUAUUAACUUUCAAUUCGGAACAAAAGGUUUAGAUGAUAGUGAAUUAGUUCUAAAGGCUAACCCAAAAUUUAUCUUUGUCUGUGGUUUCUAUUUCUAUAUUUGACAAUGACUAUUUAGUAGAUAAUAGAUAUGUUACUUCUUUUAGAUGAAAACUAUAUACUUGAGUUUGAGCUUGAAGUCUACAUUUUAAUGUUUAUAUUUGUUUAUUUGAUAUAAAUGUUAUUAGGGAGCUAACUCAUAAGGACAUUAAAAAAAAAUAAAAAAAAAUAAAGUUGAAUGUUAUUUUACUCGAGAUUGAAAAAAUUAAAGCAAAAUAGUUAAAUAUUAUUUAACUCAAAAUUGAUGGAUAAUAUCAAUAUUAUUUUAUUUUGUUCUUAUUCUUUAUUCUUUGUUUUAUAACUCUCAUAUUAUAUUAUAUUAUCAUAAUAGCUAUAUAAUGUUUAUUUGUGAUUCUUAUAUAGCCGAAGAGAUAUUUUUGUAAAGAAAUUUUAACUCCAUAAAUUUUAUAGUCGAAAAAAUAUAAUGUAAAAUAUAAUUUAAUAUUCAUGAACCUUUAUUUAAAUAGAGUUGAGUGUGGGUCCAAUAACUUAAUGAACCACUUACUUUGAAUGAGAUGAUGAUUAGUUAGAUUAUUUUGCUAAGUUACGUAAUAGGCGAUAUACCAUCAGAUGUUGUAGGCCAACAUGAGAUGAGAAUUUGAAUUUUUCAUGAGAUGAGAAUUUCAAUUUCUCAUUAGAUGAGAAUUUGAAUUUCUCAAGAGAUGAGAAUUUGAAUUUUUCAUGAGAUGAGAANNNNNNNNNNNNNNNNNNNNNNNNNNNNNNNNNNNNNNNNNNNNNNNNNNNNNNNNNNNNNNNNNNNNNNNNNNNNNNNNNNNNNNNNNNNNNNNNNNNNNNNNNNNNNNNNNNNNNNNNNNNNNNNNNNNNNNNNNNNNNNNNNNNNNNNNNNNNNNNNNNNNNNNNNNNNNNNNNNNNNNNNNNNNNNNNNNNNNNNNNNNNNNNNNNNNNNNNNNNNNNNNNNNNNNNNNNNNNNNNNNNNNNNNNNNNNNNNNNNNNNNNNNNNNNNNNNNNNNNNNNNNNNNNNNNNNNNNNNNNNNNNNNNNNNNNNNNNNNNNNNNNNNNNNNNNNNNNNNNNNNNNNNNNNNNNNNNNNNNNNNNNNNNNNNNNNNNNNNNNNNNNNNNNNNNNNNNNNNNNNNNNNNNNNNNNNNNNNNNNNNNNNNNNNNNNNNNNNNNNNNNNNNNNNNNNNNNNNNNNNNNNNNNNNNNNNNNNNNNNNNNNNNNNNNNNNNNNNNNNNNNNNNNNNNNNNNNNNNNNNNNNNNNNNNNNNNNNNNNNNNNNNNNNNNNNNNNNNNNNNNNNNNNNNNNNNNNNNNNNNNNNNNNNNNNNNNNNNNNNNNNNNNNNNNNNNNNNNNNNNNNNNNNNNNNNNNNNNNNNNNNNNNNNNNNNNNNNNNNNNNNNNNNNNNNNNNNNNNNNNNNNNNNNNNNNNNNNNNNNNNNNNNNNNNNNNNNNNNNNNNNNNNNNNNNNNNNNNNNNNNNNNNNNNNNNNNNNNNNNNNNNNNNNNNNNNNNNNNNNNNNNNNNNNNNNNNNNNNNNNNNNNNNNNNNNNNNNNNNNNNNNNNNNNNNNNNNNNNNNNNNNNNNNNNNNNNNNNNNNNNNNNNNNNNNNNNNNNNNNNNNNNNNNNNNNNNNNNNNNNNNNNNNNNNNNNNNNNNNNNNNNNNNNNNNNNNNNNNNNNNNNNNNNNNNNNNNNNNNNNNNNNNNNNNNNNNNNNNNNNNNNNNNNNNNNNNNNNNNNNNNNNNNNNNNNNNNNNNNNNNNNNNNNNNNNNNNNNNNNNNNNNNNNNNNNNNNNNNNNNNNNNNNNNNNNNNNNNNNNNNNNNNNNNNNNNNNNNNNNNNNNNNNNNNNNNNNNNNNNNNNNNNNNNNNNNNNNNNNNNNNNNNNNNNNNNNNNNNNNNNNNNNNNNNNNNNNNNNNNNNNNNNNNNNNNNNNNNNNNNNNNNNNNNNNNNNNNNNNNNNNNNNNNNNNNNNNNNNNNNNNNNNNNNNNNNNNNNNNNNNNNNNNNNNNNNNNNNNNNNNNNNNNNNNNNNNNNNNNNNNNNNNNNNNNNNNNNNNNNNNNNNNNNNNNNNNNNNNNNNNNNNNNNNNNNNNNNNNNNNNNNNNNNNNNNNNNNNNNNNNNNNNNNNNNNNNNNNNNNNNNNNNNNNNNNNNNNNNNNNNNNNNNNNNNNNNNNNNNNNNNNNNNNNNNNNNNNNNNNNNNNNNNNNNNNNNNNNNNNNNNNNNNNNNNNNNNNNNNNNNNNNNNNNNNNNNNNNNNNNNNNNNNNNNNNNNNNNNNNNNNNNNNNNNNNNNNNNNNNNNNNNNNNNNNNNNNNNNNNNNNNNNNNNNNNNNNNNNNNNNNNNNNNNNNNNNNNNNNNNNNNNNNNNNNNNNNNNNNNNNNNNNNNNNNNNNNNNNNNNNNNNNNNNNNNNNNNNNNNNNNNNNNNNNNNNNNNNNNNNNNNNNNNNNNNNNNNNNNNNNNNNNNNNNNNNNNNNNNNNNNNNNNNNNNNNNNNNNNNNNNNNNNNNNNNNNNNNNNNNNNNNNNNNNNNNNNNNNNNNNNNNNNNNNNNNNNNNNNNNNNNNNNNNNNNNNNNNNNNNNNNNNNNNNNNNNNNNNNNNNNNNNNNNNNNNNNNNNNNNNNNNNNNNNNNNNNNNNNNNNNNNNNNNNNNNNNNNNNNNNNNNNNNNNNNNNNNNNNNNNNNNNNNNNNNNNNNNNNNNNNNNNNNNNNNNNNNNNNNNNNNNNNNNNNNNNNNNNNNNNNNNNNNNNNNNNNNNNNNNNNNNNNNNNNNNNNNNNNNNNNNNNNNNNNNNNNNNNNNNNNNNNNNNNNNNNNNNNNNNNNNNNNNNNNNNNNNNNNNNNNNNNNNNNNNNNNNNNNNNNNNNNNNNNNNNNNNNNNNNNNNNNNNNNNNNNNNNNNNNNNNNNNNNNNNNNNNNNNNNNNNNNNNNNNNNNNNNNNNNNNNNNNNNNNNNNNNNNNNNNNNNNNNNNNNNNNNNNNNNNNNNNNNNNNNNNNNNNNNNNNNNNNNNNNNNNNNNNNNNNNNNNNNNNNNNNNNNNNNNNNNNNNNNNNNNNNNNNNNNNNNNNNNNNNNNNNNNNNNNNNNNNNNNNNNNNNNNNNNNNNNNNNNNNNNNNNNNNNNNNNNNNNNNNNNNNNNNNNNNNNNNNNNNNNNNNNNNNNNNNNNNNNNNNNNNNNNNNNNNNNNNNNNNNNNNNNNNNNNNNNNNNNNNNNNNNNNNNNNNNNNNNNNNNNNNNNNNNNNNNNNNNNNNNNNNNNNNNNNNNNNNNNNNNNNNNNNNNNNNNNNNNNNNNNNNNNNNNNNNNNNNNNNNNNNNNNNNNNNNNNNNNNNNNNNNNNNNNNNNNNNNNNNNNNNNNNNNNNNNNNNNNNNNNNNNNNNNNNNNNNNNNNNNNNNNNNNNNNNNNNNNNNNNNNNNNNNNNNNNNNNNNNNNNNNNNNNNNNNUGAGAAUUUGAAUUUCUCAUGAGAUGAGAAUUUGAAUUUCUCAUGAGAUGAGAAUUUGAAUUUCUCAUGAGAUGAGAAUUUGAAUUUCUCAUGAGUUGAGAAUUUGAAUUUCUCAUGAGAUGAGAAUUUGAAUUUCUCAUGAGAUGAGAAUUUGAAUUUCUCAUGAGUUGAGAAUUGAAAUUUCUCAUGAGAAUUUGAAUUUCUCAUGAGAAUUUAAAUUAUUCGCCCAACCUCGCCGACCCCGUGACCCCCGACCCUCGACCCCGUGACCCCCGACCUAGUGACCUAGUGACCGCCGACCCCCCGACCCCGGACCCACUUACUUUGAAUGAGAUGAUGAUUAGUUAGAUUAUUUUGCUGAGUUAUGUAACAGGCGAUAUACCAUCAGAUGUUGUAGGCCAACACGUACUCGACUAGGUCGUUUAGUAAGUAGUUCACUAUUAUUUCUGGCAAGCGACACACAAUAAUGGUAGAAGGCAUGCAACCCUCGACAAGUGACAGUUAGGUACUAGUAGACGACACUCAGUUAUGGCGGGUGACACAUAACCUUUGGUAAGAGACACACGACCAUCAAUAGACAAUACUUNUUUUUUGACAGGGAACACUUGACCUUUAACAUGUACCACAUAACCUUCGUUAAGUAGUUCUCAACCUUUGACAUGCAACUCUUAACUUUUAGUACUCGACCUUCAGUAUGUAGCAUUUGAUUAUUGAUAAACAUCAUUCAUGAUGUGUUUUGUAAUAAUUUGUUCUAGAAAGAUAUCAAUUUUGAUAAAACUGAUAAAGCUUAAAAAUACUUAAUCAUAUAUAUCAAUAUUGUUAAGUUUUCAAAUAGAUUAAAUGAUGAUGAUAUUCAAUAAAUAUUGACUUAAGUUGUAAAGUUGGUCUUACUCCUUUGAAGAUAGAUGUUACAAGUAUCGUGCACACUCUCGUAAUUUACCUACAAAGUGUUAUGAAAAAAAUAUUAAGAUAAAGGAGUGAAUGAUAAAAGUUCCAAGCUCUUUAAUGCUGUGUUCACUUAGAUGUAAUUUACUAUUCAAGUGAAUGGCGCAGACGGAUUGUUGAAUGAAAACACCUUCAUUUGCAGUGAUUUGAAAGGAAUUGGAUGGACUGAUUUACAGGAUCAGUUAUUAUUUUGUCACCCGCUGAUCAGCUGCGAUUUGAAGAGAAUUAAAAUGAAAUCUCAUAUUUACCCUCUGUAGUUUCGUAAUUUCCAAAAAGAGAAUGAACCAAUGUAAUGAAUUCCAGUUUUAAAUUAGGUAAAUUACGUAAAAAAAAAAAGAUAAAAGUGUAUAAUAAUAAUGUUAAUAAUAAUAAUAAUAUAAUAAUAAUAAUAAUAAAUAAAUAAUAAUAUCAUUUUUUACAUUUUAAUAAUUAAUUUUAAUUUUUUUUCUCCUUAUAAAUAUUUUUACAAUUAAAUAUAAUAUUAAUAAUUAUCAAACCGUCUAUCACAUACAUUUAAUGAUAUUAAUAUGAAAUUGACAAGAAAAAAACUAUUUUUUAAAAUUUGAAAGAUAAAAUGAAUUAAAAUAUAAAUAUUUAUAAAAAUGUAAAUUUUUAUAUUUUUUUUAAAAAAAAAUAAAAAAUAAGUAAGAAUAAUAUUAAAUAAAUAUAAAAAAUUUAAAUUUGUCAAAUAAUUAUUUUUUAACAUUAAAUAAUCAUUUUUCAAGAUUAAAUAAAACAUUUUCCAAAGGAUUUCAUAUAUUUUGAACUAUUAGAACUUGUAUAGAGUUGAUGAUGGAUGAUCGUGAGACAUUAAAAGCAUUAAGUUUUAAUAUCAUUACAAGAUCAUAAUUAUAUAAUUAAGCUUCAUCUCUAAUUUAGAACAUGAAUGGAUAAUGUUUGAGCUCUGCUUAAUGUAUUCAGAAAGCACAUGAAUAUGAGAAAGAAAUUCAGAACAAGCUAAAAUAAAAACACAGUAAUUUGCCAGAAUUAAAGUUAUAACAAUAACUAUACUUGAAAUUGAAAUCAAAGGAAAAUACAAAAGAUAAGAAAUGCAAAACAUCCCAGUUGAGAUUAACUGAGGAGAAUCAGUACUUUAAUUUCAAAGAAUUUCAAAAUAAAACUUAAAAAAAGAAAAAAAUCACUUUACAAAUACUUUAUAAUUCUUAUUCAAUAUCUGAAGCUUUUACAAGAAAAGAUAGUUAGUUAUAUAUAUAAUAUUGAACUAGUUGAAAAUUCAAUGAAACUAAAGAUAGAAAAUCAAAUUUUAAAGUAGAUGGUUAUCUUUUCUGGUUGAGAUAUACUAAAGUUUCUUUACGCUGUAAGGCUAAUUCAACUCUACAAAGUCUUAUUUAGAAUGAACGUGAAAUUUUCAACAUAAACAACCUCAAUUAAAAAAGUUAAACAAGUUGUAAACUUUAUGAGUUCAUGAUAAAAAAUAAUGACAUUGUUUGUCCACUAAACAGUUUAUGACUAAAACAAAUGGUUAUUCACCUUAAUUAAGGAAAACAUGGCCCUGAGGAAAACUCCUUACUGGAGGAUGACAGUGACGAGAAUGAGAAUAAGGCUGAUGAACUAUUUGUAAUCUGGGAAGUAGCAGGAAAAGGAACAGCAGCACCAUUACAGUUGGGAACCAAGUCCAUGGAUUCCUUAUUCUUUAAUGAUUUGGUAACUCAGCCGCAAUAGCAGACCAUCUGCAAUGUUUUCAAUAUUCACGUUAUUGAGCAAGAACUUGUAACACCAUUUUGAAUGGUGGGUAUUUUGAUAUGAGGGCAGAUUUCAUUGUAUUACAGCAUAAGGAAGUGAUGAUACGUACUUGUUACCAAGUUUUUUGUGCAUUCUUAUGAUGCAAUCUUCUUCUUGUGGAGUGAAGUUGCCUCUUUUGACGUUAGGCCUGAGAUAAUUCAUCCAUCUCAAUCUACAACUUUUCCCACAUCUUGCCAGACCUAAAAAUCAAUGCAAAAGGUAAUGAAUGAGUUUUUUACUAUAAAAAUUUAUUGGCUUAUUUAGUUUUUAGAAAGCGUUGAAAUAUGUACCUGCAAACCUGGGAAGUUGGCUCCAAUUCCUGUGACCAUAUCUAGUAAUAUAGGCAACUAAUUUGGUAUCUUCCUCGGGAGACCAAAGACCCUUCCUCAGUCCACUUUUGUUAGAAGAUGGGGUUCUCACCAUCUUUGUAAGAAACAGUUGCAAGAUGAUAGUAAGCAAAGGUGUGUAUGGAUUCUGUGUAUUCAGAGAUUGGUGUGAGUUCAGAAUAAGGGUCCUUCUUAGCAGGUUCUAGUCUUUCCCUGCAAGGUCAAAAAUUGUUUCUAUAGUCUUCCUUUCACAUUAUAAUAUAAUAUGGGGAGAUAGUGGCAUUAGGUAGCAUCUUCCAGGAACAAGGUCUCAUCCAACUUGCGCUUUCGGUGCACAAAAGAUUAUUGUUAAACUGUUUAUGAUUCAAGUAUGUGAUCAAAUUGACAAUUCAGCUGAAUAAGAAAAAGAUAUCAUUAGUCUGAUGAUGUUCCCAUGUUUUUGUUAAGAACAAAACAACAACAAUAAUAUUGAUAAGCUGAAAACUACUUGAAGUCUUUUUAAAUAAAGUAAAAAGAGUUUUUAAAUUUGUUUUGGAAUCGGUUCAUAAACAUAGAGUAUAAAAAGUAUUAAACUUUUUAAACUAGUUAGAAAACCAAUUGAAAAAGUUGAAACCAUGAUAUUUUAACCAAAAUUAUAUAUAAAUAUAUAUAUGAUCGAGACUUUUUAAACCAACUGAUAUUUUAACCAGUUUGAAAAGUAAUUUUUUAUAUAUAUAUGAUCCAGCCUUUUUAAACUGUAAGGACUUUAAUUUUAAAAAGUUCACUUUCUAUAGAUGUUAUGAACUGAUAAAAAAAUAGUACGAUUCUUUUUAAUGGCAGGUUUAUAUGUGCUUGAUAUCAAAUACAAACUUCUUAGAAUUAAUACAAUCAAAAAAUCAGAUUUAUAAUAGUCCAAAGUAUUUCAAUGUUGUAACAAUCACUAGUGCAAAAAUGUUGUUUAACGUCAUCCAGUAGACGUCAGUUUCCUGAUAACCCGACGUCUAUGACUGUACGGUGGCAUUAUCGUAAAUAGUUUGGUAAACUAGACGUCAGUUUCAAGAUAAGGCGACGUCUAUGACAUUGUAGAUGUCCCCACUGUCGCAAACCGACGUCUAAUUGCUUAAGGUAGGUGAUAAGACAGUCAAGUGACGUCAGUGUUCACGGGGCCGACAUCUACUGGACUGCAAUUAAUGUUGUUCACCUAAUUCUCAGGCGCUUAGACGUCACUUAGUCAAACGACGACGUCUAAGGCCUGUCUAGAAGGCGAGAAGAAAAAAAUUCUUCAAUUUAGACGUCGGUGUUGAGGGGAAGCGAUGUUUAUGUGCCUGUAAUUAAUUAUGUUCACCAAACUCGAGGGACAUAGACGUCGGCUAGAAGGGCACCGACGUUUAAGCUAUUAUAGACGUCGGCACCUCAUCAUUAUUGUCGUGAAGAUCCCUGACAGGAAAUCAAACGCCAAUCGGUUCAGCUUCCUAGACAUCGGAUCCCCUCGAAACUGACAUCUAAUGGGUAUUCAAAAAGUCAGUUUAAAUGUUAACUUGAACGUCAUAUUAGUUAGAUACCCGAUGCCUAUGUGACUAUAGACAUCGGUUUCUGGAGCAACCGACACCCCAUUUCAUUUUAAAUAAACCACAGACUCUUCGCGGCAUUCAGUUUCUGAUAUCGCGUCUUCCUCUUCUCCUUUUUCUCUUGCUUCACCUCUUCUUUUUCUCGCUUACGACACCUCUUCGUUUUAUCUCUUGCGGCAUUGCAUUGUUGUUUCUGAUAACGUCAUUGUCUUCCUCCUCUCCUUUUUCUCUCUUGCAUCCCAGGUGUGUGGUUUUUAUUGUUACCGUUUAAUCUUUGUCAGUCUUUCAUCGAUUAUAUCUUCUGGUUCAACUGAUUAAAUUUGUUUUCUUUGUGUUGUGUUUUAGUGCAGUUUUGUUCCUUUCUUGGGGUAACGUAGUAACACAUUCUCCCUUUGCUAGCUGCCUCCCAGAAAAAGCGGCGUCUAGUGAAUUUCUUUUGUUCAUUUCAACCCAAAAACGACCCUGGGUCGUUGCCUAGUUAUCGUUUCACCGUGGUUUUUUCCUCUUACGGAUGAAAAUGGAACCAAGCAACAACCCAGAUUCGGUUUUGGGUUGAAAAGAUCCAUAAGAAAUUCAAAAGUCGCAAGCUUUUUUUGGGGGGAAACUAGCAAAAGGAGAUUGUGCUACUAGGCUAUCCAAAGACGGGAACAAAACUGCACUAAAACACAACCACUGUAUUAGACAUCGGUUAAUGCAAAAAUCCACGUCUAUAUGUGCUCUUAGACAUCGGUCAGUGUCAUGUUCGAAGUCUUUAUGUGCUCUUAGACAUCGGUUAAUGCUUUGUCCGACGUCUAAUUAGUGCCUUUAGACAUCCAGUUAAACCAGUACCGACGUUUAUUGACGUCGGUCAUGAGCACUAACUGACGUCAUUAUAGACGUCUGUGGUUAGGAUGUCUGACGUCCCAUUGACGUCACCGGUUUAGACGUCGGUUGAUUAAUAGACGUUAAAAGCCCAAAAUAACUAAGGUUAAUCAGCGUUUUUCCACUAGUGAAUUACAUCAAAACUAAGACAAUCGCAACCUUAAAAAAUCACAUAUCAUCAUCUAUUAUAAAUACUUAAAAGAAACAAAGUCCACCGCUCACGAACUUUCUGCAUGACAUUUAACUUUAUUGGAGACAUCUCAUUGAAAAUCUACACAAUAAAUAAUUUGAGUCAAUUUAUAGUAAUAAAUACUUAAUAUAUUAAUUAUAAAUUGUACACACUAUCGAAUCCCAUGAGUCAAGAACAUUUGCAAAUAUGAUCUUUUACAUGUGCCUCAUCACAAAAUAUCCAUCCAUCCAUCUCACAGGUUAAAAUAUUUUUAAUUAAUUAAUAUUUUUAAAAUAAAUUAAAAUAUUUAAUCCAUCCAUCUCACAGGUUAAAUGUUAGAAGUAAACUUUAAGUCUCACUCAAUCCCACAAGAUGAAGUUUACAUCCACUUAUAUAUUAUGAAUUAGCCUUAUCUCUAAUCGAUGUAGAACUUUCAACAUUAGACGAAUUCUAUUUUAUAAUAAUGACUCUUGGACCAUAACCAUAAUCCAUUUAGACACUCUUAUUUUUUUUUUAAAAAAAAAGUUAUUAAAAAAAUACAAAAUCAAUAAAACCUAAAUCAAACUCAUACGAAAGAGUGCCAUCAUCUACCAACUUUAAUCUUAAGAUAACAUAAUUGUUGAUAUUCUAUAAUUAGCGGCUCCACUUUUCCAUACUUUUUUGUCACUUUUUUUUAUUUAUUUCUAUCCCUAUACUUACUAUACUAUUUUACGCUUUGAUUUAUCAUUCAAUUUAAGUCUCAAAUUUCAAACCCAGCCUACAACUAAAAAUACAAUGAUAAUGUGAUGAUAAAAAAGUUUUUAUACUUUGAUACUAUUUUUUAUUAUUAUUAUUCGCCUUUUUCUUUUUACAAAUAUAGAAAUUGACUUUGAUCAUUUUACCUUUCAGUGAACUUUUCAGUGGAUAGUCAAAAUAGUAUAGUUAUCCGUGUGAAACAAUUUUUUCCAUACUCUUCAUCCACCUUAAGGGAAACACGGCCCGAGGAAUGAUAUGUCUGCAGAAUCAUUUGAAUUCUGGGAAGAAGCAGGAAAAGGAAUAGGAACACCAUUACUCUUGGAAACCGAGCUCGUGGAUUCUUUAUUCUUUGAUUCUUCCUGGUAACUCAGCCGAAAUAGCAGACCAUCUGCAAGCGAUGGAAUCAUAAGAUUAACAUUCUCGUGUUUUCAAUAUUCACGUUAUUCAACAAGAACUUGUAAUACCACUUUCAACGAUCCGUAUUUUGAUAUAGGGUAGAUUUCAUUGUAUUGAAGCAUAAGGAAGUGAUGAUGAUAGAUACCUGUUACCAAGUUUUGUGUGCAUUCCUAUGAUGUAUUCUUCUUCUUCUGAACUGAAGUGCGCUUUUCUGAUUUUUGGCCUCAGAUGAUUCAUCCAUCUCAACCUACAACUUUUUCCACUUCUUGCCAGACCUAAAAAUCAAUGCAAAAGGUAAUGAAUGAAUUUUUUACUAUAAAUCCUCACUAAAAUUUAUUGGCUUAUUUAGUUUUGAGUAGUGUUGAAAUAUGUACCUGCAAACUUGGGAAGUUGUCUCCAUUUCCAGAAACCUGGUGACAUAGGCAAUCAAUUUUCUAUCUUCCUCCGUAAUCCAAGUAUCCUUUCUCAGUCCACUUUUGUCACAAGAUGGGGUUUUCACCGUGUUUGUGAGAAACGGGUGCACUUGAAUUUCGAGUGAGAUGGUGUUUGAGUUUCACUCCAAGCUGAUAUUAGGGUUGUGGCUGUAAGGAAGGAUGUGUAUAUAUGACAUUAUAUCCUAUAUGGUUAUAAAAAAUAAUAUUAAAAUACAUAUUAUUAGUUGGAAAUUCAAGUGUGUGUUAAAGUCUCGUAUUAGAUUGAAAUACGAAAGUUAGAGCACUUUAUAAAGAUAAAAAUUAUUAAUUCAUUAUUUUAAGAUUUUGAAUAGAAAAUGAUAUGAAUAUCUUGCGUGAUUGAAUUCAGAUCUUAUUAUAAUAUUUUUGGCUGCCGAUGAAUCUUCUCUUUGAUAAAGCAUACUUACUAUUUUUCGUUCCAAGUUUUAUUUGUAAUUAUUCACAAACAUCCUCACACGUCACAGUAUGACUAUUUUUGUUAUAAGUAUUGACGUUCAAAACGCAUUUCACUUCCUAUUUUUUAUUUAGAGUGAAUUGAAAGGUUGGUGUGAGUUGAGAAUAAGGCGGCUCCCUAGCAGGUUCUAAUCGUUCUUUAAAAGGUGAAAAAGUGUGUUUGUAAUUAGCUUUAACAUUAUAAUAUAAUAUUGGAGAUAGUUACAUUAUGUAGCUGUUUCAUGGUAGCAGGUAGAUGGCAAUAGCAUCUUCCAGGAAUAAAGGUUUUGCCGUCGUGAUUUGCAGAUUUUAGAUAAAAUCCAAAGAAGCUUUUAAAUUUAAUGAUUGGAAGAGCUACCUGGUUUUAUGUUAAUCCACAUUCUUUAAGACUGGCAAACGGUUAGAGAUGAUCAUGGAUCCAAUUCAACCAAGGAACCCAACUAACCUAAUCCAAAUAAUAUUAGAUUAUGAAACGAAUUCUCCUCUGUUGAAUAACCAAACUUGUUUUAUAAUAUUAUUUAUUUAAUUAUUUUAUUGAUUUAUAAUUAUAUUUAAAUUUAUGUAUCAAUUUUAAUGAAUUUAUAAUUUAAUUAGAUAAUUUUUAAUUGUUAAAAAAUAUUUUUUAUGAAUUUUUUAGAUUUGAUAUAAAUAUUUUAGAAAAAAAAUUAUAAAAAUAUACACCGGAUAUGAAAAUCCAAGAAUGGCAUAUAUUGGAGAGUUAGAAUGAUUGGAUAUGUACAUCCUAUAUGUUUGCCCUUUUUAAAUUGCUUUAUUAAUGUUUGCACUUUUUUACAUGUUGCUUUAUUAAUAUUUUUUAUUAAAAAAAUUAAAUAACGAACAGGUAACUUAAUUUUUAUAAUUAUUAAAUUUUGUUAAUAUAAACAAUUGCAUUUUUAAUGUUUUAGUAUUAUUAUUUUAGUGUUUUUUUAAGUUAAUUACAUUAUUAAUAAAUUUAUAAAUGUAUAAUUUAUUGAGAAAAACACCAACCUUUUGGCAGUGAAACAAAAAUGGAGAAAUGCUAUGGCUGGAAAACGAGAAGUAGUAUUGAAUGAUAAAAAACGAGUAGUUUUUUUAAAUAAUUAAAGACUUUUAAUUAAAAGGUAAUAUGGGUAUUCAUGAAAUAUUGGAGGUGCAGUGUGAAGGAUUUGGAGGUGCAGGUGAAACACUCCAAAAGAAGUGAAAAAAAACCAUAUUCUCAUAAGGCCCAAAUAAGCCUCAAUCAGAUAAAUUGUUUCCCGCACCACCAUCAAUUUCUAUCAGCACCCUCUCCGUUUUUGGAAUUCCAAUUUGACUCUUAAUGAGUUUUAUUUGAAACAGGUGUGCUUCAUGGAGACGGUGAUUUGUGGGAGUUGCUGUAACAUGGAGAGAUUACUCCCACAAGUAUUGGUGGAGGAGGGUGUGGUGGUUUGUGAAAGUUAGUUUAUGUUAUUAUUAUUAUAAAAUAAUAAAAAUUUAUUUAAAUUAUUCAGUUACAAUUUAAUUUCUACCAAUUUUAUUUUAUUUCAAUAAAAUUUAUCAAUUUACAAUAACUCACAUUUCAUUCUAACAUAAUUUAUAAUAAUUAUAUUUUAUUUUUAAAUAUUUUCAUAUUCAAGAAUAAAAUAACAAUGUUUUACUUUUAUCAUUAAUAUUCAUAAACCAUCACAUAAUACAAACUAAUUAACUUUUAUGGUUAAAUAGAUCCAGUGGUCCCUAUUUUUGUUGGUUUUCUUCAAUUAGGUCCCCGUUUUUUAAAAAUGAUCAAUUUGGUCCCUGAAUUGGAAAAAGUAACUCAAUCAAGGACAUUCUGUUAAUUAUCUUAAACGGUGUUAAAAAUCUUCUUUGUUGGCAACAAUAGCUGUCAUUUGUAAACAGGUGGUACUUAACCAUUUUAUGACAUGGUUACUAUUUUUAUUUGUUAAAGAUUAAAAUUAAAAAAAUACUGUGGAUUAAGUUUAAGUAAAGAUAAAUUGGGGAAAUUGGAAAAAGUGAUAUGACCUAAUUAAAAAGGUUUUAGGUUUGGGGAAAUUGGUCGUGCUCCAUCAACAUAGUCAGUAUUCCACAAUUUUUCUUCUCCUUCGUCAACCAUCACAGCCCAACAACUUCAAUCUCCACCAGACCUCCUCCUCUUGAGCUCGCUGCCUCCUCGCUGCUGCGUCGCCAAGCCGUUUCCUUACCUCUUUCCAUCGCCAGCUNGCUCGCCAUCACCGACACNNCANCUACAACACCGUGUCUCUCCCCUUUCAGUCUUGUUUCUAAAUCAAAGCCGCCAGAGGAGAAGGUGUAAUUGUGAGUGUUGAAUAUGAUGUUGGCCAGAUCUAGGGAGUUUUGAACUUCACAACUGACAAUUUUGUUUGGUGUGAGUCAUUUCUUGUUGUGCUUUAGGGUUAUAGUGUAUGAAUUUUAUCUCUGCAUUUGUGCUUGUUCUGGUUUUGUAUGAUUUAUUAAUGGAAUGUGAAUGGUUUUUACUCUAUUGCUGUUGUGGUUGUCUGGUGUGAGUGGUUUCUUUGGAGAUAUCCUCGUUGUGUUUAAUCUGUUACAAAGGAUGCUAAUUUUUGAAAUUCAAUUGGGAAAUCAUGUAAUUUUUUUAUUACUAAUUUCUCAUUAUGUACAUUGAUCCACAAAUGAUUGUUUCAUAAUGUUGAAAGAAUGAAGAAAAAUUAUGCAUAAAAUAAUUUAAGUCCACGUGUUAUAUACAUUAUGUGCCACCUAUUUAUUAUAAAAUGACAACUACUAUUGUCAAUAAAGAAGAUUUUUAACGCCGUUCAGAAAAGUUAACGGAAUGUCCUUGAUUGGUUUAUUUUUUCCAAUUCAGGGACCAAAUUGAUCAUUUUUAAAAAACGGGAAAAAACCAAUAAAAAUAGGACCAAUGGAUCUAUUUAACCAACUUUUAUCUUUCUUUUGUCUCUAAUUCAGUUAGAUCCACAAUUUCAAAUUAACUCCGAGAAACAAAUACAGGGUUGUGGUAGGUAGUUCCGUUUGUUCUAUUAGUGUUGUGUUGGCGAAAAUAGAGUCGAAAAAUAUGUUUUUGGAACACGUGAUGCAUAUUUGGUGGGAGGUGCUAACUGUAUUUUCGUAUUCGUGUUGUUUCUAGAAGAGUAAUUUUAUAAUUUGAAAAACUCAUUCCGGAUGCAUUGAAAAUAGACUAUUCUAAAACACGUAAUUCGGAAUGGGUGGAGAAUUUCUUUUCAAAAACUGUAUUUCGAGAUUAAGUUCCAAAUGUUCAUUUUAGGAACAUUUUCUCGAGAGGUCAUUCUUAAUGUUAUUUCACUAAUAUACCAUCCCAAAGAUUUUUCGUUUAGCUUAUUUUAAAAAGUAAUAUAAAAAAAAAAAAUCUUAGAAUUUCUACUCUACUCAAUAGUUUCACAUCAUUUAUGAUAAGUUAAUGUUUAAAAUAAUUUUAAAAAGUUAAAGAUAAUUUCAAUAUUUAUUUUUCAUUUCAUUUUUUAAUAUGUUUUUAAAGAAUAAGAUUCUAAAAUAAACACAUGUAUGGUAAUUAAUCUUAAUUAUAUUAUUUAAGGAACUUGAAAUGGGAAUAGAAAAACUCACAGAAAAUGAUACUUGAACAUUAAGUUCCUUAAAUCCUUAAUAAGUAUAUUCUAAAUUCAUAAUUCGCAGUCCACUAUUUUUUUUCAACUUGUAUUAUAAAUACUGAGCGUAGUGAAAAUAUUUUCUCACGUUGGUGUUUAUCAUAAUUUAUUUACUUAUUUAAUAUUUCUACUUUUGAACAAGAUUUUGAAUAAAAUCAUGUUUGGUAUAAAAAAUUCUUAUAAAAUAAAUAAAUUAACUUUAUUGAGAAAGUUCAAAAUAUUAAUUUUUAAAUAAUAACUUAUUCAAAUCUCUCGUAAAUUUGGGUAUUUAUAAUUGAGUUUUAUUAGUUUAUUUUGUUUAUAUAAAGUAUUAAAAAAUUUAUAUUUCUGUAAUGAAUCUUAUUAUUUAAUUUUUUGUUUAAUUGAAUUACAUAAUUAUAUAUAUAUAUAUAUAUAUAUAUAUAUAUAUAAUAUAAAAAAAAAUUAUCUUGAUUUAUAUCGGCUCAUUACAAUCGAUAUUUUAUUACUUUUUGUAUAACCAAAAUGAUCUCGAUUCAUAUCUAUCUAUUAUCAUUUCAAACAACAUAUGUGAUGAUCGAGAUCACUUUGGCAUUAUCACAUUAUGAUGGUAAGGAUUAAGGUUGGGAGCUUAAAUGUAUUAGCAUAUCAUUAAGCAAAUUAACUAUCAUGAUUAUCCACCUGGACUAGACCCAAUGACUAUCCACAAACCUAAUAUAAAUAGCAUAAAAGUAAUUAAUUACUUAUUCAUUAUUACAACAUUUAUUGUUUUUGCUUAUGCACGCCUUUAAGUGUUAAAGUAUCUUUUGUAAGUAAACGUAAUAUAAAUAACACACUUUAGGAGGUAAUUAAUUAUGUAUUUCUUAUUAAAAAAUUUAUUACUCUCGUUAAUGAACAUCCUUGAUUUGAGCGGGUGUCUUUUGCAAACUCACUCCUUCUCAGCUUAAAAUGAGACUUGGAUCAAGAGACAUAUUAGCUAGGAGUUUCUUGUGGAGCCUUUCCACUAUGAUUUUAGUUAUGCAAGAACAAUCACUUAUCUAUGUGUUAAGAAAUAUAAUUAUGUAUCUUAUUAAUAUAAAAUAAUAUUGUUAUAAAACGACAAAUUACUUUUGUAAUAGAAAAUUGUUUGGAUAAUGUGAAAAGUUUCAUCAAUGGUAAUGAUAAGAUAAUCCCUUAGUUGUUCUAGAUGAUGAGGUGGAAGUUAUCAGGAAGUAUGAUGACAUCAUUAUUCAACAAUAUCAUUUAUAUAUUAACCUCGUACCUUACAUUUAUAAACAUGUAGAAACAAGUAAACAAAAUGAUAAAUCAAUAUAACAUGUGCAUGACUAAACUAAUGAAAAAAAAUAUUAAAGUUUAUUCAAAACUUAAAACUAGGAUGGUAAUAAAACCUGUACUCGUGGGUAUCUGCGGACAAAAUUCGUUGCGGAUAUUUAACAUUUACAGCAAGAGGUAGCUGCGGGUAGCGGGUAAUUUAAUACCUGCUCAUUAAUGGGUCAGGUACAGAUAUCACACUAUCCGUACCUGUGGGUAUCCGCUAUCCGUUUAAAAAACGAAAUUCUAAUUUUACUCAUUACUUUUUUAUGAAAUUAAAAUAUGAAAUUACAAAAUAAAUUAAAAUAUUUGCCUCUGUUACGCUGCAAAAGAAGUAAAAGGUCCCUUCUUCAUUAUUCUUCUUCUCUCUCAAACUUCCUUCCCUUCUUUUUUUCUUCUUUUUUCUCAAACUUCCUUUUCCUUCUUCUUUCCGCCACCUACCAACAACAAGAACCACCAUCCUCAAUGAUGACGUGAGGACCUCACGUUGCAGCUGUCAUCACAGCUUUUGCAGCUUCUUCUUCCACCAUUCACGACUUCGCCCAUGACCUACAGUGGAGCCAGCCAACGGUGAUCAGCUAGCGACAUGUGAUCCCAUUCGCAGAGAUUGAGAGGCUGAAUCGCAUCGGGAGCAGCGAGGAGAGGCAUAUAUGAGAUGCUUUGGUGUAGACUUGUGAUUCUUUAGUGUAGAUCUGAGAUCCUUAAGUGCAGAUCUAAGAUGUUUUGGUGUAGAUAUAAAAUAUUUUGGUGUAGAUCUGAGUUUUGAAGUGAAGAUCUAGGGUUUAUAAGUUUUGAAAAAGAAAGGAAAAUAGAGUUUGGAUCAGAACUUGGGCUUGGAUAAUAAUACAAACACUAUUAACGGGUAUCCAACGGAUAUUCGCAGUUUUUUUUAUGUGCGUACCCAGCACGUAGCGGAGCGGGUAACGAGUACAUUUUUUACAUGCGGGUUGGGUUUGGGUAUCACACUAUCUGGACCAAACCCGACCUGUUAUCAUCCCUACUUGAAACUUACUUCUAAAAAGUUUAAUAAACAAAUUGACUUUUGAGUUUCUAUUUCUCUUGUGUUUCCAUCAAUCCUCCUCGUAAUGAUAUAUUGUCUCUUUCUUUCCUCUUUUCUAUUGUAUAAAAAAAGACAAAUAAAAUAUAAAAAAAUAUUGAUGAAAAAUAAAAUGCUUGUUGACAAUUUUAAGUUACUAAUUAGAUAUAUAAUAUUCAUAAAUUUGAAUCAAUAAAUUGCUAAAAAGUAUAUUUAUUUUUGUAAAUCAAUAUAAAAAAAUGUUAAUAAAAUUAUUUAAUUAUGUUAAAAAUUCAAUAUCAAUUACACAUGUAUAAAUAAUUAUAAGUAGGUUUUAUAAGAAUAUAUUAGAUUUAAUUCACUUAUUUAUAUAUAUAUAUAUAUAUAUAUAUAUAUAUAUAUAUAUAUAUCAACGUUUAUUCUAAUCCAUUAUUUAUUUAUUUUUAUACUAAAUUAAUUAUAAAUAUGAUCAAAUGUGUCAAUUCUCAAUUUUUACAAACUAAUUUGGUAAAAGUAAAUAAGACGUAAACGUCCUUCCUAAAUUAAUACUAUUACAAAACAAUAAGUAGAAACAAUCCGCAGGAUUCCAUAUAUCAUAAUGUAUCAAUUCAAAACAAUCAGGAGAAACAGUGGUGCUUUGGGAAAAAGGAAGUUUAUGUUGUUUGGUAUAAUGACAAAUAUCACAAACAUUUUUAGGUGGCCUUUGAACAUAAGGAAAACUUUUACAUAUUUGUUCUAUGAUUUUGUGGCCAAGGCGACCCAGUCUAUAAUGCCACCAAUCAUCAUUAAUACGUUUACAAGAAAAAACAGAUUUAGGAACAUAGUCUUGACUAAAGAUAGGAAAAGAUUGUAGGUAGUAAAGGCCUAUGUAAACAUUAACAUGCCCAAUCAUCUUCAAGGUAGAACUAUCUUGUAUCUGACAAGUCUUAGAAGAAAAUGUUAGAGUGCAAUUUAGGUCCGUGUAACGCCCCAGCAACUUACAGGGACUGUUGAUUGCCCCCACACAUCACCACGAGGCUUUCCAGUGUGCUUUGUCCUCACUCGCACACUUUCCAGGAAAACUUCCCGGAAGGUCACCCAUCUUAGAAUUAUUCCAGGCUAAGCACACUUAACCAUGGAGUUCUUAUGGGUUAGGCUACCGAAAAACAAAUGCAUUUUGGUGAUAUGAGUAGCCAAAUCAAUUCCUUUAAGCUAUCCUUCAACCGUAUAGUCUCAUACCUAUACAGUCUCUAGAUCCCUCUCAUUCCGGUGUAUGUUCGAUUCGUCCAUGUGCCCCUUCGACUAGAAGCCUGCCAGGAGCCGCUCCUUGUCCGUGCCUCUAGUACCGGCGAUCACUCCCCGCUCUCGUCAGUGCCCGAGUGUCACAGUCCGUAGUUAAAUUUUGAAGAGAUAUAAGAUUAAAGGAAAAUUCUAGAAUAGAGAACAUUAAAAAUGAUGAUUUUUUUUUUUAAAAAAAUUGAAUGGUUCUAGCAUGUUGGGCUGUAACUAUAAAAUUAUUUGGAAGCCUAACAAAUAUGAGUUUAAUUUUAUGAAAAGUAAUAAAGUGUUUUCUUUCAUGGGUCACAUGAUUUGUAGCCCUAGGGUUUAUAGCCCAGGAAAAAUUACCUAGACUGUUGUUUCUUUGCACUUGGUUAAUACUGUGUGAGAGAUUGUUAAUGCCCUCUAUCAUCUUUAUCAGUUUCUGCAUCUACUAAGGGUAAAGGUUUGCAGAGGAUUACUGUUAUUUUCCUGUUGAACAUAUUAUGUGUCUGGGUAGAGGUAGAAUAAUCCUUGCAGGCAUUAGCAUAACUCAAUUCAUUUUGUCCUCCCUUGUCUUGACUAUUGUGGUUGUCAUUUUUCUUGUACCAUGGUGGGUAGCCAUGCUUGGAAUUACACUCAUCAAGCGUAUGAUUCAUCUUGUGACAAUGAGAACAUUAUUUUCCAUAAUUGGGAUUUCUUCCUCUUCUUCUUCCUUGUCCAUGUGAGCUAGUACCACACCCUUGAGGUUUCCAGUUAGAUUUGUCAGUGGUGCUUGCCAAAAUAUUGAAAGUGUCAUUUUGAUUAAUGGCUCCAGGAUGUUGUCUUUCUUGUCUUUCCUGUUGCAUAAGGAGAGAAAAGACCCUGUUGAUGUUGGGAAGGGGUUCCAUCCAGAGAAUUUGUGUUCCAAUAGUAUGGUAGAGGUCAUUUAAGCCCUUUAGGAAGCAAAUAAUGUGUUCCACCUCUCUGUAUUUGAGAGAAACUACAAGGGAUUUGGCAUAUGCAGUAGGGUAUGGGUCUAAGAGACUCUAAUUCUUCCCAAAGAAUCUUCAAGUCAGUGAAAUACUGGUUGACAUUCCUCUAUCCCUAUUUAAUGGAAUGAAUAUCUUUUAGUAAAUCUGAAAUCUUGAAGUAGUCUCCUUUAUAGAAUCUUUCUUUAAGAUCUUCCCACAAAUCUUUGGCAUUGUCAACAUAGAUAACACUUUCUGCAAUCUGAGGUGAAAGGGUCUUAAUGAUCCAGGACAAAACCAUUGUGUCACAUAUUUCCUAAGCAUCAAAUAAAGGAUCAGUUCUUGGUGGCUUCUUCAUACUGUCAUCAAUGAAUUUGAUCUUGUUUUUGGAGAGAAUAAUUCUUUUCAAAGUUCUACUCCAAGAUGAGUAAUUGGUCUCAUUUAGAAUUUGGGAAAUGAGAAUAAUACUUGGAUUUUCUCUGGGAUGAAGGUAAAACGGGUUAGAGGGGUGAGUGGUGGGAUCUUGGUUGUCCAUCAUGCCAAGCCAAGAUCAAAAAAUAUGUUGCUCUUUUGAUACCAUAUUAUAAUAAAGCCCACUGUUAUUAUAAUAAAGGCCCAAAUGUCCACAAGAGACAAAAUAUCUCGGGUGUUGCUCCCUCCACCUCCCUGUUUUCUCUUUUACCCUUCACUUUAUUUUUCUAUUCCUAUUUUAUCCUUUUAAUAAAAGUUUACUUUUAGGGUUAAAAUUUUAUAAUUUUACCCACUCUCCCACAUGACCUAUUUAUUCUUUUUUGUUUUACGUUUAUGUUUUCAUUCUUCUUCUUCGUGGUGGAAUUCUUUCUCUUCUCUUUGGCGUGAGAAUGUGGUGAGUGAGAGAUUGGUGAAAGGAAUUUUCAUAGGAGUUACAAAUGUUCAAUCAUCUCUAUGCUUGAAGGUAGUGGUGCACUCUGUGAAAGCUUUAAAAAAAACUAUGCCUCAAUAAACGCUACGUAACCCUAAUAACAUUCGAAACCUCCCUUAAAUGGAUGUGAGCAUACCUCGACGGAUGUCAACAUCUGUUUAAGGUGAAUAGUAAAUUAUAGCUUACAAUAACUGUGUUAAGUCCAAUAGCUUUCCCACUUGCAAUGUUUCUAUCACUGUCAACAAAAAACAACUGCAUAGGAUGGAAGAGGGAACACCAAAUAACUAUAGUAAGAUGAUUCCAAGAUUAAAUAUUUAAAUAUAAAUAAACACACAAAGGCAUAAUUUUCAUGCAUCACUUAGUUUAUAUAGUGUUUGCAUUUUUUUUAUCAAAACGUGCAUGCGUGAAUAAUUUCAUGUUUAGAAUUCUCAGCUUCUUCCCACACAACAGUAUGUUUAGACUUCUCAGCUUCUUCCCACACAGUAGCACGUUUUCAAAUUCAAUUCUCUCCUGUUCUUGCAUAUUGGUGCCCUGAGGAGAAGAUUGAUUCUUUUCCUGCUCAUUUUUGCUUGCCCAUGCAGCAAUGUUCAUCUUACCAAGCUGCACUCUAAGGGAUGCAAUAUCUCGCCUUGUCUUUAUCUUCAUCUCUUCUUCAGACAAAUGUGUUCUGCAAUUUUCAAUGGGAAACUGGAAAACUCAUCGGUCAUGUUUUCCAAAGGUGUUGGAGCUGGUGCACCUCUACAAGGAGUCGAGGGCAUCGACGAAACUAGGCUCCAUAGUGGAGUUGCAGACCCAACAGGAGUAGUUGUCCGCGAAGGUUCUUGACUUGGCAUAGGGGUCAUUUCAGUUCCCAUGUCUCUCACCGCAACGAAUCUUAUCCAAGGCAUCACUGUAUCAUGAAAACCAAGUUAACCUCACUAUCUCUAAACUCCGAACACGUCACAUAUGGAAAAAAUAAAAUAAAAAUGUGUUAUGUUUCAGUGUUUCACUCAGAAUCUUAGAUCAUUCACCACCAAACACAUCCACUCUCUAUAUUAUUAUAACUAAUGGGAAUGAACAUAAUACCUGAUUGAUCAUUUGUUCCUCUUGAGGAAGAUACACCCAAUUCAUUCACUUCCUUCAAAUCUUUGCUUUGGGGAAAAGACUCUACCACUUGAUUGCCUCCAUGUGCUUGACCUGAAACUGAAUGAGCAUCGAAGGGAACAAAAGAGAACUUUUCAAAUAUCGUAUGUGAUGUGGGUUGACAUAAAUAAACUCUCUAUGUUUCUGUCACCUUGCCUAUGGGGAGCUUAUGAUCAUAAUGAGUAGACUCGGGAGCAACCCUCACCAUGCUUGGUGCCAUGCGAUUUGCUUGGUUAUGUGCAACAUGUUUUUUUUUAGUGAUUAACAUGUAUGUUUUACCUAUUCAUUAUCCAUUUCUCGGCAUCGUUCCACUUAGAAGGAAUAGGUCUGGUGAAAAUCUUGAUUAUGACAGCAAUGCCAUGCCCCGAUCUGCACCAUGCACCACCAAUGCGAACCACCGCACCAAGAACAACACACCACCGCACCACGAUAGAUAGCAAAGGUAGAGUUUGAAGAGUUUGGAAGAAGUCACCUAGAGAAAAGGAAAGAGUGUGACGGAAAUGGGAGAAAAAGAGGCGGAUCUCAAAGUUUUAGAAGGGGGUGGGGUUGUGAGCAGAGAAUGAGAGUGUAAUGGAAAUGGAAGAAAAACAGGCAGAUCUCAAAGUUUUAGGAGGGGUGGGACUGUGAGCAAGAGAAAAGAGUAAAAGGCUAGGGUUGAAGGUUACUCUCAUAAUUAACAUUAAAAGUGAAAAAGUGAAAAAGGUUAAAAAAGGAAAAGAAAAAGGUUAUUUUUGUAAUAAAAAAAACAGAAAGUUGGGAAGGUGAGGGAGGAAAUGAGGAGGUGGAGGGAGCAACACAUAAAUAUCUCGUGCUAAGCUCUCGUGUUAGGAGACGAAAAGUAAUGCUAGUUUGUGAAGGGGAAGAGAGCUCGAGACUCACUGGCAGUGUUCAAACAUGAUUCUAGAAAAGAGAGAGAGUAGAUCGAGGAAAAGACUUCAUCAAAAGAUAAGAAAGAACUAAACUUUUAUUAUUACUUAUUAGUAAGUGUUCUUGUAAUUAUAUAUGAAAAAAGAAUCAUAACCUUAAAAUAGGUUAGAAAAAAAAGUUCAAGAACCAAACUACUUCUAAGUAGAAAUCCUAACAUAUUUAACUGAAAAACAAACAUCAACAUUCCAAUAUUUAUAUAAAAAAGUUAAGUUUUUAUUUUAAAGGUUUAUAUGAAGAAAAAAGUUCUUUUAACAACACACUUUUAACAAUUUUUUAACAAUGUAUACUUAAUAGUUUAUAAUUAGUCCGUUUUAAAUAUUUUUUUAAAUAUAAAUUCAAAUAGACCAAUAUGAUGAUUAUAAAAAAAGUUACCAAAAUAUUAUAUCCUUGUGACGGAGAAAAAUAGAUAAAUAAAAAAUAUUAAUUAAUAAGAGAGGAAUAGGAAACGGUAGCGGUUGGCGUGAGGCAGAACGUGGAGAAGCGCGUGAGAGAUGGCUGGAGCGCAGCAAGGAAAAUCAAAAUCACGCGAAUCCCACAUCACAGAGUGUCCACGUAAGCAAACGGAAUCUUCAGAGUAUAUUUGUGCCACCUGGCAACGCAUCACACCCACACUCAAAAAUAUCCCACACCAACCAUUCAUUUAUUUUCAAAUUUUUAAUCAAUUGAAAAAGGAAAUGGUUUAAUUAUUAUUAUUAUUAUUAUUAUUAUCCAUUAAUAGUAAUUAUUAAAGUGUGAAUUUACAAUAGAGGCCACAGAAAAAAAGGGUUGGUGUUCCCUGAGGAGGAUACACCUGGCGACGCCUGACACCACAAAACCAUACACUCCCAUUCCUUCUCCAUGCUUUCAUUCCACACUACCUUUCACAAUUAUUAUCACCCUUCUCAUUUACUCCAAUCUCCAAAUUCUUCUUAAUUUUCUCUUUUAUCCCAAUAUAUUUUACUUUUUUAACUUCAACAUAACUACUAUAUAAAAUUAAAUUUUCUUUUUAAAUGCUUAAUCUCAUUAUACAUAAAAUUCUUAGUUAAAUUAAAACAAUCUUAUUCUAAUUCAUUUAUUUACUGAUUAUGCUCUGCGUAUAUUAUUUGGUCGUGUUAAUAUUAUUUUAUUAUACCAAAAAUACAUUCUUAAUUUUCGAAAAAACACUAGAAAAAAACCAAAACAAAACAUGUGCUUGUUUUCAUAAUAUGGUCAAUCAAAGUCACGUAAUAAGAAAUUGAGUCGGAGAAUCAUAUAAGACAAUACCUCUUCUCAUGUCUAGUCAACGUAUUUUCAGCGUUCAUUAUGUUAUUCUUUGGUUUAUAUCUACUAAUUGUAAUGCUAUAAAAAAAUAAAAAAUUUACGGGUUGUUUAAAUAUGAAUAUGUUGACCAAUAAGAUUUUCAUUAAAACUUUUAUUGUAAAUAGGUUUCUGAAAAAAUAAUUUUGUUUAUAUGUAAUUUCUUCGUAUCAAAUAUAUUAAAUAAAUGAAAUUUUUUAAACACCAUUUAUAUGAGAAUUUUAAUAAAAAAAACUUAUAAGUGAAUCAUCUUUCUAUACUCAAGUUGAAUAUUUAUUUAAAAAAUUGUGAUAUUAUCAUUCUCAAUUUAGUGUGUUUUUAAAUAUCAAUUUAGAACAUGAAUCAUGCUUCACCUAAUUUGUUUUGUUUUUUUUUUUAUUAAAACAUCAAUGAUUGUAUAAAACUAUUUGAAAUUAUUCUUAAAAAUGCUGGAAAUUAUCUCUCUGAAAAAAAUAGAAGAAAGCCAUGCUCAUUAAAUACGUGGAAGUUAAAAUAAGUUGGUAAUUUAAAGAAAUUACUACUGCAAAUUAAUAAGAGCUUAUUAAACUUGUAUCAUUAGCCAAGAAUUUACCAUGAUGUCAAAAAUUAAAAUAAAAAACAUGAAGUACACAAUAUUAUACUCAUAAAAAAAUGAAUGAGGACUGUUACAAGAGCAAAAACUCCCUUGCUACACGCAAAAGAAAACACAUUAAUUAUGUUUAAAUAUUGAUGAUAAGUAAUAAAGAUGACGUAGGACACAAUUUUUAAUAUUAUUCGUACAAAAUCAAUAACUUAUAUAUAUCUUUCACAUUUUAACUUCUCUCAGUUAUAUUUUUCAGAGUUUCACAGAUAUUUUAUUAAAAUUAAAAGUAUAUUUAUCAUAAAAGUAAAAAUAUAUUUAUUAUAAAAAAAAAGGAGAUGUUACACCGUUAACCUCGUGUGUAUAUGUGAGGAAAGAAAGAGAAUGAAAAAUAUAAAAGAAAAAGGAAAUAGGGAGAGAAAACUGAACAAUGUGGUGUAAAUAAAGUGGAAAUUUAAUAGACAAAUUUAAAUUAAAUUGAUUUAAAUUAAAAAAUUUAUAAAUAUAAAAUAAGAGAAUAGUAGAAUUACCUUUCUACCUUUAAAGAUUUAAAUUAAAUUGUUUUAAUCGAAUUAUUCACUAGAUGUAUAUCUACGUUGUGUUCCUUAUUUUAAUAGUGAGGCUUUUAUUCAAUAUUUUUACAACUUAUUCAAAUAUGCGAAGUGUUAUUGGAACUAUUUUUGUCCCUUAUUCAAAUAUUCGAAGUUGUUUUUACCAAUUAUUCAAUAAAAUGCUAACAAAGACGCUUAUUCGAAUAUGUCUUCCUUUUAUUCAAAUUUCUCUUUUAUCAUUCGAAUAAUAAUGCAAGAAGUUACGUGAAACUCUGAGUUGUUAUUUGAAUUAUAUCACUUUUAUCCAAAUAUCUUGUACUUCAAAUUUGGCAAUUCAAAUAUCUUAUGAAUUAUCUAUUAUUAUAUUAUUUUAUAUGUUAAUGCUCUCUUCUUUAGUCUUGGUCAAUGAGUACCUUAAUUAAACCGUUUUAUUCCAAUAAUAUUGAAAAGAGAAAGAAAAAAUAUUAUUAUUAUAAGAAAAACAAAUUUUUGGUUUUGAAAUAAAAUAAAAGAAAAAAAGAUGAAACGGCAGAGUACAGAAGCUGCAGAGGUUGGAAUUUCCUUUAUAAAUUUCGCCGACAAUCAGAUCCUCUUUCUUCCCUUUCUUUUUUUCCUUCUUUCAAUCUUCCCAACGGAGAGAGAAAGUAAAAAGAAAAAGAAAAUCGCACAAAAUAAACAGAGAGAAAAAGAAAAGAAUAAAAAAAACACAAAAUUUCGAGACGAUCGCCUUUCGUGUGAGUGGAAGAUGAAGAAGUGCGAACUGUGUAAGCUUCCGGCCAGGAUUUUCUGCGAGUCGGACCAGGCCAGCUUAUGCUGGGACUGCGACGCAAAGGUUCACGGCGCAAACUUCUUGGUCGCCAGACACUCGCGAACCCUCCUCUGCCGUACGUGCCACUCUACCACGCCGUGGAAGGCCGCCGGAGCCAGACUCUCUAACGCCGCCUCCAUCUGCCACCGCUGCGCGGCCUCCGCCGCCGAAGAACCGGACGAGACCGAAUCCGGCAAUGACGAGGAACCAAACACGGAGGAUGACGAUGUAUCCGGCGAGGAAGACGGCGAGAACCAGGUCGUGCCGUGGUCCUCCACACCGCCUCCGCCGGCGAGCUCCUCCAGCAGCGAGUGGUCGUCGUUCAGCGGGUGCAAAAACGACGACGACGAAGGUGCUUCUGUUUCCGUAUGUGAACCGGAAACGACAACAUCCUCGUUGAAACGGCAACGCGAGAACGACGACGUAUCCGGCCGUGAUCCGCAGGUUAGCUUUAUUUAAUUUUUGUUUCCGACGAGGAACAAACAAUCGCUUAUUUGUAUAGAUUAUUUUUAUUUAUUAACUUAAUUAUUUAUGUUGGUUUAUUGCGUGAAAGCAGGGGUUUGGAAGGGCUGCGCAUCUCAACGGAGGUGGUGUAUGACGGAGGGUGAUCGCUGGAGGAGAUUUCAACCACACGCUACGACGACGUUUCGUGUUGGGAAAAGCAAGAGUCUCUGAACCGUACGAUGGGCCAAGAUAUUUUAGCUCUUUCAUCAUUAACUUAUAAUCUAACCGCUUACAAUAGAGUACUUUUUUUUUUUUUUUUUACUGUAGGAUGAUUAUGAUGUUGUGUGUUUAACAACAAGUUUUCCUUUAUUGGUUUCUAAUUUAAGACAAACGUUAGCAUAUAAUCUUGAUUGUAAGUUGUAACCCUUUUAUAUGUCUAAAUAAAUCUCCAUUAAUUUUUGAAUUUUUGUGUGAUUUAGUGCACAUAAUAGAAUUAGAAAGAGUUGAUAAAAGAUUAUAGUUAUAAUUAAGAAAAUGGGAGUGGUUAGCAUUUAGCAGUGGUUAGAGAGACGUUGGUGAAGUUGUGGCUGUGUGAAAGUGAAGAUUUUUUCUCUUUCCUUAAAAGGGUGUGAGGUGAGAGAGUUGUUGGUGUGCUAGGUUUGAUGUAAGGGAUGUGCGUGUCAUGUUGUAGGACCUCACAGCACAACCACAACCAAGUGUAGUGUGUGAACAAAAUGAAGAAUAAUGAAAGGUGCAAUGCAUCACUAGCUACUACACAUUUAUGUUUAUGUGUACGACUAGGUAGGGCUCAAAUUAGAGAUAAGUGUAAAGUGAAUAAAGCCCUAUUUCUAUUUGAAUCAAUGAUACAAAACUAUAAAUAGAAUGAGCCGAAUGCGAUAUAGCGCACCACUUCAUUGUCGCCUGCCUUCUUCUCAACAUAAACUCAUCAAUUAACUAAUAAAAUAGUUUCAUUGCAAAUGGCAUUGUUCUAAAUGGUGUUGCCAGAUAUUAUACCAUAAUAUGGUAUUUUAAAUUUUGAGGUCUCUUGCACUCGUAAUUGCCAUCAUUUCUUAAUUUGGGGUGUAAUUGUGCAUCCUAAGUUGAGGUAUCUUAAAUGUGUAUUGAUAUAUUAAGUAAAUUAGGUUGUUUUUCUGUAUCAUGCAUGGCUUCACAAUUUAUCAUAUAUUUAAACUAAAUAAAAUAAUAGAUUUGUUUCAGCUAAUCGUACAAAUAAUUGCAACUCUAUGAUGUUCAAUAAAAUAGUUAACAAAUAGGAUUUAUAUUAUAAAAUAGCGUGUGAUGAUAAAUUAUGUUCCUUAUUGUAAAUUAUUUUGGAUUAUAAGCCUCUAGUCUGCCUUUGUAAGGGCAAUUAUAAUAAAACUAUAAAUAACAAAAUGUUAGUUUUAUUUGUUUAUUUCAUAAUUAAAAUAACUAGUAGUGAAUAAUGCAUAUUGGAUAUAAUAUUUAUUGUUAAUACUAAUAUGGUCAAAUGUUUUACUAGAAGUCUUCAAAUUGAAAUUGAAUGAAUACAUGGUUUUGACUUAUAUUAAUACAAGUAUUGACACUCAAAUUGAAUGAAAUUGAAGUAUAUACGAGUAUUUUUUUUUUUUUUAAAUUUAGAAUGCAAAAUGUAUGGAGAAUUGGUUUAGUAUGAAAUUAACAUGUUCUUUGUAUUUUUUUUUUAUAAUAAUACAAUAAUUGUGUAAGUGAAUUUAAAGAAAAAAUACAAACAAAAAAUAAAUAAGAGAAUAAAGGAGAAUAAGAUAAAGACGAAAACGUUAUAAUUUAGCAAAUUGAUAAUUCAUUGAAGAUUCAUCAAAUAAAUUGUAAUUUUUAAGGAUUGUAAUUUUUUUAUUAAAACUAUAAUUGGAGAUAUCACGAUCUAAAAAAUUAAUAAGUCAAGGUUAAUUUGUCAUAAAAAAUCUAUUUUUAAUAAGAAUUAGAGUUUUAACUCAAUGAUAAACCAGUUUUCAUAUAAUAACGAUAUAAGAUGUCUAUAUAUGUAUUUAGUUCUCCUAUAUAUAGACACAAAUAUUUAAGUUACCUAAAAAAUCCUAAAAAAAGCUCAAAAUUAAAAAUUAAAAAACAAAAAUUAAAAAAAUUACAAAUAAUUUUAAUCGACUAAAACUAUUCUAUAAUUGGAUUUCAAACCGAUAUCUUCAUGUUUUUUGAAUGACAAAUACUUCUCCUCAAAUUCUUCUUAUAUUGAAUUAGGAUGUCUAUAACUUCUGCUUAUAUUUGAAGAAUAUUUUUGUAGUACUUUGAUUUCUUAUAAGCACUUAUAAAAGCUUUUUUUUUUUUCAUCUUUUAACAAAGUGUGACAUGUUGGCGAUAAAUGUGUUCAUUUAUCAUAAGUUUGUGGUUGUAACUCCAAAUGAACACCCAUUGUAACUAGAUUUCUUUUAGCAUUUAAAUAAUAUUUUAUCAUAUGUGAUAUUUAUCAAUGAGUCAAUUAAACUAUUACAGACAAUAUUUAUCAAUGAGCCAAUUAAACUAUUACAGACAAUACCGUAAACAUACAUUGCACAUAUGCAAUGUCCAACAUCUAAUUUAGACCAAUAUAAAAGUUGAAUAAUAUGUUUUUCUUUCAUUAUUUUGAUAAUAAAUUUCAUUUGUGUUUUCCCAAAUACAAUUAUUUUAAGUGAUGAUAACUUUUGUUUUCUUUAAAUAUAGGACAAAUAUGAUCUAAACUUGCAAUAUGCCUCAAAUACCUCCACUUCUUCAUUCAUAAAAAUCUCAAUUUUAGGAUCACUUGUUCCUAAUAUUAGCAUAAGCAACAUCACAUAUUUUUCUUUUUCAAACAUAACCAAUAAGACAAGUUAUGUAAGGACUUAAAAAAUAUCUAAAAGUAGAAGUAGUCUUUAUAAAUGAAACUUAGUUAUUUUAUUAUUGAAAAGUUAAGUUAUAAAUAGAAAAAAUAGUUACUCGAGUUUUAUUUUAUAAAAGUUGCUAUCUCUCUAAAAGUUAUCAUUUUUCUUUCCUCUACACUCUUGCUAAGAUUUUGAUUAAUUUACUUGUUUGUUUAAAGAUUGGAGUGCUCCAUAGGAGUCCUAACAUAGAAACUCAAUCAAUCAAAAUGUUAUUUUAAGUAAGUUCAUUUCUACCCCUUGUUUUGAGUCAAUUUUUAGAAGUUUUGCAUGAGUGUGACAUUGGACCUAUGCAUGUGAAAUUGACUAGGAUUUCUAGGAUAUGUUUAGAUGGUUGAUAUGAGUUUUUUACGUAUAAGUAAAGUAUCAUGCGAGAGCUAGAGUUUUGGAGCUUACUUAAGCUAAAAGCUCAAGUCGAGACAAAAGAAGCUUGCUAUUAGAUUAUUCUUCUAUUAUAUUGGUUAAUUUGGUUGUGUGAAUGAGAUCUUUGAUGAGUAGUGGUGGUAGAGGAUUAUCUAUUGAUUCCAAUACAAAAAGAACUUGAGGAGGAACCAUUGCAAUUCAAAGGACCUAUGACAAGGUCAAGGAAAUAAAGCUUGGAAGAACAUAUCUCUUUGAAGCUUUUGAUGCUUCAUAAAGCUUGGAAUUUAAAGGACAUGAAGAUCAUGGCUUAGAGCACACUUAUAGAAUAGCUUUUAAGCAUUUAAAGCGUCUAUCACUUCUUUUAAUUUUGUAAGUUUGUUUGGUGAGGCUCCUAUCUCACUAAGCGAGGGUGUCAAGUAGUCACUAGACGAGAAAGGUGUUUUGUGGGAGAAUAAUCUGAUUAUGUUUUUGAAUUUGAGUUAUUUUGCGGCCUGAUAUUUUUGGGUUUUUCUUUUAAGGUUUCAUAGGAUGCUUAUUUCUGGUGUAUUUAUACUUUCACUAUAAGCAGAUGUAAGGGAACCUUGGUUGGUCAUUAUGUGAAUUUGGUUUUCAUUCAAAAGAGGAUUCUCUUGGUUCUUGUUAUAAAACACUGAUUCUUAUCAAAAAUUGAAUUCUUUGUGACAAAUCUACUUUUACUUAUCAAUCUGUUAUAUUGUGGCAUCAUCCAUCUUUAUUUUAUUUUGCGUUCUUCUUAUAUAUCCUUUAGUAUUCUUUAAUUUAUUUAUCUAUUUUGAAGAAUGAAUCCAAAUUCAGAAACAAUCACAAUUUUCCUGGAUAUGGUCAUAUCAAGUAAUGUUGUAUGUUUUUUAGAUGUGAAAAUACAUGGAUGUUUGAUUGAUAACAUGACUUGUUUGAGUAUAAGUUCAAUUGAUAUAUCAAAGAGUGAAAAAUUCAUAUGAAGAUGACUUAGUUCUUGAUCAUGUGGUUCUAUGUAAGGGAGAUGUGAUAUGAUAGGUGUAGAAUCUUUAAGUCCAAUUCAAUGCAAAGGUCUUGUAGAUGUAUAAUAUAUUGUCAAUAGUGAUUAUCGUACGAAUGAUAUAGUGCAUUUGUUUAGAUGUGAUGUUUUAUAGAUGAUUAUGUUCUUUUAAAAAAUGUGUUGCCUUACCCUGUCUUGUUGGAUUGUGGUUUUUAUCUACUAUGAUCGUGUAUUACACAAAAGUAAAGUUUGUUGCACAUGAGUGUACUAAUAUUGAGGCAACGGUAAAACAUUAGUAUCAAUGUAACCACAAAGUAGGAACAUUAGAAGUCAUAAAUAAUCAAUAAAAUAGGUUGUAAAUUAUGUUUACUACUUAAGUUAUGAUAAAGAUUUGCCCCAUUAAUAGUUGCAAGACUAAACCUAAGAUUUCUUGGAUCACUCCUAACCUGAUUCUUCAGUUAUGCUGAAUCAAUUGCAUGCCUUAACAAUCUAUGACACUUUCUUCCAUCUACAAGCCAUGUAAGGUCUUCUACAACAUUAUUAUCAACAAAUAAUUAAGUGGUGGAAUAAUUGUAAAACACCAAGUGAUGAGUGCAUAUUUAUGCCCACAUUUAUGUUUUAAAAUUCAAAUUUUUUAUGAGAUUCAUGUGCUUAAAUGAUUGAUUUAAAGUGAAUUUGUGGUGAUUAGAUUUAUUGAGUUUGGGAAUUAAAGAGGCAUAAAAAGUAAGUUUUAGCGCAUAAAUUAUUCUUGGAUGUUCCGAUAUUUAUUUGUGUAGCUGAAAUUAAAGUUUUAUUGGUAUAAAUUGCAAAUUAAGGCCCAAAAUCAUAUUUUGUUUAAAAAAUAAUGUACAGAUAGGCCAAACAGACAAUCUUUAACCUUGCACCCCCAAGUUUCCCUACAUGCACCCCCAAGUUUCCCUACAUGCACCCCUCUUUUCUAAACCAGGCCAAUACUAAAGCCCAACAGUAACCAUUUUCUCCCACACCCCUAAAUUUUCCUAAACACGCACCUCCUAACUAAACUCCACCAGAUUACAUUACGUGGCAGUCCUUCCCUGACAGAUCAAACCACUCAGAUGAUGCCACGUCAUUAAUCCUCAGCACACAAAAUAAACCAAUAGACUUUUGCCACGUCAUCACCUCUGCCACAUCAUCAUCAUCUUCCACAGGAAACCCUAAUUCCCAAUCCAAACCCUGAAGCCACCACCGUCAACCUUCAGGUCGCCACAACACAUGAACUCCAAUGGUGCCACCACGGCCACCGUUCAUGACCAUCAACGCCGCGAAACCCAGCUUUGCCACCACCAUGCGAAGUAGUCUUCGAAUUCUGAAUCGCCAUCCGCAAGUAGCCACUACCUAGACGCUAUGACCGUCACUCGAAGCCUUCCUCGUCCAAACUCUAUGGUCGCCGCAACCACCCCCAAAGCAGCGACGCCACCAUCGCAACACCCAUGGUCAACCAUCUUUAAACCUAUACUCAGAAAAACUAGUCCAAGAACCCCAAAUCAAACCCAGAGCAACCCUAAUGUGAAUCACCAAUGCAGAUGUGCGAAGCAGAUGUGCGAUUCCCUCCAUCCCCUUCUCGCAACCAACCUGCAAGAAUCAUCAACACCUCGUUGCCGCUACCACAGAGAAUCAGAAGCUAAUAAAUCUAGACCAUCAUCAUCGCGCCAUGGCCACGACAGUUAACGAAUAAGGCUGAGUGAAGGGUAUAGGUUCGUUUCUCAAAAGCGGCCAGGCAUAGAGAAAGAUCACCCUCAAUCUGCAGAUGCAAAACCUUAAUUUGGGUGGAAAGGAGUUGAUACGUGGCAAGACCUCAUUGGCACGUCCCCCUCAGUCAAAGUUGGCCAAACAGGGACUUCUGGUGUAAUUUUGGAGAAUUUUGAAGGGGUUAAAGUGCGAAUAGAGGACAUUUCAGGGUUUAUGUGCAAUUUUUUGAAAUUCAGAAAGGCUAAAAAAUAAAAUUCAGUUGUUAAAUUAAUUUAAUUUGGGAAUAUCAACAGAAAAUAUCUUCCAACUAAAUAUUUUGGUUAUUUGGAAGAUAUAAGAUAAAAGAUUCUGUCAACUGAAUAUUCAGAGCCCAAGCCCAAUCAAGUCUUAUAUAAAGAGACCUAGGGGAUGUAGAAAAGGGGACUUCGUUCAUUCACCACUCCUCUCUCUCUUAUUUCUUCAUGUAUUCAACUCCAUUCAUGGAGAACUAAGCAUCUAGGGCUAUUUUGCUGUAAUUCCAUUAUGGAUUCUAUGGUUAAGUUGAGUUAAUGCAAUUGUUGGAUUUGUAGGUGCGUUAAUGGCAAAAAUUGGAUUUUUGGAGGUGCGUUAAUGGCAAAAAUUGGAUUUAUAGGUCUAGUGAUUAUGGGGAACGUGGUGGCGGCGAGGAGAUGAACUGAUUUGCACGAUUUGAGUUUGCGCUUUUGAGGUUUUCUUUGGUUUUGAUUUUCAGGACGGCUGCGAUGGGUGGUUGUGCGUUUUUUAGUUUUGCCUCUUUGCAGGUUUUCGGUGAUCUCUGCAGCGGGUGGUUGUCGCGCUGCGACAAGGGUGGUGCGAUUUGCUCGAUUUGGGUUUCGUGCAGGUUUCCGAUGCGGUGGUUGCCAUGGUUGAAGGUAGUGGUUUGGUGGUUUUUGUGGUGGCUGGCGGUGGCCAUGAAGGUGGCGGCACAAGGAAGGAGAAAAGAAAACGUGACAGAUAAUAAACUCAUACCUGGAAUCAGACGUGGGUUGGCUGUUAGUCAUGUCAAACAAAAGUUCACGUCGUCCAUUUUUAAGGACUAUUUAUAAUAGUUUCAAUACUAUGAGUACUAAAAGCCAUCAAAGUUUCGAGUAGGUAUUAAAACGAAAAUCGCAUGAUAGUUAAGAGACUAAAAAUAUAUUUAACCUUAACUUCAAUUAUAAUCAAUUGAGAACUUACUUUGAUUAAUUAGCUUUUAAUUUGGUUAGGAGAUUUAAGAAUAGACAUGAUUAAAAAUAAUAGAAUUCGAUUGAGAAUGUACUUUGGUUGAAUUUAUUGUGAAUAAUUUAGAAAGGUCUUGCAUUUGGUUGAGAAUGUACUUUGAUUAACUGCAUGAUCACCCUCAAAUUAAUUAAGAAUGUACUUUAAUUAAUUUGAAACUUAAACAAUAAUCAAUUAAACAAUGAUCUGUGAAUAACCGAUGAUGAAUCUAUUUUGGAAAAGCAGUGGAAUUAGUCUAUUUCUUCAUACUUGUUUUUAAGUUUCCUAUUUGUUCUACAACAUUCUUUAAACAUUCUCACUUUUAUUCAUAAGCAUUGCAUAACAUUCAUAAGAGUAAGAUAUUCGAAAGCAAUUCCGUGUUCGUUGGGAGAGGACUUAUGGUUACUUUAACCCUAUCUACUUUCUUGAAUACUACUUGGCAAUACUGAAGUUGCCUUGAAAGUAGUAUUAAUUUGAUAGCUUCAACAACAACGUAUCACCUAGGUAUUGAUAAGGAUCUAUAAUACAUUAAUUUUCAAUAUAAAUCUUACAUUUAUCGUGCUUUAAUUGAUCAUAUUUUGUAAGUAAACAACCCCUUUUAAAUUAUAAUUAUAAAAUGAGACACUAAGGAAAAAUUAGAAAUUAAUGAAUUUCUUAUAAUUUGCAACAAUUUCACAAAGAAUUAAAGGAUGUGUGGUUCAAGCCCAAAAAUCGAUGUCGAGCAAUACAUAAAAGAUUAAGAAAACCCUCACGAGGAGAAAACUUCAAGCACCCACUUGAGGCAAUUAUAGCUCAAGCUCUAGAACUGUUAAGAGCUAAGAAAGGUACUUUGGAAAAAUAUAUAAUGUAACUUUUUGCAGUUGAGCCACAAGAUGACACUGAGUACUUAAGGUUGUUAAGAGGAAAUCCUGCAUAAGGGGAAACCUUUGUGGUUAAGCGCCACUGAAAAAAGUCUAUAAAUGCAAACCUCGUGUCCUUAUUUUAGGCAUUGAGUGGGGAAGUAGUUGAGUAAUAGUAGAGUAGAAAUAUGCCUGUGAGACUAGAGACACUAUGUUCUCAUUGUAAAUAUUAUAUGUCUAGACAUAGCUGGUUUUAUAUUACAAUACUCUACUCCAUCAGUAACAGAUUUCUCUGUGGUGAUAUCAAUGGAAUAAUAACCUUCUUGUAAUUUCUUUUCAUUUAUGCAACUUGUCUUUCAAAUGUUUAUGCUUUCUUUUGAUUUAGUUUAUACUUAAUGUUUGUUUCGGAGUUAACUUAAAGCAUGAUUUAGUUGUUAGAAGAUGCCAAAAAUAAGAUUUCAGUAGUUGAACUAACUAAAUAAAACCAAGUAAAACCAAUUGUCUGGGAUGAAGCUGUGCAUUUGGCUCCCCACUGUUGUGGUGAUUUUCCCAUAAGCAACCAUAUAACUUUUCUCCUUAACUAGUUAAUGAUUUGGGUCUUGUAAUCAUAGUAGAUUUAAUAAACUUGGAGUUCUCAACACUAAAAGUCUUAGAGUCUUAACCUUUUCCAUGUUAGGAAAAUGUUUAUAUGAUGGGUGUUGUUUGUAAUCAAGUGUUGGGGCAUGUCGUGCUUUUUUUCAACAAUCAGAAAGUGAGGUUUUUGAUCUGCAACUGGUACCUAUGUUACAAUUGGAGGAAGGAAGUGAAAAUCACUGCUUGAGGGCCUCAAGCUUGCAGUUCCUUUCAGCAAUGGUAAUUUAUGCCUCAUUUUGAUUUUCUUUAUUCUCAUGAUGUUUUACAUUUUAAGUUCACUUGCUUAUAAUUAUUGUCCAAUGUUUGUUUUCACAUAAAAAUUUGUGAUUGUGAUAUGUUCAUCAUUUAUCUGAUUUUCUUUCUUCUUGUUAGGUUUUAUGGCUGAACUUUCAUACAUAUUUUGAGAUUUUGAUGAGGUACUUACAAAUUUAAAUAUGCUCCCAUUGAAAUCAUUAUAGCCUUUUAAUUGUUAGAAAUGACAUAUUUCAAAUUAAUAAUGAGGUGAAAUUAUGAUUAAAUCACUAGUAGAAAAAUAAUAUUCCAUGACAACCUAUUUUGACGGAUAAAAAUCAUCUAUCAUAAUAGGUUGGCGGUGGCAGAAUUGUAAUAAAUUUAAGACAUUAUAACAUAGUUAUAAAAAUCAAUUAUAAUAUAUAACACGUUGACAAACUUGUAAAUAAUUUCAAAACAUAUUAUGACAAAAUUAUAAAUAUCAAUUAUUAUAUAAAAUGUGAUGACAAAUUUGUAAAUAACUUCAGAACAUAUUAUAACGGAGUUAUAGACAUUUGUUAUAAUAUGUGGUGAAAAAUUUGAAUAAUAUAUUAUGCCUGGUUUUGAAAUACCUGUCAGAAGGAGAAGGAGAUCAAUGGUUUCAAACAGAAAUUGAUGGAAUUGCUUGGUUCUUAACGUGCAGGGCUGUCUUAAAGGAUGCAUGGUUUUGAUCAAGAAAGGAGCCUCUGUUUUUUCUUUCCAGAGGGAGCACGCAGUAAAGAUGGAAAACUAGUUACAUUCAAGGUGAGUUUGCGUAAAAAUUCUUGUAAUCAUUAAUCAUUGCCAUCUUUAUAGAUAAUUGUGAUAUAGAAGCAGACACUGAGAUCCAAGUUAGAUAGGAAAGGAUCCACUAAUGGAUUGAAGUUUGAUGAUUAGAAGGAGUGUACGUGAUAGGAAAUAAUUGAUUUUGUACUAGCUUUAAUAUGUUACAUAUGUUACAUCUAAUAGCUUUAAUAACAGAAAUAGGAUAAAUUGAAUGGGAAACAUCUAACAGGUUUCAAGUUCUCUCACUUUUAGUAAAACUACUUGAUGAUGUAUAGUGCUUAUAAUUUACUCAUGAGCAAGUUGAUUCCAUCUGUCUGGUUACUUCUCAACAUGCUAAUAUUUUCUUUAUUUGCCUGGUUACCUUCAGAACUCAAUGAACCUAUCUUUAAAAAGGGAAAACAAAAGCAUGUUAUUAACUUGAAAUUAUUUUCUGGCUUGCAAGGCAACAAGCAAGUCUGCAUUACCUUAUCUAUCCCACUUGACAAAAUUUGUGUUCUUAGUUGUGGAAUAUGCACAGGUUUGGAAAAUCCCAGCCUUGACAUAGUCAGUAACAAUAAUGUUAGUGAACAUCAAAUAAACGUCUUUCUCAUCUGUGCUUGUAGGUCUUGGGGCUACUGUCAAUGUUGCAAAACCAAAACCUGGUUCUUCUGUUGCCUUUUUUGGACUUGGAGCUAUUGGCCUUGUUGUAUGUUAUUCUUGCCUUUGUGUGUGAGCAUUGUAGUUAUUAUAUAUAAGCUACAAAUUUGCCCUAUUAACAAUGUCGUUAACACGAUUAAUUAUGUUUUUUAAUAAAUUAUAAUGUUGGUGAUAUAUAAGCUACUAAUUUGCCCUAUUCAAUGCACUGUCCUUGACAUACACGUAAGACAUGAAUGAAUGAUAUUAAGGUUCUGCAUCCUUCGAAGUUCCCUCUGCUAUACUUUGUAGGAAUAAUUCCUUAGACGAUGACUUAUGUUAUGCAUUGAUAUACUAAGAAAACUAACUUUUGCUCAUUAUGCAAUGAUCACAGCUAUUAUCAUGAACAUAGCCAGUAACAUUAUCUCUAUCUCUUCCCAACAUAGUUUCCCUCCCCUUGGCACUUGACAGAGAGUAUGUUACCUCAGAUUUCUAAUUAUACUGAUAUCACAACCUAAAAUUAUACUUGUAGAAUUAUUCAACAUUAUAAGGACUUCCAUAAAAUAAGAAAAAAUAAAUGUUCAAUGGUCAUCACAUCACUUAAACACAACUAUUUCUUACACCAAAGUAUAUUGUACCACGCUACCUUUAUCACUUAUCAAUUUACACCAAAAUAUAUUGUGACAUGUUCUAUCAUUUAUUUUAUAAUAAUGAAGCUAACAUGUUUUUUUUUUCUUUGGUUUGUAGUUACUCAAACUCUCUUGAAUUUCACAAGGUUGUUUUUGAAGGGACGUGAAGGGAAUUGCAAACAAUGUUAGAGAAAAAGAAAGCUGAUAAAGAGGCUGAAAUGGAGAAGGCUAAAAGCAUUGACUUCGUAAGGAAAAGUGGAAAAGAUGAAGAAGAAAGUUGAGAAGGUGGUUGAAGGGUAGAGGACUAAGGGUAUUCACUUGAGGAGAAAGAGGGAAAAGAUAGGUGAAGACUUGCUCAUUUGCACCAACGUCAUUCUCAAAUCAAAGAGUAGAGAUCUACCAAUUUUGAGUAUUAGUAGAUAUCGGCUACAAUUUAGUAGUGUAUGUACAUUAAUAUAUAAUAUUUAGAUUUAAUAUAUAGUUUGAUGUAUAUAUAAUGUAUUAAAUAUUAUUAGAUAAUUUAAUAUUUGAAAUGAAUUCUUUUCGGUUAGUUUAAUUGAAUUUGUUCAUUUGAAGCUAUAUUGAUUAUAAGUUGAUUGGAUGAGAUGAUAAUAUAGAAAAAUAAUUGUAAAUUGAUUGGAUGUCAAAUGUAAUAAUGAUGUAAAAAAACACAUAUAUUAUGACAUACUAAAUUGAUUGGAUGUCAAAUGUAAUAAUGAUUUUAAAAAAAACAUAUAUUAUGACAUACAUGUACGUCAUAAUAUGUUUAAGUUAUUAUGACGUAAAUUUCUGUUUCUCAUAAAAUGUGCAGACCUACUAUAAUGUCUAUAACUAUGUCUUCAACAACUACGUCAUAAUAGGUCAUUUUUGUACAUCAUAAAAUGUAAUUUUUCUACUAGUAAAUAAUUUUUUGGGUGGAGAAGAUAUUUGAGACUUCUAGCUAUCAAAGGUUAUGUGAUGCUUUAAAUGUAGUGUCUAAAAAGUAAUAACCCAUUUGUCAUGAAAGUUUUGAAGUUUUCGCUAAGGGAGGGUUAGGAAUUACACCUAACAUACAUGUAACUACGAAUAUAUUUUAUUUUCUUUGAUUAAUAAGCAGCUUAGAAUUUAGCAUAAUGAAUUUGUUUCUCUCAACUAUUAGAUACACUAGUGUAGAAAGGGCUUUAGACAUCUGUUAUUUUGGGCUUUUAACAUCUUUUUCACAACCGAAGUCAUUACGAGUGACGUUAAUGGGACGUCGGAUUUCCAUAUAACAGACGCUAAUACAGACGUUAGUUAGUGCCAUGUCCGACGUCAAUACACGUCGGUGAAGGCCUACUCCGACGUCUAAUAGCACCAUAUAGACGUCGGUGUGGGAACCAACCUAUGUCUAAGAGCACUAUAAAGACUUCGAACAUGUCACUAACCGACGUCUAAGGUCACUAUAGACGUCGGUGCAUGCAUUAACCGACGUCUAACAUAGUCGUUGUGUUUUAGUGCAGUUUUGUUCCUGUCUUUGGAUAGCCUAGUAGCACACUCUGUCUUUGCUAGUUUUCCCCCAAAAAAAGCUUGCGUCUUUUGAAUUUCUCAUGACAUUUCAACCUAAAACCGAACCUAGGUUCUUGCCUAGUUUCAUUUUCAACCGCAAGAGGAAAAAAUUACGGUGAAACGAUAACUAGGCAACAACCUAGGGUCAUUUUUGGGUCGAAACGCCAUAAAAAAUCCAAAAGACGCUGCUUUUUCUGGGAGGCAGCUAGCAAAGGCAGAAUGUGGUACUAUGUUAUCCCAAGAGAGGAACAAAACUGCACUAAAACACAACACAAGGAAAAUAAAUUUUAAUCAGUUGAAUCAGAAGAUAAUCGAUGAAAGACUAAUAUAAUCAAACUGAACAAAGUUUAAACGGUUUAAUUAAAAAAAGACGCACUUGAAAUGCAAUGUCGCAAGAGAGAAAAAGGAGAGGAGGAAGACGAUGAUGUUUGCGAAACUACGAGUCUGCGGUUUAUUUAACAUGAAUUGGGGCGUUGGUUGCUACAGAAAUCGACGUCUAUAGUCAGCUAGACGUUAGUUAUCUCACUAAUAUGACAUCCAAGAUAACUUUUAAUCUGCCUUUUGCAUGCACCUUAGACGUCGGGCACCAGGGGAGCCGACAUCUAAAGCGUUGAUCGAAAUGACUUUUCAAUUCUGGACGGAGAAGUAGACGGCGAUUGUCGUGGGGUGCCGACGUCUAUAACAUUUUAGACGUCGGCCCCCUAUUACUAGAUUUCGAAGUGCCUGCGAGUUUGGUGAGAAGCAUUAAUUACAACCAUAUAGAUGUCGUUGCCCCAGAAACCAGAUGUCUAUAUGGCAGAAAUUGACUGUCUUCCCGCCUUCCUAACAGGCCCAUUGACGUCAAGUUAAGGGAGCACAAACGUCUAAGCACCUGGGAAUCAGGUGAAGAGCAUUAAUUGCAGCCAGAUAAACAUCUGCCCCCUCCCCCCUUCACAACCGACGUCAAUGGGGUCGAAAAGACUGUCUUCUCGCCUACCUCAAGCCCUUGGACAUCUGGUUAGGACAGAACAAACGUCUACUAUAUUAUAGACGUCGGGUGCCCUAGAAACCGACAUUUUGUUUACCAACUUAUUUACGGUAAUGUCACCGUCCAUUAAUAUACGUCGAGCCACCCAUUAACCAACGUCUUAUGGGCAACGUUAAACAACAUUUUUAUACUAGCGAUAAUGCGACUAAUUUGUUGAAAAUGAAGAUUGUUCAUGCCACUUUAGCUCUUAAACACUAUUUCAAGUAUAUGGAUCAUGGCUUUUCAUAACAGAAACAAUGCUAAAAUAAUGUUUUUUCCCUUUCAAACUCUUAGAUGAUGGGAUUGAGAUGCAGUUUGCAACUAAACAUUCUUUGGUUUACUCUUUAAUGAUAGUAAAACUAUUGUCUUUUCUCAUCUUUUCACAUUUUUCUAGCUUAAACUUUGUGCAUCAGGACAAUUAUUUUGAUAAGUGGAACAUCUUAGAUUUUUGUAACUAUUGCUUUAAGUUUUUGGUUAUGGUAAAUGGUAGUACGAGUGUGGAGGAUAUACUUAUAUAAAUUAUUAAAUUUUAUAAAUUCAGUGAUAACACAUGUUUAAAUUCAGUCAUUAAAUUUUUAUUAGUUAAUCUAAUAAAAAUUAAAUCUGAAUAACUUGUUCGUAUUUAAUUAUAAUUGCAAUUAUUAAUAUUCAAAAAUAUUCAACAAACUAAAUGAUCAAAUUAUUUUUUAAAAGAAUAAAUUCAGAUUAUGCUAGACUAGUCAAGUUAGAUCCAAAUCCUAACAGGAACUUAUGUCAAAGAUGGAUAAAUUGUUUGAGACUUAGAUAAGAAUUACAUGAGAAAACUACGAGUUUUUGACCUUAGAGAAUAGGAAAAAUAAUAUUUAUCACUAAGAUUGUCUUCAGAUGGGAAUAUAUAUAUAUGAUUAAAUUAAACAAAAAUUUACAAUCAUAAAACAAGUCUCUAAUAUUAAACCUCCAUACGAUUACCAAGUAAUCUUGUUGUAAGACGAAUUUGCAUAAGAUUAUUUACAACUUUACCUUAGAACAAUUAAUCUUACAUAUCUUAAUUAAAAGUAUUUGAAAGUUGUUGUUUUCAUUGAACAUAUCAGAGUUGCAUGUAGACAUAUAAACUGAACAAUUUAAAAUAAUAAUUCUUUUUAUUAUUUUAAAUGGUAUGUUUUUUGUCAUUUAAUUUUAAUUUUUAGUUUAGGUUUUUUGUUAUAAUAAAUUUGUAAUAUUUAAUAUUUAUUAUUAAAAUAAUUAUUUUUUAUUGUUUGAAAUUAUAUUGAAUUUAUUUAUUUAUUUUAUAAUUGUUUAAUUUAAUUUAAGCUGAUUUUUUAAAAUAUUGUAAUUGUAUUUGGUUGCCAUUUUUUAUUUGAAAUUUUGUUUAUUAUGGUUUUUUUCUGUUUUAUUUAUUUAUUUUGUCAAAAUUUAUUAUUUGUUAUUUUUUUUUGUUAUUUUAAAUUUAAUAUACUUUGUUUCUUAAAUGUAUUUCAAAAUAGGUUUAAAGAAUAAAUGUACUUCGAAAUAUGUUUAAGAAAUAAAGAUGUAUCUUUUUUCUUUAAACGUACUUUGAAAUAUGUUUAUUUCUUAAUCAUAUUUCAAAGUACAUUUCUUUUUUAACUUGUUUUCAAAAGUCGGUAAAAAACUUUCAAAAUCCAGUUAAGAAAAAAACAUAUGUCGAAAUUUAACCGGUUUUUGAAAGACACUUAAGGAAUAAAAGGGGUGCAGAGUGAAGAGAGAGAAGAAAAAAGUAAAGAAAAAAGGUUUAAUACCUACUUUUGUUCUCUUAUUUGUUAGUUAUGUGAUAAAUUACAUGACCAUGUGACAUGGCAAUGUUAAAGGUUUUUAUUUAACUUUUUAUAUUUUUCUUUUUAUUUUAUUUUGUUCUUAAUAGAUUAUCAUAUUCUUCUUAUUAAACACAUUGUUAGCCACUACUGCUUGCAUUCAAACCACUAUUGGAAACGCCAAACCAAACCAUCACUGGAAAACCACAAACCGCAACCAUCACCGUCCAAGUGAAAAAAUUUUAGAAUCCCAAAUCAAAACCCUAGUCCUAAAUUGCGAGAUCAAAACAUGUAAAGAAGAAUUAAGAACAAAAACUCCAAAUAAUAAAACUUAAAUUCAACUUAUCAAAUCAUGAUCCCUAACCAAAAAAGGAGAAGACGAAACAUCCUACUUAGCCACCAGAAUUUGCGAGUUCGAAUCAAGACAAAGGAAAAGAAAAAAUUCCUAUGAAACUCGUAAGGACGCAUCCCAAGACUAGGUCUCUCAAAGAACUAAAAAAUAGAGGAAAAAAAAAUUCUAAUUAGAAUUUUAUGAUAGGGUUUAAUUAAGGAAAUGUAAAUCUAAUUCUAAUAGAGAGUUUAAUUAAGACCAAAAACUUUUAACAUUAUUAUAUCAUUUGGUAAAUAUAUUUUAAAGCUAGACAGUUAGUUAAAUAUUGACUAAUGUGAACAUUAUUUUGUUAACCUUUUAAACAUUGUCAACAAAAAAACUAAAUUAAAUUACUUUUACAAAAAUAUUAUAUUUUAAACAAUUAAAAAAAUAAAAUGAACAUUUUAAAUAAAACUAACAAAUAAGAUAAUCAAAAUAAAUAUUAAACUAAAAUAAGUAUUAAAUAAAAAAAUAUUUAAUAGAGGAUCGAAAGAUAUAUUUAUAAUUUUGAAAGUGAAAAGAAAAAGAAUAAUAGAAACAUUCAAAUAUUAAAAUUUAAAAUUCAAAAAGAAAAAAGAAAACUUACGAACGACACGGUCAAAUAAAGAUAGCUCGCGCGUGAGUUCGUCGGCGUGGAGAUGCUAAACGGCUGUAGCAUGCUCGUCGACGGCAGCCAGAUUACUGAUAGGCGGUGGGCACGUGAUUAGUAACAACUUUAGCAACAGCAGCUGGAGGCAAGUGCGACGGAGAUGGCGGUGCUUCGCAGUGAACGAUGCUCACAUGAAGGACAAAAGCUUUUGAAAAACGUGUAAGAAAAAAAUACCUAUUUUUGUUUUCGAAAAUGGCAUUAAAUUCCAUUUCAAUGACUGUUGAUGGAACACCUACUGCAUAAUUAAUUUUAUAUCUAUUUUCCUAUUUUCGUACCUAUCUCAAUUAUGUUCCAUGCAUUAUUACUAGUCACGGCAUAAAUAGUUUCAUAUUUUCUCCAUAAAAGUUCUAUUGCUUAAAGUGAAAAUAACUACGACUUUAUUUUUGUGUGACAUUUAAAAUUUUAUUUCUUUUUUAAACAUGGGAGGAAAAAUUUAACUUUAAGAGAGACUCCAAAUCAAAUCAUUCAAAACUUUCAAUAUUGAUCGAAUGUAUUUUUAAUUUUUAAAUUUUAAUGUAAAAUUAUAAUUUAUUUGUAUUUAAACUUUAAUUGUAACAUUUCAAUAAAUCUAUAACAAGAGCUAUAAUUUAUUUAAGGAGUUAGCAUAAAUAAUAAUAAAGAACAGUGCAGAAAAGACAAGUAAAAAAAAGAGAACGAGGGAUAUAUCAUAUAAAAUCGAAACUGUAUAAAAAUAUAGAACUCUGAUACAAUUUACAGAACUAGACUGAACGGUCUUGAUAUAGUUCAUGACCGAAUGGUAUUACAAAAGGGGGUAUCUAGACCGAACGGUUUUGCAAAAUACUAAAUCGAACGGUUAUACACACUAUACAAAAAAGUAAAACCUAUACUAAGGACCGGGCGGUCCUACACAGUUCUCUAGCAUCACGUCUAAAGGCGGUUCGGUCUGUAGGACAUCCUCCAAGGUAUCUUCUUGAACACCCUCUGCUCACACCCAAAAGGAUGAUCAUUACAGUGAAGAGAACCGCCGAACAGUUAAGACCGAACAACAACAUAGACAAGACAGGAAAAUAAGGGUAAGCUUAUGUAAAUUUAAUUAAUCAUUUUCAGUCUACUUUUAAAAACAUACACAUGAAUCAUAUACAUCCAUAUCUCAAUCAUAAAUCAUAAGUCAAGUAUAUCCAAAUAAAAUCGAACGGUAAUAUCAACUUAUCUAACCAUUGUAGACAUUGUCUAGAUGGUAUGAACCAUGUAGGCUCGCCGCUCUCUACACCCGGGUGGACCUGGCCGGGAUACACUCAACAGACCGCCACCCGAGGUUAGUCUAGUGGAACCACCUCGGUAUAGAAAUACCCUGAGGCUAAAGGACCUCUUGCCAUUCCCACGCAUGAGUUACCCUUCUCUACCUGAGAAGGCGUAAUCACGGAAUAUCAUGAUUGAGCAGAACCUGAGUCCUAUCCACGGUCAUACUUUACCAAUACAAUUCCAAUCAUGAGUUAUUCCUCCCUGGAAUACUCUUAAAAUCAUAAUGAAUUCAUUCAAUUUACUUCUUUUUCUUAUAGACAGUACGAAUACAAAAAUGAUCAAACGGUGAUGAUGAGACUGAGUAUCAAAAGAAUUCAACAAGAGACCGAACGGUCAAAGACAGAAUAAGAGACCGAAUAUAACAAGCAGUUCCAUCAGGUGACCGAACGGUCUGAUAAAUUAGAACACCGAGCACUAUUGAAAACAAGACAUACAAAUUUAUACACGAAGAAGAACGAACGAUCAACAACAUAAGUGACUCUUGGAAGGAACCGAAUACAAAGUUUGUACCUUUAGCCAAAUGCUUUUAUGACCAGCAGAAAUUCUCUUCAAUAAAGCGAGUGCCAAUACAAGACUGAAAACUCUUUAGGCAAUUAAGUGUCAUUGUAAGACCGAGCACUGUUUCAAAUAAAUAAUAUUAUAAACCGAACGUUUUAAGAAUUCAAGUAUUGGUAUAAGACCGAGCAAUAACAUGAUUGAAGGCUAGUCUAUGACCGAGCACUUCUCAAGACCGAGCACUCUUCCAGACCGAGCGUCAGUACAAACCGACCACUCAACGAUAUUUUUACUAAUACAAGACCGAACGUUUCUCCCAAGAAGGAUAAAUAUCAUAUGUGUAAGAUCAAACGCUAUUAUAAUAAAGACAAUUAAUAUGAGACCGAGUACUCAAAUUGUGACCGAGUACGUCAAAGCCGAACACUCAGUAUAAGAUAGAGCACUCUUUAAUGGAUAAAUCAUUAUGACUGAUUAAGCAAGGUAUUUAAGUUUCAAUACAAUCGUACAAGACCGAUCGGUCUUCAACUGAUUCCUACAAAUGGAAUACAAUCUUGACCAAUCGUUUUUAGGGGAAACCGAACGAUCCUGAUGACCCUUCGAUUACAGAUUUAGAUUUUCACUAAGUUAUGUACACUAGGACAAUUUUUAUACCAAAAUCAAACAUGCAUUUCAUCAAGCAACAUAUCAUACUUCCAUAUUCAAUUCAAAUCAUACAAUAUCAAUCAUAUACUCAAACAAUCAUGCAUUACUUCAUAAAACAUAAUCAUAACUAAAUUUUUAUAAGCUUCCCUUACCUCUAUUUCUAGCUAAGCUUCUAAAGUUCUUUGGCAGCAACUAUUUCUUCUAAGGUUUCCAAGGUCUAGAGUCAAAUUACAAGAUAACAAGUUCAGAGAAAUGGUUUAACAAGCACAUACAAGCUUAAGGGGGGCGUGCAUGCAAGAAUACCAAGAAGCUUCAAAGAUCAGAAAUACUUACCGACUCAGAACGAAAAUUUGAUCGGUGCAAAUGAAAGCUCUCGUCGCCGAGAAGAAUUAAUCUGAAAGGAAGAGUAUGAUCGGAGGAGGAGAAGGGGUUAGAAAUCUAGAGAGAAGUUGGUGGUUUCUAGAGAGAAGGAGGAGAAAAUGAGUUUUUUGGAAGUUGAGUUUGAGGAAGAAGAAGGGUUGCAUGCAAAAAUGGCGUCAAUCUUCAAAAAUCCAACUUUAAAUAUGACCUCCACUAAACCCGAACGGUCCACUCCUUUGCCUGCCACGCCUACCACCUGUUUUCCACUUUCUGAGUUAUGCACCCCAUGCCCUGCCAUAUGGAAUCAACUAUAUGCACAUUCUCACUUUCCUACUGCCAUCCGCUUCUCGGAGGAGGGGAAUUUAAUGAGACUGACAACUUUGUCUCCCACUAAUAUAGAGAAGCUGGAAGGGUUGACACGUAGAUUUCACUAAGGAAGGGAAUUAAUUGGGUGUGACAUUAAUAUAUUUGGAUUCUAAAUUUUAAAAAUAAAUAAAUAAAAUUAUUUUAACAAAAAAGGUUAUUCUUUUUUACUAAUUUUAAAUUAAUAUUUGAUCUGAAACAUAUCAAAUAAUAUAAAUAUUUAAAUAUCAUCUAAAAUAUCCUUUGAAUUUAAAAAUUAAAAUCAUAUUUAAGGCACGUUAAGUAUUCCAAAUCAAAUGAAUGAUUGUGAAUGUGAAACUCAAAUUCAAAUGUUUUAAACAAAGUUUAAUUGUGUAAUUUAAUACUUUUUAUUAAGUAGAAAAAAUCGGCUGAAGAGUUCCAUUAAAAGAAAAAGGAAUGGACAUGACAUUUAAAUCUUCAACAAAAAUUAAUUAGAAUAAAAUGGUGGUGGACAUUUCACAUCAAUAAAACACAGUAUAGUUUUAUUGUUAGAAAAUUCCAGUUUCAGACAUGGAUUUCAAAUGUUUCAAUUUCUGGAUGUACAGUAACUAUUAUUUUAACAUAAUUUUUGUAUAAUUUAUAUUAUAGUAUUAUAUAUAUAUAUAUAUAUAUAUAUAUAUAUAUUAAAUGCGUGGAAAUUUUAAAUGUAAUAUGUCCACCCAUUUUAUUAUUUUAAGUGAAAUACAGUAAAAAAUGCUGUCAAACAAAUUUUGCAAUAGAUAAUUUUAAUAUUGAAUUUUUCAACCUUAAUUCUUAACAAUUCAAUAAUAUAGUUAUAUAGAUGAUUAUAUUAUCGUUUUCCAUACUCUAUUAAAGUUAUUAUAAUAUUGUAUGUCUUUUUAGUUUCAUCAAUUAUUAUAAUAUUAUAAAUUUGUCCACUAAUUCUUAUACAAUUUGAUCAUUCUUCACAAAUUGAACUUUUCUCAUGUUUAGAACGUUAUGUUCCAUCACUGUAUUCUUAAAAUCUUUCAAUAAAGAAAACUUUAUCUCCAAUUUAAAUUGAAGGUCUUCUUCACAACAUCUUCUCUAUACUUUGAAAACUUCUCCCUAUUCAAAUUGGCUUCAUAAUCACUAUCUACAUCUAAAGACAAAUCAUCAGGAUUGUAUUCUUCAUUUAUGUCAUAGUCUCCAACUUCUUCAUUAAUGAUAAAUGAUCCUUCAGCAACAUUAGUUAUUCUUUUCACUAUUUUUUUUUUCAAUCUGCUCCACCUAUCUAAUAUAGGAUUAACAUUUCUAUAAUCAUGUACAACCCUCUCAUUGUCCAUUCCAAACCCAUCAUCAUUAUUUUUCAUCCUUUCUUCUUCACUGUCAUCCACUUUAUUUACAGCUGAACAUUCUUCUUCCUUCUUAGCCAUAUUGACCUCUUCCUCAAACACAUUAACCUCUUCCUCUAUGGCCUAUGCAUGUCCUGCCUCUACUUCUUCACCCAUGACUUCGUUCACGACACCAACAUCAAUGAAGUUAAUUACUUGAGCCUCACUAGAAAUAUGUUUCACAUAUAUUUCAAUCUCUUUGUCAUUGACUUUUGCGUAUUUAGCUAAGUAUAACGCUUCCCUAUCAUUACUCAAUAUUCUCAUAUUAUUGAGUAGUGUUUGUUUCGAUACCUUGCACCACAAUUUUACAUUGCCAUCAUAUUUAAAUUCUUUAACUCUUCCAAGUGCUUCUGAAGUACGACCAUCAAUCAUGAUUGAUUCCUUUAAUUACAUGUAUCUAUCCACUAACAUAUUGUAGUCCUAUGUUGCUUUCGAACUUCCCCAUAUGAUGCAAAGCCAUAUUGAAUCUCAUUUGGAUACUAACAUUAUAACAUUAACACUUAAAGUCAAACAACCACAAUCCUAAACGCACAACCCCAACAUUACAAAAAUAAGAAAAUCUCUAUUUCCACAAAAACGAAAAAAUGAACUUACUUACGUGUUUCUUCUAAUGCUAAAUGACGAUUUUGUGUUUCUUCCAAUGCUAAAUGGCGAUUUAGUUGAAAACAAGUUGCGCACCAAGCACACCUUUAAUCCCACAGCUUAGGUGCCUUGGAUUUCUAUUUUAGUAAAUAAUCCUAAUUUGAACUUUGAUUUUAAACAUUAACAAAGCUAAAUUUCAAUUUCAGUAAAUAUAUCUAAAUUUGUAUACUUGUAUUCACCACGUGACACACCAUUACUCACGUUAUAAAAAAUUUAAUGACAUUGACAUUGGAGGAUUAAAUUCACAAACUUUUAUAAGAAGAGAGAUGAAAAUAAAUCAAAGUUUAAAAAAAUAAUUAAAACCAAAAUCACAUUACAAUUGAAGAACCAAAUAAUCUUUAACUCUUUAAUUUCUUUUGUUGGAUAAAAAAUAAGUUAGAUUAUUAAUUAAAUGCACUGUUUUAUUUAUUUUAAAAUACAAACACAUCUAUAUUUUUUUUUCAAAGGUACGUAAACUCUUUUUUAGCCUUAUCCUGAGGGGUGCAUGAAUAUCACUACCUUUUAGACUUUUUGUUCACAGCUGAGAAGAAAAAUAUUUAGCUUUUUUACUUUUUGUAAUUAUUUUCAUACUAAUUUUGCUACACCAUAUAGAGCAAAUUUAGGUAUUUUUACUCGCUUUCCAUUUUCUUUCUGUCAUUUGGUAGCUAUUUCCAUUGUAUCAACACAAAUGGAAAUCACUAAAACAGAGGAAACCAUGCAUUUUGGAAAAACUUAAUCCUACAAGUCUUAUUUUUAUCUUCAAUAUCACCAUGCCUAACCUUUAUUAGAAGAAAUCAACUUGUUCAAUGACAUUAUGAUGCCUCUUUUUUCAAUGAAAUCCAUGCUAAUUCUAGCUUAUUUCGAGUCUCUUGUUAUUAUAUAUUCUCAACCUUGAACAUUUUAUUAACUAAAAUAAAAGUCCCACUUUAAGAAUAUUUGUUCAUCUUUCACUCUUUCAAAUGGAUAUUCAUGUUUUUCUCAACAUUUACUAUGCAAAAAGUUUUAUAAAUUCUUUCUAUAAGAGUUUUUAAUAUUAUUCUAAAUUGCCUUCAUCAUAUCACACCACUUUUAAAUAACCCAUAAUUGUUUUACUAGCUUUACAUGUCUAGUAAAAACUCAUAUUGAUAAUUUUUUUAUUUGCAAUUCACAUUUUUAAAAUUUCAAAAUUUAAUUUACUCAUUAAAAUACAUUUUUUUAUUCUCAAUAAACAGAAUUGUUCUUCAAAUAUAGUUCUUAAUAUUAUUUUUCAUUCUCAACCACAUUAUUAAAGUUUUAUUUUUUAUUCUCAGUGAAUAUAAUUAUUUAAUUUUUUUUUAUUAAAAUAACAUAACAAACUAUCUUUAUUCUUAAAAAAAUAUAAUUCCUUAACAAAUUUUAAAUAUUUUCUCCAAAAAUCCAUUAUAAAAGAUACUUAAAUAUCUAAUCUAUCAGUUAUAUACACAUAAUAAUAACAAACAGAAAUAAUAAUAAACAAAAUCUUAAAACCUAACAACAUAUUAAAUAUUAAAUCCUAACACAUUAAAAUACAUUUUUCUCUAUAAACAUAAUUGUUCUUAAAAUAUAGUUCUUAAUAUUAUUUUUCAUUCUCAACCACCAUUAUUAAAGUUUUAUUUUCUAUUCUCAGUGAAUAUAAUUAUUUAAAUUUUUUAUUAAAAUAAUAUAACAAACUAUCUUUAUUCUUAAAAAAAAUAUAAUUCCUUAACAAAUUUUAAACAUUUUCUCCAAAAAUCCAUUAUAAAAAAUACUUAAAUAUCUAAUCUAUCAGUUAUAUACACAUAAUAAUAACAAACAGAAAUAAUAAUAAACAAAAUCUUAAAACCUAACAACAUAUUAAAUAUUAAAUCCUAACACAUUAAAAUACAUUUUUCUCUAUAAACAUAAUUGUUCUUAAAAUAUAGUUCUUAAUAUUAUUUUUCAUUCUCAACCACCAUUAUUAAAGUUUUAUUUUCUAUUCUCAGUGAAUAUAAUUAUUUAAAUUUUUUAUUAAAAUAAUAUAACAAACUAUCUUUAUUCUUAAAAAAAUAUAAUUCCUUAACAAAUUUUAAACAUUUUCUCCAAAAAUCCAUUAUAAAAAAUACUUAAAUAUCUAAUCUAUCAGUCAUAUACACAUAAUAAUAACAAACAGAAAUAAUAAUAAAUAAAAUCUUAAAACCCAACAAGAUAUUUGUAACAUCCCAAAAUUAUAUAGCAAGUAUAUAAGCAUGGCAAGCCCAAAUGUAAUACUAGAAAGCAGUCUGAAGCAUCAGAUGAUAGUGUAUCAAUAUAUAAAUAUAUAUACAGUCAUCCAAAAAUAAAGUAUUUCAAAAGCUUUACCCAAUUAUAAAGUCUUUCAAAAUACAUGGUAAAGGAAGAUCAAUAGAAAACUAAGGGUAAAAACUGCAAACUAAGAAGCUAUUGAAUACUAGGUGUUGGUUCCUCANUGUCUAGUGCUUGCUCUAAGGGAGUAUCAUCUGCUGCAUCUGCUCACAUCCAUANCAGGAUGAUCAUCGCAAGAGGAAAGACCAGGAACAUACAAAACAAACAACAUACAAGUGCAAGGGUGAGCUAAGUUGAAAAGCAUGCAAGAUAAGUCCAAAUUCAAACUAACAUAUACUUAACAGUAUGCAUACAGGCAAGCAAAAUAGACAUUCUAUCAGAUUAUACAUUAAAUGGAAUUAACUAUCAUGUUAUACAAUCACACACACAACAUGUAAAGACCAUAACACAAUACAAACUAAGACCGAACACAAUUUAUUGAUACUAAUGACUGACCAUGUGAUUUAACCGUCCGGACUAGUAUGAAAUGUCGAGUUCCAGGGGUUUGUGCACUUGUGGUGGCCCUACUGCUUUGCAAAGCCAUUGCCGAGGGGUUUCACCCGACCACACACAAGUGUAAGUCCAACCAAACUCAUCUUGGCCCAUAUAAAAUGGAGACACCCAAGACUAGGACCUCCUCCUAUUCUCACCACAUGACUCAUCACUCUCUAAUUGAGCAUGAAUGAUCAUUAGAAUGUCAAGGUAAACCCCAUCCUGAACUCCGACCAUUCAUACGGUCAAUCACGACAAACUACAGUGGCACCACCAUGUAACCUCCCUUGAGGAUCAUGGAAUUACGUCCAAUAACCAUACUUUGUACAUACAAGCUUUCCAACCAUAAUUCACAACGUAAUACUUCAUACUCUUAACCAUGUUGCACAAACAUCCUUUAGUUAUGUUAUCAAAACAACUCAAACAUUACAUACUUUCACAAAACAUCACUUAUUAACACAAAUAACUUUAUAAUACUAAUUACCAAUAUUUAAGUAAUUCAAAUGGCUUGGAGACCCUCACAAAUGGAUCCGGAAGGGUAAAAAACCCUCAGAACGACCUAAAGAACGUCCAAAACGGACAUUUGGAACUCUCAAAACGUCAAAAACAUCAAAAAUACACAUUCUGUCGCAGAAAAUUCGCUGAGCGCACACCCUGUGGUGCGCUGAGCGAAUUUUCUCUGCUAAAAAUCAUUCGCAGAGCGCACAGAGUGCGCUGUGCGACUCUGUAUAAUCUGCAGAGCGAAUUUCUGCAGAUUUUAGGAACUCACACACCCAGAAUUUGUUCUAGGCCAAAUUAUGAACUUUGGAUGAUCCUAACUCGACCUCUAUGAUGUUUUAGACUUGUCUAGAUGUUUCUAAUCUAUCCUAACACAAUUCUCUAGCUGAUAUGCAUGGAUUUACCUCCUAAAAUUUCCAUUUCAUGAACCUAAGGGUCCAAUUCUGAUUUUACCAAUUCCAAGUUAAUUCAGACCAAUUUGGCACUUGUUAUAAGUCAUAAGUGACUUGUCUAAAGGUUCUAAANUGACCAAAACAGUAUAUCCUACCAGAUUCAAAUUAUAGCUACUCUAGUUCCUUUAAUUAAGCCUAAAAUGCCUAAAUCACUAAAUCUUUUACCUAUUAUUCUAGACAGCUGAAUUCUAUUCAUCAUUGUUCAAAAUUUUGCAUUCCAUCUAUUAUAUCCAAUCUAAUACACAAUCAUUCAUCAUGAAUCAAAGGUACAUUUCUCAUCCCACAGUACAAACAGUUUCAUAUACAUGAACGGAGUUCAAACACCACAAUCGGAAAAUAACCUCUUUACACACAUGCAGUAAAAUUUCACAUAACUAUGAUACAUUUCUACAAUCAAACAAUUGCAAUACACUCAAUACUAGCUUCCCUUACCUUGAGAUGAAGAAAUUCUAGCUCCCAAAGACAAAUUGCCGCACCGAAUAACCCGGAAGACCCUAGUAUCUCCCACAGAUCAGUAAUUGAAACCAAGAAACAAAUUCAGAACUUAGAUGAGGCUGGAAUUUUGGGGAAAAACCCAAAUGGAUCACAUGCAAUCAGAUUAUUUGCAUGUUUGCAGUUUUGAGAUGAACAUGAGAAGAGAAUCCACUUACCGGUCGGAUGGAAGGAAUUGACCGGUGGAAUUGGGAACCCUUUGCGUCGGGAUUUCAGGAACAACACCUAGUCAAUUUUAUACGGGAUCAGUGAGAGGAAAAUUUGAGAAAGAAGGUUGAGGGAAAUGAAGGAGUUGAGAACUGGUUUGAAAAGGGAAUGGACAAGUACGUUUCUGAAAUUAGUUUCAGAGAAGAUCGCUUUUCUAACUUAAUUUUAUCUUUAAAAAAAAAACAUAAAAUAUAAUAAAAUAAUUAAAAGUUCAGUUUUAAUUUUAGGGGUUAUUACAGUAUUAAAUAUUAAAUCCUAACAUAUUAAAAUACAUUUUUCUCUAUAAACAUAAUUGUUCUUAAAAUAUAGUUGUUAAUAUUAUUUUUCAUUUUCAACCACCACAAUUAAAGUUUUAUUUUCUAUUCUCAGUGAAUAUAAUUAUUUAAAUUUUUUAUUAAAAUAAUAUAACAAACUAUCUUUAUUCUUAAAAAAAUAUAAUUCCUUAACAAAUUUUAAACAUUUUCUCCAAAAAUCCAUUAUUAAAAAUACUUAAAUAAAUUCAUUCUUACUUUAAUUUUCAAAUUAAACUCAUUUACCACAUUCUUAACGUGUGAAAAGUAUUAUUAUAUCUUUCUCUCCCUUUUUUCAACGUUAUAGUGAAAAUUUUGCGGGGUUCAAAUUCAUUAGGAUAUAUUUUAAUUUUUAAUUUAUAAUUCUAAUAUAUUCUUUUAAAAAUAAAUUUUUAAUCUAACUAAAUUUUUUAUAAAAUAAAUUUUACAUGUACUAAUUUACUUAUAUAUUAUAAAUUAAAGUAUAAAUUUUUAACAUAAAUGAAGUGAAAAUACGUUUUUUUUUUCUUUUAAAUUAAAUGACUGUAUUGUGGAGAAAGAAUCUAGCUUUAUGCAGUGAAGCAUCGUUAUUGACAGACACACUUCUAGAGAAUAGGAGUUUUACCAAAUAUUUUGGGCUUGCUAAUGAUACCCCCGAAUCACCUAAUGCCACUUGUCACCUUCCAAUUGGUCGAUUUGAUAGCUAUAUUUUAUGGUGAUAUCUAGAUGUUAAUUAAGAUUAUAAAUGAAAUGUGAGGAUUAAAUUAGUGUGUAACUAUCCUAAUUAACAUUGGUUUGGUUGGAAAUUAGAAAAGAGUUUUUGUACAAUUUAUUUAUGACAAAACAAAACAGUAUCUCUGGUGAUGAUGACAACAUAGCUUUGGCAUAAGAAAACAGACAUGAUUACUGAAGAAACGUCAUCAUGUCCUAAAAUCUUUAUUACAACCACAUGGCUUCAUCCAAUCACCAAAACCUCUUUGUUUCUAUUGCAUUCUAUUUAAUUAUCAAUUAUCACUUCCUCACAAAUCAAAUCACUUUUUUAUCCUGCCGACUUUCAGCAUAACACAUUUAACCAUACAAAAUUAUCAGGGCCAAACCAAAAAUAAGCUAUAUAUAUAUAUAUAUAUAUAUAAUUAGAGAUUAUUUCUAAGUAUUACAAAUAUUAAUUAUCAGUUUUAUUAUCUUCUAAAAUCUAGAAUAUCAAGAUAAUAAUAUGAGAAUAAAAUAUAAUUAAAUAUUAUUUUUAUUAUGUAUAAUCAGUUAUUUAAGUUUUAGAUAUUAUAAUAUGUAUAUAACUAAUUAUUAUGCUUCUUUUUAUAUUUAUUUUUUAUUAUUUUUAAUAUUAGUUUUUAAAUAAUAACAAAAUAUGUUAAUAUAUUGAAUAUUUAAGUAUCUAAAAAUUAAAUAAUUAACUAUACAUAACAUCUAAUAUAUUCCAUUUAAUGAAUAGUUAUUAUUCUAAAUUAAUUUUUAAAACAAUCAUAUAUUUUAAUUUUUUUAAAUAUUUUUAAGAAUUACACGUACCAUGUUAUUCUACUCCAUAUUAUUUUCAGUUAAUAUUGGAUAUAGUUGUUCCCAAAAGAAUCUAACCAUAUUAUGGAUUUAGAUUGUUGACCUAUAAGUAAUUGCUUAAUUAGUUGUUUUUAUAUCUAUUUCUUAUAAACGAUGAUAAAUAUAUCACGACCAUAACAUUAAAAUUAGUUUAAUUUUAAUUUGUUUAGUUGCGGUUUUCUAAAAUUAAAUUUACACACCCUAGAUUAACUCCUUAUAAUUCUAAGAAAAAGGAGAAAGAAAUAUUAUUUUUAGAAUUGAAUUCAAAUGAAUAAAUUUAGGUACAGAAUUUAAAUAUGUCAAUAUUAAUUUUUAUUAGAACAAAUAGAUAAAUUCAUAAAAUAAACAAACAAUAAAAAGAAGAUAUUUUAACUUUUUGAAUAACUUUAAAAUCUCCGAAAUUUGAACCAGAUUAAAAUAUAAAGAUAAUUUCAUAUUAAAAUUUAUAUUAAAAUAUACUUUUUGAUUAAUGGUGACUGUGAAGGCCUCUAAUCAUUGACAUUAACUGAUGCAGACUGUAGAAAACAUUUAAUUUAAUUCAGAUCUGAUUUGUUAGCAGGCUAGGGUUAGCAAUAGAUAGGACGUUGUUGUUGGUUCCUACUGAAUACGGUUUAUUCGGACUGUUAUUAUUAUUAUUAUUUAUUAACGACUAUAUAUAGGAAAAAUGAAUGGAAGGUGAUUCUUUGGUGGCGUAGCCUAGCAGGUCAGGGGAAACGGAGGAAGAAGAAUAUCUUUCUCUAUACAACAGUGCUCCUUCCUUCGUUCUUUCAAAGAGGUUUCCUGUCUCUCUCUCUCUCUCUCCACCCUCUAUAUGUCAUAUCCUGUGUUCUUUUCUUCCUCAUGGAACCUCUGCUAUUGCAAAAUCCCAUGAUUUAUGAAUAAUUUUUGUUGUAUAUUCGAUUCAAAGAUGCGAUUUUGUUUGACCCCAUUGCUGCCCUUUUUCGAAUAAAUCAAUGGGCUUGGUCAAAGUUUUUCCUUGAUUGCUGUUUGGAUUUUUUUUUAUUUUUUUUAUUUGGGGGGUUUUCAUUUUUGAAAUAUUUGGUUUGUCGAAUUUGUUUUGUUUGGAAUUUUUGAAGAAGUUCAACAUGGUUGAGGCAGUCUUGGAAUUUAGAGUUUAGGAAUGAAUGAAGAAGCCGUUUUGAAGCAUCGACGUAAAGAUGGGGUCUAUUGUAUUUCUUUUGUAGAGACCACAUGUACAUUGAGACAAUCAUGGUCGAACUGGUAGGAUUAUUGUAAACAGCUAUAGUCUCCCUCCAUGUCUUUCAUUGCACACGCAGAACUCGAACUUGAGAUAAUUAAUUAAGCUGCAACUUUCGUACCGGUUGAUCCACGAGCUCUGUGGUUGGGGUCUAUUGUAUUUGUUCUUGUGACUUAGGUACAGAAUAGGAUGAUACACUAUAUUGCAGAUUAUGUGAAUGAUUUCUAUAGGUUUUAUCUUCAAGUUAUGUUUUUGGAUUGAGAAAAAAAAUGUUUUUUGGUUUGUUUUUUUAAUUGUUGAUCAUGUUCUUCUACUUUUACUAUAAUUACACAUCAGAUUGACCUUUAUUCUCGGUUCCUUUUUGUUUACCAGGACUGCAUCUCUUAUGCAUAUCUGUCUCUGGAUUCUGCCGGUUGGAAAGGAAUUUAUUUCACUCUGGCCGCUAUAACAGAGUCAAAUUAUUCUCGCACCUCUAGGAGGGUGUGGGGUGACGAAGAGGGAGUGAUUUGGCUUUGUGUUUUGCGAAGAUCAAAGUCUUCGGAUAUAUGGAGAUUGUGCCGUGUUUCAGUGGGCUUGUCGCUUGAUUAUGGCUAAGGGUGGCUUUUGCGGUUUUGCCAGAAGCUCUUUCUAGUUUGCCACUGAAUCUGAGAGCAAAUUUAGUCCUUGAUUAGGCUUCUGGAAAAUUGAUGCAUGGUAUAGAUUGUAAUUGGUAUUUGUUUUUCGCCUUAGAGAAAGUUGUGUUUAGAUGUAGCUGUGAACGUCAUUGCAGCAAUGUUUAGAUUUUCUUGUUUCCAUGCUAAUGUACACAGCAAUAAAACAAAGGUAAGUAUAAGAUCUAUGAAUUGCUUGGUAUUGUUUGUUGAUAUGGUAUAUAUCAUGGCCUAUGUUGACUUUGUGCUUUCCUCUUCAAUCAGAAAACAGUUCAACCUUCUACUGAAGUAAUGUUGAAGACUUGUGAAGAUGUUGCCCAAAAUCAACGCCGUAAAGAUUCAUCUAAUCCUCCAAGCGCAUAUUCACCCCUUCUGAAAGAACAAGCAGACCAGCAAAUAGAUGUGACUGGGAUUCAUAUUAGCAAUUGGGAUUCAGUUGAGCGCAGUUGUAGGUCAGAGGAUAUGAGUAGCAAAUGUUCCUUUGAAAAUGACAGUCAAGUUAACCAAUCUAGGCCUCUUAUAAAGAAGAGUCAGUCUCUUCAAAGUGUGCUUGAUCAAGGCAUAAGGGAUGGUGAUGAAGAUAUGGGGCUGUCGUGUGGUGAUGCCAAAAGCCCAGUUGAGUCAAAGAUGUCAACUUCCAAAAAGUAUCAUAAUGGAAACCCUGUUGAUCAGUAUGGAAGUAAUCCAAACGUUGAGUUUGCUGCCAGUUCAGGUUUUGCAAAUGAUGCCUCGCUUUUUUCAAUUGGAGACCCAACACCUUCAGAUAAAGACGCCCGUGAAAUUUCUGACACUCCUUUAUCUGGUGAAUAUGUUGGUGACAUUCCUGACCAAACUUCUGUUCCUGGUAGUGUAUCCCUACGGAAGUCACAUUCUUCACCCAAUAUCAGAGCUUCUAUACUUUCUGCUGAAAAAGAUGCUUUUAGACGUGCAUUAUCAAGAUCCUGUGAUGAUCUUCAUGCUUUAAGCAUGAGGCACAAAGAGGAAUUCAUCAACGACUUUAAUGAUCAAAUAAGGGGAGAUCAAGAAAGAGAGAAUGACAUGGGAAAAACUGAAGAUGGUCAUAUGGACAACCUCUUUGAUGAUGGUUUCGAUUCUUAUCUGCUUACUGGUUCAGCAAAAGACUGGGUAAUGCCAUUGACAUAUGAUACAAGUGAUUCCAAAACCCUUCAAGGAGAUUCCUCUGUUGAAUUUCCUAACAAGGAUUUCAAGAUUAAACGCAUUGAAGAUUGGGUUAUUGGUCUGCAGCAUUGUGGACCACCCGUAGAGGAAACAAAUGAAGAACUGCCUGAAGUUGUUAAGCCUUUAGCUGAUGUUAACACAGUAAAUGGUGUAACUGUUGCCAUUGCAGAUCAUAAGGCCACUCCAGGAAUGGAUGCAGCUAAAAGAUAUAUAUCUUCUCUGGGGCCUAAUGCCACUACCGCUCAGCUGGCUAAUCAUGGGUUGGUUGUGAUCCCCUUUUUGAGUGCAUUCGUGAGUUUGAAAGUGCUCAAUCUGUCUGGAAAUGCUAUCGGUUAGUAGUACAAUUUCUUUAUUCAUUAUCGAUUUCCUUCAAACUGACAGUACUAAAUCCAGUUAUCUUUGUUCUGAAUUCUCCUUUUCAGUGAGGAUAACUGCUGGUGCUCUUCCCCGUGGACUUCACGCACUGAAUUUGUCUAGAAACAAGAUCUCCACUAUAGAAGGAUUACGCGAACUUACAAGGCUUCGUGUCCUAGACCUCAGUUACAACCGUAUAUUAAGAAUUGGACAUGGUAAAACAAAUUCUGGAUUACAUCUCAAGUUUCUUAUAUAUAGAACUUCUUUUAGAAAUAACAUGUUGAUGCCAUUAUCUAUUGACAUCUAAUAUUUUUCUUCAUCUGCAAAGGCCUUGCAUCCUGCUCAUCUCUGAAAGAGUUGUACCUCGCUGGAAACAAGAUCAGCGAAGUGGAGGGUCUGCACCGUCUCUUAAAAUUAAGCAUCCUGGAUCUCCGUUUUAACAAGAUUUCAACAGCCAAAUGUCUGGGCCAACUUGCAGCCAACUAUAACUCUUUGCAAGCCAUCAACUUGGAUGGGAACCCUGCCCAGAAAAAUGUUGGAGAUGAACAGAUGAAGAAAUAUCUGCAGGGCCUUCUACCCCAUCUCGUCUACUACAAUCGGCAACCAAUAAAAGUGAGCACUUUGAAGGAUGGAGCAGAACGGUCGGUUCGGCUAGGAAUGAAUUCCCAUCAGUUUGAUCGCAGCCUUAGGUCGGAUCGCAAGACCACAAGGAAGAGCAGCCAAGGUGGUGUUGGCUCACGGAGGUCAGUGGCCACUUCCACUCAUGUUCGCAGAAACGUGGAUUCACCAAAAGUAUCCAGAGGCAAGCAAGCUCACCUGCCACCAUCUAGAACCAAAGUACCAACCCACACUCGCCAUCAGUUUGAAGCUCCCACCAAAGUAUUGAACGUGACCUCAAAUCUCUCCAUGCGCAAGAGUCGCAGCGAGGGAAAUUUUGGAGCUCUGUGAGAGGCUGUUAAGUACAAAGCUCAUUCCUUUACUGCAUUGUUUCAGUAUGCAUCUGUUUGCCUUGGUAUGUUGUAUUCUUUUCAUGCUUUCGGUUUUCACAGUUCAUCCCUUCUGUUUUUGGUGCACUAUUGAUUUGUGGGUUGUAAUGCCCAAUAAGCUGCUGCUUUCUGUCACAGUAUUUCUAUUCCAUUAUGUGUUGUGUUUUGUUCGUUAAGAACAUCAUUUUCAAUUUGUCUAGAGAACAAGUUUGGUGCGAUUGCAAUAAAUUUCCUCUUUGGAAGGAUGGUUUGUCACUUCCAUGAUUUUGUUAUGUGGGGUUGAUGUGCUCCUUACUGAUAUUAGGAUUAAACAACUGUAUCUUAUCUGGACCAGUGUAAUUAAACCAAGUUACUAGGCCUUGGCCCCACUUAUUUAGUGCAGAUUAUUUAUUUGAAUACUUAUCUUUAAAACAUUUGCAUUAUUUGUAGUUUUUAUUUCUUUGAUAUAUCAACUCAUGUGUCAUCCAUUUUUUUUUCAACCUUCUUUUAAAUGAAUUUGGUUGGUUAAUUAAACUCAACUUGUACUUGGACUGUGUUUUGGUUUCGAUUUUUAAUUCAAUCUAAAAUGGGUCACCAUCUCUUAACACGAUAAUGAAACAAUUUUACUAGACGGUAUUAUCUCUUCUUAAGAAAAAAACUUUCCUUUUCUGCAUGAAAAAGACCACAGCAAGAGGAAGUAGAACCUAUAAAAUUAUAACGAUGUGUUGAGCAAAUAAGAAAGUUCAAGAAGACCAGUAGCAGCUCGUGGUUUUUUAAACAUUCAAUCCAUAUUAACGUAUGAAAAUCAGAUAUUGUGACAGGACAUAGCAUUAUAGUAAGAGAAGCAGUUGAAGGAUGUACAUAAUGCUAUGUCAUGAUGUAUUAUAUUCAUCAUAUAAUUUUAAUUUUUGGGAUGUUACAUAUAUAACUCUUGUCAAAUUAAAUUAAUAUAAAUUUUGUAUUAUUGUUGAAGUGUCUUUACUCAUACAUUUUGUGUUGGCUGUCAAAAGAAAUGUUAUAAAAUGAUUGUGAAAACUCUACAAAAUUGAAUGAAGUAGAAUUUCAAUAGAGAAAACAUAAGUCCACUCUAUGUUACAACACACAUAUUUUUAACCGUUAACCAAAAUUGGUAGUAAACUAACUAACUAUGAAAUAUCUCUGCUAACAUUUUCCCGCAAGCUGGAAUCGAUAUUAAUUAUUUCAGGUUUGGACACAAGGUAUUGAAAAGGUCGUAGAAGAGAGUUAAUGUUGGAAGUCCCACAUCGAUUAGAUAUAAGACUAAUUUAUAAUAUAUAAAUGAGGAUCAAUCUUUACCUUACAAGCCGGUUUUGUGAAGUUGAGUUAGGUUUAAAACCCACUUCUAAUUACAAGUUGAUGUUUACCAAGAAUGAACAUUAGAUGUUGUAAUUUGGAUGAAUUUUCUCAUGCAGCAAGUAGCAAUCAAGUUCAACGUGUUUGUUCACUCAAGAAAAACAAGAUUAGGUAUAAUAUGAAGGGCAACUUUGUUGUGACAAAAGAUUACAACUGGACGAGUAAUACAAAUGCCAAAGUCUUGAAGAAGAUAUACACCAACUACUUAGUUUCACAGCUAGCAUGUGCUAAUGUUCUAUACUUUGCUUUAGAUGAGGAUCUUGAGACAAUGUUUUGCUUUAUGAAUUUUCAAGAAAUCAAAGUUGAAUCAAGGAAGAAGCAGAAACCAAUUACAAAUCUUCGUGUAUCAGGCAUGCUCCCUAGUCCGAAGAAAAACUGUUAAGAUGAAGCAACAACUGAAUAGAAAAUUAAAGGUCUUAUGGAAGGUUGCCUUUUAUAUAUUGAAGAACACAAUAAACAACUGGCAAAUGCAGGGAAGUAGGUGUGCUGAGAAAACGACUAAGCUUGCGGAAUGUGAAGGAAAUGUCUGGUGUGACAUUAAUUAGUAAGAUAAACCCAUUGCCCAGUGAGCCUACCAUAGAUAGAAGCAAGGGGAAAAGAUAAUCCUAGCAGUUUUAGAAAGUUUGAGGGAAUAAUCCUUUGGGGUUGAAAACGAUUUGGAUGCUAAUAACUAACAUAUUGCAAGAGAUCGAAAACAUAUAGAAGAUUGAGCAAUUUCAAAUCCUAAGAAAAAUUUUAGAGAAUCAAGAUCCUUAAUGCCAAAUAUUUAAUUUAACAAAAAUUUAAUCUUAUCUUAGAUAUAUCAAGAGUGUUAGGUUUCUUGGUAACAAGAAAUCUAAAUUAAAGUAAGGCAGUGUUUUAUUGAAUUUAAAAUACAGAAAAAAUCAACAAUUUUUAAGGGAAGACAUUCUUUCUACACGAACUACACUGUACUACUAAAAUUUAUACUAAAAUAAAAAUUAAUUUGUCUAAACUGAACUCUAAAAGAGUUUAGAUAAACUGAACUUAUUUUUGUUUUACCUUGAACUGAACUCAACUGUACUAAAUUGUAAUAAACUACCAUCUGAACUGAACUACUAACUACACUAAUUUUAAAUUGAAUAGUAUAACAAUACAUGGUAUUUUUAAUUGAAAUUUAUUUUAAUAUUUAUUUUAUUUUACUCAUAAGUGUCUUACAAAUUAUUUUUUUAAUUAUUUGAUAUUAUUAUUUUCUAUUUUAUUUAUAUUUCUUUUAUUAUUAUGUGUAUGGAAAUUAUUUUAUUUUUUAUUUAUUUUUUUUAUUUUUUAUUUUUUAUUUAUAUGUAUUUUGUCAUGAAUAUUAUUUUACUUUUAUAUUUAAUUUUUUAAUUUUUUAUUUAUACUUUUUAAUUUUAUAUGUGUAUAUAAUUUAAUUUACCUUUUUAUCUACUUAUUUUAUUUUAAAAUAAUUUUUUAUUUAUAUUUAUUUUGUUCCCUCAUAAAAUUGUUCUAUUAAUCAAUUAUUUACUAUUUAUAUUUUAUUAUGUAAAAAUUAAACUAAUAUUUAUUAAUUAUUAUAGUAUAAUAAAAUAUGAUACUAGAAAAGUUACUCUUAAUAAACAUAUGUUAAUUUUUUUUAUUUGAUAUUUCUAUAAUAUUAAUUAUUUUUGCUAUAUUACUAUUUUUUAUAAUAUUUCAUUAUAUAGUCAUUUAAUAAAAUUUAACGCUAAAAAGUAUAUUUUAAUUUUAGUCUGUAAAAUACUAUCAUUUAAAAAUAAUAAUAUUGAUAUUUAUUUUAAAGUAAGUUGAUUUUUAAAAUAAAUAAUUAUUUUAGUGUGUGUGCUUACACACAUUUUAAUAUCAUCAAAAAUUAUUUUUAACAUAUUUUUACAUAUUUAAUAAUAUGUUAAAGAAUAUAAUAUAUUUAAAGUAUUAUUUUUUAUAUAGUCUAUUUUUUUUUCUUUUAUGAUUUCUAUUACUUAAUAAUUUAAUAACAUUAAAUUUUGAAAAACUAUAUUUUACUUUUAUUACUUCAAAUAAUAUUAUUUAAAAAGUAAUAUAUGUUUAUUGAUAAAAAAAUAUAAAAUUUUGUGAUAAAAAAAUGUUGUCUUAAAAAAUUAAUUAUUAAUUUUUUAUGUGAACGGUUUCUUUUAUUAAUAUUUUAUUAUUAAAUAAUGUUUUCUUGGUAAGACGAAGUUGUUGAACUAGAACUAGGGAAGAGGAAAGAGUAGAUACAGUUCUUACAGUUAACUGAACUGAAACUGUUAUAAAUUCAGUUUUUAAAAACUGAACCAUAAAAUAGUAUAUUGAACUUUUAGUAAAAGUUAAUCAGUUUUUUUUAGUAUAAUACAGUAUAAUUAAUUAUAGUACAACACAAAUCAGUUAUUUUUACCCAGUCCUACUGUUAUGCAAUAAAACACUCAACAAACUCCUCCUAGACAUGCCCCCUUCUUAAAAGAUAAAAUCACCUAACUGUUGAUUAAAACUUCCCCUUACUACUGGUUAAAACUCCUCCUAGCUACCCUAACCACUUCUUACUAACUUCUAUGUUUUUUCCUAAUGUAAACCUUCAAGGUUCUAUCAAUACUUUUGGGAUUUGAACAACCUUGUUUGCAAGGUUGAAGUUAAGAAAUUGGCCCCGAAUAAGUCCUUCUUCUUCCCAUGUUACACCUUUAAGACCACCCUUCUUCCAUUUGAAGAGAAGUUGUGCGACAAUGAGUCCGUGCAAGGAAUACAUUCUGCGAUCUAGAACUAUAACUUGGCUCCUUAUAUUGCAGUUCCACUGGAAGAUCCUUCUCCACUUGCAAGCUGUGAUUUCUCAUUGCUAGUUUAAGCUACGAAACAUGGAAAAUUAGGUGUAUCCUUGCUGAUUUUGGUAAUUACAAGCAAAAGGCUAGCAUACCUACUUGCUUGAGGACUAUGAAAGGUCCAUAGUACUUGGGUGUAAGUUUAGGAUGUAAUCUGGCAGGCAUGGACAUCUAUAUGUGGUCUGAUCUUUAAAAACACCCAAUCCUCAACUUAAAUCGAGAUGGUUUCCUUUUCCUAUUAGAAAAUUUCACCAUUUGCUCUUAAGCCCGACCAAGGUGAAAUUUCAUAUGCUUGAGAGUCUAAUCCCUAUCUGUAAGGUCCUAAGCUAUAGCCUCUAUUAAGGUUUCUCCCAUAACAAAAUGGGAUAAAUUAGGUAAUGCUGACCAUAUACUCUUUCAAAAGGUGUGCACUUGGUUGAUGCUUGGAAACUUGUUUUGUACCAAUAUUCAACCCAUGGUGGAAAGGAACUCUAAGUUUUUGGUUGUUCAAAAUUAAAACAUCUUAAUAGUCCUAUUCAAGACCUUAGUUUGUCCAUUAGAUUCAGGAUGAUAAGCUAUACUCAUGAAUAAUCUAGUAUCCUAAAGAGAAAACAAUUCCUUCUAGAAUAAACUCAUAAAGGUAGGGUCUCUAUCACUGAAGGUGGAGGAUAAAUUCGCAUGUAACUUCACCACCUUCCUUAUAAAGACUUCAACUAUGGGCUUGGAGUGAAAAUCUCUUGUACAGGAAAAAGUUUCAAAGAAAACUCUUAGCAUUUUUUAUUCAAUCUAUGGAAAAGUUGCAAAGAGAGCUCCUAGAGUUUGCCGCUCGGUACAGGGAGCAAUGAAGAUUUAAAGCGCAUCGAAGAUAGACUCCCUAAAUACAACGUGAGCGACCUCUUUUAAAGCUCAUAAUAAUCCCUACGCACCUCUUUCAAUAAAGAGCUUGCUUGGGCUUGGGAGGCUUAUGUACUAUAUGAAAUAUACCUAUCAGAAUUAAUUGUCAUUUAUGGACAAUUAUCAGGUAUUAAUAGGUCAGAUUGCCUUAUACUUUAGAAAUAUACUAUAUUGAUUAUUAAUUAUUGGGUUUGAUUACCUAAAAAUAUAUUGCAUUAAUGUUUAAUAACGGACCUGGCUGUCACAAGUCCUAUAAAUAUACAAUGGAUGUCCAGGUACAAUCAUCUUAAUCUAUCCUAAUAAAAAUAUUGACCUCUCUAUGAAACAUAUCUGACUUGAGCGUUAGAGUGUCUUCUGCAGGUCAACCCCCAAUCGGGAAUGAUUACAUGAAGAGUUGGACUAUCAGAGCAUAGCAAGGAAGAAUGACCGACCCUUGGAAUGGACAACUUUGAAUGUUUUGGAUUAAGGAUCUCAACUCAACCGAAACAAUUACCAAACUUUGUAGGCAAAAAUGAUUCUGGUAAUCGAUUACACCCUUGUUGUAAUCGAUUACCGGUAGGUUCAGUGGCCAAAAACUCCUUGGUAAGCGAUUACCAGAGUGUGCAGUAUGCAAAAAUGACCCUAGUAAUUGAUUACACCCUUGUUGUAAUCGAUUACCAAAGUGUUUGGAUGUUGAAUGAUUUUUUUUUUUUUAAACAAAAGGCAUAAGGGUUACUCCUGACUUAAAAAGAUGGUGAUGUGACAUGUAAAGCAAAAAGUGAAAGUUAUUAUUGAUAAUAUUUUGUAAGGAUAAAUAAUUACAAAUAACAAAUUUUAUGAUAAUAACUAAAACUAAAAUCAUGUUAUCAUUUAAAAUAAUAUAUAUAUAUAUAUAUAUAUAUAUAUAUAUAUAUAUAUAUAUAUAUAUAUAUAUAUAUAUUAAGUAAUUAUUCUUCCAUAUACAACCACUCCAAGGUUGUGGUCCACUAUUACUUGUAUAAUCACUUCUCCACAACUUGCACCAUCAUUUAUUUAUGCAAGUGAUCAUGACAUAAAAAAACAUAACCAACAAUAAAAAUAAAGUAAGUUGGAGAAAUUUUAAACACAUAAUCAAUGAAUCAAUAUCAAUAUAACAUCUAUAAUACACAAAUUUAUUAUAAAUUCAAUUUUCAAAAUAACAUGUAUUAAGUUCAAUACCCAUGAAGUCACAUACCUAUCAUGUAACCAUAUAGAGUAGUAUUAUAACAUCUGACCUUGGUUCAUUCAAUUUAAAAUCUUUCAUAACAAGAUUAAUUCUUCCCGUUGCACCUACAAUUUAUAAAGUUGAGGCAAAGGAGGUAUAAUCCAAGUGUCGUGCCUCAUCAACCGUUAGAUUGCCUCACAUCCAACAUCUCCCUUUUAACAACAUUCAUUUCAAACCACAUUACGCACUACCCUAGAUCUUGUACCAUUAGCCCAUAGACUUUUAGGCUCGACACAACAUAAUUCGAGCCUGAGGGACCAAUAUAUCAUACGAAAUCAGGAUAAUAAAGUAAUUAAUUAUUUUUCCAAAACAAAACUUUACAUACCUGUUCUAGCCUGGGGAGCUAGUGAACUAUCCAGAUCAUCUGGACCCGAGCAGUACAGUACCUAACACCUCAACAAAAGUCAUAAAAGCCAACUCAUAGCAAACAUAAAAUGAUUGAUCCCAACUAUCAACACUCGUCCAAUAAUCACAUAAUGUAAUAUAUAUAAUUUUUCUAAUUUUGCAACAAUCUGAAGGCACAACAACCAAUGAAUAAUAACAAUAAAUCAUUAAAAUCACAAAGCAAAGAUAUCAAUAUUUUUAAUAUGAAAAACUUCUUAAAAAAUGUGAUGAAAAAUUGAUUUGCUCUAAUCUCAAUUGAUAGGAGUGGACCAAGUUAAUCUUUAUUAAUAUGCACAAUAAAUAUCCAUGGUGGAGCAAAAUCGAAAGAUUGGAUCAAAUUCCACACAAGGAACAAGUCUUGAUGCCAAGAUGAUGGAAAUCCUCUUCACUCAAGUUGAAAGAGAAUCCAUGGAGACGAUGUAUUGACAUGAAAGCAUAAAAAGACAAAGGACGUUGUGUUUGGAGAGUAGGUUUGGAAUGUUUCUCGAAGGAGGAGGCUGGACCAAUCUUCAACGAAAGCGUUAGGAGAAGUCAAAUAAAUGACAAAUCUAAUGAACUUAAAGUAAAGGGCACUACAAUUUUGGCAAGAGUUUUCUUCACAUAUUCCAAGUUUUUAAUGUACAAGGUUUGGUCACUCAUAUUUAUAGGAUAAGAGAGUGAACCCAUUUGAACAAGAGUACAUUGAAUCAGUAAAGAUGCAUUGAAAUAAAGAGUUUCUUAAACCUUCUUCAAGUGUAGAUUCAAUAUAUGAGAGUCUUCUCACUUAAACAUUGUUCUAGAAGGUUCCUUAAGGCCAAGCAAGCCCAAAACCAUUUUAGAUCGCAUCUUACUCAAGAGAUAAGUUCAAAAGACUCAAAAUUAGCAUGUUGUCACAUUUUGGUAGAAAUAAUCGAUUAUGGAACAUGGUAAUAGAUUAUUGUCAUGAGUGCAACAUAGAAAAUGUCAAAGUUGACAAGAAUAAUUGAUUCUUGAUACUUAUUUAAUCAAUAUAAUACAAGCCUAAAUGAAACGUAAACUUGACCUAAAUACAAGAUUUAAAGAAAAGAUUUAUUUACAUAUUUACAAAACUUAGAAAAAGGAAAGAUUAAGCUACAACACUAUCUUCAUAAGAGUAGAGUCCUUCUUCUUCUUUCAUUCUCCUAGCCUUAGUUGAAAUUUUAACUCUUUGGAUGGAUCACCAUUAAGCUCCUUAGAUGAGUUUCCAUCAAUAAGAAUAAAAACCACGAGUUGUCCAGACCAAAAAAUAACUCCACUAUAAUCAACAAAGAGUAUAAUCAACUGUACAAAAUAGUGUUAACACUUAGUCAAAAAACAAAGCAACAAAAGCUUGCAAAGAGAUAACAAGGAAGAUAAAAAAACUAAAUACAUAGUUGCAGUGGGAGUUGAAUAUUCCUAACUUAUAUCUCAUAUCAACGAUCCAAAUCAACUUAUUUGAAUGAAGAAUAGGAUAUCCCGAAUCUAGUGUCAAAUUUUUAGUCUGAUUCAAUGAUAAACGAAUUUGUAAUACUAAUUUUACAGUCACAAUUAUGAAAAGGUUAAAACCACUUUGGCGUCCCUGUUUUCGUAAUGUUUUCCCAAUUGGGUCCCCGUCUUUUAAAACCUCCCAAUUAAGUCCCUUUAAGUGUUAAUUUGAAACCAAUUAACCCUUCGCGUUAAAAAUCGUAAACGGUGUUAAACUAUUGCAGAUGUGUUGGCUGACGUGGUAGACGUUUAAGUAUGUAGUGAAACGUGUCAAGAAAUUGAGUGGAUACGUGGCCUUUUAAUGAAGGAUUAAAAAAUGGUAAUGAUCAAUUAGUUAUAAACUGAAAUUAAAAAGGGGAAUUAGGUUUCAGUUAAUUGAAAAAGGGAUUUAGGGUUCAGUUAAUUAAAAAAGGGCAUUACGGGGUUCACUUAAAUGAAAAGGGGAAUUAGGGUUCUGGAACAUCGAAAAACAAUUGGGUUCUGGGACUNAUACAAGCUUCAGAGGAGUGCAUCGCAAGUUCAUACACAUCGCAAGUUUCAGACGAAUCAUACGUGAAUCGGUCAUUGCAGCUUCGUCAUUCCUUACUUUAAGUUGAAUCGCGACUUCGUUCUGCGUUUUGGUGUAGUCGUUUCUCUUGAAAUUGGUGGAAGGUAAGUUAGUUAAUUNGGGAUGGGUUUUUUAAUAUGUUGAUUAUUUGGGAAUGCCUUUAUGUAAUAUCUUGAUUAGUUGUAAAAAGUUGUUUUAUGGGGAUGCCUUUUUUAAUGUCUUGAUUGUUGUGGUUUCUCUUGAAUCUGCUGAGACUGUAGUUUAAUAUUUGAUUGUGAUAGUUCGUAUUGUUAUGUGGGGAUGGCUUUUUUAUAUGUGGGGUAUGGGUUGUCUGAAAAUUUGUUGUAUUGUCUUUNCGGUUGUGGUCCCCCAUGUCCCCCAUAGUUAUACUUAGAUCCUGUUGUCAUUAUCACUUUAUUAAGCGGUGUCUUUUGUCCUUUUAUGGUUAUUGGUAGGUGUAGCAUAUUGUUUACGGUUACGGUGUUAUGAGUGAUGGACCAUAUCGAAGUAGUUAUUCAUCAUGGGGGAAAGUUCGUGAAUGAGGGCUGCUUAAAGUAUGAAGGGCUAAUUGAGACACUUGUAUUUGAUCCUGACGUAUGGAGUUUUUUUGUGGUAGUGAGUGUAGUAAAAAGUCUAGGGUAUGAUGGUUUUAAAGAGUUGUGGUACUCUGUUGGUUGUGGUCCUAUCUUAGAUGAUAGGCUAGAAGCAUUGACUGAUGACGUAGGUGCCAUGCAAAUGGUCACUUUAGCUCACUUAAAUGGACGAGUUCAUAUGUAUGUAGUGCACAAUGUGUCUGAGGCUGAAGUCAUUCACAUGAUUGAGUUUAACGUUGAUGAAGGAGGUGAGGAUGUAGCUGGUGAUGGUGAGAGGAUAGCUGAUGAGGGGAUAGGUGAUGAAAGGGUAGCUGAGGAGGAAGUGGUUGUCGGGCAGGCAGAGGAAGUUCAUGGUGAGGCUGCUGUCUCACCAAAUGGUCAGGGUGGGGAUGUUGCUGGGGAUGUUGCUGGUACUGAGGUUGAUGAAGAUUAUGUUCAGAUUACAAAGGUUAAUAGGGCAGAAGAAGUUGAAGUUGAACUUGAGUCUCCUAGUAGUGAGGUUAAUAGGGGAGAGGAAGUAGAUGGUAUUGAGGUGCAGCCUGAUAGUGUUGAGGUUAAUACGGUACAACCAUGUGAAGUUGAAGUUGAGGCUGAGAGGAUACAACCACAGGAUGGUCAGAUGGAUGAUGUAGAAGUUGGUGAUUGGAGUUCAACACAUGAAAUUGAUGGUGAGAUGGAUAAGGAGGAUGGGUUAGUAGACGUAGAUAUUGAGUGUCAUAUAAGUGAAAGCUGUAGUGAUUUGGAGGUUGAGGUUGAGCCAUUUCUACCUGAGUCUGAUUCUGAUAAGCAUGGAGAUGAGAUUAAUGAUUGUAGUUCGUUCAAUGAUGAAUGGCAAUCUGAUGAAUUAAGUUCACGUGUGAUAAUGCUAAUUCUUACCAUUAUUUAAGCAUCAGUUUAGUGGCAAAAUCAACUCCUUCAUAGCUUUUACUUUGUUUUAUCCUCACAUUUAGUGUGUUUUCUAGUUUUCUUGUGUUUAUUUAGCAUAUGCUUGUUUUUACCUCUAAUCUUUAUGUUUGAGUGUGUGAAAUAAAGGAAUAGGAAGCAAUUCUAGUGGAGGAAAACAAGCAAGAACUCGAGGGAACAUGUUUUGGGACCAUAAAAGAUCAAUUUGAAGCAAAUACCCAUGUUGGACGCCUUCGGAAUCGCGCAAGAGCCUGAAUUUUUGAAUGCUGUCAAAGCUGUCUGGGCUGGGGCACCCCCAAAGGGGGGCUGGGGCGCCCCUGGCUGCAGAAAUGGCGCCUGGGCGCCCCCAAAGGGGGGUUGGGGCGCCCUUGGCUGCAGCAAUGGCGCCUGGGCGCCCCCAGAAGGGCGCUAGGGUGCCCCUGGCUGCUGAUUUUCUGCAGAUUUGGCGCCUGGGCGCCCCUGGGGGGCGUUGGGCGCCCUUUGAUUUGCUGUUUUGUAUUUUUAUGGCGCCCGGGCGCCCCAGAAGGGGGCGCUGGGCGCGACUUUUCGCUGAUGUGUCAAAAAUGGGUUAUUUAAACAUGGUUCUCGCGAUUUUUGGGGAUUCUUCUCCUCCUACACUUCAUUCUUCACCUAGAGAGAUUGGGAGAGGCCCUUGGAGGCUAUUUGGGGUGUUGGGAAGCUCUCCCACUCCUCCUUGGGUCUUCAAGCUUCUUCAAUGGUGAUUUUUNNNNNNNNNNNNNNNNNNNNNNNNNNNNNNNNNNNNNNNNNNNNNNNNNNNNNNNNNNNNNNNNNNNNNNNNNNNNNNNNNNNNNNNNNNNNNNNNNNNNNNNNNNNNNNNNNNNNNNNNNNNNNNNNNNNNNNNNNNNNNNNNNNNNNNNNNNNNNNNNNNNNNNNNNNNNNNNNNNNNNNNNNNNNNNNNNNNNNNNNNNNNNNNNNNNNNNNNNNNNNNNNNNNNNNNNNNNNNNNNNNNNNNNNNNNNNNNNNNNNNNNNNNNNNNNNNNNNNNNNNNNNNNNNNNNNNNNNNNNNNNNNNNNNNNNNNNNNNNNNNNNNNNNNNNNNNNNNNNNNNNNNNNNNNNNNNNNNNNNNNNNNNNNNNNNNNNNNNNNNNNNNNNNNNNNNNNNNNNNNNNNNNNNNNNNNNNNNNNNNNNNNNGAACUCUAGUCUUGACAAAUUGUAAAUACACUAUGUUAAAUUCCUUGCACACCAACUGUUUGAUAAAAAUACCAAAAAGAGUUUCUUGUGUUUUUGUGCACUUUGAUGUCUAAUUGAGUUAUNAAAGGANNAAUUNUCAUGUNUUGCACAAGUCUCUUGGGAAAACGAUACCUGGUCUUACUAGUUUUAUUACUUGAACGAUUUGGUACACUUGCCAAUUAGUAGACGUAGAUAUUGAGUGUGAUAUAAGUGAAAGCUGUAGUGAUUUGGAGGUUGAGGUUGAGCCAUUUCUACCUGAGUCUGAUUCUGAUAAGGAUGGAGAUGAGAUUAAUGAUUGUAGUUGGUUCAAUGAUGAAUGACAAUCUGAUGAAUUAAGUUCACGUGACAAUAGUGAUGAAGACAGUGAAGUAGAAGGUUAUGGACAUUUUUCCACAUUUGUGCAGCCCAAAAAUAUGGUAGAUUUUAAGUGGGAAGUGGGAACCUACUUCGUAGAGAAAGAAGACAUCCUUGAUGCAAUCAAAACUUAUGCAAUGGAGAAUGGGAGAAAUUUGAAAUUUGUGAAGAAUGAUAAAAGAAGAAUAAGGGUUAGAUGCUUGGGCUCAAAAGGAAAAUGCCCGUGGGUGGUAUAUUUUGGUUUCAUGGGUGCAAUUAAGUCAUGGCAAGUAAGGACUGUGUUUGACACUCAUACAUGUACUAGAGAACACAAGGUUCGACUAUUCAAUGCAAAAUGGCUUAGUAGAAAACUAGAAAAAACAGUGAGAGAGAAUCCUAAUGUCAAGGAAGUUGAUAUUAGAGAAAAAGUUUGUAGGAAAUGGAAUAUAGCAAUAUCUAAGAACAUGGCAUAUAGGGCCAAAACACAUGCAUCAGAUGAAGUGGCAGGCUCCUUUACUAAGCAAUAUACUAGAAUAUAUGAUUAUGCUCAUGAGUUAUUAGAAAGAAACCCUGGGUCUACAAUCAAGGUCAAAGUUGAGCCAUAUGAUGGGAAAGUAAUAUUCCAAAGGUUUUACGCAUGCCUAAAGGCUUGCAAAGAUAGCUUUCUUUCAUGUAGGCCAAUCAUUGGCCUUGAUGGAGCCUUCUUGAAAGGUCAACAUCAUGGUGAGCUAUUAACUGCUGUGGCCAGAGAUGCAAACGACCAAAUGUUGCCAUUGGCGUAUGCAAUUGUUGAAGUUGAGAACAAAAACACCUGGAAAUGGUUUCUGGAGCUCCUGAUUGAAGACCUAGGUGGUAGAGAUGUGUGUUCUGGACUUACAAUAAUGUCAGAUCAACAAAAGGUCAUUUCCAUUAAACUUGUUCUCUUUUCUCUUACAUAAUUAAGUUGUUCAUUUAACGAACCAUUUGAAUGCCUUUACAGGGUUUAAGAUAUGCUGCAGAAGAUGUUAUUCCUGGAGUUGCACAAAGAUUUUGUGUAAGGCAUUUAUAUGCCAACUUCAGGAAAAAAUUCCCUGGAAAAAACUUGAAAAGGCUUAUGUGGAAGGCAGCUACAUCAACUCAUCCACAACAAUGGGAGACUGAGAUGAGAAAGAUGAAAGCUGUUAACGUAGAUGCUUUUAGACAUCUCAUGGGAAUUGCUCCAAGGUUUGACAAUCUUACUUAGUACUACUUUUCAGGUCAUCUAACUUAACAAUAGUUUUCCUGUUAUGUAAGUUAACACUAGUUUUCUUUUAAGGUUUUGGUCAAGAUCAAGGUUCACAUCCACAGCUCAAAGUGAUACCUUAGUGAAUAACAUGUCAGAAGCUUUUAAUAGCGUUCUGGUAAAUAUAAGGACAAAACCCAUUAUUUCAUUGUUGGAGGACAUCAAAUUGUAUAUGAUGAAGAGAUGGGCCACUAAUAGGUCACGGGUUACUUCUUUUAAGUCAUCAAUUUGUCCUAAAAUUCAGAGUAGACUAAACAAGGAGGCACAACAAACAAAGUAUUGGAUUCCCAGGUAUGCACAACUAUUACAUCUGUAUAUACUUGUUUAUGUUUACCAAAUUGAUAUAAAUAAUGUUUGUUUUUCUUGACAGCUAGUCUGCACACAAAAUUUUAGAAAUCAGACAUGUGUCCCAAAGUGGGGACAACUUUGUGGUGGAUAUAGAUAAAUAUACAUGUUCUUGCAGGAAGUGGAGCAUCAGUGGAAUUCCUUGUGUGCAUGCAUUGACAGCAAUGAGGUUUCUGAACCUAAAUGCAGAGGACUAUGUACCACUAUGCUUCAAAAAGUCAACCUAUGAAGAGAUGUAUUCCUCCAUUAUAUACCCCAUUAAUGGAAAACAUCUAUGGGAGGUCACUGAAUAUCAAGAUGUCUUGCCUCCACCAAAAAGACAAAUGCCUGGUCGUCCUAAGAAGAAAAGGAGAUUAGAGCAAUGGGAGUUGAAGAAAAGUACCACAAAAAUGUCAAAGGGGGGCUUACUCAAAAGAUGUACCAUGCGUAGGGAAGUGGGACACAAUAAAAGAAAUUGCCCCAACAGAAGCCAAGUGCAGGAAGAGGGACAACCUAGUACAUUGCCUCAGGGUGAACCACAUGGAGCAGAAACCCAUCCUUGAACUUGAAUUUUGCCAGAUUUUGUAAUAGGCCAAAUUUUGAUGGUAGCACAUGUAAUAGGCCAUAUUUUGCUGUAACCAGUUUUACUUCAUUAUCAAAUGUUUAAGUUUACCAGACUUUGCUGUUUUAGUGGUACUAUAUAUGUAAUAGGCCACUUGAAUGAUGAAAGAUGUAAUAUGUCACUUGAAUUUUGCUGGCUGUAUGAACAUUGAUUGGUUACCUUUUGCUAUUUAUAUAAAAGUUACGAAAUUCCAAUGCCAACUUUACUCAUUCAGUUCUUUUUUCAUAUUGAUAUGUAUCAGUAAAAUAUAUCAGUUCAAUUACUGUUAAUCUUCUUCAAACAGGUCGCAAUAUAUAACUUUGAUAACUGAAUAUAUGGAAAUGCUGCCAACACAUGCUUUCCAAAAUACCAUUUUCAUUAAAGAUAACAACCAUACAUUAAACAUCUGGUCCACUACAAUAACAUAACAGACCACCUAACUAGGAUAACAUGACCACCAUCACAGACCACCUAACUACAAUAACAUGACCAAAUCCUGUAACUCAUACCAAAACAAACCAAUCCUAACUACAUUAAGAUGACAACAACCUACAACUACAUACAUCAUCAAGCCCUUCCCAUCAUCAUUGCAAUUAUAAUCGUGUUCAUUACAAAUAGAACACUAAUAACCACAACCAAAUAUUUCAUCUCUCUUUGAAGACCCACCACAGCUUUCUCCACAUCAGACAUCUGCUUAACACCUUGCUUUUCAAAAGUCUUCACCAACCUCACGUCAUUUGCUUCCAAAAGCUCACAGCUAAUACUUUCUUCAACUCCCCAAUCACUAAACCAUCUGAAGAAGUUGCAUCCAUUUUCACUCCCUAGCUUAUACCUAGGGCAACCCCAGAACUGUUUCCCUCGAUUCUUGGUGGUUCUUGCAGUCCUCAACACAGUCUUCUCUCUACAAUGGCAGAUCAGCGAUGCAUCUCCACGAGAGCUAACAGAACGCAUAUGCUUCCUUCCACAGUCAUUGCAAGUUGAAGAGGAACAAGAAUGCGCCAUGGACAUUGUUGCGUCUUGUAGUUUGGAACUUCCCUCUUCAAGUGCAGCCCAAGCUUAAACUCAAAAGAACCCUAAAUAGCUCGAUCUGGGUUCUCCACUUCAGAACUUAAGCUCAAUCACGAUGUCAUGAUUCUCCUAAUUACUCAAUUAUAAAUAUAAUUACAAAUCUUAAUGAAUGGAAAAAAUGACACGUUUCAUUCAACAGUGCCAAAUGUCGCAAAUCAGUAGAACGUCUACCACGUCAGCCAACACAUCUGCAAUAGUUUAACACCGUUUAAUGAUUUUUAACGGGAAUGGUUAAUUGGUUUCAAAUUAACACUUAAAGGGACUUAAUUGGGAGGUUUUAAAAGACGGGGACCCAAUUGAGAAAACAUUACGAAAACAGGAACGCCAAAGUGAUUUUAACCUUAUGAAAAACAUGAAUAAUUUUCUCUCAUCUUUUCUUUUAAUGAGCUGGUGUUAUAAGUGAAUUAGACUUUUCUUUUCCUGUCUCUCUUACUUUUCAGCCUCCUCUCAUUAAAUUAAAUACCUCCUCUCCAUUAAAUUAAAUAAGACAUCAAGUGAGCCUAUUAACCUUUGAACAUUUUCUCCAUUUAGAAAUGAAUAUGGAUAUUUAUUAAUAUAUAUAUAUAUAUAUAUAUAAAAGUAACUAUGACUGGAAUAAGGUUUUCUUUUCUUUGACCAAGUAAUUAAUGUUGCUUUGUAUAUUGAAUAUCAAAUUCUUUCAUGGGUCAUUCUCCAAAGAAGGAGAAAACCUUAGACCCAUUGUUAAUUCAGUGGACAACAACGACCGUUCUGAUGGAAUGCCUCCAUUUUCAUGACUUUGAAAAUUGAAACUGCAUAGACCUAAGAAGAAAACCAGCAUGGCAGGCCAAACUCCAUGUCUUCAUUAUAAUCACUCGAUUCCUUCGUCUGAGGAAAAAAUAAUUUGAUGUCCAUAUAUGAAAAACGGACAGAAAUUAGAAAGAAAGAGUAGAUUUCACAAAAAUAUCAGGUUAUAUUUUGAUCUGAUCUUCCAAUUUUUCCUUUUGUCAUCUUAAGGUUUAUUUAUUUUCAUUGUCUCAUUAUUUUCUGUGUAUCAACUUUGAUUCAUUUUGAAAAUAUUAUGAAAUUUCUUUUUCUUUUUUCCUUGCUGUCUGUUAUACUCAAAAAGAAAAACUAUUGAAGCAAAAAUAUAGGUAUGAAAAUGUUAAUGAUGUUCUCGCUGUUUACCUAAUAUAAGGUUUGGAAAUUGGAAGUUUCGUAAUGUGCGUGUCAUGCUUACGAUUAGCAUGGCAUGUAAAAGUCUAAAAUGUCAACUAAGAAACCAGGAAAAAGACAAAACAAGAAUAUAAUAAGAUUUGUCAGGAAGGAGGAAUUUAAAUAAAGUAUUAAAUCAAUGAUAUGAAGUGGGAUAACAAAGAUGCACACACCAUGAAUAAAUAAAUGAAUAUAUGUAAAUGUAUUUCAUUUGACUUUUCAACUUAUUGGAUGGCUUGUAUUGUAGCUCACCUUUGCAAAUGACCAAAAUGCACCUCCAUUUCUUAUUUCCUAAGACACUCUUUCUCAUCUCUUCAGUAAAAUUGUAAUAUAUACAUAUAUUAGAAAUUUAAGUAUAAUAUAUAUCUUACAUUGACCAAAAUUUAAGACAAUUUUUUGAACAAAAUAUAUAACUUAUGGUGGAUUAUUUCCAACUUUAGUGGCGUCUUUGUCGUCACAAGAAAUUCAUACUAAUGACAAAGAAAAUAAACUAUUUUUAAUAUAUGCGUGUUUACGGACGGUCAACGGUAGAUAGAACCGUGUUAACCAAAAUUGGGUUAGAAAAUAGGACUUCCAUGGGAUGAAAGUUCUGUAUACUAUUUUAUAAUGACUACAUAUUUAUGACAAUAAUUUCAGAGUAAGAUUUUAUAGACCAAACAUAGAUCACCAGAACAAUCUAUAAAUAAUAAUAAUAAAUUAUAUUUUCAUAUUAUAAAUCUAAAUUUUAGGAAUGAUGGCCUACAAUAUUCACGGCAGAACAUGUGGUAUAACCCUCCAUUAAUUUUCAGAUCAAAAAGUUUGAACAGUGAAUUCCAGAAGCAUUUGUUGACUUUGCUUGUAACAAGACAAAACAGAAGAGAAGCUAUUAACUUUGUCCGUUCAGACACGACCAGGUCAUUGAUUGGACCCGUUCCACUUUUCUUCCUCUCGCACAUAAUAUCUACCUUCAUUACCUUCUCUGCAAAUUUCUCUGCAAAUUGCACGGUGGAACCAUUAAACCACUGGCAACAUGUUGAACAAGAAACCACCCUUGUUAUGGCUUUCUCUCCUCAUCACAUGCUUCUUCUCUUUCCACACCUGUACUUCACUCGCAGCUUUGACCACCAUCUCAGCAAAUCAAUCUCUCUCUGGGGAUCAAACUCUUGUCUCCCAAAAUGGAACCUUUGAAUUGGGUUUCUUCACCACAGGUAACAACUCUAAAUACUAUAUAGGCAUGUGGUACAGAAAGAUAUCUCAAAAGACUUAUGUUUGGGUCGCAAAUAGAGACGACCCAGUUUCUGAUAAGAAUUCUGCUAAAUUAACAAUAUUGGAUGGUAAUUUAGUGGUAUUAGACCAGUCCCAAAAUAUAGUUUGGUCAACCAAUUUGAGUUCUCCUAGCUCAGGUUCUGUGGUAGCCAUGCUUCUAGAUUCUGGGAAUCUUAUAUUAAGUGAUAGGCCUAAUGCAUCGGCAACUGAUGCUAUGUGGCAGAGUUUUGAUCACCCCACAGACACGUGGCUUCCCGGUGGCAAGAUAAGUUUGAACAACAAAACAAAGAAGCCACAGUAUCUGACUUCAUGGAAGAAUGUUGAAGAUCCUGCAACGGGAAUGUUCUCUCUUGAACUAGACCCUGAAGGAAGCAAUUCGUAUUUGAUUCGUUGGAAUAGAACUGAGCAGUAUUGGUCAAGUGGUUCUUGGAAUGGACACAUUUUCAGCUUGGUUCCUGAGAUGAGACUAAACUACAUCUACAAUUUCACCUUUGUGUCCAACGAGAACGAGAGCUACUUCACCUACUCUUUGUAUAACGAGUCUAUUAUAUCUCGCUUUUUUAUGGAUGUCUCGGGUCAGAUUAAGCAACUGACGUGGCUGGAGAAUGCUCAGCAGUGGAAUUUGUUCUGGUCUCAGCCUCGGCAACAGUGUGAGGUGUAUGCCUUCUGUGGUGGAUUUGGGACCUGCACUGAGAAUUCCAAGCCAUAUUGUAGUUGUUUGACUGGGUAUGAGCCAAAGUCACAAUCUGAUUGGAAUCUUACGGAUUACUCAGGGGGGUGUGUGAGAAAGACGGAGUUGCAAUGUGCCUCACCAAACUCCUCUAACAAGGACAGUGACAGGUUCCUUUCAAUUCUCAACAUGAAAUUGCCUAAUCAUUCACAAUCCAUAGGAGCCGGGAAUGUUGGGGAAUGUGAAACAACAUGCUUGAGUAACUGUUCUUGUACUGCAUAUGCUUAUGACAAUAAUGGUUGUUCAAUUUGGUAUGGUGAUCUCUUGAACCUGCAACAGCUUACUCAAGAUGACAGCAGUGGGCAGACUUUGUUUCUCAAACUUGCAGCGUCUGAGUUUCAUGAUUCUAAAAGCAAUAAAGGGACACUCAUUGGUGCUGUUGCUGGAGCUGUUGGUGGUGUGGUGGUUCUUGUAAUUGUUUUGGUGUUUGUGAUUCUGCGGCGCAGAAAGAGACAUGUUGGGAUAGGAACAACUGUGGAGGGCUCAUUGGUGGCAUUUGGGUAUAGGGAUUUGCAAAAUGCCACGAAGAAUUUCUCAGAGAAACUGGGAGGAGGGGGUUUUGGCUCUGUCUUCAAAGGAACAUUGUCUGAUUCUAGUGUCAUUGCAGUAAAGAAGCUUGAAAGCAUUAGCCAAGGUGAGAAGCAGUUCAGAACAGAAGUGAGCACAAUUGGGACAGUCCAACAUGUGAAUCUUGUAAGGCUUCGCGGGUUCUGCUCCGAAGGUACUCAAAAACUUCUGGUUUAUGAUUACAUGCCAAAUGGUUCCUUGGAUUCGAAAAUGUUUCAGGAAGAUGGAUCAAAGGUGUUGGAUUGGAAACUGAGGUACCAAAUUGCUCUUGGAACAGCAAGAGGGUUGACUUACCUUCACGAGAAGUGUAGAGACUGCAUCAUACACUGUGAUGUGAAGCCAGAAAACAUUCUCCUUGAUGCUGAUUUUGUUCCAAAGGUGGCAGACUUUGGCCUUGCAAAGCUGGUUGGAAGGGACUUCAGCAGGGUCCUCACUACCAUGAGAGGGACAAGAGGUUAUCUUGCCCCAGAGUGGAUAUCAGGUGUGGCCAUCACUGCAAAAGCUGAUGUCUACAGCUAUGGAAUGAUGCUUUUCGAGUUUGUGUCAGGUAGGAGGAACUCUGAGGCAUCGAAAGAUGGCAAAGUGAGGUUCUUCCCAACUUUUGCUGCAAACACUGUCCACCAAGAAGGGAAUGUGCUUAGCUUGUUGGACCCUAGGUUGGAGGGAAAUGCUGACAUUGAAGAGGUCAUUAGAGUCAUAAAAAUUGCUUCAUGGUGUGUCCAAGAUGAUGAAUCUCACAGGCCUUCAAUGGGUCAGGUGGUUCAAAUCCUUGAAGGGUUCUUGGAUGUGACUUUACCUCCAAUUCCAAGGACCCUUCAAGCCUUUGUUGACAACCAUGAGAACAUAGUUUUCUUCACUGACUCCAGCUCCACACAGAGUUCACAGGUAAAGAGUACCUCCUCUCAAGCCAAGAGCAACACCUCAUCCAAUAAUUCUCAGUCCUUAUGACAAAAUUAAGAUCACAUGCCUUCUCUCAGUCACUCAAGAACAAUAGGUGAAGCCAUACUUUGAUUUUGAGGCAUUUAAUUCUAAUGUUAUGGUUUGCCAAAGAAGGAUUUCUGCUAAGAUGCUUGUGUGUUCAACCAAAAUAAUGUCAUCUGUUUUUAUUUGUAUGAGCCAGUUGGGACUUGGGGGAUCAUUAGAGGAGAAUUGUGGCAGAAACAUGGUGCAUGUAACUUAGAUACAUUAAGUAAUAAAUUAAUAAAUGUUCGAGAUUCUCUGGAACACUUUUGUAACAUAGUAGUCGCAGAUUUUGUUUUACUUUUCCACAGUAAGGAUAUUCUCAGAUAUUUUUUACGUUUCCAGACAACAAACUCUUCCAAAUGUUUUAGACUUUUUGUUUAGAACUGGACAAGUGUCCUCUUCAUUAUUCAAGCUUGUUGGAAGAUACACUUUCCUAGAAAGUGAUUGAGACUUUACAAAAGCCUAUGAUAGAAGAAAGACAUCAUAACAAUAAACAUUACUUGUUGUUACUUAGGAUGCCGGUUUUCUUAACAUCUGGAACAAAUUAAAUAUUGAAUUUGCAGGUUUAUUAAGAUUUCGAUUACUCUGACAAUGAUAGUUGCUUUAGUUCUGCUACUUGUGGAUAAUUAUUGGGAUUGUGAUGAGAAGUUGUUUUUGUAUAAAGUUUUUUCACCAAAGGAGAGAUAUAAGCAUAGUUUAAUAAUUCUUUUUGUAUUUUUUAAUCCAUAAACGUGUAUAUGUAUUAAUGUGUGUAAGUCAACCACAUUCAUCACAGUAUAACAUAUAAGUCUAUCAUCUCAUGCUUAUGUUACAAUCAUCAACAAUUUCAAAUAAAUUUGACAUUAAUAUAUUUUUAGGAGACUCGAGUAUAUAAUUAAAUUUAUAUAUAUAUAUAUAUAUAUAUAUAUAUAUGAGUUUGUUAACACAACCUGUUUUUCAGUUGGUAUGUUUUAACAAUGUGCACCGGAUUAUAGUAGACAAAAUACCCUCAUUUGUCAUGGAUUCUAAGUUUUAAGGUUAAGAAUAUUUAAAUCAUUUUCAUUCUCAAAACUAAAAAAAAAAAGAAAUUCCCAAACCCUUACUGAGCUCCCUGAUUCCUCUCAACCCUUUCUCUUUCAUCUCUCUCACUCCAACAUUUUCAUUUUCUCUAUUAUCCCUACUCUUGUCCCAAUUGAAAAAAAAAAAUCAGAAACCCUUGUCUAACCCUAAUCCACCUUCCUCACUUAUCCAAUUUGUUUCUCCCUUGUCUCCAUACUCUCCCUCAGCCACACACAACAAUCCGUGACAUAGUAAUUUGUUGCUCUUGCUCUGUUCGUUCAUUUGGAGGAUGUGUUAUAUAUUUUCCUUCUUAUUAUUAAAUUAAAUCAUGUAAAUAAAACCUUCAUAAAUCAAUUAAAUUUUCAUACAUUAUUUACACAUCUACACCAUAUUUCAUUAUAUUUUUAAAGAACAAGAUAUUUUCCUCUAUUGUCCUUUUCCCUUUACACAAAGUGUUUCUUUUUCCUUUCUCUGGGAUACAUGAUGUAACAUUACAACCUAGAAUUGAAAGAAUUGUAUUCCUAGGGAGCUCUUUUAUACCUAUUUCUUUAAUUUCCUUAUGUCCCUUUUUUAUCACUGAAUCAACUUCUAAAGACGUUUAGAAUAAACUUUAACCACUAUGCAAGAUAAAAAUCAGUAAAAUCAUUUUUUACCUUUGAGAUUUGGAAAGAGUAACAUAAAGUGACAAAGUUUAUAUUCAUUUUACACACAUUAAUAAAUAUAAAAUGAUUAUAAAAGAGUAAACUUUUUCAAAUUUUAAAAAAUAUCUCCAAUUCAAAUUACCACCACCAUCUUUCAAUUGGGUUGAGAUGAGAGACAAAAUGUUGGAGUUAUGAGAGAAAAAAUGUUGAGAUGAGAGAGAAAAUAUCUCUGAUGACAAAGGGUUUCUGAUUUUGUUGGAGUGAGAGAGCCGAAAAAGAAAGGGUUGAGAGGAUUGAGGAGGUGAGUAAGGGUUUGGGGUUUUUUUUUUUUUUUUAGUUUUGAGAAUGAAAAUUAUUUAAAUAUCCUUAACCUUAAAAUUUAGAAUCCAUGACAAAUGAGGGUAUUUUUGUCUACUAUAAUCCGAUACACAUGAUUAAAACGUACCAACUGAAAAACAGACAUACACGUAUUAACAAACCCCAUAUAUAUAUAUAUAUAUAUAUAUAUAUAUAUAUAUAUAUAUAUAUUACAUCACUUUCAUUUUCGGAUAAUUAUAUAUUAAGAAAUAAGUCUUCUUACAAUUCUUUUUCAUAAGAAUAUUCAUCAACUUUUACAACUUAAUAUUUUUAUUUAUGUGAGUACGAUACUAAGAAAUCAUAAUGACUUCAUUUUUUAAAUUCUCAUUCAAUACACAUUCUAAAACUACCAAAUGUAGUAUUUUUCUUUUAAAAUAAGUACAUUCAUAUCAAUCACAUAUGCACAUCAAAUAAAAUUCCAGAAUAGAUCUUUGACAUAAACUUAAGCUCUACUAAACCAAACACAUAGAUUUUUGACAAAACCCUAAACUUUACUAGACCACCUACGCUGAAUAGAAUUUUGGCAAAAUCUUAGGUUCUACUAGACUACACAUGCUUUUAUUGGCAAAAUUACAAACUCUACUAAACCACACCCAAAACUCAGAAACAUUAUAAACAUUUUACUUUCUGUUUAAGUCCUCCCUUGCUCAAAUGUCACACAAGCUCGCCAAGUGACCAAUUCCUUUUAAGCUCACUAAAUUUUCAUAAAAUAUUCUUACUCAAUAAUACAAUAUUACUUGCUCAGCCACCUUGGGGACAAUUUCUAUAAGGCUUGCAACAAAAUAUGGUCCGUGUAUUGUAUAUAACUCCUUCUUUUAAUUUUUUGUUCUCCCUUAGUCUUUUUCUAACUCACUCAACGAGUGUAUUCUCUAAAGAGUUCUAUAGAAUUUUAGUUUUCACUCUAACUAACUCGUCCAACAAGUGUAUCAUCUAAUGAGUGGCAAAAAAUUGAUAGAUACAAUAAUUUGAUAUUAUUGGUUUCAAUUGAUGUGGUAUCAUCUAAAGUUUUCUUUGGAAUUCUAAUUUUCACUCUUACUCGGUAACUAACUAACUCGUCCAACAAGCGAGUGUAUCAUCUAGUAAGUGACAAAAAAUUGAUAGAUACAUCUCUUCAAUAUUAUUGAUUUCAAUUGAUGUUUUUCUCUCAUUUAUAGUCACAAAAAGUAUAAUUCGAUUUUAGCUUAAGCCAAAUAAUCCAAACUAAUAUGUUUAUCCCAUUAUUUAGAGCUCAAUCUACGUAAACCUUAAUUAUAUCAUCCUUAUAACCUUUGGUCUAUUUGGAUGUUUUUAUCAUUUUUAGAGUAACUACACUUAUUUCAAAAUUUUGUCAAUUACCAAUUGAAUCAUGAUCCUUUUCACAGAUCUUACAAAAGAACUCAAAUAUUCCAUAAAUCAUAAUUUUAUAACAAAUCUACUCAAAAUCGUAUAUGAACCAAAAAAUCAAAACAACCAACAUUACCACAUCUCAAUUUCAAACAAUAUUACAACAUACCAGUUGUACUCAGUUCAAUUCGGUGUCAUCUUUUGUAAGAUACAUUAAUAAUGAAUUUUCAACAUCCAACCUAAAAUUGUUAAAAAAUAAAUUUAUAAGUUUUUGUUUCAAAUAUUUUAGUUUUACCUAAUAAGGAAUUUUCAACUUAAUCUUAAAUUUUUAAUAUUUGAUUGUCUGAAAUAUAUAAACAUAAAUAUAAAUUUAAAGAUAAGUACAAUUUUAUUCAUCAACCUUUAAUAUUACACAUCUUCUCUUAGGAAUAUGACACAUAUACAACAAAGAAAGCUCAACUGUUGAAAGUACACUUUUUACUAUGGCAUUACUUACACUUGAUUUGUUAAAGAAUGAGGGAAGUUAACGAGGCACAAACACUUGUAAUUGUUAUGCAAAAAGCGAAAGUACACUCCACUAGUACCAGUAAGAUCACAGUUUUAUCCAUCUUAAUUAUAUUAUUACUAGUAGUAGUAUAUAUUAUUAUUAUUAUAUGGAUCUUGUAUAAAGCAUGCAUUGCUUUACCUUUAGCUGCCUUUGCCUUUCUCUUCUCCUUUUCAUAAGAUACAAACUCUACUGAUUGCAAUUGCCACCCACCAAACUUUUCUCCAUCUUUCUAACAUCUAUUUUGACACCAUGCAAUACUUUAUUCAGAAUAAUUCGAGACACGAAACCUUGGGCAGAAAUCUAAGCGGAAUAUGAUUGCUAGAAUAAAAUUGCCAAACCCAUGCUUGAAGAAAUCUUAGCAACAUGCAUCUCAAGUACCUUUGUUAGAUUAAAUUUGUACCAAUUUUGAGUUUGGUUACCUUCAUGAAUCUACUUUCUUUAUGCACUUUUUACUAAACUAAUGUUCAAUAAUUUGUCUUAGACAGCAUAAAGUAUUUUCUAUGUUGAUUUUUAAGCUAGUCAUGAUUUGAUGAAUCGUAUUAAAAAAAAGUAUUAAACAUAUUAAUUGUUUAUUAUUAUAAUAUUAUAAUUUAAAUUGUUAACACUUGUAAAUAUAAUAAUAAUCUUAAUAUAGUAAUCUUGAUUUACCUAUAUUUUCUUGUUUUAGUGAAAAGAUUUGAAUGAAUUAAAAUGGAUUGGUUCACUUUUUUGUCUUUCAUCAAACAAUGGCUAAAGCUGGAAUAAUUCCAUUUCUUUCGGAACUGAACUAGUGCAACUGUGCAUUUCAUUAGAUUCAUUCGGAUAAGUUUUGAUUUCAAAAUUAUUUAAUUUUUAUUUUUAUAAUAAAAAAUUGGAAAUACUACUAAAUUUAAUAAACAAUUUUUUUUAAAUAUAAAUAAAAUUUAUGUAGAAGAUCAAAAUAGAAAAAGAAACUGCUACAGGGUAAAUAAAGACAAUAUGUAAAAUUUAUUUGGAGACAAAAAGAUUAAAUGCAUCUGUCCUACUUAAUUAUUUUCGUGCAAAAUGUUAUGCUUUAGUGAACAUCAAUAAAUGAUACAACAAAAAAGUACAAUUUUGUAUAAAACCUAAACGAAAAUAAUAUACAAAAUUCAAAAUUACCGAGGAGCCAAAAAAUUAUUGAACUAAAAAUCAUAAUUUUUUUUGACAUUUUCCAUCCUAAAUUUUGUAUAUUUCGAUUGUAAAAAAAAUGGUCUAAUUUAUUACUACUAUCUAUAUACUUUUAUGGCAACUGAAGCAUUACCUUAUAAAAAGAAAGUUUGCAAUAAUUAUUUCCAAAGUUUCCUUUUAUGAUCCACCUGGACGAUUUGUUUACCUUUUUUUAGUGAGGAAAAGUAGUCAUUGCUUCCCUUACUCGCUUCUUAAAACACUUCUUUCAGAUUUUUUUUUUUUUUUCAUUUAUAUGUUAGCAUCACUUUUAUCUAAUUUCCUAAAAAAUUAUCCGAUAAAAUAUUGUAAAUUAUUUCCCAUUAAUAAAUAAUAAUUCUUUUAGCAUACUACUAAUUCAUAUGAUAUUUCGUUUUCUCCUUUGUUUGUUUAUAUAUAUCAGUAUUCGGAUGUAGGAUACAUUAAUUCUUUCCUUUUUUUUCUUAGCUCUGUAAAAAAGCUGAGUAACUUUUUUUCCAAAAUAAAUUAAGCGAGGUAGGAAAUUAAAUAACCCAAUUUGUUAAGUUAUUGUGGGAAAAAGUUGUAUUAUUUGAAUGAAACGAUGGAUGAGUGGAAGCUUGGAAAGAAUUAGGAAACGUUCAAUGAUUGCAAAGAAAGCCAACUUUAUAUCAAUCAUAUUAUUCACCUCGAGAUAUCUUCAUGUGCAAGAGAAAGAACUGCUGAAGAAUUUGGAUGAAUAAAGAGAAAUUUUUAAAUCAGAUAUAAAUAUUUAUUUAAGAGUUAAAUGCUGUUUUUGAGUUGGUACAUUUUAAUAAUGUGUAACAUAUAUUAUGAAUUCUAAGUUUUAAAGUCAAGGAUAUUUAAAUAAUUUUUAUUCUCAAAACUAAAAAAAAUAAAGAAACUCUCAAACCCUUACUCACCUCUCUCAAUCCUUUCUCUUUCAUCUCUCUCACUCUAACCUUUUCUCUCUGUCAUAUCUAUUGUAGCUCUAAUUAAAAAAAAAUCAGAAACACUGGCUCUAAAAAAAAAAACACCCAAACACUUACUCACCUCUCUCAUCCCUCUCAAUCCUUUCUCUUUCAUCUCUCGCUUCAACCUUUUCUCUGUCAUCUCUACUGUAGUCCAAAUUAAAAAAAAAAUCAGAAAAACUGGCGGUUAAACAAUUUCUUAAAAAAAAUGAUUUUAUAAUGAGUUUUCAUUUUAUAAUUUUUGUCUUAUCUAAUUUUAUCUAAUUUUCACAAGCAUAAUGACAUAGGAAGGACUGGUAAUUCGCGUGGAAAAAAUCAGAAACACUCACUAUUAAAUAAUUUCUUACAAAAAAUGAUUUUAUAAUGAGUUUUCAUUUUAUAAUUUUUGUCUUACUUAAUUUUAUCUAAUUUUCACAAGCAUAAUGAGAUAAGAAGGAAUUGGUAAUUGGUCUGAAGGUUUUUUAAGAGAUGACGAUUUAACAUCUGUAGAUGAUGAAAUUAGAGAGGUUAAUGAAGAUGAUGAAAUUGAAGAGAUCUUGAAUGAACCUUUGCCUGAAGGCAAAUAUGCCAAUGACUCAGCUCUCUACAAAGGUAAAUUGUUUAACGACGAGUAUUUCUAAUUUUUUUUUUCAGUUGGAUGUACCAUAGGAUGAUAGAGAAAAGGUUGGAGUGAGAGAGAUGAAAGAGAAAGGAUUAAGAGGAAUUAGAAAGGUGAGUAAGGGUUUAAGGGUUUCUUUUUCUUUUUUUUAGUUUUGAGAAUGAAAAUUAUUUAAAUAUCUUUGACUUUAAAACUUAGAAUCUAGAGAGUAUUUUUGUCUACUAUGAUCCGAUACACAUUAUUAAAAUGUACCAACUGAAAAACAAGCGUACGCAUGUUAACAAACCCCAUUUUCUUUUCUUUAAACUAUAACCCGAUUUUUGUUCUUAAACUUUUAUCUACAUAUGAAGUCCAAUUUCCACUCUAUCAAUUGAUGGUUUUAAACGAAAACAUCAAUAUCUAUUAAAUUUGGUCAUGCCUUACUAUUUCAAGCACAUUUAUUAACUUGUUUUUAGUCUUUUGUUGUUAAACAUGUUACUCACAUCAUAAAUAGACUUCCUACUCCUUUUAUACAUUUUCAAGAUUCCUAUGAAUUAGUUUGGCCAUGCCCCUAAUUUCACCUAAUUACUUUCUUUUUUAUAUGAUAGUGGUAGUAUAGCAUAUGUUACCACUGUCACUUCUCAAACAGCAAAAUUUGACAAAAGAACUUCUAAAUUAAUUUUCUUAGGUUUCAAUCCAGAAACUAAAUGGUACAUUUUAUAUGACCUCAAUAAUAAAUCAUGUUUCAUUUCGUGAAAUGUUAUUUUCGAUGAAUACAUUUUUCUUAUGUUAAUAGAAUUGUGCAUUCUUCUAACAUAUACAUAAGAUAAUGUAAAAUUUGACUCUCUUUUUGCUUUUGAAAAUCCACAUUUUUCUAUUUCAAAUAAUUCUUUACAAAAUCAUGAUGACAUUGUGUCCACUACUAACAAUGAAUCUUAUCCUUAUGAUUCUCUUCUAGUAAUUGAGUAUAAUAUAAGGAUUUUCACUAGAAAUAAAAAACCUCCUUCAUAUUUAAAUGAUUAUCAUUGUCCUAUCUUUCCUCUUCACAUUUUACUUACAUCACACCUUAUCCUUUAGAAUCACAUAUUUCUUAUUCAAAAUGUCCAUCAUCUCACAUUGGUUUUUGUUUAUCUAUUUCUGGAACAUCUAUCCCAACAUCUUUCAAAUAGGCAAGCAAACCUAAAUGUUGAAAAGCAACCAUGAUAGUUGAAUUACAAGCUCUGAGAAAAAUAAUAAUUGGUCUUUAGUUAGUCUACCUCCAGGGAAGAAAAUCGUGGGGUGCAAAUGGGUUUAUCAAACCAAAUAUAAAGCAGAUGACUCCAUAAAAUGAUAUAAAACUCGGUUGGUUGCCAAGGGCUUCACAAAAACAUAGGGGAUGGAUUUCUUUGAAACCUUUUCACCCGUAGUUAAAUUAACUAUUGUUCAGUUCAUUUUCUCUGUAGUUGUCUCCUUUAGUUGGUUUAUACAUGAACUUGAUUUGGAUAAUGCUUUUUUGCAUAGUGAUCUUCAUGAAGAAGUUUAUAUGAAGCCACCGCCUGUUCUUAUUAUUCCUUCUCCCAAAUUGGUUUGCAAGUUAUAAAAUUCCUGGUAUGGAUUAUGAUAGAUGAGUUAUCAAUGGCAUGCUAAAAUCACUAUUGCCUUAUCAAAUUUUGGUUUAACUCAAAACACAAUUGACCAUUCCUUGUUCAUACAAAAUGAUGACGUUUCUUUCACAUCACUUUUAAUAUAUGUUGAUGAUAUCAUAAUCACUAGUAAUAGUCUCUACAUGAUAAAUUGCAUUAAAAAAUAUCUUCAUAACCAAUUUCACACCAAGGAUGUUGGGGAAUUAAAAUUCUCUUUGGAGAUUAAGGUUGCUAGAUCUCAAUGUGGUUUGGUUCUAAAUCAACUCAAGUACUGUCUUGAAAUUAUUUUUGAAUAUGGUCUCAUUGUUUGUAAACCUGUCAAUACUCCUAUUAAUCCUUGUGUUAGACUUACUGAAGAUGAAUAUAUUAUUAUUGACCCUACUGGCUUUUAGAGGUUAAUUGGACAAUUGAUAUACUUAACAAAUACCAGACUAGACAUUAGCAUUGUUUUGCAUCAAAUUAGUCCAUUGAUGACCAAGUCAUGCAAUUCUUACAUGUAAGUUACUUUAUGCAUUCUUGAGUACCUUAAGAAUGCACUUGGUAAAGACAUUUUUUAUCCAGUUCAAAAUCUCAAUAGACUUUAAGCUUUUCCUGAUUCAAAUUGGGAUACUUGCAACAUCACUUGAAAAUCAAAUAUAAAAAAAAUUAAUUUUCUAUGGUAAUUGCUUAAUUUCAUGAAAAUCUAAAAAGCAAAAUAUUGUUUCUUGUAGCUCUACAAAAGCAAAAUAUAGAGCAUUAGUUGCUUAUUAAUUUCAAUUAUUGCUAAUGACUUAUCUUUGAUAUUUCGUUGUCUUUUCCUACUUUCUGUGACAAUCAAUAUGUUAUUCACUUGGCAAAAAUAAAAUCCUACUAGUUUUAUAUAAUUAAGUUUUCUAUUGUAAAAUCGUUGAGUUGAUGUUGGGUAAUUCAAUAAGCAUACCGAAUCGUUCAAGUAAUAAAACCAGGAUAAGACCAGGUAUCGUUUUCCCAAGAGACUCGUAAUACUAGAGAAUUGUGCGAUUAAAAACUCAUUUAGACUCAAGAACGUAACAUCCAUUUACAAGCAUGUGCAAGAAAGUAAACUCACAAAUAAUUACAAGGUUGGACUUUGGUAUUGAAGGCACUUAGAAAUGGAAAAGACUAGAAAUGGUAUGAAAUGACAAUGUUAAGAUUAGUUUUCACCAAUUCACUCUUGUGUAUACUUAAUUUCAUCUCCUCUCUAUCAAUUUACUAAAGUCAAUCCACUAAAACACUCUAGCCUUAAUCCCUUAGGUGAAAGAGCCUAGGUUUUCCCUAUCAAAUUCCAAUCCCUUGGAAAAUCUAACAAGUAACCCCGCAUUAAGAACUAGGAUCUAAGACAACAUGUGAAUCAUCUUCCAUCCCUAGAAUCAAUGAACCACAAGGACUCUUGUUUCAUUUCUGGGUUCCAUCUUACGUCCCCAUAACCCAUGAAACCCCAAAAUCAAGUCAUGAACAUUCUUAUUGCAUGAAAGCUUUAAGAUUGGAAACAAGAGUACUAGCAAUUGAUAGAAAAGGCAUAUAUAUAUAUAUUCAAAUCAAUCAUCCAUUACACAAGAAUUCAUAGGCUACAACAAUCCCUAACAAGAUGAAUCUGGUUCUCCACUUCCAAGGAGAACCCUAGAGCUUACAAACAUGGAUGGAAAAAGAAGGAGACCUAAAGGAAGAGGAGGAGAUGUUCCCACAAUCUCCUCACAGCCUCCAUGAGCUCCAGCAGUGAAAUCGCACCUCCAAAGAACCGAAGACCCCUUUCCUUUUGCGUUUUAGGUCUAAAUAGACCAAAUUUUCCACAUCAUCAUCGUCACCACUAAGUUUCACCCCAACUGCAGCCCAGCCAUGGCAUUCUAGAGGGUUGGCGCUCAGCUGCAGCCUAGUUGCAGCUCAGCCGCAGAAUCCCAGUGACAGAGCACUCAGCUACACCCUAGUUGCACCUCAGCGGCAGCUUUACAGAGAGUAGGCGCUCAGUUACACCCCAACUGCACCUCAGCGACAACUUUCUAGAGAGCAGGCACUCAGCUGUACCCCAACUACACCCCAGCUACAACAUUCCAAAGACAGAUAUAGCUCAGUCGUAGCCCAGCAGCAGCAUUCUAAAACUCUCAUUUUUUCAUUAUUUUGUUUGCUUUUGUGGCUUGUUAAGCUCUAACUUUGGUGGAGGUUCUUCCAAGCACUAUAUUAGCUACAAAAUAAGGGGAUUAAUGAUGAUAUUACAUCAAUAUAGCCAAAAAUAGACUUAUUAAGAAAACAAGACAAAAGAAGAGAUUUAAGCAAGUUACAAGCCAAAAAGGAGUUGAUUUUGCUACUAAAAUGAUGCUUAGAUAAUGGUAGGAAUUAGCAUUAUCAGUUGAUCAAUAAAUAUUUUUUUGAGGUAUUACAUGGUUCCACCUCUCAAUUCAAUAAUUUUCAAACACUAANNNNNNNNNNNNNNNNNNNNNNNNNNNNNNNNNNNNNNNNNNNNNNNNNNNNNNNNNNNNNNNNNNNNNNNNNNNNNNNNNNNNNNNNNNNNNNNNNNNNNNNNNNNNNNNNNNNNNNNNNNNNNNNNNNNNNNNNNNNNNNNNNNNNNNNNNNNNNNNNNNNNNNNNNNNNNNNNNNNNNNNNNNNNNNNNNNNNNNNNNNNNNNNNNNNNNNNNNNNNNNNNNNNNNNNNNNNNNNNNNNNNNNNNNNNNNNNNNNNNNNNNNNNNNNNNNNNNNNNNNNNNNNNNNNNNNNNNNNNNNNNNNNNNNNNNNNNNNNNNNNNNNNNNNNNNNNNNNNNNNNNNNNNNNNNNNNNNNNNNNNNNNNNNNNNNNNNNNNNNNNNNNNNNNNNNNNNNNNNNNNNNNNNNNNNNNNNNNNNNNNNNNNNNNNNNNNNNNNNNNNNNNNNNNNNNNNNNNNNNNNNNNNNNNNNNNNNNNNNNNNNNNNNNNNNNNNNNNNNNNNNNNNNNNNNNNNNNNNNNNNNNNNNNNNNNNNNNNNNNNNNNNNNNNNNNNNNNNNNNNNNNNNNNNNNNNNNNNNNNNNNNNNNNNNNNNNNNNNNNNNNNNNNNNNNNNNNNNNNNNNNNNNNNNNNNNNNNNNNNNNNNNNNNNNNNNNNNNNNNNNNNNNNNNNNNNNNNNNNNNNNNNNNNNNNNNNNNNNNNNNNNNNNNNNNNNNNNNNNNNNNNNNNNNNNNNNNNNNNNNNNNNNNNNNNNNNNNNNNNNNNNNNNNNNNNNNNNNNNNNNNNNNNNNNNNNNNNNNNNNNNNNNNNNNNNNNNNNNNNNNNNNNNNNNNNNNNNNNNNNNNNNNNNNNNNNNNNNNNNNNNNNNNNNNNNNNNNNNNNNNNNNNNNNNNNNNNNNNNNNNNNNNNNNNNNNNNNNNNNNNNNNNNNNNNNNNNNNNNNNNNNNNNNNNNNNNNNNNNNNNNNNNNNNNNNNNNNNNNNNNNNNNNNNNNNNNNNNNNNNNNNNNNNNNNNNNNNNNNNNNNNNNNNNNNNNNNNNNNNNNNNNNNNNNNNNNNNNNNNNNNNNNNNNNNNNNNNNNNNNNNNNNNNNNNNNNNNNNNNNNNNNNNNNNNNNNNNNNNNNNNNNNNNNNNNNNNNNNNNNNNNNNNNNNNNNNNNNNNNNNNNNNNNNNNNNNNNNNNNNNNNNNNNNNNNNNNNNNNNNNNNNNNNNNNNNNNNNNNNNNNNNNNNNNNNNNNNNNNNNNNNNNNNNNNNNNNNNNNNNNNNNNNNNNNNNNNNNNNNNNNNNNNNNNNNNNNNNNNNNNNNNNNNNNNNNNNNNNNNNNNNNNNNNNNNNNNNNNNNNNNNNNNNNNNNNNNNNNNNNNNNNNNNNNNNNNNNNNNNNNNNNNNNNNNNNNNNNNNNNNNNNNNNNNNNNNNNNNNNNNNNNNNNNNNNNNNNNNNNNNNNNNNNNNNNNNNNNNNNNNNNNNNNNNNNNNNNNNNNNNNNNNNNNNNNNNNNNNNNNNNNNNNNNNNNNNNNNNNNNNNNNNNNNNNNNNNNNNNNNNNNNNNNNNNNNNNNNNNNNNNNNNNNNNNNNNNNNNNNNNNNNNNNNNNNNNNNNNNNNNNNNNNNNNNNNNNNNNNNNNNNNNNNNNNNNNNNNNNNNNNNNNNNNNNNNNNNNNNNNNNNNNNNNNNNNNNNNNNNNNNNNNNNNNNNNNNNNNNNNNNNNNNNNNNNNNNNNNNNNNNNNNNNNNNNNNNNNNNNNNNNNNNNNNNNNNNNNNNNNNNNNNNNNNNNNNNNNNNNNNNNNNNNNNNNNNNNNNNNNNNNNNNNNNNNNNNNNNNNNNNNNNNNNNNNNNNNNNNNNNNNNNNNNNNNNNNNNNNNNNNNNNNNNNNNNNNNNNNNNNNNNNNNNNNNNNNNNNNNNNNNNNNNNNNNNNNNNNNNNNNNNNNNNNNNNNNNNNNNNNNNNNNNNNNNNNNNNNNNNNNNNNNNNNNNNNNNNNNNNNNNNNNNNNNNNNNNNNNNNNNNNNNNNNNNNNNNNNNNNNNNNNNNNNNNNNNNNNNNNNNNNNNNNNNNNNNNNNNNNNNNNNNNNNNNNNNNNNNNNNNNNNNNNNNNNNNNNNNNNNNNNNNNNNNNNNNNNNNNNNNNNNNNNNNNNNNNNNNNNNNNNNNNNNNNNNNNNNNNNNNNNNNNNNNNNNNNNNNNNNNNNNNNNNNNNNNNNNNNNNNNNNNNNNNNNNNNNNNNNNNNNNNNNNNNNNNNNNNNNNNNNNNNNNNNNNNNNNNNNNNNNNNNNNNNNNNNNNNNNNNNNNNNNNNNNNNNNNNNNNNNNNNNNNNNNNNNNNNNNNNNNNNNNNNNNNNNNNNNNNNNNNNNNNNNNNNNNNNNNNNNNNNNNNNNNNNNNNNNNNNNNNNNNNNNNNNNNNNNNNNNNNNNNNNNNNNNNNNNNNNNNNNNNNNNNNNNNNNNNNNNNNNNNNNNNNNNNNNNNNNNNNNNNNNNNNNNNNNNNNNNNNNNNNNNNNNNNNNNNNNNNNNNNNNNNNNNNNNNNNNNNNNNNNNNNNNNNNNNNNNNNNNNNNNNNNNNNNNNNNNNNNNNNNNNNNNNNNNNNNNNNNNNNNNNNNNNNNNNNNNNNNNNNNNNNNNNNNNNNNNNNNNNNNNNNNNNNNNNNNNNNNNNNNNNNNNNNNNNNNNNNNNNNNNNNNNNNNNNNNNNNNNNNNNNNNNNNNNNNNNNNNNNNNNNNNNNNNNNNNNNNNNNNNNNNNNNNNNNNNNNNNNNNNNNNNNNNNNNNNNNNNNNNNNNNNNNNNNNNNNNNNNNNNNNNNNNNNNNNNNNNNNNNNNNNNNNNNNNNNNNNNNNNNNNNNNNNNNNNNNNNNNNNNNNNNNNNNNNNNNNNNNNNNNNNNNNNNNNNNNNNNNNNNNNNNNNNNNNNNNNNNNNNNNNNNNNNNNNNNNNNNNNNNNNNNNNNNNNNNNNNNNNNNNNNNNNNNNNNNNNNNNNNNNNNNNNNNNNNNNNNNNNNNNNNNNNNNNNNNNNNNNNNNNNNNNNNNNNNNNNNNNNNNNNNNNNNNNNNNNNNNNNNNNNNNNNNNNNNNNNNNNNNNNNNNNNNNNNNNNNNNNNNNNNNNNNNNNNNNNNNNNNNNNNNNNNNNNNNNNNNNNNNNNNNNNNNNNNNNNNNNNNNNNNNNNNNNNNNNNNNNNNNNNNNNNNNNNNNNNNNNNNNNNNNNNNNNNNNNNNNNNNNNNNNNNNNNNNNNNNNNNNNNNNNNNNNNNNNNNNNNNNNNNNNNNNNNNNNNNNNNNNNNNNNNNNNNNNNNNNNNNNNNNNNNNNNNNNNNNNNNNNNNNNNNNNNNNNNNNNNNNNNNNNNNNNNNNNNNNNNNNNNNNNNNNNNNNNNNNNNNNNNNNNNNNNNNNNNNNNNNNNNNNNNNNNNNNNNNNNNNNNNNNNNNNNNNNNNNNNNNNNNNNNNNNNNNNNNNNNNNNNNNNNNNNNNNNNNNNNNNNNNNNNNNNNNNNNNNNNNNNNNNNNNNNNNNNNNNNNNNNNNNNNNNNNNNNNNNNNNNNNNNNNNNNNNNNNNNNNNNNNNNNNNNNNNNNNNNNNNNNNNNNNNNNNNNNNNNNNNNNNNNNNNNNNNNNNNNNNNNNNNNNNNNNNNNNNNNNNNNNNNNNNNNNNNNNNNNNNNNNNNNNNNNNNNNNNNNNNNNNNNNNNNNNNNNNNNNNNNNNNNNNNNNNNNNNNNNNNNNNNNNNNNNNNNNNNNNNNNNNNNNNNNNNNNNNNNNNNNNNNNNNNNNNNNNNNNNNNNNNNNNNNNNNNNNNNNNNNNNNNNNNNNNNNNNNNNNNNNNNNNNNNNNNNNNNNNNNNNNNNNNNNNNNNNNNNNNNNNNNNNNNNNNNNNNNNNNNNNNNNNNNNNNNNNNNNNNNNNNNNNNNNNNNNNNNNNNNNNNNNNNNNNNNNNNNNNNNNNNNNNNNNNNNNNNNNNNNNNNNNNNNNNNNNNNNNNNNNNNNNNNNNNNNNNNNNNNNNNNNNNNNNNNNNNNNNNNNNNNNNNNNNNNNNNNNNNNNNNNNNNNNNNNNNNNNNNNNNNNNNNNNNNNNNNNNNNNNNNNNNNNNNNNNNNNNNNNNNNNNNNNNNNNNNNNNNNNNNNNNNNNNNNNNNNNNNNNNNNNNNNNNNNNNNNNNNNNNNNNNNNNNNNNNNNNNNNNNNNNNNNNNNNNNNNNNNNNNNNNNNNNNNNNNNNNNNNNNNNNNNNNNNNNNNNNNNNNNNNNNNNNNNNNNNNNNNNNNNNNNNNNNNNNNNNNNNNNNNNNNNNNNNNNNNNNNNNNNNNNNNNNNNNNNNNNNNNNNNNNNNNNNNNNNNNNNNNNNNNNNNNNNNNNNNNNNNNNNNNNNNNNNNNNNNNNNNNNNNNNNNNNNNNNNNNNNNNNNNNNNNNNNNNNNNNNNNNNNNNNNNNNNNNNNNNNNNNNNNNNNNNNNNNNNNNNNNNNNNNNNNNNNNNNNNNNNNNNNNNNNNNNNNNNNNNNNNNNNNNNNNNNNNNNNNNNNNNNNNNNNNNNNNNNNNNNNNNNNNNNNNNNNNNNNNNNNNNNNNNNNNNNNNNNNNNNNNNNNNNNNNNNNNNNNNNNNNNNNNNNNNNNNNNNNNNNNNNNNNNNNNNNNNNNNNNNNNNNNNNNNNNNNNNNNNNNNNNNNNNNNNNNNNNNNNNNNNNNNNNNNNNNNNNNNNNNNNNNNNNNNNNNNNNNNNNNNNNNNNNNNNNNNNNNNNNNNNNNNNNNNNNNNNNNNNNNNNNNNNNNNNNNNNNNNNNNNNNNNNNNNNNNNNNNNNNNNNNNNNNNNNNNNNNNNNNNNNNNNNNNNNNNNNNNNNNNNNNNNNNNNNNNNNNNNNNNNNNNNNNNNNNNNNNNNNNNNNNNNNNNNNNNNNNNNNNNNNNNNNNNNNNNNNNNNNNNNNNNNNNNNNNNNNNNNNNNNNNNNNNNNNNNNNNNNNNNNNNNNNNNNNNNNNNNNNNNNNNNNNNNNNNNNNNNNNNNNNNNNNNNNNNNNNNNNNNNNNNNNNNNNNNNNNNNNNNNNNNNNNNNNNNNNNNNNNNNNNNNNNNNNNNNNNNNNNNNNNNNNNNNNNNNUCUAUAUAACUAAGUUUUCUAUAGUAAAAUCGUUGAGUUGAUCAAUAAAUAUUUUUUUGAGGUAUUACAUGGUUCCACCUCUCAAUUCAAUAAUUUUCAAACACUAAUAAUUAUUAUAAAUUAGAUGAGAUUUAAAGUUAAAUUGUAUUAUGUUUGAUUAUUAUGUUUAAUUAUAAUUUAGAAACCAAUAUUUGAAUGAUCGCCUGUUCGAUGUUGUUGUCACACACGGCUUGUAGUCGUUACACUUGCCAUUAUCACCACCUCAUCCAUUUCAAGAUCAAAGUUAGUAUUUUGUUCUAAUGUUAAAAAGUAGACUUUAAGUUUAACUCAACCUCAAAAAAUAAAAUUUUGUUUGGAUAGACUCUAAUUCAUUGUUAUGAUAUUAUGUUAAGAAUUGAACUUUAAAUUUAACUCAGUUCUACAAAAUCGGCUUAUAAGGUGAAGUUUACAUCCACUUUUAUAUUUUAAAUUGACCUUGUAUCUAAUUGAUGUGUGACUUUCAACAUAUAAUUUUUUUCUAUUGUUGUAUUUUAGAAGAUUGUUUUUAAUUAUAUACUUGUAUUUGAAUUAUACUUUGACUAUAUUGUACACUUGUUAUAUUAAUAAAUUUUUUAAUGCAUUGAUAUUGUGUUAGAGGGUGUUUGACCCUAACAAAUUGAUUUGUUUUAUUUUGUAGAAGUUGAUAUUUUAAGUUUUAUAUAUUACUAAAAUUUUAGAAAGCAUAAUUAAAUUUCAACUCUUAAAUACUUUUGAAUUUCCUAAAAAUGUAAAUAAUACUCUUAUGUUGUAUAAUUAAAACUGUUUUUUUAACCUGAACACUUUAUGAAUUUAAUAAAUAGUAUAUUUAAUAUCUUUUAUUGAGUCGGAUUAUCCCACUAAUUUAAAAAGCUAUAACUAAUUCAAGCGAUAUUUAAUUUAAGCAAUUGCAUUCGGUAUAAAUGUUGUGCAUAUUUAAUGAAUGUUGAUAUAUCAUAUGAUAAUUGUGUUUGAAAUGAUGAAUAAUAAUUCAAUUCAAAUAUUUUGAAAUUAAGUAUUUUAGGAUAAUGUUUGUAAUUCUUUUUUUAAGUAUUAAGUAUAGAAACUAUUAGUAAAAGGACAUUCUUACUUUAAUGAUAACAUAAAUAACAUAUAUUAAGAUAUCAUAUCGUGAUAAGUGGAAGAAGAAUAAUGUGAUAUUAAUAUGCAAUUUUAUACAAUGAAUUGACCAUGACUUAUGAAGCUUGUCUGAAAUACUUAAAAUUGGUAUAUAUUAAUAUAUGGUAAGAUAUUCUUAAUAUUAUUAUCUCAGUAUGUGCUUGUUUAUUUUUAUUGAUUGUAUAAAAAUAAGUUAAGUUUUAAUUCAUAUACAAGAAAUUGUAAAUAUAUACUCUUGUAUAUUGGCUCAAAUGUUAGAUACCUAACACAAAUCUUUUUGACUGAUUAGUUUAUUUCAUUAUGUAAUUGUAAAUGGUGCAGGACAAGGAGAUGCACUUCUUGAGGUUGGCUUACUUUGUUUUCUCAUAUUCUACUAGUGAAUAUAUAUGUGUUUGUAAAGCCUUCUUGUUGAAUAAACUAUAGUUUAUUUUAUUAUGUAAACAUUUAAUUUCUAAAGAACUUAAUAUGCAUAUGUUAUGAGUAGUUAUAUAAUGGAAAAGAAGUAUUUUAAAACAGAUUUGUUAAUAACAUUUUAAUAUAAUGUGUGUGUGUAUAUAUAUGUAUAUAUAUAUAUUAUUUUUUUUACUAAUUCAUUAUUUAUUUAUUAUUGGGUUUACGUAUUUUAAAUUUAAUAAAAAAUACAUAUAUUAUAUUGAAAUAUUAUAAAAAGGAAAAAUAUUAAUUAAUUUUAUAUAUCAACUUUACCAAAAUUACAUAUGUACUAUGAUGUACACACAAAAUCCAUCAUUUAAACAAUAAUCUAAGUUUACAAUUUGCUGAAAAUAUGUACUUGUUAUUUUAAAACCAUAUUAUAGAAUCUGAUUGCCGGAGAUAAUUUAAUAUAAUUUACAAAUCAUGAAUGCACUGUAUUAUUUCAGAAGUAAAUUCUGUACAAAUAAAACUUAAUUUCAAUACAACAACCAACAUCUUUCCCUGUCAAAUUUCAUUAACUACUUUUCAUACUUUGCAUCGGUUAGAUAUGUAUUGUCAUGUCAGAAACCCAAACAAAAGCAUGGCAAAGGGAAAUAAAUGUGGAACUGCUUCUUCUGUCUCUCCCACCCUUACAAUUCUUUCCAAGCUUAGCCACUGGAAGAGCACUCAUGUCACUGUCUUUUGUGUUAUGCCUAAGAAAGCUUCGACACUAAGCAUAGAGAUGGCAGAGCAGAGAAUGUAGAAGCAUGCACCAAGCACGAAAAAGGACCAUUCUCACGUCAAAAUUUAAUGCCUCAUUAUGGUACUUCCUAAUAGUCCCUGCGAACAUGCAGAAACUAUCAUAAAGCUCUUGAUUAGUAUAGUCAUUGUUAAUUAUCAUCUGACACACGAUCAAAUUUUCGAUCAUGUGUCACGUGAAAACUAAACGGGACUAUGGCCAUGCGAUAAUCUUGAACUAUGUCGUGAUAAUUUCUGGUAUCUUUGUCUUGUGGACUUUCUCUGAGCCUUGGAGUUUUUGGUGACCUUUUUUUGCACGGAGAACUCGAGUCCCAAACGGCGAAAAAGUAGAGCAGUGUUGAAGUCAAAAGAAUACCAAAAAGCUUUCCCCAAAAUACCGUAAACGCUAAGCUGAAUAGAACCAAGUAUAUUCCAUAGCACUCGAACCUUUUUUGCUUCUCCAGUGGGCUUCCAUGACCACCCUCUUUCCCUUUUUCCUUAGUGGAGUAGUGAUUUGAAACGUUGGUUGAUUCUGAUGACGCGUGUGAGCUGGAGCAAGCUGAAGAUGAAGUUGACAAAGGCGAUUGAAGGGUUUUUCUUUCCCCAUACUUCAAAUUCUUGUGUUUGUACCCAAAUGAAUCAUGGAUGUAACGGUUUUUAUGGUGAUCUCUUUUAUUCUGCAAGACAAAAACAUCUAAGUUAAAAUAGGAAAAGGAAUUAUACAUCAUCCCAAAAUUCGCGAUCAUGAUUUGUGUGAGUGAUCGCAGAAAUUAAACUGAGAAAGAACCGUGAAGGAAUGAAUCCAAGACUAACCAGUAUGGUUUCGUAGAACGCAGCUUUGAUCACCCGAGAAAUCGUCCGUUUAGGUGAAACGUGGUGGAAGUAUACAGAUUUGGGUUUUGAAUUCUUCACCAUUUGUUGCUUCUCCGAAGUGGGGACGCGUGAGAAAUGACUGGGAGAAGAAGAACGAUGAGGAGCAACCUCGGACUUUAACAUGCAAUCUAUGUCGACGACAGGGCGAAAACAUAGGAACUUGUUCUUCGAGAAGCUCCUCAUGAUUUUUGUGGAUGAAGAUAUUUGUGUGUAACUCCAAAAGGGAAGAUGAAGAUGACAAGGCAAACUCUGGUUUUGAUUUUGGGGAAUUUGGUUCGUUGGUUCUACAGCAAGACGAAGCAGUGGUUAGAAGACAUUAUAUAACGUUGGAAUGGUCAUGGACAUGGGUUUGGUGACCGUUCAUUAUUAUGUUUAUUAUUUUAUUUUAUUUUUUGCUUUUUAUUUUUGUUUUAGUGAAAGGGUAGAAAGUGGUGGAAGAAAAGGAAGAAGCACUUUGGGGUGUGUGUGUGUGAGGAAGAUGUUGAAGGAUGUGACUUAUAAAAAUAUAUAUUUUUCUUUUGGGAGAGAAAGAAAGAGGGUUUAUUUAAAGAUGUUAAUUUUGCAAUAGCAUAAAGGUGAGAGAGAAAAAGAGAGUCUUUAAUGUUUGAUGUUUAUGGAUAGUGAGUCAAGUGGCGUGGAGAAUAUAUGUACUGUUGCUGUGUCGUCUAAACGAAGGGUUUUGCUUUGUCGUGCAUUAAAUUUUAUGGUACGAUGGAUUUUUCCGUAUUUAAGAUGGUUUAAUUUGGAUUCGGAUUGAGAUCAUGACACAGAAACAGUUUGUUUUUCAUUUAGAACUUGCAAUUAUUUAUAACUUUUAUCAUGAUUUCUAUUAUUUGAUGCGAUUUGAAAGGACAACAUGCCUAUUUAAUGUAUUUCUAAACACACUUUAUAAGCGUCGUGUUAUCCAAUUUCUAGUUUGGAUCGCUUCAUAUGCCAUUAAGCUUUCUUUAUGUUAGGUUUAGAUCUUAUUAAAAGACUAUCUAACUAUUGUUUUUAACUAUUGUUUAAAGACAAAUUUGUACACUAUUUAGACUCACUAAAGAAAAAUAAAUCAUGAAUGUCGAACUUAUUUAAGAUAAAAUGAAUUUAGAUGUAUGAAUUGGGCAUCCAUAUGUUAACAUAAUCAACCUUUACAAAAUGUGGAUUGAUUCAAGAUUUUGAAUUAAUUAAUUAAUCAAAAGACACAAAUGUGACUUUAUUAUAGUUGGUUAGAGAUAUUGAAUACUUUUAAAUUGGAUGAAUCUAAAUCAAUACAACCCACCUUUGUUUUUAUGUUGUUGUCAUUUUAAUUUGAUUUUAUAAAACUUGAAAGCAUAUAUAAUUAUAAUAAUACGAUGUUUAACCUUAGUUCUUAAACUAUAUAUUUUUCAUAAAUAUUUCUUUUUAAAAAAUCAAAAAUUAUAAUAAUUCAACUACUUAAAAAAAUCACUGACAAAUCCAACUACUUCAAGCCAGAUAAAUUAUUGUGUAUAGUUUAUACUCCUUUCUUAUCAGUUAAACAUAAUUCAGCUAACCCAUUAUAAUACCUAUACAAUUAUAUUUGAAAAGAGAAAAAAAAAAUGAAAAGAUAGAAAGAUAGAGGGGAGAAGAGCAAAGAGAAAGAAAAUUUUGAAUAACAAGCAAGAAGGAUGAGUGCUUAUAAAAUUUUUUGAAGUUAAUUUUUUUUAUUUAUUAAUUAUUAUUGUUUAUAUCGAAUUUGGUCGAGAAUAUGUUUCCAUCUAAAGGCUUUUUAAAUAGUUUUCAAAUGAAUUUAGGUGGAUGAAAGAUCAAUGUUUAGAUAUUAAAUAAUAAAUUAUUAUGUCGUAGUAUCUUGAAAAUAUUAAAUAAUCAAUUAUCAUAUUAUAAUAUCUUAAAAAUGUAAUAAAAUUAACUUAUUAAUAAAUUAAUUUUGUUUUUAAAAAAUAAUUUUAUGUUGUUUUGUUUUUAUUCUUUGGAAAUUGUUUUAUAGAUUCUCAUCGAAAUGAUAUAAACAUAAUCAAAUACAGAUGUAAUUAACAACUUGAAGCAAAUAUUCAAAAUUAAAAUGCUCCAACUUUAUUCUGCAUGCACAUAGGUUUUUGACAUGUUUUCUAGACAGAAACAUUUAAUAAAUACUAACUCUUGAAAAAAUGAUUGAAUACAUGUGUACAAGGAAUAAAGAAAACUAGACACAAAUUUCUUUACCCUACUUUUACCAGCUAGUUUAUAUAACUGCAACAAGUUCUUUAUUCCCGCCUUGAAAGAAUGUUUCUAGAAGAUGUUUUAAAGAAUAAUCUGGUCCAGAAAAAUUACGCGUUCCUCAAUUUGUUAGGAUAAAUAUUUUUAAAAAAAUUAUAUAACAUUAUAGUUUUUUUUUUUUUAAGUUUCACACAAAAUUAAAAUUAAUCUCUAUAUCAAAUUUUAAUGGUUUAAAUUUUAAAAAUAAAUAAACAUAUAAUUAUUUUAAUCUAAAUAUGUUAAAAUUAUUUAAUGUGUGAAAUAUUACAUUAAAACGGAUACGUAUCAAAUAAUAUAUAACUUAGAUAUAUUAAUUUAAAAUAUGUUUGAUACCUUAAAAAAAUUAAUAUAAUUAAGUUAAAAUUAUACAUUAAUUUAUUUGUAAAAUCUCAUGAAAAAACUAAAAAUAUAUUUCAUUAUUUAAAAAAAUUACAAGUUAAAUUAAUUUAGGUAUAAAAUAGUUAACAUAGACUUUUUUAUAUUAGUUUAUAUAUCUAAUAAAAGAUAAUUUUAGGUUAACUAUGAACUAGUUUAUACAAUUUGUAAAAUUUUGAAGUUUGUUUAAUGGGAUGUUUAUUCGCUUUGCUUACAGCAGAGCUCUUCCAGUGGUGCCAUACAACUCAAAAAGUUUUGAAUAUGCUUGAUACUAUUACAUUUAUAUCGUAACUUUUUUAUGCAUUUCAAAUGAAAAAAUUGCUAGCAAUAGUUUAAUCAAAUUUUUUUUUAUAAUAUAUAGUACAUAUAAAUGCUGGAUUUUUAUUGAAAGUCUCACAUCAAUUAGACAUAGUAUUAAUUUAUAAUAUAUAAGUGAAGUAUAAACUUUUCUUACAAACUGGUUUUGUGAGAUUGAGUCAGAAUUAAGUCCACUUCUUAAUUUGAAAUCAAAAUCAUAGUUAAAACUUAUCCUAACAAAAUUUAUGUAAGUAUUUUAUUUCAUCCGUUGUCUGGUCACUAUCAAAUCACCCAUUAAUUAUACUUAUUACUUCCUAAUAAAUUUUUUGUUGGUAAAGUUUCCUUAUUCCUUUAGUUGUUUCUUUCUUCCCCCCACAUGAUUCACAAGUCAUCACUGUAUUACAUUUUAUUGUCCAAAAGAUUUUAGAUUUUCGAGUUUCUGCUUAAAAUAUUGGAUAGUGGUGUUCUUUGUACAAAGGUGGUGUUUCCGUUCCUUAAACUGUUUUUCUUCAAGUUAAAUUGUGUGGCACAUGUUCAAUGAGUAAAAUAUGCGUUUAAUGGAAACCACUUACGUGUUAGUAACUUCUUUUUAUUUAUUUUUUUUAAUUCACUGGCUUAAAGGAAACUUAUGAACUAAGACAUCUUGUUGGUGGCUAUGUGUUUUCACUUCAUUUUUAUGAUAUAAAAAAUAAUAAAAUUAUUAUUAUUGUAAUUAUAAAAAUAAAUUUAAAUCACUUUUAUAGUUUUAUUGUAAGUAAAUAUUUAUUUUUUAGAUAAUUAUUUUUAUUUUAAUAGUUAUUUUAGUUUAAAAAAUACUUAAGUUUUAGAAAAAACGAUGAAAUUGAAAAAAAAAUAGUUAAAUUUUAAAAGAAAAUUUACUUAAAAGAUAAAAUUAGUAAAAAUAAUUAUUUUAAUUUAAGAAAAGAAGCUUAAAAGGUAAAAUUAGAAAUCAAAUAUAUACACCGAAAAAGAAAAAAAAGAAGUUAUGCUUUUCAUAUCAUUUUAAGAAAUAAGUAUUAUAACUUUUUUUUAUUAGCAUCACGUAAUGAAAUUCUCAAAAUAAAAUAUGGGUACACUGGAUUUAAAAUAAAAUAAUAUUUGAUUGUAUAAUUAAAUUAACUUUCUUAAAUUGUAAAAAUUGAAAUAAACACAACCAUUUAUAGAAUCGAGGCUGAGACGUGUGUCAAAAUUUUCAAUUUUUUUUCAAAAAUUCCGUUAUUAAUUUGUUUUUCCUAAAGAGGACUUAUAGCUUUGGCUAUUUGAAUAAUUGUUGUCGUAUUUACUUUUUGCAAUGAUUCUCUAGACAAACGAGAAAAAAGGGUUGGUUUUAUUUUUUUUACGAAAAAGACAUACGACCUCGGUUAUUCUAAUAGUUCUUAUCGUAUUUACUUUCUGCAACGAUUGCCUGUACAACCGAGAAAAAAAGGUUGAUUAAAAUUUUAAAAUUGUCACUUGUUUUUUUUUUUUAUAGGAAGGAUAUAUGGCCUCGGUUAUUUUAAUAACCGCUACCAUAUGUGUCGCCAAGUGUUAUAUUCGCAACAAAAACAUAAAUUACCACUUCACACUUUUCUUCUUCAUUCCUAUGUGAAUCAGUGUUGUCGCUACUCUACUCAGUUCAUCUUUGAACUUGAAGGUCAUCGUCACUACUCAACCAUCCUCAUUAUUUCACAUAUCGUUGUCACCAUCACAUUGCGUUCGUUACUCAUCGUUGUCAUCACGCUUCGUUUGUCCCUAUCAGUAUGGUGAGCGCGAUUGUUGUUGUUUUUUUUUUUUUUGUAUUGUUGUGUUUGUGUUGCUCAUCAGAUUAAUAUGUUGUUAAUAUUUGUGUCUAGGUGCUAUAACAUUGUGGUGAGAUUGUUAAUGUUUCUCCAAAACAUGGUGUCCAUCCUUCUCCAUUAUUGCUCACAUUUCACGUUCUUAUGUUUCUAUUAUUAUCUCGAAAUUUAUUCUUAAUUUAAGCCUAUAAUUUUCUAAUAUGUUGUUUAUUUUUUAUAUGUUGGAUAUAUGAUUAAAUAUAUGCCUAUAAUUACAUUGAUGUUGCCUUAUAAUUUUGCUUGUUUGAAAAUUUUGUACUAGUCUGUUUUUGGGUUAUGGUUGUUGGUUUUGAUAUGUAGGUUCUGUGUGUAGGAUGAAACUGAAACAAUAUAGAUUUUUUUAUUUGGACUUAUGACCACGGUUGUAAAAAUAAUCGAAGGAGAAAAUGGUCUACGACCUUGAUUGUUCAAAGAACUGCUACCAAAAACCCAUUUUUUUUUAUUUGGACCUAUGGUAGUAGUUGUAGAAUUAUAACCGAAGCAGAAAAUGUUUAUGACCUUAGUUGUUUAUAGAUCCGCUAUCAAAAACCCAUUUUUUUUUCUGUUUAGGCUUCGAUUUUCUUUUUUAACCGAAGCAAAAUGUGAACCUUUUUGCUUCGGUUCAUAACCGAGGCAACAAAUCCUCCAUUUUUUUACCUCGUCUUAAUAUAUCUCGAUUGUAGAAUUGUUAUCGAUUGUAAAAAGCAACCACUGUCGUAUUCCUUCCUUACACUAGUGAUGGAUUUGAAAUUAGUUGUUGAUAUCAUGAGAUGCUUGCUGAAUGGUAAUUGAUUCUUGAUGAUUUGUGAAUAAUAAAUUGUUAUUUUGGUUGAUCGAUUAACUACUAAACUUUAGUUUGACAAUAAGUUAGAGAAAUGGUUGAUUUUGAGCUAAAUGGAGGUUUUGAUAGGUCUGGUGGUGAGCGCCUGUAUAUGAGUGUGUAUGAUAUAUGAUGAUGAUGAGUAUCAUGUUGAUCAUGUGCAUGGUAGAUGGACGUAAUUCCAUGACUCUUGUUGAGAGAUUUCCUAGUGGUGCCCUAUAGUGUAUGUAUUGAUGUAGGAAGCUCAGUCUUGGGGUUUAUCCUAAUAUUCUAAUGUUCAUUCUUUCUCAAGUAGAUAGGGGGGGGGAGGUGAGACUUGUGGUGAGAAUAGUAGGAGAUCCUAGUCUAGGUGCUCCAUCUUGGCCUAAGAUGCAGAACAAACUAACCUCGUGAGUGUGGUAUGUUAAACCCAUUUAUAAUGGCUCUGUAGAGUAGUUAAAGCCACCACAAGUGCAUAACCCGUCAUAGCUUGACAUCAAUGCUUGCCCAGAUGGUCAAGUCUAGAAUUCAUGGUUGUAUGUUUUAGGAUAGAUUGAUAUAACUUAUAUGCAUGUUAAGUGAUGUAUUUCUAUUUUAUGAAAGAUCUUUUUAUGAGUUAGUUUAUCAUUUCUUCUCUGUGUUUGUUUGUCUGUUUGGUUUCUUCUCUUUUGUAAUGAUUACCUUAAUGAUGUGAACUUAGAAGAUAUCUCUAAUGAGCAGGUGCUAAGAAGAACUAAAGUUGAAGCGUAUAGUAGAAUGUUUAAUUUCAGGUUUCAUUCUUUAAUAUAAAUGCCCUAUUACACUUUUAAUUUAGUGUUAUAUUUCAUAAUAAUAUAGGUUUUAGUAUAUAUUUUAUUAUCAUAAGUUAUUAUUGAAUUAGUUGUAAUAAUAUUUUAUAUAUUUUCUUUAAGUUAACAACUUUAUAUCAUUGAAGUGUAACAAAUCCUAUGAUAAUUGAAUACUAUGAACAAUUAGUAUAUUACACCAAACAUAUAUAAACUCAUAAGUUUCAGAGAAAUUAAAGAAAUUAGAUUUAGGUAAAAUAAGUUAUGUAAAAUUAUUUUAUAAGAUUCGUACAUUGAAUAGAUUCAUAUUGUUGGAAAAAAUAUAACAAAAGUUUUGUUAACCGGUUUAGGUCAUUAGUUAAGUCAAUUAACUAGAUAUAUUUUAAAAUUAAAAUUUAUAUUAUUUACAUAAUUUUAUUAAUCUAUAUUCUAAAUUUAAAAUCACGUGACAUAAUAAAAUUCACAAGAACAUAUGUAUAUAUACUUCAAUUUUUUUAAUUAGUUUAUAAUUCAAUCAAAAAUAAUAUUUUAACACACACAAACUAUUUACAUUUAUUUAAUAUUUUCUUUUCUUUUUUCUUUUAAAAAUAUAAAAAUUCAUCUUUUUAUAAUUAUUUUUCCUUUUAUAUCCCAGGUUUAAUAUAUAUAAAUAUGUCAUUAUUUACUCCAAAUUAUCAAUUACAUAAUUAAAGUGAUAUCAUAAAUAAAAAAGUUAAAAAGAUUGGUUCGUCCGUCAAUCUCAAGACUUGGUUUACCAAAUUUUUAAUGUCAAAACUGAGCAUGACAUUAUGAAAUUAUUUGUAUAGUUGGUCGAAUUACCAAUUUGGAUAAAUUAAUGUCCCAGUCUUCAAUCCACGUCUUUUCUUCUUCCAGCAUUUUCUUAAUUUUUAACUACAUUUGUUUUUUCAAUUUUUAAAAAGAUGAUCUUAUCUUUUCUGUAAAGUGAUUUUCGGAUGGUCUAUUCUGAACAUAUUUCGAAAUAUUUUUUUCAAAAUUUCUAAAAUAGAAUUUUUAAAAUACAAUUUUCAUAAUAUAAUGUUCAGAAGAAACUUUACAAAAUACAUUAUGAAAUGAGUGUUUUGGAAUAGAAUUUCCAGAAUAAGCUUUCUGAAGUCUACAACAACCUUUCUAGAACACAUUCAAAAAUAAGCUUUCCGUAAACAAGUAUUUUUUUUUUUUAAUUUCUUUUUAAAAGAAGCUCUGUCUCAUUUUUCUUGCUCUGUAGUGAAAAAUGGAGGUACACUGGUGAUUAAUUAUUACAGUAACAACGGCAACGAUGCACUUGGAAAGAAACAUGUGCAGAUAGUAAUAAUGGGUGGUGCAGAUAGAUGGUCUGACCCUUAUUUCAUAGCAAUGUCAAUCUUAGUGGGCUUAGUCCAUACCGAAACUAUUUGAUUGUCGUGAAUCCAAAUACCGAGUCCUUAUCAUAAAUUUGAAAAUGAUAGAUCACCUAUUAACUAAUCGAUAUUGUAACUUAUUGCGUUCUCAAAUUUAUCAUGUUAAUUUUUCUAACAUUAAUAUAUUUUAGCGAUAAUAAUAUAAUAUUAAUUUUAAUUCAAUUUUGUGUACAUUAAAUAAAUGUUAAAUAACUAAAGAUAUAUUAUUAAUAUUAAGAUUAUUAUAAAUCCUAUUAAGAAAUUUAUUCUAUCUCAAAUUCUAAAUCCUUAUAAUUAUAACUAAUAUGUUGGUGGACAUUUAUCAUAUAUUUUUAUACUUUGGUCUAUGUCUAAUUUAGCCAAUAUCUAAUUUAAUCUAUGGUAGCAUCGACUAACAUGACAAUUUAAUAUUUCUUUUGAAAAUUAAAUUUAAUACUAGUGUUAAUUUGAUUCACACAUGGUGAUAUUUUUGGAAAAAUAAAUUUAAUACUAGUGUCACUUGACAAAUAGAAUGGAUAAAAAAAAAGAAAGUUUGUUUUAUUUGUACCAAAUAUUUGCUUUUGAAUGCUAAUUGAAAACUAAAUUCAAGUCCACGAACACAAUCCAUCAACUAUAAAACUUAGACUAAGAGCAAUUAAGUUCAAUGUGCAAUAGAGAUGAAUUUAAAACUUGGCAAAAAUUGUUUAAUCAACCCUCAAAAAGUCUUCACAAACUUCACAAACCAGCCCUUAACUUUACCAGAAACCACUUGCUUUCCACCUCUAAAUGACAAACUUUACUACUUCAGUUUUGAAGGGCUCGAACAAAGAAACACUUAGGUUUGUCAUUUUCAACUAAUCGAUCAACAAAAUAUGUGAUAUCCAAACUCAAAACUUAACACCAGUACCAAAAACAGAAGUGAGAUGUCCUCUUUGAUGAUAGAGAAAAUGAAAUUAAAUUUUCUUUUAAUUUUACUCUUUACAAAUCUAAUAAAUGCAUAUCCCUUUAUUUUCCUCGAUCAAGUUGACACUAUUUUUCACUACGUUAUCCAUAUGUAUGUGUCUCAUAAGUCGAGUAGUUGUUUGUUUUUAUUUUUAAAAUUUAAUAAUAUAUAGUGUUGACUCAAUUUAGUCUAACUAAAUUUCUUUUUUUUUUUAACAUCGACCAACCUAUUAUAACUGUACUAGGAAGGACGUCCGACCCGGUACAACCAGGGAACAUCGCCAGCAAACCAUGAACACGAUCAAGGACGUCCGGUCCGCCCGAUCUCCGUACCAUGAGUGCCGUCCGGUCCUUAAGAUCAUGAUAGUGCUCGGGCAAUUCAUUCUGGUAACGAAGCCUCCACACUUUAGAUUUCGUCCGGGCACAACGUACGGACGGAACGGGAAAGGAUCAGGUUAGUAAUCAACGGUAAGUUAAGUGGGAUUAACAGCAUUGGGCCCGGUAUUGGGCCGUGAUUAAGAAAGAUUAAUCUUCGGCCCAUCUUGAAAAACUAUAUAUACAGGUCAAAGGUAACAGUAGGUGAGGUUUUGAUGGUGCAUUUAUGCUUCCUGACAACUUUCUCUUUCUAUCUCUACGAACAAUACUGAAAGUUGACUUGAGCGUCGGAGUGCUUUUAACAGGUACCCGGACGGUUGGAACAGAAGGUUAGCGAUCAGAGGAAGCGGACAACUGAGGAAGAUCCCCAAAUUGUAGAGGAAGACCCGGAGACCCGAAACAUUUUGGCGCCCACCGUGGGGCCGAAGGAUUAUACCCAAUGGUGACCACGAGAAAUACCAAUGCGGAGGACCAGUCAGAGAUGUUAAGGUUGAUGGAGCAGAGGAUGACGGAAAUGCAAAGGAAGCAUGAGGAGGAGAUGGCUGCGAUCAGGGCCGAAUGUCUGGCCCAAAUCGCUAAGAGUAAGAAUGGAGAAAAAGGAGGAGAACAGGGCGAGGGAGCUGGUGAGAAGCGCACGCCUUUGGAGGAAGAAAAUAGCAGCGCCCAUGCGAACGGGAGAGAGGAGAACGAGAACAAGGAUAGCCGGUCGCUGGUUAAGGUCGAGGAGACAACCACCAUGGUGCCAUUCAUGAGGGAGAUUAUGGAGGUUCAUAUAUCGGAGCAGUUCGUACCGCCCCAGUUUAAAAUGUAUGAUGGGACAUCUGACCCGACCGCCCACGUGAAGUCCUUCAUUAAUGCCAUGACUUUCCGAACUGGGUGCGACGCUAUUUGGUGCCGGGCGUUUUCCUUAUCCUUGGAGGGAGAAGCUUUAGAAUGGUUCAACACAUUGCCCGUCAAUUCUAUUGAAAACUUCAAGAGUCUGGGGGAAAUGUUCAAGAAACAGUUUGCUGCAUGUAGUGCGGAAGACGUGACAAUAGUGGAUUUGAUGAAUCUCAGACAAGGGAAGGAGGAAUCUUUGAAGGUCUUUAUGGACAGAUACCAAAAAACGAUACGAAGGGUGAAAGGACUCAGUUUGGAGCUCGCCCUCCAGUACGUCAUGCCGGCCCUUAGACCGGGACCAUUUAAGGACAGUAUCUGCCGGACUCCUCCCCGGACGAUAGAAGAACUUAGACAGCGAGCGGCCGAUGAGGCCCGGGUGGAGACUAUGAAGCAGCAGUAUCAGAAAGAUGCUCAGGAGGCUAGGAUGGAUAAGACUGAUGGGAAGAAGACGGAUGGCCAAGGAAGUCGGAGCGGGCUGAAGAAUCGAGAGGGCCCGAGAGGUCCGCGUUUUCAACAGUAUAUCACGCUCAACGCUCCUAGAGCUCGGAUAUUGCAGGAAGCGUUGAGCACGCAGAUCAUGCAGACCCCCAUGAAGCGUCCAACUCCCCCAGGGGCGGACCUGACCAAACGUUGUUUGUAUCACCAGAAUUCGGGGCACGAUACGGAGGAGUGUGUUACGCUCAAGGAUAAAAUUGAAGAAUUAAUCCGUGCAGGGCGCUUGCAAAGGUACAUUAAGACAAAUACAUCAGACCAGUAUGCGGAGAGGUCGUCCAGCCCUAGGCAAACGAGCCGGAGGCCCCGGAGUCCUAAACGGCAAGAAAAAAGCACGAACACGCGGGGUUACAGGCCCGCGCGAGAUGAUCGGCGGGAGAGAAGUCGAAGUCGCAGCAGGGACGGGGAUAGAAGGCGACCGUUGAGGGGCAUAAUUAACACAAUUUCAGGAGGAUUCGCUGGCGGGGGAUCCACCUCCUCAGCCAGGAAAAGGAGCAUUCGGACACUGCGCUCCAUACAUGCCGUAGACGUUACGAGGCGAACCAUGCCCCCCAUCACCUUCACGGACGAAGAUUUCCAUGCACCGGACCCGGAUCAAGACGAUCCGAUGGUGAUAACCGUAGAGGUCGCGCGCUAUGAAGUUAGCAAGGUACUCAUUGACCAGGGAAGUUCGGUCAACAUCCUUUAUUGGAAGACAUUCUCCCAGAUGAACAUAUCCGAAGAUCUCAUAGUACCAUACAGCGAGCAGAUAGUCGGUUUCGCCGGGGAGCGGGUGGAUACCAGGGGAUAUGUUGAUCUACGGAUGCGCUUGGGAACCGGACGGGAAAGCUAGGAAAUAAAGAUAAGGUACUUGCUGGUAGAGGCUAACACCACCUAUAACGUCCUCCUGGGACGACCGUGUUUGAAUGCUUUCGGAGCUAUAGUUUCCACGCCGCACUUGACCGUGAAAUACCCGACUCGCCGAGGAACGAUCUGUACCAUACGGGCAAAUCAAAAAACUGCCCGGGAAUGUUACGCGGCCGGUCUGAGAAUAUACCCUCAGGAAAGCCGAAGAAAACUAUCCAGAUCAGAGGUAGCCAUGGCCGAUUUGGACCCACGAACUAACACGGAGGACCGCCUGGAGCCUAUGGGAGAAACACAACCCGUAUCAGUUGGACGAGACCCUUCUCAAACCACGUCUAUGGCCACCGGGAUGGAACCGGAGACGGACAAGCGGCUGAGAACCGUUUUGUGGAGAAACCGAGAUCUUUUUGCUUGGACGGCGACAGAUAUGCCCGGUAUCCACCCAUCCAUUGCGUCCCACAAGUUGUCGCUAGUCAAAAACGCCCGGCCUAUUUCCCAGAAGAAACGGAGAGUGGGAGAAGAAAAGAGGAAAGCGAUAAACGAGGAAGCUCAGAAGUUAUGUGAAGCCAGCUUCAUCAAAGAGAUCACAUACACCACAUGGUUAGCUAAUGUGGUCAUGGUAAAGAAGUCGAAUGGCAAGUGGCGGAUGUGCACGGAUUACACUGAUCUUAACAAAGCAUGCCCAAAAGACUCCUACCCACUCCCAAGCACCGAUGCGUUGGUGGACGGAGCAUCCGGACACCGAAUGCUCAGUUUUUUGGACGCCUACUCCGGAUACAACCAAAUCCCGAUGUACGCGCCGGAUCGGGAAAAGACUGCCUUUAUGAUGGAGAGGGCCAACUUCUGUUAUGAAGUGAUGCCCUUCGGCCUGAAGAACGCCGGUGCCACCUACCAGCGGUUGAUGGACAGGGUCUUCUCCGCCCAGAUAGGACGGUGCAUGGAUAUUUACAUUGAUGACAUGGUCGUUCGGUCCUCAGACGAGGAGCAACAUUUACAAGAUUUGGAGGAAGUAUUCACUCAAAUCAGAAGGUAUGGCAUGCGGUUGAACCCAGCUAAAUGUACCUUCGGCGUGGCCGGAGGAAAAUUCCUUGGCUUCAUGCUCACCUCUCGGGGAAUUGAGGCCAACCCUGAUAAAUGCGAAGCUGUGUUGAAAAUGCCAAGUCCCGGCACUCUUAAGGAGGUACAAAGGUUGGUCGGUCGGUUAACGGCGAUGUCCCGAUUUAUCCCAAAGCUAGCUGAACGCAUUAGGCCGAUUGUGAAGAAAAUGAAGAAGGACGCGCCGGACAAAUGGGACGCAGAAUGUGAGCAAGCAUUUACUGAAGUAAAGGAGAUCCUAAUGAACCCCCCCCGUUAUGAACAAGCCGAUACCAGGAUAUGAGUUGCAGAUAUACCUGGGAGUGUCAGAUACGGCAAUCAGCGCCGUCCUGACACAAGAGGAACCGUCCCCCAAGCUUAUAUAUUUCGUCAGCCGAACACUCCAGGAAACAGAAACCCGUUACCAGCAGGUGGAAAAGGUGGCUCUGGCACUCCUCCAUGCUUCCCGAAGGCUUCGCCAAUAUUUUCAAGGGCACCAAGUGGUGGUUAGAACUAAUCAUCCGGUGGCCAAAAUACUUAGGAAGCCCGACCUGGCCGGACGCAUGGUAGGAUGGGCCGUUGAAUUAUCGGAAUGCGGCCUCCGAUACGAACCAAGGGGCUCCAUUAAAGGCCAGCAUCUUGCCGAUUUCGUGGCGGAGUUACCCGUAACCGGAAGUGACCAGUGGAGUCUGUAUGUCGACGGAGCGUCCGGGCGACAGAACAGCGGGGCAGGAAUCGUCCUGGAAGGACCGAACGGUUUUCUACUCGAAUAUUCCUUGGUAUUUAAGUUUAAAGUGUCCAACAAUCAAGCCGAAUAUGAAGCAUUGGUGGCCGGAUUGGGACUCGCCAAGGACAUGGGAGCGCGAAACCUGGUGUGCCGGACAGACUCGCAACUGGUCGUGGGGCAAAUGAAUGGAGAAUUUCAGGUGAAAGAAGACCACUUACUUAAGUACUUUCACCAAGCAUCAUCUUUAGCGGCGACCUUUGAUAAGGUGGAAAUACAGCAUAUCCCCUGAGAGCAGAAUACACGGGCCGACAUGCUGUCGAAGCUCAGCUCUGGCAAAGAGAAGGGCCAACUCACAACCGUUAUCCGCCGGGUCUUACUUCAGCCAUUUGUAGAAUGCUACGCCCUAACGUCAACCGACAGCGACUGGCGGGACGAAAUAAGAAGAUUAAUAAAGAAGCAGGAGGAUGGACAAUCGGUUAAUUCGUCCGACUCAAAGAAGAUCGCCCGGUUUAUAGUUAUUGGGGACGACUUAUACAAAAGGGGCUUCUCCACUCCGUUACUAAAAUGCCUAUCACAGGAGGAGGCUCAAUACGUAAUGGACGAGCUCCAUAAUGGAGUGUGCGGCUUCCACUCAGGACGAAGAACGCUGAAAGCACGCAUUCUAAAGGCCGGGUACUACUGGCCGACCAUGGAAGAUGAUACCCGAACGUUCACGCAACGAUGCCUCAGUUGCCAGGCACACGCCAACGACACACGAGUUCCUCCUCAUACGCUUCAUUCCAUAACCUCCCCAUGGCCGUUCGCCCAGUGGGGCAUGGACAUUGUUGGACCAUUCCCUCAAGGCCAGGGACAGAAGCGGUUCCUUCUAGUUGCAGUGGACUACUUUACCAAGUGGGUCGAGGCGGAACCCCUGGCAUCCAUCACUGCCAUGCAGGUUCAGAAAUUCUGUUGGAAGAUAAUAUGUAGAUUCGGCCUUCCAAAGGUCAUAAUAACAGACAACAGCAGACAGUUCAUCGAUAAGAAAUUGGAGGAAUUCUAUGCGAACUUGGGCAUCAAACACCUCACUAGUUCGGUGGAACAUCCGCAGACGAACGACCAGGUUGAAGCCGUUAAUAAAACCAUAGUGUCAGAAUUAAAGAAGAGGUUGGGAGACAAAAAGUCGGCAUGGGUAGAAGAGCUCCCGGAAGUGCUGUGGGGGUAUAGAUGUAUGCCACACGGAACCACCGGGGAAACUCCCUUUAACUUGACCUAUGGGGUUGAUGCUAUGCUCCCGGUGGAGUUGGGAGAACCGUCAUUGCGCAGAAGGAUGGAUGAUAUGCAGAUCAACGACGAGGUCCUAAGAGUGGAGCUCGAUACCAUUGACGAGCGCCGAGACCGGGCAGCACUCAGAGCGGAGGCAUGUCGGCGAUUGAUAGAACGCCGGUAUAACACUAAGGUCCGCCCACGAGAAUUUCAAGAGGGCGACCUCGUCUGGCGGAAGGCUGGGGAAGCAAGGCGUGUCCCCCAACAUGGAAAGUUAGCAGCAAAGUGGGAAGGCCCUUUCAAGAUCAUCGCAACGCUGAAAAAUGGAGCAUAUCGCCUCGCCCGACCGGAUGGGAAAGUCCUUCCCAACACAUGGAAUGCAACACACUUAAAAUUUUAUUUUAGCUAGUCACAUCCGACCAAUGUAUUUCUUCUAUGAAUUCUGAAUGAAAAUCUUCAGCCAAAUUUGAUUGUAUUCCAAGUCAAGGGAUCCGUCCCGCCAAGUUAAGGGAUCCGUCCCUAACAGGGAUCCGUCCCGCCAGCUUUAAGGGAUCCGUCCCAGGAAACCCGACUCGGCAAAAAGGCCGUUCUGAGCACGUCGACACGCGCCAAUAAGAGCGCAAAAUAAAUAAAAAAUGGCGAUUACGAACGAAAUAACUAUUGACAAGUAAACGUAAAAUAAGUUCAUUAUAACAAAAAGUAUUCCAUGAAAGUCGGACGGGUCGACCAAGCGAACAACAACUACGCCUAAGUGUUUGCCAGUCGACCUCACGGACCCAAAAAAUAACAAUAUAAAAACCUACAUUAAGCCUCUUUGUCAACCUCGACAACCGGACCCCCGUCCAUCCCAACAACAGUUUCCUCGUUCAAAACCCCUUCCACAGGACGCAUCUCACCCCGAUAAACAUCUUUAUACAGGUCGAACCCAACGCCGACCGGAUCCACCUUCAGCAAAUAUUGCACUUGACGCAAAGCCUUGUUGAACCCUUCUUCAUGCUCGUUGAUCACUUGAGCAUCCAGUCUCUCAAAGGCUUCCUUCGCACUUUGCAGCUCGGAUUCGAGGCGUUUCGUGUCGGCAUUGGCGUUCAGCAGAUCCUGGGACAAUCGUUCGCUUUGUUGGGCCAAUUCACCCCCCCUCUUAGUCAAGCGACGAACCUCCAAUCGCUCCUUCUCCACAUCCUCUUUCAAACCGUCUUCCACCAACUUCACAUCCGCCAGGGACUUGUUCGCAGCCGCCAAUUUCGUAUUCGCGACCUCCAGGUCCGCCUGCAGCUUCGAAUGCGUUUCGGAACAAUGCUCGUGCUCCUUAGCUAGCACCUCAAUGCGGCGGCGGAGUCCAGCGGACACGUUUUGUUCGUCCGCCAGCUCUCGCAACAGCUCCCGACCAUCUCGGCCUUUGCUUGAUUCGCGAGCCCUGCGAGCUAACAUAAUACCCCGGCUCAUUAAUUCCACGGCCGCCCCGAGUAAUUCUUCCUCUGACAAUGAUUCGAGGACUGCAAGUUGGGAGGCGCUUGGCCGAGACUCUACCCUCGACGCUGCGUCAAAGGCAAUAUCGAAAACGCCGGCCGGCAAGGGAAGAAGUGAAGAGCUCUCACUACGUCGAUGACGUUUGGAGGAUGAUUUUCCCCCCUCCUUCGAUUUUCGUUUCCGCUCCAAAGGGGCGGUCGAAUCUUGAGGCGACUCAGAAGAAUUAACAAGAGUCACCAGGACGGGAUCCGGUUGAGUUUUCUCUGGAGCAGAGCCGGCCACCAGCUCAGAUUGAACCACAGUCACGGGAGUCGCCGCAACCGUUACGGGAACCCCAGUAGGAAUCCCAGUCGAUGUGGCCCGGCUAGAGGCUCCGGACGGAGGAGCAACGCUCUUCGAAGUGCUUCCUUUGCGUCGUUGAGUGGACGCAAGCCAUCCGGAUUGACGAGGUUCCGGUAGCGACAUAUAACCUGAAAAGAAGACAAGAAUUUAGAUAAGUCAAAAAGGAACUUAAAAAAGCCAAACCGGCCAUAAGCAUACCAAAGGCAAUUUUGUCAUAGUCCUCGUAUUUGAGGCAGUCGACGAAGCCGCGGGCGUUGAGGCGGCGGGGCAGAUCCUUUAUGAUCCGAACGGCGUCGCGCUCCAAAUUAUUAAGGCGAUUCACGCCAUACGCCUUUAUUUUGGGAGGAUCCUCCGUCCAAUAAAAGGGGAACCGAGGGGUGCCAUUAGCGUCAAAGAAUUCCGACUUGCCGGAUUCCUUGAUAAUUAUUUUGAAAUACUUAGUCUUGAAAUUUUUGAAAGAAUCCGAAAACGGCUUGAAAAGAGUACGAUCAUGUACAGAAGAUAAAGACACCCAUCCUCGUCGAGGAGAAGGCCGAACAUUGAAGUAGUGCAGAAAUACCCGAACCAUAGGAGCUACACCAACCGCCGCGCACAAGGAAGUAAAGGCUUGCAUGGCCGCCCAUCCGUUCGGAUGAAGUUGGGUCGGGGCAACUCUUAACUCUUUUAGGACGGAGGCUUGAAAUUCCGUGAAGGGCACCCUAACUUACAUUUGCUUAAACACGUACGUAUACACGAAAAAGAAAUCCUCAGUGCUGGAACCCUUCCCGUGAUAUACGCGCUCGUUAGGAUGACUGACGCCGAGACAGAAUAACUGGGCGUCCUCAACGUCGCGAGCGACGUACGACCGGUUCGCCCACCACGACAACUCAUCAUGAGUCCCAAAGUCUGAGGUGAACUCACCCACCUCCGGGGAGGCCCACCGAUAACCCCGAAUACGAGGCCAUCUACCGGCCGGUUCAGCCAAUUCGCGAUCAAUCCGCACCCCGCCCUUGAGAAGAAAUAUGCCAUAACCAUUGAUGAGCCUAUCCCCCUCAGGAGAGGGCGGAACCGAGCUCUCAGCAGGGCGCGCGUCCAGAAACGAGGAAGAAACCGAACUUGGAGACGAAGCAUCCGCGACCCUAACCUCCACCUGUUCCCUUUCCACAGGAUCACCCGCCCUUCGCACCAUGCCUCCGCCACCGCGACCCGACGACUCCUCCGAUGAGUACACACUAACUGCGGCCAUUUAUUACCUGGAGAUCAAAACUCUGAAGCAGUAAAAAGAGAGAAAUAAAGAGUGGACAGUAACCCUUACCCUACCCCUAUUUAUAGCCUAUUUUUGAACACCCUGGUACGUUAUCCACCGUCAGAUCCAAAUCACGCCAACGGCCCAGAUUCGCGACGGUUCGCUCUACCUCGGAACCUGAUCAAUGACAGGAGGACACGUGUCCCUUCCCGCCUAACUCCACCCUCAAAAAGCGCAACCGUCUCACCCCACUUCCAGCCUCAGUUACUGCGUCACAACCGUCUCACCCCACUUCCAGCCUUUCAGUGACUGCGUCACUUCAGGCUUGGGGGGCCUCUGUACUAGGAAGGACGUCCGGCCCGGUACAACCGGGGAACAUCGCCAGCAAACCAUGAACACGAUCAAGGACGUCCGGUCCGCCCGAUCUCCGUACCAUGAGUGUCGUCCGGUCCUUAAGAUCAUGAUAGUGCUCGGGCAAUUCAUUCUGGUAACGAAGCCUCUACACUUCAGAUUUCGUCCGGGCACAACGUACGGACGGAACGGGAAAGGAUCAGGUUAGUAAUCAACGGUAAGUUAAGUGGGAUUAACAACAUUGGGCCCGGUAUUGGGCCGUGAUUAAGAAAGAUUAAUCUUCGGCCCAUCUUGAAAAACUAUAUAUACAGGUCAAAGGUAACAGUAGGUGAGGUUUUGAUGGUGCAUUUAUGCUUCCUGACAACUUUCUCUUUCUAUCUCUACGAACAAUACUGAAAGUUGACUUGAGCGUCGGAGUGNUUUUANCAGGUACCCGGACGGUUGGAACAGAAGGUUAGCGAUCAGAGGAAGCGGACAACUGAGGAAGAUCCCCAAAUUGUAGAGGAAGACUCGGAGACCCGAAACAAUAACCAUUUUUUUUUAUACUUUUUAUAGUGUAUUAAAUGUUAGUGUCAGUUCGACCGACACAAAUUUUUUCACUACAAUUUUUUUUUUCAAGAAGUUGACCUAAACUCAAAACAUUGCAUUUUAAUUUAGAUACAUAAUAAACAUCAUUGAUUAACUUAUGACUACCAUCUUUGACGAGAUUAGGAUUUUACCUUUUCCACCAAGCUCCAUGAACUUCUCCUUAUAUCCACACAUGUGAUUUCUAACACCAUUGUCCAAGUACCACAAACAAGUGACAUCCUUAGCUUCACCUUUUAGUGUUAAUAACAAUGUUGACUCUUCUUUUCAUGAAUAAGAUUAACUUUUUCCUCCAUGUUAAUGAGAAAAUACUCCCAAGAGAAAUGACCAAGCUUAUGGCAAUUGUAACAUUCAACUUUAGAUUUCUUAUACAUCCUUUCAUUUUCAGAUAGGCACGAUCUCUUCCUCUAGCUCUUCCAUUGGCUCUUGAUGAUGAAUAAAUUUUUUCUUCAUUGUUACCAUUUUGUUUUCCUCUAUGUGAAUGAGCAUGUUCUCUUUCUCCUUGUCCAUGACCAUGUCCUAUUCCUUGUCCACGUCCUAGUUAACUCCUAAAUCCUCCAUUAUUCGUCAAAGAAGGUUGAACAUUAAGGGCUUGCUCCAAUGGUGCUUCUUGUCUCCUCUUUAUUAUUUCUUCAUGAGCUGGUAAAGAACCUUUUUCAAGGCUCAUGGAGUCAAGAUCUUUAGACUCCUCAAUCAUACAUACUACAUAAUAAAAAAUUGGAGUUAAGGAACUAAGGAUCUUCUUUAUCACACGAACAUAUUCUAUUUUAUCUUUAUAUCUCUUCGAUUGGAUCACAAUCACCUUUUCUCUUGAGUAGUAAUUCGAAAUUGUUUAGAUUCCUUCAUCUUCAAAGCUUCAAAGUCACUCCUUAGUGAUUGAAGCCUUAUCUUCUUCACUUUGUUGACACCUUGAAGGGAUUUUUCUAAGAUCUCUUAAGCUUCCUUUGACAUAGUAGCAUAGGCAACUUUCUCAAAUAUGUGGUCAUCCAAACAAUGAUUAAUGAAAGUAAAGGCUUGUUUAUCCUUUUUCCUUGUCUUAAAUAAAGUCUCCAUUUCCACUCGUGAUAAGCUUCCACAGUCUUGUGGCUCCUCAUAGCCUAUUUGUACAAUCUCUCAGAAACCUUAAAAGCCUAGCAAAACUUUCAUGUGAAGAAACCAUUUUUCAUAAUCAUCAUUUGUAAGAUGAGGAAAUUGGAAGAUAAUAUACAUAUUGCAUUCCAUCUCUUAACUUUCUUUGUUUUCUUUCUCUCUCAACUCUCUAGAUCAAACCUAGCUCUUGAUACCACUUUGUUAGAGGAAGAGGUGAGAAUUAGAAGAGAGAACUCAAAUUUACUUGUUUGCGAAUGCCACGUACAAUGGGAUAUUUAUAAGUGCUAAUGGAGAGAUAUAAACUAUUUUCUAGGAGCUUUUCUAAUUAAACUAUAAACUAUAAACUAUUUUCUAGGAGCUUUGCUACAUCCUUCACUAAUUAAGAUUUUCUAGAUAUUCUAGACUUUACUUAGGGAAAUUCAAGAGGCAUAUAGAUAUUUGUAUACUUCAAAUUACAAUAAUAGUGACUAAGGAGGUGACGAGGGUGGCACAACGCAAUGGCAUGGUUGUUACGUUUUGUCACGAUUUGGAAGGGAAGAAGAAUGGAAACCCCCUCGUGAAAAUGGAGAGACUCAACGACAAUGCUUGGCUAGAGACAAAGAGGUAUGAGGUCAUGAGCAACAAUUUGACGACGACGUGCAAACUCGCUAGAGUAAGUGGUCACAACAUUAUAGAAAGUAGGAAGCGUCCAUGGAGGAGGGUGGAAAAAGCUCCCAUGCUUCAUCUUCCUCCUUCAAUAUAUUUAAGGAAUCCAAUUGUUAUGUAAUAUGCAAACGUGGAGCACUUGUUAGCAAAGGAAUCGAAUUGCCAUGAUUUUCAGUUUUGAUUGCACAUCGGAUUACACAUUUUGUAACAUAAUAAUGAUCCCCUUUUGCACCUGUAGUGGUUUUCUGGUUCCAAGCCCCCAAUUAAUUAUUGCAUCCUCUCCUUUGAUGAUAAAUGUGUAUGUUUAUGGUAGCAUGACACCCAAGAGAUGAGCAACACUACCAGGAGAACAUGCAUCCACAAAUGAUACUGAUGAUGACUGACUUCCUUGUUUUAUCGUUCUUCAUGGAGCAUGUUUAUUUUUAAAUCUAUUGUGUACAGGUAAUACAAUAAGUCAUGUUCUUUCAUACUUGUUAUAGCUCUCAUUUUUAAGAACUACUUUCCUUUAAUGUUGACGCGAUUAAACCUGAGUAGCCUAUGCUUUGGCAACAACUAAGUAUUGCAGUGUGUUAUGGAAUGACCAAUUUGAAAUGCAUUAUCGAUUUGAGAGUGCAUUUCAGAUUUUUCAAUUCGAAAUAUAGUGGUGGGUUCUGGAAUGACAACUCCAAAAUGUGCUACCAGAUCUAGGAUUGUAUUCUGGAUUGGUCACUAUAAUCCACUAUUAUGUUUCAGAUGGAAUAAUUUGAAAUACACUUCUAAAUUCGAUAAUGCAUUUUGGAUUGGUCAUUCCAGUUUGAUGCAUUCUAAAUUGCCAACUUCAAAAAUUAAAAAAAACCCUAAUCAACCCUAUACAACCUUUAUCGGAGAUGUGCCAACCCUAUCGAAAAACUACCAAAAUGAUUAAAUGGUUAAAAUUUUUUUACAAUAUGUCUUCUUUGCUGAAAAACCAUCACUUCUUGUUGACAUAAAAGAACAAGAAGAAGAACAAAAACAAGGGAAAAUAAAAUGAAGUGAUGAAGUGCAAUGUGAAGGUGCAAUUAAUUGGGAAGAAGAAAAAAAAGAAGAAAAAGGUUUUGUUUUUUUAUUUCUGUUUUAAUAUUAUUUCAUAAGGAUAAAGGGGGAAGUUUCAAAAUUAAUGGGUGCAGGAAGAAAUGACCUAUUUUCUUUGGGUGUUGCUCCCUCCAUCACCACCGCUUGCUCCCUCCACCUCCCCCUUCCUCUUUUACCCAUCACUCCAUAUUUCUAUUUCUAUUUCAUCCUUCACUAAAAUUUUACUUUUAGGAUUAAUAUUUUAUAAUUUUUACCCACUCUAAUCUUCUAUGCGCAUGCAGUACACACUUCUUCAUCCUCUUUUACGUUCUACUUCGUGUUCUCAUUGUUACUCUUUUAUUGUGCGAAUUCUUUCUCCUCUCUUUUUGGUGUGAGGGUGUGGUGAGUGAGAGGUUGUAGAGUGGUGGUGGAAGGAAUUGUUUUAUGGUGACAAAGUUCAGUCUCGAUGGUACUUGAAGGUCUCGAUGGUGUUUGAAGGUGCAAAGGAGUGAAGGUGCACUGUGUCAAGAUAACUAAUCGAUCCUAAAUUAAUGUAGAAACCCUUAAACAUAUAUGAGCUUCCGUCAACGGAUGUCAAAUUCUAUUUAAGGUGCGACAUCUGUUUUGGUUCAUCGGUCAUGACAAUGUUAUGUUUCCUGAUUUCCCUAAAUGAGUAAUCUGAAAGGGGAGAUUUUUGUGAAGGAUAACUACAACAUUUGACACUUCUCCACAACUGCUGGAUUAAAUUUGAAAUGACAAUUAUUCUUAUUAGUGUCAAAAUGAAUAUUGUAUUGUUUACAGUAUUUAACCCUUUUAAUAUAUAUUGUCCUUUUAAAAGUUUUUGCACCUUUUCCUGAAUUUGAUAACGAUAAAGCGUUGCUAGCACUCCUCAUAUAUCUCAUUUUUUUAUUAUUAUUUGUACUUUAUAGCAUAUCAAUAUGCAUCUCUUUGCCCACAGGUGAUUAAAAUGUUCUCUUCCUCAUUUUCUCUUUUUGGUUGGUUUGUUUGCUUAAAUGGGACCGAGGAAUAUGAAGAAACAAGAGAAGAAUUUCUUAAAAGGUAUGCUAAAGUUGAUGAGGCAUUGGAAAAUGGUUCAGCUAUUGAAGAAGGGGACGAUGAAGACCAGGAACUGGAGCUGGAAAUAGGUAAUCUUUUUGCUGUAUGCAUAUGGAAACAUGUACUUAAUCUACUUUUUAUUAAACAUGCAUCGCCCAUGUAAAAAGGAAACAUCUAAAAUGAGUAACUUAUAAUAACCAAUAUGUGUCUAUAUCUUAUUAAAUAACAUUUGGGUCCAUCGUAAUAUUUCAAAUGAGUUACAUUAUUAAAUUAACUCGUCAAUUAAUUCUAACACAACCUAUUGACAAAAUUACAAUGUUGUGUAUGUGUUAUUGCAACGAGGGAAAACUGGAGACAAAAUAUCAUAUAUAUAAUUUCGAUGUAAUUUAAGAAAAUAGAUAUUUUGAUAUUUUCGUAAAAGAUAAACAAAUUAAAUUAAGUGAAAAUAGUAAAUUACCUAUUUUAGAAUAAAGAAAAUGCAGAAAUCAUUACAAAUAUCAAAAUUUUUAUGAUUAUUGAACUAAUAAUUCAUACAUUUUAAGAAUUUUAUUCAACAGAUAAUGGAACUAUUAAGGUUAAAAGCCUGACGCAUCAAUGAAGGUGGACAAAAAUUCAUUCCAUGCAAAGUAUCUUAUGUUGAGUUGAUAUUGUUGAAAGUAUCACUGCAAUGCCUAGAAAAUGAAGGAUAAUGUUAUAAAAGGUAUCAAUUCAUGACAUGUUUGAAGUGAUUUUUUAUAGGAAAAUGUUGAGUUGAAAAUAAAAGAAUUUGAACAAUUAUGAAAGAAAAUGUUUCCCAAGCUUGGAGCAACUCUAAGUGAUUUCUUUGUAUCAUAAAAAAUAGAGUGGUGGAGAUGUUACACUAGGUGCGAUGAAUAAACUUUGAAGUUGAGAAGAACACAAAAUAGAAAAAUCAACGACAUAAUUAUAACUUUAAGGCUAAACAAACAAUGUAGAUGUCCAUUGAUAAUGAGUAGAAGUUUUCUAAGACUUAUAUUGUAUGUAAAAACAAGAAUUGGAAUAUGGGUCAACAAUUGAUUGAGGUUGAAUAUCUACAUUAUUUGAGAUUAUUUGAGUGAUCAAUAACAACAAUUAUGAUAAUUAUGUAAUGAAUGAACUCAAAAUAAAUUUAUUUAACAAUUAUGAUAAUUAUGUAACGAAUGAACUCAAAAUAAAUUUAUUUUACAAUUAGGCAGUGAGUGAAGUUAGAGUAAUUUUUCUUUUACCUCUUGAGUAUGCAUAAAAGAUUAAGUAAGACAAAAUGAUGAAAGAUAAACAUUAAAAAGGAGACUUAUAGCAAAGUACUAUUCAAACAUAACCAAAUUGUAGUAUGAACUUAUCUAUGUUGAUAGGAUCACUCUUCUUAACGGACACAACCAAUAUUGAUGACAAAAUCAUAAGAAAAAGAAGAUAAUAAAAAAUAUUUGGAGUAAAUAAGAAAUUACUUUAUUUGAAAAUUUAAUUAGUUAAAUUGAUUUUUAGUCCUUCAAUUACAACAAGGUGUGAAAAUACUUUGGAAAAUAUAAGAUAUAAAGGAAGAAAAGUAUAAAGAAGAGAGAGAGAAUUAUUGAUAGAAAAGAAUUAUAAAAGAAAAGAAGAGGGGAGGGUGUUGUUACAUUCGAAACUUAAAAUAAGGGCAAACCUUGUGCCAUUAACGAAAUCUAAAAAUAUUUCCUUUAUGCUUAACUUACCAACAUACAUCCUAACAUGAUCACCAAAUAAUAAAUCUUCCAUGUACAUAACCAUUAGCAUAAACUCUAUUGACUGAGUAUACAAACUACAUGAUUAUAAUUUUUACACGAUUAAAAUCUAUUAACAAAAUUUUGCAAACGCAUACCAUAUGCAAAAAGAUUUAUGUUUCAAAAUAAUAUCAUUCCCCUUGAUCUAAAGUUGAUACCAUAUAUGAGUCCAUUACAUUUUUACUAAUGUUAUAAAGAUAAAAAAAAUAUAAUAAAUAGAUAUUACGUAUACAACCAAAAUAACCAGAUGACAUUCACGCUUUAGAGUAGAGAUCUUGAAGCCCAAAUGAGUCACGUUCUCUCUAUUACAAAUCCUCUUCCUCUAUACUUAAGUUUCAAUUGGCUAUAAAUAUUUCUCUUGAAGUUUAACUUCCUAAUUUUUUUUAAAUGUUUAGAGUUUUAUGCUUCACCUUCUAAGAUAUAAUGAUACGAUUAUGUCCAAAAAAAAAUAUAAAUUUUCGUGAAUUUGAAUCUUCAAAAGACGCAAUAAAAAAAAAUUAGAAAAGAAUACAAAAUAAGACAUAUAUAAGAUUUGUCUUCAAAUUCGUAUCUCUUAAAGAUUUUUUAUCACUUAAACCCUUCUUUAUGAUAAAAUUAAAAGACUUAAGAAGUUUUUUCACUAAUCACGCUCUUAUAAUUAAUUAUGCUAAAUUAAAGAUAUUUAUUCCAUAUAUUUUCUAUUAUUUAAUAUACCUAUAUUUUUUUGGUUUCAUAUAUUCUAAAUCUAAAUAAGGGGAUUAUUCAUAAUUAGUGGAUUAUUCAUGUACUUCUCCAAAUUAUAUUAUAUUUUUGUUAGUGCUAUCAAAAUGGACCAUCCGGUUCGACUUCGACCCAACGCACCAAAGGUUGGCAACUUAGUGAGCCAACCCAACUCGUACACUUAUUACUGAGUCAAAAAAUUUUGAACCGUACUUGGCUCACCACAGGUUGGUGGGUUAAACAGAUUGGUUCACUAGUUCACUUAAUUACAAAUUUUGUUUUCAAUUAAAAAAGUAACAAUUUUUUUUCUAAUUCAAAUCUAAAUAAAUUUAAAUCCAAAAUGUUGUUAAACUCUAAAGAAAAUUAAAAAAAAUAUAAUACAAGUCAAAUAUAAUGCAAAAUCAUCUUAAAUUCCAAAUAUAAUCCAAGAACAAACACAAAAAGUAAAAUUAAGUGGAUUGGUGAACCAACCCGGCUCACCACGGGUUCAACUCGGGUGAGUCAGGUUCUUAGUGGACCGGGUUCAAAAUUGACCCUAUCAAAAUUUCAUUUUUUUUCAACUCAACCCGGCCCGAACCCAUAAUGAACUGGGUUGGCUCACAAAUUUCAAUCCAUUUGGCAACACUAAUUUUUGUUGUGUAAAUCAAUAAUUGUAAAACUUAUCAAAUUUUGCUAAAGUUGUGACAAUUUUCAUCCAACAAGCACGUGAAUUAUAAGCUUUAUAAAUAUUGCACAAGUAAGAAAAUAAAUGAUUCAUUAAUUCUUCAACUUCCGCACAUAGAACACAAUGUUACCUAUUUACACACUUCUAUUAUUUAAGUUGUCUUUUGUUACCACUCUAUUUAUCAAUAUCAUGUAAAUAUGGACACCCAAAGUUUAUUUUUAACAUUUUUAUUUUAAAAAUUUAACAAUCACUUUUUCUUCUGUAGAUUUUGAGUUAUUGUUUCCUAUCUAAAAUUGAUCUUAUUUUCUUGAUUUAUAAUCUUUUACUUAUAUUUCACAAACUUAAUUUUACCUAUAUAGAAAAGAAGUUAGUAAAACUAAGUUGUUUUUAUUGAAGUUAUUUAAAAAUAUUGAAUGUUCAUUAAAGCAUAAUGAGGAUUCUAACGCGCGUAAUACGCUUCGGUUGCCAAAAAACUGAAACAUAAGAAAAUGUGGUGUAUUUUUGUAAUUUUAGUGAACUUAUAGGCCUCAGUUCAAGGAGGACUGAGGAAAAAUAGGCUCUAUUACCUCGGUUAUGAAGCAACCAAGGUAAAAAACCCUGUAAAAUCCCAUGUGUCCCCCUAUAGAAUAGAGUUUUCUUUUGAGAACCUUUUCGAGGAAGACAUACUGCCUCGAUUGGUCAGAGAACCAAGACAUAAAGUUUGUAGAGAAUCCCUUUGCAACUCAUCAACUUCUCUGACAUGACAAGUUUAGAAGGGGAUACUACGUACCUCGGUUAGUCAGAGAACUGAGGUGUAUAUAUUUGGUGUAACUAACAACAUGGGGUUCAAUGAUGUAUAUGGGUUCAUUGACCCACAAAGGAAAUAAAUUUGAUGACAUAUAAUCAUACAUCACUAGUUGUUUUGCAAUGGAGGAGUAAUAUUUUAUCCCUUAUAUAGUUGGGUAUGUGAAGUUUGUUAACUUUAAAGUUUCAUUUGUGAUUUUAGUAUAGAACAAUUAAGUUAUUACCAAUUUCAGGCACCAUUGGUAGCUACUUGUGGUUUCCAUACCGAAGAACACUGCUGUAUGGUUUUGUUCAUUGAACAAGUCUCUUCCCAACCCUCUCAAACAAGUAGUAGAUUGGUAAGAACCUCAACGUUUGGACUUUCUUUCUUAUAUAAAUGCAUGCUAAAGUCAUUUUUUUAAUAGUUCCCUUGCAACACAUACGAUGUUGUCCAAGAGAUCAAUUGCUAAAGCUAAAAAGCUUGCAUGGUUGUACCUUAAGAUUUGGUAUUUUAGUCCUUACUUUGUUGCAUUUUGUACCAUUUCAGUGAUGUUCCUUAACAUUUUAUAAUUAUGAUAAUAUAUUGUAGUGUAAUAGACAAAGUGGGUCAUAUGAGUGUGGUUAUUACGUAAUGUAUUGGAUGAUGACCAUUAUUUGUGUCCUUGUUACAAGUGGAUGGGAAAUGGUAACAUUUGGUUUUAUUGAAUUUUUUUCUCUAUAGUUUAGAAUGCAUAUACAUUAUUUGAAAUCAUUGUGUCUUGUGUAGAGAUUCAAUUCUACUAUAUCAAUUCUCAAGAAGUCCCUUAAAUACAUAAGGAAAACACUUGCCAAAUAUGUAAUUCAACUCUAUAAUAGUAUGUAGAUAUUAGGAUAUAGUAAGUUAACUUUGUACAUUGGAUUAAUUUAUGAUUCUAAAUUGAUUUACGGUUACAAUUCUAUUAACAUUGAAUUGAUUUAUGAUUUAGUAUAAUUUUCAUUGAAAACACGCUUCUGGAUUGUUUUGGACAAUUUUUGUAUCUAUAAUAUGUUUUUGUAAUAGAGAUUGUUUCAGAAACAUACUUGUCUUUUAAAAAAAAAAAACCUAAAAUAGGCAUCGGUUGUGACCAUAACUAGGCCGUAUGGGGUCUAUGGCAUCGGUUCUGGCCAUAAUCAAGACCCCCUUCUCUAUUGUUUUGAUUCAAAGGAAUCAAGGCAAUAGACCUCGUAGGAAAAAAAUUAAAAAAAUUAUAUUAAAUACCCUCUAUUUUCUCAAUUGCAUUUGAAUCGAGAUAAAAGUCUACCCAUUUUUACCUUGUGUGUAUAUACCUCGAUUCAUCAAUUGUUUUGUAUAGACGAAAAUAACCGUCGUUUCCCUUUACUGCACUAAUGGCUUUCACGUAAGAUAUUUUUUAUCCAUGUAAUUUUAUCUAAUAUGUAAAAAAAAUAUUUCUGUAUUGAACAUUUACUAACCUCAACGAAAAAAUACAUACAAACUUCUAAAUUAUAAUAUAUGUUUUUUUUUUUGUUGGGAUCAAAAACCAUAAAAACAUUUCAAGAACUUAAACGGAAAUUUCUCUGUUUUAAUUUUUAACAUGAUAACAUCACGGGAGAUUAUGAUGUUUCAUUAAAAAGAAGAAAAACCAACUCAUGGGUUAUGCAACCUUGUUUACGAUUAGUCUCCAUUUAGAAAAGAAAAUGCAUCAGCAAUGACAACAGUACAACGAACUUGUACUUAUGUUGGUCAACGUUGUUAUAGUAAGUUACUUAAAAUUCGAGAAUGCUUGUCUUUUUGUCCCAAGCUCUCUAGAAUAUGUGUGUGUAAGAGCAUGAAAACUUUCCAAGUUUGUGGGCAGUAAAGAAUGAGAAAACCUAGCUUCAUAAACAUAUUCUAACAUAUCAUGACAUCAUAUACACCUAGACAGACCAGUUCGGACUUUCAACAGUUUUCUUAUAAUCAAAUGGAUAUGUUCUAAAACAAUAUUACAAGUGGCAGAUACCAAAUAACUUUUUUUUUUUUUUCACUUUCUAGAGGACAUUACUAAAGGAUAUGUUUGGAAAAUAAAUUAGGGAAAAGAUGAAUGUAUUUCUUUAAAAAUUAAAAUAAAUUUAUUUGUAAAUUGUGUAUAAACUAAUUUAUGAAGAAAUUGAUUUCAUUUUUCUUUUCAUUUUUGAACAAACUAUGGAUAAAUUUUUUUAAACAUACUUAUAGAAACUCUUCCUCCCCGACUUUUAUGCUACAAUUUUUAUUGACUUGCAAGUUGUAUACUUUUUUUUCAACCUCUAAUCACUACAAUCUUCAUCUUUACCCAGUUGAAAACAAAUAGAUAUAUUUUUUCUGAACACAAAUAAAAUGUAUAACCUUACACUAAAUUAAUUCACUUAAUUUUUUUUAUUUCAUACGAAAAAAAUGUUUUAAAAUAAUAAUUAAUUAUAUUUAUUAAAAAUGAUAUUUAAUUUUGAACUUAAAAAAACAUUUAUAGAAUAUUAAUAUUAAUAAAAUAGGUAUCUAUUAUUUAAAUUUUAAAAAUAGUAAUUAAAAGACUAAAACUAGAAAAACAAGAAAGAACACUAUAGUUAUAAAUAUAACUAUAAAUAAAAUAAAUUUUAGUUAUUGAAACAAAAAUAUUAUAAAGAAUAUUGUGUAGAUAAUUCUUUUAUUAUGAGUAAUUAUUUAAAUUUGAAAAAGUGGUUAUUAAAAUGAUAAAAGUGUAAAUAAUUUUUUUUAUAAUAAAUAAUUAUUUAAAUUAAAAAAAAGUAGUUAGUAAAAUCAUAAAACUAAAAUUAUUAAAAUAGUAAUAAAGAGAAUAAAAUUAAAAAAAGAAGAAGAAGAAGAUACCGAAAAGUGUAUCCUCUUUAUGUAUAAUUAUAGAUAUAGAGGAUAGUGACAUACUAUUGAAUAGCUGAUUUCAAAAGAAAUUCAUUAUAGUUUUAAUAUUUAAUUUAAAAAAAAUUGAAAUAAAUAAAUACAACUUUAUAUUUGUUAAUAUUUACAUGUUGAAAUAAUUAUUUGUUGUUCUACGACGUAUAUAUAUACUUUAGUCAUUUAUAUCAGUUUAUAUUUUUUAUGUCUUACAUCCAUAUAAUUUUAUAUAAAUUUAUCAUUUUUUAUUUAUUUUGUAGGGAAAUUUGUUCUUGUCAGUGGAUAAUAUUAUAAGUUAUUAAUAUAGACUAUGAUAUCUGUUAUUCAGAAUCUUAUGUUUAUUUUGUAUAUUGAAAAUAAAAUGAUAUUUUUAUUUUUACUUUUAGUAUUUUUAAAACUAUCAUAUUAUUUUAAUAAUACUAUAAGUUAUUUAAGUAUCAUUUAUUAUAAAUGGUUCAACUAUAAAUACUUAUCAUAAAGAAUACAAAACUAAACCGGUAAUCCCAGAAUGAAAGUAAAUAUAAGAACCUUAAAAUACAGGAAGCUAGUUAAUUACAUGUUGAUGAUAUUAGAUACUUUAGGUGCAAAUUCAAACACGUAUUUUACCACCAAAUUUUCCAAAGAUUUCGUCAUCUUUUAAUCAAAAAGAUUAUUAUAUAGUACACAACUAAUGUUAUAUAUUAUUAAAAGACCAUGCAAUGUUUUAUAAAAUUCAUUUAGAAAAGUAUAACUUUGACUCUAAUAUUUUCAUGUGUGUGAAACUUUGAGACUUCUGUACAUAGAAAACUGUAAUUUUACUUUGUUUGUAAACAAGAUAAAAUAAUAUUAAUAGCAACAACAAUGCAAAUACCAAAACACAUAUUAGGGUUUGGUUGAGGUUAUUUCAUUCAUAAUUUUAAAUGUAAGUUUAUUUUUUAUGAAUUUAAUGUACAUCAUCAACUAAUUAAAAAAUAUUAAAAAGUCAACUGAAUUUGCCAAGAUUUAAUGGAUCGUAAUCACUUUGAGUGUUUCGUGAUUUUCUUAUUUCGUGAAUGAAUCUCAUAGGUAAACUUAACUUGCAACGACUAAUUUUGAGUUUUGACAUACCAAGUAUAAAUAAGGGAUAUUCAAAAAUAAAAAAUAAAAAUGAACUAAUGGAUUUAUAAUUAACUUUUUUUUAAUCAGUACUAUGGAUUUAUAAUUAACUUUAAAUUGAUUCUUUUUUUCAGUUAUAAGUUAAUUUCUUAUAGGACUGAUCUGCCACCGCUAUAAAAAAAACAGUGGCAUGACUGUAUUAUUUUUCUUUACUUGUAAUAAAAAAUAAAUCAUUAGUUUUUAAGUAUUAUUUGUAAAUUGUUAUGCAUGUAUUCGAACUUUAUAAACAUUAGUUUUAUAAGAUUCUCAAAUUUAAAAUUAAAAAAUUAAAAAAAUAUUAUAAUUUUGAAAAUAUUUUUUAAUUUAUGUUGAUCCAUCCACAAGUCUACAAACCCACUAUUAUGCAAGGUGGGUCAAUCUACGGCUAUUACUUCCUGCAACAUAAUAUCCCUGCACCCUAUUAUUCUGGAACACAUUAAAAAAAAAUAAAAAAUAAAAAAUAAAAAAAAAAUUGGAGGCUGGGAUGCACCAAUAAAUUUGAUAGAUACACUAAACUCAUUGUCACUCCUAUUUCUAACAUUGAAAAAUAUUAUUCAAGACUCAAUUAUAAGAAAAAAAAUUAUAAAUUCAAGAAAAAAAUUAACUAUUUUAUCUUAUAUAAUACUACCAUCCUACACAUAUCUUUUAACUAAUUAUAAUUAUAUUUUCAGUAAUUUUUUAUACAUUUUUUAUAUCAAACUUAACAAAGAAAACUUUAAGAUUUUUUUUAAUUAUGAUUACUAAACUUAAAUAACAUUAACUAGCUUUCUUAAUUAGAAUAAAGUUGAUUAAUUUUGAUCGUAUAUUAAUAUGGAAGAGAAGAUAGUUGUACCCUAAUUAUGUAAGGUCCAUUUCUAGAAAGUGACUAAUUUUCUGCAUGCAUGGGACCUAGUAAUAUAUUAAUUAAUUCUUGUAUAGUUUUGAUUUAAACAAAAUCAUAUUAUAUUGUGCAAGUGACCUCACUUGAGUUUGGAAGUAAGUGUUUAGUACAUCGGAGCGCGUAAAAUUUGGAAAGUUAAUUAUCUAAUUGCUCUUAAUUCAUGUUUCCUUAUUUCAGAAAUUUACAAGAAUUUUGUUCUUUGAAUAUUGAUAAUAUUAAAAUGAAAACAGAAGAAAAAAUAAUUAUGUUAAAGAAGAAAAAAACAUGUCAAAAACUGAUUAAAUGCAAACCAAAACCAACAUGCAUCCAACUAAACCCUCUUGAUUAAGGUUACAAGCUGGGCGAUUCACAAGUUAAUUUCCUCUUAUUUAGAAUGAAGAGUGAAAAGGAGAACAUCCUUGUUCCACAUACGAGGAUGUUUUCACACUUUCAGGAGUCAAAGCCUAUAAAAUAAGAAGACUUCCUAUAUAUAAAGACUAUUUUUCAACUAAUGGAAAAGAAUAAACUUAUAUAUAUUGAAAUUCAAUAUUUUAUAUAUAUAUAUAUAUAUAUAUAUAUAUAUAUAUAUAUAUAGAUGUAAAUGUAUAAAAAUUCUCAACAUGUAGUAUGCUGCUUACAACUAUAAAUUUGACUCCAAAAUAUUUGAACUUUAUUAGCACAUAUUAUACCGAUUGAUAUAACGAUGAGAUGCCUUUGUUACAUAAUUUAUAUGUAUAAUUUUAUCAUCAAUUUUAAAAAAUAUCAUUUUACAAAUCCAGUAAAUAAAUAACAAUAUUUUAUACAAGAAUCUGUUUUAUUUUUGUCAGUUAUUAUCAUAGUAUUUCUUUCUCUGUUUUUUCUUUUUUUAAAAAAAAAGUGUUUGUUUUUUUUUUAUAUAGAUACCUCUUGCAUAUAUAUAAUUUUAUUAUGUUAUUUCUAGAUAAGAAAUUUUAGAUUUCCACUUAUUCCUCCUGUUUUCUUGCUAAGCACAAUUUCAAUAGUUUCAUGCACACGCUCUGCUGACUAAAGAAUAAUCUAGAUGCAUGGAAUUCAUUAGCUUUUGUGUUAUUACAAGAAAAUUUAUAUUAUAAUUAUUAUAAGAUACUGCAAUCUAUCCAAAAACCUAUUAGUUGAAUAUGAUACGCGAUUUUAUUGAAAUCUAAUCUAUAAAGCGAGGAAGAACAUUCAACUAAGUGGUUGGGUAACGACCCCUUCGAACCAAGGAAGGUGGCUUCAAGUUUCCAAUUAUACGACAAAACUUGGGUCACUAUUUCCUAAUUUGAUUCAUUCUUCUUAGGUUUCAUUUCCUAGUAUACUUUAUUUAAGGGUCGUGAUCACCAAUGCAUUGAGAACACUUAUGCAGAAAUUUAAAAAGUAUUUUUUAUAUUAAAAAUCAUAUAAUUUUUUUUAUAGAAUAUAUUGAAAGUUUUCUUGAUUUUUUAUUUUACCGUUUUUCAUUUCCACAUCACCUAAAAAAUUCGCAAAAGAAUAAUGAAUACAAUACUAGAGAAUAAGAAAGAUUCCAUUAGUGCAGUAAUUAAAAAGCAUUAUUUCCAUGAAAGUUUUCUAUUUUUAAUAAUUGAACUGCUACCUCUCUGAACGACAACCGUGUAAGGUUUUUUCACACGGACAAAGAAAAAUGUUAGAUGUCACUUAUUCUGUUGAAUAAUCUCAACCCUUUUAUCAACUGUACGAAAUAGAAGCAGGAUGUGUUUUGUUUGAGUGUAAAUUAGAAGUAAAAUAAUCAAAAUUGGACUACAAAUUGCAGUUAUAGUAAUAUUUUAAGACCAUAGUUACCAAUUUUCUUAGUUUAUUAGAAUGAAAACAAUCAUGUAUGCAAUGCAUCACUCUUCCUUGCACGCAUUCUCAUGGUAUAUAAAGGGAAAGUGUCUUUCGCCAAACUCUCUUCUUUCUCAAGUGUCUCUCUCUCACACACAAACCUACACAGAAUCAACAACGAUACCUUGAGAGUGUUGUUACAUAUAUAGUGAGAGAGAGAGAGAGUUUGAUAGGUUGAGAAAGAUGGUGAGAACCCCUUACUGUGACAAAAGUGGACUGAGAAAAGGAACAUGGACACCAGAAGAAGAUUGGAAGUUGAUUUCUUAUGUUACUACACAUGGCUACAAGAAUUGGCGCCAAUUGCCUAAGUUUGCUGGUAAUACAACUGCAUCAGUUUUCUACCUUCGGGAAUGAAUACUAAUUUCAUGUUAAGUUUUCACAUCAGUGUGGCAAGUAUAAACAUGAUCCAUGGCUUAUUUAUCUUAAUUUGAGGGGAAAUUUAUCACUCUCAACAUAUUCAUCAUUAGGUCAGGCACCAAAAAGGAAAAUUGAGUCAUAUUCUCUACUGUUUGGAUUCAAUAUAACUGUGCAACAUGUUUUCAGGUCUUUAUAGGUGUGGAAAGAGCUGCAGAUUGAGGUGGAUGAAUUACCUAAGGCCAGGCAUCAAAAGAGGGAACUACACUUAUGAAGAAGAAGAGAUAAUUAUCAAACUGCACCAAAUUCAUGGAAACAGGUAUACGCACAGCAAGAUUACAUGAUUGUUACAUGAGUUUAAUUUCUAUUCACCUUUAAACUGAUAAAAGGUCAUGCUGCAUAUGAUUUUUCAGAGGACUAUCAUAAAUAUCAAUCGAUUAACUUAUCAUAUAUAUGAUAUGUGAUGCACUUAUAUUAUUACAUGGACUUUUGCGCAAGUUACAUCAUAUAAUUUAUUUCACUGCAUGUGAAUAUAAACCAUAGUGUUUAUUUAUAUCAACUCCCUUUACUUGAAGGUGGUCAGUGAUUGCCUCCCACUUACCUGGAAGAUCAGAUAACGAGAUAAAAAAUCACUGGCAUGCACAUCUUAAGAAGCGCUUUCAACACAAUUCAGAAACAAAUGAAAAAGUUGAAGCCUCCACCUCAAAACAGCACUCCCUAGUAGAAUCCAUUCAAGAGGAAUCUGGGGAAGUUGUUGCAAGCAGUUUCCAGAACAGUUGCCUAGCUACUUCCCAAACUCCUGACAGUGAUUUUCCAUCGCCCCAGCACACAUCAUUGAGAGAUGCUCUGUGCAUGAUAUCUGAACUAGAACCUGAAGCAGCCAGUAAUGGGAAUUUGGCUACUGAUAACUUUGCUGACUUUAUGGAGCAAAACACAGAUCCUAUCAGUGCAUAUUCUUGGGAAGAACUUUAUGAAAUUUCAUACUUAUGUGAAUUUCUCGCUCCUUUGUACUGAACCUGAAAGUUUUUGUCCAGUUUAUGAUGUCUGGGGGCUGUUCGAAUAUGAUAACUGUUUGUUUUUUCUUCUUUCUUACUGUUUUUUUUUUGGGGCAAACCAUACCAGUUUAUUUUGAUGAAAAGUGUUACAUUGUGGGCAGAAUGAGUAAUUCUAUUCCUAAAAAACCAUGGUAUUUUUUUUUUGUAAGUGUUAUAUUUUGAUCCUGUUCCAAUAAACUCCUUUAUUGUUUCCAGAAAACCUGCAAUUCAUGAACAAUGUAACUCAACAUAAUGACAAAAUAUAGAACUUAAAUACAACAUGAUAAGUCCUAUUCAUGUUGUUUACCAAUCAACUGUAAUCACCUAAGUGAAACUUUAAAUCUGAUUAAAAAAUAACAACAUAUAAAUUUUAUAUUUUCCCCUCGAAGUAUGUCGUCACCUGCACGAGCUCACAAAAAGGUAAGAUAUUAGCUUUAUGACCUCUUAUAGUUUAAUCGUUAUACUCUUCAUAAUCCUCAAUAUUUGCUCAUCCACAGCACCUCCUUGAGAGCAAUCUAUGUUGAACAGCAUAUAUGUAACAACGAACUCUUAUAUGAUGUAUAGCAAGUACUAUAGUGUAGUAGAUAUGGUCUAGAUGCACCAAGAUAAAAGACUCAAAUAAUAAUAUAAAUAGUAUAGUUUAUAAGAUAACAUGUUACUUUUUCAUUUGCUCUCUAACAUGUAAGAAAAAGAAACUUUUAUUGAGUAAAUUAUAAUUUACUAUAUAAACUACAUUAAUUUUAGUGUUAAAUUGAAAAUUUUUAUAAGUACAUGAAAUUAUAUAUAAUAAUAAUUAUAAUAAUAAUAAUAAUAAUUUUGAAAUUAUUUGGUGCUUCACUAAACAAAUCCAAUAUAACAAGUUUUAUAAAAAUAUAAGUGGAUGUUAACAUUAUGUAACUAAAGUAUUUUUUAUUUGCUUAAAAUUUGAUAUAUAGGAUUGUUAAGCUAUUAUUUAAAUAUUUAAUAAAAUUAUUUAUAAAUUUCAAUAAGUCAAUUAUUUUAGAAAAAGUUUUUUCUUAACUAACUUGUUAAUCUUACACAAAUAUAAAUCUCCGCUAUUACCUUUCCUAUGUUCAACGCGCGUUAUAGAAAUGUUGAUAUCGGGUAAGAAGAAAUAUUGAAAGUGAAAAGAAUUCAAUGUUAGUUUGAAUUUUAGCGUAGAAAUUGGAGAUUUCAUAUUGAUUAUACUCUUACCGACAUAAAAGGUUAGUAUAUUCAAUAUUAUUAGCAUAAUUCAUGUGAAAUUUCAAAUAUUUUCAAUAUCUAUUAUCUAUUAUUCCAAUAAUCAAUAGAGAUGUUAAUUUUUUCUAAUACCUAUUUUUAGGUUAUUCCGAGCAUGUACAAUUAAAAGCAGUAUUAUGCAAACAAUAAUAUAGUUUAAAAGUUAAAAACAUUCAUAAAUCAGCAUAAAACCAUAACUAUUAUUCAUAUUGUAUAUGGAAUCAAAAAUCCUAUUUAAACAUAAAGAAAACUAUGAUUUAUCUACUUCUAACUUCUAAUAAUUUAUUUGUCUAUAUACCUUUUAAUAUCUUUACUUGUUUCGUUGUGAAAUUAUUCCUUCUCUCUGACAUAAAUUAAUGAAUGAAAAUAAUUUUGUAAAGAUGAUAUGUAAGUUGUAAAAGUAAUAAUAUCCUUUAGUUAAAUUCUUUACGAUUAUAGAGUUUAGAAAUUACUUAUCAUCAAUCAUAAUUUACUAUGAGUUUAUGCUUAGAUGCUUAGACUCUUAUGUUUUCAAUUCAAAAUUAUUGUUUUUAAGACAAAUUACUAGAAGGUGUCGUUGAUGCUUUUAUAGUUUAAACCUUUGUUAGAAUACUAAUUGAAAUACUUAUAUUUGCAUCUAACUUUUAUUUUAAUUUUAAUCAAUCUACCAAAUGUGGAUUAAAAGAAUUUAAUUUGGUUAAAUAUUAUGUUAUUGGUUAAAAUUUUGAUUAUUUGAAAGCUCUUAUACGAUCAUUUAUCUAUUGAUUUAAAGGUUCAAAAAAUGGGUGAGUUUAUAUUUUAUGUGCUCUUUAUGUAAGAAUAAUGUUGAAUUUUUCUCUUAUUCGUUAUUUGACAUUUUUUUGUUAUACGGGAUAGGAAUGGUUGAAAGAAGUUUUCAGAAUUUAUAGUUUUUCUCAACAAUUUGGUUUUUCAUUUUAUGAAAUCUAUCUGUAGUCCUUUUUUUAAAGUGAUUAAAGUGAUUGUCAUUACUAUAGUUAUCUAUUUGAUUUGGAGGAUAAGAAACCAUAGUAGAUUUUAGGUUCUAAUUGUUUUUAUUUCUAAUGUUUUUCAAAAUGAGGAGUUGAUGACUGAGAAUAAAUCUAAGAAGCAUAUGAGUAAUAUUGUCUCUGAUUUUUUUGUGUUAAAAUUUUUCAAAAUUUAAACUAUGGAGAAUAUGUUGGUUUCCAUUUACGGAUAUAAUAUGACAAGUUUCAUCUCCUAAUUGGCCUAAGGUGAAAUUUGGUGGUGCAACUAGUGAUUGUCAAACUUUAGCUACAUGUGCUCAUAUUUUUAGAGAAAGGAUAAACAUGUGAUUAAUUUUAACUUUUAUAGAGAUGUAAACUUCUAUUUAUGUUGAGUUUAUAGGAAUCGCUUAUGCUUUAGAUCACACUUGAAGGGAGGACUCUCAGAGGUUUUGGUUAGAGAGUAAUUCUACUUUAGCUUACCAUGGUUACUUGGAUCAACAAAUAGUUCCUUAAAAGCCUUAGAGGGAGAUGGUGUCGAUGUAAGCAUAUGUAAUUUAAAGUUUUUCAUGUUUUUUCGUGAAGAAAAUUAUUUGUUGAUAAUUUAGUUAAUUUGACUUUUAUUCAUGCAGAACAAUAUAAGCAGUUUCAUGUUUUACCUUAUAUUUAUUUAGGUUUUGUUCAUAAUAGGUAUAGUUUGUUAUGUUUUGUGAAGUGUAAUUUUUUAUCAUUGUCUCUCAUGCUUUACUCAUUAACUUUUUUACUUUUUUUAUUUUAGUACAUUUUCAAGUGAUUGCAAAUGAUUAAUGGACUUUGAAGUAUCAACAUAGUUCAGACGUUAAAGUUCAUAGUGAUUCCUAACACGAGCUUAUUUAAAAAUGCUUUAGUAACAAAAUCAACGUGAAAUGUGAAAAAUGUGUGUUUUCUCUUUUAUUAGUACAUGGCAUACAAUUUUGGUUAUCUAAAGAAUCAAUGUUAUGUUUAAGACUUUCCAUAUUGAUUUAGCACAUAAAUGAUGUAGAAAGUUCCAUACUACAUCAAUUUCGACACUAAUUGAUAUAAUCUAUCUGUUUUUAAACUUUAGUUGUUUUGGAAUAGUUUACGCUUAUAAAUUCAAAAUAUUGUACACAACAAUUCCAUUAUCAACAUAGCCCUAAUAAUUUUGACAAAUAGCUUUAAGGACACGUGACUUUUGCUCAACUAGUUUCAAUUUUUGCUCAAGUAGAAUAUCCUUCUUAUUGAACUUGUUUAUUGAAAUCAAACCAAAAGAAAUAAGGUAAGUUCAUUCACAUUUACCUCUUUUACCGACACUCCUUCCUUUAUCCACACUUAAAGGUGUCAAUUUGGUAAAUGACCUAGACCACAUUCAUUAAGCCCACUUUUAGGGUGUCCAAAUGAGGGGCCAAAACAAAAACUUCAAUCCCCAAAUCCCUUUCUCAAGUGAGUUAGGAUCAAGGCUAAGGUGGUUGGUCCAACUAAAAGACUUUAAUUAAUUUUUAAAAAUAAUACUUUGAGUCUCAACCAAAGAUCAACAUUAGUCAUUUUUUGCUGAAAGUAGAAAUAAGUUAAUUGGAAAUAUGGGUCAACUCAGCCAAAGUUGGAGAUGGGCUAGCCCGACCUUAAGGUCGAGAUGGGAUAACCUUUACUGUAGGAAAAAACAAUCCAGCUCGAACAUAAGGUAUAGACGCACUCACCCAAAUAGAAGGUGUAGAUGAGUCAACUCAAACUGAAGGUUCAGACGGGCCAACUCGGGCCGAUGGGUCUAGAUCAUUCAAUUUAUGCCAAUUGUUGAUAUAGGCUAGCCCGAGAUCGAUGCUAAGACUGCUUGAGUUUGGAUGAGGGCUAAGACGAACCAACUAGGGUAAAAGGUUGAGAUGGACCGGCAUGAGCCGAAGAUCAAGAUAGACCAAGUUUGGCUGAAGGUCAAAGAAGGGUGGACCAGAGGUGUUGGUCGAGACUCACUAACCUGGACCGAUUGUCGUGAUGGGUUGGCCAUGGUCGAUUUUCUUGAUGGGUUGACUUAGUCGAAUUCAACUGAAUUUUGAAUUAGGAUGACUUGGUCGAAUGUUAGUUGGGAAAACUUGGCCAAAGUUGAAGGAAUUAGCGAAAUUAAGGCGAUUCUGACCUACCAAAUUCGGCGAGGGCCAAAUACUCUAAAUUCAGGUGAAUUUCUACCACUGCUAAUGUAGCUGAACUCGAUCAAGUUUUAACAAUGCUAAUGUGGCUAAAUCAAACAAUUCCUCCGAAUUUCAAUCGAGGCCGAUUGGGGGAAAUUUCAUCGGGGCCUACUCGCCGAAUUAGGCCAGGGUCAACAUGAACAAACUUAGCCAAAUUUCUUCAAAGAUCGACUCGAUCGAAUAAGCCUCAUUAAGCCAAAUUUUGGUAAGGAUUAAUCGAAUUCUUCCAAACUUCGAUUGAGGUCGAGAUUUUGCAAAAUUCAGCUAAAUUCGCCCUAUUAAAAUUUAAUUGAAUUGUGUUAAGUUGGCCUUGACCGAAUUUUGACAAAUUAGUCACUAAUCAAAGUUUAGUCGAAUUCAACUAAGACAUUUUCAACUGAAAUUUGGUCAAGUUAGUCUAACUCAUACCGAAGGUCAUCCCAGGAUGACCUAUGCUAAAAUUCAAGAUGGAUCAGCUUGGGCCAAAGAUCGAGAUCGGUAUGUCCAAACUCAAGUCCAAUCCUAGUUUAUUUGACUUAAGGUCGAGAUAGGUUGACCUAUAUCGAAAGUUUAAUAAUAUAUUAUAAAGGAAUAAUAUAUUUUUCAUGUUCAACAUGAUUUUUUGGCACUAGUGGAAAAACGCUGAUUAACGUCAGUUAUUUUGGGCUUUUGACGUCAGUUUCGAACUCGACGUCUAAUCCAGUGACGUUACUUUGCAUCAGUCAGGUAAUGACAGACGUCUAUAUAGACGUCGGUUUUGCACACAACCGACGUCCCAAUAGACAUCAGACUAUAUAGGUGAGACGUCUAUAUAGACGUCAGACUUGUAGAUCAGACGUCUAAAAUGUCGCCGUAUUUGAUAGGAUCUUUCUCCGCUUGAGGCCUCUCGAGUUGCUCCUAGGUCAUGGUGAUUCGAGUUUACAACUUUAUAUUUUAGUUGAAGAGAAUGGAUUGUAUGUUCUUAUUUUGUAUUGGACGGUUUUGAUAAUGUAAUGGAGGGAAUUGGAGGAGUGCAAAACGCAAGAAAUCGCCNUCCAAGAACGCUGCCUAAGGACAUGAACAAAACUGCACAAAAACUCAAUGAAAACGCAUUUUAAUCGAUUCAAAUGAAAAAUAAUUCAUCAAAGAGUAAUNNNNNNNNNNNNNNNNNNNNNNNNNNNNNNNNNNNNNNNNNNNNNNNNNNNNNNNNNNNNNNNNNNNNNNNNNNNNNNNNNNNNNNNNNNNNNNNNNNNNNNNNNNNNNNNNNNNNNNNNNNNNNNNNNNNNNNNNNNNNNNNNNNNNNNNNNNNNNNNNNNNNNNNNNNNNNNNNNNNNNNNNNNNNNNCAGACGUCUAAAUGGAGUCAAAAAGUGACUUUUUAAAUUUUUGGAUUCAGGGUUUAGACGUCGGUUCCCAGAGUAACAGACGUCUAAAGUGCUUUAGAAGUCGGAGUGGCGGGAUCAGAUGUCUAAAUGGAGUCAAAAAGUGACUUUUUAAAUUUCUAGAUUUAGGGUUUAGACGUCGGUUCCCAGAGUAACAGACGUCUAAAGUGCUUUAGAAGUCGGUGCUCUCCCAACUGACGUCUAUAUGUCUGACAGGUAGGUGAAUAACCAUUAAUUUCCAUCAUAUAGACGUUGGAGCCCCUCCUAACUGACGUCUAUAUGACUGAAAUAAAUGACUUUUCACCCACCUGUCAGACAUAUAGAAAUCAGUUAGGAAGGGCCCCGACAUCUAAAAUAUUAUAAACGUCGGGGCACCUUCUAACUGACGUCUAUAUGACCAACUUAUUUACGAAAAUGCCACCGGUCAUCAAUAUACAUCGUACUUACCCUUAACCGACAUCUAAGGGGUGACGUUAAAUAACGUUUUUGCACUAGUGUGAACUUCUUAGUCUUGUAAACUUUUUUAAUAAAAAACUUUUUUGUCAUAACUUUUUUUUGGACCCAAUCCACUUAGAUCUAGGCCAAGCAAUAUGUAUUAGACCAAAUUAACGAGGAAACAAUAAUGUAAGCUCUUCUUCUUUAUUUUCACUUUUUUUCUUCUUUUCCAUAAACACUAGACUUAUAAAACAUUUAUUUUUCCUUAAUUAUCAAUGCUUUUAUUAUGACUCUCCCAUUAACCUUGUCUUACCAUAUAUUUUUAAGUUUAAUAACUUUAAAGAAAAUACUAUAAAUUUUAUUAUUAUAAUCUAACAAUAAUAUAUAACAAUAUAUAAAAAUAUCUCAUAAUAUAUAACCAUAUAUAAGGAUAUAUUUUAAUUUGUAACAAUAUAAAUAAAUAAAUAAAUAAAUAUAUAUAUAUAUAUAUAUAUAUAUAUAUAUAUAUAAUAACAUCCAAAAAUAUCUUAUAAUAUCUAACAAUAUCUAAUAAUUUUUUUCCUAAUUAAAUAAUUAUUCACCAAACCCUUUUUCAAAUAAAUCUUUUAAAUUAAAAUAAAUCUUUUAAAUUAAAAUAAUUUUUUUAAAUUAUAACUAAUAAAUAAUUUCAUCUUUUACUUAAAAUAUUUAAUUAUACUUUUAUAUUUUUCUAACUAUUAAAAUUUUUAUAAUUUCACUGUCACCUAAGAAAAGUUAAUUUUUAUCUCGAUAGUCCAUUAAUACCACUCAUUAUAGUGUCAAACAUUUAUCUGUUAUCAAAAAUAAAAAAAUAACAUACAUUCAAACCUCCUUCAAACCUCUUUUUAUGUUAGUAAAGAUAAGUAUAUCUGUAAAGACAUUCUCACAAGUAAUUUGUCAGAUAUAGAAAAAAUAACAAUAAAAAAUCAACAAUAUUGGUUAUGGAAAUAGUAUACUUUUUAUAUAAGUUACGUUUUUUUUUAGGUUUAAUACCUCCAAUUGUCCUCCCAUUUGUAUGUUAAUCUCAGUUUGGUCCUCAAGUUUCUAUGUGUCUCAAUUGAGUCAUAAUAUUUGUGAAAAUGGACACAUUGUACCCCAUCCUUUAAAUGGUAGCAGACGGCGUUAAGUGAUAUCCACGUGUUGGAGUGAGAAGUUGUUGAUGUGUUAUUUUUUUUUACGUGUCCUGUUUUCAUUAAAAGGAGCAUUGGUGAUGUGGCAUCAAAAUUGGAUUUAGGGUUAAAUGGGAUCAGAAAUUAGAAAUUGGGAUUUAGGGCUGGAAUUGAAUUGGGGAUUUGUUGCGAGACGAAGCGAAAGACGAAAGACGAUCACCCACUAGGGGUUGUCUCCGCGCUGGAUCUGAUCCGUAAAGAUGAAGAAUUCCACAGGAGUGUUCAAGGCGUUGGUGGCUGGCUUCGUGGCGUAAGGACGGAGGCUUUAAUCUUCUCCUCCUCUUGAUUUUGCGAUUUAGGGUCUAGGCUGUUCGUCAACUGUUGGGAUUUCUGUGUGGAUGAACUGAUUUUCUUCUGAGAUUAGUGCCCUCAAAUUUGGGGCUUUUUGUUAGCAAGAUUGUAUGAUGAUGGAGAAGAAGGAGGCGAACUCGCCGGAGACGCCAUUCGGUCCGAUGAUGACGGUGGAGAUGCAUUCGUCACCUAGAAGUGGGUUGGUGAGCCCUUGCAGAUGAUUCCCCUACCGGUGAGGGUUUUCCAUGUUUGCCGAUAAUGGAGGCGAUGAGGUUGGCCCAAACAUCCUGCAAAUAAGCAUUAGCGCCACCAUCUUGAAUGUUGAACGAGAGAGUCCUGGAGCUCUUUAAUUGAAGAAAGUCUUUUGAUGAUUUUGUAACUGUGGUUAAACAAGACUACUUGCAGGAAAUAGAUGAAAUUAAUUUAAGAGUUCAAAAUUUGGAAUCCGUCAUACACACCCUCAUAAUAAAGAAGCUGUAGAAAUAAAUGAAAUUAAUUUAAGAGUUCAAAAUUUGGAACACAAUUAGCCCAUCGGAAUCAAACAAUUUGAACUGGGGAUGCAGCGCCCUGUUGAUCAAAUGAGAUAGCAACAGUGUAAGGACGAGAGGCGAUGCCCUUAAAUCUUAGGGCUUCGUCGUCCACGUAGAUAAACCACAAAAAACAUUCAAUUUAUUGUACUAUGACACGUGGUUAAAACAUAAAUUACAACUCAGCUACACUUAACACCGUCUGCUACUAUUUAACGGAUGGGAUAUAAUGUGUCCAUUUUCACAAAUAUUAUGACUCAAUUGAGACACUUAAAAACUUGAGGACCAAACUGAGAUUGACAUACAAAUGAGAGGACCAUUGGAGGUAUUAAAUCUUUUUUUUAAUAAAAAACCAUAUAUAGUUUAGGAAUACUUAGAGAAUGUUAAUUAACUAAUUAAAAUUUACAUAUAAUUUGUUAAUUAAUUAUUUCAAAUUAUUAAUUAUGUUGUUUCUAUCUUAUUUUGGAAAAUAAAAAAUCAGAAAAACAUAUACAGGAACAUUAGAAGACUUAAUGUUCCAUUAGAUCUAUUUAAAAAAUUCUUUAAAAAGUACUAUUUUCGAAAAAAAUUCACUCCUACUUUUUCACCGGUUUAUCAAACUAAAGGUUUGAGAUAACAAUGGGACUAGGAUGACAACGGAUCGGGUCAGACACAAAUAGUGUCUACCCGCAACCCGAUUCACUGAAUAAAACUGUACUCAUUACCUGGUUCGUUGUCCGAGCGGGUAACCAUUUAGAAAAUACCUGCAGGUAUUUUAAAACCCGCGAAACCCACAUAUACCCGCAAAAAAAGAAAAAAAAUUUAUACAUUUUUAAAAUAAAUUUAACUAAAAUUACAAAAAAUAUAUAUAAUGUAAUAUAAAUUAAAUUAAAUAUAAAUUAAAAUUUAAUUUUAAUUAAAUUUAACCUAAUAAAAUAUAACUUAAUUAUAUUUUUAAUUAAAUUUAAUUUAAAAAUAUAUAAUUUUUUUUUUAUUUUUUGUGAGUAACGGUUACCGACAGGUCGGGUAAUAUACUAUCCGUACUCGACUUGUUUAGAAGAGGGUAUAAAAUACUCGUUACCUGUUACAUGUGGAAGUAAUAUCCGCAAAUAAUAACUAUUCGGCGCAGAUUACCCUAAUACCUGUAUCCGCAGAUUUUUCUGUCAUCCCUAAAUGGAACUUGAUGGAAACGAGUUUUGAAAAAAAAAAAUCAAUCUCAUUUUGAUAUUUAAAUCUAAUAUAUUUCAUCUUUAUCUUGAUCAGAUAAUAGGUAUACAUUCUUAAGUGUGUCCAUAUUUAUACAUGCUUUCUUAGUGUUUCGAUAUUAAUUAAUUGAUUUUUAUUAAAAUGAUAUAUUCUUAUUUUCUAAUAUCAAAUAUUUUGAAAAAAAAAUUAUCAAAUAAAAUUUUAUGAGAGAAGAACAUUUAUUAAUUUUGCAAAGUCAAUGAAACAAACUUCACAAAAUUUAUAAAUAUUGUUAAGAAAUUACAAAAAAAAUAUAUAUACAAAUUUAAAAAUAUUUUAAAUGUCUUUUUUAUUCUCAUUCUUUAAAUUAAUUAUAAUGAUAUAUCUCUUUUUAUACUAAAAACCAUUAUAAUACAUCACUUCAAUGUAAUCACACAUACAACAAAGAUGAAAUGAAUAAUAAUUGAAAUUUAGUAUAUAAAUUUGAUCUUUUUAAUUUCAAUAUAUAUUAGAUGAUGAUAAACAAGAUUGAUGAAAAUGAUAUUAAAUUAUUAUAUUAUAGUAAAUGAAUUUUUUUAUACAAUUGUAUAAAUUACACUUAUGAUAAUGAGUUAGAAAAUAAAAAUAAUUAUAUAAAAACAUCAAAGGAGUAUUCUACAUUAUACAAAUAAACAACAAAUAAAAAUAUUAAAAGAAAUCAAAUGUGUCUCAUAGAAAUAAUUUGAUAUACCAUUAGAUAAAUCGCAUGAAAAGAAAAUAGUUGUAUAAUUAAAGAAAAUAAUUGUAUAAUUAAAGGUACGGAAAGAUGAAAAGUACUAUAGGAAAACUUUUUAUAUAUAUAUUAAACUAAUCGAAGUAUUGAGAGAUAAUAAAAUUAUUUUAACAAAAAUAAAAAUGGUUUUUAAAUUGAAACAAAAAUUAAGAAUAAGAGAAUAAAAAAUAAUUUUUUAUAUUACCCAGUAAAUGAAAAGUUUUUAUCAUUAAACACUUGAAAAGUUUUUUAUAUUACCCAGUUUGGUUGAAGUAUGUCAAAUUCGUCCCCAUUUUAGAAAAAUGUCAAUUUCGUUCUCAUAUAGAAAAAAUUUGUGUCAAUCAAGUCAUCUCCGUUAAAUACAAACUAACGGUGUUAACUACAUUAUUUUCACUUAAGCUAAACUUUUUCGCCUGAGCAAAAUUGGCAGAAAACCAAAACACAAGUUUUGCUGAUAUUUUCGCUUAAGCUAAAAUAUUUCCGCUUGAGCUAAAAAUGUCCUGCAACUAAAGUUGAACCACUGAAAAUCUUUCGCGUGACGAAACUUACUUCGUCUGGGGCUAAAACUUGGAGUACGCACUGGACAUAAGUUUAGUGGCUUCAUGGGUCAUGGCUGGGGAUAAAGUGUAAUGGUGAUGGAAAGGUGGAAAUGAUUAUUUUGAAUAACUUUAACCUUAGUGGUACUUUAUCCAACAAGAGAAUCCAAUGUUACCUCCAUUGCAUGGUCUUUAAUAAUUGAAUGGUGUAUUCGUUACCUUCAUCACAAAUUAUUGUCACUCUACGAAUCAACCAAAAUCUGAGGGUAACCUAACCCCCCAAGAAAAUCCAACUGCGCCAUCACCUCAAAUGCACACAUAGCCUUGGGCUUCGACAAGCAAAAAUCAUUGCUUUCAAAACUUACUUUAUCCGCUGCAAAAUCAGGGAUCGGAUCCAUGAAGUGGUUAUUAUUCAAAUCCAACCGCUCCAACUUCAUCCCAUUCAAACCACGCCAAAUCAACCCAACAAACUCAUUCCUAUUAAGAUCAAAAUCCCUCAGCAAGACCAAAUCCCCAAUGUGCAUCGGAAUACUCCCACUAAACUUAUUCCUGUGAAGCCACUAAACUUACGUCCAGUGAGUACCCCAAGUUUUAGCCUCAGACGAAGUAAUUUUCGCUCACGCGAAAGACUUUCAGUGGUUCAACUUUAGUUGCAAGACAUUUUUAGCUCAAGCGAAAAUCUUUUAGCUUAAGCGAAAUUAUCUAGUUCAAGCGAAAAUUGUUUAGCUUAAGCGAAAAUAUGAGCAAAACUUAUGUUUUGGUUUUCUGCAAAUCUCGCUCAGGCGAGAAAGUUUAGCUUAAGCGAAAAUAAUACAGUUAACACUGUUAGUUUGUAUUUAACAGAGAUGACUUGAUUGACACAAAUUUUUUCUAUAUGGGGACGAAAUUGACAUUUUUCUAAAAGGAGGACGAAUUUGACACCGAAACUGGGGACAAAAGAAGCAAUUAAACCAUAGUUUAAUUGAUAGAAAUGAAGAUUAUCAAAAUACCCUUAGUAGUAAAAAUAAUAUAAAUUGAUAAUUAUUAAUAUUAUAUAUAAUUUUAAAACUUAUUAUAAAGAGAAAAAAAUAAAAAUUAUUUUUUAAAAUUUCAUUAUUAUUAUUAUUAUUAUUAGUAUUUAUUAUUAUUAUUAUUAUUAUUAUUAUUAUUAUUAUUAUUUAAUUUCUCAGUUGCAUUGAAAAUGAUUUGAAGAGGAUAAUAUUGAAAAGCAAAUUCUCCUACAGCAAAUCUUCUCCAAUAAUUGAAAUGAGCAUCUCGCAAAUCACUGCGUUGAAUCAAUCUCAGAUAUUUAGAAAAGAACACAAUAAAGUCGUGCAAAUCCAUCUUUCUUCAUUUAUUUAAAUAAUUAAUCGUUCGAAGUAAACAUAGUAGAAAAAAAAUCCUCUUUCAAUAAAUAAUUUAAUAUAUAUAUAUUACUCGUAUUCAUAUUUAAUCAAAACACAUCCCCUCUCAAAAAAAUGACCUAUUUCGAUAAUAUGUCGGAACGGAUUUAUUUAUCAUCUUAUUAGAGAUGCUAUGUUUUUUUAAUCGAAGAGAAAUAGUAGUCUUUUGUUUGGAACAACGUUAUCAUUUAAUGUUUAUCAACAUAAACAUAAAUGUUGAUAACUUACGUUAUUUGUUUUGGUCAUAGAUAAUUGUAAGACCUUGGAUAAGGUUUUGAAUAUUUCAGAGUCCAUUUAGAUAUGUCUUUUAUUGUUCACAUAUAUUAGCAUGCGUAUACUAUAAGUAAACGGAGAAGAUAGAGUUAGUGAUUUGAUUUGUCUGGUAUUCUUUCACACAUAAUGUAAAUUAUGUAUGCCCAAUAAUACUUUUUUCAUUAUAUUAUUUGGUAAAAUAAAUCGCGCUUCACAUGGAACUUUAUUUUUUCCAAACAUUCAAUAUAUUUUUAAUCUAAAAAAUAUUAAUCUUAUUAUUACAAUACUAUUAAAAUCAAAUUUUAAAUACGUAUUUUAUUCAUUAGUGUAGAAAAGAUUUUUUAUAACAAAUUGUGAACCUAAUGUCAAAAUCCAAGCAGAGACCUUACAUUUUAAAUUAUAAUGGUAAACCUAACAUUUUAAAAAUAAAAUUAUUAACAAACAGAAUGAUGAAUGUAACUAAAGAUAUUCGUCACAAAAAGUUAAAUCAAUUUAAUUUAGUAAAUUAAUGUAUUGAGAAAAAACCAUCCUAGAUUAAUUUUUCUUCCACGAUACACUACUGCAGAAAGGGCUUUAGACGUAUGUUAUUUUAGGCUUUUAACGUCAGAUCUCGAACUGACGUCUUUGUGGGUAACGUUAAUGGGACGUCGGACCCUAUAGGUCAAAUGUCUAUACAGACGUCGAACUUUAUAGGUCAGACGUCUAAAUGUUGUCGUAUUUGAUGGGAUCUUUCUUAGCUUGAGGCCUCUCGAGUUGCUCGUGGCUCAUGGUGAUUUGAGUUUACAACUUUAUAUUUUAGGUGAAGAGAAUGGAUUGUACAUUUUUUUUUUUGUAUUGGAUGAUUUUAAUAAUGUAGUGGAGAGAAUUGGAGGAGUGCAAAACACAAGAAAUCGGCGCCCAAGAACACUGCCUAAGGAUUAUAGCAAAACUGCACAAAUACUCAACGAACACGCAUUUUAAUUGGUUCAAAUGAAAGAUAAUUCAUCAAAGAGUAAUGUAAUCGGAGUAAAAUUAAAUUUAAACGGUGCAAAAGUGAGAAAACGAACCUGAAAAACGUAGCCCGUGGAGAGAAAACGCGAGGAUGAUGAUGAACAACUAGUGUGCGUAGCUUCUGCCUCACGUUCGCAGUGUUUUAAUGCAGAUAUUUAGAAGUCGAUUCCCCUUCAUAUCAGACGUCUACAGACGUCGGUUCCCCCCACAACAGACGUCUAAAAGGCUUUAGAAGUCGGAGUAACAGAUCAAACGUCUAAAUGGAGUCAAAAAGUGACUUUUAAAAUUUUUGGGCUGAGUCUUUAGACGUCAGUUCUCCCUACAACAGACGUCUAAAAGACUUUAUAAGUCGGAGUGGCUGGAUCAGACAUCUAAAUGGAGUCAAAAAGUGACUUUUUAAAUUUCUAGGCUGAGUCUUUAGACGUUGGUUUCUGCUAUAACAGACGUCGGUUCUCCAACAACAGACGUCUAAAUGGCUUUAGUAGUCGGUCCCCUUCAUAGCCGACGUCUAAAUAGCUGUUUUAUUUACGAAAAAUGUCACCGGUCAUUCUUUACGUCUAAAGGGUGAUGUUAAAGGCAUUUUCUGCACUAGUGAUAACCAAUUAAAAAACAUUAAAAUAAAGUAAUUAAGCAAAAAAAAAAUUAAAAUAGUAAAUAAUAAAAAAAAAACACAUAGACACAUCAUUCAUCUUUUGUAGUUUUAACUUUAAUUAUGUUUGUUUGUAGUUUAGUUUUGAUAAAAUAUUAUUUUUAAGUUUAUUUGAAUUCGUUAAUUUUGUUUGGUUAUGAAGGAUUAGUUGAAGAACUAAAUUAGAAAGAAGUAAGAAGUUUCUUAAGAUUCAGACAGUGCAAUGCAGUCUAUAACCAUUAUAUGACUUCUCUACUGAGAGUUUUAUUGAUAAUACAUAUAAGUAACCAUCGAAAGGAUUAUUUCGUUUAUUUAUGCACUACUUAGUGUAAACUAAUGUACUUAUGCUUAAGUUAAUAAUCUCAUUUAUAACUAAUUUUAAGUAUUAUAACCUACUAACAGCUAUCAACGAUAAAAUACAAUUUAAAUUUCACCUUUUUAAAAGGAAAAAUGCAUCAAGUUAUGUCUAAUAUAAAAUAAAUAGUUCAUGGUAAAACACAACAUUAGAAUUAUUACAAAUGUAAUUCGCUUUGGGUCAAAUCCUCACAUAUUUGUUUUUGGUACCAUCCUAAAAGGUCUCUUACCAAUGGAGGUGUCUAAAUGUAUAUAAACCCAUAUUUGUCUCUUAUAUUAUCUAAUGUAAGACUUUGUUUGUAUCCCAACAUCCACCAUCAAACAAAGGACUAUGGUUUUCCUUCCUCCUCUGUUGCGGAAGUCUUUUUAUCCUUGAGUACACCAUGGGCACACCAUGGUCAACACUGAACAUCUCUUGCACUCCACUUCUCAUGAUUCAUUUAGCGAUCUGCCACUGGCUACCUGCCUAGCUCACCUGACCAUGGGGGGACGUACUUGUCUGAGCCUAGUCAUCAAACCCGAACUUGGCUCUGAUACCAUUGUUGGGGAGGUUCGACACACACAUAGAUCUCCACACUUUUGAUAAAAUAUUGUCCGCUUUGAAUCAAACCCUCACAAAUUUAUUUUUGGUACCACUUCAAAAGGUCUCUUACCAAUCUGUUAUCACUUUACUAACCAUGUUAAAUAUAUGUUGUGUAAAUUCAUAAUUUUUUUUUUUAUUUUUAGUUUUCUUUUUUGACAAAAUAUUUGUUGUCUACCUAUCAUGUUUGUGAUGAUUCAAAUUGUCAUAUGUGAAUGUUAAUUCUAUAUAUUUUAUAUUCAAUUCACUCUUUAUAUUUAACUUUUUCAAUUUAAUUUUUCAAAUAUUAAGACUUGACUGCAAUAAAAAUUACAAACUGACUUGAAAUAUUUUAACCAAAUUUGAAUCGAAUAAUUAAAUCUUGUCUUAUUAUAUGGUUUUAGUUAUUUUAUCAUUGUAUAGAUUAGUAAAGAUAUAUGUACUACACAUGUAAAUUUAUUUUCUUUAUAAUAAUAAAAAGCAAUAAAAUUAUUAUUAUUGUUAUUUGUAUAAAUAUAAACAAUUUUUUUAUAAUUUUAUUCUAAGUAAUUUUUAUUUAUUUUGUAGAUAAUUUUUUAAAUUAAAAAUAGUUAAUUUAAAAAAAAAAGUUAAAUAAAAAAUAGUUAAAUUUAAUGAAUAAUCAUUUAAAAUAUAAUAUUAAUAAAAUAAUAAUUUUAAUAUAAAAAAUAUUUAAAAGAAAUAAUUAUAAAACAAAUAUGGAUAAUAAAACGAGAAAUUUCUUUCAUAUUAUCUUAAUCCUAAUAAACAUCUCACUAAUCCUUAACACAAAUCCAAUCAUUAAUAUAUGUACAAAAGUAUUUGCCGCCGUCAUGUGGAAUAAAAAUUUCAAAUAAAAAAUUAAUAUUAUGCAUUGAGGAAUAUAAAGCCUAUAUAUUUAUACAUACAUCAAAAUAUUUUUACAUCCAAAAGUACUUUCAACCACAUUCAUUGCUGAACAUUUUAACUUGUAUUGUUUUAUAUUUUGUGCAAACACAUGGUUAUAACAGAAAGAUCACUACAACCACAAUAUAACCAUAAACUAUUAUAUUUUAAAGAUUCAGAAAAUUAUUAUAAAUCAAGAACUCUAACAUUUAUAUCUUAUCUUAUCAUCUCAUUCACUACACACAAAUAUUUUUAUUAACAUUAUAUUACUAUACACAAAUAUCUUCAUUGGCAUUAUAUUGGUACUUCUAGAAUUCUCUUAUGAUGAUAUGAGAUUUAAAGAUUUUGUAUUUAUCAUAUGAAUUCUUAGUAAAUUUUAAUAAUUUUACUUAACAUGACUUAAAGUCCUUUUCAUAUGACUGAGUUGGUUCACGAAUGGUUCUCUUUGAUAUCAAUUCUUGAUAUCAAAUAUUCAUAGACUCUCACAACCUAAAUAUUUUUAUCUAAGUCUAAAUAUUAGUAGAGUCCAAUCUUAUUCAAUAUACCUUGUAAAAUCACGCAACAUAUAUUUCUUUAGAAAUACUACAUGCAUACUAUAUGCAUAACCAUUCAAUAUUAUAUCUCUUAGUAUAUUUUGGCCAUUAGUUAAGCUCUACUUUGUCUCUCUCUCACACCGAACACAUGCAUACAAAAUUGGCUAAUGAGAACAGUUAAAAGAAAAACAUCUCCGUACCCAAUGUAAGACAUGUUUGCGAUUGAAAAAGUUUUUGGGUGAGUAUCACUUUUUGAUCUUUGGCCUUUGGCAAGAAACAACGUACGAAGACAGCUCAGCACCUAUGAAGCACAGUUAUGACAUUGGUCCCAAACAUUGACAUUUGCAAUAUUUAAAAUGUAAGACAGGAUAAUCACAAAUGUAAGACGGAAUAAUUAUGAACAAUUAAAUGAGUGUAAAUAUUUAAGUAGAAUGACUGUAUCAUAAUAUAAAAAUUAUCAUAAUACCGUAAUAUUUGUUACGCAAUCAAAUCCAAUAAUCAAUUAUUAAUAUUGUAUAUUUAUAAAGCGUAGUCUAAUCUGAUCCAUUAUCUGCUAACUGCCAAUAAAUGACCAUUAACUUCGAUUGAUAUAUUUUAUAUAGUACAUAAGUCUCCCAAGCUCAAGCAUUUAUUUAAAGAGGUGUGCAGGGAUUAUUAUGAGUUUAAGAGAGGUCGUUUAAGUUGUAUUUAAGGAGUCUAUUUAAGUCUUCAUUACUCUCUGCACUAAGCGGCAGGCUCUAGUAGUUCUCUUUGGAACUUUUUCCUUGGUUGAGUAUAAAUGAUUGUUCAACCAACAUUCAUCACACACAUCCAAAUGAUUGUUCAGAAUAUAAAUGAUGGAUGUUUUGUCAAUAUUACAACUUGUUACCACAGUUGAAGAUAUCAAGGAGCUAUGUAGAGUAAAUGUCUCGGUUUUGUGCUUUCCUUGAGCCAUUGUGUCUCUAAUUCAUUUUAGUUACCUGUAAAAAAAUUAAAAGGUUUGGUUGUAGGUACCCAAAUGAAUUAGGGGCCUUUGCUGUAAGUUGCUUGUGUUGGUUCAUUUGGGAUCCACUUGAAUUUCCUCUUAGGAACACCAACCUUCUUAUAAUAGGAUGCUUUAGAUAAGUGACUAAUGUUAUUGUAGUAGAAGUAGGAUAUAGAAGAUGGUUUGCUAAGACCAGAAAACUUCCUAGCAUUGGUUUUAUUAUUUUUGUCGGUAUAUUCUAUUCCUUGUUUAUUUAGCACGCUUCUUUGAAACCUAAUAAAGCUUCAAGGUUUGAACUACCUAGAGAAAAUUUUGAUAGAGUGUUCAUUAAGUAUUUAAUUCUUUCUAGGUGAUUAGGACAGUUCAUACAUUCUUGAUCUUUCAUUUUAUUUUCCUUUUCAGCUUGCCUAGAUAAUUAUACACUUUCUAGUUGAAAUUUCAGGCUUUAUUUUUCUUUGAUCAGAUUUUCAAUCCUCUUAUCUAAGUCUCUAUUUUCACAUUUUCAGCAUAUUAACUUGAUAUUGCAUUUUCAUUGUCUUACCAUGUAGUUCUUGAAAUGCAUCAAGUAAUCGAUAAUACCUGUCAUCUAUUUACUCAUCUUCAAAGUUACUUGCACUGCUUUCUGAGCAGACUGAACCAGCCAUCAGGCACAAGUUUGUCUCCUCUUCAAGGCUUUCAUCAAAGUCACUUGAUGGAGAGUUUGAGUCACUGCUUCCCAAGCUAUAUAGGCCUUUUUCUGCCUAUGCUUUCUGUUGUCCUGACUGGUUCUGUCAUCCAAAUUCUGCUUCAUUUUCAGGACUAGACACUUAGGUUUAAUAUGGCCAACUUGGCCACAUUUAUGGCAGGAAGUUAUUGAUCACACAGAAACUUAUGCACCUAUUGCUAUAUUAGAAGCAAUUAGAAUUUUAUUAUCUUUUGUUGUAUUUAGUAAAAUUAAACUAUAUCAAAUGGAUGUAAAAAUUGCAUUUUUAAAUGGUGAAAUUAGAGAAGAAGUGUAUGCAGAACAACCUCCCGGUUUUGAAUGUCCAAUCAAUCCCAAACUUGUUUCAAACUUAACAAAGCUUUAUAUGGAUUGAAACAAGCUCCUAGAACUUAGUAUGAACAUUUGAGCUUUUUCCUCAUCCAAAACAAUUUUAUAAGAGGAAAGGUAGACACCAUGUUGUUUUACAAACAUUUUAGGUUUGACUUCAUCAAUUUUCAAAUAUAUGUUGAUGACAUUAUUUCUUAUGUUACUCACGAAGAUCUUUGUCAGAAGUUUUCUAAGAUGAUGCCGGACGAGUCUGAAAUAGGCAUGAUGGGUGAACUAAUUUUUUUCUUGGGAUUGCAAAUCAAGCAAGAAACAGACGCUAACUACAUUUACCAGACAAAGUAUGUUAAAGAUCUGCUUAAAAGUUUAAGUUUGAAGAAGCAAAGGAGAUGAAAACUCCAAUGCAUCCAACAACUAGCUUAGGACUAUACGUGAGCUCUGAAAAGUGGAAAACACCAUCUAUUGUCAGAUGAUAGGUUCACUUCAAUAUCUUACAGUGUCUAGGCCUGAUAUUAUAUUUAGUGUCUAGACCUGAUAUUGUGUUUAAUGUCAAUUUGUGUGCUAGAUUUCUAUCAGAUCCUAAAGAAACUCACUUUACUGUUAUUAAAUGCAUCUUUUGUUAUCUCAUUGGAACAUCUAAUUUUUGUCUUUGCUUUAAAGAAAAAGAAUCGUACAAACUGUAGGGAUAUUGUGAUAUAAACUACGUUGAAGACAAAGUUGAAAGAAAAAGUACAAGUGAAGGAUGUCACUUCAUAGAAGGAAACAUUGCCUCCUAGACAAAUAAGAAGCAAAGAACAACUGCUCUUUCCAUAACUGAAGCAAAAUACAUAUCAAUAACAAGUUGUUGCUCACAACUUCUCUGGAUCAAGAAUCAACUUAAAGACUAUGGUAUCCAUGAAAGUAAGAUUCCAAUCUUUUUUAAAAAUCCUAUUAUGCAUUUGAGAGCUAAACAUAUUGAGAUAAAACAUCACUUUAUUCGUGAUUAUGUCUUAAAAUAAGUUAUUGAUUCACAAUAUAUAUAAACUGAAGAUCAGCUUGUUGAUAUUCUUACAAAACUUUUAGUUGAAGAAAGAUUUGAAUAUUUGAAAAAUCUCUUGGAAAUGAAACAUGUUGAAUGAAUGUUAUACUUCAAUAUAUCUAGUGCUUACACAUUUCAUAUAAUUUAAAACAUCAAAAGACAUAUCGUCUAAAGAUGUCAUUAUCAAUUGUAUGGUCUAAGACACAUCGUCUGAAGACACCUCAUAGUUGCAUGCAUAACUAAGUUUAGUUCUAGGAACAACUAGAUGACCCUUUUGAGGACCAUCUAGGUUAAAGGAAGAUCUCAAAGCUUUGUCACCAUAUCUAAUCGUACAAAAUUCAUUAAUUGUGAUUUGAUGGCAAUUAUAACUGCUCGAUCACCAUUUCCCAAAACCAUUAUUACUCUUAAAUUGUAACCACUAUUUUCCUUCUCUAAAACCAAAGCCUAUACCCUAAAAUAUUUCAUGUCUCUUUCCAAAAACCCUUAAUUUUCUCAUAAUCUCUCAAGUCUCAUGUUAUUUCUCUCUUUCACUUUCAAAGCAUUAUCUCUUAGAAACCUUAAAUUCCCAAACACUCUUAGAAAAACCUUAUAAUCAUCCUUCCCCAUGUGUACCAAACCAUAAAAAAACAUCUAUGUAGAUGUUGUCAUCAUCGUAAGGAAAACAACCUAUGCAUUUAAAAUGUUAUAAAAUGUUUAGUGUCAAUCAUCUGACUUAAAUUUGAUAUUUGUACUCUAAUGAGCUAUGAUAUAUGUAUAAAACUUUUUAUUUAUGCUCUAAUAAAAGUAGAACAUUUACGAUUAUCUACGCUUAUUAUGCUCUGAUACAUAUAAGUGAUUAUCUAUGCUUUAAUAAGUUAUUGUUAUCACUCUAGUACAUAGUUGUUUCUGUUGUUCAUGAUUUGAUACAUAUAUUGCAUAAAAGAGUUAUGUUUUGCUUUGAUACAUAUGUUGUGCACAAAUGUUUUAUUUGCUCUUAUACUUACUAUUGAUCUUGGAUAAAAUGUUAAUCGUCUUAUGCUUUAACACCAUAAAUAAUAUUUUAAUCUGAAGAUAUAUUCAUUUUCUUUGAUAAAUAUCUAGUACUCAUCUUUCACUCUGAUAUUUCUUCGCUCUACUUUACAUCGCACUCUAAUAUAAUUUUAUAGUAUUUACACCUUAAAGCUCUUAUUUAAAUAUUGAAAUACAAAUGCUUUAAAAAUACUAAAAAGAAAAAUUGUUAUUCUUGAAAACUUCAUAUUUGUUCUAAUACCGGUUACAAAAUAUACUCAUUCUUUGAUAUGAUGUUUUGGAAAUAUCUUUAAGAAUAUUUCGUUUAACAUGUGUAUUUGUUAAUAAUAAAAAAAAUAUUGUUAAGACAAGAUCGUCUAGAAAAUAGAUUGUCUAAGCCACCUAAAUUUUGAAGUUUAACAAAAGCAUUAAAUGAAAUAUUACUAUGUAUGAAAAGUUGUUUUAAAGAAAUAGCAUCUAAGAAAGAAUUAUUAUCUAAAGCUUAUAAAUAACGCUUUUUAGACUGAACUGUCUAAUGAACUAAAUAAUGAACAACAUAUAAGAAAAGAAAGUGUUUCUCUUUUUAAUAGACUAUAUGAGUAACAAGCUAGCGUUUUAGGAAUGAGAAAGUCUGUCUCUUUUAUAACACCGAAGCUGAAAGAAAGUUUUAUUCAAUACAAGUGUUAUCUCAGACAAAACGUCUUAAGAAUACGUCGUCUAAAGCAUGAUUAUUAAACGCUACUUUCACAAAUAGCCUUUGAAGAAGCUUCCAAUGUUGUACCGUCUAAUGAUGUUUUACCAAACGAUGCAUUAACGAAUGACAUAGCAAAUGAUAAAAUAUUUUGAGCACACAAUAUAGCCUAACGCUUAUCAACAUCCAAAAUUUUUAAUGCAUGUACGAUAAAGUUCUUCAAUACUUGUAUACUUUGUUCCAGAUAUUUGUGUAGACCACUAAAGUAGAAAGAUUUGCUCAAAAUCACUACAUCUAAGAAAAAAGAUGUUGUGAGAGAAAAAUAACAUUCUGGGAAUGUUUCCAUUGAAACCUUUUACUUUGUCACAUCGUACAAGCUUAAUUUUGCUAAAGGCUAUGUUAAAGUUCUGAACCUCUACAAAGUAGAAUAAAGCCUGACUUUCCACCAAAAAGCUACCUGGUCUCUUGAAGUCAACUUCUUUAUCUAAAGUCAUCUUUCAAGAAAAGAUAUAUAUAAAUAAAAGCUUGAAAAGAAGAGAAUAAUGAUAACACAAGAAGGAUAAAAUAAGAAGAAUAGAAUAAUGAACUCAUGAACACUAAGACAGGCUUAUUGUGCUCAUAUAUUUUCUAACGUUGUAUAUUUCUUUUAAGAAAAAAGACCUUAGCAAAUCACAAAAGUCUUUGUAUUGUUUAUAUCAUCUCCUUAAGAGUUAUCAUUUGUACCUUAUGCUUAUAACACUUUCUGUGUUUUAAAUUCUGAAAAGAAUUAAAACACUUUUCUAGAUGUGUUGUCUAGGGUUAAGACCAAAAGUGGUAAGAAUACUUGUAAACUAGGAAUGAGUAAACCUGGGCUUGUCGUGUUGAAUAGGGAACUAAGAGUGGUGAAAAUACUUGUUGUAAACCUAGAGAGGUAAAACUCAUGUAAUCUUAUCAAAGAUUAGUGAAACCCCUUAAGAGUUCUUAAGGCAUAACUGAAUGUAACUCGGGUUGAGUGAACUAAUAUAAAAUUUGUGGUUUAUUGAUUUAUUACUUAAAAUAUUUUCCAUUUAUAUAUCUUACAAUUUAUAUAUCAGCUUUACAAACCAUUAAACAGUUUUUUGCAAAAGAAUUUCGAAAACAUUAUUCACCUCCCCUCUAGUGUUUUCCUAUUUUUCAAAUCAACAAAUCUCAAAUGUCUUUUGCUUUCUUAUAUGAACAGUACACAUUGAACAAGUCAUUAGACAAUGAACUAAAGUGUAUUGACAUACUUUAUUCACAUGAAUCCUAUCUUCAACUUAUUUUGAAGAGAUACUAGAGUCGAGUUUUAGAAAUAAGAGAGCAGUAAAAACUCUAUACAAUUCUAAUAGGGUAGACACAUGUUCUUGUCAGUGCCAUAAGCUCUAUCCAGAGAAGACCUUGAUUUUUGACACAUUCAAGAAUGAUUUUGUGAAGACCGUCUGAGUUCGAAAACAAUGUUUUGAUUAUCUGGAUAUUUGGAUUGUUAUUAUCAGUCAUAAAUCCAUAAAAUUAUUGUAAAUAUUGAGAAAAAUACAAAUAAAAGACUUCCUGAAGCGUGUAGAUUCAUACAUUUAUGGACUUAUCUGUAGUUUGUUGUGUAAGUCUUUCAAGAUUCAACAAAAGUUUCUCGAAAUUUUUAAGGAUCUUAGAAACUAGCCAGUUAAACUAUUAAAAGAGUAAAUUACUAAAUUCGAGAUAUUAUAAGAAAAAAUAUGAAAAAAAUAAAGAAAAUGAGAGAAUUAGAGAAUAAGAUAAUGAAAGUUGAAAGAGGGUCUUUUGGAAGAGUAAAAGAAGACCUAUUAAUAGAUGUAGAGAGAUGUGUGAAAAAUAUCUCCUGACUUGGAGAAGAAAACCCAACAUUCACCACCAUCACCAUAGCUUGAAGAACAAGUUAUACAACAUUAAAAAAAUCCGAAGAAUUGGUUAUAACAUUUCUUGUUGUAUAAAAGAGGAACAGGUGAAUAUACUAUAUUGCAGCCAUAAGCUAACAUUAUCUCCCUAAUCAUCUUUCUCUAGAGACCCAUCAAGCCAACAUCAAGAUUAAAACAGCUGUACCAUAGAGGACAGUGUGCUUUCCCCACAAUGUACUAACAUUACUCCAGCAAAGACAUAAAGUUCAGAGACCAAUACGUAAGAGGGUUGCGUUGUCAACUUCCUAAUUUCGAUGGUGGAUUGGCCUCUUCUAUAUGGAAGUUUGUAUACUUUUAAACAUUUAAUUGACUGGUUUAAAAUUGUAACAGAAUACUAUACCUUAACCUGCUGUAAAAGAAGGAAGUCAUAAAUUAGAACCAUUCGUUUGCUAAUAAUUAUAUCUAAAGUUUGAAAAUACCUGUCCUAUGGAGACAUGGUGGGGUAGGUACCUUAAACUUCAUCCACAUAUGACAUAUCUAUCUUCCACGUUUUAUUUUUAAUUUUAUUUUCUCUAUUUCCCAGUGUGUGAUUCACGUUUUGGUUGUGGGGGCAUGGUACAUAUAUAGAUAGGACUAUAUUGUUUUCUGCUAUAGCUCAGAAGAAACCAAACAUUUAGCUCCUAGCUUCAAGUUGUGUAUUGCAUCUGUGUCACACAAUUUUAGGAAGGCUGCAAAAUAUCUCAGAAAUUGGUCAAAGAAGAAAGUGGGUAUAUUAUAGAGAUUAAUGAUGGUGAGAACCCCGAGCAGUGACAAAAAUGGACUGAAGAGAGGAACAUGGACACCAGAGGAAGACAAGAAGUUGGUUGAUUAUAUUACUAGGUAUGGUCACUGGAAUUGGCGCCUUCUCCCCCAGUUCGCAGGUAAUCUAGCCAAAGUUUAUUUUUUUCAAUACCAAUUCAGGUGGCAACCAAAGAAUUUGGUUUUUUAAGGUUUCAACCAAUGUACACAUUUGAUGAAGUUGUUGUUUCUGAUUGAUUAUAGAGUUUGUUGUUGUCAGGUCUUGCGAGAUGUGGAAAGAGUUGCAGACUUAGGUGGUUGAAUUACCUAAGGCCAAACCUGAAAAGAGGAAACUACACUGAGGAAGAGGAAGAAACUAUCAUCAAGCUGCACCGACAUCUCGGAAACAGGUUUGAAACCUUCUCCCUGCGAUGUGUACACUGGCUUUUAAUAUAUAUAUGGUGAUUGAUAUGAUUUCUGCUAUUUUUUUUUUCAUUUGCAUCGUCUUUCUUUUAUAAUGUUUUCUCGAAUGAAAUCUAUAAAAUUUAUUUAAGAUUUAAUUUUUCUUUGUUUACAAUUAAUUUCUUCAUAAACCAAGCAACACAACAUAACACAUAUAAUCUAAUGCCGAAACUUAAACAAACUAAAGCAUCAUAUGCAAGACAAUUUCAACUCACAAGCUCGGAUUUCAUAAUAUGGUAAUUUGAAUUAACUCCUCUACACCUCAAUUUCAUAGGACAAAAAAGAAAAAAAAAAAAAAAAACCCAUCGAAUUUAGAGGAAUAACUAAAUUAACAAAAAAGGAACGUGCGAUUAUAGAAGAAUAAAUGAACUUUUUCUCGAAAAAGGAAAAAGUAAGAGAAGGAAACAAAAAUGCAGAAGAAGGAAAGUGCAGACAAAUAAGAAGAAAAUCACUUUGAACAUAUGAAAUCAUUACCUUCUAAAGAUAUUAAUUUUGAUUUAACGAAAAUGAUCACAGUAACUCCUUUUAAUAUAUAUUCGGACCACAUUAAGUCUAAGAAAAAUUAAGAAAAAUGUUGAACAAUUAUUAAAAAUACUAAAACCAAAGAAGUAAUUAAACAAUAAAUAUAGGAUAAAUAUGGUUAAAGUAUUAUUAUUUAAAGUUUUUAAGUGAAUAUUUUUUAUUUGGUGGGAGCCAAAUAUAGUAGAAUAAUUUCAAUUUUUCAUGUAUUACACAUAUUUUCAGUUUUUACUAAAAUAUUAAUUUAUAUAACUUGAUUGAAACUUUAAUAUGUUUUUAAUUCUUUAAAUUGGAACUAUUAAUUUUUAUUCGUUUAGUCUUUUGAUUUUCUGAAAUGUUAUUUUUAAUUUAUGGAAGUAGAUGAAGUUAGUAAGUUGAUGAUGUGAUAAAGGUUGUCUAGUAUUUGUAUAUAAUUAAGUGACAUUAUAUUUUUUGAAAAUUUAUUAAAAGUCUACUUAUAUUUUUAGUCUUUCCAAAUUAAAGUUCUUUUUUUGAUCUUGCUAUUAAAACUUUCUAUUUGUUACACUAUUAUGAUGUUGUAAAAUUCUACAUUUUGUUGUUUUAUAAGAUUAGACCAUAUUGGUGGUGUUUAUUACUAUUCAAAUUCUUAGUUAACCAAUACAAAAACCUUAUUACAAUACAAUUUUUUUUUUUUCAUUUUACAUUCCCAUUUCAAAAUCUCAACCAAAAGAUAAUAACAGUAAUUAUACUUUGAUAUCCAAAAUUUUUUACACUCAAUAGUAAUUUUCACUAUCCUUCACUUUUUCAUAUUUUUUUUUCCUAAUUCAAAAAUUUAAUUUUUAUAAUUAUUUUAUUAAAGUCAAAUCUCAUUUUGCCAAUGACACUCUUUAUUAUUGGCAAAGAAUGACGUGACAACAAUAAGUAUUUGAGUGUAACUCUAACUUACUCCAAAGGAGUUGUCACUUUUCCAUGAAAGUUAUGAUGAAGACAAGAUAAGAGAUGAACACUAUAACUUCUUCAAGACCAAAGUCAAUAAAAAACUGAAAAAAAAAAUGUUUAAUUAAAGAACUAAAAGAAACUAAAAACUAAAAAUAACAUUAUGAAAAUUCAAAACACUAAAAAAAUGUUUAAUUAAAGAACUAAAAGAAACUCAACCUGGAGGACUAAAAAUAAAUUUAAAUUUUUUAUAAACUUAGGAAAAAAAAACAUGUUACUCUAUUAAACUCACCUGGCAAAUUUUCACAGAUGACUAUUUAUAACUCAUCAUCAGCAUUAUUAAUAUCUUCUACUUUUAGAAAAUAAUAAUAUUUCACAAAACCAAGAGGACUCAAAAUAAUUAUCAUUUUUUAUUGAACACACCAAAAUAAAGAGUGCUCCCACUUAAAAAUACAAGAAACAUUUAAUUUUUGUUAUUAAUUAUGAAAACUAUAAACAAAUGGAACAACAUGUACGUUGUUUGCUCCGUAACACAUUUGCAAGGUUAUGUGUAUUGAAGUUCCCUAAUACUCAUCUCUUAUUUACAUUUGUUUAUAGUCUUGUAUUAUGUAAAUCUACAUAGUUCAUUAUUCUUGACUAUAACAUAAUUUAUUAUUCAUUAUGUACUCAUGUUUAAAGAAUUGAAGUUUAAUUUCCAAUUCCGGAAAGACAUAAAUAUUUUUUUUAUUUAUAUUAUAAAAUGUGUUAUGAAAGAGUAUUAUUGUAAAAAAAAAAAACCUUAAAUACUCCAAUUUUCAAUUUGUUCUUGAAAUAAAAGGUUUUAAGUUUUCUUUAAUUUUUUUGUAAUAAAAAACAUAAUAUAUAUAUAUAUAUAUAUAUAUAUAUAUAUAUAUAUAUUGUAUUUAACUUUUAAUAUUUUAUGCACAAAUUAAAAUUAGUGGUUUAGAAAUUUAGAAUUUUAAAACAUAAAGAGUGAAACACAACUAAAAUUGUGAAAAUCAAGUAGAUCAAUUUAUAUAUUCAAAAGAAUAUUUAAAUUUAAAUUUGAACAAUUAACCGAUUUAAUUAAUUAAUUAUAUAAAUUAAAUUAAAAUAUCAUUUCAUUUAAUUUAUAUUUAUGUAUUGAAUUAAGAUUUUUAAUUGAAGUUAAUUUUAAAAUAAAAAAUACAAAUUAUAAUAUUCAUUGGUACAAAAAUCAAUUUGAUUUAUUUGAUUUUAAUUCCGUGAACUGAUUCUUUAAAUUAGUUAUUUAUGGAUGAAGGAAAAGAAACAAAUUUUAAAGAAAACAAGAGAGAAGAGAAAAAAGUCAACUUGAAAAUGGAAAGAAAAAUAAAUAAAUAAAGAGGCAAUUCCUAUAUAAAAAAUAGAUUACUUUAGAACACAUUUAAGAUAUUUAAGAUAUAUAGGAUAUAUUUAGACUUUCAAAAUAUGAAAGAAAGAAAGGUUUAAAUGUAAACCUAAUAUAUUGAUAAGUUUAAUUAGAAAAAUUUAAGUUAAAACCAAAAUGAAAAUGGAUGUGCAUGGAUUUUUUCACAAAAAUUCAGCAAAUAUGAUCUACCUUCAAAAAAUAUAAAUAGCACAGAAGUUCAUAUUCAAUAUGUAUAUUUUGAAACCACUAUGAUCUUAUAUAUUAAAAUCAACUGAAAAAUAACCAAAAACAUAGUGAAUAAGUAUUAGAUAAACAAAAAUAUAAAAUGAAAAUGAAUAUAUAGAAUGAACACAAUUUAUUAUUAUUAAAAUAAAAUAAAUUAAAAAUUAAAAGUAAAAACAUAUAAAAUAUAUUUUAAUAAAUCUAUAAAUAGAAAAUACCUAGUCAUCUUAAUUGCACUCUUUAAUUGUGCUACAAAAUUUUACUAUUCUUUUUUAAUUUAUUGAUUCUCUUUCUCAAACUUUAAAUUUCUACCAUUUCUUUUCCUUUAUUCUUUUUAAUAAUAUAAAAGAAUGUCACUUUCUAUCAUUUCGUUUCCUUUCUUCCAUCAUCGUCCACUCGUUCAAAGGUUUAAUGAACAUAAAGCUAACCAUCACCAUAGUUCUUCUUUUUGAAAUAUACCAUUAAUAACUUUUUUUCUCUUGUAUAAUAUAUCUUAUUAAUCUGUAUAUAUCCUUUUUAUUCUUUUUAAAAUUAAUUGAAAUAUUAAAAAUUUAUCUUUUACUAAUACUUCACCAAUCACUAGUUAAUUAUUAGUAUGAUUGAGAACAAUUAAUAUUAAGAUCCUGAAACAUUAAUUAAACAUGGUUAGUGAUAAUAGUGAAAUUAAAGCUUUGAAUUUUCAUCAUCAGAUGGUCUGCUAUUGCUGCACAGAUUCCAGGAAGAACAGACAAUGAAAUAAAAAACUACUGGAACACCAACCUCAAGAAACGAUUUGAACAAGACAGAGCCACAGAAUCUCAAGUUUCAAACUCAUGUGAACGAUCCUCAACAACAACAACAACUGAAGCAAGUGCAAAUACAUUUUCCCAGCAUUCAUCAUCCUCUGCAACAAGCGCAGAAUUUAACACUGUAACCAUCAACGAAAAUCUGGAUCUGCAAGAUGAAUUUUCCUUUUGGGACGCUGACACAGAUCUUGUGAGUGCCAAUUUCUGGUUAGAGCCAUAUAUACAUGAUAUUUCAUACGCAGCUACUGAACCUGAGUUCUUCACUUUUGAUGCACAACUUUGGAGCCAUGAUAACUGACAUCUGUGCACACUUUAUUACCUUAUUCUGCUGCUCAUUAUUAAAUGUUUGUAAUUUUAUAAUUACUGUUUCAUUAAUGUUAAUAUAUUUUUGGCUUUAAUUUAUUUCUCGUUAUGCAUAUGUAUUAUAUUUUUCGUGGAUUAUAAUUUUUGUAUUUUAUUUGUAAGAUUUUAUGUGAACAAAGAAAAUAAAAAAUGUCUCAUUGCAACUAAAAAUAAAUAUCUAAUUAAAAAAGAAGAAAAACAAAAAUAUAAAUUAUAAAAGUGACAAUAUCUUAUAUAUAAUAGUUUUAUCUCGAUUAAUUUAAAAUGGAAACAUUUACAUUUUAUAAUGAUUAAAAAAACAACAUUUAUCUAAAACUACACUUUUAAGGAUUAUUUGUUUUGAUUUAAAAUAAUCAUUUCAAAAGUGGUAAGAUUAAGAAAAAGGGAAAUUUUUAGAUUAGUUAAAAAAAAUAUUUUUAGAUUUGUUAAAAAGAAUUUAGUUUUUAAAUCAUAUUUUCCAACACACUAUCUUUUAAACAAAGCAUAGUUCUCCUUACCCUAGAUUUCAAAAUAAAAAAGAAAAGGUGAACACAUUGCUUUUACAAUGUUUAUUGAAAUUUUAAUUUGGUUAGCUCAUUUUAAAUUAUCUUUAUUUUUUAAAAUAUAAUACAAUUUAACCAUUCCUUUAAUACAAUUUGUAUUUUUAGAUUAGUUAAAUUUGGUUUUAAUUGAUAGAAAAAUGAAAUUGUUCUAAUUUUAAAAUAAAAUUAAAAUUUAAUUGGAAUAAAAUAUAAAUAAAAUAAUUAAAUUGUGGAUUUUCACGUUAACAUUUUUAUAAUUAACUUUUUAUUUUAAUCCAGUUUUUAGCUAAAGACACGGGUGAAGAGUUAUCGCUGCCGAGAAUUCCCUAAUAGAAACACAAUUAGGAAAUAGGUAUUGGAUUCUCUUUUUUCUCCUCUCUGCUUUCUCAUACACUCAAAUUCAUUGUAAUUCUUUUCUCAAGUAUCAGAUAGCUGAUAACAUUGCAUGUGUAAUAAACUUUCUUAGAAUAUAAACAAAGGAGGAAUGAAAACUAUACUUCUUUGUUUAAGGAAAGAUAUUAGGAUAUAAACAAAGUCUUACAUAGGAUAAAAUAAGAGACAAAUAUGGAUUUAUAUACAUUUAGAUACCUUCAUUGGUAAGAGGCAUUUUAGGAUGAUAGAAAAACAAAUAUGUGAGGAUUUGACCCACAACAGAUUGCAUUAUUAAUCAUUCUAAUGUGUUUUACCAUGAACUUUUGAUUUUGUAUUAGAAAUAACUUGAUGCAUUUUCCCUUUUAAAAAAGUAAAAUUUAAAUUAUAUUUUAUCGUUGAUAGCGGUUAGUUAUAACUGAGAUCAAGGUUAUCAAACUCGCGAGUUUACGUAAACUCGUGAGAGUUGAGUAAACUCGACUCGUAAACUCGUUAGAGUUUACUUCAGAUGAAAAAUACUAUAUAAAAUAAAUAUAUAACUUUAAAUAAAUAAAAGUUAUAGAUAUAUUGUUCAUAAAAAUAAAUAUUGUAAAACAUAAAUACUUGGAUUAUUGUCAUUAAUUUUGAUGCAUUUCAUUAAAUAUAUAAUAAAAAAGACCAAACGACCUUGUUUUUUCUUAAUUUUUCCCCCUUUCAAGCUCAUAGAAUCGCUCCAAACUCGUGUAAGCGAUUCUACACGAUUCUACCGAUUUCACAAUUAAUUCUACCAGAAUUUACGCAGAAAAGAGUUUACUUCCGAGUUAACUCGGAAGCCAUGUCUGGGAACGUAAACUCGUAAGAGUGUAAGAGUUAACUCGAGAGUUUGAUAACCAUGACUGAGAUUAUUAACAUAAGCAUAAGUACAUUAGUUUACACUAAGCAGUGCAUAAAUAAACUAAAUAAUCCUUUCGAUGGCUACUUAUAUGUAUUAUCAAUAAAACUCUCAGUGGAGAAGUCAUAUAAUGGUUAUAGACUGCAUUGCACCGUCUGAGUCUUAAGAAACUUCUUACUCCUUUCUAAUUUAGUUCUUCAACCAAUCCUUCAUAACCAAACAAAAUUAACGAAUUCAAAUACAAGAUAUGCUAGAAAUUGAAAAUAAACUUAAAAUAAUAUUUUAUCAAAACUAAACUAUAAACAAACAUAAUUAAAGUUAAAACUACAAAAACUAAACUACAAACAAACAUUACUAAAGUUAAAACUACAAAAGAUGAAUGAUGUGUCUGUGUUUUUUUUUAUUAAUUACUAUUUUAAAAAAUUCGUUUUGCUUAAUUACUUUAUUUUAAUGUUUUUUAAUUGAUUAUUACUAGUAUAGAAAAUGCCUUUAACGUCAUCCUUUAGACAUAAAAAAUGACCGGUGGCAUUUUUUGUAAAUAAAACAACUAUUUAGACGUCGAUUAUGAGGGGGGCCGACUUCUAAAGUCAUUUAGACGUCUGUUGUGGGAGAACCGACGUCUAUAGACGUCUGUUAUGACAUGAACCGACUUCUAAAUACUCAGUCUGGAAAUUUAAAAAGUCACUUUUUGACUCCAUUUAGACGUCUGAUCCUGCCACUCUGACUUCUAAAGGACUUUAGACAUCUGUUGUGGGGGGAACUGACGUCUAUAGACGUCUGUUAUGACGAGAACCGACUUCUAAAUACUCAAUCCAAAAUUUUAAAAAGUCACCUUUUCACUCCAUUAAUUAGACGUUUGAUUCCGCCACUCUGACUUCUAAAGCCAUUUAGACGUCUGUAGAGGGGUGGGGGUGGGGAUCCGACAUCUAAAGACUUAGCCUAGAAAUUUAAAAAGUUACUUUUUUACUCCAUUUAGACGUCUGAUCCCGUCAUUCCGAUAUCAAUUAUUCUAAAACCAGAUUUAGAAAGUUCACUAUUAUAUAUAUAUAUAUAUAUAUAUAUAUAUAUAAUAUAGAGAAAGAAUUUGUAACAUUUCACACUUAUAAGUUAUCUUUCGAAUUAUUUAAUUAUUAUUAAAUAGUAUAAAUAUGUAGUAUUUUGAAAUUCCUAAAAUAUUUUGUUAGGUGAAACAAUAUCAAAUAAUUAUAUAAUACACAUACCUAAUAAAUGUGAGAAAUCAAAUCCAUCGUUUCAAUUGAAUUUCAACAAAAUGUAUUAAUGGGGAUGUAAUUUAUUAAUAUAGUUAGCCAUCCCACAUUUGAAAAAAAAUACAUAUGGUGGAAUGAAAGGGACAAAGAAUUAUUUAAUUAUUAUUAAAUAGUAUAAAUAUGUAUUAUUUUGAAAUUCCUAAAAUAUUCUGUUAGGUGAAACAAUAUCAAAUAAUUAUAUAAUACACAUACCCAAUAAAUGUGAGAAAUUAAAUCCAUAAUUUCAAUUGAAUUUCCACAAAAUGUAUUAAUGAGUAUGUAACUUAUUAAUAUAGUUAGCCAUCCCACAUUUGAAAAUAAAAUACAUAUGGAGGAAUGAAAGGGACAAAGACCGGUCAAAUUUAUUAUUUCUAUAUUUAUUUGUUUAAAAUUAUUUUAAAAAAUGGUUUUAAUUUUAUUUUAUUAGUAUAAGAAAACUAUUUAACAUUGACGAACAGAAUAGCAAUAAUUUGUUAUUAAUUCAAAUUCAUUAAAAUAUUGUCAAAAAUCUAUAAAUAUGAUGACAAAUUUUAUCAAUGAAUGAUAAAAAUAAAUUAAUUGUUUUACUUUUUUAAAUUUAGCUCAUGGUGUUAAGUUUGUCCACCUCUUUAAAAAAUUUCAAUUACGAUUAAACUUGAUUUAAAUGUAUUACUUUCAUCCAAAAAUAAAUAAAAUUUGUCUCAAUCAAAUUUCUUUCAUUAAAUAAUUAAAUAAAUAGAAACAGCAUUAACUUUCUUUUUCUUUCUUUCCUUUACUUUUCUGAACACAACACUUUGAUAAAAAUGACUAGUUUUCAUUUAAGUCACUCUGUAAAACAACACCACUCUUAAUUCAUUUAUUUAAUGUUUUCUCUUUUAGAUGAAGUGGGACCCACAUGGUUAUACAUUCAAACCAAAAUACCCAAACAAGGAACAAAUUUCCUUGUCGUUGACCAAAAUUCUUUGAAAUGAAGUGUAACUAUGAAGAAAUUUUGCGAAAGAAAAACAAACCCUUUUGUGGGACCCGCCCCCCAAUAUAUAUUUUCAAAUAAGAAAACUCCAUAUCUGAUCCACCUUUGAAUCAUGGAUUGACAUAUAUAAAUCCAAAGAAUCAGAUCUUUGUGGUUUCAAAAAUGAUACGUGGAAUUAUUGAGAGAAAAAAAAAAGUUUCUUUUUCCCUAAAAAGGUUUCUUAGCCGCCGAUAUCUUGUUUCAUGAUUUUUGUUCCAACUAUAAAACCCCACAUUAUUAAUAUAUAAUUUAUAUAUAUAUAUAUAUAUAUAUAUAUAUAUAUAUAUAUAUUAUAAUAUAUUUUAUGUAUUAAGUUUAUAUAUUUUAGGUUUAAUAGAUUCGGUUCUUAUAUUUGGGGAUUUGUUUUAAUUGGGUCUUCCAAUUUUGGAAAUGAUCAAUUAGAUCCCUAAUUUGGUCAAUUUGAUUCAAUCACAGCCUUUCCGUUAAAUUCACUUAAUGGACGAAAAUUUAUUUAAUACGUGGCAAACUAAGCAUCCAGGUGGCACGAGAUUAUGACAUUUUUAAUUGUUAAAUAUAUUAAUAAAUGAAAAUAUAAUUAAAAAUUAUUAAACAUAUUAAAUUAUUAAAAUUAAAAUAGGGGUUCUGCCAUUCUUCACCCCUUUGCAUUCUCUGAGACCCAAGUCUCUUCUCCAAACUGCAAACCCGGGAGGGAGGGGUUUACCUCUGUCACGUGUCACAACCACCACCGAACCAGCAACCGUGAGCCAUGGUCUAAAACGUCACCGGUGACGACGCAAGCUGCCGAAGCCAUCGCCGGCCACGGCACCAAGCUCCCAUUCUCCUAUUCGAACGAGAGAGGCCUUCUUGUUUGUAAACGACACUGGUGGUUCGUCGUCGCAAUGGUGUCGCCGCCACCAAAUCGAGGCCGUCGCACUCCAACGAACCCUCUCCAACACCAUCGCGCUGCCACCAAAUCGAGGCCAUCGCACUCCGACGAACCCUCUCCACCACCAUCGCCCCGCCACCACCACUUUCCUCUCUACUGGAGCUUGUUGGGCUUCCUCGUCUCUCGUAGUUCAGCCACCGUCGACGCCGCAAUCAGAGGAUCUGCCAACACCUCCAUCAUCGUUCCUCUGUGAUGCACCCUCGCCGCUAUCGGUGACCAACUUCGCUGCCGUUGAUGUUGCCGGCGAUUAUCCUCUCAUUUGUACUGUGCUAUACUGGGUGUGAGUCUUGGGGUUUUGGUUAUGACUGUGUGUUGCAGGAAAAUGGGUAUAGGUCUCUGUUUUUGGUGGUGUUGUUUAUUGAAGGAUGAAGUUUGAGUUGGGGGGAAGAAUGAGAUCCUGUUGUGUGUGAUCUGUGUUGGUUUUCGUCGUUAGAAACGAAAGAUGAGGAAGGAGCAUGUGGUUGUAUGCACCUAGUCUAGGAGAAUAAGGUUGGGGACAGGGAGCCAAGAGGAUUCUUGAAGGUGAAGGUUUGAUGUUGUGGAAUGGAGAAGGAGAGUGAGGAAGAAAAAUGGUGGGUUCCAGAGAUGCGCGAAAAUGGUAAAAAAUGAGCAAAGUGAUGGUGUGUGUGUCAUGUGCGUGAUUAUAUUUUCAUUUAUUAAUAUAUUUAGCAAUUAAAAAUGUUAUAAUCCAUUUACAGAGUUCCAACCGUGCCACGUGGAAGCUCACAUGUUAAAACUGGCGUAUUAAAAAAAGUUAACGUCCGUUAAGUGCAUCUGACGGAAAGACUCUGAUUGAAUCAAAUUGAGCAAAUUAGGAACCCAAUUGAUCACUUCCAAAAUUGAAGGACCUAAUUGAAACAAACCCCCAAAUAUAGGGACCUCCGAACCUAUUAAACCUAUAUUUUAUAAUCCUCUGCACUUCAACCAUUAAGAUCUCUACUUUUAUUCACAAAACGAGACACCGCGAAUAUACUUCUAACCCCACCUUUUAAUAAAAUAAUUCCCAAUCCAAAAGGCCUAAAAAUUCCUAUCCUGCCAAGAAAUUUCUCGUGCACCUCUCUCCUCCUUAUGAGUGUAAACCACAAGGACAUUAUUUCACUUCCUCUUACGUAAAAUCACGUAAACAUUCAAAUCCCGAUGUAUUAACAACCACUCUUUACCAACUUUUUGACAAUAACACAUGGUAAUACAUGUUUGCUUCGUUUAAAAUUAAUUUUUAUUGUAAAAGGAUGACAUGAAAAAGUGUAUAGGGUUCAUGUUGAUUUCAAAAUUGUUUUUCGUUGUUCUUCAUCUCUCUCCGUUCUUUCAGUCUCGAUUUUUUCUUUCUCUCCGUUUUGUGGUAGCUCAUUGUCUCUUCAACCUUUGCUCAAACUCUUUAUUUGCGUUGGACGAACCACAAGCUCUCAUUUGUGCUAAAGUUUUCACAUUUUUAAUUUCAAUCCGGUGACGAAAUUGUACGCAAUGAAAUCCUCUGGUGACAUUGGUGGUUCGAGAAGGGUAAACGAAUUUUUCUCUUUUGUUAUAUGUGUUUUCGGUUUGGAUUUUCGUGUUUGUUGUUGUCUUUUCGUUCUAUGGCCUUGUAUUUGUUGUUUAAAUUUUUUUUGUUAUCGUUUAUGGGUUUUUCCCUUUUCUUAUUUUGUUUUGUUUGAUGGAGUUGUGUGUUCGUCAUUCUUUCAAAACGAAGUAUGUUUGUACUUUGAAUGAAAGAUUGACUGAGGAGCACAGGUCACUUAUUGAGAAGACGCCAUUUCAAUGGUUUUUAAAUUUGAAUGAUAAUAUUAGGUUUGGUAGGAACAUUUUGAAUAAUUUAUUGGUUAGAUGGGUUGAUUCCAAUGGUGGGUUUUUAUUUAGAGAUAGAGUUUUCAAAUUCAACGAAAACGAUUUUUGUUUAGGAUUAGGGUUGAGUUUAGUUGGAGAAAAUAUUCAAUUAAAGGAGAAAAUAGAAGGUAGUAAGUGUGGGAAAUACUUUGGUGAGGUAAAACAUGAUUUGAAAAUGAUAUACGAUUUUUUGUUGGAAGAACAUGAAAACUUCCCUUUAACACAUUUGUGUAACUUGUACAUUUUGGUAGGGAUAUCUGAAGUUUUGUUUCCUAAACGUAGCGAAAAAGUGUUUCCAAUUUUGUUUAAAAUUGUUGACAAUUGAGGUCUUUUGGGUAAUUAUUGUUGGGGUAGUAUAGAUUAUCAUUUUUUGUUACGUAGUUUAUGAAAAACUUCUAUUGCUUUGAAGAAUGGAAAAGGUACAAGCAACAUGUAUGUUGAUGAAUGUGUUUACAUGUGAUAAGUGAAAAAAAGUAGUAAAUUUUCAUAUGGAAUUUUGGCACUUUUGUUUUGAAUUGGGUACAUUUGUAUCAAUUUUCCCCAAUUUGAGAAAGAUGAAAAGUAAUCACAUGUUUCUGAGUUGUUGAUUAAAAUGAAAUCAUUUGAUCCUUAUUUUGUAUAUAUUUCAGGUAAAUUAAGAAAGAAGAGUAAACCCUGCAACAUUUUUCCCAAGCUAGAAUGAUCUCGCUUAAGCUAGAUUCAUCUAAGAAGCCAUUGAUUUAUAAGUUAUUUUCGGUUAAGCGAGAAUGACUAUCUUCUCCAAGAAGUUUCUUCUCGCUUAAGCGAGAAUAAUUUAGCUUAAGCGAGAAUUUGGGCAGUAUAUAUAUAUAUAUAUAUAUAUAUAUAUAUAUAUAUAUAUAUAUAUAUAUAUAUAUAUAUAUAUAUAUAUUCAUGAGUCAGAAAGAAGGGAGACAGAGAGUUGUGGAGAAAAGAAGACACAGAGCUAUCCAAAGAGGUUUUCGUCCACUUUAGCUGUAGGAUCUGCUUCUUCAUCUCUUAGAAUGUCAAUGGCCACCACGAGUAGUUGAUCUCUUCUCUUGGGAUUGAAUGUAAUCAAUUCAAACUCGGAUGUAAUCUGGUGAUAUUUAUAUAUAUCAUUUUUGUUUUUAUUCAAUAUUGGUAUUUUUGUUCUGCUCUUAGUGCUUGAUUCUAUCUCAUCAAUAGUUUCAUGAAUGUGGGUUUUAGAUUUAACUAGAAAGUAUCUCUAAACUCUGAUCUGAACAAGAAUAUUUGAUAUCUUGUGAUGCUAGGGAUAGAUUUCAAUUUAUCAAUUGCUUUUAACACUUGAACAUAAUGUUGGACAAUUUGUUGGAUAUCUGAGGAAUCGAUAUUCAAGGAACUGAUCUUAUGAAUUUUAUAUGCGACGAAUCGAUAUAAAUGACUUUUGUGUGUUACAUCAAUAUUGGUAAUUUCAAUUGCUAUAUGUUUAUAUUCAUCCAGAUUGUAGACGAGUGAGAUAGAUGAAUUCAAUCCCAACUUCUCAUAUUAAAUUUUCCUUAACUUAUCUGUUGUUACUAUUUUACUUUUAAGCAACUUAAUAUAAAUUACAAAAAUCCAUUAUGAAUCAGACUGAAUACCUUUGUACAUAUGCUGGUUGAGAUAAACUUAUCUAAUUAAUUGAAAUCGUUCAUCGUGGGAUCGACACUCUUACUUAAAAAUCAUUAUACUACAAUUGACUAUUGGUACACUUGCCAAAAGUUCAACAACAUGUUGCAGGUAAAUUUUGUUAAUUGAUGAAGGUGUUAUUAUUUUGAUGUUGACUAAAUUUUGUGUUUUUCAUGUAUUUAAGGUAUGGUCUUGUGAUCACUUCAUUCCUCCCAAAGGUCCUAUAGAGAAAUUUCCUAGAAUAUUGCAUUGCUUGAAUACACAUGUGGGUGGCAACUUCAUUAGACGUGUUAUGGGGACAAGUUUUGUAUGUGCUUUUAUUGUUAGAGAUUUUGUGUUAUAAUAUAUUCAUUGAUCUUCGGUGAUAAAAUCAAUGGUUGUAUACUAUGUUAAUUAAUAUUAAUUUUCAGGUGGGUGAUGAUGUUGGUGCUUCAAGCAAGGAAACUUUUUCUUGCUUUGUGAAGACAUCACCUAAUAAAGUUAGAGAGGAUAAGAAGGAGGACCAACCAACACCGAAAAGCAAACAACAAACAAAACGUAGAGAAAGUUUUGUGCAUUCUUUAGAGGAUCAAGAAUCUCUAAUUGAAGAACUAGAAACGAAGGUUGUUGCUUUGGAGGGAUAGUUGACUAAAGAGAAGAAAAAACAGAGGAAAAAAAAAUGAUAGUAGACACAAUAUGUCUCGUGAAGAAGUCCACAUCAACACUGACUUUGUUAGCCCGAGAGGCAUUUACACCAACCAAACCCCAUUACAAAGGAUUGUGAGGGUCGGAGGGAAAAAUCAUUACAAGAGUAGCUUAGAAUUCCUUACUACUGCAAAUAGUCGGAAACAUGAGUGAUUUUUGUAAUUAGUAGUUAUACAAAGUAAGACACCAUUUUACAUAUAUGAAUAAAAUAAUUUAUUGUACCAAAUUUUGUGAAAGUUACACCAUUGUACAUAUAUGAACAAAACAAUUUAUUGGACCCAAUUUUGUGAAAUUUAAAAAAGAUGCAGGUUUAUUUGCCUUCAUUUUUGUGAAUGUUAUUUGAAGUUUAAUUCCCCUAGUUAUUAUCAUUGUCAAAUGAUAUGUUGUUUGGAAUGUUAAUAAACAAAUUGUCCAAUGUGAUUGCGUAACAUCCAUCAAUAAUGAGGUAAUGACAAAUUACUUUUGGAAUUAAGGCAAGUUUAGGGAAUUAUAUCCUUUGUAAUCGAUUACAAUUUUGCUGUAAACGAUUACGCACAAAAGAAAAUGGUUUCGUACAAAAACCUGUACUACAGUACCCAGCUGUGACAACGUCACUCCCGACAAACAAUUUAAGUAUUUUUUAACAUUUCUUCAAUGGAUGAGACUUCUUUUUAGUGUUUAAGUGGGACUAGAGCUUGAAAAGUGAGGUGUGGGCAGUCUAUGGUGGAAGAAAGACCCAAUGUUGGUGUGAUGACCAAGUUAUGUGAAGUAGUCAAACAAUAGUAGGUCAUACACUCCCUUGUAAUCGAUUACACUUAGCUUGUAAACGAUUACGCGCAUCAAAUUUUGGUUUUGUAAUUAAAGUUGUAUUAUAGUACCCAAUUGUGAGAACGUCACUCCCCAAAGGCAAUUUAAGUAUUUUUUUUGACAUUUCUUCAAUGGAUGAGACUUCUUUUUAGUGUUUAAGUGUGACUAGGCCUUGAAAAGUGAGGUGUGAGCAGUCCAUGUUGGAGGAAAGACCCAAUGUUGGUGUGACGACCAAGGUAAGUGAAGUAGUCAAUGAAGAGUAGGCCAUACACUACGUUGUAAUCGAUUACACUUGGCCUGUAAACGAUUACGCGCAUUAAAUUUUGGUUUUGUACACAAAGUUGUACUGCAGUACUCAGUUGUGAGAACGUCACUCCCUAAAGGCAAUUUAAGUAUUUUUUAUUUUCACAUUUCUUCAAUGGAUGAGAUUUCUUUUUAGUGUUUAAGUGUGACUAAAGCUUGAAAAGUGAGGUGUGGGAAGUCCAUGGUGGAGGAAAGACCCAAUAUUGGUGUGAUGACCAAGUUAGGUGAAGUAGUCAAACAAGAGUAGGCCAUACACUGUGUUGUAAUCAAUUACAUUUGGCUGAGAAACAAUUACGCGCAUUAAAUUUUGGUUUUGUACACAAAGUUGUACUAUAGUACCCAACUGUGAGAACGUCACUCCCUAAAGGCAGAUUAAGUACUUUUUGACAUUUCUUCAAUGGAUGAGACUUCUUUUUAGUGUUUAAGUGUGACUAGAGCUUGAAAGUGAGGUGUGGGCAGUCCAUGAAGGAAAGACCCAAUGUUGGUGUGAUGACCAAGUUAGGUGAAGUAGUCAAACAAGAGUAGGCCAUACACUAUAUUGUAAUCGAUUACACUUGGCUUGUAAAAGAUUACGCACAUCAAAUUUUGGUUUUGUACAUAAAGUUGUACUAUAGUACUUAACUGUGAGAAAGUCACUCCCCAUAGGCAAUUUAAGUAUUUUUCACAUUUCUUCAAUGGAUGACAAAUGUAUCUCAUGUUUGAAGUUAAGAAGACCUUUUAAAGUGGGGUUUUCUUAUAUGGUUGAUUGAUUUAAGUAUUUAGCAUACAAAAUUCACAAAAUCUUAACUUAAACAUUGAUGACGAAAACUUUCAGUAUUCAUAAAGCCCUUCAGUCUUACAAACCUUACAAUAUUUUUGAAGCAAAACAAUAAUCAUAAUGUUCGUAAUCAAAGUAAAUAACAUUAUACUAUCAAAUCUAACUAAGAGGUUGUUCAUCAAAGCGACUACGUAGGUAAUUCAGUAGUUCCUCAAUGUUGCCAACUCGUGUUUCCAACGCGUCAAAUCUUGAAAAUGUUUCCAACUCGCGUUUCCAAUAGGUCAAAUCUUGUCCCCACGAUGGUAUGCAGUUGUUCAAUGUGGUUUAUGACAUUAUUAAGUGUUGUAGAAGAACUGUCAUCUGUAUUACCUUAUUCUUCUCUGCCUUGAUGUUGUUGAUUGGGGGCGUCUAUUUUAGGAACCCAUACUCCCUCAACAUUUUGGACAUAACGAAAUGAGGCUACAACCUCGUAUCCCUUCCUAUGUUUGAACUUAACUUGGGUAAAAUGAUCACUAUCAGUAAGGACCCCAAAGUGCUCCAUGAAUAUGGUAAUCAAAUAAGGAUAUGGCAGAUGGGCAUUGUCUCGUAAUGCCUUUUUCAUCCUAUAUCUAAUUAGAUGUCCCCAAUGAAUCUUAAUAGAAUUGAAAAGGAUCCACAACAACAUAAUAUCCUCUUCUGAUGCUUGUUAAAUAUUACUUGCACGAAGAACUAAUACUCAACAAAGAACGUAAUGAAGUAUCCUAUGUUGAACCUUCAUAUACCUUGUCAAUAUUCUAUUGUGUAUGUCAGCCAUAGGUUUACAAAUGAGUUGCCUAACACUUACAGAAUCGUAUCGGUCUUUCUACUUAUCAACAAAUACUCAUUCAAAACGAACACCACCAAAUGGGAGGAAAGUGAGUUGUUGAAAGAGUUAGACUUAUUCUGAUUUUCAGCCUUCUCACCUCGCUUCGAAUAAUUCUAGUAUAAAAAAUAAUCAUAUUGCUGUAAAAAAACUCUCACUAAUUCAGACUAGAAAUGUCUUCUUAAAGACACAAAACCCUUAAACCCACCAUUGGCCAAUAUAUAGUAGAAUUCAACAAAUUUUCUUUCACUGUGAUAUUUCUAAUCUUAUGUGAUUUAAUUAUGUAUAUUAAUGGUAGCUAUUAUUAUUAAUCUUGUUUUAUUUUAUUAUUCUAUGUUUUUUAAUCAACGAUGAUAUAUUAUUUAAUUAUCAUCAUGUAUAUUUCUUAACCUAAUUUAUAAUAUAAUUUUUUUUGGCUUGUAAAUAAAAAUAAAGUAUAUUCAUAAAUUUAGAAAGGUAAUAUUUAUUAAUUCUAAAUUUUAUAAUUCUAACUAUUUAUGACAAAUAUUAUUAAUAGAUUUAAAAAUAAUAGUAACAAUAAUAAUAACAUAAAAAUAAGUUAAAUAUUUGAAGUCAUUUAUAGUCAGAAUGUAACAUCCCAAAAAUAUAAGUAUAUCUAUAUCAUGUGGAAUGUAACAUAUUAUAAUACUAAAAAGCAGUUAAGAGUAGUGACAGAUGAAGUAUAUACAAAAUACAGUCAUCCAAAAUAUAUGAGAAAUAUAAAAGCUCUACAUGUAGUUAUAGAGUCUUUCAAAAAGAAGAGAAGGAAAGAAGACUAAGUUAUAUACAAUAGGUAAUAACUAAGCUACACUACUCUGCAGCAUCAACAGUAUAUGGGAUAUCUGGGCCAUCUAGUAUUUGCUCCAAAGGGGCCUCUGAAACCUUUGCUCACAUCCAAUUAGGAUGAUCAUUGCAAAAGAAAACAAACACAUACAAAACAGGCAGCAAACAAAGCAAGGGUAAGCUAGAUUUCAAAAGGAAACAAGUUAACUAAGAGAUUAUCAAACUAAAAGAGGCAUUCAAGAAUUACAAGCAUGGAAGAACAAUUUAAUUAAGUUAUGAGUUGUGGUUUUAUUAAGUGGUGUUAGACUUAGACUCGUCCGGACCCGGAAUGAACAUCGAGCUAUGGCGGGUUAUGCACUUGUGGUGGCCUCUACUGCUUUGCAAAGCCAAUUGCUAUGGGUUCCACCCUACCACCACAAGGUUAGUUUGUUAUCACUCACCUUGGCCCAUAUAAAAUGGAGACAACCAAGACUAGGACCCCCUACUACUCUCACCACAUGAACUAAUCUUCUCUAAGUGAGAUUGAAUAGUCAUUAGAGUAUUAAGGGCAACCCCCAAAACUGAGCUACCUAUAUUCAUUCCAGAAACUUAACUUAGAUCUCACCUAGAGAUGAUACUUAACUCUUUGAAUCAUAAUUCAUACCAUACCAACUUCAUUGACUUUAAAUUCUCAAUUUUAUACAUAAAGAAGUUAUAUUACUUUGGUUUCAUACAAAUCCUACAUAAUUAACUCAUACAAUCCUAAAAAGAAUCAUACAAUGCUAGAAAUAAGUCAUACAUUACAUGUUUUCACAGAAUCAUCAUUUAUUAAUAUCAAUUUCUUUAUCAGCUAUAAUUACCUAUACUUAAGUAAUUCAAAUAGCUUGGAAACCCUCACCAAUGGCUCCGGAAGGGUCAAAAACCCCCAGAAAGACCUAAAGAACGUCCAAAACGGACGUCCGAAACCCCACAAACUAUAAAAAACAACCAUGACAGCAGAAAAUGGCGCCCAAGCACCCUUUAGGGGCGCCCAAGCGUGAAUUAUGCAGAUUUUUCUGCAUAAUUGAGCAACUCUACCCCCUAAGUUUCGUUUUAGGCCUUUUGGUGAACUUUGGACACUCCUAACUCGAAAUACNAAUUGAAUCUAACUUGUUUGAAGUCUCACACACCAUCCUAACUUAAAACUCUAAGAGAUAUGCAAGGAAAUUAGAUCUAAAAUACUCAUUUAAUCUACCUAGAGGCUCAAUUCGAAAUUUACCAUUUAUAAGUUGUUUUAGAUCAAUUGUACACCUCCUAUAAGUCACAAUUAACUAUCAUAAGCUAUCCUAAGUACCUAUUUCAGACCUGGACCUCUACUUUUAAAACUCACUACCUAAGUUCCUUAUUUUUAACUCAAACGCUAAAAUUAACUUAGUCAUUUUACUUACAACCUGCAGAAACAAAAUUCUCACACCUCUACAAUGAAAUCCACAUCAUCCACAGAGUCAUACAAUUCAUAAUUGAUAACAAAUNAGUUCAUACCAAACACAUACAAUAAAACAUCAAUUUCAAGACAUACGCUCUUACAUUCAGUUCAAAAAUAACGAAACUUUUCACCCAAUUUAUACAUGCAUUCAGAUUUUAUUAAUUUUACCUAAAUAUCAAACCAAAAUAAAAUAAAUUAUCAAACAAGAACUUAGAACCCAACUUCCCUUACCUGGGUUUUUAACAGAACUUAACCCAAUUUCAAGUUUGCCACCCACCGAAUUUCUAUGGGAGCCUACAGAUCACAAAUUGGAAUUUAGGAGCAAUUCUUCCCGGAAGGUCACCCAUCCCAUAAUUACUCUAGGCUAAGCACGCUUAACCAUGGAGUUCUUAUGAGUUAGGCUACCGAAAAGCAAAUGCAUUUGUUGAUAUGAGUAGCCAAAUCAAUUCCUUUAAGCUAUCUUUCAACUGUAUAGUCCCAUACCUAUACAAUCUCUAGAUCCCUCUCAUUCUGGUGUAUGUUCGAUUCGUCCAUGUGCCCCUUCCACUCGAAGCCUGCCAGGAGCCGCUCCUUGUCCGUGCCCCCUGCACCAUGCUUCUUGCACCGGCGAUCACUCCCCGCCCUCGUCAGUGCUCGGGUGUCACAAUGUUUGCAGCAGAGAUGUUUUCAAUUGUCAACGUAGUAAGUCAAUUAGAGUUUUGGCUUCUUCAAAAAUUUUAUAAAUAAAAUUCUAAAUUCUAAAUUUCAUAUUAUUACACGGAAGAUCUAAAAAUUAAAUUUAAAUAGUACGAAAUAAUUAUCACAGUUAUGUUAAUUAUGAAAAAAAUUUUAUAUAUAUAUAUAUAUAUAUAUAUAUAUAUAUAUAUAUAUAUAUAUAAUUAUAGUUAUUAUAGUUAAUGAUCAUUCAAAAGCUUAAAAUAGACUUACACAGUUAGGAGCCUGUCACAAUUUAUUGUUAAUAAGAUACUUAUUAUAACAUUAACAAAUUUAAAUUGCGUGUGUGAUUGCUUAGCAUAUUUUCUCAUAUAUUAUUAUGAUAAUCCUGCUUUUCAUUUAAAAGAUAAAGACAAUAUUAUUGUAUUUCGUUAUCAGGUUUCCUUUUCCUAUUAAUUGUGGUAUACGUUGUACGAGUUGACAUUAAUUGUUGUCAGUUAACAAAUAAGUUAAAGAAAUAAAACAAAAGUCAAGAAUAGGAUAAAAUAUAGCCACAUAGCUUUGUAUUUUUUUUCCAUAACUAGUUGGUGGGGAAAGCUCAAUGAACCAAACAAAAAUUUACUAUUAAGAAGGUGAUUAAAAUUGUGUUUGAAACACCUGAAAAAUCUGUGUUUGAAAACACACUUAUAAUACAAAUUAUUGUUUACAAAAUGGGAGCAAAAUAUGUCUUUAAGUCGUAAGAAACAUUAACAUAACAAACAAAGAAAUCACAUAAAAAUAUAAGAAAAAUAAUUAGAAAAACAUCAGAUCAAAUAUCCAUAAGUCACAUAAAAUAUUCUAAGCUAAAAAAAAGAUAGGUUUUAAGUCUACAAAUAUUAAAGAGAAAGAAAUAUAUAAUAUUUAUGUUUAAAAAGACUUGGAAGAAGAGAGAGGAGAGUGUAAGCUUUUUGACAUAAAGAGUAAAAAAGAAAGAAAAAAAAUUAAGAGAAGUAUGAAAAAAAUUAUGAAUGUCGUAAGAAUUAAAUUAUUUAGGCUUUGUUAGUAAGAAUUAAAUUAUGAAUCACGAAAAUGAUAAUAGACAGAUUACAUUAUGAAUGUUAGUAAGAAUUAAAUUUCUCUUCCUAAAAUCUUUAGGCUUUGUUAUUUUGUAGUUAUAUGGAGGAAAUGAUUUAAAUGGUGGGAAAGUUUUUUGUUGUUUUUUUGAGUAGAUUUGUGGGUAAUUGAGAGUGAAUUUGAAAUUAAAGUUUUUUUGAGAAUUAGUGUGGGAUUUGAUUGAUGUGACAGAUUUAAAAAAUUAGUUUAAUUGGUAAAAUUUAAAGAUUAACAAAAUGCUCCUAGUUAUUAAAGUAAUAUAAAAUGUAUCUAAUUAAUGUUAUACUUAAUUGUAAAAAUGUUUAUAAAGAGAAAAAAAUAAAAAUUAAUUUUUAAAAUUUAAAAAAUUGUAAUUUAAUAAAUAGAAAUAAUUUUUUUAUAAGUUUAGCUAUUUAGUAAAUUGAAAUAAUUUUUUUUAGGGUUAAAUAUGUUUUUAGUCCUUAUACUAUCAAGCGAUUUUGGUUUUAGUUACUCUUUCAAAGUAAAGUACAUUAUAGUCCUCAUUCUUAAGGAAACUUUGAUUUUAGUCCUCCAAAACUAAUACCGUUAAAAGCCAGCUGAUGUGGCUAACGGUACACUGACACAUUUUUUUUUCUUACGUUGAGUGAGUGUUUCUCACUUUUCUCCCUCUCUCUCUCCCUCUUCUCUUCCUUCCAUCUUCCACCCAACCUCCCCACCCUCUACAAAAAGGUUAUUAACAUUGUCCUCGUCGUCCUUUACAAAACCUACACCCAAGGCCCUCUUUCUACUCCCCAACUUAGAACACAUUAGGGGGGUCUGCCAUUCUCGUUCCAAAUUAAGAUUCUCAUUCUAGAUUAAGAGAGUAGGGAAAAUUAUGAAAUUGGAUACUCCCAAAACCCAUUCUAAUCAAAUUACUCGAGAAAUGAAACGAAAGGGUUAGUUUUAUCUUCAAGGCACUAACUAAACUGAACAGUGACAAAAAAACUUAUGGAUAUAACCUUAAGCUCUAUUCAACACUCUUCCUUUCUUUCCCUCUCCCAAGUCCUAAACAACAUCUCUCCUUUGACGAAAUAAAGAAUACCAAUAAUCUCAGGAUAAAUAAAAAAACAAAAACAUACAGUGCACACCACAGUUUCACUCUUCGAUGCAAUCUUCACCGUCCGCAAGGCUUCCAUCGCCGACUUUGACACCGACGAUGCUCCUCUUCUGCCUCCACCAUCGGUCUCCGCUAACGUUUGCAACAACGCCUCGUACUCCGCCAGCGUCCUCCAGGCCCAUCAAACUUUCUACCCCUCGUAUGGGUCGCCAAAUCCCUAAUCCGAAGACGAAGCAGCUCGUGCCUUCUCCUUCUCAGACCUUGUCAUCUCUGUGCGAAUCCUCGUUGUUGGAGCGAUCCUUCGCCUCCUCAUGCUCCUCGAACUCCUCAUCACCAAAGUUCAACAUGAUCAUUGGAAAAUAUUGUGGUUCAAAUACGAAAUCUUUAACUCCCAGAGAAUGUGAAUUUUUGAAAAAAUUUUCAAUUUCAAGAUGGGUGAGAGAGAAUUUAGAGUAAAAACGAUUCCCACUAGGAAAAAAAAUAGCCUGAAAUUAGGUAGAAAACGUUGGUUCAAGAGGGUGAGCAUUUAGAAAUUUGUGUUUUUUCUCAUUGUGAAUUUGAAAUAUGAAAUGUGAAUCUGAUAGAGAUUAUGAUAAUGUUGGCGCCAAUUUGGUUGGUGUAGAGGGAGAUAGUUUGCCACCAAUCGCAGACGGAGGGAUAAGGGGCAGCUUGCCGAUCGGAGGCGGUUCGAAGAUCCUUCCUCAGCUUGAUUUUUCCCCGCCGCGAUUCUCGAACGUUAAAGAUUUGGGAAUCUGCUAUUGAACGUUACUCCUCCUCUCUAGUUGUCACGUUGUUAUCCUAGAGGUGAUUCGAUUGGGACUCCGCUUUGGGCUUGGGGGUUUCAUUGUUGAAAAAAUGAAUUUCUGAUUGGUGUAGUCUUCUCCCUAUGUUUGUGGCUUUGUGUUGCUUUCGUUCUCUAUUGUAGGUGAAGGACGGCUACAGUGACUGGAGUGAUAGAUGGUUGAUGUUGGAUGUAGGGAAUCAAAGGCCAGUUGAGCGUCUUGUUGAUGGUGGUCGAGUCCUUGAAGGAAAUGUGCAAAUGAAGGAUGUAGAUGAUGUUGGAAAUUGUUUGAGAAACUGACGAGACGAGGGAGAAAGAGAGGGAGAAAAGGAGAGAAAUCGACUCAGCGUAAGAAAACAAAAAUGGUGUCAGUCUACCAUUAGCCACAUCAGUUGGUUUUUUACAGUGUUAGUUUUGGAGGACUAAAGUCAAAGUUUUCUUAAGGAGGAGGACUAAAAUGUACCUUACUUUGAAAGAUGGACUAAAAGCAAAAUCGCUUGAUAGUAUAGGGAUUAAAAACAUAUUUUAACCUUUUUUUUAUAAGAGAGAAAAAAAUAAAAAUUAAUUUUGAAAAUAAAAUAAAUUUAUAUUUUAGUAAAAUAAAUAAUUAUGUGAUAUUUAAUUAUUGCUAUUAAUAGGAUAUUCAAUAUAAAAAUAAAAUCAUGCAAUUAGUUAUUAUAUAUUUUAUUUCUUUAAUUAAUUAUUUACUUAAUCCUAAUAAAUGAAAUAUUAAUUAAUAAUAACAUUUGAAGGGAUUUAAAACAUAAAAUAAAACCUACUAUUUUGUAUUGUUUUUUCAAUGUUGGUAAAAUCUUAAUUAGUUUUUAAGAUAAUAUUAAAUAUUAAAUAUUUAUAUAUUAGAAUUUAAAUUUAAGAGACAAUUUAAUACAUCAAAAUGUAGGUUAUAAUAAUCAAUUAAAAUAGAAGAAAAAUAAUACUGCAAAAAAAAGAUUAAAAAGAAAAAACAUAAAAGAACUUCUUCUUUCUUCCACAUGUCUUUUGGAGAAAGAGGCACAACCAAUGCUAGCAUAACUUUGCCGAGAUUCUGUUUAACUCAGAGAAAAAAGAAACGGGUGUGUUUUUGGUUCCAAAAGCUCUCAAAGAUAAGUCUGAGAUUGGAUGAGCAUCUCUAGCUUAUUGUCUUGUUUUCCCCUGACUCUAUUUCUCAUAUCUAUUAUCAUUCCUUUUUGCAUUCCUUUCUCAUAAUCAUUUUCUUCCAUUGUCUGGUAAGACAUGAGUAAAGAGGAGAUUUUGAAGAUACAUGUGCUCUCUCCAUCUCUUUCAUCAAUCAAGUCCUCACCUUUCUUAUUUUUAUCUGUUUUCUCUUUAUUCUGUGCUGGCUCUUGGGAUUGCUUGAACAUGCAGAAAUGUGUUCUUCGAACCCCUAGGGCUUCUCCCAUGAUCUAGUCGUUGCCGAACGCUUUGCAUGCAUCACCUGGAACACUCCAGCAGCAUCCUUGGCCUUGGUCGCAUUCGUCACAUAUAAUCUAAUGUCCACCACUAAAGCAACCUUCAGCUUGGUCGAACAUGACAACUUCACCUCCACCACAAAGCUUGGAACGAAAUGCUUCAAGGAACCGAAUACUAUUACAGUUGGAACCAAAUACUAUUACAGUUGGAACCAAAUACAUCGUUUCAUGUAAAUUUUUCCCGAACCGAAUACAGAUAGAAGGUAACCGAAUACACCUCGAAAAUAUUUUAUUUCAUUUCAAUUCUUCAUCUUCUUCUGCAAAUAGCAUUAAUAUUCUCGUGGAAUUUACAAAUAAAUGAGGACAGAAACGACAUUUGUAUGUAAAUCACCACAAAUCUUCGCAAUAGAGCGAUAUGCUUAAAUUAAGCUUAUCUCGCAUUUCCCUGCAUUUCCGACUUCACGAGUCAACCCAAGUGAACAAGAAGAAUCUUGCUAAUAUUUGCCUGCAAUUUCUCUUGAAUAGUAUUAUCGGCUCAAGCGAACACAACAUUAUUCUAAUUGCAUGGAUGCCUUCUCUCAACAAAUAAGAAAAAAGAAAGGUAAAAAUAGAGGUGAAAUAUCGACUAAGGCAAUCCUAAUCACUUUAGAUGGAUCUAUGAUUCUAGUUUUAACCAAAUAAACAUAUUGAUAACAUUAAUUUUGUAUUUGUGUUAAGUUUUGUUAAUAAAAUCAAUUCCUCUAUAGCUCUUAUAUUUUUUAUUCCUCAAGAUUAUCUCGUAUUUGUAUUUUCUUGUGUUUUAGUUAUUUUGUAUUUGUUUUGCAUCUAAUAUCCAUUUUAAGUAUUUGAAAUAAUUAAAUAAAAAACAAUUCUGAUGGAGGAAAACAAACUGAACUUUAACAAAAUAUGAUUGGACAAGAAAACAAGAUAUUGAGGCAAGUACCCGCGUUAGGUGCAACAAGAAUCAUGGUCAACACUGUGAACACAAAUAACAAAUCGAGAUAGAAAAUUACGUGUUGGGUGACAUAACAUGGGCAAAGGGUGCCACAACUCUUGUUGGACAACCUAAAUCCUCGCUAGGCAAGAAGGCACUAGAAGUAGGGCGUUAGGCAAUGGCAACUAGCACUAAGUGUUGGUUGUCAGCACUGAGUGGUGGUUAUUGAAUAUCAAUAGUGAUCUAGUGGCAUCAGGCAACAAGCUAACAAAGGCUUCUUAAUAAGUGUCAAGGAUAUCUUAGAUUUCAUAUCAAUUCAGACACUUAUCACAAAUUAAACAAAAAUAUUUAUAAGAAAAGGAACCAUCUUUAGCUUAAGAUACAAAAUGAGGUAGUAAAAAUUGGAGUUCCAUGAAUUUUGAUGAUAUUUUGCUAUUUUGCAGUGAAUAUGAGAGAAAAUAUCAAGCAUGCAACUAAGUCACAAUCACUUGUGCUAGCCAUGGAAGUAGAAAACACAAGACAAUAUAUUUCAACUUUCAGGUUGAGCAAAAAUUAUUGGAGCCGAACCACAUGAGGAAAGCAUCUUCAAAAGGAAAGUUGAAGCACCAAAGUAUAAAGCUAAGCUACUAAGAAAACCCUCUCAAGAAGGAAAGCUCAAGUGUUAAGCAUCAAGACAAAGGGGUCAAGUUGAGAAGAAAACCAACCAAUGAAGAAACCCGUAUGGCUUAACACUAAAGAUAAGGUUGAACACUGCCCAAGAAAGUUUAUAAAAACUACGUUCAUCCUUUGGUUUCAAUGUUUCAUAGCUUUAGGCAUUUUCUCAUUGUAAUACAUAGGAAAUAUCUAACAAAAGCCAUAAAGGAGGUUCUGCAACUCUUAAAGCUUAGUUUUCACAUCAUUAUGAGUGGUUUAACCCUUUUGUGGGAGGUUGGAUGUAAUUUACUUGAUUCUCUGCAUUGGUACUUCUUUAAUGCUUAUUUGUGUUCUUUUUAGUAGUUUAUGGUUAGAUUUAUAUUUAUUGCAUGGAUGAAUCAACAACUAAUCCAUUUUCACUACUUUGGAUUGAGUUGGAAGACAAAUAUUAAAUUGUGGUCCAAUCAAACCAUCACACUCUUGCUAAAGGCUUCCACUUUCUCUAGAGGGUGUGUUGGAUAUAAAAGUCUUGCUCAAUAAAGAAAAGAUUUAUUCAACUAAGAGUGGAGGAAUCACAUUGGAUUUGAAGUUCUUAGGUUCUAAACUAUAUGAAUGGGCCUAGAUCUAUUUUAGAAUACUUUUAGAAUAUUAAGAAAAUGACAUAAUAAUCAUAAGAAAUUCUAAUAUAUUACUGUUUCAAAGGAUAGUACUCAAAUUAGUGUAAUUAACUGCCCAGUUCUGCAUUGUGUGUUGUCAUAAAGUGCAAAGAAAUACUUAUAUACAUGUAUCCAAAAAUUCAUAAUUCAUGUAGAAAUGAAUUAGUGGGGACAUUCUGUUAGGAAACUACUUGUAUAUAGGAGAAGGAAAAACGUUUUACAGCCUAACUGUCAAGGCAGUUAGGAAGAAGUCUGUAUAAAAGGGGUUGGGGUGCUUUGGGAGAGUUUAGUUUUUGAGUCUUAUUAGUUGUACCGGAACUCUCUGGAUUCUGUGGGGAGAGGUUAAGCUCUCUGAAUCCAUUUUAUUCGACAUUCUUGAUUCUUUUGGCAAUAAAGUGAGGUUGUACAGUUCUGGGUGAUUGUUUGGUGUGUGUUGCGGGUGUUUCCUAUAGGUUCUUGAUUAAAAGAACCUAUCAUUUGGUCUGACCUGCCGGAUCGAGAGGAGCGGGAAAUCAGUGAUGGGCAAUAAGUCGGAGGAGAGAUUAGAUAAUUUGGAGAUAACAGUGGAGGGAAUUAAAGAAGAAACGACGGCCAUAAGACGCGACCUGCAACAAAUGAUGAAGAUGAUGGGCGGAGGCUCGAAUAAUCACGAAGGAGGAUCGAAAAAAGGGAGUAGCUCAGUGAAUGACAACCAUGAGCAACGCGAAAAUGGAGGAGUACAACAGAAUUGGAGGAAGAAGGUUGACUUACCUGGGUUCGAUGGGCAAGAGCCGCACAACUGGAUCAAUCGGGCAGAGCACUUCUUCGACAUUCAGAAAGUGGCAGAAGAAGAUAAAGUGGAGCUCGCGUAUAUCAGCAUGAAGGGUAGUGCGAGCUAUUGGUUCAAGAUUUGGAAAGACAAAACCAAGAACCGAUCUUGGACGGGAUUAAAGGCAUCCUUGAUCAAUCGUUUUGGAGGAGGUUUUCGGGGCACGGUAUACGAGCAGCUAGCAACCUUACGAUAAGAAGGGUCGGUGGAGGAAUUCAUUAGGAGAUUCGAGAUAUUGCUGGGACAGAUGCAAGGCUCGACGGAAGAAUUGACGUUAGGGUUUUUCUUGGCUGGGUUGAAGGAAGAAAUUAAGGGCCAAGUCCGCAUCCAAGAUCCCAAGGAAUUGGAGGGGGCGAUUAGGAUCGCUAGGGAUGUGGAGGAUGCAAUUAUCAGAGCGCGAGGAGGAGGUUGUAAUAUGAUGAAGGGUCCGCAACCUUGGGGACGAGCGGUCAGGGCUGUGACGAGAAACGAGAAUAGUCGACUACCUAUGAGUAGACCAAACGAAGUUGAAGGUUUGGGAUCAGUGAGUGGAGCAGGAUCGAACGGUAUGGGAAGACUGAACGAUAUGGAUGGGUCAAAGUCCAGUCGCAGACCGAACGGUAAGGACAAUAGAAACCGAACGGUAAGAAACUUACCUUAUCCAGAGUUCCUGAAAAGGAGAGAAGAAGGUAGAUGCUUUCGGUGUAGGGGUCCUUUUGCUCCAGGACACCGUUGCUCGGAGAAGAGUUUGAGAGUUCUGCUCUUAGCGGAAGAUGAGGAAGACGAGGAGGACGGAGUGACCUAUGGAGGGAACCAGCAGGAGGAGCGCAUGGAACUGUCGGCGUGUUCGGCGACGUGAUCCUUAUCGACAGUGGAGCCAGCCAUAAUUUCGUUAGCCGACGGGUGGCCGCAGAAUUGGAGCUCCCAGUUACCGAUACACCACCAUACGUGGUGAGUCUCGGUGACGGACAUCGGAGAGUGUCGCGAGGAUGUUGCGAGACGGUUAGAUUAAAGUUGGGAGACGUCACCGUGGAGGAAGAAUUGUACGUGCUUGAACUGGGGGUGUAGAUGCAACCUUGGGGAUUGCAUGGCUAGCGAAGCUUGGAAACGUUAUGAUCAACUAGGGGGAGGUGUCCAUGGAUAUAUGCUGAAGGGAAAGAAGGUGCAGUAAAGGGUGAUCCAACGCUUUCCAGACAGCUGGUGGAACCUAAAGCAUUGGUGAAAUUAGUGGAUGGUGAGUCAUGGGUUCAGGUGGGGAAUUUGGGCCAAGUGGAGCAGGAGAGGUGCGGCGAGUGGACUGGCGAUUUGACAGGGGAACAGCAGGCCGAGUUAAGGGCAGAGUUGCAGGCGCACUAUGGGGUGUUUCGGAGAGAGAAGGUUUGGCUCCGCCUCUUGAUAUAAAGCAUCGUUAAAUAAUAAAAUUUGAGAAUUGGAAAUUGGGUUUGAGUGAGAGGGAAAAAAAUGUGACCAGAAGAGAUCUUGAGACUAGCGAUGGGAGGACCAAGAACAACAGAACAAAGGAAAACUAUAUUGUGCAUGAGUCGUCUAAUCUUUACCAAGCUGAAACCCAUUGGAUAUCACGGUUGGACGAAGCUGAAACCCAUUGAAUAUCAUGGUUGGUUCCUAUGUUGAUGGUUGUUAAUAUUGUUGUUUUUGUUAUUUCCAUGUACAUCAACAAUUGUCUCAAAAAUAACUUUGGUCCCCAAGGUGGCUGCGUGACUGAUAAGGACAUAUUUUACGAUGAUUUCAAUAAUGAAUUAAGAGAAAAUAUCAACUUUUCCUUUACCUUUUACCUUGUAAAUCCAAGUUUUCUCCUAGUUUAGAAAGUGGUUGCACUUUUAACUUUAAUGGAAUAGUUUGAUCAUUAAUCCCUGUUUUUAUAGGCUUAAAGUAGUUGGAAGAAGUCUGUGCAUCAAAUGAAGGCACUAGAACCCAAAGAAAGCAAGAAAAAACAGCCAAAAAGGUGAAUUCUGGGAUGCUACCGCUGGGCUACCGCUCGAGCGGUGACGAUGCUGUUCCAACCAAAAUGUGGCGCCCGGGCGCCCUAAGAGGGCGGUGGGCGCCCUUCAGCUCGUAGUUUUUCCCAAAUUUUGACGCCUGGGCACCCCUAGAGGGCGUUGGGCGCGACUUUUUGCUGACCUGGCACCCUAGACCUAUAAAAGGCUCACAUUCUUCGAGGGUGGUAGCUCCUUGGCGGCUGAAGCUCUGAAACAUCAUUUUGGACCUCUUGGAGCAUGUUUUGGGUUGUGGAAACUCUUCCUUCUUCCUCCUUGGGUCUCCUUCUACCCCAUUUUCUUCCAUUGUAAGCUCAAGCUCUCCAUGACUAUGGAGAGCUAAGUUCUUUUUGUUGGGGAAUGAUGUAAACUAUACAAACCAUUUGUAAAUGCACUUGUUUUAAAUGAAUUUAUGCUUCUUUCAUUACUUGUUAGUGUUUAUUUCUUUGCUUAAAGCUUGUUAUGACUUGAUCAACCAUGGCAUGAUGUUAGGAUUUGCUUAGUAUUGAGAAAUAUUUUGUGAACCUUGAAAUGAACAUAAACACCUAAAGGAAAUAGUCUCUAGGGAUAGAGCUAGGACCUUUGGUUGUCUUANACUUCUUUUCAUAAUGCGGGUGAACUUGUUGGGUUGCCAAGGGAUUGAGAUUUUACAAGUGAACCUAGGCUUUCUCACCAAGGGAUUGGGUUUAAGUAACUUAGCUAGUUGACAAGAACAAGUUAAUGAAGAAGAGUGGUUGAGUGCAUUUGCAUAGGAUUAUAUUAGUUGAAAUCAUUCUCCAACAUAUCCAUUCCACAUAUUCAUCAACCAUGUUUCAUUUUCAAGUGUUUUGGCCCCAAGUAGUUCAAACCUUUACUUAUGCAUUACUUUUACUUUCAUUGCACAAUUUCACACUAAAAGGGAAUCAUUCUUUAGCUUAAAUUAGUUAGUCAUUAUACGAUAGUAAAGUAGUAACCGAGUCUCUUGGGAAACGAUAUCCGGUCUUACCAGUUUUACUACUUGAGCGAUUUGGUACGCUUGCCAAAGUCUCAAUAGUGACUAAGUUCCUUGGAGGGUUCUCUUUCGAACCUAUGCAGGAGAACUCGUUGCUAGGUCUUUCUUCUUCAACAUUGACUGAGAUGAGAGUCUUUCGAUGGGAUAAUGUUGUGAACAGGCAUCAAGGAUGGAGACGGGACACUUGCAUUUGGUUACAUGCUGGAAUUAUUCAUUUGCUUGCUAUCAUGUUGAGUCUGGUAUUCAUUGGGAUUUGUCUGGCACAACAUUCUGGGUCUGGAAGGAUUGGAGUUAUAUACUUGUGACUAUUCAGGAUUAAUAUCCUUGAGGACAAGGUUGUUAAAGGAGAGGGGAGUAGUGUUAGGAAACUACUUGUAUAUAGGAGAAGGAAAAACGUUUCACAUCCUAACUUUCAAGGCAGUUAGGAAGAAGUCUGUAUAAAAGGGGUUGGGGUGCUUUGGGAGAGUUUAGCUUUUGAGUCUUAUUAGUUGUACCGGAACUCUUUGGGUUUUGUGGGGAGAGGUUAAGCUCUCUGAAUCCAUUGUAUUCGACAUUCUUGAUUCUUUUGGCAAUAAAGUGAGGUUGUACAGUUCUGGAUGAUUGUUUGGUUUGUGUUUCAGGUGUUUCCUAUAGGUUCUUGAUUAAAAGAACCUAUCACAUUCCUAGACAACUCAAGGUUUUGUGAGAUAACAUGCAUUAAUAGUCACAUGCCAUUACAAUUUAUUAAGUAAAAAUAGCAAAAGUAAGUUUUGAUCACCUAUUUAGUAUUAUUUAAAUCGAAAAAUUUAUAAAACAUUCUAAUGAUCUAAACAUAAUCAAGAACAUUUCAAAAACUUAUAUAAACACUAAAUUGAAAAGCUACAAUCGCUUGACUAAAAUCAAGUAACUCCUCAAGCUUAACACAAUUAAUAGGUGGAGUUUAUCUUUGUCUGAUUAGUCUCAAUAAUUGCAGUACAACAUUUAUGAUUCCUUCACCAGGUCUUCUAAAGACAUACAAAGCUUCUAAAGGAUUUAUUUCAUGUCAAAAGUGAACUUUUGAGUGGAAGAAUUAUAGUCAAGUUCUCAUAAGAAACAAAAAAGUUUGUUUAGAAGAAAAUGAAAAUAGUCUAGCGUAGAAAAAAAAUAAUGUUUUGGAAGCUAGAGGCUACCCUGGUCCUAAUUCAAUCCCAAUUUAAUGAGGUUUUGAGACUGAGAACUUUAGAAAAGCUUCCUAAAAUAUGGGUAAAAGAAAUGGUCUAAUUAUAAAAAACAGUCUGACCUUGGAACUAAAAAAAAAAUUGACACCUCUAAUCAAACACAACAUUUAACCCCUUAAACCAAAAGGUGGUAAAAAAAACAAACUUUAAACAAAUGUGAAAAAGAAAUGAAAAACAUAAACUUUAAUGAGUUUUAAAAAAAAUCUUUGGAAAACCAUUAACAAAUGUGAGACAAAAAUGACCAAAAAUUGAUAUCUUAGAGUUAAACAGAAACACAGAUAUACACCAUUUGAAACCUUAAUCAUAAAUAAAUAAAAACAAAAACAUUAAACAAAUGUGGAAAAACAGAAACUUUAAUGGGUUUAAAAAAAAAUCUUUGAAAAACCAUUAACAAAUGUGAAACAAAAAUAAUAAAAAAUUCAUAUUUUUGUGUUGAACAACAACACAUAUAUACACCAUUUGAAACCCUAAUCAUAAAUUAAAUAAUAAUAAAAAAAAAAACUUCAACGGCUUAAAGAAAAAGAUUUCAAAAACCAAAAAGAUGUUGUACAAAAGGUACAACGCAAAUAUAAAAGGUCCAAAACACGCAUAGAUGUUGGAGUUCUUACCGAUUGUUGUACUUACAAAACAUUAUAACUUGCCAUGGUCAAUAAAAAAAGACAUUGUGGUGUUGAGAGAAGAACGCAAAUGACAGAAAAACAUAAACAUGAAAAAUACAAACUUUAACUGCUUAAAGAAAAAAACAUUGAAAAAGAAUAAAAAAAAGUCAAAGAGAAAUGAAAAUAUAAUCAGACACGUCACAAUUCUUUCUAUUUGUAUUGAAUAUAUUAUAAAAUAUAAAAAAUUAAUAAAAUAUUUAUUAUAAUCAAGAAAAUAAAUCAUAUAAACCUUUUAAUUAUCAAAGUUAUUUAUAUUUUGAUAAUAUAAUAUACCCAACAUAGGAAAAAAUAAAUCUCAAAUCUCCUAAAAAUAAUAGAAAAAAUAUGUAAUUCCAGAAGUUAUUGUAAAUUAUUUUUGAAAAUAAAAAUCUAAGUUUUUUAUGGAUCAAUAGAAACUAAAGUUGAAAUUCUUUUUUCUCUAAAAUAAUUUUUAAAUAAGUACUAAUUAUCAUCAUCUUCUCUAAUCAAACAAAGAUAGUGAAUAUUUAUUUAAAAUUUUGCAACAUGUAUCUAAUCAGAGCCGUCCACUGUUAAACAAAUAUAUGUAUGGUAUCGUUGUAAUUUUUAAAAGCUUUCUUGGUGCUUUCUUCUUUCUCUUUUCCUCCCAUAUACAAAACAUUACAUAAAAAAAUGAGUACUAAUUACUCCAUUAAAUUAUAACUGUCUAGAUGGAUUUUAAAAACACAUUUAUAUUAUUUUGAUAACACAUAAAAGAAUUAUCUAGAAUUUAAAAAGUGUAGCAAAUACCCGAGAAGUUUAAAUAAAACUAUACUGCAAAAUAACGGCUAUAAGUGUGAGACCAUAGUCAACUAACCCAGCUUCAAGUAAUGGACCCGACCCCAAUAUUCUCAUUGGCCCAGCCCAUCAACAAAGUGUGAAAUAAAUAGAAAGGCAAUGCAACACUGCUCAUUAAGUAAUAAAAAUAAUUUUUAUUUGUAAUAGUAUGAAAUUUAAUAAUACUUGAAAAGAAACAUUAAAGUGUAUAUUCGCAAAAAAGAUAAAAAUGAAUUAAAAUUUUAAGCUUUAAUUGUCCUACAUAUUCAAAUUUCACAAUAAGUAAACAUUAAAUUAAUUAAUAUAAACUUCACAUGCUAAAAAAAAACUGAGGUUUUUAAUUACGCUUUUAGCUUUCUGAUAGUGCUAGGAAAAUUUUAGUUUCCUAAAUUUUAAUUGUUUACAUUUUAUCCUACAUCUUUAUAUUGUGUAAUUUUGAUCAUAAUAUUUUCUAGACUAUUCAAAUUCCUUCCAUUUAUUAACUUUAUAUUUAAUAUAUAACAGCGAAUAAAAAUUAAACAACAGAAGAAAUAAUUUAAAAAUCUAAUACAGAAUAGAAUGACAUCACUACAAUAAAUAAUAUUCAUUAUUUAAUACAAAAUAUGUCAUCAUUAAAAUAAAUAAUAUUCAAUAUUCUAAGUUAUAUUUUACACAUUAGAUAGUCAUCCUUUUUAAAGAGUACUUGUCUACUCUAGUUUAAAUGGAGAUUAUGUCUACUCUAGGUUUACACUCUGACGCUUAAGUCAAUCACGUGUGUUAGAUUGUAAUGAAUACAAUAAUUAAUUAACGUAAUUAAUAUAUCUUAUAGGAUAUGUUAUCUAUAUUAUUAUUCAUGGCCCCUUACUUGAAUUGGUUGGGCCAUAUAGCUAAUUACUUGUUAAUUUGGUCGAGAUGUGCUUGGUCGUGUAUAACACAUUAACCCCUUAGAAUUUAACAUGUUAUAUGUCAAAGACUUGCAAGAAAAUUUCAAAGAUGUCAGAUAGCAUGAUUUGCAUUAGUUAUGAGAAUAUUGACCUUCGACUUUUAAUUUGACUCUCGUCACAUUUGCAAAGAAAUUUUGUAUUUCUUUGGCUAUGUAGUCCUAUAGACUUAUUAGUCCCUUAGUCUCGUGAAGCACAAUCGACGAAGAAGGUUGAUUGAUUGGUUACAAACCUAGAAGUGUUUGGUAGUCAUAACUCCUUAAUCGAUAGAUCUUAGAAGAUGGAACAAUUGAGAUUGAAGAGAUAAGAGGUGCAGGGUCACGAAAAAAAUUAUAAAGUGCAUUUGAGUUAUAGUAGCAUUUCUUCUUAUGGCGUUCAUAUCUGUCUUGAGAGUAACCAACAAUCUAAUUUUUGCAUAAUACUAGGUAUGUCUUCAUCUAGUAGUUCCGAUAUGUAUGUUAGGAAUAUUCUAGAUUCGAGUGAUAGUAAGUCCUCAUGCGAUCAUCCAUGAAUGGUAUCCCCAAUUAGCAAAGAAGUGAUCGUUGAGACAAGAGAGGAAGCUAUUUAUGAAAUGACUGCGUCUUCGUGGCCCCUGAGGAGUAGAUACAAGUUAGUAAACCUAGAGGUUAAUAUGUAUACAUCAAAAUUUAGGUGGUUCAUUUAUGUUGGGGUCAUGGUUGAAUAGUAUAAAUUCCUUUGAGGGGGUCGAUUUUGAAGACAUAAUGACCUAUGAAAGGACAAAUGCAAUAGAUUAUGUCUACCAUGAGAAAGAGGGUAAUCCGAAAGAGUUCUUUUAUAUAUACAUAGCCUUUUUCAUUAAGCUACAUGUCCAUUUACCUUUUGACGAGUUCAUUAUGGAGGUUACUACGGAUUUUGAAUGUGGAUCCUACCCAACUGCAACCAAACAGCUAGGGUUACAUGUAGCCAAUGUGACUUAUAAGUAAAUCAUUUGAGUUAGACGUUACACUUAGUGUUUCUUACACUUAUACAAUACACAUCUCAGCAUCUGACUACUUGCCUUUCUUUAAUGAGUGAAGUGAGGACAUGCUUGAUGGGUUCUAAUUCCCAGUGUUUCAAGAAAUUUAAAAGUGUCUUUUUCAAUAUAGUAGUUAUAGACAAAGGGCAUUCACUUUUAUGAUGAGAGCGAAAAUCCCAUAUUUCCUUUCUAGUGGACAGACAAUCUAAUUAGGUAGUGGUUGAGGGAUAACUUGAAGGAUAAGGCUAAAAGAAUACUAAGUAUCAUGUACCAAUUUCCCCACUGCCCACUAACUAGGAAAAUAGUUAAAAUAUAUUGGUCUCCACGUCUUAUGAGUCACUUGACUGGUAAGUGUACUCUUAUAUGAUGAGUAUGAAGUAUAAUAUGACUAAUUCUGAAUACAUUUCAUUUGUUGCAAUGAUAAUGGCACACCAUUCAAAGAAAAUAGGAUCUAACGAUGAGUUUCAAUAAGAAAUUCUAGAGAGGUAAGAUGAUGAUAUUGGCUCAUGGAAAGCUGUGUCGUGAAGGAUGAAGGUAGUGUGUCAAAGCAGUCAAUAAUGUAGGUGGAGGGCGGGUGAACCACUACAGGGCUGCUCCCUUCAAGGUUAUGGUAAAAUAUUUGCAAAUAAUGGUGUCGUCAUUCAAUUAUUAUAAGCUUACCUAAGUAAUAUAGACAAAAUUAUACUCAUCUAGGUCGAUGUUACCAUCAUACUAGUCCAAGGUGAAGGAAGGUCUUUUAUUGCUUAGGAAGUGGUAUAUCCAUGAUACCACCGAUGAAGGGGUGUCAGUGAUUUAUACUCACUUUCUUCUUCAGUUUCAUGAACGAUGCAAACAUGAGAGACAACUCUCUACACCAAGUUUGAUUUAUCAAGGGUUGCUUUUUCCUUCCCUUUUCAGUUUUUCCUUCAGCUUGAACCUUCUUUCUCAAUGUAGUGUUUUCUUCCCUCAGAGCGUUCCUUUUUUUGAACUAAGCAAACUCUUGCUACAUUUUCCUUUGUGCCUCUAGUCUAUGUUAAUCGAGGAGGGCCCCGAUCCUCCCUCUCUUGCUUCAUCCAUCCUACUCCUUGUAGACACUAUGAACACUUUUUCUUUACAAAAUAUAUGUCAACCCCACAGUGCACACCAAUAAUUCUUGCAGGGACGAAUAUAUCCUGUCAAGACUCAUAAUUCCAAGAACUUCUAGAUCCACACACCAAGUAGUCAUUCUCUCCAAAGGGUACUCAUCCACACUAGUUCAGAUGAUGGUUAUGCCUACAUAAAAUCAACCAAGUGCAUCAGAUGAUGAUAUAUGCAAUAAUUAAUGAUUGUAAUUAAUGUAUCUUACAAAUGUGUUAUUUAUACUAUUGUUCAUGGACCCUUGCCUAGAUGGAUCUAGGCCAUGUGGCCUAAUCACUUGUUAAUCUUGGAGUAACUCUUUCUUCCUUAUCUUAAUUGUAUAUCAUCAUAGCUAAUCGAUCUUGCUGAUUUAAAUAUGUCUCAGUCGAGUAUGUGUUGGCCAAAUACAUGUUGACCCAACAAGUUACCAUAUAUUCAACCAUAAACAAGUUAUGUGUCGAUAUGAUCGAGAUGUAUCUGAUCAUAUAAUAUAUAUAUAUAUACACACACAUAUAUAUACAUAUACACACAUAUAUAUACAUAUAUACACAUAUAUAUACAUAUAUACACACAUAUAUAUACACAUAUAUACACACACACAUAUAUAUAUAUAUAUAUAUAUAUAUGUAUAUAUAUAAUUAUAUAAAUAAGAUUAUCUCUUGUACACAUUUCCAUUAAGUAUUUCCUUAAAUGAAAAUAAGUAUUUUAACAAUUAUACCCUUUAAUUGAUUUUGUUAAAUUUGAUAAUUAUUUUUAUAAAAUUUAAUUAUUUAUUAAUCUAAAAUAACUAUUAUAAUAAAAAAAAUUAUCUGUAAAACAAUGAACAUUACCUACUAUAAAAUUAUAAAAAUUAUUUAAAUUUAUUUUUAUGAUUAUAAAAUAAAUCAUUUUAUUAUUUUUUGUUAUCAUAUGAAAAAGAAAUGAACACGCUUCAUUUUCACUAGUAAGAUAUAAAAGAAGUUAUGAAAUAAGUUAUAUAUCCUUAUAAUUCUCGUAUGUAUAAUGUUAAAGGUAUAGGAUCAUGAGUACAAACCCUAUUCUGAAUAUUUUUUCUUUUAAUUCUGAAACUAUAUUUUUAUGUUCCAUGUAAAAAUAACAUGUGUAUAUUUAAACAAAAGCCCGUCACGAUGCAAAUUUGAUCAUAAGCGCACUAUAAUAAAUUAUAUAGAUAUUACAAACUUAAUAAACUGAAUAGUUAAACCGUAUUUAAUAUUGUUUUUCUCUCUAAUCCUUUUACGAUUUUUUUUAAUGGUGAUUAAUUUUGAAAGUUUCUUUUAUAUUCUAAUACAUUAAAUAAAUCUUUAGCACUAUCCAUUCAGUUACGUGUAUGUUGACUUUUCUACUUAAAAUAUUAAAUAGGAAAAAGGAAGAAGUGAGUUUGGUAGCUAUUCAUAGGACAAAUAUAGUACGUGCUACUAUAUUACUAUAUUGAAAAUUUAUUAAUUGCCCAUGCAUUCAAUUAGAGAGUCAAUUAUAGUUAAAUUGCAUGUUUAGAUUUUUAGUUAAAAAUGAUUAAGUUGAAUUCUACCUUAGAAUUGGUUUUAGUCUUUGAGAGGCUUUAAAUUAGCAAAGAGUUCAUCAGUCAAAAGGCAACGUGACUCACACAUCCCAAAUUGCAUUUAAUAAUUUGAAUUGCACUUAUCAAACUUUAAUUAGUAAAGUAUGUUUUCAUAUAAGUUGUCGUCAUGACUUUUGACCAAGGGCUUUUCAGAAAAGAAGAAGAAACUUUUGUUAAGUAGAAAGAUGCUUAUCCAGUUGAAUUAAUUAGUUAUAAAAAGCCAAAGUCUAAUCUACAAAAGUACACCAAUUUAAGUAUUCUGAGAAAUAUUAUAGCAAUUUAUAACCACAAACCGCGUUGUGUUGAUCCAGAAGACUCUCAUAAAGAAAACAAAGACUGAGAAUUAAUCAUAAACUGUUGUUCAGUAUAUUCUCAAGGAAAUUGAAAAUUGUGCACAUGCUGAUUUGAAGUCCUAAACACCACAGAUAAUGAAUCAUAUAUAUAUUUAUAUUAACAGUGUCCAUUUAUAUAUAUAAUUUGAAGCAGGGGAAUCUUAACACAUAAACUGACAAAUAAUGAUUAUCAAAUCUAUAUUCUAUAUUUAAAUGUCAUUUGAACGAUUGGAUAAGUGUAUUAAUUAUAAAAAUAUUUAACAUUAUUGAAAUUUAAAUCUUAUACUAGUCUUUGAUUUGAUUAAAUCCAGGUGUGAGGUGUCUACUAUGAUAUUUAUUUCAGCAAGUCAUAAAAUAUUUUUCUUUUAUAAAUUUUAAAGAGGAUGGUUUUUCUUAGUAGUAUGCUACACAUUUAACUUGUACAAGAACUUUGAGACUGAUAAGUAAAACCUCUCUUGUGCUUUUGGACACUCGUUUUCUCCUAUUGCUAUCUUUUUUUUAAGAGGAACCUAUUUUUUUCUUAUUUAUUAAUAUAUUUUUAUUAAAUUUAUCGACAAAUUUCAUUUUUUUGAAUUAUUGUAAAAUUAAUUAAUAAUGUGUCCAUCAAUAAGAUUUGUCAAUAAAUUUGAAUCUGUAUUGUUGAUGGAUAUUAUUAUUAUAAAUGUAUUUGAUAAACAAUUCCGUUAAUAACUUUUAUUAUUAAUUUAUUAUUCUUAUUAUCUAAAAAUAUUUUCAUAGAUAAAAUAAGUAGCAAAAUUUCACCAAAUUUAAUAAAAAUAUUGUAUAGUAAGAGAAGAUGGGUUAGAAGAAAAAAAAAAGGCAAAGGAGAAAGAAAAAUGAGAAGGAAGAUAUACGACAUCAAUGACAAUGUGUCAUAAUGGUGGCUCGUCAGUGGUGAUGGCUCGAGUUAGAGGAGUAAGAAGAAAAGAAAGAUAAGAGAAAGAGGAAAAAAUGGAGGAGGAGCAAGAGGAAAAGCAAACAAUGAUAGAUGGGGCGAUGUUAGUGGCAACCGAGGCAAUGUCAACAAUGAUUGGGGAAGGAUGAGGAGAGGAGAGGAGAAAAAAGAAGAAGAAAAGGAAAAAGGAGAAGGAGAGGAGAAGCAAGACGAAAUUGUGACAUUUACUAACAAAUUUUACAAACGACCAUAAUAUAUCCAUAAGUACUAUUAAAUAUUUAACGAUAAUUUUUAGGUAAUCGAUAAUUACUGAAGAAUUUUUUUCCAUUGGUAGUUCGUCGAUAAACUUGAAUUGUCAAUUGCAUUUUAGUACUAUUGAGGAAUUAUGUUUGUCGAUAAUAUAAGAUUUUCUUACAGUGGGAGUAUUGAAAUCAAGGUUCAUCACUUUAGAUAGGUCAUCACUAUGGCAAAUUUUAAAGAUAAGAGAGGUCAUCAUUUGACUUAUUAGAAGAGGUUAUGCUUCGUACUCUCAAAAAUUUAGAAUAUUGUAUUCUUUUAGGCUAAUCUAGUUUUUAGAAUGUAUAGGACUACCUUAGUUUCUAGAACCUUUUUGUAUUACCCUCUAGCUCGUUCAACUUGGCCAUGUAAGGCCCUUUUAAUUGUCAGUGUUCUCUUAAUUUUUCUUAGCUUUUUGUCUUAUCUUGAAUCUUAGUUAAGAUGACAAUUAUCUUCUCGUGGUCCAUUCCUAAGUGGUGGGUCAAAUUUAGCCAAAUUUCAGUUAGGUCAGACUCAACUAAAUUUCAUUCAGCACUGACUCAGUCGAAUUCCAGUCGGUACUAACUCGAUUGAAUUUGAUAGAAUUUCAGUUGGAGUAAACUCAAUCGAAUCUGUCGAUUUCGACUGAAUCUCAAUCAAGAUUGACUCAACCAAAAUUCAGCCAAGGUUGACUUUGUUGAUUCGGAAGGAGUGAACUCAAUGAUAUCAAUUAGACUCGUUUUGACUUUUAUUUUAAGUCAACACAUCUCAAUAAUCAAUCCAAAUAAACGUUUCUUGACUUUCAAUCCAUGCAAACCCGUCUCGGUUUGUCCUAAGCCAACUACAUAUAGGUACUUGACUAAAACACAACUACACAUCAAUGUAUAAUGGACCACUAGAAUGGAUGCAACAUUAGUUCAAACAAAGAGGAAAAGGGCUAUAUUAAUUUUCUAAUUUAAAAUAUUCUUAGUUAUUUAAGUUUGUAUAAAUGAGUUAUUGCAUCCUAGUAUCAUUAUUUACAUAAUUUUUUUUUACUAAUGAAAAGAGACAAUUCCUGGAAAUAUAACAAAAUAGAUGGAUACGUUAACAUAAUAUAUGUAUACGUAAUACUUAAUAUUAUUUUUGCUUAAUAUUAUUUUUAAUCCUUAUAUUCGUCAACUUUGUUUAAUGUGAGACUCUUUUUUUUUUUCGAAUGUUCACUAUAGUCUUUAAUUUCGUAAUUUAUGUUUAAUUAGGUCUUUUUUGCUUGACAACGUCUAAAUCUUUAACGACAUAUAUUCCACGUAAGAAAAACGGAAUGAGUUAUCACACAAUAAUGCUCACAAUGGUUGACUCACAUCAUCAUCUCGCCACGUCAUCAUCUUCCCCAAAUAAAAAACCAUUAAUUCUGUAGGUUUUUGUGAUUUAAUGGAAAGCGAUUUGGGAGAGUCUCGUUCCUUACAAAUGAUUUUACGUCAUCAAUGGAGGUUGAACAAGUUCAAUGGUGGUGCAAUUUGGGAUUUUACAGGUUUUCACGAAAAAUGCGUGAUUUCACAAAUUAGGGAUUCAUUGCGAAUUGGGUUUUUACGAUUUGUGUUAAUGAUGUUGCACGAGAAAGAUGAUAUAGGUUGCAUAACCUAUUGCGAUGAAGGAUCUCUGUUCCAAUUUAGGAGUUGAAUGUGAUUUGUGCUAGUUAGGGUUUGGUUCAAAAAGAUUCAUGAUUGUUGCGCGAACUAGGAUUAAUGUUCGAAGAAAAUUUGGGAAUUCUAGGUUAAUGUUCAAAGCAGAUUCUUUGUAGAUUGGGUUUCUUGGUUGAUUUGUGGUGGCUUGUGUGGUUGCUAACAGUAAAGCUCAUGGUCGGUGACAUGAAGAAGAUGAUGACAUGAGUGUGGUGCACGACGAUGCACUGGUGAAAAGAAAAUUAGGGUUUUAUCUUAGGAAAGAUGGUGAUGACGUUAUAAGAUUCAGGACAACACAUUCUAUUUUGUUUACGUGGAUUGUAUGUUGUUAAUAAUUAUAACAUCGUCAGUGAAAAAAACUAAAUUGAAUAUAAAUUACGAAAUUAGAAACUACAUUAGACAUUCGAAAAGAAAAUGACUCUCACAUUAAAUAAAAUUGACGAAUAUGAGAAAAAAAAUUGAUAUUAAGCCUAUUAUUUUCUCAAUAUUUAAAUGACAAAUUCAAUGACAGACUUGAAUAUUCGUUUGGCCUAAAAUGCUUCCAAAGGAGACUACCUUAAAAAGAAAAAGAAAAAAUAUUACUUUAGUAAAGUUCCAGCGUAACUUUCUGGUUUGAAUAGUUAACAUUUUUCUUUUUAAGAAAACAACUAUGUUGAAAAAUAAUAAUAAAUGCUUAAAAUUUUAGAUGAUUUUAAUCUUGUUUCCACUUAAUAAUCUGUAAAUAUCAUAAUAUAAAAUAGUUAGAAAAAAAAAGUGUAUCUUUAUGAAAUUUUCAUUAUUAAUGUCGUCAGCGCCAGAGAAUAAGAAAAACGGCUCCCAGGUUAAAAAGUAAAAUGAAGAAAAAGAAGGCAGGAUUGGAUUUCCCAAACACACAAUACAAUACUAAUUUUAUAGAAAAGUCUAAUUUCGGUUUUACUUUCAGUAAAAAAAAGUACUUCUUUUUUUAAUUAUUACGUUGAGUUUGUUGAAAAUUAUUAUUUUAAAUAUCGUUUUCAUUUCUGAAAUAUAUGUUGAUAUAUUUUAAGUUCCAAAAUGUUUCUUUUCACUUAUAAUAUCGAACGUAUUUGGUUUCAGGUGUUUACUGUAGACGAAGAUUGGAAAGGGAGUGGAAGUGUGGUAGUCUAGUUCGUCCAUACUGCUUCCACGAGUUGUCUUCUCUUGUGUUCACAUGGUGUUUUUUUUUUUGCAUUUUCUAAUUUAAAAUUUUUCAUUUUUUCAAUUUUAUAUUAUAACUCAAGUUUAGUUGUAAUUAGUUAAUUUUAUAAUAAUAAUAAUAAUUAUAUUUAAAUUUAUAUUUCAUUUAUUUUCAAAGAUAAAAUAGUAAUUAUCUAAUAUUAUCUAUUAAAACAUAAUUUAUCAAACUCAGUACACAAAUUUUUUAUCAUAUCCACUUAAAUUACACUAUCUCUUUCCUAAUCUAACAAACUCAACUUUGCUUUCUUUUCUUCUUAAAUCCACUCUCCCAAAUUCAUAAUAAUUCACAAAGACACAGUACAAAAAAUUAUUAAAUAACAAAAAAUUUAAAUGUAAAAAUAAUUAAUUAUUAUAUUAAUUAAGAUAAAUAUUAUUUUAUAAACUAAAAAUUAUUAAUUGAUUAUUAAUAAAAAAAUAUAAUUAAUUUAUGAUUAGAAUUUGUAAUAUUAUGAAUUUAAAAUUCAUUUUUAAUAUUAAUUUCAAUAAUUUUUGUCUUUAAACUAAAAGAACAAACAUAUUCUAGAUGAAUAAGAAGAAAAAAAAAUAGUUUUUAAUAUUGAGGACCCCCGUUGACUUGACGUGAGUUUACUGUUUGCAGUGGAUUUUCCUCACGUGUGUUGAUUUUAAUAAGAAGGGGGUUGAUGUUUCGUGUUACGUUCCGAGAAGAUCCUAGGUACCACUAUGUCACUAUCUUUACAUAUUAAAGCAAAGUUUAACACAAUUUUGACCGAUUAUAGAACAACGUGACAGGUUAAUCUGAAUGAAUUUAAUAUAGCAUAUAAAACAAUAGUAUAGAACAUGAAACACGUUUUGGAUGUGAACGCGUUCACCAUAUAAAUAAGUAGCUUACCAACAGAACUCAAACAUCAUCCUCUCAAAUCAAACUCAGUGAGUUCACUUGUUUUUCACAAAGAUGGUGAGAACUCCGUCUUGUGACAAAAGUGGACUAAGAAAGGGAACUUGGACUCCCGAAGAAGAUAGGAAGUUGGUUGCAUAUGUCACUAGGUAUGGCUGCUGGAAUUGGCGCCAACUUCCCAAGUUUGCAGGUAUAUCUUUAAACAAUCACUUUUCAAAAUUAAGCCAAAUAUUUAUAGACAGACAUAGGAGAAAAAGGUAAUAACUCUAUCUGAUGCUUUUCAGGUCUUGCAAGGUGUGGGAAAAGUUGCAGAUUGAGAUGGAUGAACUAUUUAAGGCCUAAUCUCAAAAGAGGGAACUUCACUCCACAAGAAGAAGAAUGCAUCAUCAGAAUGCUCAAAAAUCUUGGUAACAGGUAUAUAUCAUCACAUCCUUAUGCUGCAAUGGAGUUUCAAGUUGUUAAUUGAAAUGGAAGUUUAAUAUUUGAUGAUUCAUUCAUUUGCAGAUGGUCGGCUAUUGCGGCUGAGUUACCAGGAAGAACAGAUAACGAAAUAAAAAACCAUUGGCACACCACUCUGAAGAAAAAGUAUCAACAAAAUACAGUUACAAAUGAAGAUGCCAGAGCCUCCAAAUCAAAGAAAAAAGACUCAGUUCCCAACAAAAAUGGUGUUACUGUUAGACUUCCAGCCACUUCCCAGAUUUCAGAUAAUUCAUCAUUCUCGCCGGUUUCAUCCUCCAGCAGCGAGUUUUCCUCCCUAAGUUCAGAUCUUUCCAGUUGUACUAGCAUGGAAAAUUUGUUGUUUGAAGAUGACUUGGGUUUUCUUGAUUCGUAUGUGAAUGAAAGUUUCUGGAAAGAACUGAAUCUUGAUGGUGUACCUUGUGAAUCAAGAGAUACUACUUCAACAGAGAUGGUUGAUUCUUGUGCAUCGAGUGAAAGUGUGGUUGUGGACAAUGACUUUGGCAGUUUUCUGGAUGCAUAUGGAGAGGUAACAUUCGAUAACUUUUGGUCACAACCGUAUGUGGCUGACGUCUCCCACGUUCCAAGCGAGCUACUUGUUCCCUCCGUGGUAGAAUCUGAAUAUUUUACUCCAAUCUACGAUGAUCUCUGGGGUCAAAGUCAUUUUGUACAAUCAAACUUUUAGCUUUCUUUAUCCUGAUCAACAGUUUGUAGUGAGUUAUAUACUUGUAUAAUAGUGAUCUAGCAGUGCCUAUCUGUAUUUCUCUUUUAUAAUUUAAUAUAGAAAGUUGCUUCUGCUCUACUUCUAUUCUCAUCGUAUGUUGUUUAUGCUAUAUUUAUUUUGGGGAGAUGACGUGAGGAAGAGUGAUGUAUUUAUUUUGGAAAGAUGAUUUCAGUAUUUGAAGGAAUUUGAAGAAAAAAAGAUUUUGUUGUUUAUUUGAGUGAAUUUGAACGUGAGUGAAAGUGUAUUUAAGAGUAAAGUUUAUGAAAAAUAGUAUAGGAUUUGACUAAUUUGAUAAAUAAAAAAAAUUCUUUAAUUAGAAAAAAUUGAAGAUUAUCAAAAUAUUUUUAAUUAUAAAAAUAAUAUAAAAUGAUAAUUAUUAAUAUUAUAUUUAAUUAUAAAAAUGUUUAUAAAGAGAAAAAAAAAUGAAACAUGAUUAUUAAAAUGUAAAAAAAUAAUAAAAAUUAAUUAACAAACCAGCUAGAUCAACUGACAUAUUUGCCUGGAAAAAAAUGCUUUAUUCAACUUUAAAAUAAUUUGUUUUUAUAAAAAAGUUUAGAAAAACAAAUAUUUGUCAAAAAAGAAGACAAUAGCAGUGAACUAUUUUUGAUAUUUUUAUUUAUCCAUAUAUACAAUAAACAAACUAUUCCAUUAAAUUCAAAGAAUAAUAAUAAAUAUUGACACUUUCAACACCUAAAAUAAAAAUCAAAUUCAAAUAAAAACACAAUCAAAAUCAUAGUUUUAUGAAGUAGGACACACAAACCUUGACAAACUCUACCACACAAAUCAUUAGUGUAAAAUUGGCUUUUAACGCCACUUUUUAGACAUCAGUUAAGUAGGGAUCUGACGUAAAUUAAUGACCGAUAAAACUUUCGUAAAUAUAUUAUUAAUAUAGACGUCAAUUAAGAGGAGUCCUGACGUCUAUAAUAUUAUAAACGCCGAUGUCCUCAUAACCGAUGUCUAUAGGCCCUCAUAUAAGUCGACUCCCCCGAAUAGAUGCCAAAACGAAACCAAAAAGUUAAUAAAAAAUAAUUUUUUAUUCUAUUUAGACGUCUCUUAUGGGGGGAACCGACUUCUAAAGUCCUUUAGACGUUUGUUAUUGGGGGAACUGACAUCUAAACCCUAAACCCAGAAUUUUAAAAAGUCACUUUUUGACUUCAUUUAGACAUCUAAUCCCGCCACUCCGACUUCUAAACCCCUUUAGACGUCUGUUAUUGGGGGAACCGACGUCUAAACCCUAAACCCAUAAAUUUAAAAAGUCACUUUCUGACUCCAUUUAGACGUCUAAUCUCGCCACUCCGACUUCUAAAGCCCUUUAGACGUCUAUUAUUAGGGGAACCGAUGUCUAAACCUAGAAAUUUAAAAAGCCACUUUUUGACUCCAUUUAGACGUCUGAUCCUGCCACUCCGACUUCUAAAGCCCUUUAGACGUCUGUUAUUGGGAGAAUCGACGUCUAAACCCUAAACCAGAAAUUUAAAAAGUCAUUUUUUGACUUCAUUUAGAGGUCUGUUAUGGGGGGAACCAACUUCUAAAGCCCUUUAGAAGUCUGUUAUAGGGGAACUGACUUCUAAAUGUCAGCAUUAAAACACCGUGAUCGCGAGACAGCCGUUACACACACUCAUUGUUCAUCAUCUUUGUCGCGUUUUCUCUCUACAGGUUACGCUUUUCAGGUUCGUUUUCUCACUUUUGCACCGUUUUAAAUUAGUUUUACUCCGAUUACAUCACUCUUUGAUGCAUUAUCUUUCAUUUGAACCGAUUAAUUGCUAGAUACGCACAUUCAUUGUUCAUCAUCUUCGUCACGUUUUCUCUCUACGGGUUACGCUUUUCAGGUUUGUUUUCUCACUUUUGCACUGUUUUCAAUUAGUUUUACUCCGAUUACAUCACUCUUUGAUGCAUUAUCUUUCAUUUGAACCGAUUAAAAUGCGUUUUCGUUGGGUUUUGGUGCAAUUAUUCUCGUGUCCUUGGGCAGCGUUCUUUGGCGGCGAUUUCUUACGUUUUGCAUUACCUCCACUUUGUUUUUAAAACCAUCCAAUAAAAAAAAUAUAAAAUGCAUUCUCUUCAACUAAAAUAUAAAGUUGUAAACUCAAAUCACCAUCAUUCAGGAGCAACCUCAGAGACGUCUGACCUGUAUGGAUCGGACGUCUAUAUAAACGUCUAACCUAUAUAGGUCUAACGUUUAUAGAGACGUCUGACCUAAAGGGUUCGAUGUCUCAUUAACGUCACUCGUAUAGACGUCAAACAAAGAUCAGACGUUAAAAGCCCAAAAUAACAUACGUCUAAAGUCCUUUCUACACUAGUGAAUGCUCCACCGCCACUUUCAAAAGUUGCACUGUCACAAAUCCAAAUGCCAAAGUCAUUUUCACAAAGUCCUCCGUGCAUAGAUGCACCUCCACUACCUUCACUGCCUGCAUUAUGCACCUCCACCACCUUCGUUGCACUAUCCGUACCACCUCGUCCACCAUACCUCCAAACAGUGAGCUUCAUCUUCACAGACGCCUAAUCCACCAAAGCUCCACCACCUUCAAAACCAUGUUCAUGUUUAUGUUCCUUUUCCUUACACCUGCAAAACACCAAACUAGUUAGACAUAGCUGCCAAUGUCAGCAAUCAUUAAGUACAAUAAGUUCCACCAAGAACAAAGUGUAUGAUAGCUGCUAGAAUCGGUUAAUGGCUAAGUGGAAUCAAAUACAUGAACAACAGAAUCGGAUACAUGAAGAGUGGAAUCGGAUACAAGACUUGGAAUCAAAUACUUUAACCAUGGAAUCGAUUCCAGACUAAUUGGAAUCAGUUACAUGCACUGUGCAAGUCUUUUGAUGCAAUAUUUUGGUUUGCAACUUUGGGCUUCUUCAACCCCUCCAUGGUGCUUCUUCAACCUCCUUCACAGUGGUUCUUUAACAUCGAUGCCCUUGGCUUCUUCAAACAUCCUUCACUUUUGACAUUCAUCACCCCACCAAGGUCUCACAGUGUACUGUUUCUUGUAAUGGGUAUUCCAUCUUCAUCUCCAACCUCAAGAAUUGGGAAAUGAUGAGGUUAAAUAUGUCAUUUAACUUUGUUUCCCUUCAAAUCUCUAUGUAUGAGAGGGUGAUGAAAAAAGCUUGCAUCCAGCAAAUCCCUACAAUUCAUUGCUUUCAAAUCCUAAAAAAUGAACAACAAUUUCAUCUAGAAUUUGUGCUUGCAAUCUGCAUGAAUAGUAGAAUCUAUUCAAACGAUCACAACCUUAAGGUUUUCUCAAACUUUUCAGAUAUUAGUCUUCGAGAAAACUUAUGUUGGUUAAGAUAUAAUGGAAAUAUGAUAAGAAAAAUAUUAGGGGUUCAAGUGAAUUUAAUUUUUACAUAAAGUAGAAAUAAGAAAGUAGAACAUUAUAUAAAGGUGAAGAUAUAUUUAUUUAUUGUCUUAACAUUACAAAAAAAACUCGAUUUACUGAUAGUCAAAAUUCCCUGGUAAAUCGCUUAUAAAAAAUUAUUGACGCAUAAUGGUUGUAAUUAUCAACAAAAAAAUUCAUCAAUAAUUAUUGAGAAGCGUAUAGUGUCAGUAAUUAUCGAUGACCAUUGGUCAUCCAUACUUAAUGAGGGAUAAUGGUCUUUGAUAAUUACCGAUGACCGUAUACCAUCGAUAAUAGAAGAAGAAAAUGGGUAAUAUCACCCAUAACCCAAGGCCUUCAGUAAUUAUCGAUGAUCAAAGUUCAUCGGUAAUGGUCGUAGGUUAUGGUUUAUAUUACCGACAACUAGGAUUCGUUGAUAAUCAGGUCAAUACGGUGUACAUUAGCGACGAACUGACCCGUCGUUAAGUCUGUAGAUAAUGUCCAAAAAUGGCUCAUGUGCAGAUGGUAAAAUUCAUUACCCACCACAAUAAACCUGCCAAGAAAACAUUCAAUGCACAUAGAAUUGGCAACAAUAUGCCUUUUCCAACACUGUAACUGGUAGCAAGUUGUCUUGUCCCAUAUAGUUGUCCUUUCUUCUUUCCAUGGACGAAAUCAACCCAACAUUGUGUCCUAAGGAUGUUAUUGUCAUCAACAUAUACUUGUGAUGCAACAUCAAUAGUAGAUCCAACCUUUGAUCUGGCCUGUAAGAGUCUAGUAAAGAAAUCUUCUUGUUAAAUAAUAUACAAAGCUUCAGUUAUAUCAAGUUGAAAGUUUAAAAGGAAAUAAAUAGUACAACUUUGAAUUUUGUUAAACAAUUGGCUUACUGGUCUUUCAAGACCUCUCAUCAACAUAUGACACAAGUAUUAUCGUUAUUAAAAGUAACAAAGUAUUUUUACUGCAAAAAUAAAUUCUAAAGCAAGAUCAUUGAACAUUUAGUGGAUCAAAUCAAACGAAAAAUUACUCUUUUAAACAUGUAUGGAAUAAGAUGAACAAUUAAUUUUGUUUAAAUAGUUGACAAAUAUCACAUUUGAAAUGCUCAACAAGUUUUGUAGUAAACAAAUGAGGAAGUAAAUGAUUUAUAAGAUUGAGAGGGAAUACUUAAGUCUUUUAUGGUGAAACCAUAUUUGAGAAUUUGCACAUUUUUUUUAUGACAUUUGUUAUUUUUUACUCUUAGAUUCCAAUACAUACAACCUACUUUACUCCUUUGCAAUAAAAAUCUUUUUAUGACAUUUAUUGUUUUUUACCUUUGGAUUCUAAUACAUAUAACCUACUUUACUCUUUUGUAAUAAAAAUCGUCAUCCUCAUGACAAUGUUCUAUUAUGCACAAUAAGAAGAAAAAAAUUUGUUGAACAAAUUAAAUCUUUUAUUAGCAUUUUUAGAGAUAAGAAUAUUGAUUAAUUAUGUAAAACAUCUUUUAUACAAUAAAUGGUUCUAAAUUUACACUCUUGAAUUCGUAAAUGAAUACAUUAUUAUUAUUUCUAAUUACAAGGAGUUUUUUUAUUUUUUUAUCUUUUCACAUACAAAUUGAAGAGUUUAAAAAAAAACAUUUAUCCAUUACUUCUAAAUUAAGAGUCCAAACAUCCUAAGAUAACGGACAAUAUUAUUAAAUGUACUCUUACCUUUUAUGGUCUUUUAUGGUAAGAAUAACAUAUACCAUACAAAAGAUUUAAUCAUUGAUUCAAUAAUUGUUUUCAUAUUAUGUAAUUUCUCUUUAAAAACUUUAAUACAAACAAAAACAGAUAAUAAAAAAUAAUAAAAAUUUAGGGUUUCGAGUUUAGUAUUUUUUUAUUUAUAAAAUAGUAUAUAAAGAAGUGUAUUAAUGAGUCUCCUCUUACUAAUAUACAUAGAUUCUCAUAAAGGAAUUUUGGGGACUGAACAAGUCUAGAAAAAAAAAAUCAAAAAUUGUCUUCGUGAGUUCAAUUAGUUUCAAACAGUAUACUUAGAAUUAGUUGUAUGACAAGUUAUUAAUUAAUACCAAAGCAUUUACAUAGUCAAGAAAAUAUUUUAACAUUUUGUUUACAAUUGGCUAAGUUGAAUUCUAUCUGUGAUAGAUUUGCACACGCUUUAAUUAUCAAAGAGUUCAAUAGUCAAAAACAAACGUGAUUCGCACAUCCCAUGCUUAAGAAUAUCAUAUUGCAUUUAAUUAAGAAAAAGCACAUAGUUUUGCUCCGGUAAUACCUUUCUGACCACGUUUUUGUUCUACUAUUCAUCAUUUGCAGUCAGAGAAAACUAUUUGUUAGAUGCAGAUAGCUACACUAACUGCCAGAUAGUUUUGACCAAGAACUUUUGGACAUGAAAGAAGAAAGUUUAGUAAAGUACAAACAUGGUAGCCUAGUUGGUUAAGUAGUUAAUAGAAAAAAGAAGUGUCUGCUAUGAGUAAACUAGAAAGUGUCCGCUACUUUCAAAACAAUAAUAUGCUUAGACAACAUUUUUUUAUAGUAUUUGAACAUCAUUUACGUGUUAUUAUGUGAUUGGUCUAUGAUGAUUUUUAUAAUUAUUAUUAUUGAUUGUGAAGUAAUUUUAGACCAACACAAAAUAAUACGUAAAUAAUGUUCAAAUAUUAUAAAACAAUGUUGUCUAAAUACCAUUAUCUUCUUCAAAACCUUGUCUGUUUGUUCUGAGUAAUAUUUUACUGGUUUAUAUACCAGAAACCGCGUUGUUCUUCGUACUAUCGAGAAAAGACUGACUUGACCUCACAUUCUCUAGCAAUUAGCACAUGACAAAUUGAAACCCUAGAAACGAAAAUAAUAAUAAUAAAUAGUAGCAUGACGUUUUUUUUUUUUUCUGUAUUAUAGUAGCUAGUUGAAGUGGAAUCCCAUGCUGAAUUAUUCUUCUCUGGUGUUUUCAUGUAUUGACAAAACGACUGUAUCAUAUUAAUAUCAUCUUCAACAUAACGUCUAUUCGCAAUCUAGCUUCUAUUAAGCUCGUCACUGCUUCUGACGUACGUUGCGAGUUGUGAGAUUAUAUAUACUUGGUGGGGUUUCUGAAUUUUUUAAUUAGGUUUCGAGAUUAUAAAUAUUUACAUUUCGAUCGUUGUUCUUCUACGUUUUCUUCUUUUAAUUUCAUUCGCAAAUUAGAUUACAAGGUGAUUUGAACUGUCACAAAAAUAAUAAAUUGUGGCAUUUAAAAAAUAGUAAUAAUGAUAAAAAAGAGUAAUAUUCUUAGAUAAUAAGAAUAAAAUUAUAAUUUAUUCUUUUUAGAAACAAAAUUCUAAUGGAGUCAAAUCACUUCCAAAUUUUUCAUUCAUUUUCCACUUAUUUAUUUCAAAGAGUGAAUUUGAGAGCGAAAAAAAAAAUAGCAGUGAAAAAAAGAAUGAUAAGACUUAUUUGAUUAUGGGAGAGAAAGAUUUGGAAAUGAAAGAAAAUGAAGGAAAAUUUUGUAAAAGUUUGUGGGGAAUUUAUAAAUAUAAUAAUUUUAAAAGAAAAUUAUAAAAAUGAUAUAUUUAUAAAAUUCUUAAAAUGUCCAUAUUACUUUAAAUUAAUUUUAAUUAAUUAUUAAAUAAUACUUUUAUUAUUAAUAUUUAUAGCACUAUUAUUUAAUUGGGAUGAGAAGAUUGUAACUAGACAAUGUUAAUGUAUAUUUGUAGAAAGUAUAUUCCUUUUCGUGUUUGUUAUUGAAAAUGAAUUUGGAAGAGUGAAUUUUUGAUAAAAAAAAAAGGAAAUGAAAGUGAGAUUGUUUGUAUUAAGAAAAAGAUGAUAAGAAAUGAAAAAUAAUAAGAGAAAAGUUUGUAAAAAUUAGUUAUUGAUGUGAUGAGUUUAGUAGAUUAAAAAAUAUUUUAAUAAAUAAAAAUAGUUGAUUAAAUUUUAUCUUUGAUCAUAAAGUAAUUUGAAAUAAAAUAUAAUAAAUAUAAAUUAUUUUAAAAUGUAUUGUGAUCAGUUAUUAUUUAAUAAAAGUAAUAAUUGUGGAUAAUUGUUUUAAAUAAAGUAAAGAAAUCAUUUUAAUUGAUUAAAUGAUUUUAAAUUCAGAUCGCAUUGUUAGAGUAAUUAACUAAAAAUCUGCAUGGUUACCUAAAGACAAUAUAUUUUUGUAAUUAAUAAAAAAAAUGGUGAUUUUAAGUCUGAUGAGGAUGACAAAUCCAUUUCUUCACAAAUAAGCGAUAUAUAUAUAUAUAUAUAUAUAUAUAUAUAUAUAUAUAUAUAUAUAUAUAUAUAUAUAUAUAUAUAUAUAAUCACAAUAUGCAAUAAAUGCAUAUGUAUUCAAUGAGGCUCAAUUCAAUAACCCAACAAUAUUAAUUAUUCGUCAAAGACCCUCAUAACUAUAGAGAGAGAAAGAAUUUAAAUGUUCUCUUAUAGUUAUUUACUUUUUUUUGUUGAAAAAAAAAUAUAAAUUAAGACAAUUACAUGGUUUGUUGGUUAUUUGCAAAAGAAUUUAAUAAAAUCUCUCAGGAUUUCAAGAUAAUUGCAAUUGGAAAUAUCAUUUCCGUUUCCUAUUUAUUGUUAUUCUUUUCUGCAAGAUAUAUAAGAUUGCAUCUCCGUUUUUAAUAAUUAUUUUGUUAGAGUUUUCUACAAUGAGAAAGUUACUAAUAAAGACAAAUUAUUAGUUUUAAGAAAAAAAAAAUUUGUUUUAACGACACUUUUUUACAAUUUUUUUGAAAGACAGUUUGUAAUUGAUCUGUUUCAAAUAUUUUUUUAAACAUAAAUUUAAAUAGACGAUUAAAAUGAUGAUUAAAAAUAUUAAAAAAAGUUGUCAAUACAAAAUUGUGUUUUUUUUUAUUUACAACAAAAUGGUUCGAAUUAUAGUUCAAUUGGUCAAUCCUGUCAAACUGGAAUCAAUCCCGUUGGAUAUCAAUCCAAAAAAAAUAAAUUUAUUUUUUCUCAAAUUGAUAAACAAAAUUUUAUUUGGAACUCCCAUGCUUUUUCAUUUGUUUUGCUGAAAAAGGAAGGAAAGGACUUUUGGAAUUUUAUCAAGAAUAAAUGUUUUUUUUAUUUAGUAUGGAUAAAAGAUCUUUNUAUGUUAUACUAUUUCAUGAGUUGAUUUGAUAGUUCAGAUUCUGUGAUUCAUAAUAUUGAUCCGAUUUAAUAUCAUCAUCUUUUCAGAGAACAAUAAAACACGAUUCAAUUAUAUUAGUAUGAUAAGUCUUUUAAUUUAAAUUUUUAAGAUUAUGUGAGUCAGCCUUUUCUAUAUAUAUCGCCAAAUUUGUUUUAAUAUAAAAUUUUCAAAUCAUUUUUAAAUUUCUAACAUUUACAAAAAUAAAAUUAAAAGAAAUCAUAAUAUAAAUGGAAAACGAAAUCAUAAGAAAAUUCAGGUACAUAUGUGUUGUCCUAUCCAUUGCAUCGGAAUCACUACCGUUAAUUCAGUGUUGGUUUGGAUUAAAGUUUAUACAUUUAAAUUUAAGUAAAUUUAUACACGUUAAACUAAUGUCAUAAUCAGUGAAUUAAAACUAUAAACAUGUUCUUUUUUUAUGUCUGAGGUAGAUAUAUUUUGUAUUUAAAACUCUAGACAUUGAAAAGUGGUCAGAUAAUGAUCGAAUAAUGAAUGAAAUAAUAUAUUCAAUAAAAAAUAAAUAGAUUCUGAGCAAAAGUUUUGAUAUUAUUAUAAAAAGUGAAUUUUAAAUUUAACUUAAUCUUAUAAAAUCAGCUUAUAAGAUGAUAUUUACACUCAUUUAUAUCCUUAUACUAGUUAAUGUAAGGCUUCCAACAAAUACAUCUCAUCAUGGAAUUCCAAAAUUUUCAACCGCAAACUCACCAAGUUUCAUUUUUGUUUUUUUAAUAAUAUUUAACAUUAAUCAUAUCUCAUUUCUUACUUAUAAACAAUCUUUUACUUCACUAACAAAUUCAUUAAUAUUUGAAAUUUAAGUAAAUAUAAGUGUGUAGUGUAUAGAUGAAAAAGUUAAAUACUCUAAAAUAAAAACAAAACUCAUAAAUAUAUUAUCUUAUAUAAAAGUUUUACUAAAAAAUAAUUGUUUGGUAUUAUAAGUGGUAACGUAAUUUAAAUUUUUUUUAAUUAAAUUUCACGACAUUUUUGAAAUAUUUUAAGAAUAUAUAUAUAUAUAUAUAUAUAUAUAUAUAUAUAUAUUUGAAAUAUAUAUAAUUGUUUAUUUAAUAGACUAAAAAUAUUUUAAUAAUUUAAACAGCAAACCGAAUAUGAGUACUUAGACUGUGUUCACUUGCGCUGAAUUUACUGUUCACGCAAAUUGCCGAGCGAGGAAUUCAUUAUUUGAACGCGUUCGUUUGAGUGGAUUUGCGAUGAUGGAAUACAAUGGAUUUGCGAGAUUAUACGAUUUCAACAUCUUCGCUGAAGUGCGAAGAUUUGCGGUGAUUUUAAUCACAAUUACAAAUUUACCCUGAUACAUUUUUAAAAUACCUUGUACAUAAAAUCAUAAAAUAAUAUACCUACAACAUUUCUAUGCCUAAGAAAUUGUUUACUGCGUUGGAUGAACUCAUGAAUGGUCUGUGCAUCACGUAGAACAUGAAGGCAACCAUGUUCACUGAAAGCCCAAAAUAAGCCAUUCUUUCUGCCAUUUCAUUUCCUACAACAACGCAAAACACGGAAUCUCUUUCUUAAAUCACAUGUUCAUAACAUAACCAGUAGUUGUUCUGUUCCAGUAUUAUCCACUGCACAAGCACACGCAUAAAGAGAGAAUGAAUAUGUACCAAAUAUAAAGAAGGCUGCAAUCCAUCCACCUGUUUUUGAAAGAUCAACAAUGGAUUUGCCAUGGAUAUCAACUGGUGUAGAUCCUGUUGUGUAUCCACGACCAAAGGCCAUUCUUUUAUCCUCAGACUCAAUGAAGUAAAUGGUUAGCUUCUUUCUAUUCAUUGUUCAUUGAAGUGCCUGGUGUCUCUUCAAGGGAGCUUUCUGCUGGUUAACGUGAAAAGGCUAGAAAGUUGUAUCCGGUUACAGAAAGUUGUAUCCGAUUACUUCCCAUUACGUGAAAAAGGCAUAAAGUUGUAUCCGGUUAACGUGAAAUUAUAUCUGGUUACUUCUUUUUUAUCCGGUUACUUUUUUUUUUACCCUUUAAAAAGUACUACAUUUAAAAAAAAAAUCAUUUCACUAAAGUAUAAUUUAAUUAAAUUUUUAAAAUUAUUUUUAAUAAUUAUUUCAAAUUUUUAAUUCUUAACAAAAAAUUUUACAAUUAAAUAUAAUAUUAACAAUUAUCAUUUUAUAUUAUAUUAAAAACUAAGGACAUUUUGAUAAUCUUUAAUUUUUAUCCAUUAAACAAUUUUUUUAAAUCUGUCACAUCAAUCAAAUCCUACACUAAUUCUCACAAACUUUACUUUCAAAUCUACUCUCAAUUACCCACAAAUCCACUCAAAAAAACAACAAAAAAAAUUACCUUCAAAUCCACUCAAAUCAUCUCCCUCAAAUCAUCUUUCCCAAAUCAUAUCAAGAGAACAAAGCCUUAGGGAGUACGGGGAUGGAGAUGGAAGGGACAUGUAUACAUAUCCCUAUUUUCAUAUCCAAAUAAAAAGAUAAAUAUUAAUCAUUUACAUAUAUUACACACUUUUUAUUUAUUAUUUUUUCUAAUUAUUUAGAUAAUUAGAUUGUUAUGAAAUUCAUUCAUAUCUCAAAUAUAUCUUUUUCUCCUAUUACAACCUUUGUGUAAUUAUGUUCAAUGAUAUAUGUCAAUUAAAAAUUUGUUAAGUCUCACAUUUAUUUCUUCUCUUUUUUAAUAUUUUUAUAUAUUAUAUAUUUUUUUCACAUAAGAAUGUCUUACUCUCAAUUUCACUCUUCAAUGAUAUAAGUCUUUCAUUUACUAAGAAAUAUAAAAAAUGUUUCUUCUUUAUUCUCUUAUUAUUAAUUUUGGUUUUAUUUAAAAACUAUUUUGUUUCGUUAAAAUAAUUUUCAUUUCUCCCAAAUAGUUCCACUAAGGUUGAUAUUUAAGAAGUUUUCUUAGAUUUUUAAGAUAUUUUUGAUCUUACUGUACCUUUAGUUAUAUAUUUGUUUUCUUUUAUGCAAUUUCAGUGUAUCAAAUUGUUUUUAAACACAUAUUUGAUAUUUUUUUAAUACUUUUAUUUGUUGCUUACUUGUAGAUUAUUGUUUUGAUAUUUUUAUGUAAUUAUUUUAAUUUCUAACUCAUUAUUAUAAGAAUAAUUUUAUUGCUAUAAUUGUUUAAUAAAUUUUAUUUAUUAUAAUAUGAUAAUUUAAUUUAAUUGUAAUGAAUUUUUUUAUUACCAUCCAAUAACAUACAUUGAAGUUCGAAAGAUAAAAUAUCUACGUUAUAUUUCAAUUAUUAUUAGCUUAAUAUUUGUUCUUUGUGUGAUUUUGAUCAAGUGAUGUGUUAUAACUUUUACUAGUGUUUAAAAAAAAUUAUUAGAAUUUAAAAAUUUGAAGUAAAGAAAGAUUUAAAAUAUUUUUGUAUUUUUAUUAUUUAUCUUCCUUUUAUAUGUUUUUUUAUAAAAAAUAUUUUUUAAUUUUAUCAACAAGGUUUCAUUAACGUUUACAAAUUUAAUAAAUAUUUUGGUUUUUAUCAAAAUUUUACUUGGUAUUCUAAUUUGAAAUGAUACGAUUAUAAUUUCCUUUCAAAUAUUUGAUAUUGGAGAAACAAAAAUACUCUCAUUUUGAUCUUGAAUAUUUAAUAAUAUCAUGUUUUUUUUAGUUUUUUAUUAUUUUAUAAAAAUUAAUUAAUCGAUAUUGAAAUAGUAAGAAAACGAGUACAUAUAUAAAUACAAAUAUAUACCCAUUACUCGAAUGGGAUUAAGAUAAAAAAAAAAUUGGAUACCUCUUGAAGAUAUGUAUGGAGAUGAAAAUAAUUUUUUUAUUUGGAUACAAGUAUGGGAUAUCAAAACCAAUCUUCACCGGUUUCAUUAACAUCUUUAUUUAUGAUAAGAUGUUAACCUAUUUUUAUCUUGGGAAUUUCAGUAAAUACUAAUUAAAUGCUUUUAAAAAUUAAUUUAUAUUUUUAAUUCGGUUGAGAGAAUUGUUUCAAUAAUUAUGUUGAUUUAAAUAUAUAAGAAUUAGGGGUAUUUAAAGCAACUUGAUUUGUAUAAUUUUUAUUCUAUUUUAUUCUCUUAUUCAUUAAACACAAAUCAAAAAUAUAAUUCAAACUUAUUCCUUUUAUUAAAGUAUAUACUUCAACAUAAAAUCUUUUAUUUAUUAAUUUUUUUCAUACUUACCAUUUUUAUAGAAUUUAAUACUACUUUUCACAUUUAUUUACUUAACUAAGAAAAUAAACAUAAACCAAAACAUUAUAGGUAGAACUUCAACACAAUAUAUCACCAUCCAACGCAAAACUUUUAAGCAAACAAGUUAUCACGACAUUUUAAUACAAUAAUAAUUAUUUAAAUAUGUAUUACUAUCUAUUAUCUAUUUUAUCUCAUGUAAAUAUUUUUUUCGAGUCUUACAAAUGUCACAUUUGGGAAAACACAGAAGAACCCCUCUUGUAAUAAUUAUUUGAAAGAAAAAAUUAAUUAUCUUUUAACUCCAUAUUGAGCUAAAUUAGAUAUUACACAUUAAAUAGAUGUUAUGCAUGUGGAGAAGAAUGUUUGUGAUAGUAUAAUGGGAACAUUGCUAAACAUUAAAGAGAAAACAAAGGACAAUAUAAAUUCUCGUAAACAUCUAGUUGAGAUAGGUCUUUGUUUGGAGUUACAACCAGAAGCUCAUGGUAAAGGGACAUAUUUACCCUAUGCUUGUCGUAAUUUAUCUAAACUUGAAAAAAAGGGUUAUUGUGAGUGCCUAUGAGGAAUGAAAGUACCAUAAGGAUACUCUUCAAAUAUUAAAAGUCUUGUGUCAAUGCAAGAUUUGAAACUUGGUUUAAAAUCUCAUGAUUGUCGUGUUCUCAUGUAAUAACUUCUCAUGGUGGCUAAGUUGCAUCUUGCAAAAAACUGUAAGACAUGUCAUCACUCGCCUUUUUAUUUACUUUAAUGGUAUUUGUCAUAAAGUAAUUAAGCAUAACAAGUUGGAUGACCUGGAAAAUGAAGUUAUCCUUAAUCUUGUUUCUAUUAGAGAUGUAUUUUCCUCCUUCAUCUUUUGACAUCAUGAUCCAUUUAACAGUUCAUCUAAUAAGGAAAAUUAAAAUAUGUGGACUUAUAUUUUUUAGAUGGGGACGUAUCUAGUUGAUUGAUACAUGAAAAUAUUUAAAAGGUAUGUGAAAAUAUCUUAUCGCUUAGAAGCAUUUGUUGUUGAAAUGUAUAAUGUCAAGAAAACAAUUGACUUUUUUUAUAUAGAGUAUAUGUUAGAAGCAUUCGUUGUUGGCAUUGAUAUCUCUUGCAAGUGUAAGUUGUAUGUUAGAAAGAUUUGUUAUUGUCUAGUUUUCAUUGACAGAUUGUAUUCAAGGGGAUCAACCAUUAACAUUGUGCAAAUGCCAGAUCAUUUGGUUGGCGUUGUAGUUGAAGAUAUUAGAUAUGCCAAAACAUUGGUUCCAGUGUCCACAUAGGAGAUUAAAUUAGUGGGAGAGGCAAUUGGAACAUUCAUCUCAUAGCCUAAACCAUUAGUUAAGGUUAUUUCAACAAAGAAACAAUUAUAUUUUUCUUCAUUAUAAUUAUAGACUUCCUAAGUAAACACAAACUUCAUAUUUAACUUUGUAAUUAUAUCCUGCAAGUCCAUAGUAGACAAAAGUCCCUACUUGCAUGUGAUUUUAGCCGUAAGCCUCAAUCUUAACCCCUAACCCAAGAAAUAUUAGUCUGAUUCAUGAGUUGACUAGAGUUUCAACAGAUCUAUUUAAAGCACCUUGUACCAUUCCUUGGGAUUCAACAGUCUUUGGCAUUGAUAGUACUUUACCGUUGUAUAUCCACAUGAACGGUGUCUAUGAAAUCAUGCAAGAGAAUCAUAUGAUAAACAUUACAAUUAUUCAACUAUAGAUGUUGUGAGUACACUUUAUGUUAUAUUGUCAACAAACUUCUUAUAAAAUCAAUCAUUGUCACAAAACUUCAAUGCAAUUAUGUAAACGAACUAAUAGCCCCUUACGAAAUCUUCACUUAUAUAACUAAUAUACAUUUUGUACUAUAAUGUUAAACCAUUAUAGCAUUUGAGACGAUUGAAGAAAUUAGGACUAAAUGGGCCAAAUACUUCUUUAAACCUAAAAAUUAGUUCAUAUUGUUUAUUUCCAUUUGCUUUUUAUUUACUAUUAGUAUUGUCUUUAUGAUUUACGACAACGUUGGUAAACUUCAUGGUUGGAUUUGAAUUAGUAUCCAAUUUUAUCCAAUUUUGUCUCUUUAAGAUUGUAUUGUUUCAUUUUGAAUACAUGUUUGAGUUUAUUGCAAUUGUAAAUGAAAUUUAAAAUAUAAAAAACAGGACAUAGUAGAUAGAUUAUGACAUUAAUCAAUCUAAUACAUCAUAUAUUAGAUCAGUUAAUAUCAUAAUCGAUCUAACAUUUGUUGAUUCAAUUCAAAAAUUCAUAAAAAAGUUAGAUUAAUUAUUGUCAUAACCGAUCACAUAAUUUUUUGUUUUUAAAUGUUGUUUUGACAUUUUUCUCUAAAGAUAUAAGAUUGGUUUUUCGAGAACCGAUAUAAUAAUUAAAUAUAUUAUAUCAAUAUGACUAUUAUAUUGAUUGUACAACUAUCAAAUAUAUCUAAAACAUAUUACAUUAAUCUAUAUUAAAUCGGUUAUAGAAUCAAUUUAAUAUAUAUAUAUAUAUAUAUAUAUAUAUUCUAGAAUAGCUUUAAUUUAUUUUUUUACUAGUGUUUAUUCAAUAUCUUUAACACCCGUUCAUGAAAAAAAAAUAAUUAAUUUUCAGAAUAAAAUAUUAAAUAAAAAGGUAAAUGCAUAUAAUGUCUUAAAAUUAAAUAAAAUAAUUAAAUAUUUUUUUCCUAUACGGUGAAUUGGAUGAUUAUUUCUUUAAGAAAAAGAGAUUGGUUAACCAAUUAAUUUUUUCUUAUGGGGAAAACUUAUAGAGGACGGGGUAACCUUGUCUUCCAAUUUUAUUCCAGAUUUAUUGUUUUUGAAAGGCUUAAUACUUCUUUGGAUCCCUCGAAAGAGGAAAAAUAUUCAAAGUGUUCCUACCUUUUUAAAAAAGUUGGAAACGGUCUCAAGUUGUGAAAAAAGGGAUCAAGUUAAUCUUUUUUUCUUACAGUAUCAAAAAUGUAACGGUGCAGGUGUCCCCUGGAAAAAACAUAUUGACAUGUUCAGUUUAUAUCAUUGUGUGGUAGUAUGAGGUUAAAUGACAUGUAAAUUUUAAAUUUAAAAAAAAAAAAAAACUGAUUAUGUGGCAAUGUUUUGACAGAGGGUUAAAAGAAAAGGGUUAGGGUUCGUGCAACUUCAUCCCUGAGGUGAGGAAAGUGGUUGUGGCGAGAUAGGAAUGACUUCUUCCUAAAAGCGAGAUAGCAUGAACCAAAUUUGGAGUUCUUUAAUUGAUUACAAAUUGUAUAUCUGUAAUCAAUUUCGAUCCAUUGUUCUCUUGUUCGUGCUUAAGAUUCAUAGUCUUUUAGCUCUUUUUAUAGUGGUUGAUAGUGGCUUAUGAAAGUGGUACCAUUUUCUUUACUUGAAACAGUAGUUUACACAGGUUGAAUGAUACAAGCAGAAAUCAAACAACUGGAAGAAUGAUUAUAGUUUGAUUAAAAAAGGAAAUUAAAACCCAAUAAAGUAUUUUCUUUUGCAUCAGCCAUCAAAUUUCAUCAAACCAGAAUCACGCUUUCAUCGCAAGUCGCCACUGUUGCCAACACCACGCCAACCUCCAUGUUCGUCCUCCACCAUGCCAUCACAAGUUUCGUUGCAGCCACUACAAGAGAUCAUCCUGCCAUCGUGAGCUUCAAGCCACUAGAAGCAACACCUUUAUCAAUUCGUAGAAAUCCCUUCGUGGUGCAGGCAAACAACUUUCCCCUUUGCAAUUCUAAAACCCUAAUUUGGAUAAAAAGGGUUUACCACAUGUCAAACCCUAAUCCAUUUUCUUUUAAUCCUCUGUCAAAACAGUGUCACCUCAUUAAUAUAUUUUUAAAUUCUAAAUAAACACGACAUUUUACCUCACAGUGUCACGCAAUGACAAGAACUGAAUAGGUCAUUAUGUUUUUGUCAGAGGGACACUUGCAUAAUUACAUUUUUGACGCCGUAAAAAAGGAUUAACUUGGUCCUUUUUUCACAACUUGAGACUGUUUCCAAUUUUUUUUAAAAAGAUAGGAACACUUUGAAUAUUCUCUCUCUUUCGAGGAAGCAAAGGUAUUAAGCCUUUUUGGAACUUUUUUUCUAUGUUACACCCAGCUUAAAUAUAUUAUUUUAAUCUCCUAAAAUCCUUUAUUAAAAUUCGUCGUUCAAUAUAUUCAGGUAUUAAAUUUUUCUCAGCUUAGUAAUAUCAAAUAAUCACGUUGCUGAAUUCUAAAACUUAGGAAAAUAUGAUUUUAUUUUACGUUUACUAAUCUUAGAGUAGUUUGCCUAUUUUCUAGCCCAAAGGUUUUCUCCUGCUACUUUUAAUAAAAUUAGUUUUAAAAUAAUUUAAUUAUGCUUUGAGUUAUACUGAAUAUGCAUAUAUAUAUAUAUAUAUAUAUAUAUAUAUAUAUAUAUAUAUAUAUUGAGUAUUAAUUUGGCCUGAAUAAGAUAUUGCAAAGGAAACUACCAUCAAAAAAGGAAAAAAUCGUUUUAAUACUUUCACGGAAUUUACCACAUCGUGCUUCCAGAAAAAAAAAAAAGAAAAAAAAGAAGAAAAAGUAGCUUUAAUGAUACUAGAAUUGAAGAAAAGAAAAAGAAGCUUUCCAGAAGAAAAAACAAAAGUAGCUUUAGUGAAGUCAUUAUGAUUAAUGACAAAAAAUUCGUUGGUUGAUAGAAGUUAAAAUAAUUUUUAUUACCUUUUAAUAUAUUUUUUCAGCGCAAACAAUUCUCUCUUAAAAAAAUAUAUGAUUUCGAAUUUGAAAAAUAAUAUUUAUUUUGUACAUAUUUUAGUUUUCCUUGGAUAGAAUAAAGAAAAGAGAAAACGCUGUCGUUUCUUGAAGGCGUAAUUGAAUCAACACAGGGAAGACUGUUACUUUGGUUGAAGUUCUGUGAAUAUAUUAUUUAGGUGCGGGGAAUGAGCAGGUACAAGAGUUGACCGUAAUUAUGAGUUGCGUUUAUGUUGUGGAUUUUGGUCACGUGUGAAAAUGCAAAAAGCGGACACAAAUUUCGUGUUACGUUCGUGGAAGAUACUAAGUAGCCGUUAACAGAUGAUGUCGCAAUCAACCAAUAUAUUUUAGUGGCAUAUAAGUGUGAAAGCGCAGAGAAACACUUUGUUUGACUAGUAAGUGCGAGACAUGAACACGUGAAGGGUUACCGCCUGAGCAAGACCCUUAUUCGGAAGUCACAUGUAUUUCUUAAUUACGGGGCUUUCUGUUAUAAUUGAACAUGAUACACGUUUUGGAAUGUGAACGCGCGCAGAGUAUAAAUAAGUGACUGCUCAGACACAAACCAUACCCAAAAUUUCCUCUUCCAUUGAAACGUAAAAACACUAACUCACAAAGAUGGUAAGAACCCCAUCUUGUGACAAAAGUGGACUGAGAAAGGGUACUUGGACUCCUGAGGAAGAUAGAAAAUUAAUUGCUUAUGUUACAAGAUAUGGUUCCUGGAAUUGGCGCCAACUUCCCAGGUUUGCAGGUACAUAUUUCAACGCUUUCUAAAAACUAAAUAAGCCAAUAAAUUUUUAUAGUAAAAAACUCAUUUUCAUUACCUUUUGCAUUGAUUUUUAGGUCUGGAAAGAUGUGGGAAAAGUUGUAGAUUGAGAUGGAUGAAUUAUCUCAGGCCUAACGUCAAAAGAGGCAACUUCACUCCACAAGAAGAAGAUUGCAUCAUAAGAAUGCACAAAAAACUUGGUAACAGGUAAAAAUGGUGUUACGAAUUCUUGUUCAAUGGCGUGAAUAUUGAAACACUGGAAUGUUAAUCUUAUAUAUGAUUCCGUUGUUCGCAGGUGGUCGGCUAUUGCGGCUGAGUUACCAGGAAGAACAGAUAACGAAAUAAAAAACCAUUGGCACACUACUCUGAAGAAAAGGUCUGAACAAAAUACAGUAACAAAUGAAGAAGCUAGAGCCUUCAAAUCAAAGAAUAAAGAAUCCAACCCCAAUGGUUUUACUGUUACUCUUCCAUCCAAUUCCGGGACUUCUGAUAAUGCAUCAGCCUCAGUCUCACCACUCUCAUCCUCCAGCAGCGUGUUUUCCUCCACAGCUUCAGAUGAUUGCAGUGGUGCCAGCAUGAAAAGUUUGGUUUUUGAAGAUGAUGACUUUGGCUUUCUGGAUUCGUACAUGGAGCCGAUGAAUGAUAGUUUCUGGAGCGAGCUAAAUCUGGAUGACAUCUCCUACAGUGCAGCAUGUGAAAUAGUUUCAGGAGAUAGCAAUGGCGCAAUUCAAAGCAGUGAUACUAGCGUUAAUGAUUGUUGUGCAAUGUCUCCGCAUGGAUCAAGCAGCGAAAGUAUUGUUAUCGAUAAUGGCUCUGGCAGUUUUCUGGAUGCAUAUGCAGAGGCAACAGUUGAGAACCUUUGGAUGCAGCCAUAUGUGGCUGACAUGUCCCACGUUCCAAGCGAACUUCUUGUCCCUUCCGUUGUAGAAUCUGAAUAUUUUACUCCAAUCUACUAUGAUCUCUGGGGAUAAAGUCAUUUCUAUUACCAGUUGUUUUUAGAGAAACCAUAGUUUUGAGAGUAUUAUACACAGUUAUGAAUAACGACAUAAGAUAACUCUUGUUACUUAUUCGAGGUGUGUAUUAGUCAGGCUUAACAACACUAUAUAUAAAUAAAGUAUUUUGAAGUUGUUUGAGUAUUUUUCCCCUCCUAAAUCUAAAUAUGCUAAAUUUCUAUUGUAAUAUUGAUACUUGUUGUUUCUAUAAUGAUAGACAUUUAAUGUAUAAUAGAUCAUUUAAUAAAAUGAAGGAAUCCAAAAAUGUUUGCUAAAAAGAGUGAGAAUAAAUAAAUCACUUAAAAUGCAUAUUGAUUCUAGUUCAUUCAUAGUUAAAAAAUAUAUUGAUUAUCAUUCAUCUGAAUUCUAAAUAAAAUCAAAUUAAUCAAACAAAUAUCCAUCAAUGUGAUUUUCUUUUAAUGUAUCAGGUCUAUCUUUUUCUCUAAAUUAAAAAUUAAAAUAAAAAUAGUUUUAAAUAAAAAAAAUGUCUAUCUUUUUCUACAGAAUAAAGGUUUUACUAACUACACAACAUUUUGUUUAGAGAAUGUUGUUCGAUCAGGCUAAAAGCAUUAACUAUUAUUAGUUGUCCAUUAUGCCUUGAAAAAGAAGAAAUAGGUAACCACCUAUAUGUUUGUUCUAAGAUAACUUAUAACAUUUGGAACAUCAAAGAAUAGGUGAAUUAACCAAAGUACCAUUUUCAACACUUUUACCUAAUAAAGUUAACUGGGAAAGAAAAUAUGACUUGGAAGGUAGUAUGGAUAUCAAUCAUUUUGGAGUAUAUAGUAACAAAGUAAGUAGAUGUUGAGGAAGUAUUUUGUAUAAUCCAAUUAAAAACUUAUAAAAUAGCUAAGACAUUUUCCUAUACAACAAAAACUAAUAAUAUAAAACAAUAAGGAUGGAGUAUGCAUAACAAUACUCGAUUUAUUAUUCACUAUGUAUGUGAAAAUAUAAUGACAAUUUUUUUUAUAUAUCUACUAACUUAUGAAUACCUACAAAUAUUUUUAUAAUUUAAAUAAAAUUAUUUUAAAUAUAAACUUUCAUAAAAAAAUAAUGAAAUGUUGUUUAUUUUUAAUUUAAAUAUAAUUAAUAUAUUUUUUCAUUUUUAACUAGUGAAAAUAUAUCUACAUGUUUGUUUAUAUUUUCUUUUAUAACAAAAAUAAUGAAAUUAUAAUCAUAGAAAUAAAUACAAAUAAUUUUUAUAAUUUUAUUAUAGAAAGUUUUUAUUUAUUUUUGUAAAUUAUUUUUAUUUAUCUAGUAGGUGAUUUUUAUUUAUUUAAUUUUAAAAGUAGUUAAAUUAAAAAAAAACGAUUAAAUUUAAAAAAUCAUUUAAAUUUAAAUAAAAUGAUAACUUGAAAGGUAAAAGUGAAAAAAAAAAAGUGGACACAAAAAAAAUCCCUUUAUAUACAAGUAUUGAAAAAAAAAGUUUAUAAAUUAAAUUUUAGUUAUUAAUUAAAAUAAAUUAAUUUAAUAUAUAAAAGUAAUAAUUAUUUCAAUUUAUCCAAUUAAAAAUAUAAAAAUAUUUGUACAAUUAAAUAUAUUUUUAAUAUAUAUAUAUAUAUAUAUAUAUAUAUAUAUAUAUAUAAAAAAAAAACUGACCUGUGGCGAAACUGAUUAAAACUUGUCAAUCUAUUUUUUUUACAGACAAUAUAAAAGAUAAGGGGCCAAAUGGGCCGGGCUACCCGUUUUCCUUUAACUCGUAUAUAAUUCACAAUCUAGAAAAUACGAAAUAAAAAAAAAAAAAAACAAAUGUCCUUGUCUGAUUCUUUUAAUUCUAAAUAAAAUAUUAAUGAACAAAUAUUAAUUAUGAUUUAUCUUAGUCAAUCCUUCUAAUACGGAGAUUCAUUGAAUCUGCAAUGAAACAACUUCGAUAAUUAAUAAGAACGACAUGAAUAAUGAGAUGAUUAUUUGAAGCAACAUGCUCACGCUUAAUUCUUUUGGUGUAUGUCACCCUAUGUUGUCAUGACUAGCUACAUAAAUUAAUAAUUAAUUGUGUGUUUAAGUGUGUUAAUUUAAUUAUUUAAUUCUAUAGUUAUAGAAAAGUGCGUUAAAUUAAACUAAUCAAGAAUGAAAAUUCCGUAUAGUAGUAGUAUCUAUCUACAGGAAUAUUAUCGAAACGCGUAAAGGAAUUCACGUAAGUAAUAUUAUAAAUUUUUCAUUUAAUUAAAUUACACUUGCAAUAGUAAACUAUUUUCUUUAAUAUUAUAAAAAGAACUGGGUGCAACCAAUGAAUUUUAUUUUCUUUUUUAACAGGAGAGAAGAAAAAAAGAAAAAAAAAACAUCAUUUUCCCCGUUCAGUAUGUAUAGAGGAAGGGAGACUUUUUUCUACUCUUUAAAAAUGUCCUUUUUCCUAUUUAUACAUAAAGUUUUUCAAAAGGGUAUAAAAUAGCUAUAAUUAAAAAAAAAUACUUUUUUUUGUCAUAUUAUUUCUCUUACUUUUCCCGAGUUCAUACUGGAAACAGACUACCCUUUUUCCUUUCCGUGCUCUAUUGAAUUUACGUGAAAAUUUUAAAAUUUAUUAAUAUUUGUUAGUAAAUUAUUUUCUAACAAAAAUUAAGCUAUGAAUAUGAAUAUUGUAAAUUUAUACUAAAAAAUCAUUACAGAAUGAGGUAGAGGAAUAGCAUAAGCAAAUGAGAUAUAUUUGAGUAGAAAAUAGAUGUUUGGUAAUUAUUAAUUUAUGCAAUAAAAGUAUUUGAUUUGAAUAAUGGGAAUGCAAUAAAAGUAUUUAAUGAGUAGUAGAUUUGAAUAAUGAGGGAAAGCAAAAAAGAAAAGGCGAAUUAAAGUGGUGUGAGAUGUAGCUUGACUGUGACUUGGAAUUCCAAGUCUUUCUUUCUAUCUAUGUUUGUCCUUCUUCUGGGAAGGAGCAAUUAUUUCAAAACAGAACAACAAAUGAAUAAUGUUUGACAAUGAUGUUUCUCUUUUUGAACACGAGUCCUAGAAUUUGGGGAUGAAACACGUUUUCGUCGAAUUAAAGGUUUCAAGUCAGCCGGUCAUUAUGAGGAAACAAAACAAGUAUUCCUGGCAUGCCAAUACCUUAACUCACUUUUACUUUUUCUUCGCCAUGUCAUUUUUAGUUUUUCUCUUUUUUUUUCUUUUCACGAUCUUACUUUUAAUUAUUAAUCAGAUUUAAUUUAUAGUAUAUAAAUAAGAUAAUUUUUACUUAUUAGUAUUUAUAUUAAUUAGAUUUAUUGAAUGUAUUGUAUUAUUUACUGUUAAAUUCUUUCCUUAUAAACGAUUUUGUAAUUAUAAUAAAUUAAAUUUAAAUUUACCUCUUAAUAUUUCUUUUAAGCAAAAUCCUUCACAAAUUUUAAUAGGUUUAUGAACUACUUUACAAAAUGAGUCUUUGAAUUUAUAUUUGUUUUUCAAUUUGAUUUACUCAUCUAAUUAUCUUACAACAAAACAAUUAUAUGGAUGAGUUAUACAACUUUGCAAUAAAGUUAGUAGUAGAAUGUUUAAUCUAAAAAUUCUUGUAAAAGGAAUACUUAAAAUUGUUGGGAAGGUUCGACACACACUCUUAUCAUUAGAAGUAUCUAUGUGUAUAUAAAUUCAUGAUUAAUCUUUCUUUUAUUUUAUGUAAAACUUUGUUUGCAUCCCAAAAAAAUGAGUGCAUUUAUAAAAGUUGAGAAGCUUGUUAAAAGAAUGGGUAUGAAAUUAAGAAAACAUAAAGACCUCUAAGAACUUGAUUAAUUCUUAAUCACUUAAUGGAUUAUGAGUGAUAUGCAAAUCAUAAGGAAUAGCAGAUAAAACUUGCACUUAAAGUAUUUGAUAGAAAGGCAAGUUAAUAUGUUCUUGCAGACAUCAAAGGUCCGAAUAUAAAGGUAAAUUAAACCUGUAAAACAGAAAUAACUAAUCACCUAACUAAUACAAUAGAAACAAACUGAGAACCUGAACAAGAUAUCUUUGAUAUAUCAUUACGUUUUAUACAAUUGUAUAUUCAGGCGAAGGACUUUGACUUCGAUUGGGAUUUGAAAUUUAUACUUUUUGAAUAGGCUUGAUUGUCUUCAAUAUCAAAAUCUAAUAUAAUUAAAAAAUUAUUUAAAAUAAAAAUUAAAGAAAUAAUUUCUGAUUCUUGGUCUUAACGGGAAUUUAUUUCUUUUUAAUUUAAAAAAUAAUAUAAAUUUCAUUGAAACUUGAAGAUGAUAAUAUGUUUUGGUUCCGGUAGGAAUGGAAACUUAUUUGAUUAUAUGUUUUGAUUCAUUAGACAACCGAAACUUAUGCUUUGCAAUUAUUUAAAACCUAAAGAGAGAAUAGACUUUCGAUCUAGUAGUAACCAAAGUCUACUUUUCAUUAUAGGUUUCUGUCAUGGUAUUAACUGAAGUCUAUUUUAUAUUAAAGUUUCAAUUUUUGCUAUAAUUGAAGUCUAUUUUAUAACUUCUUUUAAAAAUAUAUUUUUUUUUCCCCUUCUGCAUAAUGAACCUGGCUAAAAACAGUCAGACACAAAUAAAUACAACAAUAUAUAAAUAAAAGUUUUGAAUCAAAACACUUUAAAUAAUGUACAAAGUAUAUAUUAUGCAUAAUUAUUACACAUUAUUGAACAUUGUUAUUAUAUAUUUGGCAAAAGUUUUUCUUAUAUAGUGUAUUGAAUUCGUGUAUUGAUGUGGAAUUGUUGAAUUGUGCACAAAAAAUAAUAAUUUCAAUAAAUACACAAAAAAAGUCAAAGUUGCAAGAUAUUUGAAUCAAUUAAAUUAUUAUUGUUUACCAAUAACUUAUCAAACACAAACAAUUAUUGUUAUUUAUUGCAUAAUACUAAUCAUACUUAUAUGAAUGGGUUUGUUUAUAAGACUAAUAUAUGUACACAAUUAUAAAUAAUUGAAGAAGAAAAAGAAUUAAAGAAUUAUAAUUAGAGAAAAAUUACAAACCUUGAUGGACAACCAUGCUAUCCAUUUAGUUGUAGGAGUUGAUCUGCCUAAUAUCAUACUAUGUCUAACAAAUGCAAAUGAAAAAAUGAAUUAUUUACAAUACAAUACAAUUAUGUAAGAAAAAAAGAAUCUUAAAAUUGAGGUUCUUAUCAAAGAUUGAUGGGAUGAGAUUUAUACAGCGAGAAAAACCAUACAAUAAUGUUAUCUUUAACAAAAAAUUAUAAGUAAUUGUCAAUGAUAUACUUGAAUUGAAAAUAUAAUAUUUAUUAAGGGUUUUUUAAAAUGAAAAAAACCAUGCUCAUAUGAGAUAAAUUAUGAUUAAUUAUGAUUUGAGAAGGAAUUAUUUUCUACUAAAUUUAUAUAAUAUCUAGAAUUAAUUAUUAAAGUAAAUAAUUUUAACAUAUAAUAUUUGUAUCUAGGUUUCACAACGUAAAAAGUCCAAAUAUUAUAAAAUAUAACGAACUAAAUAUAAAAAAAAAAAUCAAUCGUAUGAUAACACCAAUCCAAAAUUUCUAAGACAUUAACAAAAUCUAAAGUUUCCUAACACUAAUAAUUUUGAUAAAAACUAUAUGAAUUAGAAAAUUCUUCAUCUUUUUGUUCUACUCAUUGAUUGUCUCGCACCUUAUUAACUUGUUUAAUAUUUCACUAUUAAAAAAUGUUUUGUGCAAUUACCAUUGCAAAACAAAAUAGGACAAUUCAAAAACAUUUUUCCUCUAGUGUAACACUUUAGGUUGAAAAUACACUUUUCCUCAAAAGCAAUCAACUUUGCAACACAAUAAAACCUUUUCAACAUAGACAAAAUGGAAAUAUUUAAAUGUAACACUAUUGUUAUUAGGGAUAGCAGAAAAAUUUGUACCCGCGGGUAGUGGAUAGCGAGUAUUGUAAUACCCGUUUUUUAACGGAUCGAGUUUGGGUAUCUCACUAUCCGUAAUCGUGGGUACCUGCUACCAGUUUGAGAAAGGAAAUUACAAUUUUAUCCUGUUAAAUUUUCUAACUUAAAGUUGGUAUUUUACUGUUGAGUCCAUGUUUCGUAUUCUCUGAGCCUCUCCCGUGAAGUUCUUCGAAAAGAAAUAAGAAACCCUAACUUUUGCAAUCUUUAGUUUUUUAUUUUAACCAACUAAUCCAAGUAUUGGCAAAAGGAUUUGAGGUAUGCUUUCUUCCUUUUUCUUGCUUUUUUUGCUUCCUCUAAAUGGUGUUUCAGUGGGUAGGUGUGGGUUUUAAUGGAUAGUAUUUGGGGUUUUAGGUUACUUUUCAUUUGAGUUUUGUAUAAAUUUCUUUGUGGUGGUUGUUGGUGGCUUCGAUGGCGUUUGUUAAGUGAGGCGGUGAUGGAUGUUGAUGUGUUCUGACAAGGUGUUUCUGUUGACGCAACCAUGGACAGUGCUUCUCUCUUUUUGUUCUAAGUCUUACUCACUCCCUUACCUUUUGUUGCAUGCUAUCUAAUGUUCAAGUGUGUGAUGUGAGGCAUAACAUGCAUCAUCUCACAUCUUGCAAUUGCCGAUGAUCCUUUAUGAUCUUGCAAUUGCCGAUGAUCCUUUAUUAGUAUCUCUUUCUUUCUCUCUCUUUCUUUUAUGUUCCUUCAUCAUCAUCAUCAUCUCAUAUCUUUUAUGUUUCUUACUCAAAUUAAUUAUUUUGUCAAUAUUUGUAACUUGUAAUUAAUUAUUUAAUUAUUUUAAAUAUUAUUUGCAUUUUUUUAAUUUAAUUUGAAUUUUUUUCAUUUAAAAACUUAUAAAGUAAUUAUUUUUUAAAUAUUCACAGGUUAAAAAUGGAUAUCCAACUUGUAUUCGUAGAUUGAAAAAAAUCCACAGAUUUUUUUUAAGAUAAAUAUCCAGUUGGUAGCGGGGUAACAGAUACAAUUUUACCCAACAGAUCGGAUUGCGGGUAGACAUUAUCCCCGUUGCCAUCCCUAAUUGUUACUAUUUAAAUUCUCUACAGCUUCUACUGAUAAAUCAAAUAAAUUGGAAAACUAAAAUAUAAUGACGUUGUAUUAAACUUUAUUAAAGUGUAUAUGAGUUUCUCGCGGUUAUGUUUAAAGAGAUUAUUGGGCUUAAUAUAUUCAAAAGUCCUCGUUUGUAUAUAGGGACAGAAAAUCUGCACCAUUUUUUUUUCUUUUUCUUAAUUUCUAUUGGAGCCUAAUUAUAAAUUGUAAAUAUAAAUAGAUAAAAAAAUUUAUGAAUAUAAAUAUAAAUAAAUAAAAAGAUAACAUAAUUGGAUAUAAACAUAUCAGUACACAAUGGAAGAUAAAUAUAAAUAAAUAAAAAUGACCUAGGAAAGAUAGAUAUAAAAAAAUUAAUAGAAGAAAAACAAAAAUUAAAUAUUAAAAAUAAUAAUAAUACAUUAUAAUAAAAUGUUCAAUGAUAUUAGAAUGAUAAAAAAUUAAAUAUGUUUUUUUGUUCUUAUAGUAUAAAGUUUGUUUUUCCUCACUAAACUAUAUACAAAACUAUUUAUAUAUGUAUUUUAUAAAAAUCAUGUAAAACAUAUUAAGAAACUAUGUUUAUGACAUGAUAAAUAUUUCACGUGCUAUUUAUUGGGAAGAUAUUUUACAUGAAUUUUAAUAAAGAAUGAGAACAACUCAUAUUUAAUUUAGGAAAGAGAAACAGUUUUAAUUUAGAGACCAAUUUAGACAUUAAUUUAUUUGAUAGUCAAAAUUUUAAUAUUUUAAAUGCUAAUAAUAUUUAGUUUAUAAUCUAGAUUGGUCAUUGUAAUAAUUAAUUAAUUUUUAUUUUUAAAAUUGAUUGUUAUUUAAAUAUUUUUUUGCAGUGAUAUUUAAUCUUAAAAUAAAUAAGAUAAUAGAUGUCUCAUAUAAAUAAGAAUGAUAUACUAAAAUUUGGUCAAGAAUGUUUAAAUAUAACUAGUAUACAUAUGAAGACUUGUCUCUUCUUACAAACAGAUAAGUUAAUUUUAUCUUUAUUUUAUUUAUUAAUUAAUCUUUUUAUUGCUUUUUAAAAUUAUUUUUAUAUAAUUUUUUAAAAAAAGUAACAAAAUAAUUAAAUUAUCUAAAAUUAAUAUAAUUUAAAUUGUUAUAGUUUGAUGAAAAUAUCAUAUCAUCGAUUUUAAAAUCUGGAAAAUUUGAAAGAAGAAUCAAUCAGUUCAAACAGGGAAACAAUACAAAUUUUUUUUGCUUCGGGUUAAUGUAAAAUUACAAAAAGUAUUAUAAAUGGUUUGUAAUAAAUUUUCAAACUGCUGAUACAAGUGCUUAUGUCUAAAUAACGUGUUUUGUCUUUUCAACUUAUAAAUGUUAAUAGGAAAACUUUGAUUUUAACAAAAAUAAUAAGCUGCGUAAUUAGUUAAUUCUUCUAUUCUUGCAAUAAUUUAUUUAUUUUUAUAUUGAAAUUUAUUUCUGAGUGAAGAACAUUGGUGGAAUUAGUUAUUUAGUUUUUAAGAUGAUAAAUGUUGUUAAUAACUGAGGCAGACUGUAAAAGAGUAGGUUAACUUUAGUAAAUAGGUGUAAAACGGUAAAAAUAAAAAAAACAUAAAGAUUAAUUUUGUAUUUAAAAAAAAAUCCAAAAAAAUUGGGGGGGUGGGGGUUGGAAUUGGGGAGGUACAGGGAGUAACUCCCCCAAUUCAUAGCCACGUUCCAAAUAUGGUAGUUUCUUCCUGCACCUCCAUAUUGUUUUUCUGCAUAUUUAUAUAAAAGAAACUUUCCAUUUUAUUCUGUAUAAUAUAUACGUCACUAUUUUUAUUUCUAAAUUAUAUAAUAUGAAAAUUAUAUUUUAUUAAAAAUAUUUAAAUUAUAAAAAAUGACUUUAAUUCAAAAAUAAAAUGACUUAUUAUGUAAUUUGAAAAUCUUAUUUGAUUUUCAAAAUAGAUAAUUCAUAAGACAAAAUGGUUUCAGAUCAUAUAAUUUGGAAAAAUAACUUUGAAGAAUUGUAUAAUCCAAAUAUUACUUUUAACUUCUAAAUUACACAUUUUGGAAAAAUAUACACAAUCUAUUGAAGAUAACAUGGGAAAUUCAUUUAUAGGGAACUACAGGAAGAAACUGUCAUGGCAUAUCUAUAGAUGCUAAGUUUCCUUUUUUUUACCAACCUACACUUUUAUUUAACAAAAAAAAAAAUAGUAAUUACCUGUUUGGAUUUUGAUUUCUGUAUAAUUUUUUCAUUUUAUUACUCAAAUACAUUAUAAAAAAAAUUUAAGUAAUGAUAAUUUUUUGUGACUAAAAUUAUUAAUUACUAUUGUGACCAAUUUAUAUAUUAAUUUAUAAAAAAAAUAUUAUUGAUAAUUUAAAUAGUUUAUAUUAUAAAUAAAAAAUUAUAAUUAAUCUCUAAAUUAAUAAAUAAAAUAAUUUCUAUUAUCAAUGGUUUCUAAAUUUAUUAUUAACAUUAAUUAUCAAUGUUUUAAUUAUAAAAAAUUAUCUCUAAUAAGAAAACUAGCUUCUAUACAUAUUUUUGGUUAAAUAAUAUUGGUGAUUAAAAUGUUUUUGAUUUCUAAAUUUUAUUUCAUAAAUCAGUAAUACUUUUUUUUUUGUUAAUAAUAAAGAUAAUUUUAAAUAUUUACAAGUGUCUUAAUUAAUAUAAUAAUUAAUUAUUUUAGAUAUUAAUAAUUUUUAGUUUAUAAAUUGAUGUAAUUAUUAAUCUCUUUUUAUUUCUAAAUUUAGUUGGUAUAUAAUGAUUUUUUUUUAAUGUAGACUUUAUCCGAUAGUUAAACUGGUCUGUUUGUUUCACAACGGAGAAGUUUUCACUUUUAUAUAUAUUUUCAAUGUGAUUUGAUCCUUGGUUUGUUUUAAACAAUUCGAAUUUUAAGAACUAAGAAGAAUAUAUUGAAAAAUUGAAAUAUGAGAGUGUUCGUCAGGUGUAACUGUGUGUGAAAUUAGAAGUUUUAAUUACUGUUAUAGCUGCUGCUAAUCUUGUUUUCAUCGAAGUCAGUUGGAUAAAUCCAAUGCAGAUGUUCCAAUAAAACAACUUUUAAUCCAAUGCAAAUAUUUCAAAGAUGUCAAUGUUCAGUCAAAAAUUCUACAGGAAGUGUUUGCACACAGUAAAAUGUUUAUGCAUUGCCUUUUCCUAUGUUGACUUUUCUUUCCACAUCUUUUCUGAACUUGGAUCUCGGAUAUCAAUCACAUUGCAUUCGUAAAACAGUUCCUUGAUAAACUCUUAAUAAUCUUGUAUUAUAUUUGAUUAAGAUAGUGUGAAAAGUUGACAUUUAAUUAUGCAGCACAGGUUUCCAUUUUCAAUGUGUUUAAACUGGGAAGAUUCAUCUCAGGUUGUAUAACAUAUACUGCAACUUAAUUUUCAUAACCGAAAUACCAAGUCAUGAAUAAAAAUCCUUUAUUUCUCUAAGUCUAUUUUUUAUUUUAUUUUAAUCACAGUCAAGUGAUACUUCAAUUAGUUUAUGAUCCAUUCAAUCUAUAAUAAAAAAUUAUUUAUUUAUGACAUAAAACAAUAUCAGUAUUACUUACACACAACCCAUGAUUAUCCAACAAUAAAAUGACUUGCUGCAUUCACAUCUAUAUAUAAUUAAUGCGUGGACCUAGAUUGGGUUUUGGUCCAUUUUUUAAUCUAUUUUAGGGUUGUUUAAUUUAGGGAACUAUCAGAUGAAACGCGUUUUAGUUUAUAUAUAAUUCCCAAAGACAUUCUAAAGACUGUGCUUCAUAAGUUUUCUGGGAUUUGGAGACAUUCUAAAGCCUAAUCUUUACUUAAGAGAUGGUAAGAACUCCUUUCUAUGACAAAAAUGGAGUGAAGAAAGGUGCAUGGAGCAGAGAAGAAGAUGAUAAGUUAAGAGCUUAUGUUCACAAAUAUGGUCACUCUAAUUGGCGUCAACUCCCCAAGUUUGCAGGUAUUAUUCUGUAAGAUCAUCAUCAUCUAUGUUUAGUUUCAGUUUCAUUUUGAUUUGUAUCAUUAAUGAAUAAAAUCUAGCAUUGAUUACUCUUGAACUGUGUAGUUAACUGAUGAUUGAUAAUGCUAAACAUUCUGAUGAGGUUUGAACGUUGGUUUUGUAUACUUGUGUUGCAGGUUUAGCAAGAUGUGGGAAAAGUUGCAGACUUCGUUGGUUGAAUUACUUGAGACCAAAUCUAAAACACGGGAACUACACCCCAGAGGAAGAAGAAAUAAUCAUCAGAUUACACCAACAAUUUGGAAAUAGGUAUAUAUAUAUUGUUGGAUGAUAUGUGAUGUUUAUAGAAUAUUAAUAUAUGGUGUUGACCUGAUAGAUGGUCCUUGAUUGCUGAAAAACUUGCUGGAAGAACAGACAACGAGGUAAAGAACUAUUGGCAUAGCCACCUGAAGAAGAGCUUGAAGAGAAGUGAAAUGACAGCAUCUGAGUUGAAGUUGAAGGGAGCUGAUGACAAGAGUUUUGAAGGAAAUUUAAAGGAAAAUUGUGGUGAUGAUAUCUUCCCUCAUAUUUUAGAAAGUUCAUUGGCCAUUUCUGCAGAAACAGCAGAAGGAGACAACUAUUCAGAAGAUGGUCUUCCUCCAUUAGUAUCAUACAAACAAUUCAGCGGCGAUUUUUGGUCUGAGCCAUUCCUCCUAGAAGAUACUAUUCAUACUUUUAAAGAUGACAUUUUCACUGCUAAAGGAAUGGCUUUGUUAAUUCCAAACUUCGAUGCUGCAUAUUUCAUGUAAACAUUCUUAGAGAUUGCCUCCUUUUUCGAAGAACGUUGCGACCAGAAAUAUUAAGCGGGUUGACUUUCGUUUUAUUCGACCAUUAUAUGGUAUCCUAUGUAACCAUCACAGCUGUCUCGCUUUACUGUAAUUAAUAUAUAUGGUAUAACUAAUUAGGAUGAAAUAUCAUUGUACUUAGUAUUUACAGAAAUAUUUCUAAUAAAUAGAUUAACGCUUUACUUUAUUUUAUAUUAAUGAAUAAUUCAUGAAAUAAUAUAUACAUUUUAAUUUUUGUCUUAUAUGAAAAUAUAAACAUUUUUUAAUGGAGUGUGUCAAUAUUAUUACUGGAAUUAUUCGAAUAUAGCAAAAAAAUAUGGAAAUCUUCUUUAUUAAAAGAUUCUCAUUUACAAAAUAUUAUUUUUUAAAACGUGUAUAUAUAUAUAUUAGAUUUAGUUUCAUUUUAGGGUUUAUAUACUUCUGUUAUUCUUUUAUCCAUCAACAAUCCCCAAUUUUUAUAUAGUUAGAAUGAAUUUUGUGCCGCCUAGUAACAAUUUUAUAUAAAAGAAAUUAUAUUUAAAAAUUAUUUACUUUUAUCUAUUUAAGUCUACACUAAACUUAACUAAUAUAUAUUUAUCAUAAUUAAUAUGUACUAAAUAAAAAAUAACAAUAUUUUGAUUUAGGGAUAUAAGUUAGAUAAUUUAUAUGUCCAUUUUGUCUGUUGAUAUAUUUAUUCUUUAUGAAUAUAAAAGAAACCGUUAACAUUAAAAAGUAAUUACAGAAAGAAUUAUCUUAUUUUGUAAGGAGAAAUUGUUCUCUCAGUCUUCAAACUAUAAUUUUCACUCUUCUCUUAUUAAAGUAUGUAGUAACACAAAGCAGUUAUACAAUAAUAACAGUUAUUACACUUCCAAGGAUAAAAUCACAAGAUAUGUACAAUAAAUAAAAAUUUACGUUUGUAUUUAUUUUGUAGAUAAUCUUUUUAAAAAAUAAAAAAUAUUUAAAUUUAAAUAAAUAAUCAUUUAAAAAGAUAAUAUAGAUAAAAUAUUUAUUUGAAUUUAAAAAUAUUAUUUAAAGAAUAUAAUUGAAAAAAAAAAUAUAGAUAUAAAAAAAAGAAUCUCCUUUACAUAUAAAGUAUAUAUCUUAUGUAAUAUAAUAACUGAAUUGAUUAAAUAAAUACUUUUAUAAUUAAAUUUAAAAUAAUUAUAUCAUAAAGUUAUGUUUAAAAUAUUUUUUAAUUAUGAUUCAUAUUUAAACGACUUAAGGCUACACUUUCAAUAUUGUAUUAAAGUACUUUUAGAGUUAUAUCUGAACAGUUUAACGGAAAGAAAAGAUAAAGUAGAAGCAACUUAACAUCCUUGUAAUGGAAACCCAACACCAAGAUAUCCCGAGAGAGAAACCUCAUCCAAACGUUGACCAUUUCGGAUGGAAGGCCAGGGCUUGAGGAAGGGAACUAGGAUAUGGACAUGGACCACUUAGGGCCUUGAAGUGCUUGUUUGGAGGGGUGUAUUUUAUUUGUUUAAUAAUCUAAUAAUUGUAUAGAUAAAUUUUAUUAAUUUAUUUAUAUUAUUUUAAUUAAUAAUGAAUUUUGUUAUUGAAAAUAAAUAUUAUGUUGUAGGUGAAUUUUGUGUAAAAUGAAAAAAUAUUGUCACAAUACGGAUUCUCAAAUUUAUUCUAGUUUUAUAUAAGAUUUUUCUAUUUUCAUAAAAGAAGUUGGAGAUGCAGAUUUCACAAAUAAUUUUACCAUAAAUGAAAUAUUUUCUUAUCACAAUCACUAAAUUUAAUGGGUGAGAGACAUUGCUUAUGAUUUAAGAUUUGUCGUGGUUAUAACAAGAUCUGACAUAGUUACUUGUGUACAAAGAAGGAAGACAUUCAUCUUACUUACAUGUGAAAGAAGUGAGAAAUAUAAUAAAUACAAACCCGAAGCAGAUGCUAUUGUAUACGAGACUCGAAAAUGUGAGUGUCUGUUUAGGUUAAAGGUUAAACCAUGUUCUGAUGGGAACGAAUGGAUUUUGAAGGUGAUGUGUGAACAUCACAACCAUGAUUUUGUUGAAACUUUAGUUGGUUACCCUUAUGUUGGCAGGUUAAAUUUGAGUGAACAGUCUUUACUUGUUGAUAUGACAGAGUAAAGUUACACCUACAAAUAUUUUAUUAACCCUGAAAGAAAAUAAUGAUCGUAAUGUCACAACGAUUAAACAAAUCUACAACGCAAGGCGUACGGGCGGGCAAGUACGAGGCAUUUGUGUAAGACCCAACCGGACGGAUGACGAUCAACGAACUUUAAAAGGGUUUUCACGAAGAUCUGCAUACCCUUCUGAGUUGUUGCCGUUUCACUCAAACAUCAAGGCCGUCAAAGACUAACAGAUGAUCACCGACCGUUCGACAAGGGCGAACGACCGGGUCAAUCUAGAUGAAAGACGUUAAAAUUAGGAUCAGCUAAAACGUGAUUAAGGAGAAUGGGCCAGAGGUUGGGCCGUGAUUAGAGAAUGGUUUAUCCCAGGCCCACAGUAGAAACUAUAAAUACAAGUCAAAGGUGAAAGGUAGUUGGUUACAUUGAAUGCACAUUUACUCUACUUUCUCUUUCUAUCUCUAUCUUUUUACCAAACACUGACUUGAGCGUCGGAGUGCCUUUAGCAGGUACCCGGCUGGACGCAACGGUAGGAGCUUUAAGAAUCAGCGCCAACAGGAAGCAAUCGAGAGAGAGGAGGACCGACCGGACGGUUGAAGGCGAGAAAUUGUGCAGGGAGACUUGGAGGUACAUCCAACCGGAACACAAAUUAAAAGUAAAGUAAAAAAUAAAAAUAAGAGAAUAAUAAUUAAUGGUGGGUAAAAAAAAAGAAUAAUAAAAUAAUAAAAUAAUUUUCCUUAAUGUAGAACACAUUACAAGAAAAUAUUUUUGAAAUAUUAGUUUGAUAUGGUAAUAAUUUGAAUCAAUAUUAUGGUAAUAAUUAUAAGCAAUAAUUAAAAAUAAUAUAUUUGUUGCAUCAAUUGCUCUUUAAAGAAAAAUAUAUAUUUCCUGACAAUAAUUAUAAUCAAUGUCUUGGAUAUUAUUUGAUUUGAUUUCUUGCAACCAAGACCCUUUUUUUCUCUAUUUUGUUCAUUGUCAAUUAAUUCACAAUUAAGGCAAGAUUGUCAUAAUAUUACUACAAUGUGUGUAUAUAAAUACGCACCAUGUCAUAGAAAAAAGGGGACGAAAAAAUAGAGAGAGACAUGCAAAAAUAAUAGAAAUAGAAAGGGAGAAAUAGAGUGUAGAGAAAAAUAAGUUCUCACUUUUGAAAGAACUAGGAGAGUACCGAAGGCUAAAAAGGUAUGUCAUCUCUGCAUCAUUUUUUUCUCUCUUUUAAUUGUACUUUAAAGUUUUUUCUAAAAGGUAUUAGUUUUUACUACACACAAAUGACGUUUUUUUUUAAAUCAUAAAAUAAAGGGUAUAAUUUGGCUAGUUUAUUUCUUUUUUCCACCAUUCUUAAAAGAAAUUACAAAAUAUUUAAAACAAAAAAAUGUCAAUUUUGUUAAGCUAAACCUUUUUUACCACGUCAUUCCUUAUUUUCCCAUCAUAAAUAAAUAUGCGUAGGAGCAAUUCUUGUCGGAUUCACUUUUGAAAAAUCUAAAUCAAUCUGUAGUAAUUUUUAAACAAACUCAAACCUUUUUUUAAUAAAGAACUAUGUGAUCCUUGAUUGUUCAUCAUAAAUGGAUAUACGUAGGAGCAAGGUCAAUCCUUGUCAGAUUCAUAAAAUAAAAAAUAUUUUUUUUGUUUCUUAUUGGUUUCUUUAUAUUAUUAUUUUUAGGGAAAAUUAAAUAUUUUAAAAAACCAUGUCAACUUUAUACAUUUAAUUUAAGGUACUGCUUUUGGGACAGGUGCAGUAGGGUGUACUAGAGGGCACAUGUUCUGUUUUUUUAUGCUUUAUAUUUCAUCUAGAUGAGAGAGAAUGAGGGCUUGGGUUUUUAAAAAUGGGUUAUGCAUGGCUUACAUGAGAGGGGGUUGUUCUUUCUUUCUCUUUUGGUUUUGCAAUAUUUAGGAAGAGGGGUUGUAGGGUUUUAUUCUUUUUCAUAACUGCACAUACCUCUUCCAUUUAGUCCAAGAUUAUAAACAUUAGAGACAUAUAAUCAGCAUUAAAAACCAUUAACCCGUAACCAUUAAGGAUUAGACCAUUUUAAGUAACAGUUAAAACUAAAAAGGAAACUUUGGGUGCAGUUUGAAAGCAGAAUAUCUUGAGUAUUAAGAGGGAGCUGCGAGUCAUUUUUUUUUUCGGGGAGAGCAGAGGUUAAGUGAGUUAUAAGUAUUAUAUAUUUGGGCUAGGGGAGGCGGUAGGGGUACAGGUCAAAUAAAAUGAUCUUACCUUUAAUUCCGCUUUGUUACUCAUAAACAACUUCCUUAACCUGAAAUCAGUUAUUAAUAUUUUUAAUCAUUCUAUUAUUAGUUUAUUAAAUCUUGAACGCUAACUCAAUUAUGGCUAGAGCUGUCAAAAGAGGCCCUAUAAUAGGCCCUGGCCCUAGCCCAUGUGGGUUGGGGCCAAAAAAGUCCACAGGGUCAAAAAUGUCCCUUACUAAAAAAGCUCCCAGGGCUAAAAAGCCCCAAAGCCCUGUGGGUCAGGGUCAGUCCAUGGGCUUUCUGUUUUACAAAAAAAAUUAAAUAUCCAACAAUAAAUUGCAUUUUUGCAGAGAAAAGGAACAUUUAUGUUAAGUGUUAUAACUCGGAAAAUACAUGUAAGCAUCUUUCUUUUACUUUAAUAAAUAUUUUUACAUAAUUAUUAAUUAGAAAAUAAUAAAUAGGAUUUCAUNNNNNNNNNNNNNNNNNNNNNNNNNNNNNNNNNNNNNNNNNNNNNNNNNNNNNNNNNNNNNNNNNNNNNNNNNNNNNNNNNNNNNNNNNNNNNNNNNNNNNNNNNNNNNNNNNNNNNNNNNNNNNNNNNNNNNNNNNNNNNNNNNNNNNNNNNNNNNNNNNNNNNNNNNNNNNNNNNNNNNNNNNNNNNNNNNNNNNNNNNNNNNNNNNNNNNNNNNNNNNNNNNNNNNNNNNNNNNNNNNNNNNNNNNNNNNNNNNNNNNNNNNNNNNNNNNNNNNNNNNNNNNNNNNNNNNNNNNNNNNNNNNNNNNNNNNNNNNNNNNNNNNNNNNNNNNNNNNNNNNNNNNNNNNNNNNNNNNNNNNNNNNNNNNNNNNNNNNNNNNNNNNNNNNNNNNNNNNNNNNNNNNNNNNNNNNNNNNNNNNNNNNNNNNNNNNNNNNNNNNNNNNNNNNNNNNNNNNNNNNNNNNNNNNNNNNNNNNNNNNNNNNNNNNNNNNNNNNNNNNNNNNNNNNNNNNNNNNNNNNNNNNNNNNNUGAGUCUUUCCUGUUUAAAUUCAUGAGAAGUAAAAAAAAUAAUUAUACGUAAAAUAAUUAAAAUAAAAAUUGUAUAAUUUAGAGAGAGAGUAAAAUUACAAAAGAUUAUGUAUAUAUAAAUUAUAUUAGUUCUAAAAUUUAAUUUGAAGUUUUGGACUAAGCCUAAAAUUUAAUUAAAGUUUUGGAAUGGGGCUAAACCCACUUUAACCCUGACCCUAACCCACUUGAGAGGGGGUUUUGGGGGUUGGGGCUUUUUUCUAGCCCCCUACUUAAGGGGCUCCUUAAAAUAGGGCUUUUUCAAUAGUGGGUUGGGGCUGGCCCUGGGGCCAUGGGUUAAAUUGACACCUCUAAUUAUGGCUCAUCAUCAAUAACUUAAUUGUUGUCCCGUUAUAACCCAACAUCAUUGCUUAUUUUGUUCAUCAUUGACUAUCUUUUUUAUGAAGGAGGAAAGAAUAAUUUUACACUAAAAAAAAUUAUUAAGACAUGAAAUGAUAAGGUAAUUGCAUUUACGGAACAAAAUAAGCAACAUGUAUCUUAAUUCACUUUGUAAUUAUUUAUUUAUAUUACAUAAAUCAUUAUUCACUUACUUUUUUUAUAGUUACACUUGGUGGUAAUAUAUAAGGUUGAAGUUACUCAUUAAACAUGAAAAUGUUAGAUUCAUAGUAUGGAGACUAAAGUAAUUUUUGGGAUGUAAUAAAAAAUUGGUUUAAUAAUUCUGAUAGUCCCUAUUUUCGGUGAUAUUUUUCAAUUAGGUCCCUCAUUUUUUCUUUUUCUCAAUUGGGUCCCUAUUUUUGAAAAAUUGAAGCAAUUAGGUCACUGUCGUUAGUUCCGUACUAACACUGUUAAAAAGGGUGACAUGUGUCAGCUUGUGAUUUUUUUGAAUUUUUUAAAUAUAUUUUUAAUUAUUUUUAUUUUUAUUUUUAAUUUUUUUAUUUUUUUUUAAAAAAAUAAAACAAUUUGCCACGUAUCAAGUUGACAUUGAGCCACGUGGCAAUGACAACGUGAGGUGGCACUGAUAGUGCCACGUGUCACUAUUAGACCACGUUUCAUUAGAUUUGUCUCAAUUUGGUCCCUAUAUUUUUAAUUUGUCUCAAUUUGGUCCCUAUAUUCUUAUUUUGUCUUAAUUUAGUCCUAUUUUUUUUAAAAACUAAACAAUUUUGUUUCUCUCCAAGUUCAAACAAAAUUUUAUUUGUAUAUAAAUCUUUACAAAAAAAAUUUAUACAAAUUAUUUUUUUAUUAGAAAAAUAAAAAAAUUACAAACUAACAUAUGACACAUUUUUAUUUAUAUAGUAGUAAAGAAAAUAACUUAGUUGCAUUAAAGUUUUUAAAACAAAAAUUAAAUAUGAAUGAAGAAACUCAUAACCUAUAAAAGUUAACAUCUCAAUAAUAAAUAUUUUUGUGAAGGUAAUCUACACAAGCACAGUCUCAAUACUUCCUCAACAAUUCAUAAAAAGUUUCUAGAGUUAUAUAUAUUUCGAUUUGAAAUACAUCCUUACUAAUAAUUUGCUUAAAAGAAACAAAUUUAAAGACAAAAAAUUGGAAAAUGUACAUACCGUAUUUUAUUUGUGAAGGAACAAAUUUUUUUAAAUUUUUUAAAAAAAUAGGACUAAAUUGAGACAAAAUAAAAUACAAGGACCCAAUUGGAACAAAAUACAAAUACAGGGACCAAAUUGAAACAAACGCAAUGACACCUGGUCUAAUAGUGACACGUGCCACUGUUAGUGCCACCUCAUACUGUCAUUGCCACGUGGCUCAAUUUCAACUUGACAUGUGGCAAUUUUUUUAGUUUUUAAAAAAUAAAUAAAAAAUAAAAAAAUAAAAAAAAUUAAAAAUAUAUUUAAAAAAUUCAAAAAAAUCACAAGCUGACACGUGUCAUCCUUUUUAACGGUGUUAGUACGGAACUAACGACAGUGACCUAAUUGCUUCAAUUUUUCAAAAAUAGGGACCCAAUUGAGAAAAAGAAAAAAUAAGGAACCUAAUUGAAAAAAAUUACCGAAAAUAGAGACUAUCAAAAUAAUUAAAUCUAAAAAAUUUGAUAACAUUCCAACAUAAUGAAAUUAAAUUUUCAUUUUAGAAGAGUCAUCAUGUUUUUAGUUCAUACUUUUAACAUCACAUUAUACUAAAUAUAGUGAACUCUUUUAUUAAAAUAUACAUUAAGUUAGUUGAAGAUUAAUAAUGGUCAUUUUGUUUGUUAGCUAAGAUGUAUCCAUGGUAUUCCUAAUGCGUGUAAAUCAGGGGUGACUGAAGGGUUGGAAAGAUUUAAAACAAAAUUAAUAAUGAAGUUUUUUAUUGUAGUUUUUAUCUAAAAAUUAUUUUUCGAGCUUUGAGGAUUUUUUUUAGGCGUAAAACAAUUAAUUCUAAAAAGAAAAACUGAAAUCUCUUUUCCUUGGAAGCCACAAAAAUUAGUAGAAAAAAUAAUUUAGACAUUUUUUUUUAAACCUAAAGCAAGGGCUUUAACUGGCUUUUGAGACUACUUUGAUGUGAAUUAAUUAGAUUUGAAUUCUUGUAUGCAUGCACUUUGGACAAGACAUAUGAUACACAGAUACCAUACGAGUAUCAUAUAUGAUACAUAUUUGAUUCGACAAUUUAUUUUGUCUUAAAAAAUAUAGAAUAUGAUAGGUAUUUUAUACGAGGAUUCAUUUUAUAUUAAAAAAUAUAUGAUGUUAUUGUAAUUUGUUUUAAAUUAUACUACAAUCGAAAACUAUUAAUAAACAUUAUCCAAAUUAAAUAUUAAUUGAAAACUAUUAAUAAACAUUAUCCAAAUUAAAUAUCAUAUUCUCUUAACCUAAAUAAAACAAGAAAAUAUACAUUCAAAACUAAAAAAAUUAUAUAUUUUUAUUUUAAAAUUAUCGUUUAUUUUGAAAUUAUAUGUGGUACUGUUGAUUUUUAAGUUAUUAUGCAUUUUUUGAAUUGUUGUUAUGGAUUUAAAUCUUUAAUUUUAUAAUUUUUACGAAUUUUUAAACUGUUAAUAAUAUUUUAUUCAUUGUUAUUCAUAUUUUAAAAUUCAAUUUAUAUCUUAUUUAAUUUCUUUUUAUUUAUUGUUAUUAUUAUUAUUAUUUGAAAAUUCAGUUUAAAAAUCAUUCUAAAUGUAUAUUCUAAUAAUCUUAUCUAUCUAUCACCUUACUUAGUUAUGUCACAUGUUAUUUUAUACUUUUAUCAUUUUGUAAUUUUAUAAAAAUUUCCAUUUUAUAAGACUCUUUAUACGUUAUCAUAAGACACCUUCAAAGUAAAACUCAUUUUCUGUUAUAGCUAAAGUACAAAUUCAAAAUGUCAUGGUUGGAAAAGAGGAAAAUAGUAACUAGUCUCAGUAAUAAAAAGAAAAAUAUGAAUGCUUUCAAAAACUUAUUUACCUAUUUAACUCUUAUAUCGAUGGAUAAUAAUAUUGUUUGGAUAUAACAAUAUAAAAAGUACUGUAUUAAUAAAAGAUAUUGAUGUUUAUAAUAGAUAACAUUAAAAUAUUAAAGGAUGACUAGUAUUUUAAUUUGAAGGGAUAUAAGUUUAAGUUCAACGUAUAAAGGUAAAAAUAUUAAAAGAAGUGAUAAAUUAUUUUUUUAUUUUAUCGUAAUAACUGAAUUAAUGGUUGCAAAAAAUUAAAUAAGUAAAGUAUGUACUAAAACUUAAUUUGCUUGAUAUAAUCAUCAAAUCAGAGUGGCGCAGCAGAAGCGUGGUGGGCCAUAACUCACAGGUCCCAGUUAACAACCUUGCAAUAAAAUAUUUAAAUGGUGCAACCAAUUUUUUCAUUGACUACCCAAAUGACAUUACCAAAUUUCCUUUUAUUUAGUAAGUUAAAAGCUGAUUUUGCACAAACCACAUCAUCCAAAUAUCCAGAUAAUAAAAAAUAUAAAUUUCUUUUAGUACUUGAUAUAGGUCAUAAAAAUAUAAUCAAAAUUCAAUUGAAAAUUUCCAAAUUUAUUAAACUUAAUUAAGCUAAAUAUAUAUAUAUAUAUAUAUAUAUAUAUAUAUAUAUAUAUAUAUAUAUUAUAGUAAAUGUAUUGAUGUCAUUUAACCACUCCAUAAAGUUUACAUGAAAAUUAUGGGACUGCAAAAAGAAUUCUAAGGGUUUUGAGGAUUUUGUUAUUUUCUUUAUGCAAUAUUUUAUGCUUAGGUUUCUCUUUGUUGGGUUUGAAUUUUUUCUGCAACCUUAUCUGCUUUCAAGGUGAGUUCAUGAUUCAUCAUUUUGAGGUUUUACUUCUGAUUAUUCUGAAUCGGUUUUCAUUCUGAGUUUAUUGGGUUUUUCCUUUGUUGCAUGUCUCAGCUUUGAUCACUGCAACGAAUUUUCCCAAUCGAAGCUUGCUCUGUUUGGAAGCUCCAAAUUUCUCUGUUUAUCUAGUAAGAUCCUGUAAUCCAAUCCCGUUGUGCAUCCCAAAUGGGUUUUGUGUUUUUAUUAGAUCUGAUUAUUUUUUACAAUGGGAUGGUUCUUGAAUCCCUUUUUUCGUGCUCGUGAUGUUUCUACCAAUCAACUUUCUCUGACUUCCCUGUUUCUUAAAUGGAUUUUAAAACCCUAAUUCCGGGUUUGCUCAAAAUCCUAAUACCCCACUAAAAGAUGAAACAAUUCCCUGAACAAGUGUUUUAACAAGACAAAUGAGGGCAACAGAUUUGUAAAGAUGAUAAGAAUGGAUAUUGAUUUUGUUGUUGGAUUGUUAAUGAUAUAGAGAAGACGAAUGUGAAAGUGAAAGUGGAUGGAAUUGGAAAUUGAAGAAGGUGGCAGUGAAGCGAAGGUGGUGACGACGUGAAGGUUUUGUAGCGGAGCGACGCGACAACACUGGAGUUUGCUCACGCGGCGGGUAGGGUUUCACUAGAAAUUAGGUUUGUGUCGUUGGAAAAGAUGACUCUGAUGUAGCAGAAGAGAUAUAUGGCAAAAAUUGGCCACGUCAUCCCACCACCUGUGCAGAAUUUUAACACCGUUAACGAUUUUUAACGGUAGGGGCUAAAUUAUUUCAGAUUAGCACUUAUAAGGACUCAAUUGGGAAACUUUAAAAGAAGGGGACCAAAUUGGGAAUAACUAACAAAAAUAGAAACGCCUAAAUGGUUUAAACCUAAUUAAUAUAUAAAGUAAUGUAUUAAAUAAAAGUCUUAAUGUUUAUAAUAGAUAUAACGUUUAAGGUUUACACCUCUUUUUGGUCCUAAGUUAUGAGCGGAUGUUCACUUUAGUCCCCGCUUUUAAAAAUGUAAACCUUUGAUUCCUAGGUUAUAAAAAAUGUAUCAAAUGAGUUCUUUUUUUAUGUUCAUGGUCAAAGUACAAAGAGCAAUCUAAGGUGUUGUCAUUAUUAAGAAACAAAUCAGAGCAAUCUAAAUAUGUAGCAGUUGUUAAGAAACAACCUAAAACAGUAUUUCAAGUCAAUAAAAGGACUCAUUUGAUACAUUGCUUGUAACUUAGGGACCAAAAAGAGGUUUAAACUAACAUUUAAAUAUUAAAGGGUGACUAGUAUUUUAAUAUGAAGGGAUAUAAGUUUAAGUUUUACCUAUGAAGCUAAAAACAUUAAAAGUAGUAAUAAAUUAUUUUAUUUUAUUCUAAUAACUGAAAUAAUUGUAAUGCAAAAUAUUAGAUAAGUAAAGUAUAUAGUAAAAUUUAAUUUGCUAAAUAAUAUCAAUAAAUCAGAGUGGCGCAGCGGAAGCCUGGUGGGCCCAUAACCCACAGGUCCCAGGAUCGAAACCUGGCUCUGAUAAAAAGAGAAGGCUUUCCUCUAAUUAUUUGUUUUGUUUUCUUAUUUUCUCUAUACACAAUCUGGGCUGAUUUUAGGAUCUUAUUUGGGUCAAAUGUGGGCUUGAUGAAAUUAGGUCAGGAUGGAAAAAACCUUUCCUGUUGUUAACUCAAUUGAAAACAUCAAAGUAUAUGUCAAUGGUAGAGUUAAUAAAAUAUUUUACAUUNNNNNNNNNNNNNNNNNNNNNNNNNNNNNNNNNNNNNNNNNNNNNNNNNNNNNNNNNNNNNNNNNNNNNNNNNNNNNNNNNNNNNNNNNNNNNNNNNNNNNNNNNNNNNNNNNNNNNNNNNNNNNNNNNNNNNNNNNNNNNNNNNNNNNNNNNNNNNNNNNNNNNNNNNNNNNNNNNNNNNNNNNNNNNNNNNNNNNNNNNNNNNNNNNNNNNNNNNNNNNNNNNNNNNNNNNNNNNNNNNNNNNNNNNNNNNNNNNNNNNNNNNNNNNNNNNNNNNNNNNNNNNNNNNNNNNNNNNNNNNNNNNNNNNNNNNNNNNNNNNNNNNNNNNNNNNNNNNNNNGAUAAUAAAAAAUAUAAAUUUCUUUUAGUACUUAAUAGAUCAUAAAAAUAUAAUCAAAAUUCAAUCGAAAAUUUUCAAAUUGAUUAAACUUAAUGAAGCCAAAUAUAUAUAUUAUAGUAAGUGUAUUGAUGUCAUUUAACCACUCCAUAAAGUUUACAAAUUCUUUUUAUUUAUCGGUUUUCUGAAAAAACUACAAACUGAAAGAAAACAAAACAUCAAAUAAUACGAUAGAGUACUAGUAACAACCAACAAACUCUGAUCAAGUAAAUUAAAUUUAGUCUUAUAUUGAAUUCUGACUAUUCAUUAAUUUUGAUCAGAAAAAUAUAAAACAAUAAACAAUAAAUGCCAAAUUAGUUAUAAUAGAGGUAUCAUAACACCUUGUAUAUGUUGUGAUAGAAAACUUCAAGCAACCUAAGCUCAGCUUCUUCAGGGACGAUAAUUCCACCUGUGAGAAUAAUAAAAGAGCAAGAAUUAUAUCAAAAGAGCCACCACUUGAAUAACAAACUGGAGCACUCAAAAACAGUAAACAUGCUUCAGAUAUAUACUUUUUAAAAUAAAGGAGAUUGAGGAUACAAUUUUAGUGGUUAGUAAAUAUUCUUGAUGAAUCAGAUUAUUCCAUCACAACCUCAAUUUUCUCAAAAAGGUAAAAUGAAAAUUGUGAAUCGUUUCAUUUAAUAAAGUGCUUUGUAACAUGAUCAACAAUGUAACACCUUGUAGAACCUGGAAAUAGAGUAAUAACGACAAAAUGUUAAGCAGUUGCAACUAACCUCAUCCAAUGAAGACUAAUGGGUUUAUUUAAAUAAAAUAUCAUAUAUAUGGAUUUUACAUAUGCACUGAUUUAGUAAACUUUUUUCUUAAGCAAUUUAAUAAACUCUUACUAAAUAAGAAUUUAUUCAGAAAUUAAGAAACCAUAUAAAGCAGGCUUAAAAAGUUAUAGGAAAAUCAUUAAUUAGCUAGAUUAAAAAAUAUUCUUCAUUCUUGAUCCUUUAUAUUUUUUCUUAAUCAAAUGAGUUUUUGUAGAGCAACUUAUUUUUAACCUUUACUUAAGAGAAAAUUAAAUAAUAAUAAUAAUAAUAAUAAACAAUCUAAAAUUAAUUGUGGAUUAACUUUUAAUUCAUUUUUUGUAAACACAGUACUCAUAUAAACAUACGAUAAUUAAUUAAUACAUGUUAAAGAUACUUUUUGCAGUUAGCACAAUUAUGAUAGAUUUUUUUUAAAUCAUUUAACACAAUAACAUAUGUCGAUGACUCCAUACUGAGUUAAAAUAAUAUAGUAUUCCACCAAAUAAUAUACAAAUUUGAACCACAUAAUUGAAAUAAUAACUAUGAAUUAGUUCUUUAUAUUUGAUUUUCAUCUUACUCUGAAUAUAAAAUUGUAAUUUACACAUCUUACUUUUUUUAUUCUGGAAUCAUGGUUCAUAAAACGAGGUAUAUUUCUUCAAAUUCAGUAGUUAUUUGACAAACAUAAUUUCAGCUGGGAAAUCAUGGUUCGAAUUUGACUCAAGAACAACUUGAAACUCAUACUAUAGCAGCCUGGAAAGAGGGAAAAUUACAGCUACGCUGAACACUUGAUAGUAAUGGAGGAUCACAUCCCUGGCGUUUUGUUCAUGUAAGUGCUCCUAAGCAGUUGUGAUCAAUUCUGUGUUUUCUAAGUUAUUCAUCCAAUUUCAUACUGUAUAAGAUUGUCAACUCAGGAGUAAACAUACCUUGCUUCAGUUUCUGAUAGAUCUUUUGCUUGAGUCUACAACACUUUUAUGCCUUCCCAAUGAGGUACCCCACACUUCUCAACCACUUCAACACCUGUAUCAAAGUCACAAUAAAAUUUCAACAAAAUAACCAAAACUAAAAACAACGAUGCUCAAUAAUAUCAAUUCAUAUUCAUAUUACUCAUUAUUUAUAGUCAUCGAUAAUGUCAACACCAAUUAUUUUCAUUUAUCAAAAUAGUUCCUAUCACUUAAAAGUUACUUGUUUAACUGAGUAAGAGUUUUUUUUAUCAGCAAAGUAUUAAGAAUUUUAUAUAUAUAUAUAUAUAUAUAUAUAUAUAUAUAUAUAUAUAUAUAUAUAUAUAAAUAGAUUACUUACGAUUUAGAGGCUUCUUUUCUGAUCGACNNNNNNNNNNNNNNNNNNNNNNNNNNNNNNNNNNNNNNNNNNNNNNNNNNNNNNNNNNNNNNNNNNNNNNNNNNNNNNNNNNNNNNNNNNNNNNNNNNNNNNNNNNNNNNNNNNNNNNNNNNNNNNNNNNNNNNNNNNNNNNNNNNNNNNNNNNNNNNNNNNNNNNNNNNNNNNNNNNNNNNNNNNNNNNNNNNNNNNNNNNNNNNNNNNNNNNNNNNNNNNNNNNNNNNNNNNNNNNNNNNNNNNNNNNNNNNNNNNNNNNNNNNNNNNNNNNNNNNNNNNNNNNNNNNNNNNNNNNNNNNNNNNNNNNNNNNNNNNNNNNNNNNNNNNNNNNNNNNNNNNNNNNNNNNNNNNNNNNNNNNNNNNNNNNNNNNNNNNNNNNNNNNNNNNNNNNNNNNNNNNNNNNNNNNNNNNNNNNNNNNNNNNNNNNNNNNNNNNNNNNNNNNNNNNNNNNNNNNNNNNNNNNNNNNNNNNNNNNNNNNNNNNNNNNNNNNNNNNNNNNNNNNNNNNNNNNNNNNNNNNNNNNNNNNNNNNNNNNNNNNNNNNNNNNNNNNNNNNNNNNNNNNNNNNNNNNNNNNNNNNNNNNNNNNNNNNNNNNNNNNNNNNNNNNNNNNNNNNNNNNNNNNNNNNNNNNNNNNNNNNNNNNNNNNNNNNNNNNNNNNNNNNNNNNNNNNNNNNNNNNNNNNNNNNNNNNNNNNNNNNNNNNNNNNNNNNNNNNNNNNNNNNNNNNNNNNNNNNNNNNNNNNNNNNNNNNNNNNNNNNNNNNNNNNNNNNNNNNNNNNNNNNNNNNNNNNNNNNNNNNNNNNNNNNNNNNNNNNNNNNNNNNNNNNNNNNNNNNNNNNNNNNNNNNNNNNNNNNNNNNNNNNNNNNNNNNNNNNNNNNNNNNNNNNNNNNNNNNNNNNNNNNNNNNNNNNNNNNNNNNNNNNNNNNNNNNNNNNNNNNNNNNNNNNNNNNNNNNNNNNNNNNNNNNNNNNNNNNNNNNNNNNNNNNNNNNNNNNNNNNNNNNNNNNNNNNNNNNNNNNNNNNNNNNNNNNNNNNNNNNNNNNNNNNNNNNNNNNNNNNNNNNNNNNNNNNNNNNNNNNNNNNNNNNNNNNNNNNNNNNNNNNNNNNNNNNNNNNNNNNNNNNNNNNNNNNNNNNNNNNNNNNNNNNNNNNNNNNNNNNNNNNNNNNNNNNNNNNNNNNNNNNNNNNNNNNNNNNNNNNNNNNNNNNNNNNNNNNNNNNNNNNNNNNNNNNNNNNNNNNNNNNNNNNNNNNNNNNNNNNNNNNNNNNNNNNNNNNNNNNNNNNNNNNNNNNNNNNNNNNNNNNNNNNNNNNNNNNNNNNNNNNNNNNNNNNNNNNNNNNNNNNNNNNNNNNNNNNNNNNNNNNNNNNNNNNNNNNNNNNNNNNNNNNNNNNNNNNNNNNNNNNNNNNNNNNNNNNNNNNNNNNNNNNNNNNNNNNNNNNNNNNNNNNNNNNNNNNNNNNNNNNNNNNNNNNNNNNNNNNNNNNNNNNNNNNNNNNNNNNNNNNNNNNNNNNNNNNNNNNNNNNNNNNNNNNNNNNNNNNNNNNNNNNNNNNNNNNNNNNNNNNNNNNNNNNNNNNNNNNNNNNNNNNNNNNNNNNNNNNNNNNNNNNNNNNNNNNNNNNNNNNNNNNNNNNNNNNNNNNNNNNNNNNNNNNNNNNNNNNNNNNNNNNNNNNNNNNNNNNNNNNNNNNNNNNNNNNNNNNNNNNNNNNNNNNNNNNNNNNNNNNNNNNNNNNNNNNNNNNNNNNNNNNNNNNNNNNNNNNNNNNNNNNNNNNNNNNNNNNNNNNNNNNNNNNNNNNNNNNNNNNNNNNNNNNNNNNNNNNNNNNNNNNNNNNNNNNNNNNNNNNNNNNNNNNNNNNNNNNNNNNNNNNNNNNNNNNNNNNNNNNNNNNNNNNNNNNNNNNNNNNNNNNNNNNNNNNNNNNNNNNNNNNNNNNNNNNNNNNNNNNNNNNNNNNNNNNNNNNNNNNNNNNNNNNNNNNNNNNNNNNNNNNNNNNNNNNNNNNNNNNNNNNNNNNNNNNNNNNNNNNNNNNNNNNNNNNNNNNNNNNNNNNNNNNNNNNNNNNNNNNNNNNNNNNNNNNNNNNNNNNNNNNNNNNNNNNNNNNNNNNNNNNNNNNNNNNNNNNNNNNNNNNNNNNNNNNNNNNNNNNNNNNNNNNNNNNNNNNNNNNNNNNNNNNNNNNNNNNNNNNNNNNNNNNNNNNNNNNNNNNNNNNNNNNNNNNNNNNNNNNNNNNNNNNNNNNNNNNNNNNNNNNNNNNNNNNNNNNNNNNNNNNNNNNNNNNNNNNNNNNNNNNNNNNNNNNNNNNNNNNNNNNNNNNNNNNNNNNNNNNNNNNNNNNNNNNNNNNNNNNNNNNNNNNNNNNNNNNNNNNNNNNNNNNNNNNNNNNNNNNNNNNNNNNNNNNNNNNNNNNNNNNNNNNNNNNNNNNNNNNNNNNNNNNNNNNNNNNNNNNNNNNNNNNNNNNNNNNNNNNNNNNNNNNNNNNNNNNNNNNNNNNNNNNNNNNNNNNNNNNNNNNNNNNNNNNNNNNNNNNNNNNNNNNNNNNNNNNNNNNNNNNNNNNNNNNNNNNNNNNNNNNNNNNNNNNNNNNNNNNNNNNNNNNNNNNNNNNNNNNNNNNNNNNNNNNNNNNNNNNNNNNNNNNNNNNNNNNNNNNNNNNNNNNNNNNNNNNNNNNNNNNNNNNNNNNNNNNNNNNNNNNNNNNNNNNNNNNNNNNNNNNNNNNNNNNNNNNNNNNNNNNNNNNNNNNNNNNNNNNNNNNNNNNNNNNNNNNNNNNNNNNNNNNNNNNNNNNNNNNNNNNNNNNNNNNNNNNNNNNNNNNNNNNNNNNNNNNNNNNNNNNNNNNNNNNNNNNNNNNNNNNNNNNNNNNNNNNNNNNNNNNNNNNNNNNNNNNNNNNNNNNNNNNNNNNNNNNNNNNNNNNNNNNNNNNNNNNNNNNNNNNNNNNNNNNNNNNNNNNNNNNNNNNNNNNNNNNNNNNNNNNNNNNNNNNNNNNNNNNNNNNNNNNNNNNNNNNNNNNNNNNNNNNNNNNNNNNNNNNNNNNNNNNNNNNNNNNNNNNNNNNNNNNNNNNNNNNNNNNNNNNNNNNNNNNNNNNNNNNNNNNNNNNNNNNNNNNNNNNNNNNNNNNNNNNNNNNNNNNNNNNNNNNNNNNNNNNNNNNNNNNNNNNNNNNNNNNNNNNNNNNNNNNNNNNNNNNNNNNNNNNNNNNNNNNNNNNNNNNNNNNNNNNNNNNNNNNNNNNNNNNNNNNNNNNNNNNNNNNNNNNNNNNNNNNNNNNNNNNNNNNNNNNNNNNNNNNNNNNNNNNNNNNNNNNNNNNNNNNNNNNNNNNNNNNNNNNNNNNNNNNNNNNNNNNNNNNNNNNNNNNNNNNNNNNNNNNNNNNNNNNNNNNNNNNNNNNNNNNNNNNNNNNNNNNNNNNNNNNNNNNNNNNNNNNNNNNNNNNNNNNNNNNNNNNNNNNNNNNNNNNNNNNNNNNNNNNNNNNNNNNNNNNNNNNNNNNNNNNNNNNNNNNNNNNNNNNNNNNNNNNNNNNNNNNNNNNNNNNNNNNNNNNNNNNNNNNNNNNNNNNNNNNNNNNNNNNNNNNNNNNNNNNNNNNNNNNNNNNNNNNNNNNNNNNNNNNNNNNNNNNNNNNNNNNNNNNNNNNNNNNNNNNNNNNNNNNNNNNNNNNNNNNNNNNNNNNNNNNNNNNNNNNNNNNNNNNNNNNNNNNNNNNNNNNNNNNNNNNNNNNNNNNNNNNNNNNNNNNNNNNNNNNNNNNNNNNNNNNNNNNNNNNNNNNNNNNNNNNNNNNNNNNNNNNNNNNNNNNNNNNNNNNNNNNNNNNNNNNNNNNNNNNNNNNNNNNNNNNNNNNNNNNNNNNNNNNNNNNNNNNNNNNNNNNNNNNNNNNNNNNNNNNNNNNNNNNNNNNNNNNNNNNNNNNNNNNNNNNNNNNNNNNNNNNNNNNNNNNNNNNNNNNNNNNNNNNNNNNNNNNNNNNNNNNNNNNNNNNNNNNNNNNNNNNNNNNNNNNNNNNNNNNNNNNNNNNNNNNNNNNNNNNNNNNNNNNNNNNNNNNNNNNNNNNNNNNNNNNNNNNNNNNNNNNNNNNNNNNNNNNNNNNNNNNNNNNNNNNNNNNNNNNNNNNNNNNNNNNNNNNNNNNNNNNNNNNNNNNNNNNNNNNNNNNNNNNNNNNNNNNNNNNNNNNNNNNNNNNNNNNNNNNNNNNNNNNNNNNNNNNNNNNNNNNNNNNNNNNNNNNNNNNNNNNNNNNNNNNNNNNNNNNNNNNNNNNNNNNNNNNNNNNNNNNNNNNNNNNNNNNNNNNNNNNNNNNNNNNNNNNNNNNNNNNNNNNNNNNNNNNNNNNNNNNNNNNNNNNNNNNNNNNNNNNNNNNNNNNNNNNNNNNNNNNNNNNNNNNNNNNNNNNNNNNNNNNNNNNNNNNNNNNNNNNNNNNNNNNNNNNNNNNNNNNNNNNNNNNNNNNNNNNNNNNNNNNNNNNNNNNNNNNNNNNNNNNNNNNNNNNNNNNNNNNNNNNNNNNNNNNNNNNNNNNNNNNNNNNNNNNNNNNNNNNNNNNNNNNNNNNNNNNNNNNNNNNNNNNNNNNNNNNNNNNNNNNNNNNNNNNNNNNNNNNNNNNNNNNNNNNNNNNNNNNNNNNNNNNNNNNNNNNNNNNNNNNNNNNNNNNNNNNNNNNNNNNNNNNNNNNNNNNNNNNNNNNNNNNNNNNNNNNNNNNNNNNNNNNNNNNNNNNNNNNNNNNNNNNNNNNNNNNNNNNNNNNNNNNNNNNNNNNNNNNNNNNNNNNNNNNNNNNNNNNNNNNNNNNNNNNNNNNNNNNNNNNNNNNNNNNNNNNNNNNNNNNNNNNNNNNNNNNNNNNNNNNNNNNNNNNNNNNNNNNNNNNNNNNNNNNNNNNNNNNNNNNNNNNNNNNNNNNNNNNNNNNNNNNNNNNNNNNNNNNNNNNNNNNNNNNNNNNNNNNNNNNNNNNNNNNNNNNNNNNNNNNNNNNNNNNNNNNNNNNNNNNNNNNNNNNNNNNNNNNNNNNNNNNNNNNNNNNNNNNNNNNNNNNNNNNNNNNNNNNNNNNNNNNNNNNNNNNNNNNNNNNNNNNNNNNNNNNNNNNNNNNNNNNNNNNNNNNNNNNNNNNNNNNNNNNNNNNNNNNNNNNNNNNNNNNNNNNNNNNNNNNNNNNNNNNNNNNNNNNNNNNNNNNNNNNNNNNNNNNNNNNNNNNNNNNNNNNNNNNNNNNNNNNNNNNNNNNNNNNNNNNNNNNNNNNNNNNNNNNNNNNNNNNNNNNNNNNNNNNNNNNNNNNNNNNNNNNNNNNNNNNNNNNNNNNNNNNNNNNNNNNNNNNNNNNNNNNNNNNNNNNNNNNNNNNNNNNNNNNNNNNNNNNNNNNNNNNNNNNNNNNNNNNNNNNNNNNNNNNNNNNNNNNNNNNNNNNNNNNNNNNNNNNNNNNNNNNNNNNNNNNNNNNNNNNNNNNNNNNNNNNNNNNNNNNNNNNNNNNNNNNNNNNNNNNNNNNNNNNNNNNNNNNNNNNNNNNNNNNNNNNNNNNNNNNNNNNNNNNNNNNNNNNNNNNNNNNNNNNNNNNNNNNNNNNNNNNNNNNNNNNNNNNNNNNNNNNNNNNNNNNNNNNNNNNNNNNNNNNNNNNNNNNNNNNNNNNNNNNNNNNNNNNNNNNNNNNNNNNNNNNNNNNNNNNNNNNNNNNNNNNNNNNNNNNNNNNNNNNNNNNNNNNNNNNNNNNNNNNNNNNNNNNNNNNNNNNNNNNNNNNNNNNNNNNNNNNNNNNNNNNNNNNNNNNNNNNNNNNNNNNNNNNNNNNNNNNNNNNNNNNNNNNNNNNNNNNNNNNNNNNNNNNNNNNNNNNNNNNNNNNNNNNNNNNNNNNNNNNNNNNNNNNNNNNNNNNNNNNNNNNNNNNNNNNNNNNNNNNNNNNNNNNNNNNNNNNNNNNNNNNNNNNNNNNNNNNNNNNNNNNNNNNNNNNNNNNNNNNNNNNNNNNNNNNNNNNNNNNNNNNNNNNNNNNNNNNNNNNNNNNNNNNNNNNNNNNNNNNNNNNNNNNNNNNNNNNNNNNNNNNNNNNNNNNNNNNNNNNNNNNNNNNNNNNNNNNNNNNNNNNNNNNNNNNNNNNNNNNNNNNNNNNNNNNNNNNNNNNNNNNNNNNNNNNNNNNNNNNNNNNNNNNNNNNNNNNNNNNNNNNNNNNNNNNNNNNNNNNNNNNNNNNNNNNNNNNNNNNNNNNNNNNNNNNNNNNNNNNNNNNNNNNNNNNNNNNNNNNNNNNNNNNNNNNNNNNNNNNNNNNNNNNNNNNNNNNNNNNNNNNNNNNNNNNNNNNNNNNNNNNNNNNNNNNNNNNNNNNNNNNNNNNNNNNNNNNNNNNNNNNNNNNNNNNNNNNNNNNNNNNNNNNNNNNNNNNNNNNNNNNNNNNNNNNNNNNNNNNNNNNNNNNNNNNNNNNNNNNNNNNNNNNNNNNNNNNNNNNNNNNNNNNNNNNNNNNNNNNNNNNNNNNNNNNNNNNNNNNNNNNNNNNNNNNNNNNNNNNNNNNNNNNNNNNNNNNNNNNNNNNNNNNNNNNNNNNNNNNNNNNNNNNNNNNNNNNNNNNNNNNNNNNNNNNNNNNNNNNNNNNNNNNNNNNNNNNNNNNNNNNNNNNNNNNNNNNNNNNNNNNNNNNNNNNNNNNNNNNNNNNNNNNNNNNNNNNNNNNNNNNNNNNNNNNNNNNNNNNNNNNNNNNNNNNNNNNNNNNNNNNNNNNNNNNNNNNNNNNNNNNNNNNNNNNNNNNNNNNNNNNNNNNNNNNNNNNNNNNNNNNNNNNNNNNNNNNNNNNNNNNNNNNNNNNNNNNNNNNNNNNNNNNNNNNNNNNNNNNNNNNNNNNNNNNNNNNNNNNNNNNNNNNNNNNNNNNNNNNNNNNNNNNNNNNNNNNNNNNNNNNNNNNNNNNNNNNNNNNNNNNNNNNNNNNNNNNNNNNNNNNNNNNNNNNNNNNNNNNNNNNNNNNNNNNNNNNNNNNNNNNNNNNNNNNNNNNNNNNNNNNNNNNNNNNNNNNNNNNNNNNNNNNNNNNNNNNNNNNNNNNNNNNNNNNNNNNNNNNNNNNNNNNNNNNNNNNNNNNNNNNNNNNNNNNNNNNNNNNNNNNNNNNNNNNNNNNNNNNNNNNNNNNNNNNNNNNNNNNNNNNNNNNNNNNNNNNNNNNNNNNNNNNNNNNNNNNNNNNNNNNNNNNNNNNNNNNNNNNNNNNNNNNNNNNNNNNNNNNNNNNNNNNNNNNNNNNNNNNNNNNNNNNNNNNNNNNNNNNNNNNNNNNNNNNNNNNNNNNNNNNNNNNNNNNNNNNNNNNNNNNNNNNNNNNNNNNNNNNNNNNNNNNNNNNNNNNNNNNNNNNNNNNNNNNNNNNNNNNNNNNNNNNNNNNNNNNNNNNNNNNNNNNNNNNNNNNNNNNNNNNNNNNNNNNNNNNNNNNNNNNNNNNNNNNNNNNNNNNNNNNNNNNNNNNNNNNNNNNNNNNNNNNNNNNNNNNNNNNNNNNNNNNNNNNNNNNNNNNNNNNNNNNNNNNNNNNNNNNNNNNNNNNNNNNNNNNNNNNNNNNNNNNNAAGUUACUUGUUUAACUGAGUAAGAGUUUUUUUUUACUGUAUAUUAUAUAUAUAUAUAUAUAUAUAUAUAUAUAUAUAUAUAUAUAUAUAUAUAUAUAUAUAUAUAUAUAUAUAUAAUACUUACGAUUUAGAGGCUUCUUUUCUGAUCGACUUGGACUUUAUAGGGACCUGCGAUGCAAAUCAGAGUUUCUUCCACUGCAACACACUCAAUUGACUCCAAGAUUCAAGAAAUCUGGAUUCUGCAAUUCAAGAAACACAGAGAGAAAUUUUAUGAAAUCAUGAGUGAGGCCUAUAGAAUAGAAUGCAAAAUUUUAUGAUUUUCCAGAACACUUCAACCAAUAAUAGUAUGUUCAAAAGAGUGCUAGGAAAAAUGUUUUCUCAAUAAUACCACAAUAUUUAUUUAAUCUAAUUUGGUCUUUAGUCAGCUAGUUGUAUAUAUAUUAAAUAUAAAUAUUUAAUAUGUCAUACAUAUUAAAAGAUUAUUAUGCAAACCAUAUGUAUGCCACGUACAAUUCAGGUAAUGAACAUGUUUCUAAUAUGAUUAUGCAAAAAUUUCCCUGGAUAUAACAAAUUAGCAUGGCUUUGGUAGUAUCUGGAUCUCAAAAUGCUGUAAAGUUAGCCAAUAAUUUGGCUACAAAUGCAAGAAUCACCUCAACGCCCUAUGAACACAAAUGUCACACGGAAUUAUGGAAUAACUAAUCUAGGAUAAUUUAGGCGUAGGUGAUAUCACCAUGUUCACAUACAGAGAUAAAAUUGGAUUGUGCAGCCUGCCACUUUGUCUCUCUCCUUAGAGGUCAUCACCUUGAAGGGUGUUUCUUCAUGCACCUAAAAUAUUUAAUGGAUCACGUCUUAUCAUAGGGGAUGAAGCUGACAGAAUAGAUUGGAACAGGCCCAAUAUUUGCUAACAUAGGAGGACAAUUCCUAAAUAAACCUUCAGAACCAAUACAAGAACAACCAAUACUAGUCUCUAUAUUAGGACACCUGCCCUAUCAAAUGGUUUCGUAAAGAAUAACCUAAAUUAAUUUAGAUCCUCUUCUCUCCAUCUUACAAUGUGUGUGGUUGUUCCCAAUUAUGUUCACGUGUCUAUGAGGUAUUCACAAAGUUUAAGUUUUUCUUUUCUUCUCUUACUUUUGUCCUUUCUAUUUCUUCAUGUUAUGUUUCAUGAUCUACACCAAUUAAGAACUAAAUAUUUAAGUAUUAUUUCUAAAUCCCUUACAUAGUUUGUACAGGAUACAAGAACNNNNNNNNNNNNNNNNNNNNNNNNNNNNNNNNNNNNNNNNNNNNNNNNNNNNNNNNNNNNNNNNNNNNNNNNNNNNNNNNNNNNNNNNNNNNNNNNNNNNNNNNNNNNNNNNNNNNNNNNNNNNNNNNNNNNNNNNNNNNNNNNNNNNNNNNNNNNNNNNNNNNNNNNNNNNNNNNNNNNNNNNNNNNNNNNNNNNNNNNNNNNNNNNNNNNNNNNNNNNNNNNNNNNNNNNNNNNNNNNNNNNNNNNNNNNNNNNNNNNNNNNNNNNNNNNNNNNNNNNNNNNNNNNNNNNNNNNNNNNNNNNNNNNNNNNNNNNNNNNNNNNNNNNNNNNNNNNNNNNNNNNNNNNNNNNNNNNNNNNNNNNNNNNNNNNNNNNNNNNNNNNNNNNNNNNNNNNNNNNNNNNNNNNNNNNNNNNNNNNNNNNNNNNNNNNNNNNNNNNNNNNNNNNNNNNNNNNNNNNNNNNNNNNNNNNNNNNNNNNNNNNNNNNNNNNNNNNNNNNNNNNNNNNNNNNNNNNNNNNNNNNNNNNNNNNNNNNNNNNNNNNNNNNNNNNNNNNNNNNNNNNNNNNNNNNNNNNNNNNNNNNNNNNNNNNNNNNNNNNNNNNNNNNNNNNNNNNNNNNNNNNNNNNNNNNNNNNNNNNNNNNNNNNNNNNNNNNNNNNNNNNNNNNNNNNNNNNNNNNNNNNNNNNNNNNNNNNNNNNNNNNNNNNNNNNNNNNNNNNNNNNNNNNNNNNNNNNNNNNNNNNNNNNNNNNNNNNNNNNNNNNNNNNNNNNNNNNNNNNNNNNNNNNNNNNNNNNNNNNNNNNNNNNNNNNNNNNNNNNNNNNNNNNNNNNNNNNNNNNNNNNNNNNNNNNNNNNNNNNNNNNNNNNNNNNNNNNNNNNNNNNNNNNNNNNNNNNNNNNNNNNNNNNNNNNNNNNNNNNNNNNNNNNNNNNNNNNNNNNNNNNNNNNNNNNNNNNNNNNNNNNNNNNNNNNNNNNNNNNNNNNNNNNNNNNNNNNNNNNNNNNNNNNNNNNNNNNNNNNNNNNNNNNNNNNNNNNNNNNNNNNNNNNNNNNNNNNNNNNNNNNNNNNNNNNNNNNNNNNNNNNNNNNNNNNNNNNNNNNNNNNNNNNNNNNNNNNNNNNNNNNNNNNNNNNNNNNNNNNNNNNNNNNNNNNNNNNNNNNNNNNNNNNNNNNNNNNNNNNNNNNNNNNNNNNNNNNNNNNNNNNNNNNNNNNNNNNNNNNNNNNNNNNNNNNNNNNNNNNNNNNNNNNNNNNNNNNNNNNNNNNNNNNNNNNNNNNNNNNNNNNNNNNNNNNNNNNNNNNNNNNNNNNNNNNNNNNNNNNNNNNNNNNNNNNNNNNNNNNNNNNNNNNNNNNNNNNUACUUGGUGAUCUCUACAAAAAUUAUAAUGAAAUACUAAUUGAUAUUAACUAUUUUGUAUAAAAAUGUUUGUAUUGUUAUACAAACUCCCAUGCUUCUUACACCAAAUAGGUAAAUAGAAGUAUUUAUGAUCAUAAAGCCCCAAAUACACCACAUCACAACAUAAAACGUCUCUUACUAGUAAAACGUAUAACAAGAAUGGUGAAAUUGAGGUUGGCUAUUUAUUUCCAAAUCUGGAACCGAUUUUAGGCAGAUUUAAUACUCUUUUUUUUAGGAUUAAAUCUUUUAAAUAUCCAUCAAUUCUUUGAGAACAAUCUCAGUCAAUUCUCAUUCACUCUGGCAAAUGCAUAUACACAUUAACAAACACUUCAUACUUCCAUAUCCCUCUUUCACCUAACUAUUAGACUAAUGUGCUACAGUGCUUCUAUAGAAUGCCNAAAACAUUUAUUCUUAUAUUGAGAAUCUAACCACAUAUAUGAUAGUUUCAAAGUGUAAAAUGUAACCUCCAUAACAAUUCAUGGAUGAAAACAUUAGUAAGCACUAUAAAUCCAGAUAAAGUAUUCAAAUGAAGGUAAGGAAAUAGGCACACCUUGACAAACAAUAGGCAAAGGCCAGAACNGUUGANAAUGAUCUCACAAAAUUCAGAAGUCGGUCCUUAACAACCUGACCAGGUUCUGAAGGUAGAAUUAAUGGCUCCAAUGCUCUACAUUAGUGAAUAAGUCAGCACACGAAAAAUAGAGCAUCAAAGAAAGAUAUAACAAAUUCAAAAUCNGAUAAAGUUAUUAUCAUAACAGAGAACUGCAAAUAAGUAUUGCUUCAGUCCAUAACAGUAAUGGCCGAAGGUAAGAAGUUACUAUAUGGUGAGUGGUACUUUUACUCCAACUAUUAUCACUAUCUACAAUAUCAGAGUUAGGUAUCAAUUGCUAUACCAUUCAAAAAAUAUUUCCCAAACAAACAAGUGCCCUCAAAACUCUCUCAUCCACCCACAACUAGUGGNUGACAAAGCAAUCUACACCAGAAAAGUAACUUUAUUUUGGUGGUUUGACACUCAAUUUCGCAUAGAAGUGGUUCAAAAUCGUUACUGGCCUUUUAGGAAACUUUGUUUACUGAUUUUAGAUGUNUCAAAACUCUUAAAUGAGUUAAAAACCACUUNCAACACAGAUUCANUACUUAAUUNCCAAUUCUAACUUAAAAUGUGAUGGUAUAGACAACAUUUCUGCACUUAGGCCAAAUUAUCACUAAUUUAACUUUGUUAGCAGCCUUUAAGAAUUAUUUUAGACUUAUUGAAACUGUGAAACAACAUAGAAAGCUUACCAUUCCAAAUCAGACCUUUCUUAUGGCCAAAAAUGUUGAAAAUCACUCCAUCACACCACCAAAAGGAGGUUUCAUUGUUUCAAAAGCUUAAUCAACACUGAAACAAACAUAAGGAAGUAUAAGAAAAAAGAUGUUAGGUCUAUUGGUUUUAGAAAAAUAUGGGUAAGGGUUGAUAAUUCCUUAUAGAUAUCUAAAUCUAUAAGUUAUUCUUUCCCUUCACAUCUUAAGUAUUUUUAUUAAUUCAUUUAUAAUCAAAAAGGAAAAUGACUAAGGGUUGAUGAUUCCUUAUAGAUAUCUAAAUCUGUGUGUUAAUAGUAAUAUUGAAAGGUGAUGUGCAGAUGAGAUUGAGGUUGAUGAUGAGUAAAGGUGAGUUGAAAAGGUGGUGAAAUUUUGGUCAAGUGAAGAUAAAACUCCUAGGUCUUUUGUUUAGCCUAUAAUAUUAGGUAAAGCAGUCUCAAUUGGUCUGAUAGAUGUAGAUUGCUUAAGUCCAUAAAGAUUAGGUCUUGUUCAAUUACUAUGCAAACUCAAGGAAAAUCCAACGCAGAGGGCUAUAACCUGAGUUUAUUUGACAAUUAUAUUAUAUUAACAUAAUGUUAGCACUUUUUGUAUCUUUCCACUCAACCGGUUCACAGAAAGAUCCAAUAUUUUCAAAUUGGAGAACAUUGAAAAGAAAGGUAAGGAGCCAGUUAUUUGAUUGUAACUUAGAUAAAACUCUCCUAAUGAGUGCCUCACACAACCAUCAGAUAAGUUAUUAACGAUUGAUGAAAGGUCUUCAGUCAUAUAGUUUCCAUAUAUGUUUAAAUAUUGUAAGGUGCACAUAUCCAUGAGGAUUUUAUCGCCCCACCCUUAAGUCUAUUAGAGGAGAGAUCUAGCCGCUCAAGAAAAUGCAUCAUCAAACCAAAAUGAUUUUAUGCAGGAGCCUCCAAGAGGUUAUUAACACAGAGGUCAAGCUCAAAAAGAUUGUAACUGAUAUUUAACAACAAUUGGAAUAUCAUAGAUAAUGUAAACUUGUUCCAAGAGAGGUCAAAGACUGAAAGGGAAGUAGAAGAAUUGAACUUUGAAGGGCUCAAUGAAUGGAUGAAAUUAUCAGAAAGGGUACAAUCAGACAAGCUUAAUUCUCUUAGUUUUGGUAAAUUUCCUAUGAUUUGUAGCCAACUUUNAGAAUUGUUAAGAUUAUCCAUCAAACUUAAGUCAAGAUGGGUCAAACAAGUGAGAUUAGACAGCCAAAAACCUCCAUCGUGAAGUUUGAGAGUCCCACCAUAUCCAAGAUAAAGCUUNUNCAAAUUUGACAGUUUUCCAAGUUGAGAAGGUAUAUAUCCUUCUAAAGAGUUACCCUUAAGAUGUAGAUGUUGCAACUGGGAGAGAUUUCCAAGUUGAUAAGGGAUUGAAUCCUCUAGGGAAUUCCCUUCAAGAUUUAAGUAAUUCAAAUGUGAAAGAAGACCAAACUGGCUUGGAAUUCUUCCAUCAUAACCAGAAUUUGACAAAUCAAGGUAUCUCAAAUCUCUUAGAUAGCUGUUGCAUAUUUUCUUCUCAAAAAACCCACUGAAACCCUAGCAGUGAGCUACUAUUCUCUCAGCCUUUCAUGGGUGGAAACCAUUGUUGACUUUGCAUUGCCUAGUUGCAUUCAUUCUUUUGGAUUUGAACCAAGAGCCCCGUAAACCAAGCAACAUCAAAGGCAAACAUACAAAGCAUACAUACAACAACAAUAUCAACAUUCAUUCCUUAUGCAUACAGUUUUACUAGAAUUGGAUACCAAUUCUUACAUUCAUUUCAUUCAUUACUCAUAUCAAAACCAUUAAACUAACCAGAUUACCUAUUUAGUCAUCAAAGAAAACAUAAUAGGUACCUACCCUUUUGUGGUGAUUUCCUUUUCAAUCCCAANNNNNNNNNNNNNNNNNNNNNNNNNNNNNNNNNNNNNNNNNNNNNNNNNNNNNNNNNNNNNNNNNNNNNNNNNNNNNNNNNNNNNNNNNNNNNNNNNNNNNNNNNNNNNNNNNNNNNNNNNNNNNNNNNNNNNNNNNNNNNNNNNNNNNNNNNNNNNNNNNNNNNNNNNNNNNNNNNNNNNNNNNNNNNNNNNNNNNNNNNNNNNNNNNNNNNNNNNNNNNNNNNNNNNNNNNNNNNNNNNNNNNNNNNNNNNNNNNNNNNNNNNNNNNNNNNNNNNNNNNNNNNNNNNNNNNNNNNNNNNNNNNNNNNNNNNNNNNNNNNNNNNNNNNNAAUAACAAACAAGAAAAGGGUUUAGGAUUUUGACAUUUUACAAAUUAAAUUAUUUAGGAAAAUAACGAAAUUUACUUACCAGAACAAUCACUCAGGAAAUCUACAACAACGAACACUAAAAGAUGGCUACACAACCGAACUUCUUCUUUGUGGAUCAACGCAACAUUAAACCACUAAACACCAAAUGAAUAAACAUAUAUAUUAAAGGAACAACAUUCUUGACUCACCAUAAACUCACCGAGAUUGAACGACACUGGAAUUUACCUCGGAGUGUGAGAACCGGAGCCCUAGGGUUCGAGUGCGAGAACAGUCUAGAUUGAACGACGCUGACCGAGAUUGUUUGGCCUUGGCGACAAUAAGGAAAAACCCUCGAACAGGGUUCGAUAGAACUGCGGCUUUGACAGAACCCAAGCCUCACGACUGACAGCUCCAAAGAAGAGAGGUUGGAGAACAAAGGUGAGUGAAGGUAUGAUAGUGUUUGAUGAAGGGCUCGAGAAAGACAGAACAAAGCUUCAAGGGAAGGGUUCCAGAGACAGGGCCUGAGAGAAGAAGCUUCGAGGGUUAGACAGGGCUCGAGAGAAGAUAGUUCGAUGGUUCGAGACAAAGAGGGGAAAAGGCAGCUCCAGCAUCCAAUAAUUCAGAAAAUUAUUUUUUUUUAAAAAAAUAAUUUCACAUCCGUAUAUAACGUCCGCAGUUAACUACUUCGUUGUAACUGCAUACGGAUAAUAAACUUUAUAUACGGAUAACUCCUUGGGUACUUUUCCCGCCACCACGCGCCAACGUUAUAUACGGAAUUUAUAUACGGACACAUUCCGUAUAUAAAAAUCCGUAUAUAAAUCUGUAUAUAACACCUUCUCUUUAGUCCGUACAUAAAUUUCGUAUAUAAUUUCUGCUUUAUAUACGGAUUUAAAUCCGUAUAUAAUAUUCCGUAUGUAAUUUCAUUAUUUCUUGUAGUGAUAGUAGUUGGUAGAAUUUAACACAUGAACUCGCCAAACAAUGCCAAGAAAUGAACACUACCAAUAGUUUCAAAGAUAAAUUCCUAUAUAAACCUUCAGAACCAAUACAAGAGCAACCUAAAAAUUGGGAAGGAAAUCUGAUCGUAGUUGGUAGAAUUUAACGCACGAACUCGUCAAACAAUGUCAAAGAAAUGAAAACUACCAAUAGUUUUCAAUGAUAAGAUAAAAUUUAAACAUUAGUUAGAAUUGUUAUAUUUUUCCUUAAUAGGUUUUGUACACAACAUAUUACACUCGAAUAACUACUAUUAUCUGCUCACAACAAUAGCUGAAUGGAACUCGGCCAAGAAUUUUAAUGAGACAAAAAAGUAAUUGAAUGUAAACACCUGCUAAAAGAAUCAGCAUCAACCAGUUACGCUUAUUUGAGACUUAAGUUUAAAACACCUUGUAAGACUCCAGCUAGGUAUUCCAAAUUGGCUUCUUUGACAAACCAUCCCUUGAUUUCAUCCACCCAGCCUAAAUCCUUUGAUUUAAAACAAAUUUUUCUGCAUCUAAGAAACUUUAAAGGCACAGGAACUCACUCACCUUUGGUUCCUUCACUAACGGCCUUCGCAACUCCAAAUGGUAUAUGUCUCAGUCUUCCAUACCACUGAAAAUCUUCAUAAAACGUCAAACACUAGCCUCAAUUGAUGUUUCCUCACACUCCAACCACGGCUUCCGAGACCAACCACAAAUGCGUCAAAUAAAACAAAGAAAGAACAAGAUUAGGGUUAGCGAUUUUCAUAAUUUUACGAUUUAUCGAAGAAAGCAUUAGGAUUAAGGUUUACUUACCUGAUGGAGAUACUCCUUCAGUGUUCAACUACGGCAUCGGACUGAACAAGGAGAUUACUUCGUCAACGCUGGAACACGACGGAUACUUCGAUAGAGACAGAGGAGGCAGAAGCAGAACAAGACGGACAACGACAGUGAAGAGAGCUGGAGAGAGGGGCACCGAGAGCGAAGACGGCUCGAGAGAGGAACGACGAGACUCCACGGUUCGAGAGAGAGGAAGAUAGCUCGAGGUUUCCAGAGGUACACAAAGCUCAGUUUCGAGUGGACGAUAGUUUCAACUUCUAAUUAAUCAAAAUUAUAUUUUUUUAAUAAAAUAUUCCUUGCAUCCGUAUAUAAUAUAAAACAUUUUACUUACAUACGGGUAUAGGGAAUUACAUACGGGAAUAGGGAAUUACAUAGGGAUAUAUCCUUAGAUAAUUUUCCCGCCACCACGCGCCAAAGUUAUAUACGGAAUGUAUAUACGACAAUAUCCGUAUAUAAAUAUCCGUAUAUAAAUACCGUAUAUAACACCUUUUCUGAUAUCCGUACAUAAUAUCCGUGCAUAAUGACUGAUUUAUAUACGGAUUUAAAUCCGUAUAUAAAGUUCCGUAUGUAAAUCCAAUAUUUCUUGUAGUGAAAAAGGAGGAGGUUUCAAUUCACGAAGUUCAUGCACAUCUCAAGUGAAGUUCAUAGAGUAUGACACACCGUAAUAUUUUUUUCUUCAAAGUUAUGAAUCAACAUUCUCUUAGGUCAGUCAGUUGAGGAUAUCAAAAUUAAGAUAUCAAAGGAGGGUAUAAUGAUAAGUUUGUUAGAUAUAAUGAAAAGAUGGACAAUGUGAGAUUAAAAAAUAAUAAAGCAUAUGGUAAGUGCUGCAAUACAUGAGUUUAGUAGGCAUAAUUAAGACAACAUGAAUGAUUUUCUGACAGUUAUUACAAAUAUAUGUAAUUUUUCUUUUAUUUUUAACUUAAGAGCGGAAAAAAAGAGAAAAAUAUAAAGAGGUUGUUCAUGUACAAAACGUGGUGAUAAAUUGCAUUUACAAGUCCGUGAAUAAGAUAAUAACAAAUAUAGUCAUGAUUGUUAUAAUUUUGGUUACCGCUUUAGUUGAUUUCUUUUACCAAUUUUUAUUCUAUCUUUGGUAAUUUGGUUUCCAACAAUUUAUAUUUUUGCACCUUAACAUUUCCAGUUUGUCAAAAAAUUUCACUUCAAUUCAUCUUCAUCUUCUUAGUUCUUCUUCACUACAUUUCAUCUCCAUUAUUCCAUCUUUAUCUAACUAUUAAAAAAUAUGAUUAUUGGGAAUAGAUUAUUGGAAACAAAUACAUGAAUUCCUAAUUAACAUUUGGUAGUUCGUAUAAAAAGAUAAUUAAACUAAUUGAACAUUUUUGUAAAAUUGAUCUAUAAUAUAAACGAAAUACACAUAAAUUUUUGUUAAUUGUAGAAUCCUAAAUUAAAACAUUUUAAUUUAGAUUGAAAAGCAAUUAUUUACUAGUUUAAUUUACAAAUAAUCUUAAAUUGAUUUAGUUUAUUAAUAACAAAUUCAUAAUAUUUAGGAACAGGAAACACAAAGCUGAGGGAAAUGACAUUCAGCAUAAAGUGGUGCACCUAGAAAAUGCUUAGUGUUUAGAGAAGUCUAAAAGGAUGAUAGUUGAAGCAACUAUUACUAUUUGGUACAACUAGGUAGAGCAGGAUUUGUUCUCCAUUUUAAAAUUUCUGUCUUGAAAUGAAACGAGGAUAAAUGAUUGACAAACUUCAGUUUCUGUCAAACGUCAUCUUUACUCCUUGAUUCGAAUAAUUGAUUGGUGUAAGGAAUUAACCUAUAAAAUAUACUCUGAUGUUCAAGUGAGAAUUUUUCCUGUAAAUCUUUAAUAAUUCAAUAUUAAAGUGAGAAUUUUUCCUGUAAAUCUUUAAUAAUUCAAUAUUAAGUUAAAAAUGAGUUUAUUUCAAAAUUAAAUCUCUAUUUUUUAAAGUUUAUUACCUUUUUUAUAUACUUUUUUUAGUACUUCCAUAAUAUAUGACAUAUGGGCUCUCACUCAUCACGCAAAAUCUCCUACACCAACCUUUAUAUUGUCUAAAUGCUCUGAUUCACGAAACCAGAUUUUCUUUUAAUUAGUGGUUUUCUUUCGAUAUUCAGAUCAUUAAAAAUUUUCUAAAAGAGAACUCUAGUGUGUAUUAUAAUUUAUUCUUACUCAAAUAAAAUUAUCCCUUUUAAAAAGGACAUGUAUUACUAUUUUAUCUUAAAAGUAAAAUAAUUUUUUAUGAUAAAGGAUAUUUAUAAUUUUCUUAAUGCUGUCUGGAUCAGCUCAACUAAUUCAGAUGAGUCACGCAUUGAGAUUGGAAUCUUUUUGGAGUUGCAAAAUUUCUAGGUGAUAAUAAAGAAAAGACAAAAACAAAAAGGUAAAAGAAUCGUUAUGUUAGUCACUUUUUUAUUUUGUCUAAGUUGAAUAAUUAAUCUGUAUUUAAUUGUUUAUCACGUGCUAUUGAAAUGUUUUCUUCCAGUGUUACGCAUUAGUAAUUACAUCAUCAUUACCAUGACGUAGUUGGCUAACGCAAGCUAUUCCCAGCGUCACUUCCUCUUUCACGGCGCCAAUUCCUGGUGAAAUAUUCUCUCACUGCCCAACAUAUUGCUUUCUGUAAUCGACAGAAUAAAGUAAUAUAAUUUCUUAUUUUCUUUUUAAAUAAAUUAAGAACUUUAUUUAUUAAUUAUCCUUUUUCAAAUUUAAUUACCAUCUCACUAAAUUAAAUAAAUCUUAAACAUUGAUCAAAUUUAAUUAUCCUUUUUUAAAAUUAAUUUAAAUACUCGUAUUACGGUGAAAACAUUACAAAACUCACUUAAAAUAAAAAUGAUAUUGAUUGAGUGAUUAAAUUAUGUAGCUAAAUUUAAAAAUUAAAUUACAUUAAUGGGUUUACUUAGUGAGAAAUUAUUUCAACUUAGCUGGCAGAAUUUUAAUAUGCAAUUUCAUUAAAUAACUAAAAAGGAAAAAAUCACUUAACCUAUACAACUAAAAACGAGUCCUAUAAAAAGAAAAACAUAUGUAAUAUGCACAAAUCUCCUUUAAAUUCUCUAUCACAAGCCAUUCUUUUGAAUUCACAACAAUUUUUAUUUUCAAAAUUAAUCUUUAAUAUAUUGGUUAAAUCCAUUCGAAGGUCUCUAUUUUCGUGGGAUUAUCCCAGUUACAUCUCUGUCUUUUAAGUUUUGUCAAUUAGGUCCUUAAUAUUGAAAAAUUGAAUUAAUUGGGCCCCUGCCGUUAAAUCAACUUAACGGGAUUAAGUUUUUGCUUACGUGUGAGGGUGAUGUGGAUAAUUUUGGAGACGUGCAUAGACCCUUAUACCUGAGUUUUUUAAUUCUACGUGGCAUUUUCUUAAACAAUGAAUUUAAAAAUUGGAAUUUAAAACAUUUUAACAUUUUUGAUUAAAAAAUUUAAAAAAAAAAAUCAUCUUCCAUUACAAUCAAGCACUACCCAGAAAUCAAAGAACCCAGGCCAUCAUCUUCUUCGUGCACCAUCAACCUGCAAUCAAGUAACCACAAAAUCAAAAUCAUGACUUCGUUAUUUCGCUUUAAUUCAUCUCCCUCCAUCCAGCACUGCGAGGGCAAAUCGCCACCAUGGCCAACGUAACCAGCGCUCAAGCUCUUCGCACCGCAACCGAACUCAUCAUUGUAUAUUUCUUCUCUAUUAAAAAAUUUGAAACUUGUAAAGAGAAAAUAGAAUCACAAAUCUGAAAACUCCCAAAUUAGUCAAGAACCCUAAAUCCUGCUAGACACAAAACGCGAGACCUACGAAACGCCACCAUCUCUAAUCAUAAGAAAUUCCAAAUCCAUUUCAUCGGACGAGUGCAAAUAUUACAUAUUUUCACUCAGACUGUAAUUCAGAAUCAUGUUAAUAUGCAAUGGUUGGAAACCACCUUCAAUUACAUAUUUUAUUCUUUGACUAUUGACUACUCUAAGCUCAGUCAGUACAUUAUGUAUCCCCACCAAUAUACACCCACAUCUCUUGCCUCGAACCAGAGAAAGAAAAUGAGCAAAAAAAGAAAGAAUGGAAAGGGCCUCCACUACUAAAAAUUUCUAUCAUUUUUCAUCUCUAUAAACCUGGAUAAUAGAUGGGAAAAGAAAUUGACUACGAUGAUGGAAUGAUGACAACAAUGUUACCCACAUCUCUAUCCCAUUAUGUUUUCCAUGAGGAUAACAUCGACUUCAAUGGGGACGAUGUUGGUGACAAUGGAGGUGUUUGAGGUGCGCGGUGGUGGUGGAGUUUUUCAAACCUAAUUUUUAAAAUGUAUCUUUUAUUAAAUGUCACAUAUAAUAGUAUUUGAGUGUUACAUUUGAAAAACUAUUUACUGUCAACAUCACAUGUCAAAAAAUUUAAUUCCGUUAAACCAAUUUAACAGCAAGAGUUCAAUUGAAUCAAUUUUUCACUAUAAAAGACUAAAUUGACGAACUGAUAAGACGAAAAUCUAACUGAAGAAAACUUAAAUAAGUGGAGACUUUGAAAGGAGUUUAACCUAAUAUAUUCUAAAAGAAACGUCAGUGAAAUUUGAGUCAAGAUUCGUUUAUAAAAAAUGUGCACUAACAAUUUUUUUAAAUAAAUCCAGUGAAAGAAAAUAAAGUUAGGAUAGUGGAGAAAACUUAUUUUGACGUGAGAAUGUAUCUAUAAGGAUAAUUAUUUUUUAGGAGUAUGAUAUAAACAUUGAUAGAUUGUUGUGUAUGUAUGUAAAAUGAUAUAAUAUAUGUUUUGUAGAUAUUUAGGAUGAAAUCAGUCUAUGUAGUGAGCUAAUAAAUAUAUUAGUUUUUUAAGUAAAGGAAAUAUCAUAACUUCAUUUCACUUAUCAUGUCAUUAUGUAGAUUAAAAAACUACGUGAUAAGAAGUUAAAGGAACUUCAUAUAUUAAAUUUGAUAGGAAUAAUAAGAGGAUGGAAGAGUGACGAGUUCAUUAUUAUCUUUUCCUCUUUGAUGUAAAAAAUCAUUCUUAUUCUCAUCUUAUAAUUAAUAGAUAUAAAUUUAUUUUUACAUCUUAAUAUUUUAUAUAAUGAGUAGAUUUAUACUAAUGUCUACACUUAUAAAAAGAUCAAUUAAUUAAUUUUUAUAAAAAAUAAAAAUAAUAGAAAAUAAAACAUAAUAUUUAUCAAAUAUUUAAUAUAAAAAAUUAUUUUUUUCAAAUAUUUAUAAAGAAAUUAUAAUUAUAUAAAUUUUAUAAUAGAGUACUAAAUAGUAAAGUAAAAAAAAUUAUAUAAAAUAUUAUACAAUUGAAAUUUCAAAAUUUAUCAAUAAAAUUUUUUAUUAAUUUAAAUUUAUCGAAGAAUUUAUUUAUGUCGAUAAAAUUUUAUUAAUAAUUUUAAAAUUUUUUGUUAUGAUAAAAGAGUUGUAAAAUUUUAUUCAAUAUGAUAUCUGACAUAAAGAAUUCUUAUUUAUAUUGAACAAACUUAUAACUUACAUGAACUAGCAUCAAAUAAACACAAAUAAAAGUUUCAAAAUUUAUGUGGACCAAUGCAUGAUCUAAUUAUAAAUUUGGAUUUUUUUUUUCAAACUUUAAUUGGUUCUGACUUAUAAAACUUGAAAUGCAAAAAAUAUCAAUUUAUACAUGCAUACAAGGUAACCCAAACCUUUCAACAAAAAGUUCAAUAAAAAAAUCACGUCAAACAAACAAAUAAAGCUAACUACACUAUUUAUGUUGCAGAAGGAAUGUUAUUCCUUGUUCUCUUAUUUGUUGGAUGCUAUUGAUAAUGGAAAUUGAUAACUGAAGACAUAAACGUUUAAUUGUGUUUAGUGAAAACACUAUUUUCUGUGACUGAUUUCAAUCACUAUUAAAGAAAAUUCUAGUAGUCAACUAAACAUUAUAUAUUAUUAUAUAUUAUGUAAUAAUCAUAAAUGUAAAAUAUGCUUUAAUAAAUAUUGGAAGAAGUUAUCUUUGUCUAGAAGUUAGUAAUACAUGUCGAAAUGAUAAAUUUCCUCUGAUAUAGUAACCACAUUCAAAAAAAUAUUAACUUUUUUAUUACACUAAAAUAAGAAACAAUUCAUCGACUAAUUGUCAUUAAACGUGAAGAUUAUAUACUCAAAAUAUGAUUUACAUUGAUUUAGUACAUCAAUAUAAGUUAAUAUGUUAAAAGAUUUGUAACAACACAAUUUUUUUUAAUAGAUUUAAUCAUUUCGAACAUCUCUAUUUAUAGGAUAAUGAUAUUUAGACAACAUUUUUUUGACAACAUUUGAACAUUGAUUACGUGUCAAUCUGUGAUUGGUUAAAAAUUAUUCCACAAUCAAUAAUAAUAAUCAUAAACAUUAUUGUGGAGUGAUUUUUGACCAAUCAUAGAUUGACACAUAAUCAAUGUUCAAAUGUUGUCAAAAAAAUGUUGUCUAAAUAUCAUUAUCCCUAUUUAUAUUAGGUCUUCAUUGAUUCCAACGUUAAAAAUUGGGAUAAUGAUAUUUAGACAACAUUUGAACAUUGAUUACGUGUCAAUCUAUGAUUGGUCAAAAAUCACUCCACAAUCAAUAAUAAUAAUAAUAAUAAUAAUAAUAAUAAUAAUCAUAAACAUUAUUGUGGAGUGAUUUUUGACCAAUCACAGAUUAACACGUAAUCAAUGUUUAAAUAUGGUCAAAAAACUGUUGUUUAAAUAUCAUUAUCCUAAAAAGUGUGUUCGUGACUUUGUGAUUGAGUAAAUUUUAUUGACAUGAUAGACUUUAGUGGCCUGAGAUGAAUUAUUUUUAUUUACAAUUUUAAAAAACUUUAAUUUAAUCAAAAUUUACUCUUGUAAAAUUUCAAAUGUUGAUUCAUCUAGUAUCCUAAUCUGAAACAUUGUUUUGUCCUAUCUUCAUCUUUUUAUCCUCAUGAGAAACCCUAGCCUAAUUUCUCUUCCUCAAUUCUUUGUUGCUUCUUACUCGUGGAUCACCUAACCUUAAGAAAAAUAGAGCGUUUUGCAGUUUGUGAUUUUUGUUGGAGGUGCAAACCUCAUCUUACAAGUUGAUUUUGUGAGGUUGAGUUAGGUUUACAAACCCUCUUUCUAAUAGUUUAGACGGUGGCGAAAAUCUAGACCUCUAACUCGUGGUGUUACGUUGAGUAAAGAACUAACGUUUAUGUAUGAAAUAAUUAAACCUUUUUAAUAUUCACUCAAAAAAUCUCAAAAGAGUUUUUAAAUAAAUAUGAUAUAUAUAUAUAUAUAUAUAUAUAUAUAUAUGUAUAGAUAUAUUUCUUUAUUUAUUUAUUGUAUAUUAUAUUGUUUCGUGUGAAUAAUAUAUUAUACAGAUACUAUUAUGAGAAGUAACAUUAACAAAUUAAUCUUUUUCUUUUAUUUAUGAAUUUGUUUUGCAGAUUUUAUAGUAUUCUGUUUGAAUGCAUAAAUCUAAAACAUCCUAAUUUUUUAACAAUAUAUUAGCGUUCAAAAAGUGUAAUUAUGUUACAAUUUUUUUUUUUUUUGCGUGUUAGUUUUUAACUAUCAUUAUGUCAAAAACUAUUGACAAAGUUAAUUUUAAAUAGAUUAAAUGAAUAAAUUGACCAAACUUUAAAAUAUAAAUAAUUAAAUGGAUUUUUUUUAAUAUAACAGAUGAAAAUGAAUAAAAGAAUAGUAUAACAAUAAACAUAUAGAAAAUAUCAACUAAUUAAUAAAAUUAUCAAACUUCUCAUAAUGAAUAAUUCUAAACAUAAAAGAUCUAAUUAAUUAACAGACUUUAACACGAAAAAGAAAAAAAUAAAAAUAAUAUAUAUAUAUAUAUAUAUAUAUAUAUAUAUAUAUAUAUACAUAUAUAUAUAUAUAUAUAUAUAGGAAAAUGAUAUAUGAACAACAUUUUUGAACAACAUUUAGACACGGGACACGUGUCUAAACGUGAUUCGUCUAGCUGAAAUUUGAUUUUUAAAUGAAAUGCUGACGUGGAGCAGAGAGAGAAAGUCCCAAAUUUUAAAUCUGAUAUACAUUUCGCAAACCAAAUCUCGUGUCCACUUCGCAAACCCGCAUCUAUUGUUCAUUUCGUAAACCUGCCUCUGAACAUCUCGUGCCCACCGGUGACGACCGCCGCCGCACUGCCGCCGCCGGAGACCCGCCGCUCGUCCGCCGUCUUCCAUCCACCAAGAAUCGCGGUUCCAUUGGUUCGCGGCAGAACCCUAAAAGCGCGUUGGAGAACCAGCCGCAACCCGCCUUGGCCAACUCGUGCCCACCAGUGACCACCCUAAGGGACGCACUGCCACCGCCGGAGACCCUCCUCCCGUCCGCCGUCUUCCAUCCAUCGAGAAUCGCGGUUCCAUUUGCUCGACGACAGAACCCUAAACCCAAAGCAAGGCGAGUUCUUUGUAGUUCUCUUAUACCCAAACCCGUUAGUUCUUCACCCAUUAAUUGCCUACUAUUGCCAAAAGAAAAUAAAUUGAAAUGCUUUAUCAAUGUUAGAUUGGUUUAUCACUUAGUAGGAAAAAUAUCGUGAGUUUCUGAAAUUAGUUUNNNNNNNNNNNNNNNNNNNNNNNNNNNNNNNNNNNNNNNNNNNNNNNNNNNNNNNNNNNNNNNNNNNNNNNNNNNNNNNNNNNNNNNNNNNNNNNNNNNNNNNNNNNNNNNNNNNNNNNNNNNNNNNNNNNNNNNNNNNNNNNNNNNNNNNNNNNNNNNNNNNNNNNNNNNNNNNNNNNNNNNNNNNNNNNNNNNNNNNNNNNNNNNNNNNNNNNNNNNNNNNNNNNNNNNNNNNNNNNNNNNNNNNNNNNNNNNNNNNNNNNNNNNNNNNNNNNNNNNNNNNNNNNNNNNNNNNNNNNNNNNNNNNNNNNNNNNNNNNNNNNNNNNNNNNNNNNNNNNNNNNNNNNNNNNNNNNNNNNNNNNNNNNNNNNNNNNNNNNNNNNNNNNNNNNNNNNNNNNNNNNNNNNNNNNNNNNNNNNNNNNNNNNNNNNNNNNNNNNNNNNNNNNNNNNNNNNNNNNNNNNNNNNNNNNNNNNNNNNNNNNNNNNNNNNNNNNNNNNNNNNNNNNNNNNNNNNNNNNNNNNNNNNNNNNNNNNNNNNNNNNNNNNNNNNNNNNNNNNNUAACCUGCAGUAGGAAGUAUUACACCAAAGUAAAAAAUGAAUAAACUUUAGCCACAUACAUCUCUUUUAAGAAUUGACUUAAAAACAAUGUUGAAUGGAAACUGACAUCGACCUAGAAAUAUUGUUAUGAACUUCUUAUGCUAAUCUAUACAUAAGCAUUAAAAUUCUUAUUAACUUGUAUCCUAAAAAUAUUGGUUGAAGAAUUAAAAGGAAGAGAGCACAUUCCUUAACAUCCAAAUAAAAAUAUAUUUUUUAAUACUUUAAUCAAUAUUAUUAGAAGAUUGGUUGGAAUUUGUCAACACAUUUUUCAUCUAUCCCUAAAUAUAGCUAUUUCUUAUCANAACCAGACUUGAUUGUAUUUUAUUCCAGUGAGACACUAAAGUAUUGAAUAUUAAGGUUUAAUGUUUAUGGAUCUUUCAUUUUUUUACAUGUAAUUGGUUUUGCCAAUAUUGUCAUGAUAAAAUUUUAUAUGCUUCUACUCAAAGUGAGUAAUUUCGCUUUAAAAAAGUUAUAUAUAAAGACAAAAAAAAAAAAAAAAAACAGUCCCUGAUGACAAAAAUCAGUCAUUAUUUAUUUUAGUGAUUGAAUUAACCACCAAAUUUAAAAGGUGACAAAUUCUAACAGCAAAAUUUUCAGUGUAGAAAUAUUUAGUGACGCUAUUUGGUCAUAAUUUUUUUUUAUUUUAUUGUUUUAACAUACUGGAACCAAUUUAGAAACUGCAUAUAUCGUUUUAAUGGGUGGCUAGAUUGGAAAAUAUUUAGUGAUUAAUUUAAUUCAAUCAUAAAAUCUUUAGAUAAACUAACUACAUUUCAGCGGUUAAAGUUGGUGACAUACAUCUAAAUUCUUAAAAGAAAAAAAUUACACUUUAGUUAAUAAGAAUCUUGUAAGGACAAACCUCAUGUUCGACCUCAUUACUCUCACCUCGAAUAUCAGCAUAAUUAUUUACUUUUGUCUGAUUAGGUUCAGCCAGUUAAGAAACUACUAUUUAAUGAGUUGCUAUUUCCUUUUAAAGAGGUUUGUCACUUUUUUUUCCAUCCUCACAUUGGCCUUUUGUGCUAGGCAUGGAUCUGUUGCAUGCCUCCUUCAUGGUUCCUUUCCCAGAUCAUUCUUUUGUGUGUAUGUGGCCUCAAGAUUUAUUUUUGGGAUAUUUUAGCAAAAUAGUUGUCUUGUAAGCUUAGUCAUGAAGAAAUAAAUUUUGACGUUGGUUUGGUUUGAUUGUGGAAUAAUUGUUUUAAAAAUUAUGAAGUUGUGGGAUGGAAUUGAGAAAUACAAUGGAAAUACAAUGCCCACUUAUACAAAUGUAAGUUGAAAAAAUUUCCAUCUUGUGAACCUUUGAUAUAAAUGUUGCAUUUUUUUCAAAUGUUGUGCUUUUUUGUUUUUGCAGGAUGAACUCCAACAGUUUAGGGAGCAAUAUGUUUGUCAAUGGAUUUUGGAUGCUGCGAAUGUGCGAAGGAAUCAAGUGUUGCAAUAUUUAGGCAUUUUGUAAAUAUUUUGGACAAAUAGUGAUUUGUUAUUUGUUUACAACUUUUGGAAUAUGUAUUCAUGCUGAGUCUGCAUUUAUUUUCUUAGGAAUGUUGAAGGAGAAGUACUUGUUACAUUUAUUGGUAACGAAAUUUGAUGAAUAAAAUUAUCCAUGUUUUAAAUCUUUGCACUAUAGUCCACACAAAAUUUGAUGUCAGGAUUCAUGAAAUGUUUGUAGAAAGAAAUUUGAAACUGAAUUCGUUUAAUUGGUAAUGAUGUAAAUUAUUAUAUUGACAUGACUUUGUAUUGGAAAGAAAAGGUUGAAAAACAAAUUAGGGCAGUCCUAAAUUACCAUCAUUUUCACAGUCUAACUCCCUGUACAAAAACUUCACCUAAAUUACCCACUUAUUUAGCCUUUGGUACCACUUCUUUUCCAACACCAAGGGUUCUAAUAAAUAUGGAUCUUUGGUCACGUGCUUGUUCAUAAAUUGUUUGGAAAUUGGUUCCAAAUUACUUUCUAUUGGAAAAAAAAGGUUGAAAAACGAAUUAGGCAGUCCUAAAUUACCAUCAUUUUCACAGUCUACCUCCCUGUACAAAAACCUCACCUGAAGUACCCACUUAUUUAGCCUUUGGUACCACUUGUUUUCCAACACCAAGGGUUCUAAUAAAUAUGGAUCUUUGGCCACCUGCUUGAACCUAAAAAAUUUAUUAUCGUGUCCAAUAACAUUUUCUUAAGACAACGAUGCAUUGUCCUCAUGGUAACAUUCAACCUAAGCCACCACUUUAUGAAAUUAAACAUCACAAGUAAUUUUAAAAAAUUAAGUGGGACUGUAGUUGGAAUAAGUGGGUACUUCUGUUACAAGUCUUGCACAAAGGGGUUCAUUAACUUCUAAAUUCAUCUUUGAACCUCAAAAAAAUUUAUUAUCGUGUCCAAUAACAUUUUCGUAAGACAAGGAUGCAGUGGCCUCAUGCUAACAUUCAACCUAAGCCACCAAUUUAUCAAGUUAAACAACAUAAGUAACUUUUUAAAAUUAAAUAGGACUUUAGUUGAAAUAAGUGGGUACUUGUAUUACAAGUUUUGCACACAGGGGUUCAUUAACUUCUAUAUUCAUCUUCCAACUUGACAAAAAUUGUGUAUCAAUUCAAUAUUAUGUUAUGACUUUUGCACACACACCUGUUAUAAAUUUUACAAGGCUCCACUGCCUUUUUCAUAAUGAAUCAACAUCACGUUCAAAAUCUCUUCAUUCCAUCAAUCAUUCCAAAAACAUGGAAAAGCAUGACUCAUAUUAUGACAAUGGUUAAAGGAUUUCGAUGUUUUUCAUAAUCAACAACAAUUUUCAACAACAUUCCAAACAUGAUCAUAUUAAGUCAAAUGUACAUUUCCUAUUCUAAUACAAGUUAUUCAAUCACUCAUUUUCUUCUUCUAACAUGUUCAGUANANNGAGUUCUUNUUGCCACACUCUUAAUCCGUUUUCGGGGAGCAGUUUUCAUCCGGUCAUACAUCGUGCUUUGUUUCAUUUCAAUUCCACCUUCAAACAUCGGGGUUUGGUGAUGAUCUUGAACCGGUGUGCNUUGCAUAUGACNUUCACUUCCANAAAAUGGUUGUUCAACAAAAUCUUCAUUCUUGGCCUCAACCGACUUCUUUAAUUAAUCAAUACUAUUUCGCAUGUCGGCAAUAACUCUUGUUUGUUCAUCUACAACAAAAAUUAAUUUCUCCGUAUCUCUUCUAUUUUGCUUGUAAUAUGGAAAACCAUGUUUUUGCACAGUGUCUUUGACCACCCCAUAACAAAGCUCCUCUUUGGACACCUAUGAAGUUGGUCCUGCAAUGUCAUUAACAAAUUUCAUUUCAUAAAGCACCUAUGAAAUUGGUCUUGCAAAAGUGUCUAAAUACUAACUGCAUAAAAAAAACAUACUUACUAUUUAAAUACAUUACAAUAUAACACUAAUUGUAUGCAAAUCAAAUACACACCUACAUACCUUCUUUUAAAUGCAACCAAACAUUUUAUCAUUCCUUAAAGAUUAAUUUUAUCAUUUUAAAUGCAACAAAACAAUUACGACAAAGUAAAUAAAUAUCUUCAUCUUUAACAAGUCAGAAGUAAGAGAAAAUACUUAAAGCAACAUCAUUUCUUAAAUAUUAAUUUUAUCAUUUUAAUGUCAAACUUUAAAUUCCCAAAUGUUUUCAUCUCUCCAUCCAUUUUUCAUUAUAUCUUUUUAACCAAAAAAAAAAUGUAGCAUUUUGAGGUGAAAUGGUGUCAUAUCAUAUGAGCUUUUUAUGUUAACGAUGAAAUAAGGAUGGGAUUGAUAGAGAUUUCAUAUUUGAGUGAAUAAAAUAAGCUCUCAAGGGGCAAAAAUAAUAAAGGAUGGGUUAGAAACAAAAAAAUAUAUAUUAUUCUAAAUAUUACUGAGAAAGUAGGAGAAAACUAGUUUAAGAGAAAUUGCAAUAUCUGCAUGAACAGGAAAACGAAAAUGCCACAGAAUAAUUCAGAGAUCAUAAGAAGGCUAAGAUAAAAAGUAUAAAAUAUUCACAUAACUUGAUUGCAGUGAAAAUAAUUUGUAAUUUUUAGGGUACAAGUUAAUAAGAAUUUCAAUGCUUAUGUAUAGAUUAACAUAAGGAGUUCACAACAAUAUUUCUAGGUCGAUGUCAGAUUUCUUUCAACAUUGUUUUUAAGUCAAUUCUUAAAAGAGAUGUAUGUGGCUAAAGUUUAUUCAUUUUUUACUUUGGUGUAAUACUUCCUACUGCAGGUUAUGUUGAAUUUUUUGAAGGAUUUUGAAACAAAGCUUGGCAUCAAGAUCACGUGUUCUCAAGAAACUGAGCCACUAGGAAUAGCAGGUCCCCUGGCUCUUGCUAGGGAUAAGUUGAUAGAUGACUCUAGAGAACCCUUUUUUGUUCUCAACAGUGAUGUUAUCAGUGAGUAUCAACUUAAAGAGAUGAUUGAAUUCUAUAAAGGCCACGGAGGAGAGGCUUCCAUAAUGGUAACAAAGGUAAGUGUUUUGACAAAAAGUAAUUCUCAUUUAAAUAUAUUAAAAAGUAAUUUACAUAUUUGUCAUUUGUUAGUAUGUCAAUCUGUCCAUGUCAAACGCUUAAGGCACCCCUCGUCUGUAUGAAAUGAAGAUGUUAUAAGACCCAAAAAGGUUGAUUCAAUAGCUCAUCACCGGAAACAAUUGUAUGGUAAAUCAAACAAAUUUGUUGUACAGACUCUGUAGAGUUUUAUAUCAGUUAACAACGGGAUACCAUCUUGGAAAACUUAUUGAUAUUUUUAUAAAGUGCUAAUGGACAGCUUAGCUUCUUACACAAAUUACAGAAAUGCUAAAAAACUAAUUUCAGAAACUCACGAUAUUUUUCCUACUAAGUGAUAAACCAAUCUAACAUUGAUAAAGCAUUUCAAUUUAUUUUCUUUUGGCAAUAGCAGGCAAUUAAUGGGUGAAGAACUAACGGGUUUGGGUAUCAGAGAACUACAAAGAACUCGCCUUGCUUUGGGUUUAGGGUUCUGUCGUCGAGCAAAUGGAACCGCGAUUCUCGGUGGAUGGAAGAUUGCGGACGGGAGGAGGGUCUCCGACGGUGGCAGUGCGUCCCUAGGGCGGUCACUAGUGGGCACGAGUUGGCCAAGGCGGGUGGCAGCUGGUUCUCCAAUGCGCUUUUAGGGUUUUGCCGCGAACAAAUGGAACCGCGAUUCUUGGUAGAUGGAAGACAGCGGACGGGCGGCGGGUCUCCGAUGGCGGCAGUGCAGCGACAGUCGUCACCGGUGGGCACGAAAUGUUCAGAGGCAGGUUUGCGAAAUGGACAACAUAUGCGGGUUUGCGAAAUGGACAACAGAUGCGGGUUUGCGAAAUGGACAUGGGAUUUGGUUUGCGAAAUGUAUAUCAAAUUUAAAAUUUGGAACUUUCUCUCUCUGCUUCACAUCAGCGUUUCAUUUAAAAAUCAAAUUUCAGCUGGACGAAUCACAUUUAGACAUGUGUCUCGUGUCUAAAUGUUGUUUAAAAGUAUUGUUCAUAUAUCAUUUUCCUAUAUAUAUAUAUAUAUAUAUAUAUAUAUAUAUAUAUAUAUUUAACGACCAAAAAAUAUUAACUGUAUUUUUUCAAUCGAAUAAAGACAAUACAUCAUAAUCCAUAUAUCCUUUAUUUGUCUAUUUUCAAUUCUUAAAAACAACUUCGGAAACUAAAACUACAUACAAAUUUGAAUUUGAAUAUGUUUGAUGCCACAUAUAGUUGAAGAAAAAAAGAAAACACGAGGGCAUAUUUUUUCAACGUGAGACACGUAAGAAUCUAUCUCAAUCAAAAUGAUAUUGUUUAUUAAAGAAGACGCCUUCCUUUGCAGUUUCGUCACUAAUGUAAGAUUAGCUUUAUUUAAGUGCUGACGUCAUCCAGGUGACGUUAUCAGCCUACGCCAUGUGCGUGAAAUCAACCCCAAUCGUGCUUUUUCCGAUACCAUUAAUAUUUUAAUUUUUUUACAAUAUUAUUAUUUAACGGUGAUGAAUGUAAUUUGUCGUUUUCAUGUGUUAAAAUACUAUUUAUUAAAUUCUAACUAAUGAUAAAAUUAAUUUAUAAUAUAUAAAUAAAUUAUAGAUUUCAUUUUAGAACAGAAUAAGUUAAAUUUAAAGUUUACUUUUAACAUAAUAUAAAAUUAUGAUUAAAAUCUAUUAUAUCGAGUUUUAAGCAGGUAUUUAUGUUUUCACCGUUGAUCACCGUGUUUUGAUAAUUUUUUGUUUUUUUCUUUUAAAUUCAGUGUUUCAUUUUUGUUGGUUGAAAAAUUGACGAUUCUGCUUUCUCCACCGCGUGUGUGGUGCAUUUCGUUUUCGUAGUCUCCAACACAUUGAACGACCCUCGAAAUCAGAGUGCCUAAAGUGACUCCACCCAAUGCUUUUCAUUGACUCACUUUUACUACAUAACAUGGUUUAUCGUAUGGAAUAAAAUUCAAUAAAAUAAACAAAUAAUAACAUAAAACAUAAUUUAAAUAAAGUUCGGAUACUAAAAUCAUAAAUUCGAAAAACCAAUGGAAAUAUAAAAAAAAAUAAUAAGUAAACGAAUGAAUUAGACUUAUGUUAAAAUUCAAAUUAAAAUCUCAUUAAAACCAUAUGGUAUAUGGUGAAAUAUUUUUGGGUCAAAUCACUAUAUGUCCUAUUCUUAAACAAAUACAUAUCAACAUAUACUCGAUUUAUUUUUAUUUGGUUAGGACAACAUUAGAUAUAUAUGAUACUUAGUCAUUAUAAUUAUAAAUCCAAAAUAUAACAUGUAUUUUAACAAUCGGUCCAAGUCUAUUUAAAUAAAUAAAAAAAACUCAUACAAUAAAUAUAAAUAACAAUUUUUAUGAAGAAUAUGAUUUAUGUUUUAUUAGUUAUACAAUUAUUAUCUAUUAACAUGAAAAAUUAACUUAAACGUUAAAUGUCUCUUCAAACAUAACUUUUUUUCAUUUUAAGGAAAACGAGAAAAAAAAAAGUACGGUAUAAAAAUAGAAGAUUAAAGACAUUUAAGAAAAAACUGAAGCCUUUCCAAGGUAUGUUAUCAUUAUGUAUAAAAAACUUAAAAUAAAAAUAGGAUGAUUCAAAUUUUAAUUUUUUAAUUAAAUCCAAGCUAUUAAUAAUAACUAAUCUAAAAAUAAAGCUUGAAGACUGCAAAUCAACCUAAUUUGCAACGCGUUCAGUCUGAAUGAGUUGAUCCAAAUAAAUCCACAGAAACCAUUUGAAACCAAAUACUCUAGAAAAACGGUUUUGCGGUUCUACUUAACGAAUUAGUCAAAAAUGUGUGUGACAUUGCAAUUGCUUUUAAAAAUCGAAGUCAACGUAAUAAUACUGGUGAAAAAAAAAAUAUGGUGAUAAUAAGAGGAAAAAUUUAAACGUUCAAAAAGACAACCAUUAUAUACUUUCGAGAUGAACUGUCAAAAGUUUUUUUAAGAAAUUUAUAUUUUUAUAAAAUAAAAGUAUUUUCAACAUAAAAAAAGUAAUUUUUUUUAUUAUUUAUUAACGAUUUUUUAUAUUGAAUUAUCUUAUCCAAGGUAAAAGAAACCGGAGACGCCCACUAAAAAAGGUUUUCUUGCAAACUACGCAAAGAGGUUGAAAUCAGAGUUCCAUUAAAAUUUCAAUUUCUAUUUCUAUUUCUAUAUAUAUAUAUAUAUAUAUAUAUAUAUUUCAACUUCUUACAUAAUUUAUUUCACUAUUCUAUUUGCUUAAAUUACUUAAUUUAAUUAAAAUAAUUGAUUAACUCAAUAAACUAUGACAACUAUUUUAUGUUUUUAACUUCAUACUAUCUAUCUCCAUACACUAUCUAGUAGUAUAUAUUAUUCCGCAUAUGCAUAUAAUUUUUACAUUUAGUAUGUAAAAUAGUUUUUAGAAUCACAAUACAUAUACGAUGUAUUAUAAUGUGAAAUUUCAUUAUGAUUUUUUCUUUAAAUUUUAUUUAAGUUGUCUUAAGUCUCAACUCUUAAAAGAUGUGAGACUGAGUAUGGUAAGAACAUAAGUCCCUAGUUGAGAUCUAAGGAGAAUGAUUGAUCAUUCCAAAUGGAGGGCUUAAGGAACCGAUGGUUCGUCUAAAAAUCUCAUUAUUGGUUCCACGGUGGGUGUCACUAUUCUAAUCCUAAGUUCGCUGAGUGACAUCAUUAGGGUUAAUCAUUUUAAAUUCGAGAUAUUGUCUGCUUUUGAGCAUGAAUUUGCGAACAUGUGGCAAGAUCCUGGCGGUGGUUGAAAGCUCUUCCUGGUUAGGAUGAACUUCCUUGCUGCUCAUAGGGACCCGACAACUUACAGGGACUGCUGACUGCCCCCACACAUCAACACGAGGCUUUCCAGUGUGCUUUGUCCUCACACACACUUUCCGAGAAAACUUCCCGGAAGGUCACCCAUCCCAUAAUUACUCUAGGCUAAGCAAGCUUAACCAUGGAGUUAUUAUGAGUUAGGCUACCGAAAAGCAAAUGCAUUUUGGUGAUAUGAGUAGCCAAAUCAAUUCCUUUAAGCUAUCCUUCAACUGUAUAGUCACAUACCUAUACAGUCUUUACAUCCCUCUCAUUUUGGUGUAUGUUCGAUUCGUCCACGUGCCCCUUCCACUGGAAGCUUGCUAGGAGCCGCUCCUUGUCCAUACCUCUUGCACCGGCGAUCACUCCACGCCCUCGUCAGUGCCCGGGUGUCACAUGCCCACCAGCUUCCGCAUGGUUCGUCCUCGAACCACACCGUACUGGGAGAGGCUAGGCUCUGAUACCAUUUGUAACGCCCCGGCAACUUACAGGGACUGCUGACUGCCCUCACACAUCAACACGAGGCUUUCCAGUGUGUUUUGUCCUCACUCACACACUUUUCGAGAAAACUUCUCGGAAGGUCACCCAUCCCAUAAUUACUCUAGGCUAAGCACGCUUAACCAUGAAGUCAUUAUGAGUUAGGCUACCGAAAAGCAAAUGCAUUUUGGUGAUAUGAGUAGCCAAAUCAAUUCCUUUAAGCUAUCAUUCAACUGUAUAGUCCCAUACCUAUACAGUCUCUAGAUCCCUCUCAUUCCGGUGUAUGUUCGAUUCGUCCACGUGCCCCUUCCACUGGAAGCUUGCCAGGAGUCGCUCCUUGUCCAUGCCUCUUGCACCAGCGAUCACUCCCCGUCCUCGUCAGUGCCCGGUGUCACAUUCUGCACCAAAUUGUAUUAGUGAAUUGUGUUUAAUUUUCCAUUGUUGUUUCAUUUUCACUAUUUGAGUUUAAUUUGACUAGUAAUUCUUAUUUUAAUUAAUUUGAAUUAUUUGAGCUUAUUUAUUCCAAUUAUGUUUUGCAGGACAAUUUUGGAAUUAUUAUUGGGACUUCAAGAGGGCCGCCACAUCAUUUAUUAUUUUUCACAUCAACAUUUGUUUUUAAUUUCCGUUUGUAAUUUAGUUGGGUCCAUUUUUGGGCAGAUUUAGGAGAAGCCCAUAUGGAGGGCGUUUUUAUCUUUUGGGGUUAUUAAUACCCAAAAUCAGAUUUAGGGAUUCCUCUCUCUUAUUCACUUUCAUUUCCACCCCCCUCUCCCUUCUUCCUUUCUUCUUCCAUUUUUUUCGUUUUAGGUCUUGGGACAUUCUCCAUUUUUCCCCCUUUUGGGGGUUUAGGUUUGUUCUUUCAUUCUCUUUAUGUAUUAAAUCAUUUUGCUUCCAAUUGCAAUUUCAAUUUCAUUUUCUACCCUUGCUUUUAUGUUUCUAGUUCUUGCGUUUACGUUUCCAGUUCUUGCAAUUUCAAUUUCCAGUUCAAAUUUGAUAGUCCAGUUUCGUUUAUUCUUGCAUUUUUGGUUCUAGUUUCGUUUCUGCUUGCAUUUUCGUUUCCAGGUUCGUUUUUUUCACCCUAAUUUCGUUUUUGAUUUUAGUCUUGUUCUCCUUUGUUGUGUUGAUGUUUGUAGUUAGUUUUUUGUGUUUGAACUCGUAUUUGAUGGAAGCUUGAAUCGUGUUUGGUUGGUCUUAAUGCGAUUGCAACGUUUUUCUUUGAGAUGUUGGUCUAUCAUUAUGAUUUUGUUGUUCUGACCUACUCCAUAUUUAAUUAUGUUAUGUGCUUGUAAUUGGGGACAUUUAGUUGUCUAAUUGCAUUUAAUCUUCGCUUAGUCGAUUAAACCGCAUUUGCUUAAUCUAUGGCAGCGUGGACAUGAUUAAAUGAGAGUAUAAUGUUUGCUUAAUUCACAGUUUUGACGACCGAAUUAAUCUUCGCUUAGUUGGUUAAUUCGUGUUGAAUUACGGGUUAGAGUAGUGGGUAAUUGUUGUUAAUCUGUGAUUGGAAGCAUUGCAAUUGAUCUAGUGACCAACCGCUUUUAAUUAGUGAUUGAAUUCGUGCUUUAAUUUGGUUGACUUUAGUUCAUAAAACUGUCCAAAAACUACCCCCACCAUGUGUUUGACCUAUUGCCUGAACCAAAUGUUGAUCCUUGAAAGACGACCUAGGAGUCACUUCUUAGUUGAUUUGCACUUUAAUUGCAUAUUAAUUUGAUUCGGAUAUGGCGUCGAUCAGAGAUCCACCUGCAAAAGACUCUUCGACACUCAAGCCAGUAAGAAAGUGUAAGAUCUAUUAGUAUGAGUAUGAGAUGUUGAGUGAGUAUUCCUUAGAGAAUACUAGUUUUAUUUAUAGGAUCUACAUGGACCUUAUACCUCUGUUAUCAUUGAAAAGAUACUUACCUCAAGUAUAUAGUAAUUGUGUAGUUAAUAAUAACAUAAUAAUACCUCAUCAUUAAUAUAACCACAUUACCAAACUACCGAGAUUGGUAAUGAUAAUGGAUAUUGCCCCAAUAGAUGUAGGUUUAGGUUGUUUUAGGGUGAAAAAACUUAAUGAACCUUGUUGAGCCAUGCUUUUUAGUAUGUUCAUUUGGCCUAGUAGGAACAAAUAUUUAUAUUAUCUCAUUGGAAGCUAACAUCUAUAUAUAAGAAACAAUAUUAGUAAUUCAACCUUAACUUCCAAUAUCAGGAUUGUUCAUUACAUGUACACUACAAAGUAAAAGAGAACAUAAUUCAGUUUCGUAUUACUGAAUAUCUUAAUCUACAUUAUUUAAAGGUUUAAUGUUUCAGUAGGUCCCUUUUUUCGUCCAGAAUCUCAAAUAGGUCCCCUACUUAUUCGGUGUCUCAAUUGGGUCCUUAUUUUUGAAAAAAAUGAAAUAAAUAGAGGCUUGCCAUCAAAUUGGACAAACUUCAUUUAAGAGGCUCUUACAUGGCAUGUUGACAUUUUGUUUCGCCUAAGCUAAAGGUUCUCUUGGGCGAGAUAUGUAUGUUGAGACUUUGGCAAGCUUACCAAAUCAUUCAAGUAGUAAAACCGGUAAGACCGGGUAUCGUUUCCCAAGAGACUCGUAAUACUAGAGAAUUGUGCGAUUAACAACUCAUCUAGACUCAAGAACAACUCAACAUUUAAGAAUAUGUGCAAAAUGAUAAAUUCACAAAUAAUUACAACGUUGGACUUUGGUAUUGAAGGCACUUAGAAAUGGAAAAGACUAGAAAUGGUAUGAAAUGACGAUGUUAAAGUUAGUUUUCACCAAUUCACUCUUGUGUAUACCCAAUUUCAUCUCCUCUCCAUCAAUUUACUAAAGUCAAUCCAUUACAACACUCUAGCCCUAAUCCCUUAGGUGAAAGAGCCUAGGUUUUCCUAUCAAACUCCAAUCCCUUGGAAAAUCUAACAAGCAAAACCCGCAUUAAGAACUAGGAUCUAAGACAACAUGUGAAUCAUCNAAGCAAAACCCGCAUUAAGAACUAGGAUCUAAGACAACAUGUGAAUCAUCUUCCAUCCCUAGAAUCAAUGAACCACAAGGACUCUUGUUUCAGUUCUGGGUUCCAUCUUACGUCCCCAUAACCCAUGAAACCCCAAAAUCAAGUCAUGAACGUCCCCAUUACAUGCAAGUUUUAAGACUAGAAACAAGAAUACUAGCAAUUGAUAGAAAAGGCAUAUACAUGUUCAAAUCAUUCAACAAAUACACAAGAUUCAAAGGCUACAACUAACCCCAACAAGAUGGGUUUGGCUCUCCAUUUCCAUGGAGAGCCUCCAAGCUUACAACAAUGGAAGAUGGAAGAAGAAUGAGACCCAAGGAGGGAGAAGGAGAUGUUCCCACAUGCUCCACGCAGCCUCCAAGAGCUCCAAACAGUGAAGUCGCGCCUCCAAACCACCAAAGACACUCUCCCUUCGCGUUUUAGGUCUAAAUAGACUAAAUUUUCCACAUCAGCAGCGCCACCGCUCAGCUGCACCUCAACUGCACCCCAGCUGCAGACUUCCAGAGAGCUGGGCGCUCAGUUGCACCCCAGCUGCACCCCAGCGGUAGCCUUCCAAAGAGCAGGGCGCUCAGCUGCACCCCAGCUACAGCAUUCCAAAGACAGAUAUAGCUCAGCCAUAGCCCAGCUGCAGCCUAGCUACAUCAUUCCAAAAUUCUCUCUUUUUGCUAUUUUACUUGCUUUUGUGGCUGGUUCAAUUCUUUACUUUGGUGGAGGUUCUUCCAAGCAUAUUUUAGGCUGCAAAAUAAGGGGAUUAGUGGUGAAGUUACAUCAAAGUGGCCCAAAACACAAUUAUUUAGAAAAUUAAGAGAAAAGAGAGGAUUAAGCAAGUUAUAAGCUAGAAAGGAGUUGGUUUGCUACUAAAAAUGAUGCUUAGAUAAUGGUAAGAAUUAGUAUUAUCAAUGUAUUGGAACAUUUUCGCUUAUGCUAAAAGUAAGUUUCCUGGGCGAGAUGACCAGAAAGAAAGUGGCGAGUAUAAUCAAAUGUAUGAAAGCCAAUUAAAUCAGAGUUCAACAAACCCCUCAAAAUUCCAUCCCAUACUAGUAAAAUUCGGUAUAUUUCAGAAGAAGGGAAAGGACUAUGUAGAAAGAAUCCAAGCUUAACCCCAUUAUACCGCUUCCUCAAGAAAGUAGGCAAAACCAUUAAGUAAUAGUCACGAACCCAAAAAAAAUCAUCAUCAAAAUUAAUUACUUUCAUGACCUUGUGUGUAAAUAUUUUGUUUGCAGAAACAUAGGCCUGCCAAAGUAUUAUGUCAAAGCGAUCACCAUGAUCUGGGCAUAUGAGUAACAUAUAAUAAAAGAGAGGCCAAAGUUGCUGCUUACAGAAGCCAGGGUAGAACUUCAUCUUUUAAUUGUAAUAAAAUUGAAUCAUCAUCCCAACUGAAGAAUCAUUUAAUAGUUUCUAUAUCUCUUUUAGCUUGCAAUGGCAACAUGUUUGCAACAAUGAUUUUUCGCUCCCUACACCCAGAAGAGCUAACAUCUAAAUCACCAUCAUUACAACCAUAACCAUCCAGUUAAAAAAUAAUUCCAAGAACGUUCAUAACCCUUGUAAGAGCUCUUGGAGUGUGAGGAAUAUCAAGCAAGUCCCCAUUAGCCAAGUCUAACAGAUUAUCAUAUGAUCUCGAAGCCAUGAAUGGAUAAGACCUUUCUAUAAUUCUUUCUAUCAGUUUUGCCAUAACGAUAAUAAAUAUGAAUAUCAAGCAAGAUUCCAAAUAACUAUCCUACAAAUAAUAUAACAAUGGCCUCCAAGUAAAUUAAAAUGAAAAAGACGACAUUCUAUAACAUUCAUCAAAUAUUUAUCCAUUAAAAAAUUGUUCAAAAUGAAAAGAAUGUUCCUUUCUUAUCUCGCCUAAGAAACUUAGUUUUAGCUUAAGCAAAAAGGCUCCACUACAUAUCUCGCCCAGGCGAGAACGUUUAGCUUAGGCGAAAAUACUGUCAGCAUGUCACGUAAGAGCCUCUUAAACGGCGUUUGUCCAAUUUGACGGCAAGCCUCUAUAUGUUUCAAUUUUUAAAAUAUAAGAACUCGAUUAAUACACCGAAUAAGUAAAGGACCUAUUUGAGAUUCUAAACGAAAAAAGAGACCUACCACAAUAUUAAACCUUAUUUAAACUAUUGAUGAAGAAAAAAUAUUUCUUUUUCUUAAUGAGUUUUGGCACUAUAUCAUGACCACAAUUGGCCAUAACUCCUUCCAAAUUAUCAACAUAUUCUUAAUCCAAUACACCACAUCACGUAUAUCCAUUCAUUAUAUAUCUAAAUUCAAGUUCAUAUACUUUAUUUCAUACAUAUUCAUUCAAUUAUUUCAUAGAUUUACGCACACUCGUCGCAUAUAAACAUAAAUUACAAUAGAAUAAAAGCAUUUGAUAGUGAACAUAAUUAUGUUGCUUGAGCGAGAUAUUGCUACUUAAGACAAUCAUUUUCACCAAAUAAGAUAAGACUCCUUGUGGACUCUCAAGCUAUAAACUCAUCGCUUGAGUUAUACCUCAUGAGUCAACAUACAUAUCUUGAGUGAUAACAACUUUAGAAAAUAGAGAAUUAGUACAACUCCUUUACACUUAAGCAUUCAAACUAGCAUUUGAGUGUUUGACUUACAAUAAAAAAGAACCAACUCAAACAUUAUAAGUAACGACAAGGUUUAUUUCUUGAACAAUAGGAUUGAUAGGAGAGAAAAAAAAACAACAAAUUGAAUAAUAAGUAAUGGAAGAAAAACCUUUAUAAAUGUAAUUCCACAACUUUUAAGAUAAAUAUAAUCAGAAAUCAACUGAUUCUCGUUAUGUUAAACUACUCUGCCAAAUACUAUAAUUUAUAUAUUUAACAUUAUUGACUUUUAUAAAUUUUAAUUACAUAAGACCUACAACGUUUAAAAUACAUUAUUUUUGGAAAAUAUAUAUGUACCACAGUGACCGAACGGUCCUAUAUAAUAAUACACACCAAGUAGGCCGGACGUCAUUGAAGAAUGGGAAACGGUUAAAUGGUGGAAGAAUGUGGCUAGAUUGACAGGUAAGACCAAACGACCACAAUAAGGGAAGUUCGGCCUUAUUCGGUAGCUUUACAAAGAUUAAGGUAAAUGAUAAUUAGUAGUAAUAGGCUGAGAAUGGGUCGAUAUUAAGAUGUCACUAAUCUCAGACCCAUAAAAAACUAUAAAUACAGGUCAAGGAUAAGAGGUAAGUGAUCACAUUUACUAUGUAUUUAAUACUAUUGCUUAGAUUACCGUACGAGUUAUGUACUGACUUAAGCAUUAAAGAAUUUCUGACAGAUAUCCCUCCGAACGGUUGAAAUUAAGAUGAAGACAAGACGGAGAUUCAACCACCCAAACAACUUAAGAAGAAAUUGUGAAAAAGUUAAAAAUUACUUUAUCCUAUAAUCGAAACAAUAUAUUAACUAAAAUAAAAGUGACAUAGAUAAUGUGAUGAAAUAUUAGUUUGGGGUUAGUAAUAGUUAUGUAAAUUUUUUGACAUUGUCAUUGAAUGUGAACGUAAUCGUUUUUAUGAAUUAAAAAAAUGAGAAAAAAAUAGAGCCGUCAAAAUGGGUCACAACCCGCGAGCCAACCCGGCCUGUCACGGGUUCGGGCCGGGUUGGGUUUGAAAAAUACAACCCACUUAUAUGCGGGUCAGAUUUCAACCCGGCUCAUUUAGACCCGACUCAUGCGGGUUGAACCCAUGGUGAGCCGGGUUAGCCCACCAACCCACCUACCUAAUUUUAUUUUUUUAAUUUAUUAUUUUAUUUAUGAAACCCUAAAAAAUAAAAUAAUUUCUUCACUCACUGUGUAUACCAAAAAAGUAAACCCUGCUCUCACAAAUCACUCUCACGGUACUUGCUCUCAUUUGACGGUGCUCUCACCCUCACUUCACUGAAAUUCUUCAAGGAGCAGGUAAAACACCGUUCCUUUUUUUUUUUUUCUCUUUUCUCCACAAUUUUGUUUUCUCACUUCUCUUUCUUUUUUUUUUUCAAAAACCCUAUAACGACAAAAAUAGGGGUUUGCGAAUUUGUUUUUUGUUCUGGGGGAUUUGAGGAGAUGGAAUGGUUUUUUCAUAUUCUGACAUGCUUGUAUAAGAUUUUGUUCAUUUUAUUUAAACAAUUUGAGUAUACAUUAUUUGAACAAAUUCUUUUUGAUAUCUUUGAAUUUGAGAAAUUAUGUUACAGAUUAAACUAUUAAUUUUUUGUUGAUGUUGUUGAAUACUGGUUCUUUUUUUUUUACUAAUAUUUUUUUUAUUGAUUGUCAGAAUUGUUCUAAUAUUAGGAAAAUCUUUAUUAGUGAAUUUGGAGACAANAAGAACAAGGGUCAAGGGUUACAACAAUAACAAAAAAUUAUGAAUAUAAAAAACUUAUUUAUAUGUUUUUUGUGUUUGUUUUUUAAUGACAUUUGGAUUAUAUUGUACUUUUUAUUAUUAUUUUGAAUUGUCUUUGACAUAAUUUUUUGGGAAUGAAAAUUGUUUAAAUUUAAAUUAUAGAAAGUUUGUAUUUUUUUUUAUUUUAAAAAAAUAUAAUUAAACGGGCUAGUGAGCCAAUCCGUUUACCCACCAACCCGUGGUGGGUCGGGCCAGGUUCAAGUUUUUCUGGCUCGCUAAUAAAUGAGUCGGGUUGGGUUGACUCACUAAGUGACCAACCCGUGGUGGGUCGGGCCGGGUCGAGCCGGGUUACCCAUUUUGACAGCUCUAAAAAAAAUUCAGAGAAUUCCUUUUUCAUUGUCUACGUUGUGGAUACCAUUUAUUAUGAAGAGACAAUCUUUCAUUCGUUUGUUAUAAAUUAUUUUACCGCAGUCACUGUAAAAUUAUAAUUUACAUUUUUUUCCCUCAAAUAGAUCAUGCAGUUCGAUGUUUGAUUUUUGUUAAAAGUGUAUUUCCUAAAAAAGUGUGUAAAAAUUAUAUUUCAAACAAAACUAUUUCCGAAAAGAUAUAUGCGAAACAAUAAAUAAAUAAAUAAAAGAAACGCACUGAGAUAUCGUAUUAUAGUCGAUCUUAAUUAUUUUAAUACUCUAGCACUUUCCAUGAAUCAUGGCAUUGGCAAAUAGGGCCCAUAUAGUGCAUAGAAAAUGGAAAUACUAAAUAGGUCCCAUACACUAUAAUAUAAUUUUACUUUACAUGUGUUUAAAAGAAUGUUAAAGUAUUGGUUUUACAUUCCUUUAUAUAAAGGUUAAACAUUUGGAAGAAUAUAAUAUUAAAAUAUUGGACUAAGUAAUCCAGUAUCUUCAUUUUCUUUUUAUUCUUCACUCUUGUUCAUUUUUCCACUACUGUUUACAACACUCAGUAAGUUUUCUUAACCAUCCAUUUAAAAGAUUAAAUUAAAACAAGUUCAUACUAAUUGAUGAACAUGUUUCUUUAAAACAUACAUUAUCAAUUUAAAAUAUAUAAAUAAAUAUAAAUUAUAUAAAAUUGAAUUAAGUUUAAAAUUUAAUUUUUAACAUUUUGUUAGACAUAUUAUUUUAUCAACUCGAUAUAAUUAUGAAAUUGAGUUAAAUUUUAAAAAAAUAAUGCGAAAAGGACGAAUGAAGAUGUGGACACUUGGACACUGUUGUCUUUCUCAUGUGAAUGGAUGCAAAACUGUGUUUGCAAGCAGUCUUAAUAAAAUGGAGUGGGUCCAUGGGUCCAUGGGUCCAUCCUUGGAUUAUAUAAGUUCUGAUUCAUGAUUGGAGAUGUCAGAACACAUGAUACGCGUUUCACCUCUACUGUAUCAAAAACAGAGGAACCCAAUUCUCUUUUGCUUUCACCUCAUUUCUCUAUCUUAACUUGCCUCUCUGAAACAAAGAUAUUCCAACACCACCAUGGUAAGAGCUCCCUAUUUUGAUAAAAAUGGAACCAAGAAAGGAGCAUGGUGUGAAGAAGAGGACAAGAAGCUUAUUGCCUAUGUUCAGAAACAUGGCCACCCCAAUUGGCGUCAACUUCCAAAGUUUGCAGGUUUUACAUCACUCUCAAUCAAUCAUCAGAUCAAUUUAGAGUUUCUUCAUUCAUCCUUUUUACUUUUCUAACAGGGUUGCAAAGAUGUGGAAAAAGUUGCAGACUUCGAUGGAUGAAUUACCUCAGGCCAAACCUAAAACGAGGGAACUACACCCCCAAGGAAGAGCAAAUCAUCACUGAUUUGCAUAAAAAGCAUGGAAAUAAGUACGGCUUUUGUUGCUUCUAAUUAAUUUUCAAAGUUUUAAGUUUUUAGUUCAUAUUCACAAUGUUUGUCAUCUUCUUUUAUAUUGCUGAAAAUGUCGCCCACAAAUAUUCUGGAUACUGUCGCAGCUACGUUGUAAUGAGUCAGAAAAUCUUGAUUUAAAGUCCAAACCAGUUUUUAAAAGGAUAAAGUUUAUAUGUUUCAUAAUGUUAAAGUUUGACUUAUGUAACAAGACGACAAAUCUAAUUUGAAUUGAACAACAAUGCUAACAAAGACGUCUGUGACAGUGUACAAAGGAUUUGUGUUUUUCAAAACCAUGUUACUUACUUGCUUAAUUAUUCAAUUUUGUCAUGUCGUUUUGUUGGUUUGUUGAAUAGUUUCCACUUCAAGUAAAGGCAUCAAAUAUAUGAACCAGUUCUAGUUUUGGUGCUACUGUUAUGUAUAAAAAAAGAAAGAACUAUUCAACAUCUUCAAUUGUUUGAUAAUUGUUCAUUACAAUGAGAAUUCAGUGAAUAAAGGGUAUUUUACUGAUUUGUAUUUGGUGUGAAAUUUGUGUGAUAGAUGGUCUCUGAUUGCUGAAAGUUUACCCGGAAGAACAGACAAUGAGAUAAAGAACUAUUGGCACAGCCACCUAAAGAAGUUCGAAAACAGCAACAAUAACAGCUCUUGUGAUGAAGAUUUGAAGUCCAAUGGAUGCAAAGAGUUUGAAAUGGAAAUGAACGAGGCUCAUAGUGUUGAAUCUCACAACAUUUUGGAGAGUUCAGUGUCAAUUUCCUCAGAAACUUCCUACACCGACCACAAUUCCCCUUGUCUUUCAUUUUGUUCAAGUCACACAGAAUCAACCAUGAACUUGUGCAAGGAAGAAGAAAGUGUUGCUUCAUGGGAAACAUUGGAUUUAGGGUUUAGUAGCAAUUUCUGGACUGAACCCUUUAUUUCAGAAAACGCACUUGAUGAAAAUUAUUUUGACAUUUCCUCUUAUGGGACAGAACCAUUUUACUUGUGGUAAUUGUUAGUCUAGAAUACGCUUGAAGUUAUAGAAGUGGUCUUGCACAUUUGCUCGUAUGUUCUUGAUUUUGGAGGAAAUUUUGGAAAUAAGAGUUGACUCUUGUUUUCCUAAUUUCCUUAAGGGGAAAAAAGAAAAGAGAUUUGUGUGUCAGCAACUUGGUUUUUGAUUUUGAGAACGACAAUCACUCAUGUUGAUGAGGGAAUCGGAAUGUAUACUAUAAAAUUACAAAAAUCAAUUGCAUAUAAUUUUGACAUACUUUCAAUUUUACAAUAUUAGCUAAUUAAAAGUUGCUUUAGAAGUAAUUAGUGUAAAAUUAAUAAUCAUGAUAUAAUGUUGUAUAUUUCGGUUUAUGAGAUUUAGAUUAGUUUUUUUUUUUCGUGACAGAACUUCAAGCUCGAGUCAAAGUUUUUCUUUUACUUCAUAUUGUUUGGUUAAACUAUACAAAAAUAUACGGAUGCUAAAGUUAAUAAAGAUUCAAUAGUAUUAGUAAUAAAUGUAUAAAGAAUGUAAUUAUUUAUCACAAUUUUAUAUACCUGUAUUUAUAGAUUUCAAUAUGAGCUUCUCAUUAGCACUGACUUAAUUAUGACUCAAUUAGUAAUUGUUUGAUUUAGUCUUAACAUAAUCAUCCUUCACGUUAACUCUGAUUUUAGUCCAAUCUCAAUUCCUGUUAAAUAAUAAACUAAUCAACUGUCUAAUUUUUAAGCUGACUAGAGAAUCAUAGUAUACAUUAUAUACAUUUUAAUUAAAUUUUAUGUAAAAAACAAACAAUAAAAAAUUUAGUAGUUAUGUAUUCACUACCCUAGUAUAUUGUGAUCCAAAUUAUAUUUACUAUUGCUAUGACUUUUAAAUAAUUAUUACGAAGAAAACAAAUUUAUUAUUCUCGUCAUUCUAUCCGAUGAAUGUUUAUAUUAUGUUUGGAUAAAAAUAUUAUAUAUAUAACGGAAAUUUUUAAAUUUCUAUAUUUUAAAAAAUAUCGAAUUCUGUCCCAUAAUUUUUUUAAAUUUUAAUUUCUUUUAAACUUAACUCUCCAGUGACCAAAUUUUGUUAUAGAGUUUAAAUUUGUUAUAAAACUUAUUAUUUUCUAAAAAUUCUUCAUCCAAAUACAAUAUCAAGGUUCUUGCUAUAUUGAUUAAGAAGCAUUUUAGAUGUUGAAUCAAAUAAGAAAUAGGAAAGUGAUGAUGAUGUAAUAAAGAUGUUGGUUGUGUGAAGCUUUGAAAGUUUUAUCAAAGAAAAAUCCAGAAUGAGAAUUCACCAAGAUUUUCAAAACACAAGUCUAGACAAGCACAAAAACUGUUCCGCCUGCGGUCAAAAGUAAACGAACAAUCGACAACGGAAAAUAAAAUUAUCUUUAUUCUAAAAUUCUUAUAUUUAUAAUUUCUUUAAUUUUUAUAAUUUUCUUGUGUUACUUCUUUAAAUUAACCAUGUACCCAUAUCUAGAGCUUUGAUAGCUGUCCCGUUUUGUGGUUCUUUUUAUCAUUCCACAAUUUCAUUUUCCAAUAAUAUCCUCAUUGUUAAACUGCAUGUUUGGUUUUUUUUUCUGCAUUUCAUAUUCUAUUUUUUUUUUAAAUAAACCAAACUAUGUCGUUUUGUUAAAAAGAGCUUAUUUGUUAUUCUUGUACAUUGCCUUAUAAAGGCAACUUUCAUCUAAAUGAGAAUUACUCAGUUCUCGCAUUCUCUUACUUUUCUAGGCAACUUUCAUCUAAAUGAGAAUUAUCCAGUUCUCGCAUUCUCUUACUUUUCUCAAUCUCUCCUUUACUCUUUCUGUUGCAUUCACUUCAUACACCUCUGCAUUAUCAGUGCCUCAUGCUUCUGCAUUAUCAGUGGUAUCCAAAGCAGUAGUUUGUCGAUCCUGGGAGGCAUUGCUACACGUUGAAAGGAUGGCGAGGAUGAUCCAGAGUAACCUACCUAUAUUUGACGGAAAGAACUUCGAAGAUUGGUGCGUCAAGAUGGAUGUUAUCCUUGGUUUCCAGGAGAUUGAUGAAAUCGUGAAGAUUGGGUUUAAAGAACCCGCAAAGAACGCUACUGAUGAGGAAAAGAAGGCGUAUAAAGAGAAUAGAAAGUUAGACUGUAAAGCACGCAUGAUCUUGCAUCAAUGUAUUUCAGCAACAAUCUUCCAAAAGGGGUCCAAGGCCACGAUAGCAAAAGAAACUUGGGAGAUUCUACAGGAUGGAUAUGGAACUGCUGGAAAUAUAAAGGAGAUUAAGCUACAGUCACUGAGGCGGCAGUAUGAGCUUCUGAACAUGGGGGAACAAGAAACUAUCGGAGAAUACAUCGGCAGGAUCCAAGUGAUUGUCAAUACAAUGAGGGCAUGCGAAAAAGUUGUCAAGCACAAGAAGAUAGUCCAUAAAAUCUUGCGAACUCUAACGUCCCAAUACGUCCAUAUUGUCGUGGCUAUUGUAGAAAGUAGAGACUUGGAGAAAAUGAAAGUUGAAGAGUUGCAAAACUCACUCGAAGCCCAUGAACAACGGUUGUUAGAAAGGAAAACUGCAGAAAAAGAUGCAACUCAGAACGUGAAUCAGGCAUUGCAAGCUAAAAUUCAAAAGGGUCGCGGAUUUGGCAGAGGACAAGGCAGAACACGAGGCGAUCGUGGAGGUCGUAAUGGAGGAAGAUUCUCCAAUAACUCCGAACAGAUCAAAGAAGAAAACCACAACGAUCAAAGAGAAGGUAGUUAUGGGGGGCGUGGAAAACCCAGAGGUAGAGGCGGCAGAAAGAGCAUCGACAAAAGAAACGUGCAAUGUUUCACGUGUAGUAAAUUUGGCCACUACUCUUCCGAGUGCUGGCAUAACGAAAGCAACAAGAAAACCAAGAAUGACGAAGCUGCGAAUUUGGCACAAGAAACUUGCGAUUCAGAAUCGGAACACGUUGUAUUGAUGUGCGUUUCAGAACAAAAUAAAGAAAAGAAAGUAAACAUAAGAGAAGUGCGAGACAGGUGUCGCUGCAAAGAAGGACACAUGUUGCAACCAGAAGAAACUCAACAUGCAGAAAGUCGUUUGAGUAAUUUCGAACACGCGUUGCAACCAGAGAAGGAGAGUUGUGCAACGAAGAAUAUAGAAGUUGAGCGUGUGAUAAUGUCGAGCUUACACAACCACACCGAGAACGACUCAUGUUGGUAUUUAGACACCGGGUGUUCUAACCACAUGACCGAAAGAAAGGAGUGGAUGGUAAGUCUGGAUUUGAAGAAAAAGAGCACUAUAAGGUUUGCUGAUGAUAGUACCGUGAUGGCAGAAGGUGUAGGCAGAAUACUGAUCAAUUGCAAGAACGGUGGAAUAACCUACAUGGACGAUGUUCUGUACAUUCCAACGAUGAAAAGCAACUUGUUGAGUCUCGGUCAACUUCUUGAAAAAGGGUACACCAUGCACAUGCACAAGAAUCUGAUAGAUGUGUUUGAUAAGAAGAAGAGAAUGAUCUUUAAAGCAUCAUUGGCCAAGAAUAGAACGUUCAAAGUCAAUCUAAGCGCUGUUGCAAUACAGUGUUUAUCCUCUCUAAAUGUUGAAGAAGAAAGUUGGGCAUGGCAUUACAGGUAUGGGCAUCUGAAUUUCAGAAGCUUGGGAUAGCUGAAAGAUAAAAAUAUGGUGAAAGGUAUCCUUACAAUUGCUGCUUCACAUAAAAUCUGUGAAGGUUGUGUCAUUGGGAAGCAAACCAGGAAAGAGUUCAAGAAGGCUAUGAUCAAAAGAGCGAAAUAGCCUCUGGAAGUUGUCUAUUCUGACGUUUGUGGACCUCUCGACAUACAAACACUGGGAGGUAAUAAAUACUUCCUUCUAUUUGUUGAUGAAUAUACAAAAAGAAAUGGAUUUAUUUGCUUAAAGAGAAGAAGGAAGUCCACUCAUAUUUUCUUCAAUUUUGUGCCAUGGUCGAGAGAGAAAAAGCUCUGCAGAUCAAAGUCUUCAGAACUGAUGGAGGUGGAGAAUUCAACUCGGGAGAAAUUAACAAAUUCUGCCAAGACAAAGGAAUUGUUCAUGAGGUGAUAGCCCCCUACACACCCCAACACAAUGGCCUCGCCAAGAGAAGAAACAAAACUUUGCUGGACAUGACAAGAUGCAUGAUUAAAGGAAAGGGUUUGCCUCGAAGUCUAUGGGGAGAAGCGGUUUCAACUGCAGUCUACUUGUUGAAUAGGAGCCCAACUAAAGCCUUGGCUGAUUGCACCCCAAAAGAAGCUUCGACAGGAAGACAACCGUGUGUUCAUCACUUGAAAAUAUUUGGUUCGGUGUGCUACAAGCAUGUCCCAGUUGAAAGAAGGAAAAAACUUGAUGACAGAAGUGAGACUCUCAUCUUUGUAGGUUAUCACGCAACAGGUGCGUACAGGUUGUAUGAUCUAGAGAAGAGGCAGAUUGUGAUAAGCCGAGAUGUAAUAGUAGACGAGAGUGUUAUGUUCAAGUGGGGGGAAGCUAAGACUGGUUUGAAUUUAAAUUCUAAUGUUGUUGUUACUAGUUGGUUGGAGGAGAAGAAAUCUGAUGAGGUUGAAUAGACAAUUAAUGAUAAAGAAGUUAACUUCAGACGUUCACAAAGAACUCGUUUCCCAUCUUCAAGGCUUGCAGAUCAUGAAACUUUCACAGACAAUGAAGUUAUAGAUUCAAGUGAUAUUAUUCAUUACGCGUUGCUUGCUGAUGCUAAAACACUUGCAUGGGAACAAGCUAUCACAAUGCAAAAGUGGAAGGAGGCUAUGCUGGAUGAGUUGAGGUCUAUAGAGAAGAAUAAAACCUGGGAGUUGGUGGAGCUACCAUAGAACAAGAGAGCCAUUGAAGUCAAGUGGGUGUUUAAAACAAAGUACAAACCAGACGGGAGCAUAGCCAAGUUGAAAGCAAGGUUGGUGGCAAAGGGGUUCUUGCAGAAACCUGGAAUUGAUUUUACUGAAGUUUAUGCACCAGUUGCAUGAUUGGAAACGGUGAGAUUGGUUGUGGCUAUAACAAAUUUGAGAGGUUGGAAGAUCCAUCAAAUGGAUGUAAAAUCUGCUUUCUUGAACGGUCCACUUGAGGAGGAAGUAUAUAUAAAGCAACCACCUGGCUUUGUGAAGAAAGAUGAAGAGGAGAAAGUAUACCGUUUGCACAAAGCAUUGUAUGGCCUCAGACAGACACCUUGGGCCUGGAAUAAUCACACAAACACAUUGCUGUUAAGGAUGGGAUUUCAGAAGUGCCCUGUUGAAUUUGGUAUGUACGUGAGAUCUGUUGGUCAACAAGAAACAUUGUUGAUAUGUUUGUACGUAGAUGAUAUCCUCAUAACAGGAGGCUCCAAAGAAGAAAUUGCAAAGUUUAAAAGUAGCAUGAAAGAAGAAUAUGAUAUGACUGAUCUUGGGUAUUUGACUUACUUUCUUGGGCUGGAGUUUGUGCACAGUAAAGAUGGAGUUUUACUUCAUCAAAGAAGAUACAUAAAUGAUAUCCUGAAGAGGUUCAACAUGUUAAACUGCAACAACACUAUUGUACCGAUCAUGGCGAACUUAAGGCUGUCAAGUUUGGAAGAAGAAAGUCAAGUUGAUGCAACCCUUUACAAACAGAUACUUGGGUCACUCAGAUUUGUUUGUAAUAGUAGACCAGAUAUAAGCUUCGUAGUUGGCUUGGUAAGCAGAUUCAUGAGCGACCCAAGACAUACUCAUCUCACCACUGCUGAACAUAUCCUUCGGUAUUUGAAAGCUACAGCGGACUUUGGCUGAUUUUUUCCAAAAAAAAACUCAGCAGCAGGGAUAGAGUGUUAGAGGUGUGGAGCGAUUCAGAUUGGUGUGGUGAUCAGGUGGAAAGAAAAAGCACACAUGGUUACCUUUUCAAGUAUGGAGGAACGAAAAUCUCAUGGUGUUCUAGAAAACAGAAGGUAGUAGCACUCUCUUCCUGUGAAGUAGAGUACAUAGCAGCAUCUGAAGCAGUGUUUCAAAGUGUUUGGCUUGAAGCCAUUCUAGAUGAAUUGAAGGUUGAAUACAAGAAACCAGUGCAACUCUUGGUAGAUAACAAGUCAGCUAUAAGCCUCUCAAGAAAUCCAGUAUCACACGGUAGGAGCAAACACAAAGAAAUGAAAUUUCAUUACCUAAGAGAACGUGUCAACCAAGGGAAAUUAGAGUUGGUGUUCUGUCCCACUAAAGAACAAGCAGCUGAUAUCUUUACCAACGCCUUGAGAUAGGGAAGGUUUGAAAAACUGAGAAAUUUGGUUGGUAUUAGAAGUCUAAAGAGUUUGGUUUAAGGGGAAGUGUUGUAAAUAAACCAAACUAUGUCGUUUUGUUAAAAAGAGCUUAUCUGUUAUUCUUGUACAUUGCCUUAUAAAGGCAACUUUCAUCUAAAUGAGAAUUACUCAGCUCUCGCAUUCUCUUACUUUUCUCAAUCUCUCCCUUACUCUUUCUGUUGCAUUCACUUCAUACACCUCUGCAUUAUCAGUUAACAUCCUCGUUCUUAUUGCGGCGGGUGUAAAUUAGUUGUUUUUCUGUACUCUGUUCACUUGAGUGAAUUUGAAAGAAAGUAAUUGAAAGGAUUUGAAGAUAAUUUUUUUUUAUUUGAAUAGAUUUGGAGGUAAGUGAGAGUGAAUUUGAAAGUAAAUUUUUUUAAUCUGUCAUAUAAAUUAAAUCCUACAUUAAUUCUCACAAAUUUUAUUUCCAAAUCUACUCUCAUAUACCUCCAAAUCUAUUCAAAUAAACAACAAAAAGAAUUAUCUUCAAAUCCUCUCAAUUAUUCUCCCCAAAUCCACUCAAGUGAACAAGGCCUUAAGUUUUCUUUUAUAAUUUACCGUGGUGCCCUUUUAUCCUUUUUGAAGAUUAAGUUUUUUUUUUUUUAUUUGUCAUUAUUGUUAACUAUGGUAAUUCUUUUUUCAGUAGUGAUGUAAAAUAGAUCAUUCGACUCGAUCCACCACGGGUUGAUCAUUUAGUGAGUCAACCCAAUUCCACUCAUUUAUUAGUAAGUCAAAAAAACUCAAACUUGACCCGACCCAUCACAGGUUGAUGGAUUAAACGAUUUGACUCACUAGCUCACUUAAUUAAAAAAAUUUUAAAUAAAAAAAUUAUAAACUUUUGUAAUUCAAAUCUAAAUAAAUUUCACAUAAGACAAUUAAAAAUAAUAAAAAAAAAUUACAAAAUAAUAUUUCUUGGUAUACAAUCAUGGUAAAUGAGGAGAGUAUUUUGUAGGAUUUCGUAAGAUAAUAAAUUAAUAAAAUAAAAUUAUAUGGGUUGAUGAGUCAAUAAUGGGUUCAACCGGGAUGAGCGAGGUUUAAAUGAGUAGAAUUAAAAAUUGAUCCGCAUAAAAAAAAUACAAUUUUCUAAACUCAAUCCAGCUCAAACCUUUGGUGGGUCAAGUUAGCCCGCAAGUUGUAACUCAUUUAAGUUUUCUAUUAUUAAUUUACUGUGGUGCCCUUCUUUUUUAUAGAACCUAAAGUAAAAUGUCAAAUUUUGGUAGUUUUUUUUAGGUUUAAAUUAUUUGUCAUUCUUGUUAACUAUGGGAAGGUUUUCAAAUGAUUUUUUUUUUUUAAUUAUCUUCUAUUUAGGUCCUUAAACUUUAUUAUUUAAUUUUCAAUCAACUCAAUCUAUUUAACUAUUAUUACAUAAAACUUAUUAUUUACAUCCAUUUUGUGUAUGUUUGGUCAAAGAAACUUGUAAAAUACAGAUUUUAGAGUCAAUAAAAGUGAAAAGUUUAACCAAAAGAUAAUUUAAUACUCGUGUAAAAAUAUCAUUCUAUAUCAUCAUAUCAAAUUGUUAUAGAAAGAUAUACAAUGAUAUUUAUGUGAAUAAAAUAUGUAUAUUAUAUUAAUUACUAGUUUAACUAAUGUAAUAUUAACAUACACUAGAAAACUUGAUGUAAUAUAUAUUGAUUAGAUUAGUAAUUAGAGAUCAUAAUGUUUAUUUGUUAAUGUUUCAUUAUCCAUCAGGUAUUUAUUUAAAAAUAUUUUUGAAUAUUUUAAAAUUUAAAUAUUUGAAAAAAUUAUUUUAUAAAUUUUUAAAACAAAAUAUAAAUAAAAUUACAAAAAAUACAAAUUAAAAUUUAAAUACAAAUACAAAUUUAAUAUUAAUUAAACGUAUAUUAAUAAAAUAAAUUUUAAUUUUAAUUAAAUUUAAUUUAAUAAAAUAUAAAUUAAAUUUUAAUUUUAAUAUGUUAGAGAUACUUGUUAUGGAUAAUAUGAUACUCAUAUCUAACUUAUUUAUAAGUAACUAUUAAAAUAUCUACCAAUAUAAAAAUAAAGAUUCAGAGAUAAUUUUUUCAUUCCUAUUAAUAAACAAUUUCUUUGGAUUAACAUACUAUUUUGAUAUAGUAUUUAUAUAAUAUUUUAGUUCUUGAUUUAUUUACUUUUUAUUAUUCAAGUUUUAUUUAGAGACUCUUUCGAUUUUCUUAUAACUUAUUAUGAACUUGAAAAUAUCUACACAAAUAUUUAAGAAAUAAUACAAGAAUAGAAAUUAUAAGCAUAUGUAAGUUACGAAAUUGUUGUAACUUUUAACAAAAUUUAUAGAUAUAGACAAAUUUUAAAAACUUACAAAAGUAGAAAAAUCGUGUUUAAUAAACCUGACUUUAAAAUAAAGUAGUCGUAUUUACACAUGACUUUAGAAAUCAUGUUUUAGAUAUACAACUAUUUAUUACUAACAACUUCACGUUUUUACACAGUUAUGUCCAUUCCAUUCUAUUUUGUUUCACGAUUUUCACGUUUUUGUUUUUGUUUUUUCUUUUUACUUUAUUUCAUAGAAGUUAUGAAGUUAUUACACAACAUCUUCAUAUUCUUUUUUUCAAACUUGGCUUCUUCUUUGUUUCUAAUUCUUUUAUGUUACUUUAAAAUUUUUAUAUUAAUUUGAUUUAUAAUUUUUUUAUUUUUAAUGAUUUUUCAAUUUUUAUAUAUUCAUGUAUUUUCAAUUUUGAGAUAUCUAUUUAUAUAAUUCAUUUUUUUACUUUAAAUUAUUAUAUUUUGAAUAAUUUGACUAAUAAGUUUUUUAAAUCUUUUAAACUUGUCUAAAUUUUUUAUUUUAAUAUAAAUUUUUAAUAAUUUGAUUAAUAAAUUAAAAUUAAAAAUUUAUAUAUAUUUUUUACUUUUUACUUUUUUAAGUUUUUAAAAUUUUCUAUACAAAUAUUUUUAUUUUGUUAAGUAAUAUGAUUUUUAAAUGUUGUGUAAUUGUUAUUUAAAAACUUUGUUAAUCAAAUUAUUGAAAUAAUUUAUUUAAAGUAAACAAAAAAGAUUAAGUUAUUUAAAUAAAUAUCUCAAUAUUAAAAAGGUCAUAUAUAUAAAUUUGGAAAACAUUAAAUAAAUUAAAAAUUCUAUUAAUCUAAUUGAUGUAUAUAUUUUAAAAAAUAAAACAAAAAUUAUAUAAUAAAAAGGUAAAAUCAGUAUUUGAGAAAAGAAAACAGAAGUGGUGUAGUUACUUCAAGACUUCUAAAAGUUAAAUUAAAAAAAAUAAAAAUAAAAAUGAAAACAUAAAACGAAAUACAACAGUAUUAUUUAAAAAAAAAAUGUAUGAAAGAGUGGUUUACUAGUUGUACGAACUUUUGAAAAAUAAAAAUGAACCAAACAUAAUGACAACAAAAUGAAAUCAUUAUUAGUUUGUAUGAGUUUAAUAAUGAUAAAAAAUUAAAAUCACAAUUUUAUUAAAAUUGAAGUCGUGUUAAAAUAAUUCUUUUAUUUUAAAUUCGUAUUUUUUAAAUACAAUUUGAUUGUUUUUUAUAAUUUUUUAAAAAUUUACAUAUAUUAAAAAAUAAAAUACACCUAUAUCUUUUCGAUGAAAUUGACCAGCACUCUCUCGAGUGUUUCCGGGCAAAAGUGUUUUGGUUGUUUACUAAAAAACAAAGCAAAGUAUGCAAACAAAAAGUUGGUGGUUGCCCUUAAACACUCAAUAGUCUGAAAAUAUAUGAUAAAAUUUUCAACCAUAUAAAAUCUUGCAAUCCUUCAAAUGGAAUAGAAAUAAAUUCCUAAACAUUCUUGUGGAUAUGAGGGAGAAUAAUUGAGUGAAUGUGAAGAUGAUUUCUUUUGUUGUUUAUUUGAGUAAAUUUAGAGGUAAACGAGAGCAUAUUUGGAAGUAACGUUUGUGAGAAUUAGUGUAGGAUUUAAUUUAUAUGAUAGAUUAAAAAAAUUUACUUCCAAAUCCACUCUCACUUGUUUCCAAAUCUAUUAAUAAACAACAACAAAAUUUAUUUUCAAAUUCUCUCAAUUACUCUCCCUCAAAUCUACUCAAAUGAACAAGACUUUAUCAAAACCUUUAUGAAGACAAAACUCGACAAAUAUUAAAAGAAAAACUGAAAAAGAUAAAAAGAGAAAAGUUAAAAAAAAAAAGACAUUAGAUGAAAUAUAAAAUUUGAAUAAAUAAAAUACUAUACCUACAAUAUUAAUAAAGGAAUUAUCAUUUAAUUUGACUAAAAUGAAAUUUAAAAUAAGAGACUGAAAAAAUAAAUACUAAAUUUGAUCAAAAUAAAAUUUAAAAUAAAAAAAACUUGAAAAUUAAAUAAUAUAAAUAUAAGUAUGUAAUGUAUUUACGAAUUUAACAAGUCGGAACCAUCUGAAAUUAUUAUUUAUGUUAACAUUUGUGGGUGGUUUAUUCACAUUAUUGGAAAGUGCUUACAGUAUAAAUUGACAUUAUUACCUCACUGAAACAAUGUAAAGGAAAUGAAAUAGUUAGAAGCACUCUGUCAACACUGUGCAUAGGUGAAAUUAUGUAUGAACAAUGCUAACAAAUAACGUUUUCCACUUGCAUAUAUUACUUUCCACUUCAAUGACUCUAUUCAUAUUUUACAUUAUUACAAAAAAUAUUUAAGUAUACAUGUUUCUUAGUAAAUAUUAGGCUUGAUUAUAAUUUUGUUAGUUAUAUUUUACAAAAUUCUUAUUUUUUUUUUAAUUUUUAAUUAUAUGUGACUUUUUAUUUUAUUUUUUGGUAUAUGAAAAAUAUUUUACUUUGUUUACUCAAUUCAAUCUCAAUUUUUAAGAGAAAUGAAGUUAUCAUAUUGAAUUGGUUGCAAAUACUCUAUAUCGAAGUAUAAGUUUUUAAACAUUCUUUAAAAUUGGAGUCAUUUCAUAUUUUUUUUUCUUUUUUCUUUAAAUUAUAAAAUUUUAUAAGACAGGAUAUUAUUAUUUUUAAAAUUUUAAAAUUAAAAAUAAAACUUUUCUUACUAAAAAGGAGAGUAGAUUUUCCAAGAUGAAAAGGGUGAAACUUUAAAGAAGUUAAGUUCCAUCUAUAAGGAGUGAUAAUUGAAUUGUUGAUAAAGAACAAGAAAAGAUAUUUAUUUGUAAAAGAUUUCUUAAUAUUUUACUAUACUAAUAUAAAAAAACUAUCAAAUGAUAAUUUUUUUUCAAACAAUUUUAUAUGUUGUUUUCAUCUUAUAGGAUGAUUGUUCAUUUCCAAAUGAUCUUGGAUUAUAAUAGUAGUUUUGUUUUGAAAAUGCCUUUAUUUUUUUUAAAUGAUGUGAUGAUUGUUCAUUUUCAAUAAUCUCAUAUUAUAAUAGUCGUUUUGGUGUUUAAUUAACUUUACCUAUUGCUUUGGUCAGAUGUGAUGACUGUUAAUUUCAAGUGAUUUUGGGUUGUAAUAUUUUUUCUAUUUUUCAAACAACUUCAUACUUUUCUUUGAUUUCAUGUGAUGAUCAUUCAUUUUCAAACUAUCUUUAAUUUUUAUAGUUGUUUUGUUUAUCAAACGAUUCUAUAUAUUAUUUUGAAACAAUGUGUGACGAUUAAAUAUACUAGAACAAAGAUAAUGGGUGAUACCAUUUUUCAAAUAAUUCAAAUAAUGUGAACAAGCAUAAAUAAUGGGUGAUACCAUUUUUCAUUAAUUAAUUUAAAUUUACUAAUUGGUCUCUCUAGCAGAAGUAUUUGUCAAUAUGAAAUUCAUUACAAAGAUUUGUCAAUAUAUAGUAAUUAAUAUUACUAGCGAAUAUUUUCGUAUGUAACUAAUCAUAAAAAUUACUAACAAAAGUUAUGAGUAAUGUCUUUCAAUAAAUUACACGUUUUUAUUAUUGAUAGAUAUAUUUGUCAAUACUUUAUCAUUAUUAAUGAAUUUCCUACAUUCGUUGAUAAAGUUUUCCAACAACCACUUACCAACAGAUUUGUGUAUGUCGAUAGUUCAUCAAUAAACAUCAUUUACAGAUUAAUUAUGCUCAUCGGGUUGUAAUUAUUUAAUCUAAAUUGGGUUGAAUUAUUGGAUUAUUGUUGUAUAAAAUAAUAAAUAAAUAUAACAUAUUCUAUAACAUGGAAAAAUUAGUUUAAAUUUUAUAUAUUUCAUUUAUAAGUAUUAUAUAACUAAUAAUGAUAAUAUUUAGUAUUAAAUAUUAAAUUUAAACAACUAAGGAAACAGUUACUACAAAAUUAUCAUUGAUUAAAUAUAUUUGAUAAAAAAAAAACAUAAAUUAUGUGAUCAUUUUACAAGUAUACAAAAGCAACUGGGAAAUUCGUGAAAGCUUCCCGUCAGUUAUUCAAAAUUUAAGGAAAAUAAAAUUUAAAUACGAAUUGGAAAUUUCCCAUUCUUGAUAAAAUAAGCAAUAUAUUAAAAAAAAUACAACAUCUAUUAUCUUAAAACAGUAACAAACACAAUUAUUUAAUGUUUUGAAAAGUAAAUAGUGUUGGAGAGUCAUUCACAAAUAUAAAUAUACAUAUAUAUAUAUAUAUAUAUAUAUAUAUAUAUAUAUAUAUAUAUAUAUAUAUAUAUAUAUAUAUAUAUAUAUAAAAUGUAGACAUGAAAGAACAUGUGUUUGACAAAACCUUUCUAAGCACUUUCAUGCGUAACCCAAUAUAGGACAAAACGGAGGACUUUAAACGAUAUACUAUUGUCUUAAAUCAAACGGGAUCUAAUGGUCUUGGAAUUUUGUGUUAAAGUGAAAAUUUAGGAUAAGGUGUGUUCAUUUUGCUUUAUCCAAAGGAUGUCGCAUACAGAUUCACCUCCACCUUCUUUCUACGUCACUUGAGAUAAAAUAACAUCAAAUAGCAGUGGGAAACUUACUCUUCCUGUACGAGGGAACUUACUCUAGUGAGUUCUAGAAGCGAUGAAGAUCCCUAUUUUUGUAUAAUUUUCUCAAAUAGGUCUUCGUAUUUUAAAUGAUUUCAAUCAGAUCCUUUCAGUAGUGGAAAAACACGGUUUAACGUCGAUUAUUUUGGACUUUUAACGUCACAUAUGGAACUGACAUCUAUUCAGAUGACGUUAAUUACACAUCAGUCAGGAUAUGACCGACGUCUAUGUAGACGUCGAUUGUGUACAUCACCAACGUCUACAUAGACGUCGAACAUAGUUACAAUAGACGUUUAUAUAGACGUCUGAUCCAUACAGGUAAGACGUCUCUGAGGUUACUCCUGACUAAUGGUGAUUUGAGUUUACAAUUUUAUAUUUUAAUUGAAGAGAAUGUAUUGUAUGUUUUUUUUAUUGGAUGAUUUUAAAAAUAUAGUGGAGGGAAUUGGAGAGUGCAAAACGCAAGCCGCCAAAGAACGCUGCCCAAGGACAUGAGAAUAACUGCACCAAAACCCAGCGAAAACGCAUUUUAAUCGGUUCAAAUGAAAGAUAAUGCACCAAAGAGUGUUGUAAUCGGAGUAAAACUAAUUUAAAACGAUGCAAAAGUGAGAAAACAAACCUGAAAAAUGUAACCUGUAAAGAGAAAACGCGACGAAGAUGAUGAACAAUGAGUGCGCGUAAUGACUGUCUCGUGAUUCAAAUGAAAGAUAAUGCAUCAAAGAGUGAUGUAAUCGUUGUAAAACUAAUUUAAUAGGUGCAAAAGUGAGAAAACGAACCUGAAAAGCGUAACCCGUAGAGAGAAAACGUGACGAAGAUGAUGAACAAUGAGUGCGCAUAACGGUGUUUUAAUGCCGGCAUUUAGAAGUCGGUUCCCCUAUAACAAACAUCUAAAAGGCUUUAGAAGUCGGUUCCCCCCAUAAUAGACGUCUAAAUGAAGUCAAAAAAUGACUUUUUAAAAUUUUUGGGUUUAGGGUUUAGAUGUCGGUUCCCCCAAUAAUAGACGUCUAAAGGGCUUUAGAAGUCGGAGUGGCGGGAUUAGACGUCUAAAUGGAGGCAAAAAGUGACUUUUUUAAAUUUCUGGGUUUAGGGUUUAGACGUCGGUUCCCCCAAUAACAGACGUCUAAAGGGCUUUAGAAGUCGGAGUGGCGGGAUCAGACAUCUAAAUGGAGCCAAAAAGUGACUUUUUAAAUUUUUGGGUUUUGGGUUUAGACGUCGGUUCUCCCAAUAACAGACGUCUAAAGGGCUUUAGAAGUUAGAGUGGCGGGAUCAGACAUCUAAAUGGAGUCAAAAAGUGACUUUUUAAAUUCCUGGAUUUAGGGUUUAGACGUCGGUUCCCCCAAUAGCAGACGUCUAAAGGGCUUUAUAAGUCGACUCCCCUCGUAACAGACGUCUAAAUAAAAUAAAAAAAUAUUUUUUAUUAACUUUUUCGUUUAGUUUCAAUGUCUAUUUGGGGGAGCCGAUGUAUAUGAGGUAUAUGAGGGCCUAUAGACAUCGGUUAUGAGGGCCCUGGCGUAUAUAAUAUUAUAGAAGUCGAGGUCCCUCUUAACUGACGUCUAUAUUGGCAACUUAUUUACGAAAGUGCCACCGGUCAUUAAUUUCGUCGGACCCCUGCUUAACUAACGUCUAAGGGGUGACGUUAAAAGUCAAUUUUGCACUAGUGUUUAUUGUGUAAAAUUGAAUCAAUUUAGUCUUUACUAUUAAUUUAGGUGGAUGGCGUUAAAAUAUGUUGUGCGUGACAGGGUGACAUUAUCAACUUUUACUGACGUGACAAAAUUUAGUGUGAUGAGUUGAAUUUAUUUUAUUUACAUAUUUAAACAACUUGAAUGUAAUUAAAACGCAGCGUCAUUUUCAAUUUUCUUUUUCCUUAUUAAUUUAUGUUUAGAAUCAGAAGCUUAUUAUUUUUAAUUUUUCUUUUUCUUUAUUAAUUUAUGUUUAGAAUAGAAGCUUAUUAUUUUUAAUUCUCUGUCUUAUAAUCAGACGUUUCAUUGACAAGGUGUUGCUACCCUUUCCAGCCCAGUGACCCUAUGGCGGCAUUCACUACCAUCUCUAUUGACGCCAUCCGCUAGCCACCAACAACCACCGUGAAACCCCAAAUUUGCAAAAAAAGGAAUCCAAAAUGGCAAAAAAAAAAAAACAAAUUGAAGGGACAAUUAAGAAAUCAAAAAUCCUUCCUUUCAAACUCAAUUAUAGGAAUCAGAUUCCAAGACAUAAAAUCCCUGAGGUUUUCAAAUUCCAAAAACCCAAAAUUUCCAGAUCGUAAACAUGACGCACUCCACUACCGCACCGGUACCUCUCGCAACACAUCGUCGCUGCCUUCGCCCGCCACCGCGACACUGUUUGCACUCCACCCACCGUGAGCUAUGAACCAAGAGGCUUCCGUGAUUCCCACCACUACGAGAACGCCCUCACUGCGCCUUUGUCGUGCCUGGUUCAACGAACUCGAGCCCUUCCUUCCUACGACCACCGUGCCAGAACCCAAGGAAGAGAUAGGAGAAAACAGAGCCUCCAGCUUGCGAAACGAAGCAAGCCAAAAAUGAUUUGGGGAAGGAGAAGUUUCUGAACGAAAAUGAAAAAAAAAAAAAAGGAGAAGACAAAGGUGUGUGCUCGUGCUCCCCUAAUCCGCUUCUCGUGUGAGACGAAGAGUCUCAAGAUUGAGCUUUUUCCGAGAGAAAGAAUGAACAAAGAAGGAGAAGAACCCAAAACUGGGUUUGGCUGGGAAGGAAGAGAACCCAAUAUUGGAAAAAAGACUAUGAUUAGGGUUCUCUGAAUCUUCCAAGGGAAUUAACUAAAUCUUGGUUAGAGAAGAAAUAUGGUGUUUUGAUUUCAUUAAGUUUUUUUUAAAUAUUUAAAUAAAACAAAUCCAACUCAGCACGUUAUGUCAGUAAAAGUUGAUAGUGUCACUUUGCCACGCACAUUAUUUUUUAAUGUCGUCCACCCAAAUUAACGGAAAACCCUAAAUUGAUUCAAUUUUUCACAAUUAGGAACUUAAUUGAAAGAUUUUACAAUAUAAAGACCUAAUUGAGAAAAUCCUACUGAACUAAGGAUGUUCUAAAUUAUUAUAGGUGAGCUGGUUUGUUAGGGUUUGAGAAAUUAUUAAAACUUUGACUCAUUCUUUGUCAUGUAGUAUUAAAGUUUUUCAAAUUUUGAAGCCGAAAAUGAUGAGACGAGCCAUUUGUGUGCAGUUGGAGCAUGAGUUCUGUGACGAUGAUGGUCAGAGUGAUGGGUGGGUGGAGUUAUCAUCAACUCGGACGCUUUAUUUUCUGCAAAUUCAUCAAAAAAUGGGUGGUUCAUGCCAUUUUAGGUAACAUUAUCAAUGUCUUGUUUGAAUGCAUAUAUGACUUUGUAGCCAUGGUUGUUUAACAGUGUCACUCUCACCAGAUAAAUUAUUACAACUUUAAUGGCGGCAGGGCGUUGAACAGAUAUUAUUUUCUAGAAAUAUUACAUUUUUAUUAAAAAUUGUUUUACUAAUUGUUUAAAUUAAUUUUUAAUUUUUGAAGUAUUCUUUUUUUGAUUUUGACAUAGUUUUUCAUGCUCAAUUUUUAGAUAAACUCUUAAAGGAAAUAUUGAUGAAAGUUAUCAACUAAUUAAAGAUGGAAAAACAUAAAUAAUAGUUUAUUUAUUUGGUUGAUAGUAAAAGUUAAAGGUAUAUGAUACUUGGAAAAAAAAAUAUAUUACUGACAUUUUGUUUUGAGUACAAUAAGAAAAGGCUAACAAUCUUAUUACAAAAAUAUCAGUUUUGUUUAACUCUAUUUAUUGAAAUAAUUGAACACGCAAAAUUAACGUUAAUAUACAAUUAAUUUGGAGGAUAAAUGAUUAGUAAAACAACAAGAUUACUUUCUUGAAAUAUGUACUAUGACACUCUUUAAUUUAUCAAUUUGGAUUAAUAAGCUUUCAAAAAUUAUCGAUUUGGAUUCACUUUUUAAAAAAUUACGUACAGAUACGACUUAAGUACGAAGAAAUCGUCAUUUUAUUGGACAAUUUUUUAUUUCUGGAAAUAAAAUUGUGGAAUUAUAAAACGAUUUAUGUGUGAAUCUUGAAGUUGUGUUAAUCAAUUGCGACUUCGAUUAAUAUUAACUACACAUAAUUAAAGUCAUGGAAACAAUAUCCGAUAUCAACAUAAGUUUUUCAAAAAUAAAUAUAUGCUAAAGUGGUGUUAAAAGGAGAGAUUUUUGUGUAUUUUACAUUAAAAUGAAAUUGUGUAUCAUGUGACGACUUUGGUUUAAUUUAAAUAUAUAUAUAUAUAUAUAUAUAUAUAUAUAUAUAUACACUGAAAUCAUUUGAUAAUGACUUUAGUUUAAUUUUUCAAAUAUGUAGUGGUGUCAUGCAUUGACUUUGAAUUUUACUUUUCUCUCACAAGAAUCUAAAUUUUAAAUAUAUGACUUUCAAUUUUUAAAUAUUUUUAACAUGACGUAAUACAUACAACUUUGUUAUUUUCUUCUUCUUCUUCCUCCACUUAUUUUUAUUUUAAUGUUUUAAAAUUAAGUUUUUCUAUUAUUUGUAUAUACACAAUUUAUUUUAAAUUUGUUAUAAUAGUUUAACAAUUAAAUUUCAAAUUUUCCUAUGCUUUUUUAUUUUUUAAAUAAUUAAUGUUUUUAUUGUUUUGUAGAAGUUGUUAUAUGAAUAUAUAACUUCCAUUUUAUCAACUUUUUAUAGAAAUAUUUUUUAUUUCAAAAUAAUUUUGACAAUUUUAUUCACUACUUAAAAUUAAAACAUUAAAACAUUUUCAUAUUUUUUACAAUUUGCAUAUAUAUAUAUAUAUAUAUAUAUAUAUANNNNNNNNNNNNNNNNNNNNNNNNNNNNNNNNNNNNNNNNNNNNNNNNNNNNNNNNNNNNNNNNNNNNNNNNNNNNNNNNNNNNNNNNNNNNNNNNNNNNNNNNNNNNNNNNNNNNNNNNNNNNNNNNNNNNNNNNNNNNNNNNNNNNNNNNNNNNNNNNNNNNNNNNNNNNNNNNNNNNNNNNNNNNNNNNNNNNNNNNNNNNNNNNNNNNNNNNNNNNNNNNNNNNNNNNNNNNNNNNNNNNNNNNNNNNNNNNNNNNNNNNNNNNNNNNNNNNNNNNNNNNNNNNNNNNNNNNNNNNNNNNNNNNNNNNNNNNNNNNNNNNNNNNNNNNNNNNNNNNAUAUAUAUAUAUAUAUAUAUAUAUAUAUAUAUAUGUAAUAUAUAUAAUAAAAUUAAUAUAUUUAAUUUUAAUAAUCAAAUUUAUAAGAAAAUACUUAAAAUAAAUAAUAUUUUUAUACAAGAAAAGGUAUAAAAAAUUUAUAAAGUAAAAAAGUUACAAUUUUUUUUUACUACAUUAGUCAUAUUAUUAAAAAAGUAUAUCUCAAAAUAAAAAUUUUAAAUAUUUAAAAUUUUUAAGAAAAUGAAGGUACCAAUUAAUAAAAAUAUUAAAAAAAAUAAAAUAAAGGAAUGCUUAUAUACAUAUUUAAAAUAAAACAAAAAAGUUCAAAAUAUUAAAAUAAAAAAGAAAGUGGUAGAAUGGUAGAGUUGAAAAUUUUAAUAAAAUGGAAGUCAUGCUCUUAAAAAUAAAAAAGAUGCCGUAAAAUUUAAGAAAAAAAGGAAAAAGAUGCAUUAAAAUUGAUAUAGAAAAAUUUGUCUGAGAAAAUUUCUACAAUUUACUUUUUAAAAAUAAACUAUAUUAUUCUAUAUUUAAAACUUAAAUAAUUCAAUGCUCCAAAUUAUAUAUUUAAUUAAUAUAGUUAUGAAAUAGAUUGAAUAAUAAUUAUAUCAUUAUGUUUUAAUAAUUUUAGUCGAUUUAAAUUAGAUUCUAAAUUUAAGCUGUUACAAAUUCAUGAAAGAUGUGAUAAAAUUAAAUUGGAUCCAGUUUAGUUCGAUUUGAAAAUCAUAACUUUAUUUUUAUCAGUCUACAUAGUUCAAUAACUUCUUUAUUUUAGUUUAAAAAUCGCUCAUUUAAAAAUAAAAUUCGUAACAAAUAAAAAUAUAAAAUAAAUAAUUACAUUUUUCUUUAAAGCAUGACUUCCAGUUAUGAUAAAAUGAAAAGACUACACUUGGUUUAUAGACUGCUUCGUUUGUCACUCUCCAUUUACACUUAUUUCAAUAUUAAGUAGAAAUUAUAAUUAAUGUGUUAUCUUAUAUCAAUCUACAUAUUCUCAGACAUAUUUUAAUACUUUAUACUAAUAUUAGGAACAUAAAAAAAAAUACAAAACAGUAAACUAUUGAAGGUUAAAUUAAAUUAAUUUUACUUUCAUCACAUUUAUAUGAAGUAGAUCAAGAAAGCCAUAUAAUUAUAAAUAAAUCAAAAGUAGGCAGUCGGUCGCAGUAGGUUAAUAUGAAUACUUUAUUUAUUUAUGAUUUUAUAAAUUAACAUUUUAAAAAUAAUAUUUUAUCAUUAAAAAAUUAAUAUGUAUAUUGUUAUUUAUUUUAUAUUACUAUAUUGCAUGCAAGUUGUAUUUUGUGUAACUUUCUAAAACUUAAUUCACUUUAAAAAAAUACAAAUAGAAAAAAAAUUAGAACAAUAUGGAAGAGAAAAAAACAUGUAUAAUAUUAAAAAAUAUAAACAAAAUGACAGUGAUGUGUUUUCGUAAAACUUAAAUAGUUUCAACUAGUCCAAAAUUUAAAGCCAGGUCAGUAAAGAGUGUAAAAGAAGGUGGUGAAAAGAAAAACGAGUGUUUUUAAAAGAAAGAAUGGGCAUGGGCCUAAUUUUAAUUUUGGGCUUUUCGCAUGUAAUAAUGGACCCAUUAAGAUGUAAUAUAUUUUUACUUUAAAGUUUUGGAGCAUAAAUUAGCUUUGAUUUCCAAAUGUCUUCCCCAAAUAAAAUGGUUUUUUACAAAUACUAAAUUAUUGAAUCAGUAUGAAUUCUUUAUUAUUUAUUUUUAAGUUGUGGUGUAAAUUGUAAAAUUUAAUAAAAAUAAUAACUUACAUAUCAAAACCAGAUUAAAUCAAUCAGUUUAAAUAUAAAAUUGAUGAAGCAGUUUUAUAUUCAAUCAAUUGCAACUAAAGAAUUGGCAACAUAAUUGAAAAAAUUUGUAAAAAUUAAUCAAAAGGAAAAAAAAAGAGUUACACUCUCAAAGAAUAAUGGUUAAUACAAUGUCAUUUUGGUUUUUUAAAAAUCUAAAAUAAUUAUUUUUUUUUUAUUUUGUGUUACUUAAACGUUUUAGUAAAUAUUAGUGGUGUCAUUGACACUUACACCUAAGUAUGUAUAUGAUAUUAACGACUUAAUUCUUUCGUUGAAUAUUAAAAUUCCUUAACAAAAUAUGUUAUUUUUAAUUUUUAUUGUUAUUAACUUAUAAUAUUAUUUUACAUCAUCAUCCACUUUUUUUUUAUUAUUGAAAAAUGUAUUCUCUUUUAUGUAAUAUUUUUCACCCAUUUGGCAAUAUUAUUUCCUUUUCUUUUACCAUUAAGUUUUUGAAUAUAUUUUUGUGAGUGGUUAUUAUUGACUUUAUGUAUCACGUGGUAAUGCAGUAAGAUUCUCUUCUUUCCACAAAGGAAGUAUUAAGAAAUGAUGUCUUAUUCCCUCAAAGUCUUAAGAUAUGUCCAAAUUGAUGUUUGGAUUCUUUGGGUGUGGCGAACCUAGCUUUCUUAAUGGAAGUCAAUGCCAAUAUCAAUUUCUUUCAUUUUAUCCAAAUCAAUAAUAAAUUUUAAUAGUACAUCAUUUUUAUAAUAAUUUUACAAAUAUAUUUAAAAUAUAAACUUUUAUUAAAAAAAAGUAUUAUAUUUAAAUAAAAUAAAACCUUCUAUAUAUAAUUCUUUAAGUAAUUAAAAGUGUGCAUUUCACUUUUUUUUUUUAUUUGGACAUCAAAUACACAUGAUAUAAAAAAUGUUUGGAGAAGUAUAAUUAAUUAUGAGCAUCAAAUCACAUUUCCAUGAUUUCAUAGGCUGAAUAAUAAGGAUAAACUACAAAAACACAAGUAUCUAAGCCUACUUAAAACAAUAUUCACUGUAUUUUUUAAAUGAUCAAAUAGGCUAACUUUUUCGGGAAAAUAAAAAAAAAAGUUAAAACUGUUCACGAAGCAGGAUGUUUGGUAGAGUUGAAUUUGGUUAAAUUUCAUAUAAAAGUCUAUUAAAAUGGAUUAGGUUAGAUUGGGUGAGUGUUGUUUUUUUUUUUUUUUAAAUUCAAACCAAACUUAAACAAAUAGUAAAUUAGUUGGCUGAAAUUAGGUGAAUGACAUCACAAUAUUUAAAUUUAUUUUUUACUUUUUAUAAAUUUAAGUUGAAAUAAGGAAAGGAAAAAAAUUAUAAAAUUAGUUUGACAAUUAACAUAUGGAGUGUAAUGUUUUCAUUACCUACAAGAAAACCACUUUUGAUUUGUUUUAGUAUGUGAAACUCGAUAUUAAGUGAAAGAAGAUAGAAAAAUUAAUACAUUAUGUUUUGGAAAAAUAUCAAUAAAUAAUAAUAAUAAUAGACAAAGCAAAUAAAGAAAAAUUAGAAAAUACCAAAACCUUUAAGGUAUUGAAUUAAUAUAAAAUUUCUUCUUUUAAGUUAGCCUUUUUCUAGAUAGAUUUGGACAAAUAUAAGAGACUAGUAACACAGGAAAUGUAUUUUAUUUUAAUUGUGGAGCCAAUAAUUUCGCGACAAAGAUUAGUAACACAGAAAAUACUUUUGUUUUUUGUUUUUUAAUUGUAGAACCAAUGAAAAAGAAACACUAAUGAGAUAUUAAACAAUGAGAUAUAUCACCUUCGACUACAAACUUUAAAACAAUAUAUUAAUGAGUUUGUUAUACUUAUAUAUUACCCCACUAGUUUAUUUUAUGGUAGGAAAAACUUCUUUUAACAAUUUUUUUUUAAUAAUUUUUUGACAACGCAUACGUGACAACUUUGAUUAGUCUAUUUUAAAUAUUUUUUAAACAUAAAUUCAAAUAGACCAAUAAAAUGAUGACACGUAUCUUGUUGUCAAAAAAGCUAUCAAAAAGUGUUGUCAAAAUAUCAUUGUGGUUUGUGGUCUUACUCACAUUUGAAUUCCAACAUGUCUCACAAGCAUAAAAUUUACCACUUCUAUCAUAAGUUUGUAGCUCAUCACACCUUCCUUUUAUCUAAGCCAAAGUUCAGUUCUUACAUGUAAACGUACAUAUAAAAUUCUUCCUUUUACUAUGUCACAAACAAAACUAUAAACAUUUGCUUAGGAAUUUGAAACAUUGUCUAUAAUCCCAUUUCUAACGUUAAACAUCGUGUAGCAAUAGAUUAUCGUUAAUUGAUCAGCAUAGAGAACAGAGAAACAGGGUCCGGAGAUUCCUAGUCCUAGUUUUUAACGGAAAAAAAAUUGAAUUGAAUUUUAGUGCAGAAUGCCUGAGGAGCAGAGACAGCACGCAUUUAGACAACAACGUACGAAGCGCGCAGCUGCAAUGCAACUGCGAUACUGUGAAGUUCUUGGAUUUCGCUUUUACCAAACUCAACCACCAAUGGUGAUAAGAGUCACCUCCCUCUCGCAUUUAUGAAAUUUUGGAGGCUUAUCAUUGUGACCACUUCUGCUAUUAUAAUACUAUCUAUACUAAUAUCGAUGUCAAUUCUCUUCCUUACAAUUCAUGUGACUUUAAUUGCCUGCAUCUGCAUGUAUUCAGAACACUCAUCUUCGGCUACUGUGCACAAAUACAUUGUCUACGGUCAAAUUCUUAACUAAGUAAUAUUGUGAGAUACUAUUCUCUUGCUUUUUCAUCACAGUGAAUAAGGUGGUUGGUUCAUCAAGUGCUUUACAAUGGACAUUUCAAAUUUUGUAUAUAACCAUACAUUACUAGUUUUGUAAAACUAAUAUAUCAUACACUAUAGUGUAAAACUAAUAUAUUAUACACUAAUGCAUCCUGGAAAUUGUUCCUGCAACUCUGCAAGGUUCUCCACACUGCUAUUAAUUAAGUAUAUAUCUCUCUGCUGGCGAUGAGAUUGAUUUCUACAAAAAAAUUCACGCAAUUCAUUACUCCAUAUGGACCAAGACCUCUAUUUUGAAGAAGGUGAUGUUCUUCAAUUGAGUCUCACUGACCAAGUCUGUCACUGCAGCAGUGUUGGUUGGACUAUGAUACUAAUUUAUUUGUCCAGGCUGUCCGUAAACUGGUGUGGCCUUGUUGCAAAAAUGACUGUACUUUAAAGUCAAAUUCAUCUAUGUACUACAUUUUUCUUCUUUAAUAAUGGAUUUGUUACGAUGUACCUGUGUGGCAGGAGCAUCCACUACAUGCAGAAAUAAUUAUGAACAAGACCCCAAGUUGGUUUCUCCUUUAAUCACUUUCAACCAUCGUAUCUCCGAAAUCACCAAAUUGGACUACGUUUCAACAAAAACAACCUUUCACAAAAUUAAUGUACUUUUCUAAAUUUUAUCUAACAUUGCCUUAGCUAUGAAUGGAUAUUAUUGUGGCUUCUUCAACUGUAUUCACGUUGGAAUAUCUUCAUGUUUUGAAACAUGUUCGGAAGAAUAUUCCAUGACUGUUCAUAGUUCAAGUGCAAACUAUAACAUCUACUUUUCAUUCGUUAAUCAUGGGAGAAAACUUUGUGCAACUAUGUCCUUUCUAUCACAUGCUGUUAGUUGAAAUGAUGAAUCAUGACAUGACAAAUGAUUAGUGUUUGUUAGGACAGUCAAAAUAAUAAGACCUGUAUCAUGCUCUUGUACAAAUUCUCCAAACGACAGUAUCAUUUUAAUUUUCAUUCACGCUUUUAACCUCAUUUCCAAAUUCUCCUUCUGAGUCUAUAUUUAUUUAUUUACAUACAAAAAAUCAGAAGGUAGUUGAAAAGUGUCAUAUAAAUCUUUUUGGUAUUAAGUGACCAAGCUAUUAUAAUAUGAACAGGGUUUGAGAUAGCUCCAAGUUGAACCAAAGUUUGGAGGAAGUGGAUGAAAAUAAAACCAAUGAUGUGCCAAAACUUUUGACUAUUAUACUGUUGUAGUCAUUGAGAAAGUGUGCAGCAUGUGAUCCAAAUCCCUUGGUGAACUUUUUCUGGAGUGUGAAAUUAACGUAUUUCAACAUGAAGGAAUCUGAUAACGUGAAGGAAGAAAUUAGAAGGUAGCAUGGACUUUUUGUUUAGAUGGUAAGUGUCACCUAAUAAAGGUAACAGAUAGGAAAUUUUCACUUCUACCGUAGGACUUUUGGCAGUAGAUAAAGUGAUCAUGUGGACGUGACUUUGGCUCUCCUGCUGUGGUUUCUAUGAUUUCUAAUUUCUAUCAAAUAAAAAAUAAGUAAGAACAUUCACUCUCUCCAAGUCCUAUAGAAUAAAAAAACUAAAUCAUCAAACUACCCUUAUAUUAAAAUAUUACGAGGGUGUACAAUUUGUAUGUAAGGGAGCAAAAGAACAAUCUCCCAAAAUCAGCUGACUUUGUUCUCUUGUCAUCCCCAUUUCUCGUCGUGCUGCUCAGGUUAAUCAUAUAAUAUUCUGCCCAUAUAUUCUUUUUCACUUGUGUAAACUCUCUUUAAAGUGGGGGAGACAAGUAGAGAGGAGUGGAACAUAAACAAAAAUAAAAAAAAUUUAAAGAAAUAAAGUGAAAAAAAUAAAUUGUUAAAUUAAAAGAGAGAUAAUAAAACACAGAGAAAUAAGUGAAAAUCUUCAAACUGAUAUCAUUUUUAUAAAAUAAAAAGAUUAUAUGUGUUUUCGAGUAUAAGGUCGAAGUCAACUUUAGAAAAGUAGUUCAAGGAGUCUUAAAGUUGUUUUAUACUCUAAGUCUCUUGUAUAACCGUUUGUCCAAAUAAUUUUGAAGACACCUAUAGAAGGUAUUUCAAUAUCAAAUUCAGUUUAGUAUUUGACAAUUCCAAUAUUAAAGAUGCAUUAUAAAAGAAAAAACCGCACACCUGGAAUGCAAGAGAGAAAAAGGAGAGGAGGAAGACGAAAAACAACAAUAGAAUGCCGAAAAGAGAGAAAAAGAAGAGGUGUGGCAAGAGAAAAAGGAGAAGAGUUGCGGUGUAUUUAAAAUGGAACUGGGCGUCGGUUAUUCUCCAGAAACCGACGUCCAUAGACGUCGCUUAUCCUACUAAUAUGAUGUCCAAGUGAACAUUUAAAAUUGACUUUUUGAAUACCCAUUAGACGUCGAUUUCUGUCAGGGGGAACCAACAUCUAGGAAGCUGGUAUGGGCCACCGACGUCUAUAUAAUAACAUACACGUCGGGGCCCUAAAUAGUCGACGUCUCAGGCCCUCGAGUUUUGUAAACAUAAUUAUUACAGGUAUAAUAGAUGUCGCGUAGCCCGAAACGCCGACGUCAACAUUGAAGAUUUUUUUGUCUUUCCCGCCUCCCAGACAUGCCUUAGACGUCGGAUUUGGACUACGUGACGUCUAAGCGCUUGAGAAUUAGGUGAAAAGCAUGAAAUGCAGCCCAGUAGGCGUCGGGGUGCUGCAGUGCUGACGUCUUGAAAUUAAUAGACGUCUGUUUUUGAAUAAAACCGAAGUCUAGUUUACCAGGCUAUUUAUGAUAAUGCCACCGUCCGUUCCUAUAUGUCAGAUUACACGCAAAUCGAUGUCUUAUGGAUGACGUUAAACAGCAUUUUUGCACUAGUGACAAGUCCAAUUCAUAAGAAAUUAACAACAUUAAUAAGUUUUUUUAGAGAUUCAUAAGACUAAUACGAAAGGAGUCUAAUUUGUAUAAGAAAUAAACAUUAUCUUUAACUAAAAAUUUUAAAACAACGUAUUUUUACGUCUUUAACAUAAUAUUUAACUUUCUUACUUUUUGCUUAAUACAAAAUUUAGAAUCAUAUUUAAAUUCCCAUAAAAAAAACAUAUUUAUUCAAAGGAGUAUAGUAAUUUAUCAAAUAUUAAUUCAAUCCCAUCAAUUGUUUGGUGAACCCUUACAUAAUGUGAAGGAACAUUUAGAUUUAGAGUUUUUAAGUUUUCUUGUAAUAAAUUAAUAUUACUCCAAAUUUAAAUAAACAUAUCAAUAUGAUGAUAAUGUUAAGCUUAUGAUGUCAUAACUCAACAUCCACUCAUCACUUAUCCCUUAUGUUGUGUUUGGUUGGAAAUAUUUUUCUAUUGAAGAGAAUUAACAAAGACAGAUUUGUCAUUAAAAUCAUAUUCGGUUUGAAGCAUUUGGAACUGACAUAAGAGGAUGAUUUGCGAGAUAGAUGUUUUUAAAUCAUGGGUGAUAUGCUCUAAUUUUAGGUGAUUUAAGGCUAAAUCUCACUUUUGUCCUUGUAUAAUUUUACCUAAGAACAUAAAUAGUUGUAAUUGAUUCUGCGAAGAAUGUAUUCGAUUUUAUUUUUUGAUUUCAUUAAUAAUAUGAUUAAAACUCUCAUAUUUGUACUAGAAUAUCAAUUCGCAAAUUUAAGUAAUUUUAAUUGGAUUCUUAUAUUUUAAAAUUGGAACAAAUAAGCCAAAAUGUUAGCUGUGUGUAAAUAGUUAACCGUGGUGAUGCAAAUUAUUUUAUUAUGUGGAAUUUAAUAUUUGUUAUAUACAAAGCUUGGUGAAUAAAAUAAGGAAAAUAAAAUUUUAACACCAUUUUUUGAUACAAUUUUGACACUGUACACGUGUCAAAAUGUGGUUGGACGAUUUCAAAUUAAAAAACAAACUUUAGUUUUUUUCUUCCAAACAUAUCCCUGUCUCAACUUUUUUAAUUUGAAAUCGUCUAAUCACAUUUUGACACGUGUGCAGUGUCAAAAUAGUGUCAAAAAAAUAGUGUUAAAAUAUCAUUUUCCAUAAAAUAAUUAGGGAUUUGAAAACUAACAAAGCUAGAGAUUUCGAGAGGACGACGAGCGUGAAGCUGUGGCAAAUGGCAAGGCAAAAGACUCUCAGGGCUUUGUCGGGAAAGUCGAGGCGGGAGAGGGAUUUGACAACGAGGUCGAAAACACCGGCUAAGGUGGCGGCAGAGUUGUAGACAUAGUAGGUGUCGAGAAGGUGGCAGAAAAGGUCAAUCGUAGUGUGGUGGAUGAGGGUGACAACGAGGAAGUGCACAAUGUUAUUGGAAAGAACCAUCGUGGUUUUGGCAUUAGUGGGUUGAUGCACCUUCAGGGAGCUCGUUUUCAUGGUUGUGAGAAGUUGAAGAUGAAGGAGUAUCCGAUUCAAAUGCAGCAUAACCAAUUUCACUAGUUGUCGUUUCCGAUUCCACAUUCACCUAUAAUUAACUUCAUCUACUUAUUAAUUGUCCAUGAUCGAUUCCAUUGAUGAGAGCAAAUUAUAUUUUAAAAAAAUUAAUUAUAAAUAAAAAAUGUUGACUUUACUUAAAUAAAAUAUUGUUUUAAUUUUUUUAAUAAUUUUUAUUUUCUUCUACUACUUAAAAUAUUUUUUACAAAAUAAAUAUGUUAUUUAUAAAUAUCAUUUUAUAUUACUCUUACCACUUAGAGUAAUUUAGUAAUUCUUAUUUUUUAUUCAUUAAAUUAUUAUUUUUUUAAUAUAUUAAACAAAUCUUACAUAAAUUUUUACAAAUUUUAUUUUUAAAUUUACUCUUAAUCACUCAUAUAUUUCUUUAAAAAGAAAUACAAAAUUUACUAUAAAAUCCAUCUAUUAUCUUAUUUCUCAUCAUUUCACUAUUGGGAAAUGAUGUAUGUAAGGAUAAGAAUAUGAAUAUAUAGACAUAUAUGUAGAAGUCUAUAAUCCAUAAUUAAACCACCCGAAUUUUUUAAAAUUCAACCCAGCAAAUCUAGUUUUAAUCAUGACACAUAAAACCAUAUUUAUGUUGUUGUUCAGCUCCUGGGAAAAGAUGUCUAAAAGUGAAAGCUUCUACCCUUGAUAUUUGAUAUUGAUCACAACAAGCUAAUAUUGACUUUAAAGGCUGUGUUCUUUUGUGAAGAUUUGGAGGAGAUGAUUUGGGAGAGAUGACUUGAAUGGAUUUGAGUGGAUUUAAGGGUAAUUUUUUUGUUGUUUUUUUGAAUGGAUUUGUGGAUAAUUGAGGGUGGAUUUGAGGGUAAAGUUUGUGAAAAUUAGUGUAAGAUUUGAUUGAUGUGAUAGAUUUAAAAAAUUAGUUUAAUUGGUAGAAAUUGAAGAUUACCAAAAUACCCCUAAUUAUUAAAGUAAUAUAAAAUGUAAUUUUUUAAUGUUAUAUAAGUGUAAAAGUGUUUAUAAAAAAUAAAAAAUUAAACUUAAUUAUUAUUAUUAGUAAAAUAUACAAGCAAAAGAUAUAUAAUAAAUGGAAGUAGAAGAGAAAUAAAGUAAAAGUUUUAUUUGAAUAAUAAAAAUUAGGAGCUGAAGAAAUAAAAGUAAGGAGAUGAAAAAAAGUUGAGGCUGGGGCUUGGACAAAUAUCGACACGUGGAAGAAAGAGAGGUAGACAUCAAGAAAGUGGAGGAGAAAUUGUGCAUUUUGUAUCAGGGGUAAAAAAGAUAUUUUACUACAUUUACUCUCAAAUCUCUUUAUAUUGCAGGGAUGAGAAAAAACACUUUAUCCCGCAAAUCAGCAAAAUACAUUUCCUCCAAAUCUGUUAAUGCGAACACCAUUAUUUUUUAUUUCCUCGCUUUCCAAUCCGUUUGAACAGUAUAAUCUGUUCAAACGAACGGAGCCUAACUCGGAGUUUGCAAUCGGUUGAGUUUUCUAGUCCCCUUCCUCAUCUUGUUUACUCUAAGAGAUAUUUAAAAAGACAAAAUUCACAUUUUUCUAGUAUUACUUUGAUUUUAGAUUUUAUCAAGAAUUUAUAAAGACAAGUAGAAAAGAGAAUCAUGGGAUUUGUUCAAGGUUAUGAGAUGAAGAACUUCGAAUGAAUCAUACUCACUAACGAAGUGCUUAUAUAUGUCAUCUUAAUUAAUUUUAACCUCAUGAAUUUCAACCUCAUGGACUCAUUCUGAGCAAAUGAUUUGCCUAAAAGUGUGUUAAAGGGUAAUGUCCUGCAAACUUAAUGAAUGGUAAGUAGCCAUUGUUUUAUGAAAAAAGCUUUUAUUUGGGUAUCUUUGAUCACUAAUUUUAUUUUAUGAAAAAAAAUCAUUUUAAUUUUUUUUCACCUUUUUUAAAGUAGACCGAUUAAGAAACUGGUCAACACUAGUGCAAAAACACUAAUUAACGUCACCUUAUAGACAUCGGUUAUAGGUAAGCCCGACGUAUAUUGAUGAUUGGUGACAUUUCCGUAAAUAAGUUGUCAAUAUAGGCGUUCGUUAGGUCGAUCUCUAACGUCUAUAAAAUUUUAGAUGUCAGCCCUUCCAACCUGAUGUCUAUAUUUUUGACCGUUAGGUGAAAAGUCAAUUCCUUCAGCGUUAUAGACGUCGGUUUGUUGGGGGCCCCAACGUCCAUAUGGCAGAAAUUAAUGUUGCUCACCUACCUAUCAGACAUAUAGACAUCGGGCUCCUGCUAACUGACGCCUAUAAGUCUGCCAAACAGGUGAGUAGUCACUCUUUUCAGCCUUAUAAACGUCGGAUCCCAGCACAUUGAUGGGGCUCGAUGUCUAUAUGGCGGACAUUAAUGCUACUCACCAACCUGUCAGACAUAUAGACGUCAGUUGCCUUAAGUACCGAUGUCUAUAAUCCUACCAGGUAUGUGGAAAGUCAUUCAUUUUUGUCCACGAAACGUCUCAUGCCUCAGAGCCGAUGUCUAUAUACUACAGAAAUAUUAAUUUUUAAAUCGAAUGGAAAUCAUAUUAGUCAGGUAUCCGGUGUAUUUUCUAUUUUAGACAUUGGUUCUGUGUACAACAGACGUUUAAUUUCUUGUUAAAUAACACUGCGAACCAGCGGUUUAAGAACCAACAGUUUGAUCGUCUUGCAUUUUCUCUCCGUUGCUCUGCAUUUCCAAGUAAGUUUCCUCUCCUUUUAACUAUUCAAAGUUGUUUUUACUCCGAUUAAAGUAAUAUUUGAUGUAUUAUCUCUCAUUUGAACCGAUUAAAAUGAGUUUUCGUUGUGUUUUGGUGCGGUUUUUUUGUUGUGUCUUUGUGUAGCGUAAUGCACCUUCUCCCUUUGCUAGUUUCCUCGUAAUGAAAAGUUGCGUUUUUUUGGAUUUCUCAGGGCAUUUCAAUCCAAGGACGAAUUUGGGUUGUUGCCUAUGUCCAUUCCGACCGUCAACAAAAAAGUUUACGGUGUAUUCUCAUCGUAUUUUUUUUUCAGUGGCGGUCGGAAUGGACCUAGGCAACGAUCCAAGUUGGUCUUUGGGUUGAAAGACCAUGAGAAGUCCAAAAGACGCAACUUUUUCUUACGAAGAAACGAGCAAAGGAAGGAGAUGCUACUACGCUACUCCUAGACACGACAAAAACCGCACCAAAACACAACGAUUACUUCAUAGACGUCGGUUAAUGUACAAACUGGCGUCUAUGAUUUCCCAAUAAGACGUCGGUUAUGCAAUGUUUGACGACUUUAUAAACGUCCCAAGUGUUACAGACUGACGUCUAAAUCAAGAUUAGACGUCGGGUAGCACAUUGUCGGAUGUCUUUGUAGACGUCAGGCUUCUUACUAAACAGACGUCUAUAUCGACGUCGUCCCUGCAAAAAAUCGAUGUCCCAUUAACAUCACCCGUAUAGACGUCGGUUUUGGUGGUGACGUUAAAAGCCCAAAAUAACUGACGUUUAAAACCCUUUCUACAUUAGUGCAAGGUAAUAUUUUAUUUAUGAUUAAAAAGUAUUAUAACCAAUUAAAUAAUAUGAAAAUUUUCAUUAAAUAAAUACAGUAUGAUAAUUUUAAUAUUAAUUAAAUAAAUUUUUUUUUUUUUGACUUUGCAUUCAAAAUAGAUAUAUAGAAAUCUAAAUCACAUACUUCAUAAUAUCCAUGUUAACUUAAUAAAAUAAGAACAAUAAGUUUAUAUAAAAAAAUUAAAAAAAAGUAAUAUAAUAUAAAUUAUGCAAAAUUAAAAUAUAAAAAAAUGAACUGACAUAAAUGACUAUGUUAUAUGUUUUAUAAAUAACAAAUGAAAGAUGAUAAAAUAAUUCAUAUAAAUGUGUAAACUUUAUUAAAUAAUUUUCUUUAUUUAAAUUUUUUAAAUUAAAAAUGUAAAAAGAAAAAUUAAUGGUUCAAACUGGUUAUCUUGGGAGGAGUCAGAGUUUUAGACCUAUCUUAUAUCUGGGUUAUCCCGUUUGAGCAGUCAAAUGUCAAUUUUGGUUUAAAUAAAGUGAAAAAAAUAAAAGGUUAAGUGAGGAUAAUAUUAUAGAGCGGAUGGGAAUGAAAAAUAAAUAACUCCAUUGGAAUCUGCAAAUGGCUCGAGUAAAUAUGUAUAAUAACAACAAAAAUGUUUUUUUAACAGUUUUUUUAUAGGGGUUAAAAUAGUGAUACUUAGUUUAUUGUUAAAAAUAAAAAAUCGUGCUUAAAAUUUAAAAGUUGAAAAUACUACCUUUUUUUUUUUUUCAUAAUUGCACUUCUAUCAAAUGGAAUCAAGAUUUUGUUGCUAUAAUGAUUUGUUUCAUUCGAAAGUAUAAUUACCUUUAUAACUUGUUUAGUUUUAUUAAUAAUAUUUUAUUUUCUGAUACAGGUAUAACUUAAAUACUUAUUACUUAUAUGAUUUCUCUUAAGUUCUUCAAACUCUUAUAAUAUGGAUACUCAUUCAGAGGAGACAAGUAUUAUUUUAACACACAAAUAACCACUUUUUUACAUACAAAUCUUUUAUAGAGAAAAAUUAUUAAACACGAAAGUUUAAAUCUAAAUUAGAGUUUUAUAUUCUUAAAAAAAAAAAAACCCCGCAAAUGUGAAUUUAUUUUAAAUUUAGGUAACUCUCUAAUAUACGAAAUGGAAAUGAAUAAUUUCACAAGGUUUUAACAUUGUUGUUUAACCAUUUUUUUUAUAUUUUAAAUUUUAGUAUUUUACAUAUGUAUAUAGACAAGGAAAUAUAUGUGCCAAUAAGCUUGCUAAUCUUGAAUAUAGGAAAGACUUUUGAUGGUUUGAAAGUUGUCAUGUAAUCUUGUAUUGGUAUGAAAUUCUUCACAUAACUAAAUUUAAAUUUUCUUGAUUUAUCAUGGAUCUAAAUUUAAAUUUCAUAUUUAAUAUAAAUCUUCGUUUAUUCCUGUAACGUCCUGGCAACUUACAAGGACUGCUGAUUGUUCCCACACAUCAACACGAGGCUUUCCAGUGUGUUUUGUCCUCACUCACACACUUUCCGAUAAAACUUCCCGGAAUGUCACUCAUCCCAUAAUUAUUCUAGGCUAAGCACGCUUAACCUACAAUCUCCAGAUCCCUCUCAUUCCGGUGUAUGUUCGAUUCGUCCAUGUGUCCCUUCCACUCGAAGCCUACCAUGAGCCGCUCCUUGUUCGUGCCCCCUACAUCAUGCUUCUUGCACCGACGAUCACUCCCCGUCCUCGUCAGUGUCCGGGUGUCACAAUUCCUAUAAAAAAUUAUUUUUUUUUCUUUUAUUUAAUAAUAAUGUUUCCUUUGAAAAUAAAUAAAUGAUAAUUUUUUAGAGUGUUAACUUAGUUGAUAUAUCAAAAUUGUAAAAUAGUAAUUGUUCUAAAUCAAGUCUGUUGAACUAAUAUUGUUAUAAUCAAUUAUUACAUUUGAACUAUUAUUUGUUUUAAAGUUUAGAAUUAACUUGGUUUUCAUUCUUGUUUUUGUUUUCAUUUUUAGUUUUGUUCAAAUAUACUCAAUAGUACAACAUUGUUUAGGAGUUAAAAUAAAUAAAAAUUAAAUUACACUUUCUUCUCCAACUUUUCAAGUAUUUAACAAAAAUGUAAAAGACUUCAAAAUCAAAAGUAAAAAAUAUCUCAAAAUUUAUUAUACAUCUAAUAGUCUUAUAUUACUUCUAGGUAAAGGAGAACAAUUUAAAUAAACCUUCAAUAUUUUCUUAAAUGCAACCAUUAGUUUUAAUAAUUUUAUCUCAACAAAAUUAAAAUUGAAACAAUAUCUAAAUUAGAAUAACCUUAAAAUAAAAAGCUACAUUAUUAUAUAUUUUUUGAGAACAUUUCCUACAAGAAAAUAAAAUAUCUGAUGCAUUAUGUCGUCUUUUAAUAAUAAACUAUGUAGAACACAACGUAUAAAUAAUCAUUCUUAUAAGUAUUAAUAUUCAUAUGAUGCAUGGUUGUGUCUAUCAGACUAUAAAUAUAAUAAGUUUUAAAAUAUAAGACAAACUUUAGUAUUAAUAGCUUGAUUAUUUUAAUAAAUAAAUUAAUCAUGUAACCCAUAAGUAUAAUUUUACAAAUUUUCAUUUUCUAAAAUCUAUAAUUAACAUAAAUUACAUAAUUAUGUAUAUUUUAAUAAACUAUAUAGGUAAAGGAAGGAAAAGUAAUUUUUUAAUAAAUUAUAUAUUUAAUCCUUAAAAGUUAUAUAUGUUUUUUUAACUAAAUUUGGAUUUAAUUAAAAUUUGUUAUAUUUGAAACUUUAUUAUAUUUUAGUUUUUAAAUUUAAAAAAUAAUAAAUAAAAUAUUUUGUAAUUUAAUGUUAUUAAACUUCUUUUUACAUGUUAGUAUUUCAAAUUGACAUUUGAAUUAUAGUAUAAAUAUUUAAAACAAUUUGAAAUUUAGUUUAAUAUGUUAAAAAAGUUUCACGUAAUUUAGUUAAAACAAUUAUAUUUAUUUAUUUUUAAAAUUUAAGAAUUAAAUUGAAUUUAAAACCAAACUCUAUCCAAAUUUAAGAGAUGGACAAAUUUUUAUUUUGGAUCCAAAUUUUAGGAAAUAAAAAAUAUUUAAUCAUGUACUUAAUUUUAAGUUUGUUUUUAAAAUUUCAAAUAAUGUUUGAUUAAAAAAAAGAAAAUAGUUUUCUUUUUUUUCGUUUAUUGUUAUUUUUUAUUUUCUGGUCAUAUUUAUUUGUUAUUAUUACUUAAAAGUAAACAACUUUUUCUUUUUUUUCGUUUAUUGUUAUUUUUUAUUUUUUAUUUUCUGGUCAUAUUUAUUUGUUAUUAUUACUUAAAAGUAAACAACUUUGAUAAAAAGUACUGACAUUAUAACACCGAAAAAUGAAGCUACGCAUACUUUAGAGAAUGAAAGGAUAGAAAAGUAAUUCGGCCAUGUGAAAUAGUCUGAGUUUUUUUAUUUUUCAUUUAAUAUCAUCCCAAUCAAACUAAGGCUUUGUUAUUACAAGGUGAUUUGGGGGAGAUGAUUUGAAUGGAUUUGAGUGGAUUUGAGAGUUAUUUUUUUUAUUGUUUUUUUGAGUGGAUUUGUAGAUAAUCGAAAAUAGAUUUAGAAGUAAAGUUUGUGAGAAUUAGUGUAGAAUUUAAUUAAUGUGACAGGUUUAAAAAAAUUGUUUAAUUGGUAAAAAUUGAAGAUUAUCAAAAUGUCCCUAGUUAUUAAAGUUAUAUAAAAUGUUAUUUGUUAAUGUUAUAUUUAAUUGUAAAAAUAUUUAUAAAGAGUAAAAAGUUAAAAAUUAUUAUUAAAAAUAAUUUUUAAAAAAUAAAAAAUUUAUAAUUUAGUAAAAUAAAUUUAUUUUUAAAUGUAGUAGUUGUUUGUAAUAUAAUUUACUAUGAAGUAGUAAAUUAAUAUAAAUUAAAUAAAUUAUAUCUAUUACAAAAACACUAAGAUAAACCAAUUUACAAGUUUAAAGCAUCAAAAUAAACUUUUAAAAGUUAAUGGGAUACACAAAAUAAAAAAAUAAAUUAAAGGAGUAAAAAUGUAAAAUAUUUAAUAAUCAGUCAAGUGAGAUCAAAGACGAGAAGAUGGAGGUGGGUGAAUGGCCGGAUGCAAACCUUGCUUAUGAUCAACCAAAUACUGAAACAUGGAAUUUAAUCAAACGUUGAGGAUAAAUAUGACUUUUUCCUGUAAAUCCCUCCUAAUCUCUCCUCUAUCGCGGGUGAUAAAAAAUGUAUCUAUCCUGCAAAUCCAUCGUCGUCGUUCCGUAUUUUUCUUCUCAAACAAACAUGAAAGAAUAUGUCUUAAUCUGUUCAUGCGAAGACAGCAUAAAUGUUUAUCUACAAAUUUUUUCAGAUUCAUUCUCACCAAACAAAAGCUAAUGCAUUUUUGUUUACCGUUUUGCCCUUUUCACCUUCUCAAGUUACCAAACACCACAAUUUCAUUCGUGUUCUUAAUUUGCUACACAUGUAUUCAUUUCUUUCUUUGUCUUUUCUCUUUUUCACAUGUAUGAUGGCUUAAAAAUUUAUAAUUGUAAUAACAUUAAGGGUAUAUUAUUUGUUAAUAGUUAUGCAAUAUAAACUAUUAAUAUUAUUAUUUUAAAUUAUUAACUUAAUGUUAACUCUUUUUAACAUAUUUAAAGGGUGGUUUUAAUUUUCUACCUUCUUAAUAGAUUUAACCUUUUUUAUUUUUUAUUUCCUUUAAUUAAUUUUUUAUUGUUCACAAUUCUUUUUAGUCAAUGUUAUCUACUAUACCUUUGGAUAUUUAAUAUAGAUAUGUUUAAACAAAUACAUUUGUAUAUUAAGCCUUUUUAAUAUAAGUAAUGUGUAGUUGUAAUCUUAUCUAUAGUGUAUACUAUUUGCAUUCAUUGUAUAUUUUAUUAAUCUUUCUCACUAUUUUUUAUUAUUAUUAUUCUCUUGUUCUAUUAUCUUAGCAUGAUAAAUGUUAUAACAAGAAGCAUUUAAAAUCAUUUAGAAAGUAUGAAUCUCAUUUUCGUCUCUUAUUAUACUUUUAGAUGUAAUAAGAUGUUUGAAUCAAUGAUUCUAUGCAAACUAGAAAUUCAAAACAUGAAUUAGAACUAAAAUUUUAAUUAAAAAAAAACUAAAAUUUAUAAUAGAUCAAAUAGAAGGAAAUAAUAUGUUCACUACAUUAUCUACUUCAUAAAGUACUUUUAUUUAUUUGUGUUUUUAGACUUAAAAAGAAGACUCAAGUCUCAAAAUAAGGAUGUUUUAAUGAUGAAUGAAGAUCUUAAAGACUUGUUUAAAAAAAAUGUUUUUUGAGUCCUAGAUAUAAGUUAUGCACAAGGUUAUACGCACAACUAUAUUUAAAUGAAUUAAAAAGAAAAUAAGUUUUGAAAUGGGAAAAAAAUAGUUUAGAAAGAUUUUAUGAAUUUAUUAAGUUUUUACAUAAUCGAUUAAACUGUUUAUGAGAAGUGCUUUCAAAGAAUAACUCAUUUCUUUUUCAAUAAUAAAUGGAAUAUCAAGGUUGAACAAUAUGUCCAACAAAUAUCGUUAGGAUAGAUUCUAACUAUAACUCUGAUACCAUGUCAGAAGUGGGUUUUAGGCCUAACUCAACCCCACAAAUCCGGCUUGUAAAAUGAGGUUUGCACCCUACUUAUAUAUUAUAAAUUGACCUUAUCUUUAAUUGACGUAAACUUUCAACAUUAUAAGCUUGAAAUAAUUGAUUAAAAGUGUCAAUAUUUGUUUUGAAUCAACAUUAUUUCAUAAAUAGUGAUUGAAUCUCAAUCUUUUAUACAAUGAUUACAAUCAUAUAAGUGAAUUAAAUUGAGGUGAUGUGGACGAUUUUCAUGUUGUCAAAUUGUACUUACAAGAUUUAACAUCAAAGGUUGUGUUCUAUUGUGAUUAGCUUUUGUUGUGAAGUUUGAUGAUUGUUGUCAUUGGAGGAGUGUUUCACUUUUUGUGGUAAAGAUUUGAUAAGACAGGGAUUCUCUUGUAGUUGAUAUUUUCUUAAGGGUUUUAAAAAGUUGAUUAUUGUUGUUUUGAGGCGAUAAAAUACUACUAGUGAAUUAAUUUGAAGCAAUCCAUUAAAUUUAGAAAUUGAAAUUGUUUUAGAAGCAGUGAAUUAAAGGGGAAGAGGCAAAAGGAAAGAACAGGAAGCAGUAAGUAAUGAAGUAAAGAGGAAGAGCCAAAAAGGAAGUAAAAAAGAAACAGUAAGUAGUGAAUAAAGAAAGACAAUAGGAAAGAAGAAAAGAUGAAAAGAAAGAAGAAAGGACAAAGACCCCCACACAUAGAGACCGGAGAAAACAGCAUUCUUAGCUGUCCAAUUAAUUAAUGGUUAACCGUUUUUGCUCCAACAUGUUCACAGCGAAUCCCAGAGACAAAAGACGCAUUUCCAUCUACAGUUAUCAAAAGUACAUCCCAUUGAUCCCUUCGCAAACAAGCAACUUAAACAUAUAAACAAACAAUAAAUAAAUACUUACAUACAAAAAAGUACUCCUACUAAAUUUUAUUUUCCAAUAAAGCUCUUCCUUCACUGUUUACACUGUUACAAUUAUUAAUUCCUUACCAGAACCUAGGCGACACAACCCCACUUAAACCACAAAACAUAACAGACACACAAAUUCAACACUACAAUUCAAAGCCAUGUUUUGUCUUUUUCUUUCGUGUUUAAGAAAAACAAAAAUUCCACCCACUUAUCGAUCUAUCUAUCUUCCUUGGUGUGCUCUUUUCCCUUUUCUCACCAAAACACUCCUAUUCUACGUACCAAGAUCGUCAUCCAGAUUUUAUGUCCCAUCACUUUAUGGCUUCAAAAUUUUCAAUUUUUUUUGGUUAACUACACCAACAUGAUAUGACAUUAUGACUAAUGACAUGCUCACUUUCUGAUGGACCCAUUGGGAUAAACCAUAAACGUUUUUUCUUCUUUACUUCUUGAGCAUGGUUUAGUUAAUUCAAGAGUUGUGGAUCGUUGGAUUGUUUCCACAUGGAGUGAUUUUCCUUCUUUUGAGGUCCCUCUCUUGUCUCAGAGGAGAAUCAGCAACGGUGAUUCCGUUGGUUUUUUCACUUUCUGAGCUGAGAAAAUGAUGGUCCAACACAUUAAUCGGUGUGUCUGACCUUGAAACCCCAUUCAACGCAGACUCGUACUCCUCCUCUAUGGCUAUGUCUUGUAUCACUUUGUAGCACUGCUCCACGCUUUCCUGCAGUAAAUUUUUCGUACCCUCUAUUAAUUUCGUUCAACAUUCAAAAUAUGCUUUCCCACUUUCCCUCUUCCCCUCCAAAACAAAUUCAUAAAUACUCUGAUAACAAUAAAGGAGGAAUGUGUUAUCUGUACUUUAUUUACAUAUGAAGACUCGGUUAUUGCUUUUAAGAAGGACGGAUAUUGAAAAGGAAACAACUCAUGAGAAGCACACAAAAGAGCAGAUGCUGCAAUCAUAGAUGGCUUGAACUCCCAAACUCUUAUCUCUGCACACAAACAAGAUCACAAUUAUUAAAUUACAAGUCGGUAUUAUUGAGUAUUAUUCAUACCAUAUAUCAUGCAGAAUGACUUUUUCCACCACUCAAAAACUCAUUGAUAUUAUAUAUAGAAAGAUGAAAGAGAAGAGAGUGUGAAAGUUUGACAAAUUACAUUUCCAACUGUUAAUGCAGUGUCUGGAAAAAAUAAAAAAUGUACAAAAUCAUUAACUAUAUCAUAUUUUAUGAAUAUAUGAGUACCUCUUUGUGACAUGAAUAUGAUUUCAGAAGCACGGUUUUUCAGAACCCUCCCCGUUGGUGAGCCUUGGAGCCCCAUCAAGGCAAUGAAGAAAGGUAUGAAAGAGAAUGGAGUGAUCGACCGCAUUCUCCAUUGUAAUGCUCCCAAGAUAAGUGCUUCCAUUCUUCCCACUGUUUGUGUCUCAAAGAUGAUGCCCCCAUCACUUUGAUUCAAAAUAUCCUAAUAAAUAAACCACAUUCAGUGAAUACACGUACCAAAUUACCAAUCUUUUCUUAUAAAACCCUCUUGUGUUACCAGCGCUAAACUACUUAGAAUGCAUGAUGGCGAUUUUACCUGAACAUCUGGGCAUUCAGUUCUCAUCAUCUUGACAGCUAGAGAAAUACAAGAGACAGCAAUGAGCCUGAGGACCCAUGACUUCGGUUGCUGUUUCAUAAACCAAAUUAAGAAUCUAAUAGAUAGGUACUAUAUAUUACAUGUUUUUAUUACUUUAAUAUUCACACAUAAUGGAAUUGAAGAACAAUGAUGAAAAUAAGCAAAUAACUAGAACAUUUGGAUUCUUUACCGAAAUCCCUUGGCUGGCUAGGAACCGAUCCAGAUAGUUGGUAGCAAGAUAAGACAAAGCCGGAUCCAAAGUGCAGGACAACUGAACAAGACCAACCAAUGCACGCUGAGAUUAUGUUCAUAAAAAGCUAUUUUUUUUUUCUCAGACAACAGUCAAAGUUUUGGCACUCACCUUUGCGAUUAAGGAGACAAGUUCUCUUCUGACAGAGAUGUCAAGAUCUCUAGCUUUGAGAGUGUGAGAAUGAUUCUGUGAUAGGGUGUGGUCAGAUUCAAUGAGGAAGAGAUAAGAGACAGCAUCGGAGUGAAGAUUUUCCAAAGGGUUUUCAAGGUCAAACUCCAUGGACGAAGUGGUGGUGGAAGAAGGUAGUACUGAAUGGGGCUUAAAAGGCAAGGAAAAGCAUGCUGAGGGAGGCAAAGUGAUAAAGGUAAAGCUGCAGAGAGAUAGCUCUCAGUUCUCUCAGCUUUCUUCAAAUGAAUACCAUGGCAUGGAGUUGCUUCGGUUCUACAACAGCUUUGCCACUUUUCUUUUUCUAGCUCUGAGCUUUGCUAGUUGCUGCUCUCUCUUUAUUGGUGUUGUUGCCUUCUGCGCCUCUCUCAUCACCCUAUUGUCUCUCUUUGCUAUAUAUUAAUUUUGGGAAAAUGGGAGGUUUUUGGUCCACCGUGUUCAGGGUUGCAUGAGAUGAUGGUGCUGUGGCAGGACCAGAUUGGUUCAAGCACAAGUCAAUUUUAAUGGGAAAGUUUAGUUUGACAUAGAAGUGUUGAAUCCUGCCCUCUUUUUCUGCUUUUAAAUGGAAAAAAAAGGGUGUGAGAGUUAAGACGGUGGGUGAUGAUCAUUCGGUGAAACCACCAUCAGUUUUUUGUUUUUCUUGAUCUUGACCUUAAUGGCACACUCUUGAAUAAGAACGGAACAAAUUCAUAUUAAUAUUUAAUACCAACAAGUCCAAAAAUCAAACGGAAAAUGCAACCAAAAUACUACUACUAUCUAUUCUUGUAAUUAAUACGUUUCCUAAUUCAUCAGUGAUUUUGAUUAAAUUAUGCUGCAUUUUUUCGGUGGAUCUGUGGGAUUGAGCAUAAAAAAGUAGCAGCUGACAAUGAAAUGCUUUAAUGAAUACUGAUCCCAAUCCUAUGGUUAUUGGCUACUGCAAUCCGCAUGCCCCAAUUCAAUGUCACUAAUGAAGCAUUAUUUCCUAUGAUAAAGUAAGGGAUUAGAUGCUGAUAAUUACUUUCUUCAAAAUCUCUCUAAUCACUGUCAUGGAUUGAAGUUGAACAAAUUAAGGGUCAAUAGGGUUAUUGUCAAGUUUAUGCAUGCUCUACUUAUUGAUGAAAGCCCAGUUGGUAUACAUAUUAAUUGGAAAAAAUUAUGUUUUUAUUUUUCACACAUAUAGAACUAUCGUGUUUGUUACAUACACAAUAAAGGUCCGACACAGUAAUAAUCCCUUACCCAAUUCUAGAUCAUAAUCAAAUAAUACUUUAGAACCAAAUUUCAGUAAGAGAGGAAUCCAAUUAAAAUUAUAUUUAAUUUACACGGGACCAUGUUGAUCUGAAUUAAACAUGUAUAAUUAAUUAUUCACUAGAAGUUCAAAUUUGAAGUGAACAACUAACUUAAUUCAAAUUGCUUUAAAAAAUGACUAACUUACUUUCAAUGAGAGAAAGAAAAUGAUAUGAAAGAAGAGGCUGUGAGUGAAACAUAUGUAAUUGAAAUUGAAAAAGACUAAGUAUUGUGUCUGGGUCCACUGUUGUUCUUCUGAUCCCUUAUUGGUCUCAGUGUAUUAAGUCCCACAUUGAAUCCUGGAAAGUAAAACUAUGAUCUUGUCUUUAGUCAUUGUUGAACCAAAAAGAAAGGCACAAACUAAACACGGUUUUGAAAUCAAGAUUUUUUUAACAUAUUGCAGGAUGACUUUGGUGGGACUGAAUAUGGACAACCAUAUAAACAAAGAUAAACAUGACAAAGUUUUUUUAUUUAUAGAUGUUAAACACUAGAACGACCGAACAAGAGGGACACACUGAAACGUAUCUGCUAUCACAAUAGAAAGUCUUCAACUUGUGGUUGGGAAAUGAGAAGGUGAGUUCUUGGUGCAUUUGGGGAAGAAACAAAAAACUGAUUUCAUUUCUGACCCUGUUUUCUGCAUUCGUUUUUAUGUGGAAAAGACUAAUUGGUUGAAUUAGAAACUAAUCUUCUUCACCAAAUUAUGAUUCUCGUUAAACAUGGGAGAUACAUAGAAAAUUUAUAAUUUAUUUUCUCAGACAAAAUCAAGAAUUGGGAACUAUCUAUGGAUGUUUUCUGAUGUAACAAAACAUGUGUAGUGUAGCAGGAAAAAACAUCCUUGAGUGAGUAAUGAUGCCUCAUAAAGUAUAUAGAGAUUGAAUUUCUUAGUUUGUUCUGGUUGUCUGAGGAUCAUGUCUUGGUUGUGCAGAAAUGUUCAAGCGUGAUUCAUAUUUUAUCAGAGUACAGGUCCAAUAUCACUUUUCAUAUUUUAUCUUAUUUUAAAUGCUUAGAACUACAAAGUUUCAUCAUUAAUCCAUGAAGUUAAGAGAAAAAAAAAAAUCAUUAAAUUAUCCAUUUAGUGUUAAAGACAGCGGCAUAGGAUUUCCUAAUUUAAUAACUACACAAUCAUUUUGAUCAUUACUGUUAUACAUGUAAAUCAUUUUGAUCAUUUUUUGAUUGUAUACUUGUAAUUUUAAUUAUUAAUAAGUAAUAAUUGGCACGUGGGUAAUUUUUGGGAUAGUUUGUAUUAAAGUAUGUUGGUUGACUAAGGGCUUUUGAGGGCAUUGCAAGAGGCCUCAAUGGCUUUUUCAUGUGUUGCUUGAUGACUUCGAAAUGACUUUGAAGAACGUUCCAUUUCUUUUGGAGUUGCUUCAAACAUGCUAUAUCUCUCAAUAUAGUACAACUUUCUCUCCAUUAUUAUAUGCACAGUUUUAUACUAGCACAACUUUUGCUUUUCUUCUUGGAUGUUAUCAGAAAAUCAUAGAUUCUCUCUUCUUGCAUGUCUUGGUUCAAGAGAAAGUCCACAUUUUUUUUGUACAACUUAAUUUGUAGAUGUAUCUUAGAUUAAUGUUUAACUUUGCUUGUUACAACUAGGAUGAUCUUAGAUUAUGUUUGUCAGUUCGUGCUUAAAGAAUAUUUCGAAUAAUUAAUUUUCAUGAGUUUAGAUUUUGUUGAAUUUGAAAAAAAAAAAAAAAAGUAGCAAAGCUGAACUAUUUGGGCCACCCCGGUUUCGAUUUGAUCAUCAACAAAUCACCUAACCAAAUAAAAAAAAUUUAGAAAACACAAUUCUAGUCAGAAGGGAAAUAAUAAAUAAUAUCUAAAGUAAGAAUUAUAUAGCAACACAACAUAAAAAAAAGCAAUAGAAUUACAUGACACAUAAAUAGAAGUAUAAAAUAAAAAAAAAAUAUUGUAAAUUAUGGGAGGAUUAUAAUGUUGCCGUCUACAUGCAUAUAUAUGAUAUAAGAACCAAAAUCGAGAUAGUACUUUUAGAAUAUAAGUCAAUGAUCUAAAUUAAUUCAAUUUUUUUUUUCAUUUAUAUUAUUAUUAAGUUAAAUUUGUGAUUACCAGUAAUUGAAUUAGACUAUUGAAAAAUUUGACUAAUAUAUAUUUAAAAGCAAUUUUACAAAAAUGAGUUGAAUUUAUUGAUAUGUGAAAAUAAAAUUUAUUGAUAUGCAAUAUAUAAUUUUUACAGUGGUUAAACAUUUUAAUAAUAUGAAAGAUAAAUGUUAAAUAUUCAUUGGUACAGAAGUUAACCAACAUAAAAAGUUUUUUAUUUUGACAAUAAUUUAAUAAACAAUAAUCGAAAUAGAAAAUAUAAUAUAUAAUCCCUCACAACCAAUAUAUUGUCUACUUUUUGAACUAUUUCAAAGGUCAACAAAUAUGGAAAGUCACUAAAAAUAAGACACACUAAAACAUUAAUUUCUCUUCAAUUUUCAUAUUGUGUCAAGAGAAUUCUUCUUUUGUUAUUUACGCUGUGUUUCUUUGCACUGAUUUUACUGUUUACACCAAUUUGCGAGCGAGGAAAGUUUUAAAUUUUGCGUUCGUUUGAACUGAUUGCAAGCGAUGGAUUUGUGACGAGUUGCGAUGAUUCUGAGUUGAAUGCACUGUCUUCACCAUCUCGCAAAAAGGAGAAGAUUUGCGAUGAUUUAGUGGCAAAAGACUCAUCUACCCUCUGUAACUGUGAAAAUUCCAAGUGAAUAAAACCUGAUUUUAACGUAAAUUUAAAAAAGCAAAAUCCAUUUUGACGUAGGAGCUCUGCAGAUCUGCUAGGUAUGUUUCUCGCACACACAUUAUCCUUCUUUUUUGCAGGUGGAAGACGUGUAGUUGUGGAGAGGGGAUGAUGAAGAUGAAGGAGGCCGAUGACGCCGGCGGAUGAAGAAGACGAAGCUUGAAGAUGAAGAUGGCGUGCACAUGUCAAAUUUGGUGCAGGUAUCCGGAUACACUGUUGCUGUAUCCGGAUACAGUUUUCUUCAGAAAUUGGAAAAGAAGAGUAUCCGGAUAGAUGGAUUGCGUAUCCGGUUCCAGGCGUUGAUGUUGUUUGCAGCUCUUUGCAUGGCGAUAGAAUUGUCACGUUCGAUAUCGAGGAUUUUGAUGGCGACAACCUCGUUGAAAGGAACGCAGAGCGCGCGGUGAACAGAAGCGCUGACGCCCUGACCAAUCUCUUCGUAGAGAAGGUAAUGUUCAACUCCGAUCGGAUACUUCUUCUUCUCUGUUCUGGGUCUCUUUGCCCUUCUCCUUCAUGCUGAUCGAUCUUUGAGGCGACGAAAUUCCAGAGAAGUNGUUAGAUUCAGAUGAGAAAGGCAAAGAGAAAAAUCACGUGAAGAUGGAAGAGAACGAAUGAAUGAAUGAAUUGUGGUAAGGGUAAGGGUAAUUGGGUCUGUCUCCUCCCGCCAUUUUUCUUCUGCAACCAACUCUCCCUCCCCUCUGUUCUUAAACAGUAAAUAUUAUUUACAUUUAAUUAAAAAAUAAACAUUACUUACAUUUAAUUAAAANACAUUAUUUAUAUUUGGUAAGAAAUUAUAUUACAAACNAAUACUAAAUUUUUAAAAAUAUUUAUUUUACUUAAAAAUAUUUUUUUAAUAUUUUAAAAAUUAAUUUGACUUAUUAUAAAUUAAUUUCCUUUCUUUAUUAACAAUUAUAAAUUUAAAUAUAACAUUAAAAAAAACAUUUUAUAUUACUAAAAUAACUAGGGGCAUUUUGGUAAUCUUUCAUUUCUACCAAUUAAACAAAUUUUUUAAUUUUAUCACAUCAAUCAAAUCCUACACUAAUUCUCACAAACUUUACCCUCAAAUCUACUCUCAAUUACCCACAAAUCUACUCAAAAAAACAACAACAAAAUUACCCUCAAAUCCAUUCAAAUCAUCUCCCCCAAAUCAUCUCCCCCAAAUCCAUUCAUAAAAACAUAGGCUUAGUCUCUCUUCUUUUAUACCACAUCAUGUCACACUUUUCCUAACUUCUAUUUUGACACAUCAUUUUAUAAUUUCUUUUGAAAAUCAUACACUAAUUAAAAAUAAAAUCAAUAUAAAAUAUAUGUAGGUGUAAAUUUCACUUUAUAAGUUAGUUUUGUAGGUUAAGUUACAUUUAAAGUUCAUUUUUAACAUAUAUUAAAAUCAUAGAUUAAAACAUAUUUUACUAAGAUUUGUGUUUGUUAGACAUAUUAUUCUACUCGAUAUUAGAUUUCUAUCAAACUACUCAUUAAUUUUUAGUCUUAUGCAUGUAUAUUCCUCAGUGUGAGGAGAUGUUAGAAGUUUCACAUCUUAAAAACUGGUUUUGCGAGAUUGAGUUAGGUUUAAAAUCAAUUUCUUUUCCAAUACAACUCUUCUUUUCAUUUUUUUUUCACUUUUGAACAGUCUUUAAACACUCGGAUGGAAUCUAUUAUUUAUAUAUAAAAGUUUAGUUGAACAUAUAAAUAUUUUUUACUACUUAAAUUGAAUGACAUUUACUAAGUGUGACAUUGUACUGUAAUUGCAUUUUUCUGAAUCAAAAUAAACAAACUAAUAAUUAAAAAACACACACACACCAUAUUGUAUAUCAGUUUAUCUUCACUUAUCUAAAAUUUACAUUGACUAAGACUACACCAAAUGUGAUUUAAAAUGAUGGGACUAAAAUAAUAAUUGACUGCACUUAUUAAUUAGCAAUAAUCGUAUUGAUUUGGAAUGAAUCCAAAGUUCAUUCCCUUUAAAGAUCUUGAGAUGAAUAUACUUGAAUACACUUUAUUUAAUAAGGUAUUACUAAAGUAAAAGUGUAUAGUAAUAAUAAAAAUAAAAUAUAUGAUAGUAUAUAGAAAUAUUUGUGGUUGAAGAAAUUUGCAUGCAGAAUGAUCGUGGAGUGAAAAUGCAUGUUUGAGGCUAAAGUAAAGAGGAAAAGGGUAGAGAAGGUGAUGAUUAAUUUGAAGAGUGGAUGGAGCACGCCACAGGCCCCAUGCAGAGAGCAAAAUCAUUGCAUGUUUAAUGUUUGGAAUGUGGGCCUUUUCCUAUAUAUUAACUUACCUUCCAAUUAUUCACUUUCCUUUUCAUCAACAAUUCUAUUUUGCAAUCAUCACUAUCACUCAACCCUCUCUGCAAAACCUCACAACAUUUAAUCAUACUUUUUCCCUUUUUUUCAAUAAUAACAUAUUAAUAUCUCACAUUUUUUCUUAUAAUAUCAUCUUCAUCAUCAAUUUUCUAAAUAACUAACUUUCAUUCUAUUCAAAUUUUACUUGAAAAAUAAACUCAAUAAUACUUCACUUUUUGUUUAAAAUAUGAGAUAUUAAUUUUAUUCCGUCGUGAUAAAAUUAUCUAUUCAUGUGAUUUAUUAAGAAUAUUGUUACUGUAGACGCACAGUUUGAAAGUGGGCUUAUAAAAGCCCAGUUCCGGACUAAUACUUAGAAUCCAUCACGAGAAAAGCCCAUUGCGUUGAAAGAGAAAGAUCUAAAAUUUUGUUUGGCAGAAGCAUUUUAUUUGAACACAUUGAAAUGGUACAGUAGUUCUUUUGUUUUAUCCAGCAAAAUUUUAGAGUAUUUCUUUCUGCAACUCCAUAAUAUUUUCCAUCUCCAUAAGCAAAGUAAAACGAUAAAUUUGUCUUUGUCCUCUUCCCUUCACCACUGCACAUCCAUACUUUCCUCCACCUUCGUCACAUCUUUUUCCACGUCUACCUCCACCUCUACUUCCAUUUUCAUCCCACAUUCUUUUUGAGUUGAACUUCAAUCUAAAAUAUAGAGCACUUUAUGUUGUGUAGGAGUAAAUAAAGAGGAUGAAGUGUAAGACCUGAAAAAUUAGUACUAUUCUAUGCAUAAGUUAGUUAUUGAAAUAUGUUUGAGAUAAGUUUUAUUUUUGUAUCAUGUGGUUAAUUAGUCAGAUUUUAUUAUGGUGGGGUGAAAGCUUGGAGUGUAAGUGUUAUGUGGCUUGAAAUAUAAAUUAUUUGUGUUAAAAAUAUGUAAAAUUAUGGUAUAUGUGAAAUAGAAUAAUUUGAAAUGUUAUUAGUUGGUAAUAUAAUCAAGGUUUAAUACCUAUUUUGGUCCCUUGGUUUGUGAGGUAUGUUUAAAGUUGUCCUAACUUUUUUCAGAUGUUCACAGUUAUCCCAUAAUUUAUAAAAAAACGAUUCAAGUUAGUCCUUUUUGCUUAUAGCGUUAAAAAACUAACGGAACUUAGCCAAUCUGUCCAAUUCAUUAAUACGUGGAACAUAAGGUUAGUCAAUACUGGAGUAACACACAUUGGAAGCUCUGCUAUCUGCUCUCGGCCUUCAAUUCUUUCUUUCUUAUUCUUCUUAUUCUUAAUGGAUUGUUCUGAUGGUCAGCUUCAGGUAGGGUUCUACUUCAACGCUUGUCCUUAGGUAGAUUCCAUUGUCCAUGACAUUGUUAGAGAAGAUGCUCUCUUUAAUACCAACAUGGUUGUAUUCUUGCUCAGACUUCAUUUUCAUGACUGCUUUGUUGAGGUUUCUCUACAUAAUAUCUCUGCAUAAUAUAAUUGUAUUAUUGAUAUUAUAAAGCUGUCAAAAUGGGUAACCCGGUCCGGUCCAUCACGGGUUGGUCACUUAGUGAGCCAACCCAACCCGGCUCAUUUAUUAGCGAGCUAGAAAAAUUCGAACCCGACCCGACCCACCACGGGUUGGUGGGUAAACAGGUUGGCUUACUGGCUCACUUAAUUAUAAUUUUGUUUAAAUAAAAAAAAAAUACAAACUUUUUAUAAUUCAAAUCUAAACAAAUUUCACUCCCAACAUGGUUGUUUAAUUAAUUUUGAAAAUAAGAAACUUCAAUAAUUUUUUCAAGCAAAAAAAAUAAUAAAUCUUUUUUUAUAAAAUUAAAAUUAGAUUUUAAUAAAACAAAAUUAUGUAGGUGGGUUGGUGGGCCAACCCGGCCCACCACGGGUUCAACCCGCAUGAGCCGGGUUUAAAUGAGUCGGGUUAAAAGUUGACCUGCAUAAAAAAAAUACAAUUUUUUCAAACCCAACGUAGUCCGAACCCGUGGUGAGCCGAGUUGGCCCGCAGGUUGUGACCCAUUUUGAUAGCUCUAUUGAUAUCUAUGUAUUAAUUGUUGAAAUGGAUGGGUUAAUUUUAGGGUUGUGAUGGUCCAAUUCUGAUUUAGAAUGAUCCACAAUUAGAGAGACGUGAAAUUGCCAAAUUAAAAGAAGUUCAAUGGCCAAAUUACCAAACAAACUAUUUUAGCAUGUUACUCUCCGCUUUACAAUACAACGAAAGCAAUUGAAGAAAUUGUGCACCAAUUUGGGAAAUUGAGGUUGAAGUCCUAGGAAUUAUCAGAAGACAAUCUCUGAUUAGAAGACAAUCUCUAAUUAUAUAAUAAAUUAUAAUUUUUGUUUAUGUAGUUCCGGACAGAAGAGAAAUGUUAGAAGAGAUUAUGCGCAGAGGUACAAGCUCACAUGGGACAGAUGUACCGAGUGAGAGAGAAAUUAACUGCCUUGUUACUCGAUCUGAUGAGGAGUUUUGGUUGUUUAAGAAAAUGGAUGAAGAUAGAAGACAAAAGGAAAAUUACAAAUCUCAUCUCAUGGAAGAACAUGAAUUUCUAGAUUGGGAAUAUUCUCAAAUUAACAAGUAUGAUAAGUCCAAAGAUUUCAACAGUGAGGAAAACGGAAAAGAAAAGAAGAGGUCAAGUUUUCUAGGUCAGGGUUCAUUAUCUGAUGCUAGAGGGCAUUCUUUUAAUGGAAGAGAAAAUUGGAACUUAUUUCAGUUUAAUUAAGUCAUUGUCUAUGGGUGCAUAAUUUUGCACAAAUAUUGAUUGUGAUUCUGCAAGAAGAUCUUAGGCCAAUAAAAACAAGGAACUUUCAUGUAUUAAGCCAGAUUUGGGAGUGUCAUCGCCGCCGACGCCAAACACGGCGCCAAUGACGUCUUUGGUUGCACUGCAACGGCGUAGUGGUGGGUGUUGGCAUUGCUCCUUGGUUUCUGGGUGAAGAAGCAAACCCUAGUUGUUUUAAAAUACUAGGUGCCACGCUAAUUGGUCACAGUUGCCACGUAAUAAAAAAUUGGACAGGUUAGCUAAGUUCUGUCAGUUUUUUAACACCGUAAGCAAAAAUGAUCAACUUAAACCGUUGUUUACAAAAUAUGGGAUAAUUGUGAACAUCUAAAAAAAAGGUAGGACAACUUUGAACACACCUCACAAACCGAGGAACUAAAAUAGGUAUUAAACCUAUAAUAAAAAAAAAGAAUUGGUGUAACGGUAUGUGUUGUGUGCAUAUGGAACUGGUGUAAGGGCCUCACUUUGAACCUUGUUAAAGCUAAAACUAUUGUUUUUAUAUUUAUUUGCCUUUGUUUGGUUUUUUUUUAACUCCUUAUUUUAGGCUGAAACCCGAAAGAGAAAAGAACGAGAAAAAACUCCAUUCUCUUUAAUCUUUGAAACCCCAUCACCUUUGCCAAAAAAAAAUAUUUCUUCUUCAUUCUUCUUUUUCAAAACCACAAGAACUCUAGAUAGAGAGAAAGGAAGGUACAACUUGAGGGAGGAGAGGAGAGCAUUCACUGUAAAGUCCUUAACAUGCGAAAAUUGUGGGGGAAAUUGUAAAGGGUGAUGGAGAUUUUAAGAACCCUAGCGUGAUAGGCAGGGGUGCAAGUCAUAGUGUAAAGGGGAGAGAUUUUUUUCCGAUAUUGUUAAGGGGUUUUGGGCAAACCCUGUGAGCAUGUGGUUAGUGGCUAAGGAAGAGUGAAAAGCACGAAAAGCUAAGCCGAAUCGUAAGCAAGAGAGGGCACAAAUGUUGAGAACGAGGGGUGCAAAGAUUGUCGAGUCGAGGGUCUUACCAUGAUGAGUUUUUAGACCAAGUAUGGGGAGCUAACCUUAUAUGUUUCAUUUUUCUUCUAAAUGAGUGAUACAUUGUGUGUUUUCUGCCAUGUACUUGGUUAACAAUGCUACUUGGUUUGAUUCUGUUAUGACACUAUCAUAAUGUGUUCAUUGUCUUUGUGUGAUGAUUGGUAGUCUGGCCUGUCCUAGCCAAUUUAUAGCAGCUUUUUUAGUACAACUGGUGGUGAGGACGAUAUUCAUCAUUGUUUGGACUGAUUAAGGUCUUUACAUCUUAAGGUUUACUGUUGGGUGGUUAUGGCUAGGGAGUUUUCAAUAUGGUUGCAAGAGUGUGAUAUGUGGUCUUUAGGAUUGAAACUCAAGGGAUGAGAUAUUGGUGAAGUUGAUUUCUUUGACAAUUACCUAUAAUUAGUGUGAAUGUCACAUUAUUGUACUAACCAUGAGUUGUGGUGGUGGUUAUGUUGUCGAGUAUGUCUUCUUGCCAUACGUCAUUAAUUCUGAGUGAUACCUUUCCUCUUUCAAGGGGGUAGAAAGAUAGUCACAUUUUCUCUUGUGAGAGGAUAGAAAGGUAGAUCUCUUCGUCUUUAAAAGACGGUGGAAGGAGAUGAGUCUCUUUAUCCAUGAAGGACAAUUGAAGAGGCUGAGAUUCGAGUGUUCCCUUUCUUUUUCGAUGAAGUAGAAAGGGAUGGAUAUUUCACCUAUAGGGUUCUGACUCAUGUUGAGUUUAGAGCUAAUGAGAGCAACUUGAGGAACACGAGAGAUAGGUCCGAAGUUGCGGUGAAUGACUGUUGGCUGCAAAACCAACGGCAAGUGCACCGGUUGCAACAUAGCAAGUGAUAAAUAUCAUUCUCUCCCAAGGGACUUGUGCAACACAUGACCAUUCUUCCUUUUAUAACUCAAUUAGACAUCAAAGUGCACAAAAACAACACACGAAACUUUUUUUGUUAUUUUAUCAAAACUUGCUUUAAGUUCCAAAACAGUGAAUCCAAACACACAACCCCAUCCCUGGUGAUUUGCACAUCUGGUUUGAUUUAGUUAGUUCCGCUACUGAAACCUUAUCCCUAAGCCUUUCAAUAACUGCAUCAAGCUCUAAGGCGUACCCCGAGACAGGCAUUAAGUACAAACUAAAUCAAUGGAAAGUCUUAGAAACUAAAUCCAACUGCAGACAAAACAACAUUCAAAGACACAACAAACAACAAAGUCUAAAAGAGCCAUAGAUGCCCAAAUUGCCUUGUGUUGGAACACAAGUCCCCGGCAACGGCGCCAAAAACUUGUUGGCUACAAAACCAACGGCAAGUGCACCGGUCGCAGCAUAACAAGUAAUAAAUAUCGUUCUCUCCCAAGGGACUUGUGCAACACAUAACAAUUCUUCCUUUUAUAACUCAAUUAGACAUCAAAGUGCACAAAAACAACACAAGAAACUUUUUUUGUUAUUUUAUCAAGCAGUUGGUGUGCAAUGAAUUUAACAUAGUGUAUUUACAAUUUGUCAAGACUAGAAUUCAUCCAUUUUAUUCUCAUGCAUUCACAAACAUCUCAAUUUCAUCCAAUAAGUAUUCAAUUUCAAUUCUAGGUUCAGUCAUAUUUCUCAAUACAUCAAGAACCAAAAUUCAUGUCAUGGGUGAUCAAGUCACAACAAGCAUUAAGCAUAGAAAUCAAAUACUAACAUGAAUUGGAAAAACAUAUAUCAUUAACAUCACAAAAUACAUAAGAAUUUCAUGUUUUACAAGUAAUCUCAACAAAUAGGAAAAGCCCUCCAUGGUGGAGAACUUAGGGUUCUACAAAAUUGAAGAGAUAGGGAAGAAAUUGGAACCAAAGAGAAGAUGCAAAUCCUUUCCCUAGGUUCUUGGCAGCUACUUCAUGCUCCAUUUGCGCCUCCCCUUCGCAUCUCCAUCUCCAAUUUGUGACCCAUCUUCUUCCUCAACCCAAAAGGGGCAAAAUCACCAUUGAUGAAGCUUGAAGACCCAAGGAGGAGUGGGAGAGCUUCCCAACACCCCAAAUAGCCUCCAAGGGCCUCUCCCAAUCUCUCUAGGUGAAGAAUGAAGUGUAGGAGGAGAAGAAUGCCCCAAAAAUCGCAAGACCCAUGUUUAAAUAACCCAUUUUGACAUGUCAGAAGAAAGUCGCGCUCAGCGCCCCACAAAGGGCGCCCGGGCGCCAUAAAAACACAAAACAGCGAAUCAAAGGGCGCCCAACGCCCCCCAGGGGUGCCCGGGCGUGAAAUCUCCAGAAAAAGGGGCGUUCAGCACCAUUCUGUGGCGCCCGCGCGCCCUUUUGGGGGCGCUCGGGCAUGACAGCUUUGACAACAUUCUAAAAUUCAGGCUCUUGCGCGAUCCCAAAGGCGUCCAACAUGUGUAUUUGCUUCAAAUUGAUCUUUUAUUGUCCCAAAACAUGUUCCCUUGAGUUCUUGCUUGUUUUCCUCCACUAGAAUUGCUUCCUAUUCAUUUAUUUCACACACUCAAACAUAGAGAUUAGAGGUAAAAACAAGCAUAUACUAAAUAAAACACAAGAAAACUAGAAAACACACUAAAUGUGAUGAUAAAACAAGGUAAAAGCUAUGAAGGAGUUGAUUUUGCUACUAAAAUGAUGCUUAGAUAAUGAUAAGAAUUAGUAUUAUCAAUGACCACUCGAAUUGUCCUAUUUUGGUGAACAAUGUGCGAGGAAGUUUGGAAGAAGACAUACGUUUAUAAAAAUGGUUGGUAUUGACAUGAGUUGCCUUUAAUGAACAUGUUAUAUAGAAUUAACGGGUUAAUCACGGUUCCUUAUAAGGGGAUGUAUGGUUUGACAUUGUAUUGCUAGUCAUACAAUUAAUGAUUAAUGUAAACUAUUAUCUAAUCAUAUAUUAUUAUACAUUACUUGAUAUAGUACCCUCAUGGCGAUUUGAUUCCUAAACUCAUACCGAUAUCAUAACACAAAUUACGGGCUUUUGAUACAAAUAUAAUUAAUUUCUCACAAAAUAUGGUGAACCCGACAGUGAUAGAGUCUUGUCUAUUUUUCUAUGUCUACAUAUAUGUUAUAUGCAAAAACGGACGACAAAAUCAUAUCGAAUAAAGCAAACAUGACGAAGGGCAUAAAGGCAAUACUUGGAAUGGAAGCGACUGAGACGAAUGGGCACGGCAGAGAGGUAUAGGCGUGACGGAGAAGAAGGGGCACGACGGAAGUUGACAAACUCGAACCUCGCAGUAGACACUCGAAUGGGGCAGCGAAAGUUGGCGGAAGUUGACGAAAGUUCGCAGAUGUUGAUGAUUUGGCUGGCGUCAAUGUGGAAUGACUGACGGAGGAAUGGCUGACGUCAAUGUGGAAUGGCUGACGUCAAUGUGGAAUGGCUGGCGUCAAUGUGGUAAAAGUUCAUAGAAGAACACUCGUGGCAGAUGAAUGGUUGACAAAGAAGAGAAAGCUUCGAGUUUGAGUUUCAAAAGUUUGCGUGGAAGACGAAACUGUUCACAGUUUUUUUUAACCUAAUUAAAACAUACUACCGCGAUUUAAAACAAAACUGUUGUCAUAUAGUGGGAUAGGCUGCAGUUGUGAAGGGAACCGCGACCUAUUCUCUUGAAAACAAUAAAUCAAAAUGACAUUUUUGAUAUUUUUUCAAACUAUAUGCCGCGAUUCAGCGCCCAACCGCGGUCUAUUCCCUUAAAUAUUUAAAAUUUAUUCAGACCAGGGAAUAGGUCGCGGUUCUCAGAGAAACCACAGCCUAUUCCCUGACGUUCUGAAUCCCUUAACUGCCUUCUCAACUGCCUUUUGGGGAAUGUCAGAAGGUUGCAGGGGGAAUAGGUCGCGGUUCUCUGAGCAACCGCGGCCUAUUCCCCUGCAACUUCUGAAAUUCCCCGCCAUGUCAGCCCCUAUAAUGGAAUCUUGUUGUAAUAAUCAAACAUUGAUAAUAAAACAUGUCCAGUCAAAAACCUAUCUUUAGAUUGAUUUAUUAUUGACAAACUAUAACAUCCCCAAAAUAGAGAAAAAUCAUAUCUUAGAAGGUUCAUUAAGGUAUAUGGGAAAACCUUGAAAUAUAGAUGAGAAAACAACAUACAUGAAUGUACAAGUUAGCUUAAGCAUAAUAUUUGCAAAAUAAAAAGUUUUUCCACAAUAGAAAUCUAUAUAAAUUUCCUCGAUACUCUCAAUACAUAGCAAGACUAUGAAAUAUAUUAAAACUUGAUGUUAUGUACAUUAAUACAAAGAGCACAAACCCACUCCUUACUUAGUCUCACUUACUACCUACCUUGACCUCCACUUGAAACUCUAUAUGUUCACGCUAAAAUGGCGAUCGUUGCAAAAGAAACACAAUAGACAACCGAACAAACAGACAAGACUAAACUAGCAUAAUUUGCAAAAAUAAGUGACACUGAUAAUAGUUUAAUCAACAACAAACCCCAUAUAUUUUCACAUAGAACAUCACAUAAUUAAAAAAAUCAUCAAAGGACUUAUAUAGGCUCAAUUAUCCAGAUACCGACAUUGAUAUCAAAUCUCAAGAGGUUUUGCACAACCUUUAUUACUCUGCAAAACCAUUUCCAAUGGGUUUCAUCAUACCACACAUAAGGUAAAUCUGCUUUACAUCUUAAGCUAAGAUAAAACGCCUAGACUAAGACCUCCUGCUACUCUACAUGAGACUGGAUGAUUAUUGGAGUGUUAGGAUAACCUUUAGGCAUGGGUUCUCACAUCAAUGAACACACUAAAGAAACAUUUCAUAAGGAUAUUCCUCUUUGGAAUUCCAUCAAGUACAUCAAGUCCCAAGAUAACUUUCCAAUCAUGAAUCCAUCCAAUAUUUUCAUCAAGUUAUUUCACAAACAUACAACAACAUUGUUCCUCCACCAUUCAUCAUUCACAACAGAAGCAACUUGCAUUUUUGACAUUUGACGUCACCCAAAUGGUUCACAUGCUUCCAAUAAAUUCUAAAUUAAUAUGCACAUUCUCACACAAGAUCGAUACAAAAUGGAAAUUUGAAAACAUUAGUACAAACUAUUUGGGAUUUUAUAAAUAAAAAUUUAGCAUGUACAAAACUCCAAAAAUUAUGUUCUUAGAUUGAAAUUAAAUGUAAUUGAAUCAAGAAAACAAUACAAAAAGAAUAAACCUAACUGGAUAAAUUUAGAAAAUGUUAUGUACCAAAUAAGAAACAAGGGUCAAAGAGGUCAACAACCUAAACUAUGAGAAUUUUACGUGAAAAAUGCUUUAACUACAUAUCUGAAAAUGAAGAUCUGAAUGAUCAAAGUAAAUAAAAAUAUGUUUAGGACCAAUUCUCAAAACUUCAAUUUGAUUCGAUGGUUAACAAAACGAGAAUCCCAUAUUUCUCGAGAUGAUGCAGUGCUGGAAAUUGAAUGGCGCCUAACACUAGGUGAGUGGCACCUAACACCCUGGACGUUUGGAACUCUCUAAUUUAUUUAGAUGGCGCUCGACGGUCCUAUGGUAUCGCCCAACAUCGUAUCAAUAUAUAAAUCCUAAUUUGUCGUUGUUAGAUCACCCAAUAUUCCAAUCUAGAUAAUUUUAACUUCUCUUUAUGAAAAAAUAUUGUUUGGUUCAAAGUAGACCUUCAAUAUAGUAGAUUGGAUUACUCUAACACAAUUAAUCCAAUCCCACAAGCAAAACCCAAAUCAAACAAUUUAAACACCACACCACAACAUAGUUAUAAUUAUCUCAAUAAACCUAAUGCCAGAUGCAAAACAAAUCACACACCAAAACCCACUUAAGAUAAAAAUCAAAGACAUGCCAUAAGUGAUCAUACACAUCUUAUUGUUGAAACUUCCUCUUUCUCCAAUUAACACCAAAACUCACAAUCUUACAAGGCCUUUAGAUAAACCAAAAUUAGCUCAAAUUAGUUAUUCAAGUACUCCCUUGGAACCAAAAUCAAAAGAGAAACCCUAUGAAGGCUCAAAGAACACAUGCAAAAGGGAAAAAAAUACUAUUGCAUAUGAAAUCAAGAACUAGUUCAAGGGGGAAAGGCAUAAAGUUUUACUUACUAUAAUGCAAUUAUUGAUUGGGUUAGUUUGGAGAGUUCUCCAUGACUAUCUCAAGCCAAGUUCUGAUCAAGAAGAAGAGAAAAGAGAAGUAAAGGUUAGAAGGAGGAAAGAAGAUGGAGGUGGAGAUAAAAUGUGAGAACAAAAGAGAGGGUUUUUGAUUUGUUUAAAAAGGAAAGGUUUUGAUCCUUAUGACUUUCUAAGGUUUUGAUCCUUAUGACUUUCAUAGAUGUGUAUACAAUUUAACAAGGUAUUAAUCUUCCUUUGGACCGAUUAAUGAAUAAACAUAAACACACACAUUUAAUAUUUUUAGGAAUAAUUUACCUAAGAGAGGUCACUUUGGUGACUGUUGAUUAUUCGGCAAGUGCACCGAAUCGUUCAAGUAAUAAAACCGGUAAGACCAGGUAUCGUUUUCCCAAGAGACUCGUAAUACUAGAGAAUUGUGCGAUUAACAAUUCAUAUAGACUCAAUAGCACAACAUUCAUUUACAAACAUGUGGAACAAGAUAAAAUAACACAUAAUUACAUGGUUGGACUUUGGUGUUUGAAGGUACAUAGAAAUGGACAAGACUAGAAAUGGUAUGAAAUGACAUUGCUAAGGUUAGUUUUCACCAAUUCACUCUUGUGUACACCCUAAUUUCAUCUCCUCUCCAUCAAUUUACUAAAGUCAAUCCACUAAAACACUCUAGCCCUAAUCCCUUAGGUGAAAGAGCCUAGGUUUUCUCAUUAAAUCCCAAUCCCUUGGCAACCUAACAAGCAAACCCGCAUUAAUGAGCUAGGAUCUUAAGACAACAUGUGAAUCAUCUUCCAUCCCUAGAAUCAAUGACCACAAGGACCCUUAUUUCAGUUCAAGAUUUCAUCUUACGUCCCCAUAAUCCAUGAAACCCCAAAAUCAAGUCAUGAACGUCCCCAUUACAUGCAAGCUUUAAGAUUAGAAACAAGAAUACUAGCAAUUGAUAGAAAAGGCAUUUAUAAAUACGAAUCAAUCAUCCAUUACACAAGAAUUCAAAGGCUACAACUAAUUCCAACAAGAUGGGUUUGGUUCUCCACUUCUAUGGAGAACCCUAAAGCUUACAAACAUGGUGGAUGGAAGAAAAAGGAGACCCAAAGGAAGAGGAGGAGAUGUUCCCACAAGCUCCUCAUGCCCUCCAUGAGCUCCAGCAGUAAAAUCGCACCUCCAAAGAACCAAAGACCCCAACCCUUUCGCGUUUCUGAGUUAAAUAGAGUAAAUCUGUCAUAUCAGCAAAAAUGGCGCUCGAGCGCCCCCAAAAAGGGGUGCUCGGGCGCGCGACAGUCAAAUGGUGCACAAAGCCAGCUUUCUGGCACCUGACAUAGUGGCGCUCAAGCGCCCCCAAAAAGGGGCGCCCGAGCCUGACUCUGCUGGACAACAUCUUUUUCUGGUUUUUCUGCAGAUUUGCUUGCUUUUGUGGCUAGUUUAGUUCUCUACAUUGUUGGAGAUUCUUCCAAGCAUAUUAUUAGCUGCAAAAUAAUGGGAUUAGUGAUGAAGUUACAUCAAUGUAGCCUAAAACACACUUAUUAAGAAAACAAGACAAAAGAAGAGGAUUAAGCAAGUUACAAGCUAUAAAGGAGUUGAUUUUGCUACUAAAUUGAUGCUUAGAUAAUGGUAAGAAUUAGCAUUAUUAAUGACUUCUUUAUUUCAUUAGCUCAUUUAAAAUGCCAAACUACCAAAAUUUGAACAUUGAAUACCAAACCUAAAGAAAUAACAAUAAUAUAAAAGUAAUAAAAAAUUAUAAAAUGAAAUAUAAUUUACAUCACAUAGACAACGAGUUCUAUCACGAAUUUAGAAACUACCAAUUUUAAAGAGUAUUUUAUGCAUAUUCAUGCAUAACAAACCCAAAUUUCAAAAUUUUCAAAGCUAUACAUGUAUGAGUUACUCUUAUGCCAUAGAAGCUGUAAACAAAAAUAUUUAACAUUUAUUACAAAAAUCUAUCCAAGAGAGGUCAUUUGGUGACUUCUUGAUUUAAUUAGCUUAUUUAAAAUGCUAAACUACCAAAUUUUGAACAUUAAUAUACCAAAUAUGAAAAAAAAAGUGACAAUAAAUUAAAAAAUAAUAAACAAUUUUAAUUGCAUAAAUAAUAAAUUUCAUCAUGAAUUUAUAAACUGCCAAUUCUAAGUUGUACUUUAUGCCACACCUAUAUAUAUAUAUAUAUAUAUAUAUAUAUAUAUAUAAUAUGUGAAUAUGAGUAAAAAAUCAAAAUUUCAAAAUUUUCAAAAUCACGUAUAGAAAGAGAUAAAAAUAGUAUGUAUUACCUUAAUUCCAUUUGAAGGAGUUUUUUAACCAAUAAUAAUUAUAUCUAAGCACAUUAUUUUAUCUAUAUAGAUCCCAAAUGCAUAACACAAUCUUUGUUAAUCUUAAUGAACUCAUACAUUAAUUCAUGAUAAAAAUAGAACAUAAAAACUUACGUCAAUUUACUAUUAGACUAUUAAGAGUAAUGUGAUAUGAGGAUCUUACGAAUUAUUUUUGUUUUCUCUCUAACUCGACAUGAAGAAAAAAUAAAAUCCAAAUACACUACACAAUCUUACGUUUUUUUUUUUUUUUACAAAUAUAGAUCAUAACUUUUUUUUAUAACUUUUCUACGACACAUUUUGAAUUUUAAUAAUUUUAAUUUGAAUCUUGAUAAAAUUUAAAUUAUAAUAUUAUUUUAAGUAUUACAUAAUAAUAAUUAUUUUAAGUACUACGUAACAGUUACAAUAAUAAUAAUAAUAAACCUAAUAUUAAUAUAUCAUUUUAUAAUUUUAAGUUAGCAUAUAACAUUCGUGACACAUUUAGAUAAAAUAGUCGUGGAAUAACUUUGUUAACUUCAUCGAAUUCAAGUAUGUGAUUUGAGAGGUUAUUAGUGCUUAUGUACUACUGUCAAAACACCAAAAUCCAGGAAGGUUGCUUUAUUUUUCAAGAAAUAUUUAGAAAAACAUGUUUAGUAUUUUUUCUUUGUUUUAUUUUUCGCAAUAUAUGAAGUAAAUGUUUACGUUUAUACAAUUAAAAUUACAAUAAAUAAAAAUUUUUAAUAUUUAAAUUAUAUUAUAACUAAAACCUAUAAUAAAAUAAAAUUUUAAUAUAUAAAUUGUUUUAAAUUUAUGGUAAAUAGAAUACACUAUGAUAUAAGAUUAUUUUAACAAAUAGUUAAUUUUAAAUAAAGGUUGCAAUUCAAUUUGAAGUAAAGAUAAAAAUUGUACAAUAGUUAAAAAUACUUAUUUUUAAAAACAUAUAUUUGAAAAUAACUAAAUAUUCAUAAGAAUAUUUUCUUCCUCUUAUUUCAAAAUUAUUCCUUUCUACAUAUACUUACUAAUAAUUACUUAUAAAAUUAGUUUCUUUUAAGAUGAUAAUUCAGAUUUAUAAUACUAGAGGAAUAUUAAAAAAAAAAAAGAAAAAAUUCAUGAACAUAAUUCACAUGAUCCCAAGAUUUUAUCUUAUACUAAUUUAAUUCGAUUAAGGGGCAAGUAAAAUUUAAAUAAAGUAAAGAUGAAACCUAAAUAGUAACUAAACAAUUCAACUUUAAAUUCAACAUUGGUGGAAAAGAAAUUAAUAAAUGACAUAGUUUUAAAAUGUGUUAUUUAAUGAAUAUUUUGAAAAUUAUGAAAACAUCUAUAAUAUUACAUGUUGCUAACUAACUCAAUAGACAUAUAUUUAUUAAACUUUUUCACAUUUAUAUUUAUUUGAAUCAUAUUCACGUAUAUAAUUAAUAUUUCUAGUUUAGUGCUAUAAUUAUUAUUUAUAAUAAAGUGUUACUGUGUUAUUAUUAAAUAUGUUAUUAUUAUAUACUUGAAUUAAAUAUUAUUUAAUUAAGAAUAUAAGCUCACAUUUUAUUUUGAUCUAUAAAUAUGAUUCGUAUCCUCUAAAAAAAAUUCUCAUUUUAUAAUUAUUCAUAUUCAUUAUUAUAUUUGAUGAAGAUUUUAAAUUAUUUUAUUAACUUGAACAUUGAUGAUUAUAUCAUAAUCUUAUUUUCUUUUUCUUUUUUCAUGAUUCUUUGCAAGUGCUACGCAAAUGGAUACAUUAUAAGUAUGUAUAAUUUUGUAUUAUUAUAUUUUUACGAAUAUAUAUAUAUAUAUAUAUAUAUAUAUAUAUAUAUAUAUAUAUAUAUAUAUAUAUAUAUAAACAAAUAAAAAUAUUAAUAGAGUAGUGUUACGUGUGGACGCGUGUUUGCGUGAGGAUAAAACUUGAGUCAAUGUGUAUUCGUUCGAUAACAUGAUCUAGCAUAUCAUGAAUUCAACGUCAUCCAAAUAUCAAUAAUAAAAUGAAUGGAUUCAAACCAAUUUUUUAUAUUAAAAUUAUGAUUUUUAUGAAUUUAAAUCUAAAUAUAUUUAACCUUUGAUAAAUUCAAAAUUUUCGGUUAUUAAAGAAACCAUUAAAAUUUUGAAAAACAAGAUAAAAUAUUAAACAAACAAAUAAAUAAACCUUAAUAAUGAAAUCUUACUACUGUGGGAAUAAUUUUGUAACGAAUUAUAAAAUGAGGUGCAGAAGCAGUUUGAAAAGGUUCAGAUCGGUUUCAAACCCUUUUUUCUCUAUCCACUAAUAGCAAAGAAGAUUGAACUAGAAUUGAAUAAUCUUGUGGCCAAACACUUUCUCAUUGUAAUCACAAAGAAGACACACGACAAAUUUAUUUGACUUUGUUGAGAUUUUGGGAGAUACAAAAACAUAAAUAGGGAUUCAAAACAACGCUUUUCAGUUACAUACCCAUAAGAUCACGUAUUUAGAUUCUGAUUCCAGCCCCAACUGCUCCACCUAUAAGAAAUUCUAUAAUCUAUCUCUUUCACUUUCACUCUCUCUCUCUCUCUCUCUGAGCUGUGCUUUGUUUUCAAAGAGUAUGAUCUCUCACUUUUUCCUGUUUUUGGUUUCAUCUGUCUUUGAUUUAGGCACAUGAUAAUGCACACCUAUGUGUUAUUUCCAUGCAUAGAAAGCUAGAAAUAUAUGGCAUAGUAUGCAUAUGUUUAUGCACCUAUUUAAUGGGUUUUCCGUGAAAAGAUCAUUGCUUAGAAAAAGUAAAGAUUUUUUGUUGCGAGCAGUGUCAUUGGCGAGGGUGUAUCUGCAGCUUGUAUUGUGUCAAUGAGUACUUUCUAUUAUGUUUUAUGUCACCUGGGGUGUGCAGAAGGAAUUUAAUUACAGGUUUAGUGGGGUGCAAUAAACAAAUGGAAGCCAUGAUUAUUGUGCUAUAUAUCACCUUGACUACAGUUUUGUUUUCUGGCUUGUUGCAGAGGUUGAUACAAGAGAAGAAACUAAGGCAGCCAUGGAGAACAGUGACCCUCUAAGGCCUACUGAGGUGCUUUAUUUGUUUUUUUAUUACUUUAGUUUCAGAAACAAUAAAUAUGUAUUAUUUCUUCACUUAAAUUCUUUGUCAUUAACAGGGAAAAUUUGCUGCAAUAGUAGUCUGUUGGCUUCUUGGUAACGGAUGCCUUUUCUCAUGGAACAGUAUGCUGACUAUAGAAGAUUACUAUAUUUACUUGUUUCCGGUAAUUCAUAUAUGCUGUUUUUUCUUUUCAUCUGGUUGCUCAUUCAUUCCUGUGGUUAACCAGGGACUUCACCAAUUUGAACUACUUCAAAUUUCAUUUUUUUUUUUCUGUCAAACAUUGCUUUAUGGAUAAAGUUGUAGCAUGCCAAAAGUUUAGGAAUUGGCUUAAGAACCCUGAAGCUUUCAGAACAUGUAUUUUGAUAACAAAGAAUAGAUGACAGAGCUUUACAUCAGUUUAUGUUGUUACCUUUGAUACUCAGUCAUGCACUUUAGAUCAGAUCAUCAAUGAAUUUCUAAUCACUUUCCUAGUCUUUUUUCAUCUUAUACAGAAGCUAUAGUCCAUGCACUUUAGAUCAGAUCAUCAAUGAAUUUCUAGUCACUUUCCUAGUCUUUUUCCAUCUUAUACAGAAGCUAUACUAGUAACUUAUGAUCACAUCACUAAACUUUGAUCAAUAAAUUUCAGUGGCUAUAACAUUUUUCAUUUGUCUUGGUGAUGUGAUCGCAGUUUGUUUCUUGUUUUUUUGCGGUCCUUAAUUGUUCUUGUUAUAAUCUAUAUACCUGGAUUGCUUUGGAAUAAUUUUUAUUUGUUUUUCUGUUCUGUUUGUGCAGAAAUACCACCCCUCUAGGGUGCUUACUCUUGUAUAUCAGCCAUUUGCGGUUGGAACACUAGCAAUACUGGCUUACAAAGAGAACAAAAUCAAUACAAGGAUAAGAAACCUAUUUGGAUAUACUCUUUUCUUCAUAAGCUCUUUGGCAGUGUUGCUUGUAAAGUCUCAUUCACUUGUUUGUGAUCUUUGAUUCCUUGACAAUGUGGUUUUGACUUUUGCUUUUAUUUUUCCCAUUAAUCUGCCAUAGUUGGAUUUAGUAACAUCUGGUAAAGGAGGACUUGGAACUUUUGUUGGUGUAUGCAUGGUUAGUGGUGCAUUUGGAAUAGCAGAUGCUCACACGCAAGGUGGAAUGGUGGGAGAGCUAUCUUACAUGCUUCCAGAAUUCAUUCAGGUUUGCUUUAGCCAUGGAAUUACUAUGAAGUUUUGAAAAUUUCCUUCAAAAUAUGCAUUUCUUUUUCUCUUCUUAUAUUGUUUUAUUGUUGUAGUCUUUCCUUGCUGGUGCAGCAGCAUCUGGUGCACUAACAUCUGCUUUGAGGUUGAUUACAAAAGCAGCAUUUGAGAAUUCUAAGAAUGGUCUUCACAAAGGAGCCAGUAAGUUCAACUCUGCAUAGCUUAAGACAUUUGAUAAUGAAGAUAUAUUCGUGAAUCAUGGUUAUGUACAGUAGCAAUGCCAAUUUCUUCAAAUGCCUAAGAAAUUGUGAUGAUUGUUCAAUAUUUUAAUUUGAUGUCAUUCAACUUUAUACUAUAAAUAUUUUUUCAGCACAUGACUCUUACAAAGUAGAUAUUGAUCACUUGUCAUUCUACUUGCCUGCAGUUUUGUUCUUUUCCAUAUCAACAUUCUUUGAGCUUCUCUGUGUUCUUCUAUAUGCAUUUGUGUUUCCUAAAUUACCAAUUGUGAAGUACUACCGUUCAAAAGUAGCAUCUGAAGGAUCUAACACUUUUUCAUCCGACCUUGCUGAAGAUGGCAUCAAGACCCCAAGAGUAAUGUUUCUUUUUCUUUUCAAUGUUCAAAUCACGAUAUGUUCCUAAUCAUUCAAGCUUCAGUUUACAAUGAAAGUACUUUUUUUUCAGGUCAAUGAAGAGGGCAAACUAUUAGAGCGCAAAGGGACUAAGCAACUGUUAUUAGAAAACAUUGAUUAUGCAAUUGAUUUGUUCCUAAUAUACGCACUUACACUAUCAAUUUUCCCCGGAUUCUUAUCAGAAGAUACCGGUUCACAUAGUUUAGGAACAUGGUAUUUUCAUUAACAACAUAACUUCUUUACAAUGGUAUCUUUUUAAGUCCCCGUGUAAACCUUUGAUAUUUGGAAUUGUUUCAGGUAUGCUCUUGUGUUAAUUGCUAUGUACAAUGUGUGUGAUCUGAUUGGAAGAUACAUUCCACUGUUGAAAAGCCUGAAGUUGGAGUCCCGAAAAAUGCUGACCAUAGUCAUUGUUAGUCGCCUUUUGUUUGUGCCAGCAUUUUAUUUCACUGCAAAGUAUGGCACACAGGGCUGGAUGAUAAUGCUGACAUCCCUUUUGGGGUUAACCAAUGGUUACCUCACUGUUUGUGUUCUCACUUCAGCACCCAAAGGUUACAUGGUAGGUUUGUUAAACCGCCACAACUUUUCCUGUUUUUCGAUAAUAAUAUUUAGACAACAUUUUUUUUGACAACAUUUGAACAUCAUUUACGGGUCAUUAUGUGAUUUGUUCAAAAUUAUUCCACAACCAAUAAUAAUAAUCAUAAACACCAUCAUGGAAUUCGGAUUGAUUAAUGUUGUGCAUGUUUUUUUUAUGUUUGUAGGGACCAGAACAAAAUGCUUUGGGAAACGUGUUGGUGUUGUUUCUUCUUGGAGGUAUUUUUGCAGGUGUAACACUUGACUGGUUGUGGUUGAUUGGAAAAGGGUGGUGAAAUCUUAACCUAAAGCCAAACUAGAGAAAUGACAGAUUUAUUUUUCUGGUGUUGUUUCAAAAUGUAUUAUUGAUUUUAAUAUGUUAAAUAUGUUCUUUAAUAUAUUUUAAAAUAUUAAAAUUAUAUAGUUUAAAGGUACAUUAGAUGAACAAUAUCAAAGGAUCAGUAGAGAAUUUAAAUAUUAGUCUUCAUUAUUCAAAAAUAUAUAGUUUUUCCUUACAUGCUUUCUCGUUUGUUUAGAGUACUUCUCUGUACCUCAAUUGAAGGAGUAAGAGAGUAUUUCACUGUCAAUUAUUUCUGAAUUCAAUCCUUAUAUCUCAAAUUGGGUUUCGGCCCCUUCAUCUAUGGUCUGUUUCUUCCUGCACCUCCAUAGUUUCUCUCUGGACCUCUAUAGGUCAAGUGAAAAGACCAUGUUGCCCUUAUCUUCUUCCCAUCAUCUCCUCCUUCCUCCAUGCACACCUCUCUCUUUCUCCUUCUUCCUCCAACACUGUUCAUCUCUCUCCAACGGCAACUCCAGCGACGACCUACUUCACCUCGACUCCUCCACUCUUACAAUCCUUCUUUCAUCUUUUUUUCAUCUUUCUUUUAUUAAAUAUAAAUAUCAUAUUAUACAAUUCAAAAUAUAUCUUUUAUUUUAGAUUUUGAAUUGUACAUUUCGAAAUAUUUUUAGAUUAUAUAUUUUGAAAUUCAAAAUAAUAAAAGUAUAAAAUUGAAAAUUUCAAAUAUAUGGGCAAAAAACUAGAGGUGCAGGAAUAAAUGUACCAUCAAUUGCGUCUCAUUUUCAAAUAAUAGGUCGAAUCUAUUACUUCCCACACUCCUACAAUUACUAAAUGUACUCCCAUAAUACUUGGAGAAAGAUUCAAAUACCCUUCACCAGUUGCAUGUAACAGUGCUAAACGAAAAAUCGAACAGAGCAAUGGAAUUUUAUUGAGAAAUAAAGCUGUCUCAAUACAAGUAAUAUGUGACUAACAAUGAAAGUGACAAAUGCAGAAAAUAAAACUGUAUGAGUCAUAACUUAAUCAUGAUGUAUUCCAUUCCUGUAAAGGAAGAAAGGAAAGGAAUUAAGAGAAUUAUCCACACUGAAAUCAGAGAAGAAGAAUCUAAAGAAAAAGUGAUUGUAGAGAGAGGGUCCAUACCACCGAGUGACUAUCCCUGAAUGAAAUCCCUCCAUUUAGUAUUUCCUCUCCUCUCAUGUGUCCCUUUCAUGCCUUCAUCUUUGUUUAACACGUGGCCACUAGGUGCAACCGUUUCUCCCCCCUUAAUACUGUCAUACUUUAUGCGCGUGACAAUACUCCCAUCUUGAAUAGCAACCUUGUCCUCAAGGUUGAAGUAAGGGUGUGCUUUUUGUACUUCUUCAAUGGCUUCCCACGAAUUGUCUGCAUCAUAAAACGAAUCCCAUUGUAUCAGCACCUCGGUUAAUUCUCGUCCCUUUUUGUUAACCACUCUUUUGUCCAGAAUUUGAUAAGGUUGCAUGAUUGGUCCCACUUCAGUAGUAGUAAGAGGUAAUGAAAAAUAUGGUUGCUUAGGAUCUCCAUGAAAUUUCUUAAGCAAUGAAAUGUGGAACACUGGGUGUAUUUUUGCUGAUUCUGGGAGUAGGAGUUUGUAAGCUACUUUUCCAAUCUUCUCAAUAACUUUAAAAGGUCCAAAGUACCUUAAGCUCAACUUUUGAUUCCUUCUCAAGGUCACCUAUUGUUGCCUGUAGGGUUGUAAUUUCACUAGAACAAGAUCCCCUACUUCCAAGAAAACAUCUCUUCUUUUCUUAUUCGCUUGCCCCUUCAUAUAAUUCUGAGAAUGGUGAAGCUUAGCUUUUAAUUUCCUCAAUAAAACAUCACGGUUCUUUAAGCUCUCUUGUAGGUCUACGGGAUCAGUGUCACUAUGCUCAUAUUUAAUUAUAGUUGGUGGUAACUUUCCAUAGACCGCUUGGUAGGGAGACAUACCAAUACUGUGGUGAAAAGAUGAAUUAUACCAAAAUUGAGCCCAUGGGAGCAUCUCCAGUCAUUUCUUAGGAUUAUCAAAGACAAAACAUUUGAGAUACAUCUCCAAAGUUCUGUUUAAAUUUUCAGUUUGGUCGUCGGAUUGAGGAUGGUAUGAUGAGCUCAUGGCUAAAGUGGUGCCUUGAUACUUGAAUAAUAACUUCCAAAAGUUGCUGAUGAAGACUCUAUCUCGGUCAGACACAAUGGAUUUUGGAAAUCCAUAUAAUUUGACAAUAUGUUGAAUGAAAGUUUCAGUUACAGUUUUGCUAUUGAAUCCUGGCUUUAAUGGAAUGAAGUGCGCGAACUUUGAGAGUCUAUCAAUGACCACCAUGAUAUUGGAAUAACCCUGCGAAAUUGGUAAGCCAACAAUGAAAUCCAUAGCAAUGUCUUCCCAAAUCAGGUUUGGAAUUGGUAGGGGCUACAGCAGACCAGCAGGUAAAGACUGAUUGACUUUAGCUUGCUGGCAAAUAGAGCAUUCCUUCACAAACAUCCUUAUAUCUUCCCGCAUUUUAGGCCAGAAAAAUUGAGCACUCAGUCUGGCCAUAGUUCUUGUAGUUCCCGCGUGAGCACCAAAUUUUGAUCCAUGGAAUUCUCCUAUGAUCCGAUUUAUCAGUUCUGCAUGAUUUGGCAGCAUAAUUCGCCCUUUCCACAUCAAAAUAUCUUGCUAUUUUGCAUAGUCCCCCUUCUUCCCUGAGUCGUUCUUGCAUUCCAGAAACAUUUUCAUCAAUUCCUCAUCUUUUCUGGUUGCUUCUGCUACUGAUUGUAGCCAUGUAUUACGUGGUUCUGACCAAGCCAUUGCAAAGCUCCUAGGUAAAGCAUCAGCAGGGAUAUUCUCCUUCCCUGUGGAGUAUUGUAUUGUGAAAUCAAACCCUAUAAAUUUGGGUAGCCAUUGUUGUUGCUCAAGGGUUUGGAGUGUCUGCUCCAAUAAUUCUUUCAAACUCUUCUGAUUUGUUUUAAUAAUGAACCUGUGGCCAAGUAAAUAAUGUCUGAAUUUUGACAAAGAUUCAGUGAUAGCAUAGAAUUCUCUGGUAUAUUUCGAUUGUUUCUGCAUCCUUCAUGAUAGUUUCUUUGAAAAAUAAGCAAUAGGGUGCUUAUUUUGACUUAAUACCGCUCCAAUGCCUAAACCAUAAGCAUAUGUUUAAACAAAAUGUUCCUCAAAAUUUGGAAUUGCUAGAACAGGAGUAGUGGUGAGGGCUAGCUUCAAUUCUUGAAGGGUUAAAUAUGAUUUUGGUCCCUUAACUUUUAGUGAAAAUUGGAUUUAGUCCCUCUUCAAAACUUUGGCUUCAUUUAGUCCCCCAACUUUAAAAAUGUAUGAAUUUAGUCCUUUUAACUAAAUUUGGUUAGGUUUAUUUGAUGUUUCAAGCACGUUCCUCAAUUAGUAUUGAAGCAAAAAUGUGUCAAACAGUAUAAACAACCCAAAUGCUAUCAUAAAACAUGUUUGAAACCUCAAAAAAAGUUAACAAAAUUUGGUUAAAAGGACUAAAUUCAUACAUUUCUAAAGUUGGAGGACUAAAUUAGGCCAAAGUUUUGAAGAGGGACUAAAUCCAAUUUUCACUAAAAGUUAAGGGACCAAAAACAUAUUUAACCCAUUCUUUAAAAGCCUUGUCUGUUGCUACACUCCACUUAAAUGAAUCUUUCUUUAAUAAAUCAGUUAAUGGUGCAGUUAUUUGGGCAUAACUUUUGACAAAUCUUUUGUAAUACCCCGUUAAUCCUAAAAAGCCUCGCAACUAUUUAAGUGUUGUAGGUUUCGGCCAAUUUUUUACUAUCUCCAAUUUUUCAGACAUCAUAGAAAUUCCAUUUCCUGCCAAUGUGUGACCGAGAUACCUUAGCAAUUAGCAAAUAAUUGGUUCUGUUGGAGAAUCCUUAGCACCACUUCUAGAUAGUAUAGGUGGUCUUUCCAGCUUGAACUGUAGACCAAUAUAUCAUCAAAGAAAACUAGGACAAAUCUUCUCAAUACACCAUUAAAGAUUUGAUUCAUUAAACUUUGAAAUAUUGCUGGCGCAUUGGACAACCCGAAUGGCAUAACCAACCAUUCGUAGAGUCCUUGAUGAGUCCUGAAUGCAGUUUUAUGUUUGUCCUCCGGUUUCAGUAAAAUUUGGUGAUAUCCAGACCGUAAAUCCAGCUUGGAAAAAUAACGGGCUCCAUACAACUCAUCAAUAAGUUCAUCCACUGUUGGAAUUGGGAAAUUGUCCUUAAUUGUUAUAACAUUCAAGGCUCUAUAGUUCGUGCAAACCCUCCAUGUGCCAUCUUUCUUCUUGACUAAAAUAAUUGGAGAUGAAAAAGGGUUGUUGUUGGGUUGUACAAUGCCCUCUUUUAACAUACCUUCCACCAAUUUUUCACUUUCUUCCUUUUGACUGUGUGGAUAUUUAUAGGGCUUCACCUUGACUGGAUUUGAUCCUUCUAACAAAGGAAUAGAGUGAUCAUGACUCCUUGGUGGAGGUAGUCCACACGGUUGGCUAAAGACAAUGUUGUAAUUAUGUAGUAAUUUCACCAAGUCUGGCUCCAUGUCCUUUGAAAGUUCAAGUAGAGGAAAAUUUUGAGUGUCUUGGUGGACCAUUUGCAUACUAUAUAUCUCAUCCAGGGCAUUAGUGUCCAUCAUUCCCGUUAUGUGAUGUAGUUGUGUUGUUUCUGGUAACAUGUCUCGGUCACCUUGUAAUGUAGUGAAGCGGCCAUCCUGCAAAAACUUGAUUUGCAGCGAAUCAUAAUCUGCUAAGUGGGAGCCAAUUGUCUUCAACCAAUUUGCACCAAGGACUAGAUCAGCACCAGAGAAUGAUAAAAGAAACACAGGUAAUCUGAAAACAUUGCCUUGUGCUAUUAAAGUCAAAUUAUGUAUUAAGCCUUCAGAUUCCAUGUAAUUCCCAUUACCAACCAUUACUUUGAAUGAAUGAGUCGUCACCACGGGAAGUUUUAAAAAUUUCGCAACCCUUGGUUGUAAGAAAUUAUCAGAACUGCCUCCAUCAAUUAAUAUUUGAUUGGCAUAGUUCCAAUAUGUGCUACAAAUCGAACUAUCCCUACUCUGAAACCACCUUUCAAGGCAUUCAAAGAUAGGUGAUGAUCUUCGUUUGCAGUUGCUUCCUUGUCUUAAGGUAACUCAGUGUCUGAUUCCAGAUUAUCUUAUUCGUCCUCCCCCAAUUGCAGGACAAAACAUUGCUUGUUUGGGCACUUGUGAUUAAAAGAGAAUUUCUCAUCACCGAAAUAACAUAGACCCUUCUCUCUUCGUAAUUGCAUUUCUGCUAGGCUUAUUCUUUUGACAUUGGGGUUUCUUAAUGGUGGUCCUGGUGGGUUAGGUAACAACGGAGAUAAGGAAGGUUUAGAAGCUGGUAGGAUGGUCCUUGUGGUGUUUUGAACCUCGGACGUUGUUACUUUCGGAGAAGUUGUGUAGCGAAUGGUGUAAUUAGGAGUAGGCUUGGUUCCUGGCAUAUAUUUCUCUUCAUACAGUUUAGCUAAUGCUACUGCUCGUAAUAGGUUUGUUGGAGUCAAGGCAAUCACAUCUCUUCUAAUAUUAACAUUUAAACCACUCAUAAAGAAAUUUAAAAUAGAUUCAUUGGUUAAACCCUCACAUCGAUUUGCAAGCGACAUAAAUUUCAUAUAGUAAUCUGAUACCGAGCCUUGUUGUUGGAGCUUAAACAUUUCUGCCAUUGGAUAAUCAAAGGGAGAGGGCCCAAAUUGAGAUUCCAGAGCACGCUUCAACGCUGUCCAGGUUGUGACCACUUCAAUCUUCUGCAACAUUUGGAACCAUGGCACCACAUCGUUAUCAAAAUGCAUAGAAGCUAUUUCAACACCAUCAGGUGUGUUGUGGUAGUUGAAGAACUUAUCUGCUUUGAAAAUCCAUUCUAAAACUGGUGUGAAGCCAUCGAAGUGCAGAAAACCGAGAGAAAUGUCCUUUACCAGGUUCAUAGAACUUAGCGGAUGAACUCUGACUGUGGAAUUUGAGUUCGAAGGACUUCCAAAUGUCUGAGUGGAAUUUUGUAAUAGUUGUUGUAAGACGAGUUUGAUUUCAUCCAUUGUUGAGUCUUGAUUUCGAUUUCUCUCAUCUAUUGUGCUCUGUAGCUUUUCCACCGUUGUUGUUAGACGACGAAGAUCAUCAGUCGUUGUGCGGAUCUCGGUUUGGAGCUCUUUCAAUCUUGUGUUCUCAGGCAUGAAAGACAAUGAAAGCACCAAUGUAACAGUGUUAAAUGAGGUAUGUAUAAAAAAUCGAACAGAGCAAUGGAAUUUUAUUGAGAAAUAAAGUUGUCUCAAUACAAGUAAUACGUGGCUAACAAUGAAAGUGACAAAUGCAGAAAAUAAAACUGUAUGAAUCACAGCUGAACCAUGAUGUGUUCCAUUCCUGUAAAGGAAGAAAGGAAAGGAAUUAAGAGAAUUAUCCACACUGAAAUCAAAGAAGAAGAAUGUGAAGAAAAAGUGAUUGUAGAUAGAGGGUCCAUACCAUCGACUGACUAUCCCUAAAUGAAAUCCCUCAAUUUAGUAUUUCCUCUCCUCUCAUGUGUCCCUCUGCACACUCUCAUGCCUUCAUCUUUGUUUGACACGUGGUCACUAGGUAUAACCGUUUCUCCCCCUUAAUACUAUCAUGCUUUAUGCGUGUGACACUGCUGUACUCCCAUAAUACUUGGAGAGAAAGAAGAGAAUGAAAACGAUGUAGAGGAAGAAGAUAGCAAAUCCAGAAAAACAAAACAACACCUCGUUUUGACAAGUAUUUUACGGAACAUAUUUCAUGUGUCGUGAAAAACUCUUUCAAGAACAAAUUUCAUGUAUAAAUUUUCCAAAAAGCAUUUUAUAAGUUUGGGAGACUUUUUAUUUUCAAAAAAUUUCAAAACACUUUUCAUACAUUUCAGAAUAUCCAUUUCGAAAAUUACAUUCUAAAAAUUUCGUUUUGAAAAAUUUAUUUUAGAAACGUUGUUCCAAAAAUGUUGUGUCAAAAAUUCUAAAAUGCUAAUUCGGAAAAAAGUUUCCGAAAUAUAUAAUUUGGAAACCACUUUUCCAGAAGAUAAAAUAGUCAUUUAGAAAAUGUGAGGAAGUGUAAAGAAAUUAUGGAGGUACAGGACCUAAAAGCCAUAAGUCGUCGAUCUAAUAAAAAGUUUACAUUAUUUAUUUUAUAAAACUAAUCAAAGGAUGUAAAUAUUUUAAUUAUUUAGUUUAAAAUUUAUUUAAAUAUUAAUUUAUAUUUCUAUUAGAGAAGUUAAUUUUAUAAAGUAAACUAGCAAUAAAAAUAAAUAUAUCUUAUUUCUUUUAAGAACAGUAAAAUUUUACAAAUAAAUUACAAAAAAGUUAAACGUAAUUUUUUAUAAAUUUUUAAUCGUUUAAAAAUUACAAAUUGAUAUGUUAAACGGGAUGAAUCUUAAUGACUCAUCAUAUUGGACUGUUUUUAAUGUAUAAGCUAAUUUUCUUUUUAUCUAAAAAAUUAAGUUAAUUUACGAUUGUAGUUCAUUAUUGAUGUUUUACGUGGCCUAAUUUUCAACAAAUGCAAUGUAUAGUACAAGUGUCUUAUUUAUAAAGAUUUGUUUCUAUAUUCUAGUAACUCAAAUUUGUUCUAAUUUCAAAUAAAAUAGUGUUUUAGUAGAUUAUAAUGAACAAUCAAGAUAAAAACAUUUAAAUGAAUAUGAUAAAGAUAAAUGUGUUGAGAACGAAUUUCAUUAAUUUUUUCUAUUGUGCUGUUAUUGAUGUAACAUAUUUCAAUGAAAAAAUAUGAGUUAUCAGUUCAUUCAAUUAAUCAAACACUGUUAUAGAAAGAGCUUUCAGUUCAUCCAAUUAAUCAAAUACUAUUAUAGAAAGAGCCUUCAAUAACUAUUAAAUAAGACUCUUAAAGAUUAUUAUUUAAUCAUCGCUAAUGAAGUCAUAAUUGAGAGUAAGGAGAAUCAACUAUAGUUCUAAUCAUCAUCAUAUGUAUCGAAAAUAACGACUACUCGUCAUUAAAGUUGUCGUCAUCUGUACACAACAAUGAAAAUUUAAAAUAAUUAUCAUAUAAUAUCAAAAAACAAAGAACAAAAAAAGAAUUGAUCAAGGGAACAAAGAUGGUUCUAUCUAGAAUCAUCGUUAAAAGUCACUUCGUACUACAACUCUAGUAUGAACCAUUGUUAAAAGUGGUAUAUUUUUUAAAUUGGGGUCUUAGAUAUGCAUAUUAAACAUCUAAUAAAAGUUUUCCAAAAACAAAUUCAUUUUUAAACUCUAAAUAGUUCAAUGAAUAUAAAAUAAAAUUCUAAUCUUCUAAGAAAAGUUCGAUAAAAAUACAGAAUUUCUAUAAAUUAAUGCACUCUAAUUUGUCAACUACUCUAAAUUGUUAUAUAUAUUAACAAAAUACUUUGUCCACGUUGUUUGGUAUAAGCUAUAAUGUGUUUGUUUCCAAUGGUUGUAUGUCAUUAAAAGUCUACAACAAAUGAAUUUAAGUUAGGAUAAAUCCAUGUGUAAGUAAUAAAUUCUUUUAUACAUAUAUAAUAGUAAGUUGUAACAUAUUAACUAAUCUUAACCUCUUUGAGUAUCAACUUGAAUGAAAUAAGAAUAUUUGAUUUUCAAAAACAUGACAUUAUAUAUUUAAAUUCAUUAUAAUAGUAGGCGUUUCUUAAAAUAGAUUUACCAAUUCACUAAUGUUUUAAAGUAGCUAGGACGAUUUUUAUACAAGGAGUAAAAUCAUUCAAUAGUAUAAAUCUUAAAUUGAUAUAAUUAGGAGUUGUUAAUGACACUAAUAUAUGUAGAUUUUUAUAUUGGUUCAAUAUGAACAGAUGUUAUACAUAUCCUUUUGUUAUAAAAUUUCUAGCAUUUUUUUUUUGUUUUUAACUAAAUCCAUGUAAAACAUUGUCAUAAAAAGAUAGUUUUACACUAGUACAUAUUAUGUUGGAUGGGCUUUCUAUUUUGAUUGAUUUUUGAAUUGUUUGUAGAGGAAAUCAAUGUAGUAGUGACAAACCAUUUAAGCAAUGUAAAAAAUGACAACUUUUUACACCAUUAGGCCUAAGGAUGACAACGGUCGGGUCAGGCACGGAUAGUACCUAUCCACAAUCCGACCAGUCGGAUAAAAUUUUAUUUGUUAUCCGAUCCACUAUCCACCAGGUAUCCGUUUAGAAAAUAUCCACGGUUAUUUUAAAACCUACGGAUACCUGCAAAAAAUAAUAAAAAAAUAUAUAUACAUUUUAAAAUAAAAUUUAUAUAAAAUUACAAAAAUUAUAUAUAAUAUAUUAUAAAUUAAAUUAAAUAUAAAUUAAAAUUUAAUUUUAAUUAAAUUUAGCCUAAUAAAAUAUAAUUUAAUUUAAUUUUUAAUUGAAUUUAAUUAAAAUAAUAUAUAAAUUAAGUUUUUUUAUUAUUUUUUGCAGGUAACGGAUACCCGCGGAGCAGGUAGUAUACUACUCGUACCCAACCCGUUUAGAAGCGGAUAUUAAAAUAUCUGCUACCCGGUAACCGCAGGUAAUAAAUAUCCGCGCGUAGUAACUACUCGCCACAAAUUUUACCCGCCGCGAAUUUUACCCACUACGAAUUUUACCCGCCGAUACCCGUGUCCGCGGAUUUUUUUGCCAUUCCAAAUUCGGCCUCUAAAUUGAUGUAGAAGGUCCUUACAAUAGGUCACACUAGCGUAUUUUCCCUCACCUCCAUUGUGUCAUGCAAACUCUUUCUCCUCUAUUGAUCUCUUUUAUGUUAGUCGUUGCACCUCACACCGGAGUGUUUCACCCUCCACCUUCAAAUCUUUUACUCUACACCUCCAAAUAUUCUCAAAAUACUAACAUUACCCUUAUUUAAAACAAUAUUAAUAUUUAAAACAAUUAAAUGGUCAAAUCUUGUCAGUAUUUAUUUUUCAGCAAGAAUUAUUAUUCUUCAGCCCAUUUGAAACUCACUGUCUCACUUUCUCUUUCUCUCUUUCGCAUCUCAAUUUCCAGGCACACUCCAGCGACACACACCAUAGUUCGUCUUCUUCCUUUGCUUUCACGCACACUCUAUGCAGACAUAGACACCACAACACCACAACUUCGUCAUCUUCCACUGCUUCCAGGCACACUAUAGUGUUUCGUGUUUGCCAUUUUGGUGCUGUUACCUUCGUUGACGAUGCUCGCUUCUUCUCGCUGCUGGCCAAAGGUUGCUGGAUUCCUCUGCCAUAUUUAUUUUGGAUACUAUAUUGUAGAUAUAGAUAUUGUAGAGGUAGCAUUUGUAGAGGAUUACCUUGAAGAAUCGGAUAUUCAGAUUCGAUUCAGCCCCAUCGCAUUUGUAUAUCUAAUUCGUAGCCUCUUGAUUUUCUUUUUUAAUUUUGAAUGAUUUAAUGGUUUCUUUGGUUCUGCCUAUGCCAUAAUAAAUGUUCUUUUUUAUAAAUUUAAAUUUUCUGUUAUGUUAAUUAUAUUUGGAUUAAUAAUAUUUAAUUAUUUUUAUAGACAACCAGGAGAAGAAUAAUUCUUUGAAGAGGUGCCUCAUGCAGUCAAAUCUGUUCCAGAUCAAAUCAAGCAGCACGUCUAGAUACAAAUGCUUUAGAUGUUGUAGAGAAAGUGACUAAUGUCGAAACAUAGCUGUGAAAAAGAUAGGAAAAUAAGUUUCUGUAGAUCAAAUAGAAGAAAAUGUGACAAAAAAGGAUCCCUCAAGUGAUGACAAAAGAGGACAAUCUGCAUCUUUACCAAAAGCAUCAAAGUUACCUCUUGAUUCACACUUUCAUGUUAAACGUUUUCCAUUGUAUCUGUUACCUAAUCUUUAUUUCGUUGAGAUUUAUGGCGCCAAUAACAUCGAAUCUUGGUUAGUUGGGAUAUAAAGAACUUAAUUGUAUACAAUUUUGAAGUUUCUACGUUUAUGAAUAUGAUAAUGAAUUUUGAUCUGCAUAGAUGAGUGUUGGUUGUGGUGGUAUGCCUAAACUAUUAAUUAAGGUUCAUAUAAUUUAUGAUGUUUAACAAGGGUGUACCUAACAGGGGAAUGAAAUGGGAGUGUAACGUUUCUUAAUACAAAUUAAAUGGGGUGCAGGUUUCCCAACAGAGGGAUGAGGUGUAAGAGGAAUGAGGUCUAGGGUUUCCUAGUAUAUAUUCAAAGUCAACUGCACAAAAUAUUAUGGAUAACUACUUCAUUAAUUAGAGAUAUUUUGGGAAAUUAAAAGUGCAGGGUGAAAGACUUGGAGGUGCAGGUGAAACACUCCCACACCGUUGUUGAACACACUUGAAACAAUUUGCUCACUACACCACGGUUUUACUAUCUCCACAAUCCAUCCAUGAUUGAUUUUGUUUUUGAUUUAGGGUUAUUAGUUAAUGCACCCACGUACUUACUCUUACACCCCUAUAUUUUCUAAUUCCUCUUUUACCAAAUCUCACAUUUCACUCGUACUAUUAUCUAAAAGAAAAAAAAAAGUAAAUUUCUUUUUCACCUUUCGAAGUCCAGCCAACGUUGCUUAAAUAACUCAAAUGUAAUAAAUACAAAAAGUAGAAAAAGAAAGUUUAUUUUUGCUUUUUUAUGUUUUGUCGCAGGACUCCUAUUUUAUUUUUUAAUAAAUAAAAAAUAUAAAAAUAAUUUAAAUUUUAAAAAUAUAAAUCAACAAUUUCUGAAUAAUUGAUUUUAUUAAGCAUUACAUCUUUUUUAAUUAGGUUUAAUCAUUCAUAUGUCCCUAUUUGUGUAUAAUCGUUUCAAAUAAGUUUUUGUAUUUGAUUUGAUCUCAAUUAGGUCCUUGUUCCUAUAAAAUGGAGUCAAUUAAAACAUUGUCGUUAAUUUCAGUGGACGGGUUAAAUUUACUAUGUCGUGGCAUGCUGACUGUGUAAUUAUUUGUCAUCUGGCACACUGAGUUCGCAUAACAUGGAAUUUAUUUAUUUUAACAUUUAAAUAAGUUAAAUUCAUUUUCUGGAGAUGGCGCAUUCUUCCACUCUGCUACCAACCACCACGCAAACAGGUUGCCACUGCCAUCACAAUCACCAGUUCAAAUUCAUCCAAUAGAUGACCUUCUUUUUGUUUGUGUUGUCCUUGGUGGUACCAUUAGCCUCAAUCUUAAGGUCAACCUUCAAAUCCUCAACAAUACUCUUACUCUCCAAAUACCAGAUCUUGAUGCUCUGCUCGGUGGUGGCGCACAACCAGUACAUGUUGGGACUGAAGCAAAUGGCAUGGAUAAUAGAGUCAGCAUCGAGAGAGUAAAUACGCUUACCCUCAGCCAAAUCCCACAGUAAAACAACUCCAUCUUUUCCACCACUGGCACAAAGAGAACCAUCGGGAGAAACAACAACAGUGUUCACAUACCCACUGUGUCCAGUAAGGGUAUUUCUCAGUUUGCAGUUCGUGAGGUUCCACACCUUAAUAGUGCGAUCCUAAGAUGCAAACACGAUAGUCGGCUGAAGCGUGCUAGGGCUGAAACGCACACAACUAACCCAAUCAGAAUGAGCAUCAUUGUCUUGAAUGGUACUUGCAUUCACCAAGGGUCUUCCACAGUUUUGUUAGAAGUGGGGUUUAGGCCUAACUCAACCCUACAAAACCGGCUUGUAAGGUGAGGUAUGCACCCCACUUAUAUAUUAUAAAUUAGCCUUAUCUCUAGUCGAUUUGGGACUUCCAACACACCCCCUCACGUCGAGGUAUAUACAUCUCGAGCAUGAGACUAGAUAUUAAUGGGUGGUUCGAUAACGACCUAAUAGUGGGUGGAACAAUAUGCCCAACAAAUAUCGCUAGGAUAGGCUCUAACCAUAGCUCUGAUACCAUGUUAGAAGUGGACUUUAAUCCUAACUCAACCCCACAAAACCAGCUUCUAAGGUAAGGUGAGGUUUGCACCUCACUUAUAUAUAUUAUUAAUUGGCCCUUAUCUCUAGUCGAUGUGGGACUUCCAACAAGUUUGAUUGUGCGGUCACGCGAGGCCGAAACGAUUUGACGGUUGUCGAUGGAUACUGUGAGUGUUACCCCAAACAAAGAGAAACCCCAUUCAAAUCCCUAAAUCCCAAAUCGCAUCAUGAGAAACAAGAACCAACCCUAAUCGGAAAAAAACUCAGAUUACCCAAAAUUGCAUUAACAGAGUGUGAGAAUUAAUUAAUUGGUGUGAGAAUUUUUUAAUUAUAUUUAAGAGUUUUUUUUGUUGUUUUUCAGAGCCUGAAAUCGAGGGUAUAAGGUUUCGUGGUAGUGACAAUGAAAGCUUGGCUGCUAUAUUCACUCUGCCUCGUUUAGUUUCUACUCCAAAGGUUGAUUUCAGUCUUCAACAGCAGUUUAAGCAUAAUGUUCCUAGGCAGUUUGAGCAUGAUGUUCUUGUUCAGAGUUUUUCUCUUGAACAUAUUAAUACAAUCAGCAAGUCAAGACACAAAUUUUAACGUCUUCUAGGCAAGAUUCAAAUUGAAUCAAUUUUUCAAAACAUAGAAUCCAAUUGAGUUUGAGAUGAUUCUGUAUAAAUAGGAACAUCCGAAAUGAUUAAUUAUUUAUUAUGAAAAUACAUAUAAAUAAUAUUAGUCUUUUUUGAAUUUAUUUCCAAAAUGUUAAAUUAUUUUGUAAAUAGUUUUUUUCAAUUAAAGUUACGUGAUCCUUAUUUUUAUUGUGGAUAGAACUAUGUAGGAGUAAAGCCAAAUCAAAACCAUAAAAAAGUUUACAAAGUCAUCUUCUAAGUAAUACACUUUUCUUACUACUUUUUGGAGAAAAAUUAAAUUCUUUUGAAAAGUUUGCACAUUUUUUUAUGUGUAAUUGAUUUUUAACUCAAAAUAUGAUUUUCGCAUGUUUUAUUUUAUGGUUUUUCAGAAUAAAUUAUAAGAACAAUUUUAAAUUUUUAUGUUCAAAUUAUUUUUCUUUGGGUCGCUUUCCUGUCUUUUUCAUACGGGUCAAUUUUUAUUCUGACUUAUUUAGAACCCGACUCACUCGAGUUUAACCUGUGACGAGUUAGGUUGGCUCACAAAUUCAAUUAAUUUAAUUUAAUUAUUUAUUAUUUUGUGUUUCAAUAUUAUUAGCUAGUACUUUCUUUAAUAGUAUUGUAGAUGAGGAUAAAUAAGAUGUUUCAAGAGAACAAAAUAUUGUAGAUUUAUCCAUUCAAUACUUUAAUCCUAUAAAUGGACAAAUGACACAAAAAUAUCAAUAUUAAAAAUUUAUUUGUUCACUUUUUGUGAUUGCUUUUGGAUUACAAUUGAAUUGUAUGAUAUUUUUUAUAUUUUGAAUUAUCUUUGGAGUGUAACAUAAUUUUAGAGUAAAAUUUAUUUAGAUUUGAAUUACAUAAAAAUUGUAAUUUUUUUUAUUUGAAAAAACACUUGUAAAUAAGUGAUGCAGUGAGUUAACUCAUUUAACCCACCAACCAUGGUGAGUCGGUACUAGUUUAAUUUUUUUUUCCAACUUAUUAAUAAAUGAGUAGGAUUAGGUUGACUCACUAAGUAGUCAACCCAUGGUGGGUCGGAUGACCUGUUUUGACAACAGUACUAUUUACGACAACACAAAUUGAGCCACUAUGGCAAGCCACCAUCCACAAAUCUAAAUAUCUUUCACAACAAUGGACAUUCCUUAAUCUUAUGGAAGACCAAGAAACAAAGCACUGUUUCUCGCUCUUCUUUUGAGGUCGAGUAUCAUGCUCUUGCAUCCACUACAUGUGAACUCCAAUGGUUGUCUUACUAGCUUAAUGAUCUUCAAGUCACUUGUUCUAAAUCUAUUGUUUUAUUUUGUGAUAACCAAAGUGCUCUUCACAUUGCUGUCAAUCUCGUCUUUCAUGAAUGCACAAAACAUUUGGAUAUUGAUUGUCAUUUAGUUUGUGAAAAUUCUUAAGCAGGGUUAAUGCACUUACUGCCAGUUUCCUCCUCAAAUCAAUUGGCUGACAUAUUUACCAAAGCUCUCCCACCUAGACUCUUUCAUUCUAAUCUUUCUAAGUUGGCGCUAGUUGACAUUUUCCUACCUCCAGCUUGUGGGGGGCUAAUAGAAGCAAUGCCCAAUUUGGCACAACAAAGCAAAACAGAAAACGACAUAGCAGAGGAAUAUACUAGACAAUAGUACUCCAUAUAGGACUUUUUUGUUUUUUCUCUUGUUCUGUUAGGUCAUAUUUUGUGUAUAUAUAUUACCCUUUAUGAAAGGCAAUACAACAACUGUGAAUUUCCUAUCCAUCUUUGUCUCUUUUCUCUCUUCUUUGUCUAUGUUCUUUUAGAUGGUGAACGGCGACACUAUUGCGAGGAUUGGGUGAAAGGAGAUGUUAUCACGAAUGAAAGAAGAAGAUCGAAGGGAAAGAGUAAACGAGUCAACAACGUCGGCGAGUCUCAAGUACAAACCAAAUCGCUAAUUGUCAUAAACAGCUCUGUUUAAUUAACAAAACAAAAAUCCCCUAUAGGUACUUAACAACUUGUCACGUCAAUUAAAACGAGAAUAUGAGCAUGUCACGCAAUUUUCUUUUUUAACGCUGUUAAGCCCAGUCUAAUUGGAUCAAUUUUGCAAAGGGCGUUGCUCCCUCCACCGCCAUAGCAUCCUAUCUGCACCUCCCCAAAUUCUUUUACUUCAAAUUCUAACUUUCCCAAACUCUUUUAAUUUCAAUUCUAUCCUUAGAUUAAUUCUUUUUUACUUUUACCAUUAAGAUAUUUCUCCUUAUUUCCUCUCUCCGCAAGUGCACCCCCCAAAUCUCACGGAUCUCUAUUUCUUGAUUUCCGUUUCACUUCGCCUCCACUAUUCUUCCUUUCCUUUCUUUUUCCUUCAUCUACUUCUUCCGCACCGCACCACCACCAUCACUUGACCUGCACCAUUAUCAUAGGUGCACUCACCACAGUUCCGGGACAUCAAAGUGGCGCGCUUGGUGGUUACGGCUAUCCCACAAUGGUGUUGUUGAGGUCGUCAACCUCAUCCAUCAUGCGCUCCAAUGCGCUCCAAUCGGUACUACAACAUGUUCGCCAUGUUGCUUGGUUAUGUUAAACAGAGCAUCAGUGCAGAAGGAACGACACAAGUUUUAGUUUCGAACCUGAAUGCUAGUGUUACCACGUCAUCGAGCUGCACCUCCUCGAUGUUGCUCUCUCCGGUGAAGAUGAGUGCACCGGGAAACGAAGGUUCUUCUCUGCCGUUAACACUUACAGCACCUCCAUCAUUGGGAAACGAAAGCUCCACCGCACCCGUCACCGCCACUGCAAAAUCAUCACCAGUGAACCCUACGUCACCGUCUGCCUCACUGGCGCCACCACCGCGCGCACCUGCGUGAUCCUUUGCGACAUCUUUUUGUCAAUGUUGUGCAUGAACUCUUAAAUUAGGGACUCUACGAGUAAAGUGGAUUCGUAAUGGUGCAAGCUUCGUGAAAGAAACAAAUGAAAAAAAAAAAGGAAAGGAAGAACAAUGGAGGGAAACCAUCAUGAGCACCUAAAAUGUGGCCAUUGAUCAGAUAAUGGGUGAGGUGGAAACAGAGAAAAUGGGUUGGGAGGAAACGAAAAACAAAGAACGAAUAAACGACUAUAGAAAAAAUGGAUUGGGAAGAAACGAAUUUAGAGGAGAAAAGGGAUUGGAUAAAACGGAUAUGGAGGAGAAAAGUUUGAAAGUGAGAGUGUUGGAGGGAGGGGAGAGACGACUUCGAGUGAAAAAUGAGAGAUUUAGGGUUUUCAUACAAAAAGUAAAAAGGUAAAAAAUAUAAAAGAUUAAAGUAAAAGAGGUAGUUUCAUAAUUAAAAAAUUAUGAGAAGGUGUAGGGUGGAGUUGGGCUAGUGGAGGGAAUAACGUCCUUUUGCAAAAGGACAAUAAUAUUUUAACAACUCUUUUAACAACUUUUUUACAACAGGACACGUGUCACAAUUCUAUUGGUCUGUUUAAAUUUAUUCUAAAAAAGUAUUUUAUACGGACCAAUCACAAACUGUCACGUAUACGUUAUAAAAAAAAUUGUAAAAAAAAAGUUAUUAAAGAGACUUUUUCGCAAAACUAAAAAGCUAAUUGAGAAAAACAAUACUAAGUAAUCUAUUUGUUUUAUUAUAAUAAAUAAGAUAAUUCCUUUGUAACCACCAGCAAAUAAUACUGAUUAUGCACAUUCAUUCUUCCUUCCAACCAAGGCUCCAUUACAUGUUCAUAAAUGAACUACACGUUAUUUUUUUCAAAAACGAAUAAACAAAUAAAGAGCUCAUAAUAAUCUUAUAACAUUUUUAUAAUUGAACAAUGUACAAGUGUCGCUUGUGCCGUGAUCUAUACAGGGUGCCCUAAGUUGUAGAAGCACCCCUACUACCCAAAAAUGACAGACAUUCCACCUCAUUAUCAUCGUUACUAUUUUUUCUAUUACUAUCCUUAAUUUAAUUAAACUCAAAUAAUGCAUUUGAACCUGUGAAUAGUUAAUCAUUCAUUUUAAAUAUUGCUUUGAAAAUUGGAAACUCGAAUUUCAAUUCGUUGAAAAACGUAAACUAGUGUUUUCUGUUUAGUUUGUACUUUUUCAUCUAAAUAGCUGAUUCGUUAGGCAUUUCUUAAUCAACCUAAUAGACCAACAUACCCCUUAUCACAGGGAGCUGUUUGUUUCCCCUCUACCCAAACCGCCGAUUUAGGUCAUAUCAUAGUCCAAUUUCGAUGUAAUUGAUGAAGUAUUUUUCAAUAUGAACGUAAAGGUCCAAUUCCAAAUAAGAAAUAUUCUAUGUAUUUGAUUUUUGGAGAUUAGAAAUGGGGAGAAGAAGAAAUGAAAAACAUCUUCUUUCUAUGGUGACACCACCCACCACCACCAGCGCAUGUACACAGACAUGUGAAUCAACUCUGAAAUUUACAGCGACAAAACCCUUCAAUCUACUUCACUGCAUUCAAACAAACGACCCCGUUUGUGCAUGUUUUUGUCCACUACCUCACCUUCACGUGACAGUGAGAGAGAGACACUAACCCAAACUAUUCAACCCUAGUGGACCCAUCUACACAAAACAUGAAAAUAACAUAAUCACCAGGGGCAAAACCGUCACCAUAAACUUUGACGGCCGCGAUGCGCCUUUUCCACUCUCGAACUGAAGCGAAUCAACGGCCAGCGGCAUGUUCUCCUGAUCGGGACUGCAUUUCGACUCAUGCGGAUGCGCGCUGUACAUCAUCGCGCGCAACACCGCCGAUACGGUGGGUAUGUACGCCGUUUUGUUCUUUGCAAGCAGCCACGUUAAUCCCAUCAGUUGACAGUCCCUGUUGAACAUUUUCUUCACCCUCUCGCUUCCUCCACUACCCUUUGUCUCGUUCUUGUACCCUUUAACCUUCAAACAUAAAAUAAAAAAAAUUAUCAAACCACGUUAAAUUUCCACUAUAACUAUUCAUUCUACACCAAACGACAUCAUCUUCCACAGUAAAACACGAUUUCGGACAAGCAAAAAACGGUUCAACAAUGUGGCAAAAGUAAACCCGAAAAGGACCAAGGAAAAGCUUCUAAUAAUUCGUAAACGCACAUGGGCAGUCACGUUCGCAGGUCAACCUGGUCGGCAAAAAAACAAGACUAUUUUUUCCUCUUCACUUUUUUGUGUGGAUAUCUCACCGCUUCGUCCAACAUUUGCAUACAACCAUAAUAAAUACCUCAUGCAAAAUUUAAUCAAAUGAAUUCAUAAAUUAUCCAGCAAGUGAUGUGAGAGUAAAAUUACCGAAAGGUGCAAUUUUCGUCAUGGAAAUAUAUUGGUUAUCCCACAUUGAUGAGUAAAGAGUGAAAACAGUGUAUGCAAGUGAAGAAAAAUCUAGCGACAAAGUAAUGAUGAUAUGGGAUACCUUUUGUAGGGCGCCGAGGCAUCUGGUGCAGCCGGCGUAUGAGGAGUUGCGACAAUUGUUUUCCAAGUUGCGAACGGCGGCGGUGGGGGUGGCGUUUUUGUGGGAGAGAGAAACGUUGAACGCUGCGUUGCAAGUUAAGGAUGUUAUUUGGUGUAGUCUGAUGCCGCAGAAGCAGAGGAUGGCGUCGCAGGUGGCGUUGGGUUGGGGGAUUCGGAUAUUGCGAGUGAGGAGCGAGUCUUGGAGGGAGUUGACGCACUUCUGGGAGUCGUCGGGCAUCAUGGGGAGGUCGCCGGAGGCCGGCGGCGGCGCACCAGAGACCUCGAGGGCAGAGCGGGCGUGUGCGGCGAAGAGCCACGCGGCCAGGACGGGGCAGCAGCGGCUCCGGUCGAGGUCCUUGCCGCAGGCGUCCUUGACUCCGCCGAAGAGCUCGUUGGAGAGGUCAAGCCGGCAGGUCUGCGUCUGGGUCUGAACCGGGAAUGCGGGAACCGUGUUGGAGGAGGGGUAUUGGCCCGGUUGGAGAGGCUGGUUGGGGUUACUCACCGGUUGGGACAGUAAACCGGCAUGAGAAAAAGGUUGUCGUUGUAGUAGGAAGAGCGAGGUGAAAAAAGCAAGGCACGCGAGACUGAGCGAAAAUGAUUGCAUUUUUUAGAGAGUGUUGUUUUGCUCUGUUUGGGAUUCGAGGAAAAUAAAAUUAUGAAGAAAAGGGUUGAAGAUGGGGAUGGGUUGAAAAAUGAAAAGGGAACAGGGGCGUGGUUUGGUUGAAAAAUUAUAGGGGAGAUUGAAGGGACAAUGGUAGUGGAGUUGCGGUAGGAAAAACCCCACUUUUUUUGUCAAAAUAUCACAACUCUAUAUGGUAUUUGGUCUGAGAUUGGUAGACCCAUGAUUUGAUUGCAGCGUGUUUGCUAAAAUAACAGUGCAUGCUAUGCUGAUAAGGAGAAAAGAUGAAGAGGUGCUAAGACCGAGGGAAGGGAUUGUUUGGGUAAAGGUUUGUAAUAUUUUCUUAGCUUGCUUUCUGCUUUUCAGAGAACCCGGAGACUGGCGUUUAUAGUUUGAUAAUUCUCUGCUUUCCACGUGAUAAUUAGAUUUUUCUUUUUUGCAAAUUUUAAUUUAUGUCUUUAAUUAAACGUCCUAAUGAGAGAAAAUUAAAUUAAACGUAAUCAAGUUAAGUAAUUGUUUAUAGCAAAUAUUUGAAUAUUCGGUUUUCCCAAUCCACAUGAUAAAAAGUAGGCAUCAGUAGUCAGAAAUCAGUCUUGAUUCAUGCGGGCUGACUGCUCGAAGUUCUAAUUUUGAAAUUUGGAUAAAAAAUUAAAUUGAGAAACAGCUUUUCUUUUUCCUGUUUCUGAAUUUUAUAAGUGGAUAAUGGAGGGUGAUUCGAUUUCAUGAGAAAACCAAAGAAAGAACAACGAGCGAGAUUCGUUUCAGGGCACAGGCACACUAGGUAGGAGGAAUCACCUUCACAAUUCUAUAAAACUUUUAGUAUAGAUAAAAAACAGUUUUAUUUAUUAAUAUCUUUUAAUUAUAUCUAAAUUUUGAUUUCCUAACAAGUAUAAAAAUAAUAAUAAUAAUUGUUUAAAUAUUAUUAUUAAAAAACAGAAAAGGUUGUCCGAAUAUUUGGCCCUUUGUGCUGUCCUUUUCAUUUUAUCAGUUUAUUAUCUCUCUUCUCUCUUUGUCCUUUCUUCUUCUGUUAUAUUUUUGUUUUUGCUAGGAAUGGGGAAAAAGCUUUUGGUGCGCUUGCAGUGCUGGACCCUUGGUUUUCCCACUCAAACAUUUUUUAACACCAAUAAAUAAAUAAUUAUGCUACAAAUUGAAUCAUCAAACACUUAUCAUUAGCACAUAUAACAUCCUCAAACUCUAAUAACUUAACCAAAUUCAUGUGUGUGAUGAAAUUUGAACAUGCAAAACUUCUGGUACACAUCAGUUUGUAUAUUCAUGCGUGACAGCCAACUAACACCAUUUUCUUUGCGUGCACUGUUUUUCUAAAGAUAACAUUAUUUAAACAUACGAAGCUCCUCAAGCUCUAAUCUGGACAAGCACAACUAUUGCAUUUUCACAUGGGAAUGCCAAACCCCAUUGCAACUUUUCCUACUUUCUCUUCUCUGCCAUUACAAAAUUGAUUUAUAUGUAUGUAUCCGUUUCCCUGAAUAUUCUGAUACGCAAGAAGACAAAGUAAGGCAUAGUGUGAAGUAGGUUGAGGAGAGAGUAAAAACCAGAGAGGUGGGCCAAUGGGAAAACAAUACAAGAGUGAGUGAGAGAGAUAGGAGCAAAGCAAUGCAUGCAUUAUUAGUUUAAAGGACAAACACAAAGUGUCAACCAAAAGAAAAUUGUUCCCGUAAAAAGUACUAGCUUUGGGAAAAGCCUUGAACCACUUUUCCUGCCUCCAAUAAUCUAAUCGCUUUGGUUUCGUGUAGGGUCUCCAAAUUCAAAUCAUGCCCGUGGACGAUGAUGCUUUUUGUUGGGUGUUACAUACAUUACAUGUAUAAUAAUAUCCUAUGCAUACACAUAUUAUUACUAGUCAAUAAAAAGAAUGCAUUAUAUACAUCGAAUUAGCUUCCAAAAGGAGAAUGAAAAUGGUUGGUAAUUGAGCCCAAAAGUUUAUCCCAAAAGGUGUAAUCAUGGUGUUCGUGUUGUUUAUGUUGCCCAUUACAAAUGGAGCUUCUCGGGUCCAUCUAUAUCAUCUUCCAAUUCAUCAAAACAAUGCCUUUUUUUUUGCUUGAGCACAAUCUUGCGUAAGCAUAAUGAAUAUUCAUGUAUGAAUAAUACUGCCUUUUACUCUUACUCAUCACUCACACACGUGCAAAAAAGCCUCCUCCGAUUAUGUUUUUCUCAUGAUAUCAACCUCAAAUUCAAUCAAGUUCUAUGAAAUAGCAACUAGCAACUAGCUAUUAAGGUAAAGGGUUAAAGAUGGUCACUGCAAUAUGGUAACCCUUUUGCCCAUCACCACCACAAAGCUAAUGAAACUUUACAUGUUUGUGGUUAUGAGGAGCUCAUGUUGUAUGAUUGAAAAAACAUGUUGUGUCUUUUGAUCAUUGAUGUCAUUGGUUUAAUGAAGAGCUGUUCCUGAAUUAGUGAAAUGAUUAGCUACUAAUUAAUGAGGAUCAUGUCAAAAUCUAGUGUCGGGAAACACUUUCAAAAUGGUUUGUGCAAAUCCACCUGUGUACCACUUUGAAGUCUUUAACUUUAAACAAAGUAAUAAUGACUUUAUGAUUUGGUGUAACUCAAAGGAUCAAACCACACACUUGUAGGUCUCUCUCUCGUCCUCUUUCUCUUUAAUUUACCUUUCCCAGAUUCAAAUAAGAUUAAUAUACGUAACAAAGUAAACUUAAUUCUUCUGUUUCUUUUUCGGAAAUUUCAAAGGGAAAAAGGAAACCAUAUAGCAAUACAGUGAUAGCACUGGAAUUAAUUACCAAAAUGAAGAAAAAAUGAACGUGGAAAAAUAUAUAAUAUAGGCACAUAUAAGUUUAACAUAGAAGAUUGGGUUUUGCUUUUUGCUUUAUGGCAUUCCUAAAAUGUUUGAUAACCUUUUGUCUUAAGAUAACCUUUUUCUUAAGAUAUUUUGGGUUAAAUAUGUUUUAAGCCGUUGUACUUUGGACGAUUUUGGUUUUAGUCCAUUUUUAAAUUAAGGUACAAUUUAGUCCUUCAACUUUAGAAAACUCUGGUUUUAGUCAUUUUUACCAAAUUUUUUUAACUUUAUUUGUUGUUUCAAACACGUUUCAUUAUAGCAUUUGGAUUGUUUACACUGUUUGACAUAUUUUUUCUUCAAUGUUAACAGAUAAACGUACUUGAGACAACAAUUAAAAUUAAAAAAAUUUGAUAAAAAAAGAUUAAAAUCAGAGUUUUCUAAAGUUAAAAGACUAAAUUGUACCUUAAUUUAAAAAUAGACUAAAAUCAAAAUUGUCCCAAAUCAUAAGUACUAAAAACAUAUUUAAACCAUAUACUUUUAUUUGAUGAGUAUUUUAAUUUAUCUUUUCGUAAACAUCAUAUUCCUAUUCCAUUUCAUUACCUCAGCCACGAUAGAGUGCAGUGACAGGUGACCAGAAUGCCUAUUUUCCCUUUGUCACCUUCUCUGUACUGUAGUCAUAUACCAUCAAUCCCUCAUAACCAAUAAUUUCAUAAAUAAAAAAGUAAUAAAACCAACAUUUUAUUUCUAUUUUAUUUUCGGGAAUAAUACUUUUCAAAAAAUAUUUCUCCAAAUGAACCGAGCUUAAUAUUUUCGGAAAUUCUUAACUGAUUUUUUUUAUAUAUAUAUUCUUAGCUGGGAUCAUCGGAAUUUGGUUGCUCAAUAUUAGAUUUUGAGAGGAUUUUUUGAUAUUUUUGUUUUCUUUUCUGUUUUUUACAAAAAAAAAUAGAGAAAUUAAAAAAACAGUUGAAAUUAAAAUUAGAGAAAAGUAAUUUAAAAUACUUAAUUAAAAAUAUUGAAGUUAAAUUUUAAAUGUUUUGAAAGAUGAAAAAAAAACACUAAAAAAUAAUUUAAGUGUAAAUAAUUUUUGUUUUAUAAUAUAAUUUAAAAUAAAAUUUGUUAUUAUUAUAGUAGUUUGUGGGAAAAAAAUGAAUAAAAGAUAAAAAAUGUAAAAUUUCGUAAUAUAAUUAUUAAUUUUAUUAUUAUUGUUAUUGAUAAAAAAAUUGUUUAAAGGAUUUUGAAAAUGGAAUAAAAAAAUAUAAAAACAAGUUAAAAUAUAAAGUAAUUUCAAAUUUAAAUUAAGGAUUAAAAUUAUAUUUAGAAACGUAGUUUAAAAUGAUUAAUUAAAAAUAUGGUCACUAAAUUUUAAUGGGAAUCACUGAAAAAAUACAAUUUAAAAAAUUAGGAUUAAAUUAAUUUGGUUUUAAUAUAGUUAAAAAUAAUUUUUUUAUUAUUUAUGAUGAUUUGUAAAUAAAUUAAAUAAAAUAUAGAAGAAAACUAUAAAGUUUUAUAUUAUUGUUGAUCGUAUAAAUUUUUUUAAUAAUUUAAAAAAUACAUUAAAAAAAUAUAAAAUGGGUUAAAACAUAUAGUAAAAUUAUUAAAUUGAUGUUUAUGCAAAAGAACUAGACAUUUAUAAAUAUUUUAUAUUGUAAAAUCAUUUUAAUUUUAUAUUUUAAAGUUUUAGUUUUAAACCUAGACGCUAUUAACAUUCUUAACUUUUAUUACAAAAUUCACAAUAUAAAAUAUAUUUUAUACUCAUCAUUUUAAAUAUCUUAUCUUUUUUAAUGCAUAAUUAGAUAUCAGUUAAAUGAAAUUAAUGUUGAUAAAAUUUUACAUCUUUAUAUACAAAAUAUUUAUGAGAUUUGAAAUGAUAUAAUUUUCAUUAUUUCUUUUUUAUAUCCUAUAAAUAUAUAAUUUUGACUUUUGCUUGAAUUUAUUCUCAUCGUGUCGUUGAUGAUAUGAAUAUAUAAGUAACAAAAGAACUUUGGUGUUAUCAAAAUUAGUUGGUUUAUUUGAUGUGUCAAAUAUAAUUACGUAUAUUAAAUGAUAUGCAAUUAAUUAAAUAACAUAUCAUUCACUAACAUUCACUUAAAAAUUUUAUAUUAGUAAAUAAUUAUGAAAUGUGAUAACAGAUAUUUUUUUCCACUUUUACAUUUUGACAUUUUAAUACGAAGUACUCACAUAAUAUGUCUUAAACAUAACAUUAUUCUUUAAAUAAAAGUCAUAUAAAAUUAAAUUUAAUGUUUUUGUCACUUUUUAUUUCCUUAUUUUUUUUAUCAUAUUGUCUCUUAAUAGGGUAAUAAACACAAAAAUAACUUUACUUUUAGUGCAUAAAAAGUAAACUCAAACUGCAUUGAAUAAUCAUAAAAAAUUGUUAAAUAAUAUCGCAUUCCACAAAGUGAAGGAAUACAAUAAGGUAUGUUCCUAUGAAUCAAAAUGAAUUAAUUCAAACUAAUUACUUAUAGUAUGCUCACCAAGUUAAAAAUGAUUCCUUUGUUGUUUAGCAUAAGGACAAAGAUCAUUGAUUUUAUUAUUAUUAAUUCUACUAAACUAACUCAUAUGGAGGAUGAAUUUUAACAAUUUAUUUGACUGGUAACCAAAACGACUAUUUCAUAGAUCAAUUGAUGAAUCCUUAUCAAAUAUUAAUGAACGUACAUUUGAAAUACCUUGAAAACAAAAUUAAAGUCUAAUAGUCUGUUCAUCCGCUCUAAUCAACAUCCUCCUCGUCUUCUCAUCCCAUAUAACACACAUUAUUAAAUUAAAAGAUACAAUUGGAGGCAUAAAUUAAUUGUAAUACAAAAAUUAAAAUGCAAGUUAAUUAAGGCACAAAAAGGAUGUUAGCAAACCAUCCAAAAUCAUGUUUCCCUCCUUUGUAGUUACACUGCUACAAAAACGAGCUAUUACGUUUGUUAUUUUCAACCUUUGACGUCUGUGAAAAUACCAACGUCAUAUCAAGGAACGUUGAAAGCAAAAAGGAAGGACGUUGAUUGAUGUCGAGAAACAAGUUUUUUCAAAUGUCCUUAUCACACUGAGUGUCAAAGUUUCUAGAGGUCAUUAGAAAUGGUAAUAUAGGAAAUUUGACGUUUGAAAGUGCAUUUUUGAACGUCAUUUGACGUUAGAAUUAGGCAUUUUGGACAUUAGUUGACAUUGGAAAUAUCCAAUUCUAACGUCAAAUGAUGUCUAAAAAUGACUUUUCGAUGUUCCUCUUUUACUUUUUUUAAUAAAUGAUUCAUUUUUACAAUUUUAUCAAAUCUGAAAAGUAGAAAACAAAAAAAAUGUAGCUCAAUUUUGGCAUUUUAUAUAUUCAUAACACAUUUUCAAAUUUGUAUGAACUAAUUAAAACUAGGUUUAAUACCUAUUUUGGUCCCUCCUUUCGGGGGGUUUGUUCAAAGUGGUCCUCCCUUUUUUAAAAAGUUCACUAAAGUUCUACUUUUUGCAAAAAUUGUGCAAGUUAGUCCUUUUUGCUAACGGCGUUAAUUCUACUAAAGGUAGAGCUGCCCAGCUGGCAAAUAUUUGAUGAGUUGUAACGUUUUGGUUGUGCUGGCACUGUUAUGUGUUUAAAAAAAUUAUUAAUCGUGACGUGGAAUGUAAUAAAAUUAGGGUUAAAUUAAAAAUUGAAUUUGGGUGUAAUUUCAAUCCAGCUCUUACCUGUGUUCUUCACUGCAAAUGAACACGGAUCAUACCCAACACACAUCAUGUACCCAUGAACCUCCUUUCCCAGGUGUUCAGCAGCAUGGUCGGCAAAUUUAUUUAAAACUCCAACAAAGGUAUACUCGGUUCUUAUUAAGAAACCAUGAAUUUCCUUCCCAAGAUGCAAGCAAGGAAAUUCUCCGUUUCUUGCAUUAAUCCAUCACAAAAACUGCUAUUUUUCUCUAUCAAAUGGAUUGUAUUAAUAAAUCAUUUUCUCCAAUAUAAAAAAUCACAGCACAGCCACACAAAAGAAAACUGCAGUUUAUGUGUAGAAUCAGAAAAAUAUAAAUAUAAAAAAAAAAAUUGAACUUGAAUGUAAUUUGCAGGUAACGAGGCUAGGUUGUGGGGGAAUGAUCCUGUGCUGAAACCUAGACACCCUGCACAGGUAAAGUUCCGUCACGCGGGCUACACCGCACCAAACCCAACCCCUCAAGUGGACCUCCUAAAGUUCAUACAGUCACAGCCUUUGGUAGCCACAUCCUUCACCCUCACCCCCUCCUACGUCCUUCGCCUCAAGAAAGAGUGUGUCCCCUCCCUGAAGUGCACCUCCUUCGAAACCGUUGUGGCCCACACCUGACGCUCUUGGAUUCGUUCGGUGGGCCAAUCCCUACCGUUCAAACUCACUGUGAAGCUCCUUUUCUCGGAGAAACAGUUUCCUAACCUGUUCAUUGUUGAAUGUGGUUGUUGAACCUUAAAUCUGUGGAUUGUUGAAGGUGCUUGAUGAACCCUAAUCGCAAGCCCAGAAAAUCCCAAUCGCAAUCGCAAAUUUGGGUAAAAUUUGCAUCUGAAAAUCAGUUUACCUAAUUACCCCAAAUUACCCUAAUUUCAAUUUUUAAUUUAACCCUAAUUUUAUUACAUUCCACGUCACAAUUAAUAAUUUUUUUUCAAACACAUAAGAGUGCCAACACAACCAAAACAUUACAACUCAUCAAAUAUUUGUCAGCUGGGCAGCUCUGCCGUUAGUAGAAUUAACGACGUUAGCAAAAAGGACUAACUUACACAGUUUUUGCAAAAAGUAGGACUUUAGUGAACUUUUAAAAAAAGGAAGGACCAUUUUGAACAAACCCCUCCAAAAGAGGGACCAAAAUAGGUAUUAAACCUUAAAACUAUAAACUAAAGCUAUCAAAAGUAAAAACCUGAAAAAUAGAAAAACUAUGGGAAAAUGGGUAGCAAAGAUUUAUGUGCACCAUCACCUAUAAAAUGAAGAAAGAGUUAUCAUUCUCUCAAUCCUUACUAUGUAUGUUAUUAGUAGUGUUGCAGUAAUAGCAGUAGUAGUGAAUGGUGUUAUAAUGAGUAGUGCAUAUUGUCUAUUUACUUCUGAUUUUUGGUUUUGAUAGCUAUAAUUAUUAUUUUUGGUUGAAAUUUUUUUUAAGCACUCCUUGGAACCCUUAUUUUAGGGAAAAAACACUAAGAGCCUUUAUUUUGGAUCCUUCUGAAGUUUAAAAAUUAUUUGGAAAGUUAGUUGUUGUAGAUCUUUACACGACCAUAACUUUUCCUCUGAUUGGCAUACACUACAGGAAACGCGCGUAUUAGCGACAGAAUUUUCCCGACAGCCUUAGAGCCCUCGGUAAUGCUGUGGUGAUUUUAAAUAUCGAAGGACAUAAGGCCUUCAAUUAUUGGCUCAAUGAUUAAAACCGAAAAAAUGGGGAUUUCCCUUCCCUCAAAUCGAUUUAGUCAACCAAAAUACCUAGCUUCGCCCUCUCUGUUGCAAUUCCUCUUGCCCUUGCUCUUGUGGGUGUUUGAAGUCGUUGGUGCAACAUUGGUUCUUCGUGGCGAAUGUUCAAGUUCUUCUUUAGGUGGUGGUCGUGAGGUUUUUGAGCGCACCCGAUUUGGUCGACCAAAUAAUACCUUUUUUUUUUCACCCUCUUUGUUGUGAAUCCUCCCAUCUUCCUCGUGGGUAUUUGAAGUCGUUGUUGCAACAUUGGUUCUUCCCAACGAACAUUUAGGUUGUUCUUUCGGUCGUCAGGUGGUUGAGCUCGCCCGAUUGACUAUGUAAGGACAGGUUUGUGAGGUGAUGCGAUGCAUUUAGGGAUUUCCACAACUAUUGGAGCUUAGAAGGUUCAUUUGUAUAUCCCUACGUUUGAGUGUCUUCUAGAGUAGCAGGUUGCCAAAGUUGGUUAUCUUUUAAAUAUUUGAGUGCUAGUUUGGGGAUUUUUGUUCCUGGUUUCGUUUGUUGUUGUGUUUUCUCUAGGUUUCAUAAAUUGAUUUAAAUUGUUUAUGAACCAAAUGCCUGUAGGUUCCUCCUUUUAUGGAACUGGAGAAGCUACUGGAAAUCUGGAGAGGACGGGAAAAAGAGUAAUUCAAUGUUAUGGAAUUUUUGUUGACACUACAAGGCGUUGUGAGGUAUUAUGUUAUGUGGCCUUUUGUAAUUUAAAACCUUGCACAAAAGUCUUUGUUCUUAUUACAAUUAUAUGUUAUUGAUUACAAUUAUGCGUGUUCUUAUUAUAAUGAUUUGUGUUCUUGAUAUGACUAACAUGGUUGUCUGAAUUAAACUAUCCAUUCAAGGCUUUUGAUAAAAUUAUAUAUUUUUCAUUUGUUAAAGUUUGUAGAAUGUAUAGCAUAGCGCAAAGGAAUUGAUUGGUUGUAGAGAAAUAUGUGAGUAGAAGAAAAUGAAUUCGUUUUUAUCUAUUUUAGAGUAAAGAUUGUGCAAAGAGAAAAUGAGAAAAGAGAAAUCUUAAGAAAUAUUAAGUGGAUAUCAUAAUAUGUUGAGUUUUGGAAACAAGAGAAGUAGACUUGUAGAGAAUAUCAAAUACAAUAUUAGAGUCUUUGUAAACCUUUUCCUCACCUUCCAAAUUGUAAAACUGACUUGUUGAAGUGCUUGUUACUCAUUAAUUUGGUCAAAAAUAGAAUUGAGCUAUAUGAGUUGUUUAAAUCAGAAAAGGCAAAUCAGAAAAAUGAAUUGAACAUGAGAAAUUGCAUAAAAAGCAAUAAACUUGUGCGAAUUGACCUUGAGAAGUUGUAAUAAGCAUAAUUAAACUUGUUUGAAUGAAUUUUCAUGAGCCAAUUGUGCAUUGAAUUGAAAAAAUGCAAAUUAGUCAUUGUAUUAGGCUAAUUUUUACAUGAAAAUUCAGUCAUAACCAGUUUUUGCAUUUGUCCUUGAUUCUAUUUUUUCUUUGCUUUUGAAAUCUAUUCUAGCAAAUUUCUUAGGUUCCUUUUGAGUCCCUACUUGUUUCAUAACUUUUAUUUCUUGCUUGUAUCAAUUUUUUACAUUUUAAGUGCCAUUUUCUUUGUUUGAAAAUUGUUGUUGUCCUGAUUGUUUAUUGGUGUAGUGUUAAGAUUUGGAUUGGUGUUUAUAUUGUUGGUUUGUGCUGAUGUUAAGAUUUAUGGUGCAGUUUCCAGCUUAGAGAUCGUAUGAGCUAUGAACUUUUAUUGUUAAUUUUUUUUUCAUAUUAUCAUCUGGGUAUUCCUUGAUUAUGUAUUCUACCCUCUAUUGUUCUCUGAUUACUGCUUCUUUGCUUUUCUCUUUACUGUUGAUUAAUUUUUGUUCAUAUAUAUGGUGAAGAUAGGCCACGAUUUUGAGCUAGGUGGUGAAGAUGAAGUGUAUAAUGUAGGUCUUUUUGAUACACCUAGGUACACCUAACACUGUAUAGAAAGUUGUCCCAUUACUGUCUUGGUAGGUUUCAUAUUUGAGCCCUUAAAACUUGCUCUUUAUAGGCUGUAGAAUUGUUAAGUCUUUGAUGAAAUUCCCCUAAAUAACUAUUUGAUUGCGUAAAGUUUGUUAAUAUGAUGUAUAUUUAUUGUGUACUAGACUGUUUGAACUGAGCUUACUUUGAAAUGAUGGGAUGGCUUGUUUUUAAAUGCUCUAUUUUAUCUUGAAAUUGAACAAACAACCAUGAGAGAUAGGUGAAGAUUUGUAGGCUAAGAAUAUGUAGUGUUGAUAUUCUAACAAGUUUAAACUUGAUAAAUGAAGCUAAGGAACAAGUAUAAAUGGUUCAAGUGUCUAAAACUCAAAAUGACACUAGUUAAAACCUUAAAAUGUGUACUAAAAAGUACCUACAUUCGAAUUUGGCCUAAUGUAGGCUAAGAAUAUGUGGUUUUGAUAUCCUACUUAAAAGCAAACAACUACCUAAUACUCAAAAUAGGUGAGGAAUUAGGAAUUCACUACAGUAGUCAAUGUGUAAUGGAUUGUUUGUUGUGUGAACAGAUAUAUGCUAAUGUAGGAUAAGAAGAUUGAUUGUUGUGUGAAUGGAUGUAUGCUUUUCUAUGACAACGACAAUGGAAAAAAUGAUGCAUCGUUGGUGGAAUACAAGUUUUGUGGCCAUCCUCGAUUUUAGACAUUACAUCCAGGAUGGAGGCAAAAAAAACCAAUUUCAUUCAAGUCCAUGUUCUAUUUGUGGAUCAUUUCAAGAUUACAAAGGAUAUUCGCUUCAAUGCAAACAACAGAACACAUGACAUGACAUGAUGGUAACAAAAGUGAAAGAGUGUUGCGUCAUCCUUCUGACGGUGAAGCCUGAAAGCACUUCAAUUGUAAACAUCCAUCCUUUUGAUGGUGAAGCCAUUACUGUUAGUAGCUUUUUAUUUUCAAGCUUUGUUCUUAUAUUUGUAAUGACUGCAUUUAGGAACUUUUGAAGACCAACUUAGAAUUAUCUUUCAAAACAUUGAAGUAAACUUUUCAUGAAUGUUGAAUGAUUUAAUGAUUGCAUUUGGUAAAUUAGCCUGGAGAAUUUGUUGUCUGAAUUGUGUUUGGAUCAUUGCUUGUUGGUUGAAUUGUGUUUGGAUCAUCGCUUGUUAGCUGAGUUGUGUUUGGAUCAUUGCUUCAUUGACAAGUUUUCUUAUAUUGGGUAUAUAAGGCAAAAACCAGUUACAUUGGAUAAUGGUAGUAAUGUUACCCACGACUUUACCGAAAGUCAUAAGCCUUCGAUAAUUACCGAGGACUUAAAACCCUGGGUAAGGACAUCAAAUUUCGUGCUUAUUUACAGACGACUUCAAAUCCUCGAUAAUUAUGGAAGGCCAAAGAUCUUUGGUAUUACUGACGACUUUCAGACCCUCGAUAAUUAUCGAAGGUUUUUUACCGUAAUAAUACCAAAGACCUUAAGUCGUCGGUAAAUCUUUCCGACAACAUUAUUACUGACGAGUUUUUAACCAUUAGUAGACCUUCCAUAAUUAGUAUUUUCUGACGAUUAUUUGAUAUUAUCCACAGAUUUUAGUCGAUAGCUAUAAAUUUUUUUAAUACUCGUAAAGUAAAUUAAAUAUUAUAAAUUAAUAAUUCCAAUUUAUCUAAUUGUCUUUCUAAAAAUUCACCGUUUUAAUUUUAAAUAAAGAAAUGAAAAUAAAAAAUCUAAUCAUAGAUCAGUUUGUGUGAAAGUUUUUUUUAACCUCUCAAUAAAAAGUUCUGUUGACUAAUUUUUCUUCUUUUUUUAAUCCACUGAAGAAUUUACUUAUAUUUGGAUGUGUUGAAAAAUUAUCACUUUUUCAUUCUAUUUUUUUUUUUCACAUCUUUCAGACAACAUAUGAGAAGAACAGGGAAGUUUACUAUUGCAGAAAAAAAUAAAAUAUAAAAAACUUAUUUUGAAAAAACUUCUUAAUGCAUUAUUGUGCCAAAUCACUUCGAAAUAAGAUAUGGUUGAUGCUGAUUGGGAUUUUGUCCCUUUUGAAAGUUACUUUUGCUUAUUUCAUUUUCAUCCAUCUCUUUUUUUUUUUUUUUUCCUUCUUUCUAUUCAUGGGUAUGCAUUAUUGUCGGGGUGGCAUUCAUGAAAAAUAAAAUUGUAAUACUGUAACAUGUGUUUGGAAAUAUAAGUUGAAUGCGCAAGAUUUUGGUUGAAAAAACAAAAAAUUUCUCCAUAUAAAAAAAAAAAUUAUAAUUAAGAGAACAGAUUUAUAAUAUGAAUUUCUUUUUAACUAAUCUAAAAUUACUUUUCCAUAUUAAUUACAAUUUAAAAUAUAUAAGAAAAGGUUAAAUUAAACUAUAAAAAAAAACACCUUACUACCUAAUAAAAUUAUCAUCUUUACAGAAAUGUAAACAGUUUUCAAAAUUAUCAGUCAUAUAAUUAAUGAGUGUGUGAUUUUUAAUACAUUUUCUCAUAUCAAGUAUCAUGAUGAUGAUAGAAAAUUUUUUGAUAAUGAAUAUAAAAUAAAUAUGAGAAAACUUUAUUAAGAUAUGCCUUAAUUUUAUAUUAGAAAAUGAAAAAUAUAACUCAUAAAGUUUUAUGUUUUAUCCUUUACUUUUCCUCAAACACAUAAUGUCUACACUUAUCACCAUGAUUUCUUAAUACAAUACAUAAUUUUGUUAUCAAAUCCAUACUUUCUUUUAGCGAAGAAAAUCAAAUUCGUCAUGUCAAAAAUAUUACUUUUAUUUUUAUGUGAAGGUAUUGUUCACACUGGUUAAAAAUAAUUAAUAAAUAUUGAAUUUUACAAAAAUUCAAUUUAUAAUUUUGAUAUUAAAUGAAUUUUGAUUUUAAUAAUUAUUAAUGAAGUUUUGUUUUAUUUAGAUGACAAAAAUACUUAAAGAAUUAUAGAAUUAUACUUGAUAAUUUAUUUGAUGCACAUAAAAAAUUAAAAAAUAAUUAAAUAAUAAAAUUAUUUUAACAUUGUUGUAAUGUUUUUCUUUUCUUUUUAAUCAUUUGUCUUUCAUUUUAAUGUUGUUAAACAUUUGCCUUUCAAAUGUUCCAAGCCCUAACCUUUCAAGUUUUCACGUUUUAAGUUUUUAUCAAGAGAUGGUCUUCAAGCGUGAAGAGAUAAUUUGACUUUUUUUUUAAAAAAAACGUUAAAAAAUCUAAAUGACUUGUUUUGUGUUUAGAAAACGAUUAUGGACAUAAAAAAUAAAAUAAAAUAAUAUAUUUUUAUCUUUAGAAAAUAUUUUAUAUGAAUUUAUAUUAUUUUAAUUAGUAAAGUUAAUAUUCAAGAUUUGAACAUAAAUAAAUAUAAUAAAAUUAAAGAUAAUUAAUUAUACAUUAAAUAGUGCCUAACAUUCUCUUUUAUGUAGAUAGAUACCGAUUUAAUGACUAGAAUUUAACUAGUACAAUUUUUUGUCGAUAUUUCAGUUGCUAACCAAAUUAUCGGCAUUAUAAAUGUAAGUUAUCACUAUUUUGAUCACAUAUUUGUGAUAGAUAUAAUUCAUUGACUAUUCCAACUUCAUGUUGCAAUCUAUUUAUUUUAAUUGCUAAGUGAAGUCUUUAAAAGACUAAAUUUUUAAUAAUCAUAAUACGUUUUUUUAAACUAAAAUUAUUGAUCAAAGUCAUUUAUAACAAGAGUUAUAUAGUAUGAUGUAACUAUUAAUGAUAAUUGGGAUUUAUAAAAACCUCUAACCUAUAUGUAAUCAUUAUCAGAUAUGUUAUUCGAAAAAUUAAUUAUGAUUUAUCAAAUUUCACAUUACAUCACAUAACACAUGAUUUCAUAUUAUUUUUUGUUUAAUAUAUGAAUAGAUUCCUAUUUUCACCCAGAAUCUCAAUUAGGUUUAUUUGUUUUUUGACAUCUCAAUUGAGUACUUAUUUUUGUAAAAUUGAAUCAAACAGAAUUUUUCCGUCAAAUUGAGAUGACGUCGUUAAGAAGGAUAUGCUCAUAGUGUAGUUUUUUUAUUACGUGACAUUAAAAACGUGACUGAAUUAUAUUCUUUUAAUUUUUGAAUUAAAAAAUGAAAUAUACAGAGUAUACUUCAUUUUUAAUUUAAAAAUUAAAAAAAUACAUUUCAGUCACAUUUUCAAUGUCACGUAAUAUAAAACUACACGCUCAACAUAUCCUUCUUAACGACGUCAUCUCAAUUUGACGGAAAGACCCUAUUUGAUUCAAUUUAAAGAAAAUAAAGACUUAAUUGAGACGCCGAAAAAGAAAGAGACCUAUUUGAAAUUUUGGACAAAAAUAUGGACCUAGCGAAACAUUAAACCUUAUUUUUUCUAGUAAUAAUUUAUUUUGCUUUUAACACUCUUUUUCUUUUAAGAGCAAUAUUGUAAUUUUUACACCACAACAAUUAUUCUUCAAACAUACAUGUAGAAUAAUGUAAAUAUUUAAAGUAAUUUAUUUAAGUUUAGGUCAAAACUUUAUACAAAGUGUUAAAGACAUAACCGAAUUGUUCGAUUUGAAUAAAAUACCCAAAUGAAUUAUUUUUUUUUAAUAGUUAAUUACUCGUAUUUUAUUAAUUUUUUUAACAUCUCAUUUUAAUAGUUUUAACACUAAUAAAUGAAAUAUCAUAUAUUUAAGGAUAAUGAUAUUUAGACAACAUUUUUUUGACAACAUUUGAACAUUGAUUACGUGUCAAUCUGUGAUUGGUCGUAAAUUACUCCAUAAUCAAAUGUUGUCAAAAAAAUGUUGUCUAAAUAUCAUUAUCCUAUAUUUAAUAAAAUAUAACUGAUAACUUAAAAAACAUAUAAAAUGUUUUUACAAUUGUCUAAACAAUAAUCAUUAUAUCAAAAUUAUAUAUAAAAUACUAGUGAGAAUUCUAUUACACUUGAAUCUAAAAUAUAAUAUAAGAGUUUGUCAAAAGAGCAAAUAUACAAAGAAGCUAAAACAUCUUACUCCAUGCCUUACUCUAUCACCAUCACCUAACACUUGUUCGACAGAUAAUUUCUCAUAUCCUUCUACCAUUAAGAUAAUCAUGGUAAACAAGAAAAAUAAACAAAACACAUAAGCAAAAAUAGAAUGGUAAACCAAUUUUACCAAAGAACAUACAUAUAAUUGAUUAUAAAAUAAAAGUUCAACAUCAGUAAAUCAAACAAGUCCUAAGCAUACAAACAUUGACUUUGGAUUUAACCAUCUGGAUAUAAGUAUUGAUAGCAAAUUCUAGGAAGCACUAUGUGUGGUGGAACAACUUGCCCAUUCAAGCUACCACACACAAAGAUUAAUCUGUCAACAUGUAUGACCAAGAGAUCAGUACUAGACUAUAAGGACAUCUUCCUACUCUUCACAACAUACCCUACCAUUCUCUACUUGAGACUAAAUAGUUAUUAAGAGUGCAAAGAUAACCUCUAAUCCUGAGUUCCUACGUCAAUAAAUACACUAUACAUAAUUAAUACAAUAACUUCUCCUUAAAAUCAUUCUUAUACCAUAGUUUAUACAUAUUCACAAUCAUAUCACAAUCAAUAAAUCAUCCUUAAUUUCAAAUAAAAAUAUAUUUAAUUUAAUUACACUACUUCAAAAUACACAAGAUUAAUUGAAAAUAGAAAACUACACAAACUCUACAACAAGAAAAGCUCAGAGCAAGGUUUGGCACUCAACACAAAAGCUCUUGCAGUUUUCCUUGCUUAGUGGCAAGAACCUUUCGCUCAGCGAAUUAUCAUAUAAUUAGUUCCAGACCUAUAGUGGUAACUGACACUCAGUGGUACCCUGCCACCGCUUAACGUCAGACCAUUCGCACUUUGUUCUACUUAGUGGCGGAAUGGACGCUCAAUCCCAUACUAGAAACCUACACAUUGUAAAACUGUGAUUUGAUAAACCAAGUACCAAAUCAAAUGACCAAAUUGAUAUUCCUAACUCAGGGAUUGAUCCAAAUACGUGUUUUAGUGUUCAAAAGAAUACCAAUUUGCUCAAUUGACUAUAUACUUAGUUUAUCAAUUUAACCAAGCUAAAUUUAUUCACUUAAGAUACUCAUUUUGAAAUCCACAAAUCUUAGCACUAAUAUCAGAUAACCAAGACCUCAAAUCUACCUAUUUCAACCAACAACAUAAGUACCACUAUCAAACAACAACUCUAACAGAAAUGCUUACACUAUCACUAAUUAUGGAAAAUUUCUAACAAACUAAACUAUAUUCUAUUAUAGUUUUGAAACAAAUUUAUUUAACAACGAUAACACUAGUUCAAACACACAGUCCAAAUCAAUCAUAACCAUCAACACACACACAUAAAACAAAUUUGCAUUAGAAUUUAAGACAAAUGGUAUUUAGCUUCCCUUACCUUUUAGAAGCUCAAACAACUCUCUAAAACUUAGAUUGCUCUCAUAGAAACACAUAACUCUAUUUGAACCUACAACCCACAGAAUCAUGAUUAGGGUAUGCCAUUAAAAACACUAAUAACAAAUAGUACAAUAAAGGACUCAGAGAACAUAUGUACUAACUAAAAGUUCACAUGCAUGAGAGAAGUACUAAACUAGAGAGAAAAGCAACAACUAACUUAGUAAGAUUUGAUCAAACAAAAUUGAAGACCUUGCCAUUGUGAUAACUUAGGCACCUUCUGACCUUCAAACAAAUGAACAAGGGGUGAGGAGAUUUAGAGAGAUGGUAAAGAGAUUGUAUGUUUUAAAUAAUGAAACUCGCUUUAAAUUCAUAUUUAUACUUUUGAACUUUUAAUAUUAAAAUAUACGAGUCUCAUUAUUUAGAACAUCUUAUUACUUCUAGUAUUCUAUUUUCUAGGAUCUUACAUUUGUUUGGAUCAUUUUAAUUAUAUAAAUACUCCUAACUAAUUGUAAAUUUUAAAUAUUUGCAAACUAAAUUUAUUUCUAUGUGAAAUUAUUAUAUAAAAGUUAUAUGUCCCAAAGCUAUUAUAUCGAAAUAUUAUACAAUAUUAACGAGGAUGACAACAAGGAUUAGGAAUAAGGAUCAGGGAUGACAAUAGAUUGAGUCAGACACGGAUAAUACCUACUCAGUAUGCGGUAAUAAAUAAAAUUCACUUGUUACUUGUUCCAUUACUCAUCGGAUAUCCGUUUAAAAAAUAUCCACUAAUAUUAUAAAACCUUGUGGAUACUUGUGAAUAUUUACAAAAGGAUAUUUUUAUAAACUUUUAAAAUAAAAUUUAAAUAAAAUUAUAAAAAAUAUAUAUAAAAUAUAAUAUAAUACAAUUUAAAAUUUAAAUUUAAUUAAAAUAAUUUUAUAAAAUAUAAAUUAAUUUUAAUUUUAAUUUUUUUAAUAUAUAUAUAUAUAUAGGAUACUACACCCAACUUAUUUAUAAGUAAGUAUUAAGAUAUACAUAAUCGUCAUCCAUAAACACCAAUGAUAUGGAUUUCUUACUAAAAUAUCUACGAGGAUAAAUAUUUUUGUUAUUCUAACAAGAAUGAUACACUCACAAGAUUGAAAAGUGUUGAAAAUCCUACAUCGAUUAGAGAUAAGACCAAUUCAUAAUAUAUAAGUGAGUGCAAAUCUCACUUUACAAACCGAUUUUGUGGGAUUAAAUUAGGCUUAUAGUCCACUUCUUAAUAUGGUAUUAGAGCCAUUGUUAAAUCCCACACUCAAGAUGUUUAUACCUCAAUGUGAGAAGAAUGUGUUGGAAAUUUCACAUCGACUAAACAUCCGCACAUUGAAUCACUAUGACCCAAUUAAUCAUUUUAUUCCUAUGAUGAUUCUAAUUCAACUAUGUUCACUUGGUAUUUUUUCUACAAGAAUCCUCAUAUAAAUAAUAUUAAAAGUCAUUAUUAAUCAAUAAUUUUACACUUUUGGUAAAUGUAAUAUUUAUGAAUUUACAUAAACUUAGUACGUCUUUUUCUAUUGAAUUGUCUUGUUUUUUUUAAUAUUUGUAAAUAAUUAAGGUCUAUGAUAUGAAAUUUUGAUAAAUUAUCUUAAUAACUUUGAAACCGUUAGAAAUGUCGAAAUCAUAUGUUCUGUGUGAUUAAAUUUGUUCACUAAUAAUGGUCUCAAUCAAGUUCAUUGAACUUUUACCAAAACAAAUUCAAUAAACACGGUCAUCUUGAAAAAAAGGAACACAAUUUUUUAUCCACAUGAAUUGAACAAUAUAAAAACUUCUAUAUACACUUUAUUUCAGACAAUUGAGUUAAACUCAACACAAAUUUAAGGUUUUUAUUCUAAAUUUUUUUCAUAAAAAAUUGUAAAACUAUAAAUAUAAAAUAUAAAAUUAAUUAUUAUUAUUUUUAUUUUAAUAAUUUUUUUUCGUGACAAAUAAUUGAUGUAAUUUAAGACAUGAACAAAGAUUUCAAGGUACAUAAUAAUAUCUAACAUUAAGUAUAAUUUCUAUCAAUAAUUAAUAUUAUAAUCAGUUACAACUCAUUGUUUUUUUACAGAAACUAAAAAAAAAAUGAAAAAUCAAUUAUUAAAAUAUUUUUUCGAAAAUAAUUCUACUAUCUCGAUAAAUAUAUAUCAUUUAUAUUUACGAGAAUAAGGUCAAUUAAUUAAUAUUUCCUUAGAAAUUGAUAAUAUUAAUUAACUUAAUAUUUUUAAAAUGCUAUAACUACGUUUAUUUGAAAGUUCUUUCGUUCUAAAUAUAAAACAUUAUGGAUAAUUAAUUAGCAUCUAUUUAAAAAGUAAUUAAUUUAGUUGUUAACGUUAAGAAAUUAAUAAUUAUAAUAGUUUCUCAAAAUUAUCCUUAAAAUUAUUGGGACUAUAGCUAUAUCAUUUUUUUCUCAUUUCAUUACUUUUUGUAAUGAAUAUUGUGAGAGAAGAAUUGUAAAAUAUUAAUUUUUAAAAUUAAACUCGAAAAUUCUCCAUUCCACAUGUAUUAAAACAAUUCAUGCAGAAAUUUUUCGUCAUAGACGAAAAAAAAAUAAUUUUUUAACAUAUCUAAAUUUUUUAUCUUUAUUUAAUGUUAUCUUUUUAUUACCUUUUACUUUUUUAAUAAAAAAAUAUUCAAAAGAAGAUUUAAAAAAAAUAUUCAAUAUUUUUCAAGAAACUAAAAAAAUAUAUUUUUUAACACACAUAAAAGUCAAUUAAAAGUAUUCUGAUGAAAUAUUCAAUACCACACAAACAAAAGACAAUUUUAUAAAAGAGAAAAACUAAAAGAAAGUGUUAUAUUUAAAUUCAAAGGAAGUAUAACUUAUGAAAUUUUGUGAAAAAGAUUAGAGAAUGUUAAAUUAUUUACAAAAUCUGAUACAAUAUUCAACAGAAGGUGAAACUAGAAAACUCCAACAAUCUUCUCAAAAGUCAAAAUUUCACGUAUGAAAACAAACCAAGGAACAUGAACAUAUCCAAUUGUAUGAACAACAAAAUCCAACUGCAAAAUACUAGAAUAUAUACAUGCAACAAUGCAUCCAAAAGGGGCAACACAAGCCACUCCUUCAGAUAACUUCUAACAGAUUAACACUCUGGGACAGUACAAAAAAUAUCAGCAAUGUCUAAACCCUCUGGAAUAUCGAAUUCGAACAAGUCACUGCAAAAACUAUUCUUCUCUUCCUCCGUGCAACUUCUCAAAUAGUUUGAUGAUGAAUUCAACUGGUUUGGACUUGACUCAGGCGUAGGCAUAGCCGAGUCAUACCCCUUUUUCAGCUCUGCAUUUUUCAGGGAAUGCGCAAAAACAUGGUUACCUAACAAAUCAACUUGGUUUUGUUGCAAAACAAGGUUCUCAUCACCCGAAGGAGAAUUUGAGCAGCUAAAGUUUUCCAUGGUGCCAGAGAAUCCUUCCACACUUUGAAGCUGAGUUAUGUCUAGUGGUUGAGCAACUUGGUUUUGUACAUAAUUGUGUGAAGCCAAAUUUUGAUUCUCUAGAAGAGAGGCUGUAGCAGCAAGGUUUAACAACCCUUGGUUCAUCAAAACUUGAGCUCCUCCUAAGAAGCCUUGCAUGCUAAGGGAGGGAUUCAACACUGACCUUAAAAUAGAGGACAUGUCAAGCAGGUCAAGGCGUGGGGCGUGUGUAACUGGAUCAAUUCCCAUACGAAGAAGCCUCUUCCUAAUGUGUGUGUUCCAAUAGUUCUUUAUUUCAUUGUCAGUUCUUCCUGGCAACCUAGCUGCUAUAGAUGACCAUCUAAAUAAACCAGAAAUUAACCAUAUUAUUGAUCAGAAACUAGUACCAUGCAUAAGAAAAUCUAUAAUAUUAUUUUAGAUAGAUCGUGAUAUAUAUAUGAAGGAAAAUGGUCAUAGAGUUCUUACUUGUUUCCCAUGAUACUGUGCAACUGAAUAAUCGUAUCUUCUUCUUCUAAGGAGAAUCUUCCUCUCUUAAUAUCAGGUCUAAGGUAAUUUGUCCAUCGAAGGCGGCAACUCUUGCCACACCUUUGUAGACCUAUAAGUAGGUAACGUAGUCAAAUGUAUAUGUUAGUAAAUAGUAACAACAGAUUAGAUAGAACAAGAAAACCUUGUAUGUGUUGAAAACAUGUUAGUAUAAACAAAAAUGGUGUUUCUCAAACUCAAGGUCAACCCAAGCAAUAUUUUGUUAGGACAAUUUGAUAUAUAUUGCAACAUUUACAUCUUUUCGAAACAAAAAUGAUAUCUUCUAAGUUAGUAUGACUAAUCUUUCCUAUAACGAAACAAUGUGUUAUUGGUAAAUAGUAAUGAAAAGGGAGGGAGAAAUAACAAACCAGCACUUUUAGGUAGGGAUCUCCAAUUGCCUGGUCCAUGAGUCUGAAUGUAGUUGAUGAGCUUAAGGUCUUCUUCUGGUGUCCAUGGACCCUUCUUGAGUCCAUUCUUGUCACAGCAAGGAGCUCUUCCCAUUUUCAAAGUAUAUAGAUGAAUAGUGGAUUACGGUGCAGGAAGGUUCCAAUAAGCCAAAAGGGUAGAAAACUUACCACAAAAAGACACAAAAAGUGAAGUUCUGUUGCUUGUGGUGAUGGCUGAGACGACAAUGCUUUUAUAGCAGAAGAAAGCAGUGUAAGAUGUUCAAAGUCAAAAGGAUUUGGCGCCGACCAUGUGACACAUGUCUCUCUCAGGCUCAGCGAAGAUACUCAUCAAUGCAUUAUGUAUGUGUUAUAAUAUACGUGUAUUAUACAUACAGUAAAUUGCAUACACGGUUUAUAUACGUCAUGUGUUAGAUAUCUUGACAAAAAACAAUGUCUUAUAUGUUAAUCUAACCACUACAUCAUUGCAUUGGACUUGAAACCAAAAGGAGAUUAACAUGGUAGAAGUAGAAUUAUGAAUCAUUUUUAGCAGAUUAACAAAAGUUCAUUUUCUCAAAAAUUAAAGAGUGAAUACCUGUCUAGCAGUAUAUGCACACACAUUAUCACAUAUAUUACACUCUUAGCCUAUCUAUCUAUAUAGAGAUGUUGGUCCAAGUUGAGUAUAUAUACUGAGUUAAAUGUCCAAAUUAACGAUAUUGUUUUAACUAAUACCUAAUUAGAAUUGUCGUAUGUGUUUUAGAUAAGUAUACAAGAGUGUCAGAUAUCAGAAACAUCUAAUUAUAAUAAGAGUGAUGUCGGUGCUCAUAUAUAGAAGUAGAAUGUAUAGUAUUCUGUCUAGAUUUUCUUUCACAAUGAAUACAUAUAUACGUAGAAUACUUGCAUCCAUGUACGGUCUACGCAUCUCACAUGGGCACAUAGGAAACCAUGGCACGUGACAUUAUAGGACAGAACAGGGUUAACGAAAUUCAAAACUGAAAAGGACAUGCAAGGGAGCUGACUUUUUCCAUUGUAAAACCAGUGAAGAGAAGCAGGUUGAAAACGAUUUUUGAACUUUUUUCUUGACCUUACAGUUUUUACGUAUUGUAUAGAAUCAUAUGGACGGUACGGUUGUUAAAUCUCCUUAACUAACAACGUUUGCAGAAAAUAUGCUCCACUGUUUCUCUUUCACUACACUGCUUCCUUGUGGGGUUUCGUUUGACUAUUUAUGCAUCAAACUUCUACAGAAAGGUUUCAAAAAGUGACUAAUGUAAAACUUAUCACGUUUUCUUCUUCGUGUGUAUGGUGGUGUUAUCUUUAACUUGGUAACAUUUUUCGAAGUUAGAGGAUUGUAUUUCUGAAUUUAGACUUAAUCCAGUGAUCACGUUCAAUUAAUAAGAGUAAUUUUUUCUUCCACUUUACAUCACAUGUUUUAGGGUUUACCGAGCCUUAGGCAUGAGGAACAUGAACAAAAAGAAAUAAGGCAAAGCACCAUUUUGGUGAUUUUUUUUUUUUUAAAAUUACAGAAAAACUAAUGAACUUAAAAAUAAUUACAUAUAUAAAUAAGUGGCAUUAUUUUAGUAAAAAGAAAUCACGUUAGAAUGACACGACUUUAAGAUAUACUCUUAUAAUAGCAAACACCACUUCUAUUUAAAAUGUUCUAAAUACCUUAAGAUAAUUUCAACUUUAAAAAUUUGUUACUUUCACACCAAUGCUCCAACAUAUUCAUGUUAUCUUAAUAUAAUUAUAAUUAUCUUUUUAAUUUAACCGCUUUGAAAUUUUUUCUAAAACAUUAAACUGGUGCUUUUUCCAAGAAAUUAAAAGAAAGACAAAUGUGCUGCAAAAAUUACUGUUUGGUGAAGAUUACUUUUCCAUUUUUUCUUCUAUUUGAUUCUGAUGUAAGCGUGACGAUAGUUGUUUUGGGUCAGAAAAAGGGUGUUCUUUGGUCAAAAAUCAUCCCACACCCACUGGUUUGUUUUUCAACUCUAAUAAUUUAUUUCCUAAACAAAAAUUUUAAAAUCAUUAUUAGUCCAAUUUGGCCAUAUAUUGUGCAAUACAUUACACAUUUUUCAAAUGCAAUUUGGAACAAUAUAGUUUGCCUUAUCAUUAUCAUGAAGAAAAGAAAAAGAUAUAUAUGUAACAUUUAUCAUUAUCAUUAUAAUAAGGACAAUAGUACUUUUUCAGACAAACGAUGUUAUAUAAUGUCAAGAAUUAUGUAAGAUUUUAAAUUAUCAGUGAACAAAAUUAAAUCCAUAAUAUUUAAUGAAUUAAAAAAUUUAAAUUAUUCUUAAUUAGCAAAUUUUAUAUCAACAUGAUGAAGAGAAUUGAUGAGUUCCCUCUGUUAAAUAAAACAUUCCUUACUUAAUCAGCUAUACCAUUUGAUUUUUGUACUAAUGUCAAUUCUGAAAAGUUUUCAGUUUUGUUGUGACCUUCUUUUUCACGAGUUUUUGGAUGAGUAGAGAAAUUUCCAUGGUAGGAGACCUUAAAAGGAGUAAAAUAGCAUGAGUUACAGGUGUCAUUACCUUGUCCACGAAAUGAAGUCAGCCAUGUCACAAUUUCAUUUUGUUCUUCCCAGCAAGUAAGGUGUUGGUUGCUUAAUGCUGGCUAUCAUUGCCUUAUUCUGUUCAAAAUGCUUUGAAAUCAGAUCCAGAUUUUCAUCAACCUCUAUCUAACACUCUGAGUCAAAUGUUAUUUGGUUAAUGUUUUUCUCCUUUCUUUCUUUACAUAUUGUCAUAUUCCCGUUCACAUCAUAUAAAUUAUUAGAAAGUGAGUUUUUAAAUCCAACUCUAUCUCACAAAAUCGACUUGUAAGGUGAGGUUUGUACUUCAUUUUUAUAUUAUAAUUUGGCCUUAUUUCUAAUCAAUGUGAGAUUUCUAACAUACUUCUUUCACGCCGAGGUAUAGACAUCUCGUGCGUGAUAGUAAAAAUUGGGUGAGAAGUGGACUUUAAGCCUAACUCAACCUUACAAAACCGCCUUGUAGAGUGAGGACCUUAUCUCUAGUCAAUGUAAGAUUUCCAACACAAAUUUCUCCACUUUUUUCUUCUUUCGGAGUUGUUUAGGAUAAAUUUAGUUUUAAUACUUGUAUAAAUUUUGGUCUAAUUAUUUGGUUUAAUCAUAGACAUUGAAGAUCACAUAUAUAAUAACCUGUACUUGGCGCGGAAAAUUAAAAGCUUGAUGGCGAUUGCUUCACUGAAUUACUUAUCUACCAUCACUUUGAUGUUAACUUCAUUGUAUGGAUACGGUGUUUUUUCAUUGGCCAAUACUUUCAAAAUUGUAAUCAACUUAGAAGUUUCCUUUUUUUUUUUUUUAUGAAACUGGAUCAAUUAGAUUUGAAAAGUAUGUAUUUGGGUUUUCUUAACAAAAAAUUAUGCACAUAGUUAACCUGUGGUUAGUUUGUAAUUGGAAAUAGAAACUAUGCAUCCCUUAAUGAAGAAGAUGAAUUAUUUACUGGCCAGAAGAAGAUGGUUAUGGUUAGACAAAAGAUACAAAGGUAUACUUCUUAACUCCAAAAUCCGCAAUUCAUUAAUGUGAGCUUUGUCUUAAGAAGAAUAUAAGAAAGUUUAGGCAUUCAAUUCAAAGGUGCUAAGGAGAUAUGGGACACCCUUAUCAUCAUAUACGAAGGAUCCAAUGAAGUUAAAAAAGUAAGUUGUUUGUUGACCAGAUAAUACAAGUUGUUCUUCAUGCUGGACAAUACAAACAUACAAAAUAUGUUCAACAUAUUUCAUACCAUUCUCAAUAAGUUAAAAUCACUAUAUGUAAGAUCUAUGAUAAUUUUAAUAAUAUUGACAGGAUUUUGUGUAGUCUCCCAAAACAAUAGAGAUCACAAGUCACACUUCUCACCUUGAUCUAAUAGUGACUAAAGUAUAUCUUUUCUAAACAGAUUAUAAUUGAAGAACAACUCAUACUGAUUAUUGAGUAAACAAUAAUAGAGACUUAAUUAAGUAUUUUUAAAAAAUUAAACUCAAUUAAAUAAAAUAAAAAAUUUAGGAACUAAAAUAAAUAGAAACCUAAAGACUAAAAUACUAAUCAAACCCUGAAAACAAAGCAAAAUUAAAAUGAAAAUAAUUAAUGUUUUAGUAUGUAAGUGAGUUGGGCCGAGACAGACACCUUUUACUCUUGCAUCUUCUCCUUUUUUUUCCUUCGAGACAACUUGAUUCAAUUUCUUCUAGUCCAAGCCGAAUGGUGAAUACAUGUUAAAGGCACUUCGAUGCUCAAAUCAUAUUUUAAUCAAUGAACUUAAUUCAAAAUCAAGUAUCUAGAACUCGAUUAAGCUAACUUUACCUUUGUAGGGUGUUGUUUCCUUCACCUCCCCACUAUUUUCAUUUAUUUCAAAAAUAUUUUACACCUCUUCAUUAUUUUCUUUUAUUCCAAAAAUACCCUACACCUCUCCACUAUCCUCAACAAUAUUUCUCUUCCUCUCUUUCUACAUUAAUGGAGCAUUCAGAUGACUCAGAUUUGAAUUUGUGAUAUAUUGCAAAAUAUAAAAUUCAGAGAAAACUUCAAUAUUAGUACUUCUACUACUUCCAUUUUAUAUUAAUAGUAAAUAAUAAUAAUAAUAUAUUAUUAUUAUUAUUAUAUACUUACUUUAUAAUUACAAAAAAACUAAAUAUAUUACAAAUAUUUAACAAAUAACUUUUCUUUUAUAUUUUAAGUAUUUAAUAAUAUUUUUAUAUUAUUUAUCUAAUAAAUUAAAUACUUUAUUCAAGUUAUUUUAGUCGAACAUGUCUAUAAGUUAAAACAUAAUAUAAUGUUAAAAAUUAUAGAUAUUAAAUGUAAAAAAAACACACACGUAUAUAAACAUUUUUCUAGAAAUUUAGAAUAAAAUUUUACCAUUUAUUAAGUAAUUUGAAAGAGAAAGAUUGUUAAUGAUAGUGGGGAGGUGUAGGGUAUUUUUGAAUUAAAAGAAAAUAGUGGGAAGGUAUAAAAUAUUUUUGAAAUAAAUGAAAAUAGUGGGGGGUGGAGGAGAACUUGAGGAGUGAUAAUGACAUAUUUUGCUAUGAUUUCAGUAGUGAAUUGAGAGAAAAUGUCAACUCUUUCUUAGCUUUAUACCUUCUUUAUGCUUCAAUUUGUUAAGUUUCUAAGUAGCUACAUCUUUAGUUGAAUUCAUUUAAAUUGCUUCACUAAUCCCCACUUUUUGGUUGUUAGAUCAUAUACAUGAAGCAUGUUGGCCAAACCGACGAAUGGAAGAACCACAGAAGCAAGAAUGAAUGUAAAAGAGGAAACAUUGAACAAAGAUUGAUGCUGUCGCUGGGGUGCAGCUGAGCCCCAUUCUCCUCUGGAAUGCUGUAGCUUGGUGGCAGCUGGGGUGCAGCUGAGCGUCCUGCUCCCUGGAAGGCUGUCGCUGAGGUGCAGCUGGGGUGCAGCUGAGCGCCCUGCUCCUUGGAAAGCUGCAGCUGGGGUGCAGCUGAGUGCUCUGCUCUCUGGAAAGCUGCAGUUGGGGUGCAGCUGAGGUGCAGCUGAGCACCCAGCUUUCUGGAAGGCUGCAGCUGGGGUGCAGCUGGGGUACAGCUGAGCGGUGGCAAUGCUGAUGUGGAAAAAUUAGGUCUUUUUAGACCUAAAACGCGAGGGGCUUUGUAUCUUUUUGCACCCAGACUCGUUUUCUCUCUUUGGAGCUCUUGGAGGUAGCUUGGAGCUGUGGGGACACUCCUUCUUCUUCCUUGGGUUCUCUUCUUUCUUCCAUUUCCACCAUGGUUGUAAGCUUGAGCUCUCCAUUCAUGGAGAGCUAGUUUCAUUAUUGUUGGGGGAUUGAUGUAACCACUAAACUCUUAUGUAAAGCAUUUUGUUUUGAAUGAAUAUAUACCUCUUUCAUUGAUUGUUAGUGUUUAAUUCCUUCUCUUAAUGCUUGUUGUGAAGUUGCUACCCAUGACAUUAUUUAGGGUUUCUUGAUAUUGGGAAAUAUUGGGUAAACCUUGACUUGGGUUAAACACCUAAAGGAAAUAGUAUCUAGGGAUAGAACUAGGACCUUUGGAUGUCUUAAAAUCUCAUUUCUUAAUGCGGAAAUAAUCAUUAGGUUUUCCAAGGGAUUGGAGUCUAAUGAGGAAGUCUAGGCUCUUUCUACCAAGGGAUUGGGGUUUGAGUAAAUUAGUAGAUUAACAUUGACAUUUUAAUGAAGAGGAAGUGAUUUUCUAUGCAUAAGAGUGAAGUAGGUGAAAUCAUACCCCCAACAAUAUCAUUCCAUUUCAAUUCUAAUCUCUCCAUUUCAAAGUGUUUGAGUGCUUGAGAUCACUUUUAUCAUUUACGUUUUAUAAUUACUUUAAUUGCACUAAAACUCAAAUUAUGGAAACAUUCUUUAGUCUAGGUUAGUUAGAAAUUAUACAAUUGUCUAGUUUCACGAGUCUCUUGGGAAACGAUUUCCGGUCUUACCGGUUUAUUACUUUAGACGAUUUGAUACACUUGCCAAAGAGUUAACAAGGAGAUGGAGGGAGCAACACCCACCUUUGUAGCUUACCUCCAUAUUUAUAGAUUUUAUUAUGAACCUUAGGAUGAUACUGACCCAAUAGCUAUAAUGUUCGUGUUGGCCCAAUUGCAGCCCAACGUGUCAUAGGCCCAAUUGACCUGCUUAAUUUAUAAUUUACAAUAAAUAAGCCGAAUGGCGUGACGAUGUUUCGAACACCGUUGGAUCAAUAAAAUGUAUUUGUCUUUGACGUUGUCCUAUCGCACAACCUACCGACCAGAUCCUACAUCAUACCAUACAACUAAUAAACUCCUUUACUUUCCAACUUUUUCCUUUCUUAUUUUUCUUCAAACAAAUAUAUUAACUUUUUAUUUUCUACAUUUCUAUUCUUGUUCACUCCAUUUUUCUCACCAAACAAAGGGUAAGAGUAGUUUUAUGAUGCAUUCUCUCCACUGCAUAUUCUACAUUACUUUCAUUGUUUGUUUGCAUGCAUAAUUAACGCAUAGACUUUGGUUUCACACAUUUCUUUGAUUUUUUUUUCUUCUUUUAGAAUUACUGUAUUUUUCUUUUUUUUGCAUGAAGACUUGUAAGGUACUUUGGUUCUGGUCCUUAGAACUUAUAAAUUUGGAAAGAUGGAAAUGUAAAUGGAGAUUUUUGGGAGUCAUCUUAGUGUGUAUAUGAAAUGGACUUGAAGAAAAUAUAAAAACCAAAAUGGUUGUAUUUUUUUUUCACCAGAGUGGUGUAAUUUUAUAUACAUGCUAGUAAAGAACCAAGAGAUAAAGCUACUAUUGGAUUUGAGAUGAUUUAGCAUAUUAACCAACCUUCUUCCCAAUUUUUGCUUUGACAAUAGAGUGCAAUUUUCUACAAAUUUUGCUUUCUCAAAACCACCAUAGCAUAUCAUAGAGUUAUAAUCAGGAAGAACUAUAAGAGGUUUUAAUGGAUUAAAUCCAUAUAUAACCUCAAAAGGAGAAUAAUAAGUAGUUAACCACUCUAUUAUAUGAAAACUUAACAAAAAGUAGACGUUUUUACUCAUAUUUUAGGUUCUUAGUAAUUGUGCAUCUGAAUAGUUUUAUUGACCCUUUAUGUUGAUUACCAAGUUGGGAAUGAUGAGCAAUAAAAAAUAAGAUUUUAAUUUCACAUUUUUGCAUAAAUGUAUUUUAAAAAUGAUUCAAGAAUUUUUAAUAUCUAUUAUACAUAAGGGUAAUGAUACAUAGACAACACUUUUUGACAACAUUUAAACAUCAAUCAUACGUGUCAUUGUGUAAUUGGUCCAGAUGACACAAUGACACUACCAUGAACCAAUCACACAAUGACACGUAUGAUGAUGUUCAAAUGUUGUCAAAAAAUAUUGUCUAAAGUAUCUUUAUCCUAUACAUAAUACUCAUUAAAGAAGAAAUUUAUAAUAUGACACGCAUCAUCAACUUAAUAAAAUGGACUAUCUUCAAAAAUCUAUCCCUAACCAUUAAGAUUGAAUCAUUAUCUUUCCUUAUUUUUUGAAAUCUAUUGACUUCUCCAUCCAAGGAAGAAUAAGAAUGGGUAGUUGCUCCCUCAACCACCACAUAACGCUACUUGUACUAUUCCAUUCCAAUUUUACCCCUCAUCCUUCUUAGAAAUAUUUUUAACUUCCAACUACUUUUCAUUAAUAUUUACAUCCAUCCCCAUCAGUAUAUAGACUCUACACCCCACGUAUUUGAUGUUCGAGCUCAAAUUCUCUGCUUCUCCUCUCCUCCAUGUGUGUUUCUCUUCUCCCUGCUAUGCUUUGUUGGAGGUGGAAAGCUUUAGUGUGUGGCGUGGUGCAGUGGUAGUUGUUGAAGGUGGUGGUGCAUUGGUUGUUGAAGGUGGUUAAAGGUCGUGUAGUGGGUUGAUUAAGCAGAGCGAUGGGAACAUGUGUGGAUAAAUGAAACAUAUGUCAAUAUCUGUAACUGUGUGCAACAGAUAUCAAGAUCCGUGAACGAAUAUGGGGAUCCGUUGAAGGGUGGAUUGACUGACAUCUGUUUCAGUGUUUUAAUUAUUAGUUAUUUUUAUAUUUUUGUAUUUAUAUAUUUUUAGUUAUUUUUAUUGGUUUUUAUUCUUAAUAUUGUGCAACGAAUGUCAACAUACGUUUGCUAUGGGAACGAAUAUGGGAAACCGUCGACGAAUGUCUACAUUCGUUAAUGAAAUUGAUUGAUAUUAACAUUCGUUUGAGGAUUUUUUUAAUAUAUUAUUUUUAUAUGUUUGUUUGAAUAUCAUAAAUAUAAACUCUUGUGUAGUUAGUUUUUAAUUAUUAUGUAUAUUAGUUAAGUUAAUAUAAUUUGUUUUAUAUAUUUACUUCAAUAAUUGAAUUAUUCUUCAAUAAUUAUUUUGAAUAAUAUAGCAUAAUUUAGGUUUAAUAUCGUUCAGGCCUUUGUUGUUAUUGUUCUUUUUCUUCUUCUUCUUACUCAUCGCACCAAAACACACCAAAAAGAAAGUACACAACACACGACAGAACACAACACAGACCACACAACAUACAGACCAUACAUACAAACCAGAUCACAUGAACCAAUUGCACAUUAAAACCAAACUUGUUAAAAGUACUAACCUCUCGCCUCGCUCACUCAAACCGCCGCAUGAAAGUGAAAGGUGUGGUGUAGGGCAGAUUUAGGGUUUUAAAAGAAUAUUAGUCAAGUUAAAUAGCAAAACUUAUAUUUACUGUGGACUAUUUUCGGAAUAUAUGAAAAGUGAGGGAGUUCAAGGAGUAUUACAUGGUGGUGGAGGGAGCACCUGCCAUAAGAAUGAUAGAGGAUGUUAUAAAGUACAAGUAUUUCUUUCUACACCAUAUCAAAUUUCUUCUUGUAUCCCAUUUGUAAGCUUUCGGAAAGUUUGAUCCAGAAUAGAGGUGGAAAAAGUGUCUUCCAAAAAGAUACUUUUGAAAUUGAUUUAGUGUGUUCCGGAAAGCAAAAUCCUAUUGAGGGAGUGCAGAAAGAAAUUUGGUGGAAUGCAGGAUGAAACAAAUCAUAGUACGUAUAAGGGUGUUUCAUCCUCCACCUCUAAGUAUUUCAUCCUGCACCUCCAAUUUCCGAAAAUACCCUUAUUUAAUUAAUAGUUUAAGAGUUUAAUAUUUUGAUUAGUGUGAAUUUUUGUGCAGCAUUGAGACCACCUCCAUUUUGUUCCAAUCAGUAAGCAUGCAUUUUGCUGACCUCUGCAACCCUUGACCCUGCACCCCUUGACUCUACACCCCUACA